AUAAAUUACUCUGUUCUGGUAUUAUGAAUAUACUACUUUCAAUUCAUCUUGAUAUCAUGGCCACCGAUUCUUUUAUACUGUUGUUUCCUUUGCUGUCGACACAUCCAGAGAUUUUAUCAUGUUAAUUAUCUUUUAUGCAGGAUAUGGGCUUCAGCCUCUUCGACUAGGCUGCACAGUCAUCACAGUAUUGUUUCGGGCAGUGAAACCAGAGGAAAACCAGAGUCAUGUUUAGAUUUUAACCUUGUUUUAUGUUGGAAAGUACUGCUACUUGUCUUUAUAUUUGGUAAUUCAGCCGUAGGUUGCUAUGCUGGUUGGGAUUUACUCGUGAACCAGAGUUUUUCUAUCUUAUAUCCUGAAUUUGUUAUCCCAAAGUUUCCUGGCUUUUUAACUAUUUUGUUGUUACAUGUUGAUAUUGCUUUGUUCAUCCUUAUUCACCUACUAUAGCUAUUUGCAAUCACAAAAUCACUUGAUGGCGGUGAGCCUAGAGUUAUCAAGCUGAUAUUAAUGCUUCGUAAGAUCUUGUGGUACCUUUUAUUUUAAACAAUUUUACAUUAUGGUCAAAUUCUAUAAGUAUAUGAAAUUAUGUAUAGAUACUAGGUCGGCCGUGGCAUACCUCGCCACGUCCUCGUCCAGGAGCGCGCCUACCUCCUCCGUUCACGGAUCUGGAUCUGAAGGAGGCCAAGGAGCUCGUAGAGAAGGCGUCCGCCGUGUUGAAGGAUGGAGUUGAAGGAUGGAGUUUGGAAGGAAGUGGUAGAGAGUAUUGCCGAGAAGAUGUGGGCGGUCGGCACGAGAUUGUUCUCGAGUGAGACGAUGAGAGAAAUUCCAUGGGAGGGAGGAGCUUCAUGGGCGACGCUACGCACAAGCUGGGGCCGGACGGUGGGCGUUUAGCUGGAGGUGAUGGAGCAUCUGGAAACUUCUCGUUGCGUAGCGGAUUGGAGAGCUGCACGGGACCGUCGAAGCGCGAUCGAACGGCUGCAAGCGCGAUCGAACGGCUGCACAACCAAAGGAUGACGUGGCUUACUGAGGAGCGAGCUUUGUGUACGCGUUUGUUAUAUAGAAAUGUGUUUUAUAUUUUAUUUUUAUACAUAUAUUCCAAAUUUUAAGACUUGGCUGCCAAAAUAUUAAUAUCCAUUUAAUUUCCAGCCUCUCGGUUUAUUGGAACACAAGAUUUUCAGAAAUUAGGAAUAGGAAAAACACAAGUGUUAUUUACAACGCAGAAAGGUCAUAAAACAUAUUUGGAUCACGCUCAAAUUUAAGGGACAAAGCCCGGUGUAUUUCAUACAUGCGCUAAAGAAGACAACAUAUAUAAUAACAGAGUGUAUAUAGAUAAAUGUCACAAUAACAUCAGAGUAUUUAUUACAUAGCGGAAGUCUUACAAAAUAAAUGAUAAAUAUAAAACGAACUAAAGAUCAUCCUUGGCGCCAUAAAGUUAACUCGCCACCUAGAUCAAAUCAUUACUUUCGGGUAUUUAUUAGCUAAACAGAUUAAUGUUUUACUUACCAAAGCUAAUUCAUUAGCUUAUGGUAGUAUAUGCUAAGAUGUCCAUUUAUAAUAUUUCAAUCAAUCAAAGAAAGCAAACCAGUCAUUUAUCAUCAGAACAAUCAACAAACAUUUUUAAAUAAAAAAAUAGUUUUAAUUUUGUCUUAGGUUCCCUAUCUCUUAAGAAUGUCAUAAAUGUAGAAUUCUAAGGUGUGAAAUCCAUCUUGUCUUAGAGUGGAAAAGAUAAGAGUAAUCAGAGUAUGACAACAAAAGGUGAGACAUGAUCAAGAUAAGUAUAGAAUGAAUUAUAGUAAGGUAAGUAGGUAAGAGUUUUAUCCAUUUCUAUCUAGGUUUCGUCCUACAGUUAACAUUUCCUUUAAUAACACUUCUGUCACACCCGGAUUUAAGUGACAGAGCCGGGUGCAUCUCAUACAUACGCCAAAAAAUAUAUAAUAACAGAGUGUAUAGAGAUAAAUGUCACAAUAACAUCAGAGUAUUUAUUACAUAACAAAAGUCUUACAAAAUAAAUGAUAAAUAUAAACCGAACUAAGGAUCAUCCUUGGCGCCACAAAGUCAACUGGGAGACGCCACCUAGAUCAGAUCAAACUCCUCGUUGUGUGGCUCCUCCUGAACCACCUGUUCUUCUCCUGUGGGGGAGUGUGAGACAGCAAGAGUGAGCUCACACAUGAUCAUAGCUAAACAAGUUGUUGGGAAACCAGUGUACAUGAACUCACCAAAGGUGGGAGUUCAUAUGAUGUGUAAGACUAAUCAACAAUAGGUGUUAAAGCUGAGCAUUGCUUUUAAUAAGUUGAUCAAAAUUUUAUUAGCAGUUACUAAAUGUAAGUGAAUACCAAACCAUAAUAAAAAUAAUAGAACAAAAUUAAUAAAUAAUUCCAUGCAAUGCAAAUGACAAAUUGAAAUUUAAAUUCCAUAAAUUUAUCAUGCGAGAGUUCCGAGCUGCUCAUGAUCGUGAGCACGGCUAGUAUACCAGUUUUACACUCUGCAGAGGUUGUGUCCUGUACUACAAGUUAUUUUACCCAUCUGCCAACGGAUCGCGACUCUCAUACACCUCUACCAAGGAAGCGAGGCUGGACAACACUACGAGGCCUUUAUAAAGUUCCACUGGCUUCCGAAAACCCGCUACAAUUUAUGGGAAGAGCACUUGCAAGAAUCCCCUGUCUGACCGCCAUCGCAGCAAAAUCAACCCGAGAACCUCCUUGCAUGCAACUUAGGGAUGUUCCUAAAACAUCCGACUUGUAUCACAAAUCUAAUAUUUUAGCAUAGAUAUACAUAGAAUUUAAAGUUAAUAUUCGACAAUGUUAUUAAGAAUAUUAUGAAGUAUUUAAAUAAUUUUUUGUAUAAUUUUUUAUGUAUAUUAUUUUCUCCCUACAACAAAAAGGUGAAAAACAUCUGAAUCCGUAUUCGGAUAGACAUCCGAAUUUUAUAUGAAUUAUUUAAAAAGAUAUAGAAUGAAUUUAAUGUUUAUUUUUUAUGAAGAUUAAUAGUCUCAAUGCUAAAAACAAGAAUAUAAAUUUACAAAGCAAAUUCUAUAUGUUAGUUGUUCACAAUCGAAGAAAGAAGACCAAAAAAUGACAUCCGAAUAAAUAUCCGGAUCCAUCCCUAAUGCAACUCCCCUACUGCUGUCACACCCAGUUUUAGAAGGCAAACCGAAUGCGAACCAUGUACAUGACAGGAUCAACGAUUCACGUACACAGCAGUUACAUAACUGGACAUCAUCACACAAUGCUCAAAUAAUGACAUAAAAGAGGGUAUAAUAGUCGAUUACAUCAUGAUGUCCAGGACAUCCACAUAGUCUUUAACAAUAAUCAAAGUGCAGAAAAGAAAUGUAGAUACACAUGGCCUACACAGGCAAUCGACUGGGGGUUUGCCGCUAACCCACGCCUAGAACUCAUCGUACUCUUGGAACUCCUAAAAGUCCUCCUCCACGGCUUCUUCUUCACCUCAGCAGUGGUUGCAACACGGACAACCUGGGGCGGGGGUUUGGUGUGUAAAGCAAGGGUGAGUACACAUCAACAUACUCAGCAAAAUGUCCCGUUUGGCUGUAGUGGACUAGCUUUAUGUGGAGUUAAGUCAAGCAGUUGCUUUUAGUUGGUCAGGUUAUUAUUACUAGUAGAAAGCCAGGCUUUAGUAUUAACCCAAGUUAUUAACCCAAUGCACCCUUUCCAAACGGAAAGAAUACCACUUACCAGUACCAUAGUCAUAACCAAAACCAUCAUCCUCAUCACCACCUGUAAACCAUACAUCUCUGAUCAAGUAUCUCUAAUCACUGGAGCUCCCUUGGCCGCUCAUAACCGCAAGCACGGUUGAUAUAUCAGUUUCAUAACACCCUGCAGAGGUUGCACACAUUACCUACAAGCCGUGAUUCCCUCUUGCCUCAGGCCGAUCAAACCCUUAAACACUACCAAGGUGAAUAGGCAUGGUCUCACUACGUAGCCUUUACAAAGAUUUCCUGGGGCUAUAGCCGCCCGUUAGGUUUCCUAAAUGCACCGCACUCCUCCCAUGGGGCGAACCAACCUUGGCAGAGCGAGCUGCAUACACCGAGUCCCAUUAACGGCACAACGGCGAAGCGAACUACACCCCAGUUCCUCUAAUUACUCAGCUAAGGGCGUCUCACUCCACCCUCAUGGUUGCACUAUUUUCCCGGGCGGUCAUCCAACGAACUAGUCCUUACGGAGAGGCACUCGAGAAACAACUCGAGUCCCCUAAAUGCCACAAAUACCAUCAUCAUAAUCAAAAGGGAAAACAACGUAUCAUAAAUAAUCUUAUCAUGUUCAUUGAUUAAUGUGGAGCACUAGCAUAUAGCUAAACCAGAAUAGGUAAACAAGGACAAGAUAGACAAAAGCUAGUCAAUCCUUAGGUAUAAACUGUGUAAAUGCGGGGAGUGAAUUAUAAGAAUGAGUAGUGAAAGUCGCCUAGAGGGGGGGUGAAUAGGGCGAAACUGAAAUUUACAAAUAUAAACACAACUACAAGCCGGGUUAGCGUUAGUAAUAAAGAAACGAGUCCGCGAGAGAGGGUGAAAAACAAAUCCCAAGCAAAUAAGCAAGUGAGACACGGAGAUUUGUUUUACCGAGGUUCGGUUCUCUCAAACCUACUCCCCGUUGAGGAGGCCACAAAGGCCGGGUCUCUUUCAACCCUUCCCUCUCUCAAACGAUCCACGGAUCGAGUGAGCUUUCUCUUCUCAAUCACUUGGAACACAAAGUUCCCACAAGGACCACCACAAGUUUGGUGUCUCUUGCCUCAAUUACAAGUGAGUUUGAUCGCAAUGAAAGAAUCAAGAAGGAAGAAAGCAAUCCAAGCGCAAGAGCUCGAAAGAACACAAGCAAAUCUCUCUCUCUAAUCACUAUGGCGUUGUGUGGAAUUUGGAGAGGAUUUGAUCUCUUUGGUGUGUCUAGAAUUGAAUGCUAGAGCUCUUGUAGUAGUUGGGAAGUGGAAAACUUGGAUGCAAUGAAUGGUGGGGUGGUUGGGGUAUUUAUAGCCCCAACCACCAAAUGUGGCCGUUGGGAGCCUGUUUGCUCGAUGGCGCACCGGACAGUCCGGUGCCCCCUGCCACGUCAUCACUGCCGUUGGAUUCUGACCGUUGGAGCUUCUGACUUGUGGGCCCGCCUGGGUGUCCGGUGCACACCGGACAGGUACUGUUUGCUGUCCGGUGUGCCAGUAUGGGCGCGCCUGACUUCUGCGCGCGCUGCGCGCGCAUUUAAUGCGCCGCAGGUAGCCGUUGGCGCCGACUAGCCGUUGCUCUGGAGACGCACCGGACAGUCCGGUGAAUUAUAGCGGACUAGCCGUUGGAGUUUUCCGAAGCUGGCGAGUUCCUGAGGCCGCUCCUCCUUGGCGCACCGGACACUGUCCGGUGUACACCGGACAGUCCGGUGAAUUAUAGCGCGAGUGCCUCUGGAAAUUCCCGAAGGUGGCGAGUUUGAGCUGGAGUCAUCUGGUGCACCGGACACUGUCCGGUGGUGCACCGGACACUGUGCGGUGUACACCGGACAGUCCGGUGCUCCCAGACCAGAGAGCCUUCGGUUGCCACUUUGCUCCUUUGUUGAAUCCAAAAACUUGGUCUUUUUAUUGGCUGAGUGUGAACCUUUUACACCUGUAUAAUCUAUACACUUGGGCAAACUAGUUAGUCCAAUUGUUUGUGUUGGGCAAUUCAACCACCAAAAUUAAUUAGGGACUAGGUGUAAGCCUAAUUCCCUUUCAAUCUCCCCCUUUUUGGUGAUUGAUGCCAACACAAACCAAAGCAAAUAUGGAAGUGCAUAAUUGAACUAGUUUGCAUAAUGUAAGUGUAAAGGUUGCUUAGAAUUUGAGCCAAUAUGAAUACUUACAAGAUAUGCAUGGAUUGUUUCUUUCUUAUAUAACAUUUUGGACCACGUUUGCACCACAUGUUUUGUUUUUGCAAACUCUUUUGUAAAUCAUUUUCAAAGUUCUUUUGCAAAUAGUCAAAGGUAAAUGAAUAAGAUUUUUGCAAAGCAUUUUCAAGAUUUGAAAUUUUCUCCCCCUGUUUCAACUCCUCUUAGUGUUCAAGAGGGUUUUGAUAUAUCAUUUUGAAAUACUACUUUCUCCCCCUUUUUAACAUAAUAGGAUACCAAUUGAAAAUAUUGUGGUGGUGCGGUCCUUUUGCUUUGGGCUCAUUUCUCCCCCUUUUUGGCAUGAAUCGCCAAAAACGGAACCAUUAGAGCCCUAGAAGUAGUUUCUUCCCCUUUGGUCAUAAACAAAUGAGUUAAGAUUAUACCAAAGACGAAGUCCUUUUGCUUUCUCCCCCAAGGAUGGAGAGUGGUAUGUAGCGACGGCGAAGGUUGAGUUACGGAGUGGAAGCCUUUUUGUCUUCGCCGAAGACUCCAAUUCCCUUUCAAUAUACCUAUGACUUGGUUUGAAAUAGACUUGAAAAUACAUUAGUCAUAGCAUAGGAAGGGGAUACGAUCAAAGAUAUAUAAAUGAGCUAUGUGUGCAAUCUAACAAAAGAAAUUGCGCGAAUCAAGAAUAUUGAGCUCAUGCCUAAGUUUGUUAAAAGAUUGUUCAUCAAGAGGCUUGGUAAAGAUAUCGGCUAAUUGAUCUUUAGUGUUAAUGUAAGAAAUCUCGAUAUCUCCCUUUUGUUGGUGAUCCCUAAGAAAAUGAUACCGAAUGGCUAUGUGUUUAGUGCGGCUAUGCUCGAUGGGAUUGUCGGCCAUUUUGAUUGCACUCUCAUUAUCACAUAGCAAAGGGACUUUGGUUAAUUUGUAACCGUAGUCCCGCAGGGUUUGCCUCAUCCAAAGCAAUUGCGCGCAACAAUGACUUGCGGCAAUGUACUCGGCUUCGGCGGUGGAAAGAGCAACCGAAUUUUGCUUCUUUGAAGCCCAAGACACCAAGGAUCUUCCCAAGAACUGGCAAGUCCCCGAUGUGCUCUUUCUAUUGAUUUUGCACCCCGCCCAAUCGGCAUCGGAAUAACCAAUUAAAUCAAAAGUGGAUCCCUUAGGAUACCAAAGCCCAAACUUAGGAGUAUAAGCUAAAUAUCUCAAGAUUCGUUUUACGGCCGUAAGGUGAGCUUCCUUAGGGUCGGCUUGGAAUCUUGCACACAUGCAUACAGAAAGCAUAAUAUCCGGUCGAGAUGCACAUAAAUAGAGUAAAGAACCUAUCAUCGACCGGUAUACCUUUUGAUCCACGGACUUACCUCCCGUGUCGAGGUCGAGAUGCCCAUUGGUUCCCAUGGGUGUCUUGAUGGGUUUGGCAUCCUUCAUCCCAAACUUGGUUAGAAUGUCUUGAGUGUACUUUGUUUGGCUGAUGAAGGUGCCCUCUUGGAGUUGCUUCACUUGGAAUCCUAAGAAAUACUUCAACUCCCCCAUCAUAGACAUCUCGAAUUUCUGUGUCAUGAUCCUACUAAACUCUUCACAUGUAGACUCGUUAGUAGACCCAAAUAUAAUAUCAUCAACAUAAAUUUGGCAUACAAACAAGUCAUUUUCAAGAGUUUUAGUAAAGAGUGUAGGAUCGGCCUUUCCAACUUUGAAGCCAUUAGCAAUAAGGAAAUCUCUAAGGCAUUCAUACCAUGCUCUUGGGGCUUGCUUGAGCCCAUAAAGCACCUUAGAGAGCUUAUAGACAUGGUUAGGAUACUUACUGUCUUCAAAGCCGGGAGGUUGCUCAACAUAGACCUCUUCCUUGAUUGGUCCAUUGAGGAAGGCACUUUUCACGUCCAUUUGAUAAAGCUUAAAGCCAUGGUAAGUAGCAUAGGCCAAUAAUAUGCGAAUUGACUCAAGCCUAGCUACGGGUGCAUAGGUUUCACCGAAAUCCAAACCUUCGACUUGGGAGUAUCCCUUGGCCACAAGUCGAGCUUUGUUCCUUGUCACCACACCAUGCUCAUCUUGCUUGUUGCGGAAGACCCACUUGGUUCCUACAACAUUUUGGUUAGGACGUGGAACUAAAUGCCAUACCUCAUUCCUAGUGAAGUUGUUGAGCUCCUCUUGCAUCGCCACCACCCAAUCCGAAUCUUGGAGUGCUUCCUCUACCCUGUGUGGCUCAAUAAAGGAAACAAACGAGUAAUGUUCACAAAAAUGGGCAACACGAGAUCGAGUAGUUACCCCCUUAUGAAUGUCGCCGAGGAUGGUGUCGACGGGGUGAUCUCGUUGUAUUGCUUGGUGGACUCUUGGGUGUGGCGGUCUUUGUUCCUCAUCCUCCUUGUCUUCCUCAUUUGCAUCUCCCCCUUGAUCAAUGCCAUCAUCUUGAGGUGGCUCAUUUGCUUGAUCUUCAUCAACUUGAGCUUCAUCCUCAAUUUGAGUCGGUGGAGAUGCUUGCAUUGAGGAGGAUGGUUGAUCUUGUGCAAUUGGAGGCUCUUCGGAUUCCUUAGGACACACAUCCCCAAUGGACAUGUUCCUUAGCGCGAUGCAUGGAGCCUCUUCUUCACCUAUCUCAUCAAGAUCAACUUGCUCUAUUUGAGAGCCAUUAGUCUCAUCAAACACAACGUCACAUGAGACUUCAACUAGUCCAGUGGACUUGUUAAAGACCCUAUAUGCCCUUGUGUUUGAGUCAUAACCAAGUAAAAAGCCUUCUACAGUCUUAGGAGCAAAUUUGGAUUUUCUACCUCUUUUAACAAGUAUAAAGCAUUUGCUACCAAAGACUCUAAAAUAUGAAAUGUUGGGCUUUUUACCGGUUAGGAGUUCGUAUGAUGUCUUCUUGAGGAUUCAGUGUAGAUAUAACCGGUUGAUGGCGUAGCAAGCGGUGUUGACCGCCUCAGCCCAAAACCGAUCCGAAGUCUUGUAUUCAUCAAGCAUGGUUCUUGCCAUGUCCAAUAGAGUUCUAUUCUUCCUCUCCACUACACCAUUUUGUUGAGGUGUGUAGGGAGAAGAGAACUCAUGCUUGAUGCCCUCCUCCUCAAGGAAGCCUUCGAUUUGAGAGUUCUUGAACUCCGUUCCGUUGUCGCUUCUUAUUUUCUUGAUCCUUAAGGCGAACUCAUUUUGAGCCCGUCUCAAGAAUCCCUUUAAAGUCUCUUGGGUUUGAGAUUUUUCCUGUAAAAAGAAUACCCAAGUGAAGCGAGAAUAAUCAUCCACAAUAACUAGACAGUACUUACUCCCGCCGAUGCUUAUGUAAGCGAUCGGGCCGAAUAGAUCCAUGUGUAGGAGCUCCAGUGGCCUGUCGGUCGUCAUUAUGUUCUUGUGUGGAUGAUGAGCCCCAACUUGCUUUCCUGCCUGGCAUGCGCUACAGGUCCUGUCUUUCUCAAAAUGAACAUUUGUUAAUCCUAAAAUGUGUUCUCCCUUUAGAAGCUUGUGAAGAUUCUUCAUCCCAACAUGUGCUAGUCGGCGAUGCCAGAGCCAGCCCAUGUUAGUCUUAGCAAUUAAGCAAGUGUCGAGUUCAGCUCUAUCAAAAUCUACCAAGUAUAGCUGACCCUCUAACACUCCCUUAAAUGCUAUUGAAUCAUCACUUCUUCUAAAGACAGUGACACCUAUAUCAGUGAAAAGACAGUUGUAGCCCAUUUGACAUAAUUGAGAUACGGAAAGCAAAUUGUAAUCUAAUGAAUCUACAAGAAAAACAUUGGAAAUAGAAUGGUCGGGUGAUAUAGCAAUUUUACCAAGACCUUUGACCAAACCUUGAUUUCCAUCCCCGAAUGUGAUAGCUCGUUGGGGAUCUUGGUUUUUCUCGUAGGAGGAGAACAUCCUUUUCUCCCCUGUCAUAUGGUUUGUGCACCCGCUGUCGAGUAUCCAACUUGAGCCCCCGGAUGCAUAAACCUACAAAACAAGUUUAGUUCUUGACUUUAGGUACCCAAAUGGUUUUGGGUCCUUUGGCAUUAGACACAAGAACUUUGGGUACCCAAACACAAGUCUUUGAUCCCUUGUGCUUGCCCCCAACAUAUUUGGCAACUACUUUGCCGGAUUUGUUAGUUAAAACAUAAGAUGCAUCAAAAGUUUUAAAUGAAAGACUAUGUUCAUUUGAUGCACUAGGAGUUUUCUUAGGCAACUUAGCACGGGUUGGUUGCCUAGAACUAGAUGUCUCACCCUUAUACAUAAAAGCAUGAUUUGGGCCAGAGUGAGACUUCCUAGAAUGAAUUCUCCUAAUUUUGCUCUCGGGAUAACCGGCAGGGUAUAAAAUAUAACCCUCGUUAUCCUGAGGCAUGGGAGCCUUGCCCUUAACAAAGUUGGACAAUCUCUUAGGAGGGGCACUAAUUUUGACAUUGUCUCCCCUUUGGAAGCCAAUGCCAUCCUUAAUGCCCGGGCGUCUCCCAUUAUAAAGCAUGCUACGAGCAAAUUUAAAUUUUUCAUUUUCCAGGUUGUGCUCGGCAAUUUUAGCAUCUAGUUUUGCUAUAUGAUCAUUUUGUUGUUUAAUUAAAGCCAUAUGAUCAUGAAUAGCAUUAAUAUCAAUAUCUCUACAUCUAGUACAAAUAGAUACAUGCUCAACAAUGGAUGUAGAGGGUUCGCAAGAAUUAAGUUCAACAAUCUUAGCAUGAAGAAUAUCAUUUUUAUCUCUAAGAUUGGAAAUGGUAGCAUUGCAAACAUCUAGUUCUUUAGCCUUAGCAAUUAAAUUUUCAUUUUCUACUCUAAGGCUAGCAAGAGAAAUGUUUAAUUCUUCAAUCCUAGCAAGCAGAUUAUCAUUAUUAUCUUUAGGAUUGAGAAUUGAAACAUUACAAAUAUGUGAAUCAACCUUAGCAUUUAAACUAGCAUUUUCAUUCCUAAGGUUGUCAAUCAUCUCACGGCAAGUGCUUAGCUCACUAGAUAAUUUUUCACAUUUCUCAAUUUCUAGAGCAUAAGCAUUUUUAACCUUAACAUGUUUCUUGUUUUCUUUAAUUAGACAAUCCUCUUGGGAGUCCAAAAGGUCAUCCUUUUCAUGAAUAGCACUAAUCAAUUCAUUUAAUUUUUCUUUUUGCUCCAUGUUAAGAUUGGCAAAGAGAACACGCAAAUUAUCCUCCUCAUCACUAGCAUUAUCGUCACUAGAAGAUUCAUAUUUAGUGGAGGAGUUAGAUUUAACCUUCUUCCGUUUGCCGUCCUUUGCCAUGAGACACUUGUGGCCGACGUUGGGGAAGAGAAGUCCCUUGGUGACGGCGAUGUUGGCGGCGUCCUCGUCAUCGGAGGAGUCGCUUGAGCUUUCGUCGGAAUCCCACUCCCGACAAACAUGGGCAUCGCCGCCCUUCUUCUUGUAGUAUCUCUUCUUCUCCUUUCUUCUCCCCUUCUUGUCGUCGCCUCGGUCACUGUCACUAGAUACGGGACAUUUAGCAAUAAAAUGACCGGGCUUACCACAUUUGUAGCAAACCUUCUUGGAGCGGGACUUGUAGUCUUUCCCCCUCCUUUGUUUGAGGAUUUGGCGGAAGCUCUUGAUGACGAGCGCCAUCUCCUCAUUGUCAAGCUUGGAGGCGUCGAUUGGUUGUCUACUUGGUGUAGACUCCUCCUUCUUGUCCUCCGUCGCCUUGAAUGCGACGGGUUGAGCCUCGGAUGUAGAUGGAUCAUCAAGCUCGUUGAUCUUCCUCGAGCCUUCGAUCAUGCACUCAAAACUUACAAAAUUCCCGAUAACUUCCUCGGGGGUCAUUUUAGUAUAUCUAGGAUUACCACGAAUUAAUUGAACUUGAGUGGGGUUAAGGAAAAUGAGAGAUCUUAGAAUAACCUUAACCAUUUCGUGGUCGUCCCACUUGACGCUCCCGAGGUUGCGCACUUGGUUCACCAAAGUCUUGAGCCGGUUGUACAUGUGUUGUGGCUCUUCCCCUUUGCGAAGCCGGAACCGACCGAGCUCCCCCUCGAUCGUUUCCCGCUUGGUGAUCUUGGUGAGCUCAUCUCCUUCGUGCGCGGUUUUGAGCACAUCCCAAACCUCCUUGGCGCUCUUCAACCCUUGAACUUUGUUAUACUCCUCUAUACUUAAAGAGGCGAGGAGUAUUGUUGUCGCUUGAGAGUUGAAGUGCUCGAUUUGGGCCACCUCAUCCUCAUCAUAAUCCUUGUCCCCUACGAAUGGUACCUGUGCACCAAACUCAACAACAUCCCAUAUACUUUUGUGGAGUGAGGUUAGAUGAAAUCGCAUUAAAUCACUCCACCUAGCAUAAUCUUCACCAUCGAAAGUUGGUGGUUUGCCUAAUGGGACGGAAAGUAAAGGUGCAUUUUUAGAAAUGCGAGGGUAAUGUAGGGGGAUCUUACUAAACUUCUUACGCUCUUGGCGUUUAGAAGUUACGGAGGGCGCACCGGAGUCGGAGGUCGAUGUUGAUGAAGUGUCGGUCUCGUAGUAGACCACUUUCCUCAUCCUUUUGUGCUUGUCCCCUCUCCGAUGUGGUUUGUGGGAGGAAGAUCUCUCCUUCUUCUCUUUGUGGUGCGAAGAAGAUUUCUUCUCCUUUCCUUUGUUGGAGGAGCUCUUCUUCUUCUCCUUCCUCUUGGUGCGGGACUCUUCCGAUGAAGUGCUCCCGUGGCUUGUAGUGGGCUUUUCGCCGGUCUCCAUCUCCUUCUUGGCGUGAUCUCCCGACAUCACUUUGAGCGGUUAGGCUCUAAUGAAGCACCGGGCUUUGAUACCAAUUGAAAGUCGCCUAGAGGGGGGGUGAAUAGGGCGAAACUGAAAUUUACAAAUAUAAACACAACUACAAGCCGGGUUAGCGUUAGUAAUAAAGAAACGAGUCCGCGAGAGAGGGUGAAAAACAAAUCCCAAGCAAAUAAGCAAGUGAGACACGGAGAUUUGUUUUACCGAGGUUCGGUUCUCUCAAACCUACUCCCCGUUGAGGAGGCCACAAAGGCCGGGUCUCUUUCAACCCUUCCCUCUCUCAAACGAUCCACGGAUCGAGUGAGCUUUCUCUUCUCAAUCACUUGGAACACAAAGUUCCCACAAGGACCACCACAAGUUUGGUGUCUCUUGCCUCAAUUACAAGUGAGUUUGAUCGCAAUGAAAGAAUCAAGAAGGAAGAAAGCAAUCCAAGCGCAAGAGCUCGAAAGAACACAAGCAAAUCUCUCUCUCUAAUCACUAUGGCGUUGUGUGGAAUUUGGAGAGGAUUUGAUCUCUUUGGUGUGUCUAGAAUUGAAUGCUAGAGCUCUUGUAGUAGUUGGGAAGUGGAAAACUUGGAUGCAAUGAAUGGUGGGGUGGUUGGGGUAUUUAUAGCCCCAACCACCAAAUGUGGCCGUUGGGAGCCUGUUUGCUCGAUGGCGCACCGGACAGUCCGGUGCACACCGGACAGUCCGGUGCCCCCUGCCACGUCAUCACUGCCGUUGGAUUCUGACCGUUGGAGCUUCUGACUUGUGGGCCCGCCUGGGUGUCCGGUGCACACCGGACAGGUACUGUUUGCUGUCCGGUGUGCCAGUAUGGGCGCGCCUGACUUCUGCGCGCGCUGCGCGCGCAUUUAAUGCGCCGCAGGUAGCCGUUGGAGCCGACUAGCCGUUGCUCUGGAGACGCACCGGACAGUCCGGUGCACACCGGACAGUCCGGUGAAUUAUAGCGGACUAGCCGUUGGAGUUUCCCGAAGCUGGCGAGUUCCUGAGGCCGCUCCUCCUUGGCGCACCGGACACUGUCCGGUGUACACCGGACAGUCCGGUGAAUUAUAGCGCGAGUGCCUCUGGAAAUUCCCGAAGGUGGCGAGUUUGAGCUGGAGUCAUCUGGUGCACCGGACACUGUCCGGUGUACACCGGACAGUCCGGUGCUCCCAGACUAGAGAGCCUUCGGUUGCCACUUUGCUCCUUUGUUGAAUCCAAAAACUUGGUCUUUUUAUUGGCUGAGUGUGAACCUUUUACACCUGUAUAAUCUAUACACUUGGGCAAACUAGUUAGUCCAAUUGUUUGUGUUGGGCAAUUCAACCACCAAAAUUAAUUAGGGACUAGGUGUAAGCCUAAUUCCCUUUCAAGUAGGACAUAGAUGGGUCAAGGGACACUUGCCUUCACCAACCAGCUGCUGCUCAGGGUCUUCACCUGCAACUCCUUCGGACUCCACCAACUGACCGUUAUCUAUACGAGUUUCAAACAUACAUUCCACAAAUUUAAUAUAAAGGAACAGUACACCAAACAAUAGAAUGCAAUAAAUAACUAGACGUUCGAUGCAGGGCUCACACCUACGACUAAGUGAGAAAGGGAGAGUAACGGUCGAGGCUACGGCCGACGAGCGAUCACGUCACGCGAUUAUAAAUUAAAAUACUCGUCUAAACAGAAUGAUAUUAAUUUAGCCAUCGCGUUAAGCAUAGGGUAAAGUCAUAUUCCAUGUUUAAUUAUUAUGAACAGAUAAAGGUAAAUUGAAAGGAUUAUCGCGCGGCGAAACGCGCGACACAACACUUAAAUUGAAUUAAGAAAUAAACGACUCGUCGCGCGACGGAGCGCGCAACGAUACACUUGCAUUAAUUAUAAAGAGACGCUAAACGUCGCGCGACGAAACACACAACGACAUACGCCAUCUAAAUUGAAUUUAAAACGAAACGUCGCACGACUGGACGCGCGACGCCACACAUUAAAUAAUCUGAAAUUAAGACGAAUCGUCGCGCGACGAAGCGCGCAACACAACUCAUUAAUAAAGAUGAAUUUAAAAUGAAUCGUCGCGCGACGAAGCGUGCGACGCAGCACAUUCAUUAAACUAAAUCUAAAACUAAUUAAACUGAAAAUCGAUCGCAGCACGCACUGGGGCUGCGCGCGCGGGAACACGUUGCGCGUGCCGGGGCGCGCGAGGCCGCGCCGGGGACAUGCGAGACCACGCGAGUCACGUUGGGGGCGCGCAGCCACGCCGGGGGGGCGCGCGGGGGCGCGCCAGGAGGGUCGUGGGGGGGCAUGGGGCCGCGCGGGACACGCACAGGGGCCACGCGUGGGGGGAAGAAUAAGGGGAGGGGGAGGAGAAGAGGGAGAGGGAGAGGGGAGCUCACCUCGGGAAACAAAUCCGGCGAUCUCCAUCUCCAAAACCUAGGGCACCACGGGGGAGAGAGAGGUGGGAGAGAGAGGGAGUUGUGCGCGGGAGAAUUGAAUGAGGGGAAAGAGACCAGGGGAGGGGGGGCGUGGCAUGGGGAGGGCCAGGGCGCCAGGGGCGCAUGGGCCAAGGCCAGACCGAGCUGGGCCGGGUCGGGUCGGACUGGGUUGGGCUAGGCUGGGCCGCACCGCGGGUCAAAAUUCUGUGGCACGCACAACCAUAGAUCGGAAUCCAAUUCGUGAAACAAAAUCCGAAACGAGACUAAGCAACACACUCGAUUAAACACGACAUCAGACAAAGAAAUAUGCCUCGGCAUGAUGCAACACUCAUGUCAAUUUAGGUUUUUUUUGUUUACACAUGACACAGACACCAGUCGCUAUAUUGCUUUGAAAUAUGCAAGAAGGAGCGAAACGGGAAAACAAAAGAGAGUAACGCCUGAAUUUGGUGAGUAAAAAGAAGAAAAAAUUCUACCCCCAAAUUCAGGGGGUUACAAAUCUAUCCCCCUUAAAAGAAUCUCGCCCUCGAGAUUCAAAGUUGGCCAACAAAGAGUUCAGGAUACUUGGCCAUCAGAUCAUCUUCACGCUCCCAGGUUGCUUCUUCCUCAGAGUGGUGACUCCAUCUGACUUUGCACAUUCUGAUAGUUUUCCUCCGGGUGACUCUGUCUGAAGUCUCAAGAAUCUGCGCUGGCUUCUCUAUAUAGGUCAGGUCCUCCUGGACCUCCAAUCCUUCCACUGGCAACUGCUCUUCUGGCACACGCAGACACUUCUUCAACUGAGGCACGUGAAAGACAUCAUGCACUGCGGACAAGCCUUCUGGCAGACUGAGAUGAUAGGCCACUUCUCCACGCUUUGCGAGAAUCUGAUACAGACCAACAUAGCGGGGCGCUAGCUUGCCUUUGACUCCGAAUCUUCUGACUCCUCUGAUAGGCGAUACUUUCAAGUAGACAAAAUCUCUAACUUCAAAACUUAGCUCUCUCCUUCUUGUGUCUGCAUAGCUUCGCUGCCUUGAUUGCGCUAUCUUCAGGUUCUCUCGAACCAUCUUGAUGUUCUCUUCAGCUUCGAGCAAAAUGUCUAGCCCGGACACUUGCUUUUCUCCAGGCUGAUCCCAUUGCAAUGGAGUCCUACAACUCCUCCCAUAGAGCGCCUGAAAUGGUGACAUCUUCAAGCUGGCCUGGUAGCUGUUGUUAUAGGAGAACUCUGCAUAAGGUAACCUCUUGUCCCACCUGAACUAAUCUUGCAACGCACAAGCUCUCAACAUAUCUUCGAGGAUUUGAUUAGUUCUUUUAGUCUGGCCAUCUGUGUACGGAUGGUAAGCUGAACUGAAAUUCAGAUGUGUACCCAAGGCUUCAUACAACUGCUGCUAGAAAUGAGAGGUGAACUGUGUUCCUCUGUCUGACACUAUCCCCUUUGGCACACCAUGAAGACAAACGAUCCGGGACAUGUACAACUCUGCCAACACUGCACUGCUGUAGUUGGUCUUGACGGGUAUGAAGUGGGAUGACUUGGUUAAGCGGUCCACCACUACCCAAAUGGAAUCGUAGCCGGCUCGAGUGCGAGGCAAUCCGACUAUGAAUUCCAUUCCGAUUUCAUCCCAUUUCCAUUGAGGAAUUCGCAACGGUUGCAACAAUCUAGCUGGCCUCUGAUGCUCUGCCUUGAUCCUUUGACAACUAUCACAUAUAGCCACAUGCUCUGCGAUCUCCCUUCUCAUUCCGUACCACCAGAAUUUCUUCUUCAGAUCCUGAUACAUCUUUUCACUUCCAGGGUGUAUAGAAUAAGCUGACUCAUGAGCUUCCUUAAGGAUCAACUCCCGAAUGGACUGGACACUGGGAACACAAAAGCGAUCCUUGAACCAUAUCACACCUUCAGCAUCUUCCUGAAAGUCUUUGCCUCUUCCUUCCAAAAUCAGCUGCCGGAUUUCACUGAUCUUCUCAUCAUCCUUUUGUGCUUGUUUGAUUUCCCGCUCUAGGGUAGGCUCUCAACUGUCAUUCCUCGCAUAUUGUUCAAAAAUUCGAGGCUCAACCUGUCAAACUCUUUGGCCAACUCAUAAGGCAUCGGAUGAGCGACCAUCAGGUUGACUUGACUUUUCCUGCUCAAUGCAUCUUCCACUACGUUUGCUUUGCCUGGAUGGUAAUGAAUCUCCAAUUCAUAGUCUUUGAUCAACUCUAACCAUCUUCGUUGCCUCAUAUUCAGCUUCGACUGAGUGAAUAUGUACUUCAAACUCUUGUGGUCUGUGUAAACAUCGCAUUUCUGCCCAUACAGAUAGUGUCUCCAUGUCUUCAGUGCAUGAACCACUGCUACCAACUCUAGGUCAUGGAUUGGAUAAUUCUUCUCAUGAUCCUUCAGCUGUCGGGAUGAGUAAGCCACAACUCUUCCCUCUUGCAUCAACACACAUCCCAAAACCAGUGUAACAAGCAUCGCAAUACACCGAGAAGGGCUUGUGCACAUCAGGUAAGACUAAGACAGGCGCUGUAGUCAACUUCUCUUUCAGCGCUUCGAAGGCUUCUUGGCAUUUCUAGGUCCACUUGAACUCAACCUUGUUGCCUAGCAAAGCUGUCAUCGGUUUCGUGAUCUUCGAAACCCUUCAAUGAAUUGCCGAUAAUAUCCGGCCAUUCCAAUAAAGCUCUUGAUUCCUCGAGCAUCUGUUGGCGCUUUCCAAUUCAAAAUGUUUGCCACUUUCUUCGGAUCCACAGCCAAUCCAUCUUUGUUAAUUAUGUGACCUAAGAACAGGACUUCAUUGAUCCAGAACUCGCACUUACUCAACUUUGCAUACAACUGGUGCUCUCGCAAUCUCUGCAAUACCAUCCUCAAAUGAUUCACAUGCUCUUCUUCACUUUGAGAAUAUAUAAGAAUAUCAUCAAUAAAUACCACCACAAACUUGUCAAGAUAAUCCAUGAAUACACUGUUCAUCAGAUUCAUGAAGAAGGCUAGUGCAUUCGUUAGUCCAAAAGACAUAACAGUGAAUUCAUACAACCCAUACUUGGUAAUGAAUGCCGUCUUCAGAAUGUCUGAGGGUCGGAUCCUGGGCUGAUGAUAACCUGACCUCAGAUCUAUCUUUGAGAACAUGGUGGCUCCUCUCAACUGGUCGAACAGAUCUUCUAUUCUGGGCAAGGGGUACUUGUUCUUAAUCGUGACCUCAUUCAGAGCUCGAUAAUCGAUGCACAUCCUUCUGGUGGCAUCUUUCUUCUCCACGAACAGGACAGGGGCGACCCAAGACGAGGUGCUUGGCUGGAUGUAACCUUUCUCUGACAGCUCAUCGAUCUGCUUCUUGAGUUCAACUAACUCUGGUCCAGACACUCUGUAGGCUCUUUUAGAAAUGGGGGCGGUGCUAGGAAGAAGCUCUAUGGCAAACUCAACUUUUCGCUCUGGUGGCAUGCCUGGUAAGUCUUUCGGAAACACAUCUGGAAAUUAUGACACAACCUUGAUAAUCUCGAGUGAAUCUGGCUCUUUGCUAUCAAUAGCCAUCUGAUGACAACUUCCUUUCCUUGGCUCAGGUGAGAUUAACUUGGCUACCACUUCUUCUCCUAGUGGGGACACCAACUUAAUUAUCCUCUUAUCACAACUGAUAAUUGCUUGAUACUUAUCUAGCCAAUUCAUCCCUAGGAUGACAUCUAUUCCCUGAGUACCCAUUACUAUGAGAAUAGCGGGAAAAGCUAUCCCCCUUAUUUCCACACUUACAUUCAAGCAAAUUGUGGCGGAACUGCCCGAAUUAUUCCAACUUAAGUGCCCAAGUCCCGCCUUAGAGGCUAGACCACACUUAAAUGGGAAUAACUCGUCAAUCCCUCGGAUCUAGUCCGACACGGCCACUGACAGGAUCAAGUACCACAAUCUCACUCGAAGGUGAGUCACAGAGCAAAUACAAUAAAGCAUAAAACCAUACAUGUCACAAUGUUAAAUUAUUACAUCACCAUCAUCAUCAUCGGAGUUUUGCAAAAGUAACCAUCAUUGUUUGAAGUGCAGCGGAAUAAAACUAACGGUAAAUAAAACAGAGAGAUGGAGAAGCCUGUCCCAUCACUCCUCAUGCUCCUCCUCAGCCGAGGCAGGGUCCCACUCGACAGUCCAACCCGGUGGCAGGGUGGUCGGCCAAGUUAUCCCAGCAACCAUCUCCUCCAGAGAACCUGUAAAAAAUUAUGCCACAAGCAAGGCUGAGUAUACUAAUACUCAGCUAGACUUACCCGGUGUGAGGAGUCUACUCCUCUACCUCUAGACAUGCAGCUGUUUGGCUGUGGGGUUUGGUUGCCAAAAGCACUAGCUGAGUUUCUAAAUCGAGAUUUUAACUUAAUCAAAGUUAAGUGUGACUCUCUUAAGGCUAAAAGUGAACUAUCUACUCAUACAUGGUAGCAAGCAUUAUUAACAAUCAACAUCUUUUCUCAACUCAUCAUACUUCCACUUAUUACUCAAUGCAGUACAAUGGAUCAAGCAGUCUCAUUAGCUGCGAGAAGCAGACGAUUCGAAUCGAGUUUUUAUCCUUGCAAGGUAAACCUAAACACACGACAUGUAGGGGCACUCCGUCCCCACACACAUCAACCGUCCCCAUCGAUUCCCCGUCAGCAGAACAGGGCUCACCGCCUUGGCGUACAAUGCCUCACUGACCCCGACUGGCCAUCGUGCAGUGACCGCACUUGUACCCACCAUAACCGGAAUGGGAGACCUCGUCUCAGGACGCGUGAGGGGAUAUGUCCACUGCCGGGUUCACUCAGGUACUAGGCUUACCGAUUUACCAUAUUUCUCGGCAUGUGCUCAGUACGUUCAAACGCUUGACACAGGUAUCCGCACGUUAAUCCUUAUUCCAUUUUCCAUCUCGUAAACAACCAAUCCCCAUGGAUUGUUGUCCACCAACUAGUAUCAUGACAGUGUGAAAGUGGGUACAAUCAAUUUCCUGAUCUCGCGCGAGUGCUAGAAAAAUCACUCGUCUUCUACCGAGAUCCUAUUUAAUUAAAGCAACUACUCGACCUGUCAUACUAGUAUUCAUUUCAAAAGGAUUCCUGAGAUCAUGCAACUAGGGUUUCAAACAAUUCCUACACCUAAGUGCACAAUCAAUCCUACAAUCAUUAAGUGAAGUAAAAUAGCAUAAAUAACAGGUUAUGCAUAAAACCGGGGCUUGCCUUCCAAAGCAGUGGCAGGCAGGUCCUCUGGUGCUGGCUCUGGUGCUGGAUCUGGGGCUACCUCCUGAGCAGCUCCUUGCUCCGGCACGAGGACGUACUCUCCGUCAGCAAGAUUACAGUCUAUCGAAAUGCAAUGAACAUGUAUGUCAUGAUUAUGCAUGAUUUAAUAACAUUAUGCAAAAGAAACGAAGUCGAGAAGUAACUUAGGGUUUUCUUAGUUAUGCGGGGCUUCUAGUGGUACAUAGAUAGACUUAUUAUUCUUUGGACUUAGGUUUUCCUUUAGGACAACAUAUUGGUUUGGUAUUGCUUUGAUAUAUUUUUGUGGACAGCAAAUAAAGUUUUUUAGGGACAACCUUUAUUCAUAUCUUUUAUUUCUCUUCCCUUAAUUUCCAUUUAGGUUUUCUAGGGUAGGUUUGAACUACAACAGGGUUUUAAUAAUUUCCAAAAAUUCUGUAAAAAUUACAGUGGGUUGUCACUGGCUAUUUUAGCUUGUUUUAAGAAUUAGAGGCUUAAGGUAUAAAAGUUAGGCCUUAAACAAAAAUAACAAAAGUUAGGCAAAAAGGGGCACUUUACACUACACCUCCUAGUUAGGGGUAGGCUCUGUCCUAAAGGUUAUUUUUGUUGGCAUCCUCUGGUAAUGAUAGGUCUUUGUGCUAAAAAUCACAGGAAACUAAGGGGUGGUUAAUUAGCUAUGAUUUUCCCAAGUUUAAUGUCAAAAAGGCACUUUCUACUACCUUAUUAUUUGAAAAAUGUCAAACAGCAGAUUUCCUAUUUUUCUUAGGUUCUUUCUAAUAAAACAAUAGUUAUCCCAAGGGUGGGGGUGUUUUCACCUUGGGGUUAUUUUUGUGGAGUUUUUCUAAGUUAUCCUUGUUUUAAUAAAAUAAAAGAUAUCCUACUUAAUUUGUACUAAACCAGGGUAUAAUAUAUUUUUCCAGUGAACUACAUUGAAUAAGUACCUCAACAAAAAUAGGGGUGCCCUCUGGUUCAAUAUUUGUGUCACUUUUCCUAUUUUUCUUAAACUUAAGCAUAUUUGGAAUAAGGGGUUUAAAACUAACUUAAUGUAAUGGACAGAGGGGUUUAACAUUUUUAAACAGGUUAGUAGGUGAAUAUAAACUUCUCCAAAUUUUCCUAACCUUAGUCAAAUAGCCUAACUAUUUUUCUUACUAUUAUUUAGCUUUUGGCCAAAGUUAACAUUAAAUCAGAACUUUUAAGUUUUCCACAGCAUCAAGGGGUUUUAUAUUUUUCCUAAAUAGGUUACAUGAUUUAGAGUCUGGCAAAAUUGGUUUGACCAAAAUUGGAUAAACCAAACAGAAGUUAUGGGUUUUUAAAGUUUCUGUUUGAAUUUAAAUUAGGUUUUAAUUAAGUUUUCCUGGAAAAACAGUUUGCGCCGAGGCCCCUGGGUUUAAAACAAUUCAAACCUCGCAGAUCUACCCUUAAGGCACUAUUCACUUGAGUCUCUGACCUUUCACUUAACCCCCUGGGUUUCUCUCCCUCUCACCCGCAGUCCCUCCCUCAACUGAAACAGUAGCCGCGGGAAAGAAAAGGGUGGCGCGGCUUACCGGCGGCGAGGGAGGUCCGGCGAAGGGUAGGGUUGGCUCGGGGAGGGUCUGGCGAUCACGUCGAGGUACGGCGCGUCGUUGGGGAUGGCUGGAAUCGCCCGGUCCACGUGAGCAGGCGGGCGAGCUCGUCGGCGGCGUGUGCUCCGGCCUAUCCACGGCGGCAUAGUUCAAUCCAAGGGCAUAGGGAGCUUCGUGGAGGUCUAAGGAGUCUAACCGUGCAAGGAAUCGAAGAGAGGCGCACGGUGUACCUCGGUCCACGGUUGCCGGCGGUCGGUUGAAGUCCGGUGACCUUGGGCCGGCCUCUCCGGUGAAGCAGAGCCCGAUUCCUCGCUCGGGGAGCUUCACGGAGACGUGCACAGUCUUCUCCGAGGGCUGGACGGGGUUGGGAAUGGCUGGGCUGGCCGGUCUACGGUGGCAGGGGCUCGGGUGGCCGCGGGCACGUCGCGUAUGGGCAAACGGCGGCGAACUGAGCUCCGGUGAGGCUUGAGCGCGUGCGGAGGGGUACGGCCAAGGCUCCUGGGCGUUUUAUAGUCGCGGACGCGGACCAGGGCACUGGCUUGGCUUGGGCGCGGCGCGGGCGCGCGCGCGGGCGUGCUCUGGCGCGGCAGACGGCGUCGAACACGUGGCGGUUUGUUUCUUCCAGUGUUCAAAUGUAGCCAGAGGUCGCAAACGUGCGAAUCUUUGCAAAAGUCCGGCGCAGACCUCUUCCUGGCACCUAGGGCUGUCACUCAACUGUGAGACGCCGGGGCAGAUACGGCCUAGGGAGGGAGAUCUUCGGGUGCCAAAUCAGGUGUGUCAUACUGAGCAUAUCACGACAAAAGCCAUGCCAUGGCAUGUCAAACGUCCGAGUCUCGAGCUCAACUUUUUCCAGUGGGUGCCCUAAGUGGUAUUGCACAUUUUUGGUAUAGAACCCAAGUGGUUUUGGCGCCAUUUUUAAAGUGAACACGGUUGAUCUUUGAUUUAGGGCUAAAGUGGGACUUAGAGGGAAUUAGAGAGCUCUAGCUCUCUUUCCACUUGGAGAUUUGAAAUGGGGUUUCCUUAGGGGCCUUUUUGUAAUAUUUCCCUCCCCUAAUUGAUGGUUAUAAUGUUGCUUAGGGUUUGGGUAAAGAUUACCCAUGUUUUGCACAUUUGCUCACUCUCUUUCCCCUCUUAUCCAUGGUUUUGGGAGUUAGGGUUUAAGAGAGACCUAGGGUUCCUUCCCCCUCUCCCAAGGUGAUAGUUGCACACAAUUAGGGUAAUGCCUUUGGUCAUUCCCAACUCUUGGUAAAAACUUAGUUUCCAAAGCCCCUUAUACUUUUGCUCCUUAAGUUCUUCCACAUGUGAUCAUAGUCUUGAGUGCCAAGGUGUGCUCCAGCCAUGGCAACACCUGGGGUGUUACAGCCCUCCCCCCUUAAAGGAAUCUCGUCCCGAGAUUUUAGGUAGAGUCCCUUGGAGGGUGCUGGAAGGUGCGUUGGUGCUACUCUUUCUUUAUACUCAAGUUUCUCUUGUUAACUGCUCUUCGAAUGUCAUUCUCUUUGCAACUUCAGAAGGAAGCCCUUCUUAAGUUAAAUCCACAACUUAGACUAUCCUUAUUAUCUAAGUUUUUCUUAUAAUUGAAUUCAAAGGGCAGGUGGGGGUGGGGUUCUGGGGUUACAUACCGACUCCUUUGGGUAGAAAGUCGGGGAAGCGAGAGCGUAGAAAAUCCUCAGUCUCCCAUGUAGCUUCUUCUGCUGAAUGGUGACUCCACUGAACCUUAUACAUUCUGACCGACCUCGCCCGAGUUGAUCUCUCCUUUUGAUCUAACACCUUGACGGGGUACUCUUGGUAGGAUAAAUCUGGUUCUAUCUCAAUGUCUGGUUCUGGCAGUACUUCAGUGGGUAGACGAACACAUUUGCGCAACUGAGACACAUGGAACACAUUAUGUACUGCUGACAUGUGAGGUGGCAAUUCCAAUUGGUAAGCUACGGGUCCACAACUUGCCUUGAUCUCAUAGGGUCCAAUGUAGCGAGGAGCUAACUUGCCCUUGAUCCCGAAUCUCUGGACACCCUUGGUGGGUGAUACCUUCAGGUAGACAUGAUCUCCCACCUCAAACUGUAGAGGCUUCCGCCUCUUAUCAUGAUAGCUCCUUUGCCUAGCCUGAGCAGCUUCCAAGUUCUUGGUAAUGACCUUGACUUUUGCCUCUGCCUCGAGUACUAAGUCUGGCCCAUAAAUUUCCCUUUCUCCCGCUUGAGACCAGUUUAGUGGGGUCCUGCACCUUCUCCCAUACAAAGCCUCAAAAGGUGCCAUCUUCAGACUGGACUGGUAGCUGUUAUUGUACGAAAACUCUGCCAAAGACAGACACUUGUCCCAAUCCUUCCCGUAAUGUAGUGCACAUGCUCGCAACAUAUCUUCCAAAAUCUGAUUCACCCUUUCGGUCUGGCCAUCUGUUUGUGGGUGGUAUGCUGAGCUUCGGAUGACAUGGGUCCCAAGCGAUUCUUGCAGUUUUUCCCAAAAGCGUGCCACAAACAGUGCUCCUCUGUCAGAUAUAAUGGUUUUGGGAAUACCAUGCAAUCUCACUAUCUGAUCAACAUAAAUUUCAGCAUACUUCUCGGUCUUGUGGGUGGUGUGUACUGGCAAGAAAUGAGCCGUCUUGGUCAAUCUGUCCACGAUAACCCAAAUAGAAUCAUGGUGCCUGGAGGUAUUGGGUAAUCCCACUAUAAAGUCCAUGCAAAUGUCCUCCCAUUUCCAAGAUGGUAUGGGAAGGGGUUGCAGAGGGCCUGCUGCCUUCAAGUGACUAGCCUUUAUCCUCUGACAAGUAUCACACUCGGAUAUGUACUUGGCAAUUUCCACUAUACCAUGACACAAUUUUAGCGUCAAACAACUGACGGUAAAAAUAGAUGUUUUGCGACAGACAGUCUGUCACAAAAUAUUACCAUCACGCUAUCUGUCGGUAGUUAUUGUAUUGGAGUCAACAAAUCUGUCGGCAAUAAUGUCGAGCUAUUGUGGCAGUCCAUCUGUCGGUAAAACGGAUUAUGCGUGGCGCAAAGUCUGUCGGGAAAAAGUAGCAUCAGAUCGUUUGUCGGUAAAUGGAUGUCAUGAUCCUAUAGCGAAAAAAUAAUUAACAAGCGAGCGUGAGUAGGAAUUGAACUCGUGACCCUUUGCAAAAAGAGAAGACACAUAUCUAAUAACUAGUGAGGAUUAUUCACUCUAUUCUCAAUAUUAUUCAUUAUAAAACUGUACACGUUAAUUAUUGAAGGGCUACAACUCACUUGCAAUGUAACGACGUGAGCUGGCUGGCUGUGGAUUGAAAAAAUGUGAACUCAUUUAAUUUUUCGCUGGAUUGAAAAAAUGUGCAAUUCGAUCAAAUGAAAAUGCUAUAACAACAGUGAUAGACCAUCCUGAAUUUUAAUUACACCCGGAGAGAUUUGCAUGAACUUGUUUAAUUUGUCCGCAGAUCCUGUAACACCUCAAAUCUCGGUUUUGGGAUUUAGUAGAGUUUUCCAAAGGUUUUGAAGUAAGAUAUAUUUUACUCUUACCCUUGAAAUUACUCUUCCUAAAAAUAAGGAAAAGAUAAACGUGGAAUCUUGAAUUGAACUACACAUUUAAAAAGAAGUAUUGUCUUGCAAUAAAUAAAGGCACUAUUAAUUUGAUAAACUUUAGGUUUGCAUUUUGACCAUGAAAUAUAAAUUUGAAACUUCGAAAAAAAAGAACAAAAAAAGAGAAGUUUCAAACUUGGUUAAUAAUGAUUUUUAGGAGCAUGCAAGUAUAUAUUCAAAUCAAUAGAACAAUAAAAAUAAUUAAUAAAAUAAUAUUUUGCAUAUAUACUGGAUUUUUGCCUGUGCAUUUAAAUAGAUUUGAAGUUUGUGAAAUUGAAUUUGAAUCUGAUUUAAAAUAGGAAUAAUCCUCCGUGCGCUCAUUCUUAGCCCAUUUAGACCAAACGUUCCCUUGUUGAUUUUUUAUUCACUAGCCGCUGAAUAUGUCGUGAUGACACCACUGUGCCAUCAACAUGCAAAUGAACCGUGAGGAAAGCAAACUCAAUCAGAGACGUUAGCGAGUCCUUCGACCGGGUAUCUCGCGCCGCCCUGAGUCCACCCUAGGCUUUAUCUCCUAGUUAUUUAUUUGAUCUCGAUCAUCUCCUCAUCCAUCGGAUAUCAAAACCAUGCCAACUCAAAACGGCUGCACCGCGUGGUCAAGUAGUUACCAAAGCCAUCGACAGGAGUGGUGCUCGACGCCGCUGCCAUCAUUCAACACAUGUGCGAUUGAUCGGGCGUUAGGAAUUGCGCAUGGGUGAUCACCAGGUGGCCAUCGUGACGUUCUUCAUCUCGGCGAAAGGUUACUGCGGGUCGCCGAUGCUCGCUGCGAUCACCAGAGUCUAGUCUCGCUGGUGGUCUAAGGCGGUCGCAGGGAAAAGGUCACUGGAGCUUGCGUCUCGCCGCGGAUCCACACUACAUCGCCGGCCAACUCCUCCUUCAUCUACGGUAAGACCCCGUUUUCCAUGGGUCUAAGUACUAUGGGUCUAUUGUAAUUGGCUAUACUCAUUCCCUUGUGAAUGUUGAGGCCAAGAUAUUAUAGUCACUAUGGGUCUGUUGUAAUUGGCUAUACUGCAUUAGUAAUAUAAUUCUCAUUUCAGCCACCCAACUCGGAACCGAACAAGCUCUAUAUAAUACUUUUAUUAAACUUUCAAUUUGUAUUUUCUGUUGGGAGUUUAUAGACCUUUUGAUAAAGUAAUUGACAAAUUAUUGAAAUAUGUUGUAGGGAAGAGGUGCUGGAAGCAAGGAUCGGAGUGCUUGAAGUGUGUGAAAAAAAUGAUAACUCGCAUGCAUGCUAGCCGUUGGCGUAACACCCAGCUAUGUUGUAGGGAAGAGGUGAUGGAGAGAUUUUAGUUUGCUAGAUGAAUCUUUAGACUUUGCAUGUAAUAGAACUGAAAGAUCACAUCAGAAUUUAGGAAACAUGUAUGCUAUUAUUUUUAUACGUUCAUCACACAAACCAUGUUCCAACAAACCAAUAUAUGUUGGAAUUCAAAGUCAAAGAUUGAUUUCUUUCUUUUAGUAAUUAAAUUUCAUAUAUUCUGAGCUACAUAUUAUUCAAGUUGUCCUGCAAUGUUCAUCAUAAUCGGUUUAUUAUUUGUUGUAUCAGCAUAUAUUUGUAUGCAUGAUUCUUUUUUUUAAACUGCACAUAGGGAAUAACAUUAGACAAUCUGUCGGUAUAUAGACUUUUAGCGACACACAAGGCGUUGACACAAGAAUAUGUCGGCAAAAAUUUGUCCGACGGCAAAGCUAUGUCUGUCGGCAAUAACAUAAACAUUGCCGACAGAUAGUCUGUCGGUAGAUCUAUGUCUGCCGGUAAAGGUUAUUGCCGAUAGGACCUUCGCCGACACACAUUGUCUGCCGGCAAAGCUCUUUACCGACGGACUGUGCGACGCUGUUCAGGUGUUUUACCAUCAGACAAUCCAUUGGCAAUAUUGUGUCAUGGUGUAGUGUUCCCUUUUCAUUCUAGUCCACCAAUAUAGAGAUCUGAGAUCAUGAUACAUCUUGUUGCUACCAGGGUGCAUGGAGAAUUUGGAAAGGUGAGCUUCGUCCAGUAUCUUCUUUCUAAGCUCAGGGUCCUUGGGAACAACCAAUCGAUCUCCAAACCAUAGGAUUCCCUUGUUGUCCUGCCGGAAACACUUGUAUUUCUCUGCCUUUUGCUUGAUCAUAUCCUUGAUAACCUGAACACCCUUAUCCUCAACCUGAGCCCUUAUGAUCUGCUCCUGCAACGUGGGUUCUACCGAGAUAUAGCUUAGGUCACCUGAAGAAACAACUUCCAGGUUUAAUCUGCACAACUCAUCACACAGGGUGGUAACUCCCACAUCCAUGCUCAUGCAAUAGCACUGGGCCUUUCUGCUUAAGGCAUCUGCCACAACAUUGGCCUUACCAGGGUGGUAAUGCACCUCCAGAUCAUAGUCCUUGAUCAACUCUAACCAUCUCCUUUGCCUCAUGUUCAGAUCUGCCUGAGUGAAGAUGUAUUUGAGGCUCUUGUGAUCAGUGUAGAUGUUACAGUGAGCUCCCAUCAGGUAGUGUCUCCAUAUCUUUAGAGCAUGAACUACAGCUGCCAAUUCUAGAUCAUGUGUAGGGUAGUUCUGCUCAUGGGGCCUGAGUGCCUGGGAAGCAUAAGCAAUCACUCUGUUCUCUUGCAUCAGGACACAUCCCAAACCAGUACCAGAAGCAUCACAAUAAACUUCAAAUGGCUUGGUGUUGUCAGGUUGAGCUAACACCGGGGCUGUUGUCAAAUGCUGUCUCAAGGUAUGAAAGGCAUCUUCACACUUUUGGCUCCACUCAAAUUUGACUCCCUUCUUCAACAGUUCAGUCAUUGGCUUGGCAAUUCUGGAGAAAUCCGGAAUAAAUCGUCGAUAAUAUCCUGCCAAUCCCAGAAAACUCCGAAUUUGCUUUACUGUGGUCGGGGGUUUCCAAUCCAUCACUUCUUGCACCUUCUCAGGAUCAACUGAUACCCCAUCCUGAGAAAUGGUAUGACCCAAGAAUUUGAUCUCCUUCAGCCAGAACUCACACUUGGACAACUUAGCAUAAAGAUGAUGAUCGCGCAAUCGUUGAAGCACAAUGUGCAGGUGCUCAGCAUGUUCGUCUUCAUUCUUGGAAUAGACCAGAAUAUCAUCAAUGAAGACGACCACGAACUUAUCCAAUUCUGGCAUAAACACUGAGUUCAUCAAGUACAUGAAAUAAGCCGGGGCAUUGGUCAGCCCAAAAGACAUCACCAGAAACUCAUACAGUCCAUAUCUGGUAGAGAAAGCCGUCUUGGGAAUAUCGCUGGCACGGAUCUUGAUCUGAUGGUAUCCCGAGCGAAGGUCUAUCUUGGAGAAUACCUUGGCUCCAACCAACUGAUCAAACAGAACAUCAAUGCGAGGCAACGGGUAUUUGUUCUUUAUGGUCACCGCAUUGAGAGGGCGGUAGUCAACACACAUCCUCAAACUCUCAUCCUUUUUCUUCACAAAUAAUGCUGGACAUCCCCAUGGUGAAGUGCUGGGACGAAUAAACCCCUUGUCCAACAACUCUUGCAAUUGCUUCUUCAGUUCUGCCAAUUCCGCGGGAGGCAUCCUAUAAGGUCUCUUGGAGAUAGGAGCAGUCCCGGGUUGCAACUCAAUUGCGAACUCAAUAUCUCAGUCAGGUGGCAUCCCUGGCAAUUCCUCCGGAAAAACAUCCGGGUAGUCAUGGACCACUGGGAUCUUUUCCACUGGGGAUUCUAUCAUAACAAAGGCACAAGAUCGGGUACAACCCUGGUCAGGCAAAUACAGUGUGGUCUCACCACAAGUUGGUGAGUGCACCUCAAUGGCUCUAGCCGCAAUAUCCAUCACAGCCUGAUUUCUGGUUAACCAGUCAGUUCCCAAUAUAAUAUCCACACUCUCCAAACCCAAAAUGAGGAGGUUGGUCUUAAUUAUCAGACUACCAAACCUUAUAGGCACAUUCUUGUUAACUUGAUAGGUGGCAACCCUGCCUCCUGGGGUUGAAAUUGUAAUGCCCCCAUUGGUGUGGUGAAAGGGCAACUGGCAUUUGGCACUAAACCUUGCACUGAUAAAACUAUGCGAAGCACCGGAAUCAAAAAGAACAAUAGCAGGAAAAUUUAAUACUGUAAAGAUACCAGUCAUGACGGGUGCUCCCUCUGGAAUAUCUGCCAUGGUGGUGAAGUUCAGUCGGCCUUGCCUCACUUGCACCUUCUGCCUCUUCCCUUGGUUCUGGUUAGCAUUCUGCCCCUGCCUCUGCUGGUUCCUGGGGCAAUUCUUGGCAUAAUGCCCAGUAUUGCCACAAGUGAAACACCUGUUGUCAUUGGCCUGGUGGUACUGCUGCUGCUGAUUAUUCCUCUGAGCUGGGAACUGGUUACGGUUGGGUGCCUGCUGCUGCUGCUGCUGCUGAGGUCGGAUUACCCAUCGCCCUUGCUGCUGUUGGGGUCCCCUACCCUGGGUGUCGGACACAAUCCGGAAACGCUGUGGCUGAGCUGAGGGUCCUGCCACAGGGGUCUUCCUCUUUUUCUCUGCCUGCCGAGCUGAAAUGCAGUCCUCCUGGGAGAUGGCCAUGUUGACCAACUCAUUGUAGCUGUUGGCCCUAACGGUGUUGAGACGAUCCCGGAGCUUAGUGCUGAGCCCCCUUCUAAAUCUGUCUCGCUUCUUCUCAUCUGUAUCUGCAUGAUAUCCAGCAUACUGGCACAAAUCAUUGAAGGCCUGGGCAUACUGCAACACUGUCCUGUUGCCCUGAGUGAGUGCCAAGAACUCAUUAAGCUUCCUGUCCAUGAUCCCGGCUGGUAUAUGGUGUCCUCUAAAAGCUGCCUUAAACUCCCUCCACUCCACCUCUCGGUCCUCGGGCUGCAUAGCAAGAAAGUGAUCCCACCAAGUCCUUGCAGGUCCGCGAAGCUGCUGGGUGGCGAACCUGACUUUGGUGACCUCUGAGCAAACUCCAUGGAGUAGUGGGAAUUUGGAUUCCACCACUCGCAGCCAUACAUCUGCGUCAAGUGGGUCCUCCGCCCUUGUGAACAGUGGAGGCUGGGUGUUGAGGAAUUCCUGAUAGGUGGCUGCCGCGGGGUGACGUUGGUGGUCUCCACCACCAUAAUGCUGGGGUGGUGGCUGACGUUGAGCCAGCUGCCUCAGGAUCUCAUUCUGCUGAGCCAUGAGCUCCUGCAGAGUGGGAGGUGGGGGUGGUGGUGGAACGUGCUCGUUCUGGCCACGACGCUGCCUCCCAGCCAUCUGAAAAACCACAUACUUACUUAACACCACAGUUCCAAUUUCAAGAUUUCAUCAUGGGAAAAAGUUAAAACAGCAUGAUAGGCUCUAACUUCAACAAAAGGGAGUUUAAAGAGGCAUAAAUUUUUCCUUCCAAUUUUAAACUGAUAAAAGCAUCCAUCAAACAAGCUCCCAAGAGAGUUUAACACGGUUACAUCAAAUUGUUCCAAAAUGACUCAACUCUACCUAGCCUAGUACCCCAAGGGUGCAAAAGCUAAGCUAGCGGCGAGGAGUCCGACUGUCCAACUUCUAAGCCUACCCUGGACACCUAGUGAGCGAACGAAGCAACACUUGACUCGGGGGAAGGUGGUCUUCCCGAGCCAGCAGUGUCUAUACUGGAAGCAGACUCGUCUCCUCCCUCGAUGUCAACGUCCUCGUCAGCCUCCCCACCAUGGAUCUCUUGGUGAUGCAUGUCUAGGUGCUCAUUUGCUUCUGCCAUCUGCUGCUGAGUGUUGAGGAGCUGAUCCUCUAGGACCUCAAUGGUGUUCUCCCGGGUGCCCACUAGCUCCUCCAACUCAUGAAUCUCACCAGACAGCUGCUCCACUUGCAAAUCUUUCUCUACCAUUUCUUGAGACAAGUCGACCACAAGCUCCUCUCGGUUAUCCAACGUGAUCUUGGUGGCCUCCAGUAGUGCCAUCAGAUGGGACAUGGCCUCACCGCGCAUCACCUGCAGACGGUACAGAGCAUUCAUGCACCGUACUGUCAAGUGCGCAGUCUGUCCUGGGUAGAUGGCCCAGAUAUCCUUAGCAUGCUCCACCUGAUCCUUCCACAUUGGGUCGUCCUCCUUUUCAGCGGGGAACAAGCCAAUGGGAUGGGUAGCCAGCUCCAAGGGAUGGAACCCGCAGAAGGUAGUCAAUCCAUGCAGAGCGAUCGCCUCGAUCGUGUCCUCUGCCCGGUACCCGAAAGACUCUGAGUCCAAGGAGCGCCAGCCUGGCUGCAGGGGAUGAGGCUCCAAGGUCAUCCUCACCCUACAGCGGGGCACUCGGUGCUUCUCGAACUGCUGCACCGCGUACUGAGGGGGUGUCGUGUAUCCAGCCCCCUGAAGUACCUCCCACAAAAUGCGGGGAAAACACUCUCGUGCAAGUCCGUCCGUGUGGGUCAGUGCAUUUCCGUCAUCGGAGGAUCCGUGGGAAGCCAUCUGUGUACGGUUAAGCGUAAGUAAAAGAAAAGAAUUAUAAAAAGAACAAGAAAAAUAAAACUCAGCCUUUCUCUAGUUAAGUAAAAAGGCACUAAGGACCUAGCUGGUUGUUAUCUUGUUUUUAAGUCCUUACUUAGUUAUCCAUUGCUUAAUUAUGAAUGCAUGCAUGCUCGUCCUGAACGACCUCACAACAAGAUAGAAGGAAUAGGGAGGAACUCCCAUCCUGUAAAAGUGGCCUGUAGGGCCUAGUUACUUAGCCACCUAGCUACCCUUCUAUUAACCUAAGGCUUCACGUCCUAGGUCUAUCCUGCUCGUCCUACUAUCUAUCCAACUUGUUUCUAUCAAGUUUUAUUUAGAAAAUUGAUGGUAUUUACAUUUUAUUGAUUCCUCUGUGGUGGUACAAGCUCCGAUACCAGCUGUGGCGGAACUGCCCGAAUUAUUCCAACUUAAGUGCCCAUGUCCCGCCUUAGAGGCUAGACCACACUUAAAUGGGAAUAACCCGUCAAUCCCUCGGAUCUAGUCCGACACGGCCACUGACAGGAUCAAGUACCACAAUCUCACUCGAAGGUGAGUCACAGAGCAAAUACAAUAAAGCAUAAAACCAUACAUGUCACAAUGUUAAAUUAUUACAUCACCAUCAUCAUCAUCGGAGUUUUGCAAAAGUAACCAUCAUUGUUUGAAGUGCAGCGGAAUAAAACUAACGGUAAAUAAAACAGAGAGAUGGGGAAGCCUGUCCCAUCACUCCUCAUGCUCCUCCUCAGCCGAGGCAGGGUCCCACUCGACAGUCCAACCCGGUGGCAGGGUGGUCGGCCAAGUUAUCCCAGCAACCAUCUCCUCCAGAGAACCUGUAAAAAAUUAUGCCACAAGCAAGGCUGAGUAUACUAAUACUCAGCUAGACUUACCCAGUGUGAGGAGUCUACUCCUCUACCUCUAGACAUGCAGCUGUUUGGCUGUGGGGUUUGGUUGCCAAAAGCACUAGCUGAGUUUCUAAAUCGAGAUUUUAACUUAAUCAAAGUUAAGUGUGACUCUCUUAAGGCUAAAAGUGAACUAUCUACUCAUACAUGGUAGCAAGCAUUAUUAACAAUCAACAUCUUUUCUCAACUCAUCAUACUUCCACUUAUUACUCAAUGCAGUACAAUGGAUCAAGCAGUCUCAUUAGCUGCGAGAAGAAGACGAUUCGAAUCGAGUUUUUAUCCUUGCAAGGUAAACCUAAACACACGACAUGUAGGGGCACUCCGUCCCCACACACAUCAACCGUCCCCAUCGAUUCCCCGUCAGCAGAACAGGGCUCACCGCCUUGGCGUACAAUGCCUCACUGACCCCGACUGGCCAUCGUGCAGUGACCGCACUUGUACCCACCAUAACCGGAAUGGGAGACCUCGUCUCAGGACGCGUGAGGGGAUAUGUCCACUGCCGGGUUCACUCAGGUACUAGGCUUACCGAUUUACCAUAUUUCUCGGCAUGUGCUCAGUACGUUCAAACGCUUGACACAGGUAUCCGCACGUUAAUCCUUAUUCCAUUUUCCAUCUCGUAAACAACCAAUCCCCAUGGAUUGUUGUCCACCAACUAGUAUCAUGACAGUGUGAAAGUGGGUACAAUCAAUUUCCUGAUCUCGCGCGAGUGCUAGAAAAAUCACUCGUCUUCUACCGAGAUCCUAUUUAAUUAAAGCAACUACUCGACCUGUCAUACUAGUAUUCAUUUCAAAAGGAUUCCUGAGAUCAUGCAACUAGGGUUUCAAACAAUUCCUACACCUAAGUGCACAAUCAAUCCUACAAUCAUUAAGUGAAGUAAAAUAGCAUAAAUAACAGGUUAUGCAUAAAACCGGGGCUUGCCUUCCAAAGCAGUGGCAGGCAGGUCCUCUGGUGCUGGCUCUGGUGCUGGAUCUGGGGCUACCUCCUGAGCAGCUCCUUGCUCCGGCACGAGGACGUACUCUCCGUCAGCAAGAUUACAGUCUAUCGAAAUGCAAUGAACAUGUAUGUCAUGAUUAUGCAUGAUUUAAUAACAUUAUGCAAAAGAAACGAAGUCGAGAAGUAACUUAGGGUUUUCUUAGUUAUGCGGGGCUUCUAGUGGUACAUAGAUAGACUUAUUAUUCUUUGGACUUAGGUUUUCCUUUAGGACAACAUAUUGGUUUGGUAUUGCUUUGAUAUAUUUUUGUGGACAGCAAAUAAAGUUUUUUAGGGACAACCUUUAUUCAUAUCUUUUAUUUCUCUUCCCUUAAUUUCCAUUUAGGUUUUCUAGGGUAGGUUUGAACUACAACAGGGUUUUAAUAAUUUCUAAAAAUUCUGUAAAAAUUACAGUGGGUUGUCACUGGCUAUUUUAGCUUGUUUUAAGAAUUAGAGGCUUAAGGUAUAAAAGUUAGGCCUUAAACAAAAAUAACAAAAGUUAGGCAAAAAGGGGCACUUUACACUACACCUCCUAGUUAGGGGUAGGCUCUGUCCUAAAGGUUAUUUUUGUUGGCAUCCUCUGGUAAUGAUAGGUCUUUGUGCUAAAAAUCACAGGAAACUAAGGGGUGGUUAAUUAGCUAUGAUUUUCCCAAGUUUAAUGUCAAAAAGGCACUUUCUACUACCUUAUUAUUUGAAAAAUGUCAAACAGCAGAUUUCCUAUUUUUCUUAGGUUCUUUCUAAUAAAACAAUAGUUAUCCCAAGGGUGGGGGUGUUUUCACCUUGGGUUAUUUUUGUGGAGUUUUUCUAAGUUAUCCUUGUUUUAAUAAAAUAAAAGAUAUCCUACUUAAUUUGUACUAAACCAGGGUAUGAUAUAUUUUUCCAGUGAACUACAUUGAAUAAGUACCUCAACAAAAAUAGGGGUGCCCUCUGGUUCAAUAUUUGUGUCACUUUUCCUAUUUUUCUUAAACUUAAGCAUAUUUGGAAUAAGGGGUUUAAAACUAACUUAAUGUAAUGGACAGAGGGGUUUAACAUUUUUAAACAGGUUAGUAGGUGAAUAUAAACUUCUCCAAAUUUUCCUAACCUUAGUCAAAUAGCCUAACUAUUUUUCUUACUAUUAUUUAGCUUUUGGCCAAAGUUAACAUUAAAUAAGAACUUUUAAGUUUUCCACAACAUCAAGGGGUUUUAUAUUUUUCCUAAAUAGGUUACAUGAUUUAGAGUCUGGCAAAAUUGGUUUGACCAAAAUUGGAUAAACCAAACAGAAGUUAUGGGUUUUUAAAGUUUCUGUUUGAAUUUAAAUUAGGUUUUAAUUAAGUUUUCCUGGAAAAACAGUUUGCGCCGAGGCCCCUGGGUUUAAAACAAUUCAAACCUCGCAGAUCUACCCUUAAGGCACUAUUCACUUGAGUCUCUGACCUUUCACUUAACCCCCUGGGUUUCUCUCCCUCUCACCCGCAGUCCCUCCCUCAACUGAAACAGUAGCCGCGGGAAAGAAAAGGGUGGCGCGGCUUACCGGCGGCGAGGGAGGUCCGGCGAAGGGUAGGGUUGGCUCGGGGAGGGUCUGGCGAUCACGUCGAGGUACGGCGCGUCGUCGGGGAUGGCCGGAAUCGCCCGGUCCACGUGAGCAGGCGGGCGAGCUCGUCGGCGGCGUGUGCUCCGGCCUAUCCACGGCGGCAUAGUUCAAUCCAAGGGCAUAGGGAGCUUCGUGGAGGUCUAAGGAGUCUAACCGUGCAAGGAAUCGAAGAGAGGCGCACGGUGUACCUCGGUCCACGGUUGCCGACGGUCGGUUGAAGUCCGGUGACCUUGGGCCGGCCUCUCCGGUGAAGCAGAGCCCGAUUCCUCGCUCGGGGAGCUUCACGGAGACGUGCACAGUCUUCUCCGAGGGCUGGACGGGGUUGGGAAUGGCUGGGCUGGCCGGUCUACGGUGGCAGGGGCUCGGGUGGCCGCGGGCACGUCGCGUAUGGGCAAACGGCGGCGAACUGAGCUCCGGUGAGGCUUGAGCGCGUGCGGAGGGGUACGGCCAAGGCUCCUGGGCGUUUUAUAGUCGCGGACGCGGACCAGGGCACUGGCUUGGCUUGGGCGCGGCGCGGGCGCGCGCGCGGGCGUGCUCUGGCGCGCGCGCGGGCGUGCUCUGGCGCGGCAGACGGCGUCGAACACGUGGCGGUUUGUUUCUUCCAGUGUUCAAAUGUCGCCAGAGGUCGCAAAUGUGCGAAUCUUUGCAAAAGUCCGGCGCAGACCUCUUCCUGGCACCUAGGGCUGUCACUCAACUGUGAGACGCCGGGGCAGAUACGGCCUAGGGAGGGAGAUCUUCGGGUGCCAAAUCAGGUGUGUCAUACUGAGCAUAUCACGACAAAAGCCAUGCCAUGGCAUGUCAAACGUCCGAGUCUCGAGCUCAACUUUUUCCAGUGGGUGCCCUAAGUGGUAUUGCACAUUUUUGGUAUAGAACCCAAGUGGUUUUGGCGCCAUUUUUAAAGUGAACACGGUUGAUCUUUGAUUUAGGGCUAAAGUGGGACUUAGAGGGAAUUAGAGAGCUCUAGCUCUCUUUCCACUUGGAGAUUUGAAAUGGGGUUUCCCUAGGGGCCUUUUUGUAAUAUUUCCCUCCCCUAAUUGAUGGUUAUAAUGUUGCUUAGGGUUUGGGUAAAGAUUACCCAUGUUUUGCACAUUUGCUCACUCUCUUUCCCCUCUUAUCCAUGGUUUUGGGAGUUAGGGUUUAAGAGAGACCUAGGGUUCCUUCCCCCUCUCCCAAGGUGAUAGUUGCACACAAUUAGGGUAAUGCCUUUGGUCAUUCCCAACUCUUGGUAAAAACUUAGUUUCCAAAGCCCCUUAUACUUUUGCUCCUUAAGUUCUUCCACAUGUGAUCAUAGUCUUGAGUGCCAAGGUGUGCUCCAGCCAUGGCAACACCUGGGGUGUUACACAAAUGCUAUCGGCUCGAAUUCUACUACCGGCUAAGUCAAUUUGGAUGGGGGUUGACAUGGUAGUGAUUGGAAGAUUAUGUGCUUCUACCCAUGAUGCAGUAAUAAAUGAAUGCGUUGCUCCAGUAUCGAAUAACACUUCUGCAAUAUGGGAGUCGACUGGAAACAUACCUACUAUCAUGCCCGGGGUUUCCUAAACUACUUCAGCCUCCAAGUGAUUCAGUCUCCCAUGGUUGUAGCGCGGUUGGGAGCGGUUGCCUGCUCCAGGCUGGGGCACAUUCUGCUUUGCUGGGGCACUGGGGCCUGACUGCUGCUGGGUUGCCUUCUUCGGACAUUGCAUUAGCCAAUGGCCUUGCUCUCCACAAUGGAAACAUGCUCUGCUUCCACCCUGAACUGGUGCUGCUUGACUGCUCUGGUUGGUUGCUAGGGCGGGGAGACGAGGUGCCUGCUGAUUCUGCCUCUGGAAUUGACCUCCUCCUGACUAAUUGUUCUGGCGAUUCUGCUGCUGGUGCUGAGGUUACUGCCUCUGAAACUGCUGCUGUUGAGGUGGGCGCUGGUUCUGCCUGAACUGCUGAGGUGGGUUGCCUAAGAAACGAGGGCGAUUGCUGCUUCCAGGCUGGGGUCCACUGAUCUUAUGCUUGCAAUCCUCCAUCUCUUUGCGCUUCCUCUCUGUCAUGAUUGCUAUGUCGAUCAGGUGCUGAAAUGUGGGAAAGGUAUGAUUCAUCAGCUGAUACUGCAGAGGAUCAACUAAGCCUCUCAAGAAGCGAUACUGCCUCUUGGCGUCUGUGUUGACAUCCUCAGGAGCAUAGCGAGACAGCUGCAAAAACUUGUCUCGGUACUCACUGACAGACAUAGGCCCUUGCUUGAGCGCCAGAAACUCCUCCUUCUUUACUGUCAUCAGGCCUGCGGGAACAUGGUACUAGCGAAAGCUAUCUCUGAAUUCUUCCCAGGUGAUGGUGUCGGGGUUGGCAUGGGUGGCGAGAUAGGACUCCCACCAAGACUGGGCUGCUCCUCUCAACAGACGGGGACCAUACAGAACUUUCUCCCUGUCGUCGCACUAGGCGGUGUGUAACUCCCGCUCCAUAGUACGCAGCUAAUCUUUAGCAUCCAUGGGAUCAGAAGAGUGAGCAAACACCAGGGGAUGACCUCUCAUGAAUUCAGCACGCUUGUCUCUGGGCAUAUGAGGCAUCUGAGGCUGAGGUGGUGGCUGCUGCUGGUGAAUGGUGGCCAGAGUCUGACCAAUGGCUUGAACUGCCUGAGUCUGCAUCAAGAACAUCUGCUCGAUGGUCAUCGAGGGCGAUGGUGGCAGCUGCUGACGGGGUGCCUCAUCCUGCUGUGCUGCCUGCUCCUACUGAGCACGCCUUCCUCCUCUGCGCCUGUUGUCUAACAUCUGCAGAAUGCAAUCACAUAUCAGAACUGAUUUUGCAAGCAUGCAACAUAAGAAAAGAGUAUAGAAUCCUUCCACAAUACUGAACAGACGAACAUCUUCACUAAUUUCCAACACAGGCAGACACAGCUUCUCACAUAAAGAGGAAAGUAGAACAAAAGGGCUUCCCAACUAGAUAACUAAUUUUAUUAACAUUUAACAGGUAAACCAAAGUGCAGGGGAUACCCACACCCUGGCGACAGUCAUUACAAAGGUAAACCAAAGUGAAGGGGAUACCCACACCCUGGCAACAGUCAUUACAAAGAUCCAAAUCCAACAUAGUUCAUAAUGACAAACAUAAAGGCACAAGAUAAGCAAACUACCCUGUCUAACUAAGACUAACUAAGAGUAAGACUAAUGCUAAGACUAUAGCUUCUAUAUAUAUUUUUGCAUUAAUUACAAGAUCUGACGCUGACGAUCUAUGGUUCUAAAUUUAUCUUGGUCCUGCAGUCGGGGUUACCAUAAGCAUGGUGUCCACGCUGAGGUGAGCGGUAUGGGUGCUGAGUCCCGACGGGAGCGGGGGAGCUAUCCUCCAGGUGACGAUGCUCCGCGCGCUCAACCCGCAGCUGGGCGAUCUCAGCACGAGCCCUACUCAGCUCGUCUAAUGCAUGGUCCAGCUCCGUGUUUAGCACGGCGGCUAGGUUGACUGUGCUGCUCAACCUAGGAUUGUCCUCACCAACAGGUGAGACAACCACGCCUCAUGUGCUGCCAGAUGGGCGGCAGAGGUAAUACUUCAGGUUAAUACCAUCAGCUACCCCACCGAGCACUAAGCAGUAGUGCGAAAGCGCAUGCCGUGCGGCAUCUUGCAUGGCCGCCUCAGCUGAGUCCUGCUCAGAGAUAGAAUAGUGCUCUGAGCAGACCUUCGCACCCCGGAGACUGUUCUCCGGACGGCGCACCAAGCAGGUCACCUCCCAACGGCCCGAGUAAACCCCGCGACUAUGCUGGAAGACCACAGUGAUACUCAAUAGACCAAGUAUGCCGGUCAAGUGCCCCGCGUAGCAAGGUGUCGAGCGCAUCAUGAAAGUGACACCCGCGAGCGGCGUCACGGGUGAUGGGUCGGGCAACCCAUCCUUCCAGCUCCUGCUCCUCUGAAAGGUCGGUGCUGUGGCUCGAGCUGCUGUCACCACCUCCGUCGUCUAGGUCUCCUCCAGCAGCUACUCCAGCGGCUGGGGCGCUCAGUGGUGGUGCAGGGGGCGCUUCCAGCGGGAGCACAUGGGAGCAACUCCUCACAAACUCUAUCUCCUGCUGAAGCGAGAAAGAAGAGUCCUGCUGCUCCAGCUCCUGUCGUCGACGCUCCUGCUCCUCGUGUAGGCGGUGGUGCAGCCUCUCCAAGUGGCUAGACUGACCAGUCACUGGAUGGUGAAGCAGACGCUCAGCGAGACAAGAAGGCAAGAAAGGAAUGACUGACUUCCAUGCAGUGUGUCUAACACGAGCCAUCUACAAAAGACACCGUAAGCAUAAGAGUGAGAACAGAACUAAUAUGACCAGCAAGUAGACUGUAAAAAAAUGAGGAAUUAGAAUAAAACAAAAUUUUCAGCAAGGUAUAAUAAUAUAUAGUAGAACAUAGGUUUGGUCGAUAUGACCAACUUUUGAAGGGAUACCAAAGUCAAGGUGAUAAUAGGGGUCUAUAAUCCUUAGAACGACCAUUCUAUUCUAAGUUAGCGGUCCUACAGUCAGCACGGCUUUGAUACCACCUAUGUCACACCCGGUUUUAGAAGGCAAACCGAAUGCGAACCAUGUACGUGCCAGGAUCAGCAAUUCACGUACACAGCAGUUACAUAACUGGACAUCAUCACACAGUGCUCAAAUAAUGACAUAAAAGAGGGUAUAAUAGUCGAUUACAUCAUGAUGUCCGGGACAUCCACAUAGUCUUUAACAAUAAUCAAAGUGCGGAAAAGAAACAUAGAUACACAUGGCCUACACAGGCAGCCGACUGGGGGUUUGCCGCUAACCCACGCCUAGAACUCGUCAUACUCUUGGAACUCCUGGAAGUCCUCCUCCACGGCUUCUUCUUCACCUGAGCAUUGGUUGCAACGUGGACAACCUGGGGGUUUGGUGUGUAAAGCAAGGGUGAGUACACAUCAACAUACUCAGCAAAAUGUCUCGUUUGGCUGUAGUGGACUAGCUUUAUGUGGAGUUAAGUCAAGCAGUUGGUUUUAGUUGGUUAGGUUAUUAUUACUAGUAGAAAGCCAGGUUUUAGUAUUAACCCAAGUUAUUAACCCAAUGUACCCUUUCCAAACGAAAAGAAUACCACUUACCAGUACCAUAGUCAUAACCAAAAUCCUCAUCCUCAUCACCACCUGUAAACCAUACAUCUCUGAUCAAGUAUCUCUAAUCACUAGAGCUCCCUUGGCCGCUCAUAACCGCGAGCACGACUGAUAUAUUAGUUUCAUUAAUAAAGAUGAAUUUAAAAUGAAUCGUUGUGCGACGAAGCGCGCGACGCAGCACAUUCAUUAAACUAAAUCUAAAACUAAUUAAACUGAAAAUCGAUCGUCGCGUGCACUGGGGCUGCGUGCGUGGGAACGCGUUGCGCGUGCCGGGGCGCACGUGGCCGCGCUGGGGACACGCGAGACCACGCGAGUCACGCAGGGGGCGCGCAGCCACACCGAGGACGGGGCAGGCGCCGCCGGGGAGGGGCCGAGCAGGGGCGCGCGCGGGGAAGCGCGUCAGGGGGCCGCGCGCCGGGGGGGGGGGGCGGGGGAGCCGCCAAGGGGCCGCGUGGGAGCGUCGUCGGGGCCGCGGGGGAGCGCCGCUAGGGGGCCGUGCGGGACGCGCGCAGGGGCCACGCGGGGGGGGGGAGAAGAAGGGGAGGGGGAGGAGAAGAGAGAGAGGGAGAGAGAGAGGGAGAGGGGAGGGGAGCUCACCUCGGGAACCAAAUCCGGCGAUCUCCGUCUCUAAAACCUAGGGCACCACGGGGGAGAGAGAGAGGGCGUUGUGCGCGGGAGAAUUGAAUGAGGGGAAAGAGACCAGGGGAGGGGGGCACGACAUGGGGAGGGGCAGGGCGCCAGGGGCGCGCGGGCCAAGGUCGGGCCGAGCUGGGCCGGGCCGGGUCGGAUUGGGUCGGGCUAGGCUGGGCUGCACCGCGGGUCAAAAUCCUGUGGCACGCACAACCACAGAUCGGAAUCCAAUUCGCGAAACAAAAUCCGAAAUGAGACUAAGUAACACACACGAUUAAACACGACAUCAGACAAAGAAAUAUGCCUCGGCAUGAUGCAACACUCAUGUCAAUUUAGGUUUUUUUGUUUACACAUGACACAGACACCAGUCGCUAUAUUGCUUUGAAAUUGGGAAGGAGCGAAACGAGAAAAGAAAAGGGAGUAACGCCUGAAUUUGGUGAGUAAAAAGAAGAAAAAAAUUCUACCCCUAAAUUCAGGGCGUUACAACUGCCCUUGCCUUUUCGGGUAAAGUAGUCUUCCACUAGCUUUCCUAAUUAUUUAGCCAAGGGGUCCCAUUCCUCCCUUAUGGUGGCACGUGUUUCUCAAGUUAAGCUCCAUGUUCCAAUUAAUAUUAAUGAUCUUGACAUGAACAUAAAUAGAAUAACAAAAUAAUUGGAACAUGGAUAUAAUGAAAUAUUAACCCAAAACCAUGUAAAGCGAUAGCAAAACUACCCAAGUGAUUCAGGGAUAACAAGGUAAAGAGAUAAACAGUCUAGGGUGACCUAUUGGGUCCCAUCAAAAUUAAAACUAUGCAUGAAUAAGUGAUAUUAAAGAACAUUAUUGGGUAAUAAAAAUGGUUAAGGGUACAACUUGCCUUCAAUGAGCUCCUGCUCAGCAACUUCUAUCUGCUGGGCACCAGGAUCCUCAGUCACAGGCUCUUCUACUCGCCACAAUACAAACAAGCACAGUAUAAAGGAGAAAUUAACAUCACACCAAACAUGUAAACAAAAUACAUAAUAAUAUUCUACACAUUAAAAUAAAAACCUAGGAACAGGAAUAAUUGAUUUUGGAGUUAUGUAUUUUAAAUUAUGAAUUUCCAAAGGUUUUAUGUGCUUGAUAUAUGAUUAAGUGAGAAAUUAAUUUUCUUACUGUUUUCAUGUCAAAACAGAGACUCUAGGUGGUAAACAAUAAUAUUACAAAAUUUUAGAAACUGGAAUAUAUCAAUUUGGACUAAAAAUGGAUUUUCUAUGAAUUUUACAAGUUCUAGCAUUUAGUUUUGCACAAAAAUCCAUUUCUAAUUAAUUUUCUCUGAUUUUCUAAUUCUCUGUACAGCGCGCCAAUUUCUGGGAAGCACAGGGGUGAUUACAUACAAAUCCUGUGACUCAGUCAAUAGUAGCCCUGGACCGCGGGUUGGAAUCCAGAAAACUUAGGGUCUCUUUAAUAAAUUUACCUGACCGAAGGGGUAGGUUUCGACCAGGGCCGCAGGAUCCUAAAUCUACGGUCAGGAUUAUAUUGCUAACGUGGUGAAAUGGUACGCAUCGUCGACCGUAAGAUCUGAAAUAUACCACCCAGAUCAUACUUGAGCCCGAUUCGCUCGAUCACGAUCCGGCGGUCGCAGAUCACCAAAACCGAAACGUUAUCUGCGCUCUGAUCCCAACCGUCCAUGCCCUGAUCGACGCCUAUCGUUAAUCGUGGGCGUGAAUCACCCGAACGCAGCGGCGCCCAUCCUCCUACGGCAGCGCCAUCGCCGGUGACUCACGAACACGUGAUUCGCGGGCUAAAACUUCUAUCCUAAUGUAGCGAUGGUUAGCAGGAUUGAUAAUAUACACUCUGGAAUGGUGCUCACUGGGGAUUAAGGACCGUGUGACAACGUCAUGGUUAGCGGCGGAGUCCGCACUCCGAUGAGGAAUUGCCGAUGGUGCAGUCGAUGCAAUGCCAUGCUGAGUCACCGGCGAGCAUCAACAGCGUCAACCGAAGUCCUUGGACCUCUUCCCGGAGCUCGGCUGACGCCAACGACUCUAGGCGACGACGACGGAUCUCAAAACUCCCUUGGGCUUGGCAAUGGCGGUGUCAGUUUGUUCUGGGAGGCUAGGCUCACGCGAGACGGUAGCAGGGGAAGGAACGGGUCACGGGGACUCCCAUUUAUCCCACGGGGUUCCGGUUUGGAGAGACGGGGAGUUCUCCCACGUUCCCGGCCAUGGCGGCAAUAUCCGCGCCUUCUGUUGCGAAGGAGAAGAACGCGCUGACGUGUGGGCCCCACGACAAAGCGUCAACGGGUGUCCGUAGAGUUCGUAGGUCACAGUUUCGCCCCCGGACCCACGCGACAGUGAGACAUCACCCACACGCCCGAGUACGCGGGACGUCUGUCCAACCGGACCCACCUGCCAGUGGCCCACAACGCAAGCGGUGCGUUCGCUGGGCCGCGCGGAGGAAACAUGCUCGUGGGCCUAGGGUGAGGGGAUCCGGCCCACACGUUUUAUUAUUCUUUUCUUUUUUUUCCUCUUCCUUUUCUUUCUCUUUUAAUUUCUAGAAUUCAAAUUUGAAUCCAGUUUUAAAUGUGAACUUGUACUUAUUUUAAAUAUACCAAUUGAACCAAAUAUGGAAGGCCUAAUUAUUUUAUAUAUGUUUUCUUUAUUUUUGUGUAGCAUUUUCCUUUCUUUUCUCUAGACUCUAAUACGCAAAUUAGGGUUAAAUCCCCAAAUUUGGAUUUUAAUAUAUUUCUUUUUACACUAUUUUAUAUUGUCACAAAAUGCACACAAAGUAAAGUGCAGCAUGAUGCAUAACUUAGUGGCAUAUAUUUUAUAAUUAUUUGUUUUUAAGUAUGGUGUUCACAUGUGAUGGUACAAAAAGGUCAAACUCCCACAUAGAUAAAGUGAAAUUGUUUCUCCUUUUAUAUUAUCUCUUACAAAUUACAAAUUGGGUAUUACAAAUCCUACCCCCUUAAAAAGAAUCUCGUCCUCGAGAUUUAGGAAGGACUAGGGAAAAGAUGGGGAAAAUCUAUGCGAAGAUCUUCUUCUCUUUCCCAUGUAGCUUCAUCUUCUCCAUGAUGACUCCAUUGGACUUUGCACAUCUUUAUCACCUUAUUUCUUGUGACUCGAGUCAAAGUAUCAAGAAUCUUGGUAGGGUAUUCCGUAUAAGUCAAAUCACCCUUGUAACACCCUAAAUUUGGGGUAUAAAAUUUCUUUCUAAUUAUCACCCAAAUUCAUGUGUUACUCUUCUCUCUCUAGUUUCUAUCUAUCUCUAGAUUGUCUCUCUCUCUCUCUCUUUCUUUUAAGUAGAAUUAGCUUAAGUGAGUAGAGGUUAAUUAUUUAUUUUUGCCAAAACAUUAUGGGUCAUGACAUGUUGCAUCAUUCUGAGCUUAAAUAAUCUUUGAAUUGUUGCACAUGUUUGAAUUAGUUUGAAUUUGAAACCUAAUUUAAAUUUUGAAUUGAAAAUCCUAGAGAAAAGAAAUAGAAAAGGAAUUAGUAAAUUCAGGAAAAAGGAAAAGCCAUUCUGGCCCAAACCAGCCCAGCCAGGCCGCGCGCCCGUGCGCCUGCUGCCCCUAACAGGCGGGCCCCGCCUGUCAGCGACAGUUUGUCCCGCUCCCUUCCCUCCCUCUCGCUCGCUGCCCAGUGGGGCCAACUUGUCGGCGCCAGUUGCUUCGCUUGCGCGUCCCUCUUCUUUCUCUGUCUCGCGGGCCCGUUCUGCCAGGCGCUGAGCCAUUGCCCGCGCGCCCCUUCUCUCUCUCUCUUUGCGUCGUGGGCCUUCCCUGUCAGCUCCGCCCUCCCCGCGCCUGUCGUGGACCAGCGAGCGUGCACUCGCGCACGUCGCCGGGAUCCUCGGUCACGUCGCUCUGCCCACGCCCAGCUCCUUUUGAGCCCCCGCCUGUGUCCGCACUCACUCCCCCGCCUCAUUUCACGCAGUCCCGCCCUCGCUCGCGCUCUGCUCAUGCUGCUAGACCUCGCCGGAGACCUUACCCGCCUCCUCGGCCAUCUAGCUCGCCGGAGACCGCGCCAGGCCACCCCGAGCUCCGCCCCAAGGUGAGACACCUGUACCCGUGCCCAGUUUCCCCAAUUUCGCUCUGUGGUCGGCCAAUUUCGGCUUCGCCGGAGUUCGGCCGUGGCGGUCCGCCGCACCCGCGCGGUGACUGGCCAAAUUAGCCCGGCCUAGUGCCCCGAUGUUAGUCCCUAAGGUACCCCUCCAUCUGCUGAAGCUAUCCUAGGCCUUAGCGCGCCUCAAGCCCCCUCCCCGCGGCCGGAAUCCUUCACCGGAGUUCCUCCGGUCCGCCCGAGGCCUUCUCCCCGUCGUUCUCCCCUCUCUGUCGUUAGAUUCGUGGCCUUUUCCCCGCCACUGAGUUUGUCGUGGCAUUCUCUCCCUCUCUGCCCAAUCCCGGCGACCCCGGAACCACCCUAACACGCUCCUGCCCCAAUUCCGGCGACUUCACCGCCGCGGAGAGGAGCAACGCUGCCCGCAGCCGUUCACCCUCCCUCGGUCUGAUCUCCCCUGUCCGAUCUUGAUUGCAUGGCCCAGGUCGCGGGAUACAUCUUCCCGCACGCGCGCCCUGUGCCCCUGGCCCGCCUGUCAGCGCCCGUGUCCCCUAGCCCUAGCGCUGGGCCCGCUCAGUCAGUGCGCUCUCCCCUCGGUCGCUGACACCCCCUGGCCCACCUGUUAGCGCUCGCCCGCACGCGCGCGCGCCCUCGGUCGUAGAUCUAAUCUCUGUCGUCGGUUUCUUAUCUAACGGGUUGAAUCACCCAAUACCCCUUUGCGCAUUAGUUUUGUUAAAGAGACUCUCGGUUUGUUCAGAAUCAACCCGUCGUCCCUGGUUUUCGCGCGCAGGCCCAUAUAUUCUUGCAGAUUUAACACUGGACUUUUAAAUAUUCAUGGAAUUAGACCUAUUUUCAUAUUUUGAAUUCCCAAACUUGUUUAUUUCAUAUCUUUUGCAUAUGAACUCUAAAUUUAGUGAUUCAAAUUGCAAAAUGUUCAUAGGAUUAUUCUCUGUUUAAAUAAAUUAGUUCCAUUUACAUUCUAUGCAUUAUAAUUUUUAUGGUUAAUUAUGAACUAGUAUAGGUGUAGAUUUAUUUAUUUAAUAAAAUAAAUAAAAGGAAAACCCUAGAGAUUAAAGUGUAUUUGAUCUUGUGAAGAUUAAUAAUGUGUAUUACAUGAAUUUAUCUCUAGUCUAACUUUUAGGUCACAAUAAAAUAAAUUGAACUAGGUUAUGUAAUUGUGGGCAAUACUUAAAGGGAUAAUAAUCUAUUUCUAAAUGAAGUUAGUUUAUGUUAUACUUUGAUCUCAUUAUCCCUUAUGUAGUAUUGUGUCUUUUUAAGAUGUAUUCCUAUGUUUGUACAUGUUUGGUGUGCUGUUCAUUUGUACUUUCCAAAUGUAUUGAAUGCAUGCUCGCUUUAUUUAAACAACGAGCAGUUCGAGGUUCCUGAGUGUGUUGUUGGAGACCUCCCUGAGCAACAACCUGAUGAAGGCAAGUGUCCUCUGACCUAUUAUGUCCUACAUACUCUAUAAUUCACUGUCCCGCAUUACUUUAUGAAACCUAAGGUUUGACUAGCUUUGUAUCUACCCUGUCCUUGAAUUACCUUUUGGGUUAUCAUGGUUAGCAUCUUGCUUUUGCUUUACUUUAAUCAAUGAACAUGAUGUGAACAUUUAUGAUACGUGAUCUUGUGAUACUCUAGGGGGCUCAGGCCUUUUUCCUGAGUACCUCUCCGUAAGGACCUGUUCGUGGAGUGACCACCCGGGAUAACAGUGCAACCACGAGGGUGGAAUGGGACGCCCUUAGCUGAUUAAUUAGAUGAACCUGGGGGUGUAGUUGGCUUUGUCGGAGGGCCAUCAAUGGGGGCUAGAGCGUAGUGCUCGCUCUGCCAAGGGGGGGGGGGUGCACAGGUUCAUUCGAUUUGGUUUUGUUAGUCACCCACCUUGGGGAGGUGUACUGCGUUUGUACGAUUGGCGAAACCUAACGAGCAGCUAUGCACCAGGGGAGUUUUUGUAAAGGCUACGUAGUGUAUCCCUGGCCAUUCACCUCGAUAGUGAAGAUCGGGUCUGUACAACCCAGGUUGGGAAGGGAUCAUGACUCGUGGGUAAAGUGUGCAACCUCUGCAGAGUGUUAGAAACUGGUAUAUUAGCCGAGCUCACGGUUAAGAGCAGCCUUGGGAUCCUCUUUGAUUAGAAAAACUUUGGAUACUUUUAUGAUGAUGGUUAACAAUGAUGUUAUAAAUCUGACCUCUGGUAUUUCCUCUUUUGAGGGAGUACUUUUGGGUAAUAACUAGGCUGUUACUAAAACUUGGCUCUACAAAUAAUAAUAAAUACUUGACCAACUAAAAACAACUGCUUAACCUCAACCCCAUAUACAGCUAGUCCACUUUAGCCAAACGGGACAUUUGCUGAGUACGUUGAUGUGUACUCACCCUUGCUUUACAAACCACCCCACCCCAGGUUGUCCCCAUUGUACUCAGUACUCAGGAGGUGAUGCUGGCAGCAUGGAGGACUUUGAGGAGUUCCAGGAUUACGACGAGUUCUAGUUUAUUAUUAGUGGCAAACCCCCAGUCAGCUACCUGUGUAGGCUUAUCAUCUAUGUUUCGUUUCUCCACACUUUGAUAGUUAUGCUGAAGACAAUGGUUAUGUAAUAGACUCUGUGGAUGUCUUGGACAUCUUUUUGUAAUAAAGUACCUUUCCGCUAUUUAUUUCGAGCAUUAUGUGAUGAUGUCCAAUUAUGUAAUCGCUGUGUACGUGAGUUCUGAUCCUGGCACGUACAUGGUUCACAUUCGGUUUGCCUUCCAAAAACCGGGUGUGACAUAAGUGGUAUCAAAGCCUUGCUGACUAUAGGACCGCUAACCUAGACUAGAAUGGUCGACCUAAGGAACUAAAGACCCCUACUCUUACCUUGACCUUAGUGUCCUUUCAAAAGUUGGUCAUCUUGACCAACUCUAUGUUAUCUACUUAUCUCAAAAAGUUUGGUCUCACUUUUCUUUCUGUUUACUAUCUGGUCUCAUAGUUCUACUCUUACUCUUGUGCUUACGAUGUCUUUUGUAGAUGGCUCAUAUCAGGUGCACUGCACGUAAGUCUGUGAUCCCCUUUUUGCCUUCUCGCCUAGCGGAGCGUCCACUGCGUCGCACGGUGCCAGGUCAGUCCAGUCACCUGGAGAGAUUGAUUCGUCGCCUGCACGAGGAGCAGGAGCGCUAACGCCAGGAGCAGGACCAGGAGCAGCAGGACUCUUCCCCCUCGCCUCAGUAGGAGGUGGAGUCUGAGAGGCCGCCUUCCCCUGCACCCCAGCCAGAGAUGCCCCCUGCACCACCACAAGGCAUCCUGGCUGCUGGAGGAGACCCUGACGAAGACGGAGAUGACGACAACACCGAUGGCAGUUCGAGCCACGGUACGGAGCUCUCGGAGGAGCCGGAGCCGGAGGGAUGGAUUGCUAGACCCAUCACUCGUGACGCCGCUCUCGGGUGUCACUUCCACGACGCUCUCGACACCCUACUGCGUCGGGCCUUCGACCGACACACUUGGUCCAUCGAGUACCAUUGUGUAGUCUACCAACAUCGUCGCGGGUUAUACCCGGACCAGUGGGAGGCUACUUGCUUGGUGCGCCGUCCGGACGAUGAUCUCUAGGGUGUAGAGGCCUUCUCAGAGCACUAUUCUAUUACCGAGAGGGAUACUACCGAGGCAGCCAUGCAAGAUGCAGCACGACAGACACUUUCUCAGUAUUGCUCAUUAUUCAGCGGGGUAGCUGAUGGCCUCGACCUGAGGUACUACCCUUGCUGUUCGACCAACAGUACUAGAGGUGUGAUUGCCUUGCCAGUUGGUGAGGGCAAUCCCAGGCUGAACAACAUGGUCAAUCUGGCUGCCGUGCUCAACACAGAGUUGGACCACACCCUUGACGAGUUGGGCAAGGUUUGGGCGGAGGUAGCGAAGUUGCGUGCUGAGUGCGCAACACGCCACUAUCUGGAUGGUGGUUCUCCCGCCCCCGUCGGGAUUCAGCACCCUUACCGUUCACCGCCUCGUGGUUGCUUCGACUAUGGUACCCCAGACUGCAGGACUCGGAUAGAUUUGGAUCCCUAGAUCGACAGAGUCGGAGUCUGUAAUAAUGCUAGUUCAGUGUCUUAGCCUAAGUCAGUUUUAGUUAGAGUUAGUUUAUUUAUCUUAUGUUGAAUGCUUGUUAUGAUGGACAUGUACUGAAGUUGGAUAUUUGUAAUGAUUGUCACUAAGGUGUGGGUACCCCCUGCAACUUGGUGAAGUUAUUAAUAAAGUCAGUUAUUUAGUUGGCUAAUCCAUUUAUUUCCACUUUCCUAUUUAUCUGAGAAGCUGUCAACGAAGAUGGUCAUUUGUUUAGUGCUAUGAAGAUUUUCUAUACAUCUUUUCUUAUGCUGAAAGACUGCAGAGUCAGAUUUGAUAUAUGUGUGUUAUUUCUACAGAUGUCUGAGAACAGGCGUAGAGGUGCGAGACAUGCUCAUCCAGAACAGCAGGCACCCCAAGAGGAGGUAGCCCCACAGCAGCAUUUGCCACCGCCACCACCGAUGACCAUUGAUCAAAUGUUCUUGAUGCAGACCCAAGCAGUCCAAACAAUUGGACAUACCCUAGCAGCUAUGCAGCGGGUGCAGUAGCAGCCACCUCCACCUCAGCCUCAGGCGCAAGUCCAGAUGCCUCAAGUGCUCAGAGAUAAGCGGGCAGAUUUCAUGAGGGGCCAUCCCCCAGUCUUUGCUCAUUCUGCUGAUCCUAUGGACGCUGAAGAUUGGCUGCGUACCAUGGAACGUGAGUUGCACACUGCCCAGUGCAACGAUAGUGAGAAGGUGUUGUACGGUCCUCGACAACUGAGGGGAGCAGCCCAGUCUUGGUGGGAGUCUUACCUCGCCACCCAUGCCAACCCUGAAGCCAUCACUUGGGAAGAAUUCAAGGACAACUUCUGUCGCUAUCAUGUGCCCGAGGGACUGAUGAUAGUGAGGAAGGAGGAGUUUCUCGCUCUGAAGCAAGGUCCCUGUCUGUCAGCGAGUACAGGGACAAGUUUCUGCAGUUGUCGCGUUAUGCCCUAGAAGAUGUCAACACGGAUGCCAAGAGGCAGUACCGCUUCCUGAGAGGAUUGGUUGGUCCCCUCCAUUACCAGCUGAUGAACCACACCUUCCCUACCUUCCAACAUCUGAUCGGAGCAAUCAUGACUGAAAGGAAGCGUCGGGAGAUGGAGGACAGGAAACGCAAGAUUGGUGGAUCUCAGGCCGGGAGUAGCAGCCAUCCUCGCUACUCAGGCAGCCCACCUCAGCCAUUCAAGCAAGGUCACUAGCACCAGCAUCAGCGUCAGAACCAGCCUCAGCCUUGGAAGGAGGUCUCCACCUCGCUAGACCCCAGGGCUCGGCCUCAACAUCGGCCUCGGGAGGAAUCGCGUCCUCGCCCGACCCCGGCCUCGGCCUCAGGAGGAGUCUCCGCCUCGCCCGGCCUUGGGCUCGGACCGACCGCGCCACGAGGGAUACAUCAUUACCCUACCCCUAGCUAGCUCAUGCUAUGGGGGAACAAGACCGGCGUCUCAUCUGGCUCGCCCCGGUAACAAGUAAUGAUGGCUCCCCGCGUGCGUCCAUGACGACGGUGGUUCUCAGCCCCCCUACGGAAGCUAGGAGACGUCAGCAAGAUCCCAGCAACACCGACAGCUGUGCUUCUACACAGGGCUCUAGCACUCCUCUGACGGCCACGAUACCGCGUACACAGGGCUCUAGCACCUCUUCGACAGCCACGUUGGCAUGUACACAGGGCUCAGGCACUCCACUGUCGGACACGUUAGCGCAUUGCUACACCCCCAUUGUACACCUGGACCCUCUCCUUGCAUCUAUAAAAGGGAGGUCCAGGGCCUUCACGCGGGAGGUCGGAGGGUCGCGCGGGGGAAUGAGCGGACGAACAGGCUCAGUCUCUCCCUCUCGCGAACGCUUGUAACCCCUACUACGAGCACACACCCCUGGAGCGAGAUAACACGAGCCGUGUUUCCUCCUUGUGUUCCAUCUUGCGCCAACCCAUCUGGGCUGGGACACGCAGCGACAAAUUUACUCGUCGGUCCAGGGACCCCCCGGGGUCGAAACGCCGACAUUUGGCGCGCCAGGUAGUGGCCUGCUGCGUGUUAACGAACAACUUCCCGUUGAGUUCCAGACGGGUAGUCUCCAGCAACCUCUUCAGCCCGGGACGGUGCUCCGCUUCGGGAGUCUCGAGUUCAUGUCCCUCGACGGCAACUACGACAUGGUACUCCUCCCCCCGCAGCGCGACAGCAACAACGACGAUCGCCAGCUCGCCCGGCAGCGGCGAACUCGACGACCUCUUCCCCCCGUGGCGGAAAAGCAGCAUCUGGGUUUGUCCCGCCACCCUACUCGCCGCAGGAAGAGGAGACGGGGCAACCGUGGCUAGGCAGGAGGCAGCAUCUCGUCGGCUGUCGAGCGAGUCGAUGACGCCGGCACCCCAACGGGGGACAUGUCGGGCGUUGUCCUCGCGCCUAAGACAACGACGAGUGUCGUUUCCCCGCAAUGUGCCAACCCCAAGCGGACAGAUGACGCCAGCACUCUCGCGAAGGACUUGCUGGGCAUUAGCCUCGUACCUGAGAUAACGGUGCAGUCUGUCCCCGACGCGACUUCGUCACCGUCCAUCGAUCAAGAGGUACCGUCCGUUUUCCACCCUAUGCCUUUUAGAUUCAGCUUCGAUCCACCAAGCGACCCCGCUUCGGUGAGCGCUUUCGUAAAGGCAUACCCUAACCUUCCGGGGUACCAUAUGUGCUCAUCCUGGGACCGACUGACGGCCGUCUCGACCUACGGGCCCCCGGGUUCCGAGGAAGAAGACGACCCCGACUCCGGUUGGGAUUUCUUCGGGCUCCGUGAACCCAGUGCCAUGCGAGACUUCAUGACCGCAUGUGACUACUGCCUCUCCGAUUGCUCUGAUGAUGGCCACAGCCUUGACGACGAGGGUUGUGGCCCAAGUCGCGAAUGUUUCCACGUCGUUCUGGGGGGUCACGACGAAGGCAACCACCUUGGUAUGCCGGAGGAUGAUGAUCCCCCUGGGCCUGCUUAUCGCGUUGACAUCCCGCGGGAGCUAGCUGUGGUCUCAGUCCCUACGGGGGGUUAGGACACACAACUCGAGCAAAUCCGCGAGAUGCAGGCCAAGCUCGACGAGGAAGCAGGGCAACUUGUGCAGCUCCGGCAAAACAUUGAGCAGGAGUGGGCAGGCCGAGCGCUCGCCGGAGAAGCGCGUCAUCAGGCCCGGGACGUCUAGUGCCAUAUCGUUGACGAUGCCAGGGUAAGGCUGCCCCCGGCCUCCAGCGGGGUCGGCCAGAAUCUGGCUGCAGCAGCAAUAUCGCUCCGAGCAAUGUCGGAGCCAUCUACCACCGAGGGGCGGCGUAUCUAGGGAGAACUCAAGAAUCUCUUGGAGGACGCCGCGGUCCGACGGGCCGAGAGCUCUGCCUCUCGAAGGCAAGGGUGCCCACCGGAGCAUCGCGCAACGACUUCCCGACUCGUGCGGGAGGCCUCGGUCCACACCGGGUGCACGCGAGACGCGACGCCUGCAUCCCCGGAUUGCCUCGGCAACGAGCGCCGCCACCGCGACCGUCGAGCCUGCCUCGACGAGAAGGUGCACCGAGGCUACCACCUCAGGCAUGGGGGACGCUACGACAGUGAGGAGGAUCGGAGCCCCUCGCCCGAACCACCAGGUCCGCAAGCCUUCAGCCAGGCCAUACGACGGGCGCCGUUCCCGACCCAGUUCCGAGCCCCGACUACCAUCACCAAGUACUCGGGGGAAACAAGGCCGAAGUUGUGGCUUGUGGACUACCGGCUGGCCUGCCAGCUGGGUGGAAUGGACGAUGACAACCUCAUCAUCCGCAACCUCCCCCUGUUCCUCUUCGACGCCGCCCGAGCCUGGCUGGAGCAUCUUCCUCCUGCGCAGAUCUCCAACUAGGACGACCUGGUCAAGGCCUUCGCUGGAAACUUCCAGGGCACGUACGUGCGCCCUGGGAACUCCUGGGAUCUCUGAAGCUGCCGCCAGCAUCCAGGGGAAUCCCUGCAAGAGUACAUCCGGCGGUUUUUGAAGCAGCGCAUCGAGCUACCCAACAUCACCGACUCGGAUGUCAUCGGGGCGUUCCUCGCCGACACCACUUGCCGUGACCUGGUGAGCAAACUGGGUCGCAAGACUCCCACCAAGGCGAGUGAGUUGAUGGACAUCGCCACCAAGUUCGCCUCUGGUCAGGAGGCGGUCGAAGCCAUCUUCCGGAAGGACAAGCAGCCUCAGGGACGCCAGCAGGAAGACAUCCCCGAGGUGUCCGCCCUGCGUGGCAUGAAGAAGAAGGCGAAAAAGAAGUCGCAAACGAAGCACGACGCCGCCGACGCAGAUCCCGAAGGAGCCAACCUGUUCGACAAGAUGCUCAAGGAGUCGUGCCCCUAUCACCAGGGUCCCGUCAAGCACACCCUUGAGGAAUGCGUCAUGCUUCGGCGCUACUUCCAUAAAGUCGGGUCCCCGGCGGGAGAUGGCAAAGGCCAAGACAACGACAAGAAGGAGGGCGACAAGGCAGAGGAGUUCCCCGAGGUCCAUGGCUGUUUCAUGAUCUACAGUGGGCAAGUGGUGAACGCCUCGGCUCGGCACCGCAAGCAGGAGUGUCGGGAGGUCUGCUCGGUAAAGGUGGCGGCACCAAUCUACCUAGACUGGUCCGACAAGCCCAUCACCUUCGACCAAGGCGACCACCCCGACUGCGUGCCGAGUCCAGGAAAGUACCCGCUCGUUGUCGACCCCAUCAUCGGCAACGCCAGGCUCACCAAGGUACUCAUGGACGGGGGCAGCAGCCUCAACAUCAUCUACACCGAGACCCUCGGGCUCUUGGAGAUCGAUCUGUCCACGAUCCGGGCCGGUGCGGCGCCCUUUCACGGGAUCGUCCCCGGGAAGCGCGUCCUGCCCCUUGGACAACUCGAUCUGCCCGUCUGCUUCGGAACUCCCUCCAACUUCCGAAAGGAAACCCUCACGUUCGAGGUGGUCGGGUUUCGAGGAACCUACCACGCGGUGCUGGGGAGACCGUGCUACGCCAAGUUCAUGGCCGUCCCCAACUACACGUACCUCAAGCUCAAGAUGCCAGGCCCCAACUGGGUCAUCACCGUUGGAUCCACGUACCGACACGCGUACGAAUGCGACAUGGAGUGCGUGGAGUACACUGAGGCCCUCGCCGAGUUCGAGGCCCUCAUCGCCGACCUAGAGUGCCUCUCCAAGGAGGUGCCUGAUGCGAAGCGCCACACCGGCAACUUCGAACCGGUUGAGGCGGUUAAGUCCGUCCCUCUCGACCCCAGCAACGACGCCUGCAAGCAAGUUCGGAUCAGUUCCGAGCUCGACCCCAAAUAGGAAGCAGUGCUCGUCGACUUUCUCCGUGCAAAUGCCAAAAUUUUUGCGUGGAGUCCCUCGGACAUGCCGGGCAUACCGAGGGAUGUCGCCGAGCACUCGCUGGAUAUCCGAGCUAGAGCCUGACCCGUGAAGCAGCACCUGCGCCGCUUCGACGAAGAGAAGCGCCGGGCCAAAGGCGAGGAGAUCCACAAGCUGAUGGCCGCAGGGUUCAUCAAAGAGGUAUUCCAUCCCGAAUGGUUAGCUAUACCUGUGCUUGUGAAAAAGAAAGGUGGGAAGUGGAGGAUGUGCGUAGACUACACUAGUCUAAACAAAGCAUGUCCGAAGGUUCCCUACCCUCUGCCUCGCAUCGAUCAAAGUGUGGAUUCCACUGCUGGGUGCGAAACCCUGUCAUUCCUCGACGCCUAUUCAGGUUAUCACCAAAUCAAGAUGAAAGAGUCCGACCAGCUCGUGACUUCUUUCAUCACACCUUUUGGCAUGUACUGUUAUACUACUAUGCCAUUUGGCUUAAGGAAUGCAGGUGCAACCUACCAAAGGUGCAUGAACCACGUGUUCGGAGAGCACAUUGGCCGAACGGUCGAGGCUUACGUCGAUGACAUCGUUGUCAAGACAAGGAAAGCCUCCGACCUCCUCUCUGACCUUGAAAUGACAUUCAAGUGUCUGAGAGCGAAGGGCGUGAAGCUCAAUCCCGAGAAGUGUGUCUUUGGAGUCCCUCGAGGCAUGCUCCUAGGGUUCAUCGUCUCCGAGCGGGGCAUCGAGGCCAACCCGGAGAAAAUCGCGGCCAUCACCAACAUGAGACCGAUCAAGGAUUUGAAAGGAGUACAAAGGGUCAUGGGAUGCCUUGCGGCUCUGAGCCGCUUCAUCUCGCGCCUUGGCGAAAGAGGGCUGCCCUUGUUCCGCCUCUUAAGGAAGACCGAGCGCUUCACUUGGACCCCCGAGGCCGAGGAAGCCCUCGGGAACUUAAAGGCACUCCUUACAAAUGCGCCCAUCUUGGUGCCCCCCGCUGUAGGAGAAGCCCUCUUGAUCUACGUAGCCGCAACCACUCAGGUGGUCAGCGCCGCGAUCAUAGUCGAGAGACAAGAAGAAGGGCAUGCACUACUCGUCCAGAGGCCGGUCUACCUCAUCAGUGAAGUGUUAUCCGAGACCAAGAUCCGCUACCCGCAAAUUCAGAAGCUACUGUACGCAGUAAUUCUGACACGGCGAAAGUUGCGACACUACUUUGAGUCUCAUCCGGUGACUGUGGUGUCAUCCUUCCCCCUGGGGGAGAUCAUCUAGUGCCGAGAGGCCUCGGGUAGGAUAGCAAAGCGGGGAGUGGAGCUCAUGGGCGAAGCACUCUCAUUCGUCCCUCAGAAGGCCAUAAAGUCCCAAGUCUUGGUGGAUUUCCUGGCGGAAUGGGUCGACACCCAAUUGCCAAUAGCUCCGAUCCAACUGGAACUUUGGACCAUGUACUUCGAUGGGUCGCUGAUGAAAACAGGAGCAGGUGCUGGCCUGCUCUUCAUCUCACCCCUCGGGAAACAUCUCCGCUACGUGCUGCGCCUCCAUUUCCCGGCGUCAAACAACAUGGCCGAGUACGAGGCUCUGGUUAACGGGUUGCGCAUCGCCAUAGAGCUAGGGGUUUGGCGCCUCGAUGCUCAUGGCGACUCGCAGCUUGUCAUUGACCAAGUCAUGAAGAACUCCCACUGCUGCGACCGGAAGAUGGAGGCCUACUGCGACAAAGUUCGGUGCCUGGAAGACAAGUUCUACGGGCUGGAACUCAACCAUAUCGCUCGACGGUACAACGAGACUGCAGAUGAGCCUUGGGGCGGACAACGGUUCCCCCGGACGUCUUCUCCAGAGACAUACAUCAACCCUCCGUCAAGAUCGACGACACGCCCGAGCCCGAGGAGGCCUCAGCCCAGCCCGAGGUAUCCUCGGCCGUCGAGGGUGAGGCCCUGCGCGUCAAGGGAGAGCGGAAUGGGGCCACGCCUAACCCAAACUGGCAGGCCCCAUACCUGGAAUAUCUCCUCCGAGGAGAGCUACCCCUCGACAAGGCCGAAGCUCGGCGACUAGCACGGCGCGCCAAGUCGUUCGUCUUACUAGGUGAUGAGAAGGAGCUCUACCACCGCAGCCCCUCAGGCAUUCUCCAACGAUGCAUAUCCAUCGCCGAAGGACAUGAGCUAUUGCAAGAAAUACACUCGGGGGCUUGCGGUCACCAUGCAGCACCCCGAGCCCUUGUGGGGAACGCCUUCCGACAAGGCUUCUACUGGCCGACCGCGGUGGCCGACGCCACUAGGAUCGUACGCUCCUGCCAAGGGUGUCCAUUCUACGCGAGACAGACGCACCUGCCCGCUCAGGCCCUGCAGACAAUACCCAUCACCUGGUCGUUUGCUGUGUGGGGUCUGGACCUCGUCGGUCCCUUGCAGAAGGCACCCGGGGGCUUCUCGCACCUGCUGGUCGCCAUCGACAAAUUCUCCAAGUGGAUCGAGGUCCGACCCCUAACCAGCAUCAGGUCCGAGCAGGCGGUGGCGUUCUUCACAAACAUCAUCCAUCGCUUUGGGGUCCCGAACUCCAUCAUCACCGACAAUGGCACGCAGUUCACUGGGAAGAAGUUCCUAGACUUCUGCGAGGACCACCACAUCCGUGUGGACUGGGCCGCCGUAGCUCACCCCAUGACGAAUGGGCAGGUGGAGCGUGCCAAAGUAUGAUUUUGCAGGGACUUAAACCGAGGAUCUACAACGACCUCAACAAGUUUGGCAAGCGAUGGAUGAAAGAGCUACCCUCGGUGGUCUAGAGUCUGAGGACGACGCCAAGCUGAGCCACAGGUUUCUCGCCGUUCUUUCUAGUCUAUGGGGCCGAGGCUAUCUUACCCACAUACUUAGAAUACGGUUCCCCGAGUACAAAGGCGUACGACGACCGAAGCAACCAGACCAGCCGAGAAGACUCACUAGACCAGCUGGAAGAGGCUCGGGACGUGGCCUUACUACACUCGGCGCGGUAUCAGCAGUCUCUGUGACGCUACCACGCCCGAGGGGUUCGGCCCCAAGGCUUCCAGGUGGGAGACUUGGUACUUCGGCUGCGGCAGGACGCCCGAGGGCGCCACAAGCUUACUCCUCCCUGGGAAGGGCCGUUCAUCAUCACCAAGAUUUUGAAGCCCGGAACAUACAAGCUGGCCAACGAUCAAGGCAAGGUCUACAGCAACGCUUGGAACAUCCAACAACUACGUCGCUUCUACCCUUAAGAUGUUUCAAGUCGUUCAUAUACCUCGUUUUCUCUUUACAUACAUAAAUAAAGUCUAAUUUUCAAGGAAGGGUUAGCCUUGCCUCGGCAAAGCCCAACCCUCCCUCGGGGGCUAGAAGGGGGGAACCCCCUCUGCGUCAAAAUUUUCCUCGGAAAAAGUCUUUUGCCAGAACGUCUUUCGUGCUUUCAGACUGCUUCAAUAGCGGGAUCCUGAAAACGACGAGAGUACACGUAAGCGGAAAGGCCGACCGAGCCGAGGGACUCCUACGCCUCCGGGAUACGGAUACCUCACUCAUCACCUUCCACGAUAAGUAACUCACGCUCGGAUAAGCGAUUCUGCUACCGAACGAGUCCUAAUGCUCAAAAACUUUUCUGCCAGAACGAUUUUCGUGCCUUCUCGACUAUAUCGAUAACAAAAUCCUGCGAACGAGUAAGAGUGCACGUAAGCGGCAAGGCCGACCGAGCCGAGGGACUCCUAUGCCUCCGGGAUACGGAUACCUCACUCAUCACCUUCCGUGAAAAGUAACUCUCGCUCGGAUAAGCGAUUCUGCUACCGACGAACAAGUCCUGAUACUUGAAACAAGAGGAAAGGAAACACAGCUUUAUAAUCCGGCGUUAAAAUGUUUAGGCCUCGGCGGCCGCAAAAAACAUACACAUACUACAGACAAACUGUUCCUACAGGUUCAGACAUCGGCAGGGGGAGCAGCAGCACCCUCGGCGUCAUUUCCACCUUCGGCGGAAUCUGGCCCGGCCUCGGACGGCGACACGGGCGGAAGGAUCUCCACCUUGAAGGAGGACGCCAGCACCGCGCUUGGGCCAUCGCAGCCAGGAUCUCCGCCAAGGCCCCGGCCCGAGCAGACACCUCGGUUGGCCGCUCCGUAGCCUCAGCCAGCUGUCCCCCGAGGACCACAGCCCGGCUCACAGCCUCGGCAGCAUGACUCCGAGGUUGGUCCCGCUCGCGGAUGACCUGGCCAAGCUCCAGCUGCCGCUGCUGCACCUCCUCGGCCUGGGAAGCCACCUGCUCCUAGGCCGACGAAGCCUCUUUUCGAGCCGACUCCGCCUCUGUCCACACCGACACCGCUGCCUCUGGCUCCAGCUCAUCGCAGAUCGGCCGAAGGUUCUAAAACUGCGCAAGAGAGGCCUUGAGUGGCAAGGCCGACCGAGCCGAGGGACUCCUACGCCUCCGGGAUACGGAUACCUCACUCGUCACCUUCCGCACAGGGCAACUCACACUCGGUUAAGCGGUUCAGCUAGCCGACAGGCGAGUCCUAGUGCUCAAAAUGAGGAAGAAACACGGCUUCACGCCUAAAUACCCAGAUGUUCAGGCCUCGACAGCCACAAUGAACAAACACCCACACUCAGGGUGCCAUUACAAAUGGAACUCCGGUUCCACUCCCGCGGGUAUGAACAACCUCCACACCAGAGGGCCUGCGGGACAACAAACUCCAGGUGGCUCGCCGGUGACCACUGCACCAGCAGCGACAACGACCUCCGCUUCGGGUGGCUAAACAGCAGCAGCGAUGACCUCAGGGCAGACGCUGCUGUGACAAGGCCCUCGCCCACGUCCCCACACGAGGGGCCAGGACAAGCCAUCGAAGCCAAAGAGCCGGGGUCCGACCGCAGGUGGCGCCGAUGGUCUCGUCGGCGGAGAAACCUUCUCUGGCUGCUACCACCUCAGCACCAACGACAGCGGCCACCUGCCCGCCAACACCGCACCAGCGAGCGGCGGCCGCCCAAAGCGCACCGGCAAGUCCUCACUUCUGUUCUUGCCACGAGAACGAGAACGGGACCGUCCCAGAACACGAGUACCGCCCUCGCGAUGUACGACGUGUUGUGCAGCCGAUGGCGCAGGGAGGACCUAGACGUGGCCGGCCCGCACACGGCACAACCGCCGCCUAGGGUGGAGGACGGACAGUUGCACCCUAUCCGAGCAGCAGCAGUUCGCCUUCCCCCGCAUGGCUGGAGGACACCUCCUCCGCACAGCUGGAGGAUGCCCCUCUCCCCCGAGCGCCGGAGGAAGAAGCGGGUCGCCGGCCCACGCGGAGGUAGGCCCCAACUCGCCCCGCCCUCUUUCCCAGCACGGAUGAUGAAGAUCCUUGAAGCUGAGGGCGGGGCAGAGGUCGCAGCCCGGCUUGCUUCUCCCCACCACCGAACUGGUGGUCAUCAUCCUGGAUGACCAUUGGUGAGGGAAUGCAGCCGGGCUGCAUGAUGAAAAUCCUUGAAGUCGAGCGAUGGCUGAAGGGUGCCAACCCCCGCGAGAUCGUGCUCCUCCAACAGCAGCAAGACAAAGACAGCGCGGGUGCUCCCCAUCCGGGGGCUCGGAAGGUGGAAGGGCGUGAUGCAUAAGGGGAGUGCGAAGGCAUGGCUACCGCCCGGGGGAUCGAUCCCUUUUUAAAGGCGGCUCUCCCCACUCGCAUCCUCAAGCGUCACGGGCGAAGUCUUCACCGACGUGCUCCAGGGUCCUCCCCCUACGACACGGGGGCUGGGUCCCACACGUCAUGCAAGCUAACCCGAAACGGAAGAAGCCAAACCGCCGCACGCGGAGCAUGUAACCGCCCCGCGGUUACAAGCACUCCUCCAUCCUCGCCAAAACCAGCGGUCGAAAGGGCGGACCGCCAUGCAGGUGGCGUGCAACCGCACCGUGGGGGCGCACCCCUUCGACUUCGUCGCAUCCAGCAUGGAGGCCCAGGCCCACAUGUCAUGUAACCGGCACGCCGGUUACUACGUGCAAGAAACUGCACCGCCACUUGCGCCAAUGUCGCGCCUUCUCGACUGCGGAACUGGUGCUGCGACUUGAGGCAACCCUGUGUGUGGCCCAACAGUGCCAAUCGAGCACAACGAUCAUGGGUCAGUCAGCCGCGGGAGGAGGCGUGGCGAUUGAUAUGGCCAAAAGUGGACUGGCGGUAAUGGCAGCAGCAGACGAGCGGAAGCAGCGGUCAAAUCGUCGGCAGGCUCGCGUCCCCUCCUGGAGCGGCAGGGGAGCCCUCUCCCACGGCGUAAAGACGACGUGCCCGUGUUCCGUUCCUCGAAUGGCACGCGCACGCGGCCGCCCCGCGAGCCGCCCGUCCCGUCGCAUUAACUCCUUGGAGGGGCAAGCGACACCUUUGGCAGGUGAAGCAGGCGUCGUUUCACCUCCGCCAUGAUGACCGCGUCAAAAAAGGUGCGCCACACUAUUUAAAUUCAUAUUCUUUUCCUCUUACCCUUUCUCUCUCUUGCUACAGGGACCGAGAAAGGGGAUAUUUUGAAAGGGAUCCUUCUCCGCGAAGGAAGCGGGCCCCGAGCCCUCCUACUGAUCAGGGGUUCGAAGGCUGGCCCCUCGGAAGGGUUCGACAGCCGCCCCAGAGCACUCGGGCUUCAAGCUCAUUACUGAUCAGGGGUUCAAAGGCUGGCCCCUCGGAAGGGUUCGACAGCCGCCCUAGAGCACUCGGGCUCCGCGCCCACUACUGAUCAGGGGUUCGAAGGCUGGCCCCUCGGAAGGGUUCGACAGCCGCCCCAGAGCACGCAGAGCAAGGGAUGACUCUGGGUACGUCCGUUACAUGGCCGAGGCUCGAGCUACGCUCCCGAGGUACCCUAGGACAUUUCCAAGACCUGCAGGAGCAAUUUUGUAACGGAAUCCCACCAGAGGGAGGCAUCGAGCCCUUGGACCCUAUCGAACGGGUCUGGGUCCGGCAAAUCACCUGCAGGUACUUUUGGAGCGCGCCUCUGGGCCACUAGCCGACCCUUAUCGAAUGGGGCACGGGCGUCCACUCGGAUCACCCAUUAGCAACUCACUAGAGACACCAUGUUCGGCGCCCUCCGAGGGCAACAUGGCGCUUUCCCCCCCCUUCCUCCUUGCGGAAAGGCGACAAAGGGGCGUAUAAUAAAAGUCGAGACAGUCCUUGAUCAUCCUCUUGCUCCGUGCAGAGGCUCGGGGGCUGCUCUCGCAAACUCGGCUAUGGCCAAACCGUUGACAACGUCAACAAACCAGCCUAAAAACUCGGAACCUGACCAUGCACCCGGGCUACGGCCAGGCCGCAUGAGGGAACAACCAGGUCGGCCGAGGCGUCACGAAAGUCAUUAAGACCUCAGAGGAAUCAAACCACUCCUCCGAGGCCUCGGGGGCUACACCCGGCGGGUGCGCUCGCGCGCACCCACCGGAACAAAGUGUAACCGAGAAAGGCCGGUCCCCUCGCAAAAAAGUGCGGCAAAGCCUCCAAGCGAGUACCAACACUCCCUUUGAGGCUCGGGGGCUACUGUCGGGUACCGUAAUUAGGGGUACCCCCAACACUCCUAAACACGGCUGGUAACCACCAUCAGCACAAAACCGCAAAGACUGAUGGGCGCGGUUCAGGUCAAGGCCUCUUCUACCAAGGGACGCGAUCUCGCCUCGCCCGAGCCCAGCCUUGGGCGAGAACAGUAGUCCCGGACGAAUUCACGCCUCGCCCGAGGGCCUCAAGCGACGGGCGCACCCUCGACUCGCCCGAAGCCCAGCUCGGGCAGGCUUCGUUGUGAAGCAACCUUGGUCAAAUCACCUCACCAACCGACCGUAUCGCAAGAGCAUUCAAUGCGAGGAUCGCCUGACACCUUAUCCUGACACAUGUGCCUCAGUCGGCAAGGUCGAAGUGACCACAGUCACUUUGCCCUUUCACUGACCGACCUGACAGGAAAACAGCGCCGCUCACCCCGCUCCGACUGCUGUGCCACCCACUAGGGCGAUGCUGACAACCACCAAGUUCAGCCUCGGGCGCAACAGGAAACUCCGCCUCGCCGGACCUUAGGCCUCAGCCUCGGAAGGAGGUCUCCGCCUCGCCCGACCCCAGGGCUCGGCCUCAACCUCGGCCUCGGAAGGAAUCUCGUCCUCGCCCAACCCUGGCCUCGGCCUCAGGAGGAGUCUCCGCCUCGCCCGACCUUGGGCUCGGACCGACCGCGCCACGGGGGAUACAUCAUUACCCUACCCCUAGCUAGCUCAGGCUACGGGGGAAAAAGACCGGCGUCCCAUCUGGCUCGCCCCGCUAACAAGUAAUGAUGGCUCCCCACGUGCGUCUAUGACGACAGUGGUUCUUAACCCCCUACGGAAGCUAGGAGACGUCAGCAAGAUCCCAGCAGCACCGACAGUUGUGCUUCUACAGGGCUCAGGCACUCCUCCGACGGCCACGAUACCGCGUACACAGGGCUCUAGCACCUCUCCGACAGCCACAUUGGCAUGUACACAGGGCUCAGGCACUCCACUGCUGGACACGUUAGCGCAUUGCUACACCCCCAUUGUACACCUGGACCCUCUCCUUGCAUCUAUAAAAGGGAGGUCCAGGGCCUUCAUGCGGGAGGUCGGAGGGUCGCACGGGGGAACGAGCGGACGAACAGGCUCACUCUCUCCCUCUCGCGAAUGCUUGUAACCCCUACUACGAGCACACCCCCCUGGUGCGAGAUAACACGAGCCGCGUUUCCUCCUUGUGUUCCAUCUUGCGCCAACCCAUCUAGGCUGGGACACGCAGCGACAAAUUUACUCAUCGGUCUAGGGACCCCCCGGGGUCGAAACGCCGACAACAUAUGUGUCAUGUUUUUUAUACGUUUCUUUCUCUAGUUAAUUGUGAUGUAGUAUUGUGUUGCGUAAAUAUCCAAAAUGUUUGUCGUCUUUUUAGAGGUGUUAAUGUUGUGCGCUCGACGAUAUGUAGUUAGCUAACGCUAGUGUGUGUGGUUGCGCUACUUAGUGUUUAAUUCGCUAGCGUGUACUUAAAGUAUCUUGUGCUAUUUCAUUGUAUUCAUACAUAUGCAUCUUGCAUCUCAUUUAGGACCGAGAGAGGAUGAUCGUGCAAGUGAUGUGGUGCCAAGCACAAGAUGCAAUUGGUGGACGACCCAAGGAAGCAUGGACUUAACCAGUGGAUGCUCGCCAAGCGAGCACCUCCCCCAGCAAACACUAUCUAAGUGUUAAAUUAAAGGCGAGCCCCGGUUUUAUGCAUAACCGUUAUAUAUGCUAUUUUACUACACUUAAUGUUUGUAGGCUUGUACUGUGCAUUUAAGUGUAGGAGUUUCCUGAAACCCUAGUUGCAUGAACUCAGGAUUCCUUUUGAGAUGGAUACUAGUAUGCUAGGUCGAGUAGCUGCUUUACUAAUUAGGGAUCUCGGUAGAAGUCGAGUGAUUUUUCUAGCACUCGCGCGAGGUCAGGAAUUUGUUGUAUCCAUUUUUAUAUCAUAAUGAUGAUGGUCUGUGGACAACGGUCCAUGGGGAUGCGUUGUCUACGAGACGGAAAUUGGAAUAAGGAUUAAGGUGUGGUACCGUGUGUCAAGCGUUUGAAUGUACUAAGCACAUGCCGAGAAAUAUGGUAAAUCGGUAAUCCUAGUACCUGAGUGAACCUGGCAGUAGAUUGCCCUCCUCACGCAACCUGAGAUGUGGUCUCCCAUUCCGGUUAUGGUGGGUACAAGUGCGGUCACUGCACGACGGCAGUCGGGGUCAGUGAGGCAUUGUACGCCAAGGCGGUGAGCCCCUCUCUGCUAACGGGGAAUCGAUGGGGACGGUUGAUGUGUGUGGGGACGGAGUGCCUCGCCACAUCGUGUGUUUAGGUUUACCUUGCAAGGUUUGAAAACUCGAUUCGAAUCAUCUGCUUCUCACAGCUAAUGAGACUGCUUGAUCCAUGCUGCUACAUUGAGUAAUAAGUGGAAAUGAGGUGACUGGCAAAAGAUGUUGAUUGAUAAAAUGUUUGAUACCAUGUAUGCAUAUCUAGGUACACAUCUAGUUUAAAAAGGAUCAUACUAAAACUAGAAAAGCUAAAACUUGAUUUUAGACUCAGCUAGUGCUUUUGGCAAACCAAACCCCUCAGCCAAACAGCUGCAUGUCUAGGGGUAGAGGAGUAGACUCCUCACACCAGGUAAGUCUAGUUGAGUAUUAGUAUACUCAGCCUUGCUUGUGGCAUAAUUUUUGCAGGUACCUCCUUGUUGUGGUUGAUGGUGUGACUUGGCCUCCAUCCCUGCCACCGGGAUAGACGGUCAAGUGGGUUACUGCUUCCACAGGAGAGGACCAGGAGGAGUAGCGUGGCUAGGCUUCGCUAUGUUACUCAGUUUUCUCCGUUAGUUAUUUCCGCUGCAUUAAAAUUUAUGAUUAUUAUUUCUGAAACUCCGAUAAUGUAAUCACUAUUGAUACUUAAUAAAUUUGUGGUAUUAUGUUUUAUUGUAUUUCUCUGUGCCUCACCUUCGUGUGAGCUAGUGGUAUUCGAUCCUGGUAAGUGGCUUUAUCAGACUAGAUCCGAGGGACUGACGGGUUAUUCUUAUUUAAGUGUGUUGCUGCCCUUAAGGGUGCGACUUGGGCAAUUAAGCUGGAAUAAUUCGGGCGGUUCUGCCACACUCAGGCGAAUGUACCUAGCCUCCUAUAAUUCCGUUAACUCCUUCUUAAGUUCCUUUAGUUCUUCUACGAACAUCAUGUAUGGCCGUUUAGAAAUAGAAGCAGUCCCAGGUAAGAGAUCAAUGACAAACUCAACUUCCCUAUCUGGUGGCAUCCCUGGUAACUCCUGUGGAAAGACACCCAGAAAAUCCCUAACCACCCGGAUGUUGUCACCAACAAACUCCCCAUCUAUAAAGAAUGUCGCACGUUGGGUAGAAGUAGUUACUGCAAUUUCAACUUGAAACCUUUCUCCUUUAGGGCUGGUGAGUUCUAUAGUACCCUUACCACAUUGUAUAAUGGUCUUUGCCUUUCUUAGCCAUGACAUACCAAGGAUCAGAUCUAUACUGCUUGCCUCUAAUAUUAUAGUGGUAGCCAAGAAUUCUCUUCCCAUUAAUGUUAAUGUCAAUCUAUGUGUCAUAUAACUUGCUUCAACAGGCCCUUUAGGUGUAAUUACUAUCAUUGGUGUUUUCAUAUUUUUCAGUGGUAACUCAUUUGUGUUGGCAUGUCAAGCAGACAUGAAUAAAUGUGUAGCACCAGAAUCAAAUAAUAUUUUUGCAGGAAUUGCAUUAAUGUAAAACAUACCAAGUGCGAUGUCAGCUCCUUCCGCAGUAGCAUCAGCGCUGACCUGAAUAACCCUGGCAAUAGAGAAUCCCUUACCAGAUCUUGGAGUCUGCUGUUUGUUCUGAACUGGGGUAGUAGCAAUCCUCUGUGGGCAAACAUUUGCAUAAUGUCCAGUCUUCCCACACUUGUAGCAAGUUGUGCCUGCACUCUGUCCUGAAAAUUUUGUCGGGCUGCCAGUGGGGGUAGCCUGACGAGUCGGUGGAGUCCCCAGAGGUGAGUGCUGACCUGGGCGCUGGCCUCCUCCAGUGCGAACUGGUGUACCCUGGGGUGAACUGUAGCGAGGACAAACACUGCUGCUUCCCUGACCCUAGGAUAUCGCCUUCCUCUUCAAAUCUCCCAGCUGAACACGCUUGUGUUCAAUAGCUAGGGCCUUGUCAAGCAGCCUCUGGAAUGAUGGAAAUGUAUGUGCCACUAGAGCAUACUGCAGAGGUCCAUUGAGUCCUUCAAUAAAGUGCUCAUGCUUCCUCUCAUCUUCAGCAACUUCAUCUGGUGCGUAUCUAGAGAGCUAAAUGAACUUGUCGCAGUACUCGCUGACUGAUAUGCUUCCCUGCUUCAGCGAUAGAAAUUCCUUCUUCUUAAUCUUCAUCAGUCCAGCAGGAAUAUGGUAGUUUCUAAACUAAGUAGCAAACUCCGUCCAUGUGAUAGUAUCAGCAGCAUCGUGGGCAGCGAUGUAUGAAUCCCACCAAUUAGCAGCAGGACCUGUCAGACGACUAGAAGCAUAUAGAACCUUCUCCCGGUCAGAGCAUUAGGCAAUAAUCAACAUCUUCUCCAUAGACUUCAGCCAAUCAUCAGCGUCCAGUGGAUCAGAAGAAAUAGCGAACGUCGGUGGCUUAUGGCUCAUGAACUCCCAGUGCUUGUCCCGGGGUGGAACUGGUGGUGGGGGUGGAGGCAGUGGUGCUUGCUGCUGUUGCUGUUGCUGUUGCGCCCUUCUCUCUUGGCGUAUCUCCUCUCGCUCUUAGCGCAUCUCCUAGCGUAUAUCCUCUCGCUCUUGGCGCAUCUCCUGGCGUUCCUGCCGCAUCUACACAUGCAUAUCCGCCAUGGUGUCUGCCAUCUAUUGCAUUAUCCACAUCUAGGCUGCAACUGCGGGGUCAGCUCCGGCUGGUGGAGGCUGUGGAGGAUCCAUCUCAGGUUGUUGUUGUGGUUGUCUAAAUAUCAUCCAAGUGUGUUGAUUGGGAGGUAGAUCAAUUCCACCACCCUUCCUGGUAUUGACCAUCUGAGUUAGAAACAUAUGGUAAGAGAGAAAGGAUUGUAGACAAGGCAGGUAAUUAUGAGGCAUGUUACUUUCGGGGAUUUAUUAGCAAAGUAGAUUUAUGUUUUACUUACCAAAACUAAUUCAUUACCUUAUGGUGGUACAUGCUAAGAUGUCCAUUUAUAAUAUCUCAAUCAAUCAAAGAAGCAAAUCAGACAUUUAUCAUCAGAACAAUCAACCAACAUUUUUAAAUAGAAAAAAUAGUUGUAAUUUCGUCUUAGGUUCCCUAUAUCUUAAGAAUGUCAUAAAUGUAGGAUUCCAAGGUGUGAAAUCCAUCUUGUCUUAGAGUGGAAAAGAUAAGAGUAAUCAGAGUAUGACAUCAAAAGGUGAGACAGGAUCAAGAUAAGAUAAGUAUAGAAUGAAUCAGAGUAAGGUAAGUAGGUAAGGGUCUUGUCCAUGUCUAUCUAGGUUUCGUCCUACAGUCAACAUUUCCUCUUAUACCACUUCUGUCACACCCGGAUUUAAGUGACAAAGUCGAGUGCAUCUCAUACAUGCGCCAAAGAAGACAACAUAUAUAAUAACAGAGUGUAUAGAGAUAAAUGUCACAAAAACAUUAGAGUACUUAUUACAUAGCGGAAGUCUUACAAAAUAAAUGAUAAAUAUAAAAUGAACUAAGGAUCAUCCUUGGCGCCAUAAAGUCAACUGGGAGACGCCACCUAGAUCAGAUCAAACUCCUCGUUGUGUGGCUCCUCCUGAACCACCUGUUCUUCUCCUGUGGGGGGUGUGAGACAGCAAAGGUGAGCUCACACAUGAUCAUAGCUCAACAAGUUGUGGGUAAACUAGGGUACAUGAACUCACCAAAGGUGGGAGUUCAUGUGAUGUGUAAGGCUAAUCAACAAUAGGGGUUAAAGCUGAGCAUUGCUUUUAAUAAGUUGGUCAAAAUUUUAUUAGAAGUUACUAAAUGUAAGUGAAUACCAAACCAUAAUAAAAAUAAUAGAACAAAAUUAAUAAAUAAUCCCAUGCAAUGCAAAUGACAAAUUGAAUUUAAGUUUCAUAAAUUAAUCAUGUGAGAGUCCUGAGCUGCUCAUGACCACGAGCACGACUAGUAUACCAGUUUUACACUCUGCAGAGGUUGUACCCUGUACCCACAAGUCAUGUUACCCAUCUGCCAAGGGAUCGCGACUCCCAUACACCUCUACCAAGGAAGCAGGCAGGCAGGGCAACACUACGAGGCCUUUACAAAGUUCCACUAGCUUCCGAAAACCCGCUACAGUUUAUGGGAAGAGCACUUGCAAGAAUCGCCCGUCUGACCGCCAUCGCAGCAAAAUCAACCCGAGAACCUUCUUGCAUGCAAUUCCCCUACUGCCCUUGCCCCUUUUGGGUAAAGUAGUCUUCCACUAGCUUUCCUAAUUAUUUAGCCAAGGGGUCACAUUCCUCCCUUGUGGUGGCACGUGUUUCUCAAGUUAAGCUCCAUAUUCUAAUUAACAUUAAUGAUCUUGAUGUAACACCUCAGGUAUUACCAUGGCUAGGGCACAUUUAUGCUUUAAUGACUGUGAUCACAUGAGGAAGAAACUUAAGGGGAAGAGUAUAAGAACCUUGGAGACUAGGUUUAACCAAGAAAUGUGAAAGACCAAAAACAUUACCCAAGUUGUGUACACUUAUCACCUUGUUCAAGAAGGGAGUAAACCCUAGACCUCUCUUGAACCCUAUCACCUAAACACCUUGGUUAAAGGGAAGAGAUUAAGCAAAGGUGCAAGUCAUGACCAAACCUUUGGCACAAAGUUAAGUAACUUAUUAACCUACAAUUAUAGAGAGGAAACAUUGCUAAAAGACCCCUUAAGAAACCCCAAAUCCAUUCCCUAAGUAGAGAAAGAGCUAGAGCUCUCUAAUUCUCUCUAAGUCAAAAACUACACCUAAUCUAAAGAUCCACCGUGUUCACCUUGAAGAUGGCACCAAAACCCCUUAAGUUCUAUACCAAAAAUGUGGCAUACCACCUAGGGCACCCCCUGGAAAAAGUUGAGACCGAGACCUUGACGUUUGACAUGGCUUGGCAUCACUUUUGUCGCGCAGCGGGCAGGGGGACAAGCCAGUUUUGGCGUCCGCAUAUCUUCUGACCUAGGGCUUAUCUUCCCUUGGAACUCACAUAUGAGAGAUAGCCAUAGGUGCCAGGAAGAGGUCUGCACCGGAUUUUUUGCCAAGAUUCGCACGUUUGUGAUCUCAGUAGGCAUUUGAACACGGGCAGAUGAACACUUCCACGUGUUCGACGCGUUCUGCACGCGCCAGAGCAUGCCCGCGCCCGACCUCGCGUGCCCUGCGUCGCGCCAAAGGCCAGCCGACGCCAUGGCCCGCGCCCGCGCCUAUAUAACGCCCAGUGACCUUAACCGUACCCUUUUGCGCAUGCUCAACCUCACCGGAGCUCAAACUCACCGGCGUUUGCCCGUGCACGGCGUGUCCGCGGCCACCCGAGCCCCUGCCACCGUAGACCGGCCAACCAAGCCCUUCCCAACCCCGUCCGACCCUCGGAGAGGACUGAGCACACCUCGGUGAAGCUCCCCGAGCGAGGAAUCGAAGUUUGCUUCACCGGAGAGGCCAGUCCACGGUCGCCGGACUCCCUCCGACCGCCGGCGAGCGUAGACCGGGUAAGCCACUGCGCCAUUUUUCGAUUCAAUGCACAGAUAGCCUCUACAUCACCCCGUGAAGCUCACCGGGCCAUUGGAUUGAACUAGAUCGCCGUGGUUUGGCCGGCACACCCACCGCCGACGAGGACACCCGCCUGCGCGCGUGGACCGAGCGAUUCCGGCCAUCCCCGCCGUCGAGCCGUACAUCGUUGUGACCGCCAGAGCCUCCCCGAGCCAACCCCGCCCCUCGCCGGACCUCUCUCGCCGCCGGUAAGCCGCGCCGCCCUUUUCUUUCCCGCGGGUACUGUUUACAUUAGGGGAAGGACCUCGGGGAAGAAGAAGGAAAGGUCAGGGGGAUUUUUGAACUGUCAGUGACUCAGGGGAAUAGUGGCGCAGGGGUAGAUUUGAGUGGGUUGAUUUGGAUUAAACCCAGGGUCCUCGGCGCAAAGUAGUUUUCCAGGAAACCUUUAUUAAAUCUGAUUUAAAUUUCGAACAGAACUUGAAUAAUUCAUAACUUCUGUUUUAUUCAUCCAAAUUUAGUCAAACCAAUUUUUUCAGACUUUAAAUAAUGUAAACUGCUUAGGAAAAAUAUAAAACCCUUAUGUACUACAGAAAACUUUAGGGUUCUGAUUUAAUUAUUGUUUUGACCAAAAGCUAAAUAAUAGGAAUAAAAAUAGUUGCACUAUUUGACUAAGGUUAGGAAAAUUUGGAGAAGUUUAUGUCCACCUACUGACCUGUUUAAAAAUGCUAAACCUCUCUGUCCACCCCAUUAAGUUAGUUUUUGCCAUUUAUUUUACAAUAUGCUUAAGAUUAAGAAAAAUAGAAAAGGUGAUUAAAAUGAUGAACCAGAGGGCACUCCUAUUUUUGUUAGAGUACUUAUUCAAUGUAGUUCGCUAGAAAAAUCUAUUAUACCCUGGUUUAGUAUAAAAUAAGUAGGAUACCUUUUAUUUUAAGAAAACAAGGAAAACUUAGAAAAACCCUACAAAAAUAACCCCAAGGUGAAAACACCCCAACCCUUGGGAUAGUUAAUGUUUUGUUACUAAGAACUUAGGAAAAAUAUGAAAUCUGCUGUUUGACAUUUUUCAAGUAACAAUGUAGUAGAAAGUGCCUUUUUGGCAAUAAACUUUGGAAAAUCACAACUAAAUAAUCAUCCUUUAGCUUUCUGUAAUUUUUGGCAUAGAAGCUUAUUAUUACUGUUAGAUGCCAACAAAAAUAACCUUUAGGACAGAACCCAUCCCUAAUUAAGAGUUGUAGUGCAAAGUGGCCCAUUUACACAACUUUUGUUAUUUUUGUCUAGAGCAUAGCCUUUUUAAAUGGAACCUCAAAGUCCUAGAACAGGCUAUAUUGACUAUAGGCAAGCCACUGUAAUUUUUACAAAAUUUUUGGAAAAAAGUUAAACCAAUGUUGUAGUUCAAACCUCCACUAGAAGUCAUAAAUAGAAAAUAAAGAAAGGAAAAUGAAUAAUGGAAAAUGGUGUCAUCCCAAAACCCUUUGUAAAUUGUCCACUGAAAUAUAAAGGAAAUACCAAUCCACUAUGCCUAUCUCUAGCAAAACCUAAACCAAGAGUUAUAAGCAUAAACCACUAAAAGCCACAUAUGACCAAGAAAACCCUAAGUUACUCAUUAACUUAGUUUUUCUUCCUUUAGCAUAAUGUUAUUAAAUCCUGCAUAAUCAUGACAUACAUAUUCCUUGCAUUUCGAUAGACUGUAACCUCGCUGACGGAGAGUACGUCCUCGUGCCGGAGCAAGGAGCUGCUCAGGAGGUAGCCCCGGAUCCAGCACCAGAGCCUGCACCAGAGGAUCUGCCUGCUACAGCCUUGGAAGGCAAGCCCCGGUUUAUGCAUAACCUGUUAUUUAUGCUAUUUUAAUAUACUUAAUGAUUGUAGGAUUGAUUGUGCACUUAAGUGUAGGAGUUGUUUGAAACCCUAGUUCCAUGAUCUAGGAAUCCCAUUGAGAUGAAUACUAGUAUGCUAAGUCGAGUAGCUGCUUUAUUCAUUAGGAUCUCGGUAGAAGUCGAGUGAUUUUUCUAGCACUCGCGCGAGGUCAGGAAAUUGGUUGUAUCCACUUUCUUCUCAUAAUGAUGCUGGGUUGUGGGCAACAAUCCAUGGGGGUUGGUUGUCCACGGGAUGAAAAUUGGAAUAAGGAUUAAGGUGUGGUACCGUGUGUCAAGCGUUUGAACGUACUAAACAUAUACCGAGAAAUAUGGUAAAUCGGUAAGCCUAGUACCUGAGUGAACCUGCCCGCAGAUUGCCCUCCUCACGCGACCUGAGACGUGGUCUCCCAUUCCGGUUAUGGUGGGUACAAGUGCGGUCACUGCACGACGGCAGUCGGGGUCAGUGAGGCAUUGUACGCCAAGGCGGUGAGCCCCUUUCUGUUGCCAGGGAAUCGAAGGGGACGGUUGAUGUGUGUGGGGACGGAGUGCCCCUACACGUCGUGUGUUUAGGUUUACCUUGCAAGGAUAAAAACUCGAUUUGAAUCGUCUGCUUCUCGCAGCUACAAGAUAAAAACUCGUCGUGUGUUUAGGUUUACCUUGCAAGAAUAAACAAGGUGGUUUCGUCCACAACAAAGCAAACGAUAGCAGAUGAAGGUAAGGUUGCAAAGGUAAUAGUAUUUUACAAGCCAACCCUUCAUUGUUUCCAUUACAUUAAUUUAUCUACCUAAAUACAUUUUUUGUACAAAAGUUACAAGAUUUUUUCUAAGACUACACCAAAAAUUCUCAGCUUCAGUUCUUCACUCUUCGCCGACAUCAGGCUGAAAAUUUUAUUAUAUAAAGUGUUUUAGCAGUUUGAAAUAGAGAAAAGCAGAAGUUGAAAGGUAAGGACGUUAUUUCAGACUUCAUCAAGAAGAGCUCGAACUUCGUUUCCGGCCAGUUCUCGACCGCCCUUCGCCCAUAUCUGGGUAAUAUUACCCACGCUUCGAGGUUCGCUUGGAAUAUUCUCAAGGUCAGCUGGGGAGAUAGUGAAGGUGGGCUUGUUAACAUCUCUCAAAUGCUUACACCCAGCUUUUGCAAAUAUAUUAGUUGUUCCUCGAGCGGCCACUAGGGCACAAAAAUCUCCGUGCCCCUCCAUCACUUUGUCAAACUCAUUGAUUUCUUUUUUCCACAAACUCAAGCGCCUUCAAAAUAUCAUCGGCAGAAUAUUUCUCUUCUCCUCACAUUGCCCCGAUUGAACUAAAAAUCUCGCGCGGGCGAAGGGAGCAUCGAGUUGUGAAGCUAGAGUAGGUGCCCCGAUGCAUUUUGAGGGCUUCAAAUAAUUUAGAAUGUUUCUCUGCUUCGGCUUUGACUUUAUCCUUUAAACCUUUAACCUCAUGCUCAUAACGGAUUUCAGCUUCCUUUAAAUUUGAAUGUGCUUCUUCAAGCUAUUUGUUUUGAUCAGAAAUUCGAGUAGCAUGCUCCUUAAUCCGAAGGUGAGCUUUAGUCAGGUUUGCUUCGGCAGUCUUAAUCUUUGAAUCUUUUUCUUCCAGAAGAUUUUCAAGUUCUUUCACUCUUUCUUCCAAGUUAUUGAUAACAAGCUCAUUUUCCUGUCUUUGUUUUCUUGUUGCAACUUUAAAGCUUUUCUCAAUAGUAGGCUCUGUUAAAAAGAUGAAGUCACGUUAGCCCGAAACUCUCGAAAUUUAAAAAUUAAUAAGUUAAAGAGGUAAACAUUAAAGUUAUACCUUAAAAUUUGAAUAGAACAAGCUCCCAGUAACAUGGUGUCUCCUAUAAUUGUUGAGAUCUCGUUCGAGCUUUGGGAAUUCGAUGCUCCUUGAUAAAGUAUUAACAAUUUUUGCUCCGGCACGGUCAGUGAUGCACCCUAGAAUCUCCUCGUCGAAACCACCAAGGAGCACGGAUCCAGGCUUGUAGCCGCCAGCAAUAGCGAAUUUUUUUUAACUCAGAGAUAUCUUCUUUGGAGAGUUCCUGGCCCCCAAGUGUCGUAGGUUCAACUCUCUAUCCUCCAAAGAAACUCCUUCCAAUUCUUUCAUUUUUAAGGGCUAGGGCGAAGCCCUAUUAGUGGUCACUUCAGCCAUUUCUCUUUCGGGAACCACAUCAGCUAUAAUCCUGUCAAUCUCUGACAUUGUGGUUCCAAGAGGGCCUCCUCUAUUUUCAGCUUCAGGGGCCGCUUCAUCAGCUUCGACAUCAGCAUUAGCUUCGGCAUUAGCAGGGGCAACACUUUUUUCUGCCGAGACUGGGGGCGGGGUCUUAUGGAUAGCUUUCAUCACAUCCAUCAUGCAUCAUUUCUUCUGACCCACUCAUUUCCCCCAGUUGCCGAAGCAAUCUUCUCCCAUUCCGCGCCUUUUUCAACCCCUUCUCCUUUGACUGCAAUAAGCUAGUCAGAUCCGACCCUAGGGGACUUAGCAUAGCAAACGGGAAGGGUUCAGUCAUUACCUUCAAUAUUUCUGUAACGUCGGUAGAGGAGGAUGAAGAGGUGCCAGUAGUCUUCUCUGGUACAUCUUGUACCUUCGCCUCGGUAGGGGCCAAGAUUGAGGAGUUUCGUUUUUUGGGAGCCAAAACCUUCAACUUCACUGAAUUUUUUUUGUUUUUAGAAGCCCUCUGAUCUUUUUCAAUGGAACGCAUGGCUUGUAUUUUCAAAAUGCUUACAACCCUCUUUUUCUUUGCUCCACCAGCUCCUUUGUCAAGCCUUUCGUAGUCUGGGUGCUCGAAGUUAAGGGCGUCCAUCACUCCGUUCAGCCUUCGUUUUUUGAGUGUCGAAGGCAGCUAUCAUCAAUUGAUCCUCCUUCUUCGUAUAAUUCCCAAGGAUCUCAUUGCACAUUGUCUCUAUCAUUUCCAACCAUUCGGCAUAAGGGCCACAGAAAGAAUCCUAAAACUUAAACCGAUAUGGCAACCGAACGAGCUCAAAUUUUUCCCUUCUUUCUUCUUCGGCACCCCCCACCCAACAGAUAUUGGAAAGGUUUUGUUAGCCAGGUAUUCUUGCACCAAAUCUCAAGUACUAAUGUGCUUUGACAUGACUCUGAAUUCCAAUUCGGCUAACUGACAGGGGGAGCCAAGUUGCAUGUUGCACAAUGGUCGUGUCAUGUCGAAGCUCAAUCUCAUGGGACUCAUCACCAGUCAUAAGCUUCUCCAUUUUCUUUUCAUCAGCUUUCACAUAAAACCAUUCACUUGUCCAGCCAGUCGGCCACUUGGUACGAUAUCCAAUCACAAGAGCCUUAGUAUCCUUUUGGUAUGCAAAAUUGUAACACCCGAAGUUAGUAUGCAGUCCAUCAGCCCUAGCCUUAGUUUGGUAAUGGAGUUUGUGUACUCUGCAAAAUCCUUCGCCAUUAGCAGUUUUUCCUUGACUUCGUAAAACCCAUAUGUACACGCUGAGUCUGACUAUAACAUUUGGGGUUAGUUGAUGAAGGUAGAUUUCAAACUUCUUUAAAACUUCACCGAUCAUUUCAUAUAGAGGGAACCGAAGUCCUACUCUGAAGAAGCUCUUAAAACAACGAUUUUGUCAUUUCUUGGUUCAAGAACCACUUCUUCCCCAGUGAACCGUAUCAGUUCGUCAUUAUUUUUUCCAAAAUAUCCUAAUUUCUUCAUUAAAACCAAAUCUUCCGCCUUAACUAUGGAUUUUACAAACUUAAUGUGGCUAGGCUUGCUUGGACUCAAAAUGCUGUCAUCCUCUUCAUCAUCACUAUCAGCUUCGAAAAUAGUUGGUUCAGCUUCGGAAACAACAACAUCUUUUAUCGGAACAUACUCUUUUUUUUCUCAUACAACUAACCCAGAACGUUUCAUCAUUUCUGAAAUAGGGGUCGUCUCAGUAGCUUCAGCUUCUUCUCCUUCAUUUGUUACUCUGGUAGUAGACCUGACUCUAGCCAUUUCAGUUCUGUGAGACGAAGCUAGAUUCAACUAAUUGGACAUUUGUCCGAAGCUUGGACAGCAAGUGCACGGAAAGCAGAGAGCUUCGACUUAAGUAAAAAUUUUCAACGGCGCAAUGAUGCAGUAGCAAUAAAUGUUGUGGUAACUUCUCACCAACUCGUCUGUUUAUAUAGCCCCGCAGGUGAAGAAGGCAAACCGCCGAAACGUGCGUACUGACUGAUCGGUGGACUGGUAAGCGUCGUAGGUUUUUAUUCGUUUUUAAUAACAAGCUUAGGGAAGGUGUUUUUUGAACCUUCGACAUCCAGAAGCCUUCAUGUUUUUCGCGGAUCGAGCUCGUUAUGAAAAAACGGCAUGGCACCACGAAGGGGCUAUUGUUGGGGGUCUCCUCUGCCGAAGGUCCUCAAUACGAAGAUAUUGUCUGUAAGCAACAAGAUUGAAUACCCAAGCUACAACGAACAUGUGUAAAGAGUCGAAGGAUGACAACUUCGGCUUAAGGUGGCGACGAAGGUCAAACAUAAUGACGAGUCAAAGAGGAAAAGACUAGUUAAUCCCUAAUGUUUUGUAUUAGGAUUAUGUGCACAUGUUAAGGUCAUAAAUGUAUUUUUACUCAGGCUGCAUCUCGUUCCUAUAAAUAGGUGAACAAUAUCCCCUGUACGGUUCACGCUGGAUUGUAAUUGCUCCCGUGUCAUCACCUUCAAACAAGCCGAAGUUAUCAAUGUAAUAUAAACUUUGAUAAGGUUUAUUCAUUUAUUAUGAAAUAAUUAUGUGACAUGACAUCACAUUUUGCAUGUAUAUUCUUACAUUUAUGAAUGAUGAAUACUCGUUCUUCAUGACCUUCAUUCGUUUGAAGACUAUUAUACCUGAAAGGAUAUAAUGCUUCAAAGGACGAAGGUCCUUAAUGUUUAACAAUUGUGUUGCCUCGUUUUUGGUUCACAACAAUCAAAAACAAGUGACCAACACUCUGUUGCAUUGGGACCAGCCCGGUGAAAGGCAGGUGUUCGGCCUGGAUAUUUUGAUUGAAGCCGAAGAGAACAUCAGAAUUGUUUGGGAGAAUCUGAAGACAACAAAGUCCAGGCAGCAAAGCUAUGCUAACACAAGAAGAAGAGAGUUGAGCUUCGAAGUGGGAGAUAAUGUUUACUUGAAGGUGUCACCCAUCAGAGGAAUCAAAAGGUUCAGGGUCAAGGGCAAGCUAGCACCUCAAUACAUCGGACCGUACCAGAUUCAGGCAAGACAUGAAGAAGUGGCAUAUCAGCUCAGCCUACUAGAGAGUCUGCCAGUCGUGCAUGAUGUGUUCCACGUGUCUCAACUGAAGAAGUGUGCGAGUACCAGAAGAGAAAUUGCCAACCGAGGAUCUCGUGGUUCAAGAAGACUUAACUUAUAUUGAGAAGCCAACCUAGAUUCUGGAGACAGUAGACAGUCACUCGAAGAAGCACCAUCAGAACAUGCAAAGUCAAGUGGGGCCAUCACUCAGAGGAAGAAGCAACCAAGGAAAGAGAAGGUGAUCUGAAAGCCAAAUAUCCCGAACUCUUUGUUAGCCAACCCUGAAUCUCGAGGGUGAGAUUCUUUUUAAGGGGGUAGGUUUGUAACACCCUAAAUUCAGGGGUAUAAAAUUUCUUCUCUAAUGCCGACCAAAUUCAGGUGUUACCUCUUGUUUCUCUCUCUCUAGACUUCUUCUCUCUUCCCUUUUAUUAGAAUUAUAUCAAUUAGGUGAGGGAUUAACUAUUUAUUUAAUAUAGAAAAACAUAUGUGAGUCAUGAAAUGUUGCAUCAUGCUGAGCCUAAAUUAUUCUUUUGUUUGAUGCACAUGUUUGAAUUAUUUGAAUUGGGUUUGAAUUUGAUUUGAAUUCCAUAGAGAAAAUUAAAAAAAGAAAAGCAUUUGGAAAUUCCGGAAAAAGGGAAAACAGUUUUCGGCCCAUUAAGCCCAGCUCGGCCCAGCCAGUCGCACGCGCGCGCUCCGCCUGACAGGUGGGUCCCACCUGUCAGCGUCAGCGACAGCCGCGACCGCGCGCUUUCUUUCUCUCUCCUUACUCGGUGGGGCCGGCAUGUCGGUGCCACCGCCUUUCCCUAGUGCAUGCCCUCCUCUCUCUGCGCGUGGGUCCCACCUACCAGUCAUGCCUGCGCCCCGUCUCAUGUUGCGUUCGCGGUCACUGUCCGAUGGGCCCACCUGUCAGCAACUCACCCCUCGUCCUGGCCCGAACUGCUCCCCCACGCGGAGCACUAGCCCAUGUCGCCCCGAGCCCACCUAUCAGCCUCUCUCUCUCCCCCCAUGACGUCCACUCGCCAUGGCCGGCCUCGGAGCAUAAAACCCCCUCCCCUUCCCCGCGUGCUCCCGCCUCUGCUAACCACCCCGCGCUCUCGUCUGUGCCUUGGCCGUUGUCAUUGCCCAUUGGCCGUCGACAUACGCGCCGCCGGAGAUCCGUGCCAUCGUACUCACCGGCGUCACCCACGGUGAGCCCAAUACUCCCUCCUUUCUCCCCAUUCUUCAUCCAUUCGUUGCGGCUGUGUUGCCCGAUGACUCCGCCUUGGUGGCCGUAGCUCGUGCACCCCGGAGAAAGCCCCUCGCCGUCGGGCAUGGCCGACUGUGCACCCGGCUCGGGGUUGAAGACGAUUCCGAUAGCCGUGGCCCACCCUGCAGCCUCACUCCCUCCCCCCUCUUUCCCCUCGCGCGGUCACUGGCCUGUGGACCCCGGUCCUGCGCGUCAGUGCUGCGCGCGGCAUCAAAGCCCUUUCCCCCACUUUGUGCCGCUGACUGGCGGGACCCGUUUAUCAGUGCGCAUCUGCUUUCGCGCCCGCGUUUGCCUCGCGCCGCUGACCAGCGGGCCCUUUCUCGUCGUGGCCCCGCCUGUCAGAGGCCAAUGCUCUAGCGCUCUAUCACGAACCCCUGCCGCGCCGGCGCCGCUGGCCCGUGGACCCCGCUUGUUAGGCGUCCGCGCCCACGCGCCCGCGAGCUCGUACGCUGGAUCUAAUCAUAUCCGUUGUUCGAAGAUCGGAAGGCUGGCAGAACCCUGUACCCCUUCGCGUGGUAGUUUUGUUAAAAAGAUCCUCGGCUUUCUGAAAAUCAACCUGUUGUCCCUAGGUUUCAUGCGCAGGCCCGUCUGUUUUUCCAGAAUAGCCUCUGACCUUUUAGUUUAUCACAUAAUUAGACCUAGUUUUGUAUUUUGAAUUCCAAAAACUUGUUUAUUUCAUAUCUUUUUCAUAUGAACUCCAAAUUGAGUGAUUCAAAUUGCAAAAUGUUCAUAAGAUUAUUCACCAUCUGUUGAAAUUAUAAUCAUUCACUGUCUGUAGGUAUUAAUUUUAAGUCUAGACUAUAGGUUAGUUUAAGUGAUAGUUUAUUCAUUAAUAGGAAAAUAAAAGGAAAACCCUAAUGGUAAUUAGAUGAUUAACUUUGUGAGGUUAAUAUCAUGUAAUAUAUGAAACCAUACAUGGUAUAAUUUUAAUAAUUCAUUAAGAUAAAGGAAGUUAAGUUAUGUGAUCCAUGAGAAAAGCGGUACUUAGAGAAUCACAAACCUCUAGGUGUAAUUGUCCACCGUAGAACCUAGAUUUCACUCUUGUGUGUAUACCAUACUUUCGAGGUUGUGUUCACUUGAUUGUACAUGAUUGGUGUACUAUUUAUUUGUCAUUAUCCAAAUGUGUUGAAUGUAUGAUCGCUUUGUGUAGACAACAAGCAGUCCGUGGUUCCUGAGUGUGUUGCCGAAGACUUCCCUGAGCAGCAACCUGGUGAAGGCAAGUGUCCUCUGACCUAUUAUGUCCUACUUACUUUAUAAUUCAUUGUCUCACAUUACUUAAUUGAAACCUAAGGAUUGACUAGUUUGUAUUCACCUUCUCCUUGAUUACCUUUUGGGUUAUUAUGUUAGCUUCAUGCUAUUGCUUUACAUUAAUCAAUGAACACGAUGAGAAUAUUUAUGAUAUGAUGAUGUUAUCUUGAUUAUGAUGAUGAACUGUGAUACUUUAGGGGACUCCGGCUAUUUCCUGAGUACCUCUCCGUAAGGCCCUGUUUGUUGAGAAACCACUUAGGAUAACAAUACAACUAUGAGAGUGGAAUGAGACACCCUUAGUUGAAUAAUUAGAGGAACUAGAGGUGUAGUCGGCUUCACUGUAGGGUCGUCAAUGGGGUCCGGGCACAGUACUUGCUCUGCCGAGGCUGGUUGCCGAGGUUCUUUCGAUUUGGUUUUGUUAGUCACUCUUCCUGUGGGGAGAAGUACUGUGUUUAUCUAACUAGAGAAACCUAACAGUCAGCUAUGACCUCUUGGGAAUCUUUGUAAAUGCUACAUAGUGAAACCUUGCCUACUCACCUUGGUAGUGUUUGAGGGUUUGAUCGACCCGAUGCAAAAAGGGAUCACGACUCGUGGAUAAAGUGUGCAACCUCUGCAGAGUGUUAGAAACUGGUAUAUCAGUCGUGCUCACGGUUAAGAGCAGUCUUGUGAUCCUCUUUGAUUAGAAUAUUUUGGCUACUUUUAUGAUGAUGGUAACUGAUGAUGAAUAUAACUGUGGUUUCUGGUAUUUCCUCUUGGAGGGAGUACCUUUUGGGUAAUAACUGGGUUUAUUACUAAAACUUGGCUUACUAUUAGUAAUAAAUUCUUGACCAACUAAAAGCAACUGCUUUAACCUUAACUACACAUAUAGCUAGACCACUUUAGCCAAACGGGAUAUUUGCUAAGUACGUUGAUGUGUACUCACCCUUGCUUUAAAAACCACCCCACCCUAGUGAAAGGGAAAUAGGGUUAACCAUUUCCUAUAAUUAGUUUUGGUGGUUUAUGACCAACACAAACAUAUGGACUAACUAGUUUGUCUAGAAUUCAUGUAUUACAGGUGCAUAAGGUUCAAAUAAACCAAGAAAGAAAUCAAGUUAGGGACACAAUUUAAUUGGAGCAAAGAACUUGAGUGUGCUAAAAAAUGGCGCACCGGACUGUUCGGUGCACCAGGGUCGUACAACUUCAAACCAGUCACUCUUGGGAAUUCCAAAGCGCGCUCCACUAUAAUUCACCGGACCGUCCGGUGAACCAGCCGAGCAACGGCUCCCUGCGCGCCAACGGUCACCUGCCAUGAUGAAUAGUGCGAGUCAGAAGUUAGAGUGCAGAAGUCAGAGGGCACCGGACUGUCCAGUGCAGCAAGACGACAAAGGCUCCAACGGUCGACUAGCUCCGAACCCUAACGGUUGCGCUAACAUGGCGCGCACCGGACAGUGCACAGAAGUUGUCCGGUGGCGCACCGGACUGUCCGGUGCGCCCAUCGCCAGCAGCCUUCAACAACAGCUAUGGAAGUGGUUGGGGGCGAUAAAUACCCCCCAACCACCUCAUUCAUAACCAUCCAAACAUCCCAUUCAUUACAAGAGCAAAAGACUUGACUCCUAGACACAUUUAAUAGAUCAAAUCUUCUCCAAGCCUCCAAAUCAACUCAAUUCCAUUAGGGACUUGAGAGAGGGUGUUUUUGUGUUCUUUUGUUGCUCUUGUCGCUUGGAUUGGCCUUUUUCUUUUCCCUUCUAUUUCUCAAGUGACUUGUAAUCGAAGCAAGAGACACCUAAGUGUGUGGUGGUCCUUGCGGGGUCUAAGUGACCCGUGAGAUUAAGGAAAAGGCUCACUCGGUCUAAGUGACCGUUUGAGAGAGGGAAAGGGUUGAAAUAGACCUGGUCUUUGUGACCUCCUCAACGGGGACUAGGUUCUUUGGAACCGAACCUCAGUAAAACAAAUCACUGUGUUCACUCGCCUUGAUUCUUGUUUGGUUUGUUUUCGCUCUCUAAUGUUUCCUUGCUAGUGUGAAUUUGAGUUGGCUCCCAUACGUUAUCCGCAAUCCUUGAGCAACUCCUAGCAAGAGAGAUAUUCGUUUGAACUUGAAUUUAAUUCUAACGCUAAUCUCUGACCUUAGUGUGUGUUUAAGUUUAUAAAUUUCAAGUUUCACCUAUUCACCCCCUCUAGGCGACUUUCAAUUGGUAUCAGAGCCAGUGCUUCAUUAAGAGCCUAACCAACUCGAAGUGAUGUUUGGAGAUCGCUCCAAGAGGGAGAUCAUGACUGGCGAAAAGCCCACGAGCUCGGGGAGGACUCUUUCAAGGGAGUCCGGCAACAAACACAAGGAGGAAUCCUCUUCCUCCAUCAAGUCGCAUCGGAGAGGUGACAAGAAGAAGAAGAUGAAGAAGGUAGUCUACUACGAGACCGACUCUUCAUCACCCUCCACAUCCGGCUCGGAAUCGUCCACUACUUCUAAGUGCCAUGAGCGCAAGAAGUAUAGUAAGAUGCCCCUACGCUAUCCCCGUAUUUCAAAGUGUGCUCCAUUACUUUCCAUACCCCUAGGCAAACCACCAUAUUUUGAUGGUGAAGAUUAUUGUAUGUGGAGUGAUAAAAUGAGGCAUCAUCUAACCUCACUCCACGAAAGCAUUUGGGAUAUUGUUGAGUUUGUAGCGCAGGCACCAAAGGUGGGGGACAAGGACUACGACUCGGAUGAGGCCGCCCAAAUUAGGCACUUUAACUCCCAAGCCACAUCUAUACUCCUCGCCUCCUUGUGUUGAGAGGAGUAUAACAAGGUGCAAGGGUUAAAGAACGCCAAAGAAAUUUGGGACGUCCUCAAAACCGCGCACGAAGGGGACAAGGUGACUAAGAUCACUAAGCGUGAAAUGGUCGAGGGAGAACUCAGUCCAUUCGUCCUCAACAAAGGAGAAGAGCCGCAAGCCAUGUACAACCGGCUCAAGACCAUGGUGAACCAAGUGCGCAACCUCGGGAGCACCAAAUGGGAUGACCAUGAGAUGGUCAAGGUUAUUCUUAGAUCCCUCGUAUUUCGCAAUCCUACUCAAGUUAAAUUAAUAUGUGGGGAUCCUAGAUAUAAACUAAUGUCUCCCGAGGAAGUUAUUGCAAGUUUGUGAGCUUUGAACUUAAGAUCAAAGACUCCAAACACAUUGUCAACUUGGAGCAAGGCGCUACCUCUACACCCGAGGUGCAACCCGUCGUAUUCAAAGUGACAGAAAAAAAGAAGGAAGAGUCUACACCAUGUAGGCUUCCAAUCGACGCCUCCAAGCUCGACAACAAGGAGAUGACGCUCAUCAUCAAGAGCUUUCACCAAAUCCUCAAACAAAGGAGGGGGAAAGACUACAAGUCCCGCUCCAAGAAGUGAAAGUGACAGGGACAAAGACAAGAAAGGGAAGAAGGAGAAGAAGAGAUACUACAAGAAGGGCGACGAUGCGCACAUAUGUCAGGACUGGGACUCUGACGAGAGCUCCACCGACUCCUCCUCCGAUGAGGAUGCCGCCAACAUCGCCGUCAACAAAGGCCUCCUCUUCCCCAACAUCGGCCACAAAUAUCUCAUGGCAAAAGACGGCAAGAAGAAGAAGGUACAUUCUAGAAGUACCUCCAAAUAUACUACAUCUAGUGAUGAGGGUAGCUCUAGCAAUGAUGAAGAUGAUUUACUUGCUCUUUUUGCCAACCUUAACAUGGAACAAAAGAAAAAAUUAAAUGAACUAAUUGAAACCAUUAACGAGAAGGAUGAUCUCUUGGAAAGCCAAGAGGACUUUCUUGUUAAAGAGAAUAAAAAUUUUGUUAAAUUGAAAAAUGAUUAUGCUCAGGAAAUAGAAAAAUGUGAAAACUUAUCUGAGGAGCUUAGCAUUUGUCAUGAUUCAAUUUCAAGUCUUAGAACUGAGAAUCCCAGUUUAGUUUCUAAGAUUGAAAAAUUGAAUGUUUAUAAUGAUUCAUUUUCCUGUCUUAGAGAUGAGAAUAAUAAAUUAAAUGCUAGGAUUGAGGAAUUGAAUGCAUGCAAACCAUCUACAUCUAAUGUUGAUCAUGUUACUAUUUGUACUAAAUGUAUAGAUGUUAAUAUUGAAGCUAUGGAUGAUCACCUUUCCAUGAUUAAACAACAAAAUGAUCACAUAGCUAAAUUAACUGCUAUAAUUGCCGAGUAUGAACUAGAAAAUGAAAAAAAAAUUUGCUCGAAGUAUGCUUUAUAAUGGGAGACGCCCUGGCAUUAAGGAUGGUAUUGGGUUCCAUCAAGGGGACCAAUCCAAUGUCAAGCUUAAUGCCCCUAAGAAAUUGUCUAACUUUGUGAAGGGCAAAGCUCCUAUGGUUCAGGAUAGUGAGGGCUAUAUUUUAUAUCCUGCAAACUAUCCCGAACAUAAGAUUAGAAAGAUUCAUGCUAGAAAACCUCAUUCUGUUUCUCACCAUGCAUUUAUAAAAAUGAGGGUUCUAGCUCUAGGCACACCACUCAUGUUAAGAUGCCUAGAAAGAAAAUUCCUGCUGCAUCAAAUGAACAUAAUGUCUCAUUUAAGACUUUAAUGCUUCAUAUGUUUUAACUAACAAAUCAAUCAAAAUAGUUGUCAAAUAUGUUGGGGGCAAACACAAGAGUCCCAAGACUUGUGUUUGGGUACCCAAGGUGCUUGUUUCUAACGUCAAAGGACCCAAGACUGUUUGGUUACCUAAGAACAAGGCCUAAAUUGUUUUGUAGGUUUAUGCAUUCGGUGGUUCAAGUUGGAUAAUUGAUAGCGGGUGCACAAACCACAUGAUUGGGGAGAAAAGAAUGUUCUCCUCCUAUGAGAAAAAUGAAGAUCCCCAAAAAGCUAUCACAUUCGGGGAUGGAAAUCAAGGUUUGGUCAAAGGUUUAGGAAAAAUAGCUAUAUCUCCUGGCCAUUCUAUUUCCAAUGUUUUUCUUGUGGAUUCUUUAUAUUACAAUUUGCUUUCUGUCUCUCAAUUAUGCAAAAUGGGCUACAACUGUCUAUUUACUGAUGUAGGUGUUACUGUCUUUAGAAGAAGUGAUGAUUCAAUAGCAUUUAAGGGAGUGUUAGAUGGUCUGCUAUAUUUAGUUGAUUUUAAUGAUAACAAAGCUAAGCUAGACACUUGCUUAAUAGCUAAGACUAACAUGGGUUGGCUCUGGCAUCGCCGACUUGCCCAUGUUGGAAUGAAGAAUCUUCACAAACUUCUAAAGGGAGAGCACAUUUUAGGACUAACCAAUGUUCAUUUUGAGAAAGAUGGGAUUUGUAGUGCAUGUCAAGCAGGAAAGCAAGUUGGAGUUCAUCAUCCACACAAGAACAUCAUGACGACUAACAGGCCGCUUGAGCUACUCCACAUGGAUCUAUUCGGCAUGAUAGCUUACAUAAGCAUCAGUGGGAGUAAAUACUGUCUAGUUAUUGUGGAUGAUUAUUCUCGCUUCACUUGGGUGUUCUUUUUGCAGGAAAAAUCAUAAACCCAAGAGACUUUAAAGAGAUUCUUACGACGGGCUCAAAAUGAGUUCGGAUUAAAGAUCAAAAAGAUAAGAAGCGAUAAUGGGACGGAGUUCAAGAACUCCCAAAUUAAAGGAUUUCUUGAGGAGGAGGGCAUCAAGCAUGAGUUCUCUUCUCCCUACACACCUCAACAAAAUGGUGUAGUGGAGAGGAAGAAUAGAACUCUACAGGACAUGGCAAGGACCAUGCUUGAUGAAUACAAGACUCCAGACCGGUUUUAGGCGGAAGCAAUCAACACCACUUGCUACUCCAUCAACCGGCUCUACCUUCACCGAAUCCUCAAGAAAACAUCGUAUGAACUCCUCACUGGUAAAAAGUCCAAUGUUUCAUAUUUUAGAGUCUUUGGGAGUAAAUGCUUUAUUCUUAUUAAAAGAGGUAGAAGUUCUAAAUUUUCUCCUAAGGUUGUAGAAGGCUUUUUACUAAGGUAUGACUCAAACACAAGAGCAUAUAGAGUCUUCAACAAAUCCAUUGGAUUAGUUGAGGUUUCUUGUUACAUUGUGUUUGACGAGACUAAUGGCUCCCAAGUGGAGCAAGUUGAUCUUGAUGAAUUAGAUGAUGAAGAGGCUCCAUGUGUCGCACUAAGGAACAUGUCCAUUAGGGAUGUGUGUCCUAAGGAAUCCGAAGAGCCCACACAAGCACAAGAUCAACCAUCAUCUUCCAUACAAGCAUCUCCACCAACUCAAGACGAGGAUCAGGCUCAAGAUGAUGAAGAUGAAGAUCAAGAGGAUGAGCCAUCUCAAGAGGAGGACAUUGAUCAAGGGGGAGAUGAAGAUGAUCAAGACAAGGAAGAUGAUCAAGAAAUUAGGGAUCAAAGACCGCCACACCCAAGAGACCACCAAGCAAUUCAAAGAGAUCACCCCGUCAACUCCAUACUUGGUGACAUUCAUAAGGGGAUAACCACUAGAUCUCGAGUUGCACAUUUUUGUGAGCAUUACUCUUUUGUGUCUUCUAUUGAGCCAUACAGGAUAGAAGAUGCACUAAGAGAUCCGGAUUGGGUGGCGGCAAUGCAAGAGGAGCUCAACAAUUUCACAAGGAAUAAGGUAUGCCAUUUAGUUCCACGUCCUAAUCAAAAUGUUGUAGGUACCAAAUGGGCAUUCUGCAACAAACAAGAUGAGCAUGGUGUGGUGACAAGGAACAAAGCCCAACUUGUGGCCAAAGGUUAUUCACAAGUUGAAGGUUUGGAUUUUGAUGAAACUUAUGCACCCAUAGCUAGGCUUGAGUCAAUUCGUAUAUUACUUGCCUAUGCUACUUACCAUGGCUUCAAGCUUUAUCAAAUGGACGUGAAAAGUGCCUUCCUUAAUGGACCUAUCAAGGAAGAGGUCUACGUUGAGCAACCUCCCGACUUUGAAGAUAGUGAGUACCCUAACCAUGUGUAUAAACUCUCAAAGGCGCUUUAUGGGCUUAAACAAGCCCCAAGAGCAUGGUAUGAAUGCCUGCGAGAUUUUCUUAUCACUAAUGGCUUCAAAGUCGGUAAAGUCGAUCCUACUCUCUUCACUAAAAUUGUUGCAAAAGACUUAUUUAUAUGCCAAAUUUAUGUUGAUGAUAUUAUAUUUGGGUCCACUAACAAGUCAACAUGUGAAGAGUUUAGUAGGAUCAUGAUACAGAAAUUCGAGAUGUCUAUGAUGGGGGAGUUGAAGUAUUUCCUUGGAUUCCAAAUCAAGCAACUCCAAGAUGGCACAUUCAUCAGCCAAACCAAGUACAUUCAAGACAUACUUAAUAAGUUUGGAAUGAAGAAUGGCAAACCCAUCAAGACACCCAUGGGAACUAAUGGGCAUCUCGACCUCGACACGGGAGGUAAAUAUGUAGAUCAAAAGGUAAUAUCGGUCAAUGAUAGGAUCUUUACUCUACUUAUGUGCAUCUCGACCGAAUAUUAUGCUUUCUGUAUGCAUGUGUGCAACAUUUCAGGCAAAUCCUAAGGAAGUUCAUCUUAGAGCCAUGAAAAGAAUCAUGCGAUAUUUAGUUUACACUCCUAAGUUUGGGCUUUGGUACCCUAAGGGAUCUACCUUUGAUCUAAUUGGGUAUUCCGAUGCCGAUUAUGCCGGAUGUAAAAUAGAUAGAAAGAGCACAUCAGAGACUUAUCAGUUUCUAGGAAGAUCUCUAGUGUCAUGGGCUUCAAAGAAACAAAACUCUGUAGCUCUUUCCACCGCCAAAGCCGAGUACAUCGCUGCAGGCCAUUGUUGUGCACAAUUACUUUGGAUGAGGCAAACCCUUAGGGACUAUGGCUAAAAAUUGAGCAAAGUCCCCCUCCUAUGUGAUAAUGAGAGUGCAAUCCGCAUGGCGGAUAAUCCUGUUGAACAAAGUCGCACUAAGCACAUAGACAUCCGGUACCACUUUUGAGAGAUCACCAACAAAAGGAGGAUAUCGAAAUUGCUUAUGUUAACACCCACAACCAAUUAGUUGAUAUCUUUACCAAGCCACUAGAAGAGAAACCCUUUAGCAAACUUAGAAAUGAGCUAAAUAUACUUGAUUCUCAGAACUUUGAUUGAAACAUUGCACACAUAGCUCAUGAAUAUACCCUUGAUCAUAUCUCUUUCAUUUGGUGCAAAUGCAUAUUCCUUAUUCUUCUUGUGCCAAGACUACGACUAAUGCAUUUUCAAGUGUAUUUCUAUACUAAGUUGUAGAUUGAAAGGGAAAUGGAGUUUUUGGCAAAGACAAUGCUUCCACUCAACUCGAACGGUAUCAUUUACCCUUUGCCGGUAUUCCACAAACUCUCAAUGGUAUAACCCUUCACUCGUAUUCAUUUUACCAUUUGUGAGAAAGUAUAGGCCCCAUAAGGGGAGAAAAUACUCAAGGGCUCUCAAGUUCUCCGUUUUUGGCGAUUAAUGCCAAAGGGGGAGAAAAUAUUAAGCCCAAAGCAAAAGGACCGCACCACCAUUCAAAAUUUCAUAAAUAUGUAUUUCAAUUGGUAUUUGAUCAAAAUGGAUUUUCAAUUGAUAUGUGAAGAAAAUUUCUCAAUUGGUAUCUUCAAAACUUCACAUUAAGUAUGAAAGAAUUUCAAUUAGUUUAUUUUCAAUAAGUAUCUAACUUUCAACUCAUGUGUGAGAGAAAAAUUUUAAUUGGUAUCUACUUCAAAACCCUCUUGAAAGCUAAGGGGAGAAUUUCAUUCAGGGGGAGCUUUUAUAUAGUCGAAGGAAAAGCAUUUGAAACAGGGGGAGGAAUUUCAAAUCCUAAAAAUGCUUCUUGCAAUCAUAUUUCUAUAUCUUUGACUAUUUGCAAAAGUUUUUGAAUAGAUUUCCAAAAGAUUUGCAAAAACAAAACCUAUGGUGCAAAUGUGGUCCAAAAUAUUAAAUAAAAGAAAGCCAAACCAUUCACACUUAUUCAUAUGUUUAAAAAUCUUUCAUUGGUUUAAUUCUAAGUAACAUAUGCACAAUCAUCUCAAACUGCAAACUAGUUACAUUUCUACACAUUUCAUUGCUUUGGUUUGUGUUGGCAUCAAUCACCAAAAGGGGGAGAUUGAAAGGAAAAUAGGGUUAACCAUUUCCUAUAAUUAAUUUUGGUGGUUGACGACCAACACAAACAUAUGGAAGUUUUGAAGAACUUGAGUUUGUCUAGAAUUCAUAUAUUACAGGUGCAUAAGGUUCAAAUAAACCAAGAAAUAAAUCAAGUUAGGGACACAAUUUAAUUGGAGCAAAGAACUUGAGUGUGCUGAAAAAUGGCACACCGGACUGUCCGUUGUGACACCGGACAGUGUCCGGUGCACCAGGGCCGUACAACUCCAAACCAGCCACUCCUGGGAAUUCCAGGGCACGCUCCACUAUAAUUCACAGGACUAUCUGGUGAACCAGCCGAGCAACAGCUCUCUGCACGCCAACGAUCACCUGCCACGAUGAACAGUGCAAGUCAGAAGCCAGAGCGCAGAAGUCAGAGGGCACCAGACUGUCCGAUGCAGUAAGACGACAAAGGCUCCAACGGUCGACCAGCUUCGAACCCUAAUGGUUGCGCUGACGUGGCGCGCACCGGACAGUGCACCGAAGUUGUCUAGUGGCACACCGGACUGUCUGGUGCGCCCAUCGCCAGCAUCCUUCACCAACGGCUAUGGAAGUGGUUGGGGUUAUAAAUACCCACCAACCACCUCAUUCAUAACCAUCCAAGCAUUCCAAACAUACCAUUUAUUGCAAGAGCAAAAGACUUCACUCCUAGACACAUUCAAUAUAUCAAAUCCUCUCCAAGCCUCCAAAUCAACUCAAUUCCAUUAGGGACUUGAGAGAGGGUGUUUUUGUGUUCUUUUGUUGCUCUUGUCGCUUGGAUUGGCCUUUUUCUUAUCCCUUCUAUUUCUCAAGUGACUUGUAAUCGAAGCAAGAGACACCUAAGUGUGUGGUGGUUCUUGCGGGGUCUAAAUGACCCGUGAGAUUAAGGAAAAGGCUCACUCGGUCUAAGUGACCGUUUGAGAGAGGGAAAGGGUUGAAAUAGACCCAGUCUUUGUGACCUCCUCAACGGGGACUAGGUUCUUUGGAACCGAACCUCGGUAAAACAAAUCAUCGUGUUCACUCGCCUUGAUUCUUGUUGGAUUUGUUUUCGCUCUCUAACAUUUCCUUGCUAGUGUGAAUUUGAGUUGGCUCCCAUACGUUAUCUGCAAACCUUGAGCGACUCCUAGCAAGAGAGAUAUUCGUUUGAACUUGAAUUUAAUUCUAAUGCUAAUCCUCGACCUUAGUGUGUGUUUAAGUUUAUAAAUUUUAGGUUUCGCCUAUUCACCCCCUCUAGGCGACUUUCACCUAGGUUGUUCCCAUUGCAAUCAGUGCUAAGAAGGAGAUGCAGGCAACAUGGAGGACUUUGAGAAGUUUUAGGACUACGACGAGUUUUAGUUGUGUUAGUGGCAAACCCCCAGUCAGUUGCCUGUGAAGGCCUUAUCUACUACAUUUCGUAUUCCGCACUUUGAUUACGUUAAUGACUAUGUUAUGUUAAUGACUCUGUGGAUGUCUUGGACAUCUUGAUGUAAUAAAGUACCUUUUCCGCUACUUAUUUUGAGCAAUGUGUGAUGAUGUCCAACUAUGUAAUCGCUAUGUACGUGAGUUUCUAAUCUUGGCACGUACAUGGUUUGCAUUCGGUUUGCCUUCCAAAACCAGGUGUGACAAGGACCCAGGCAAGAAGCUGACUAGAAGCAUCACUAGUUUAGGACCCUGUCCUUGUCCUUGGUGCUAUGCACAAACACUAGUGCAUACAGAUACAUCACAUGUUUCCUUGUCCAGAUUAUCCAUGAGAUUGUGAUGCGAUGUGAACUCGGGGCAGGAUCCAUUGCAUCGCUCAGUUCUCAAAGAACUGAGUGUUGGAUCGAUCACAUCCAGCUCUAGCUAAAUGAGGGUCAUGACCCUGCUAGAGGAGGCUGACUGUAACACCCCAAAAUAUCAUUUUAGGUAAUUUAGGAAAAGUUUAUAUCAAGAUUUAAAUGAUUAUUUUUGAAAUAAGGGAUUAAAUGAAAAAAAAGGAAAAGGCCUCCAAUGAGUUAUUCUUCCUCGAAAUAUUCUCUCAAGGAUUACACAAAAUUGUUGCUUAAUAUAGAGUUCAUGGGUAUUUAUGAAUAGGUAAUAAACACUUAAUUUUUAAAUAAGGUCAUUUUUUAUUUUCUUUUAAAAGGGGUCUUUAGUUAUCUCAUUGUGAUUUAUUCUUUAUUGAGCCAUAUAGCAUUUACUUAGAGAAAAUAAAAUCACAUAUAUUUAUAUUUUGCGUUAUGCUGGGCUUUUUGAUUGUGCAUAUUUAAAUCUGAAACAUCAACAUAGAAUUGAGUUUGAAAUUUGAGAAUUAAAUUUGAAAAUAGAAAUUAGAAAUAAGAAAGCAGAAAAAAUAAAAACAAAAAAAGAAAAGGUAAAGGACCCCCUUUUUCUCCUGCUGGGCCAAAGCCCCCCUACCUUGGCCCAUCCGGCUCACCGUUCCGCCAGCCCAGCUUCACACACGCGCGACCAUUGUCCCACUGACAUGUAGCCCCGAUUUGGCGGUGACCUCACGUGUGCCCGGAUAACCCCAUUGCGCCAACAUGUGGGCCCAGGUGGCACACACCCGCCCGGUUCCUUCGCAUCGACAGUUGGGUCCCUAAUGUCAGCCACUCAUCCAUUGCCUGUGUAUUCUCACCAAUGGUGACCGCAUGGGGGCCUGUGUGGCAGCCGGUGCAACCUCCCCCCCCCAUGCAUCUGUAUCGCUGGUUUAUGGGAUCACCACUUGACAAACCGGCUUCAGCUCCCUGGACGCGACAAACUCGCCGCUGUCCACCCAAUAUUCUCGUGCCUCGUCGUUAAUCCGAGCUCUAGAUUUGUAUCCUAUCGGUGUAUAAAUAGCGAGUGCUAGCACCAUUGUCUAUGGAUGGGAGGGAGAGAGGAUGCUGUAUCGGGCGGGCAGCAGCGGUCUCCAAGGGCAGAAGGAGGGGAGAAUUGCCGCCACAAAGAAGAAUCUGGCGCACCCUCGUCUGAGCCCUGGCCUGUGCGUGCCGAUGUUCACUGGAGGUUAAGUAUGUUGUGUGUGGCAUCUUCGGUCAAGAAAGGUGACUACGGAGCUGGCAAUUUCUCGACGGGCUUUGGGGAACCGAGCGCCGUCAUGACCGUUGCGCAACAACGAACUUCAUCACUAGUGAGUGCCCUAAUUGAGUUUGCAGGAUUCUUGGCUGGGUAUUAGGCGUUGUGGGUGUGAGAUUGGAGCACUGGGGUACCGUGACACGGUGCUCCGGCAAGCCCUCAACCGUGCGGGGCGGAGGAGCGGCUAUUGCCGGCGGCUAUGGGUGGAAGAUGACCUGUGUGUUGUGGGAUCAUGGACGAACGGUGGUGAUUAAAUCUUUCCUUACCUCUUCGUCUCAUAUAGAUUCAGCCGUUGCGGGGUGAUCGGGUGGUGGAGAUUGGAUUACGCCAAAAUUAAAUCUGGAUCAUAGAUCUGAAAUCCGAUGCCCCUGGUUGCCUACCGAUUUACAUAUAAUCUGGGCACUUGAUGAGUGAUCCAACGGCUCAGAUCAUCCAAUACCCCUUCGACCGUGCGUAAUUUGUUAAAGACUCCAUGGAUUUUUAUGGAACCAACCCGUGCUCCACCGCACUAGAAGAACCAUCGCCAAUAGGUCCUAAACUUUAUGUUUUAAACCUUGAACUUGGUUAAAAUAGUGUCUGCAGUCCACAGUUCUUGAAUUAAGUAAAAUAAUUUUGAGAAAAUGAUUUUUAGUAUAAAAAUAAUUCUAGAAACUUGUUUAAUUUAUAUUUAAUUCAUAUUAACUCCUUUUUGACCCAUUCCAGUUGCAUUAAAUUCAUAAUAAUGUUGUUUAUCAUCUAGUAACCUUAUUUUGUUAUGAAACAUAGGUUAAAUUUAUACACUUAGUUGGUUUUAUAUCUAACACCUAAAUGUUGGGGAAAUCAUAACUCUUUAACCGUAACUCCGAUUUUAGUGGUUCUCGAACGUAGGAUCUCGUCGCGAUGCGUAGAUCACUAUUAUGAAGUUUGUUCUUAUGUUUGGUGUAAUGAUAAUUUUGCCUAUACCAUGUUUGUUUGUAUCGCAACGAUUAGUAGCGAGGGUUACGAGAAUCUUAAAGACCAAGCUGGUACCUGGGAAUAUUGAGUCACAGGCAAGUUGUGCCCUUGAUCACUUUUCUUUACCCAAUAAUGUUCCUGUUAAUCACUGUAACAUGCUCAGGUUAAUUUGAUGGGACCCAAUAGAUUUCCACUAGCAUUGUUUAUCCCCUACCUUGCAAACAAAAGCAUUAUUGGGUAGUUUUCCUAUUGCUCUACCUGGUUUUGGGAAAUCAAUGUUAUAUUAUGAUCAUGUUCCAGUUAUACUGUUGUUUUAAUUAUUGUUCAUGACAAGAUCAUUGUGUUAAUUGGAACAUGGAGCGACCACCCGGGAAAACAGUGCUACCACAAGGGUGGUAUGGGACGCCCUUGGCUGACUAAUUAGGAAGUCUAGUGGAAGAUUACCUUACCCGAAAGGGGCAAGGGCGGUAGAGGAGCUGCAUAUAGGGAGGAUCUCGGGUCGAUCAUGCUGCGAUGACUUUUCGAACGAGGGAUUCCUAUAUUGCCCUUCUCAGAAAUUGUAGCAGGUUUUCAGAAGCUAGUGGAACUUUGUAAAGGCCUCGUAGUGGUACCCUGCCUCAUCUCCUCGGUAGAGAUGAAUGGGAAGUCGCGAUCUCUUGGCAAAUGGGUAACAUGACUUGUGGGUAAAGAUGUGCAACCUCUGCAGGGUGUAAUACUGGUAUAUUAGUCGUGCUCACGGUCAUGAGCAGCUCGGACCCUCACAUGAGUAAUUUAUGGAACUAAACUUAAUUUGUCAUUUGCAUUGCAUUGUGGGUGUUGUUAUUAAUUUUGAUCUCUUACUUAAUUGGGUUGAUAUCUACUUAUACUUAGUAACUGCUAAUAAAUUUUUGACAAACUCUAAAAGUAAUGCUCAGCUUUAACCAUCUCCUUUGGUAAGCCUUACACUUCAUAUGAGCUCCCACCUUUGGUGAGUUUAUGCACAUUAUUCCCCUCAACUUGUUGAGCGAUGAACGUAUGUGAGCUCACCCUUGUUGUACUCACAUCCCCCUAGGUCAAGGUCAGGUACCAUAGGAUGAGGCGCAUGAAGGAUGCAGUGACGAGUUUGUGAGUGGUCUAGGCCGUUGUCUCCCAGUCAACUUUGGUUGCUGGAUCAUUGACUUCAUAUAAUAUAAUUAUUCAUUUAUUUUGUACAGAACUCCUAUUAUAUAGUAAAGAUGUGACAUUCGUUUAUGUACCAUGAGUCAUCAUUUGUGUGAGACUUGAUCCCAACACUCUUGGUGAUUAUUUCGCGCCCGGGUUUUGUCCCCUAAAACCCGGGUGUGAUAGAAGUGGUAUCAGAGCAAUGUUGACUGUAGGACGAAACCUAGAUAGAACUGGAUAACCUUACCUACUUACCUUUGCUACUCUGAUUCUUUCUAAACUUUUCUUAAUCUUUUCUCAUCUAUUGGUGCUUUACUCUGAUUACUCUUACCUUUUCACUUCUAAAGACAAAAGCGGAUUUCACACUUUGAAAUCAUUUACCUAAAGUGACCUUUAGGAAUAGGAGACCUAAUCUUAGGAACAAAAAUAAAACUAUUUUUGUAGGUAUCUAUACGCUUGAAUGUUUUGUUCUUAUGAUAACUGUUUGAUUUGGUUCUUUGAUUGAGUUGUGGAGUAAUGUCCACAAUUGCAUCUGCAUAUACAUAUAGGCAUAAAAAAUGUGUUAUAAGAUAACUAGCCAACCUAGAUUAUCCCCCAUUAAAAAUAUAUCUAGCUUAAUAGAUCCAUUUCAUCUAGUAGAGAUACCUUAUCCUAAUAAGAUACAUCCUACCUUAAAAAGAUUCUAUCUUAUCCACCCAUCUCAACCCAUCCACUUCGCUUAUCUCAUCAUGAAGUAACAACCAUGAUCUAAUCCAAAAUUAAAUAGAUCUUAUCUAGUCAAAUCUAGUCACGCCCAACUAAUCUAGAUCCAAUCUAAAAUGAGUUACUCAACAAGUUAGUUAAUCCUGAUGAAAUAGAUUAGACCCUACUCCUAUAAAUAUGUUUUACCCUAAAUUGGUGCCCUAGGCUAACUUGACCAUAUACAACUACCUGGCCUCAUGUAACUACCUUACCCAUCAAAUGGUUGCAUAGCCCCUCUAUUUCAACCUAACAACAAAACAAAGAUUCUAACCAACCUACCUCAUGAAAUCUAUCCCAUCCAUAAUGCCACCCACAAUUAUCUUAACUACAUGUCCCUAACUCGAAUGAUCACACCACGACCAAAGGAAAGAAGAUGGUCAACCUCGUCAAGGAAGGAUAAGCACCAACUCAACUCUUCAAAGACAAAGACCAAGCGGGAUCACCAGAUGAGUCAAGAUCCACCCUUCAUGAUGGAGUCAUUCCUUGCCAAAAUCUUUCUUACCCAAUAUAUCCUGGCUCUAACCAAAUCUCAUCUUGCCUAAAAAAUAGCUAGACAUAACGAGUACUCAUGCUUUGCUAGUCACCUUACUCGAAGUUAAGAACUUAGAGAAAAAACCUUUGCAUAUUAGAACCAACACUGACCUACAAACCAAAACCCUCUGUAAUCCCUUUUCUUAGUAAUCUCGAGGACGAGAUUAUUUUUAAGGGGGUAGAAUUUGUAACAUCCCAAAAUAUCAUUUUGGGUAAUUUAGAAAAAGUUUAUAUCAAGAUUUAAAUGAUUAUGUUUUGAAAUAAGGGAUUAAAUCAAAAAAUGGAAAAGGCCUCCAAUGAGUUAUUCUUCCUUAAAAAACUUAUACUUCGAAAUAUUCUCUGAAGGAUUACACAAAAUUGUUGCUUAAUAUAGAGUUCAUGGGUAUCUACGAAUAGGUAAUAAACACUUAAUUUUUAAAUAAGGUCAUUUUUUAUUUUAUUUUAUUUUAUUUUAAAAGGGGUCUUUAGUUAUCUCAUUGUGAUGUAUUCUUUAUUGAGCCAUAUAGCAUUUACUUAGAGAAAAUAAAAUCACAUAUACUUAUACUUUGCAUCAUGCUGGGCUUUUUGAUUGUGCAUAUUUAAAUCUGAAACAUCAACAUAGAAUUGAGUUUGAAAUUUGAAAAUUAAAUUUGAAAAUAGAAAUUAGAAAUAAUAAAGCAUAAAAAUAAAAACAAAAAAAUAAAAGGGAAAGGACCCCCCCUUUCUCCUGCUGGGCCGAUUCUGUGGGGGAUAGAUAUCCCCCGGGUCCACUAAAGGAGUAAAAGACCUCACGAAAGGCCCAAAGGCCCAAUAAAUCGUAAAGUCAUUCUUUCGUGGGCCUGGGGAGAGACAACCAACAAAGCAGAGCGACGUGAGACCGGAUUAGUGCAAACCCGGACGGCCCACAACGUCGAACGAGUGAAUCACAACAGAGACCCGACUUUCCCGCGCUGGAGCCCCCAUGCAACGGAGCCAUGCGAGGAUAAGUCGGCGAGGGUUACGUAGGGAUAAACUCAAGAGGUUCACUACCUUUUAGCUACUUGUUGUUAUCAUAUCCACGUGUACUGCCCCACGGUCGAGUAUAUAAGGCCUAGGGGGCACCCCUUCAGAAGGAUGGACCCUAUCUUACUUAGCCACCCACCUCAACUCUCUGUGUUUUCAAUCCAGAGAGCCCUCUUGUAACCACAUACACAUACUCACCAGGACGUAGGGUGUUACGCAUCUCUAAGCGGCCCGAACCUGUAAAUCUUGUCCACUGUCCCUCGUGCGAUCGGCACGAACCAUUUUGCUACAGUCGUCGACACCGUCCUACUCCUAAAAACACCUUGAGGGGCAACCCCGGGUGUGCGGUCGGACCCAAAACACCGACAGCUGGCGCGCCAGGUAGGGGGUGUGUCGACGAUCCAAGCUAGCUCAAUGGCCGUCACCUUCAACAGCAAGAUCACCAUGCGUCCCGGAUCCGUAUUCUACUUUGGGACAAUCUCAUCUGUAGCGGAUGAAGAGGGAAUUCUACACCGUAUCGCGGAUCCGCCGGAAAAGAAGUCUCCUCCAACAAACCCCGAAAAUGCCGGAGAGGCGCAACCUCCGGCUCUUCGGAAAAAGAUCGUCUUCGGAAAGCCGGGGGCCGAGAGUUCGCUGACCCGGAAGACUCCGCUGUCUACUUCCCCGACAAAAGAAUGGACACGGAUCGCGAGGAAGAAAGAGACCAGGGAAAAACAAGUCGUUCUUUCCGUUCCUCUGGCCUCAAAAGAGAACGGAAAGAAAGUCGCCACGACAGCAGCACCAUUCUACCCCGACGUCCUCUUCAUCGGGAGAGUGGAGUCGCCCACCGUCUCUGACGACGAGCCGACCGCGCCCGGAGAAGAACCGCCUCAACGAGAAUCCCGCCGACGGAGGAACCGACGCAGGAACGUUCGACGACAUCACGCGGCCGGAGAACGGGAUCCGGAGCAGCCUGUCUCGCGAGACAAGGUCUCGGAGAUAGGAGAAACUCCGGAAGAACGCGUCUUCAGAGAACGAAGGAACUCCCGACGACGUGAUCGUCGGCGGGUUCAGGAACAGGCCGAGCAAGACGCAAGGCAACGCCGGGAGAAUCCGCUCUUCGGGCGCAACCUGAAUCCCGACUUCGCCCGAGCUAUGAACACGCCAAGCGAAGUCGGAGGGGUACUAGCUCGGAUAGCUGAUGGACUUCCUCGGACUCCCGACGCCGAGGGAUACCGACGCCUGUUCACCCAAGCAGCCAACCAUCUUCUACCGCUUGCUCACCCGCCGAACGAUCUACGACACGCCAUCAACAGUCGCCGAGACACGCGAAGCUCCAUCAAUGCUUCGCGCGAACGGCGGCAUGAGAACGAGAUUCGCCGUCGGGAGGAGUACGACCGGGAUCAUGGCAUCCCGACUCAGAGUCAGGCCACCAGGACUGAGUCGGCAACGGCCUCAACUGGCGGAACCACCCGGGGACGGUCGAGGAACCACAAUCACAACUCCCCUCCCCGGGACAUACAUCGUCCCUGACGACAGGAGGACAUGUGCGGAGUGUCCGCUCUUACUCCGCGCCUUAGGGCCAUCCAAUGGCCUCCCAACUUCAAGGUAUCCAAUGUCGACAAAUAUGAGCCUAAGCAGGAUCCAGGGGGUUGGCUAGCCGUCUACACCACCGCUGCUCGGGCUAUCGGAGCAUCUGAGGACGUUAUGACCGCGUAUCUGCCCAUCGUCCUUGGGCAAGAUGCGCUACAGUGGCUACGACAUCUACCCCGACACUGCAUCGACGACUGGGGAGACUUCAGUCGAUGUUUCACCGCCAACUUCUAGUCCCUCUCCGACAAGCCAGCGCAACCGUGGGACCUCAAAUCCAUCAAGCACCGGGGGGAUGAGACUCUCCGGUCGUACCUCAAAAGGUUCCAGACCAUGAGAAACCGCAUCCCCGAGGUCACGGAGGCGGCCGUGAUUGAGGACUUCUACAGAGGAUCCAACGACUCGACUUUUGUCCGAGCCAUACUACAGAAGGCACCGACUACUUCCGAGGAGCUGUUCCAGGAAGCCGACCUCUACAUCACCGCCGACGAGCGAGCUCAGGACCUCAUCGGAGGAGCAAAGCCUGCGCCGGCAGCACCACGACGCGACGCGAACCAGCCACCCGACAAACGCUGGGAGAAGAGGCCUCGCGAAGAAGUACACACCGCCGGACCGCCUGCCUCUCGCGCCCGAGGAGGACCUCGCGGAGGCGAGCGCACACUGGACGCCAUCCUCGACGCCUAGUGCCCAUACCACAAGGACAUGCGCCACACUCUUCGCAACUGCCGGGACUUCAAGCACUCCGUUGGGCAUGGCCGACCCUUCCAACCUCUACCUCCUCCUCCGCCAAGGGGAGGACCGGAUGAACCGCGACAACCUCAUCAGCCGGAGGAGGGAGGAGGAGGAGCUUUCCCACGCGUCGACAGGGAGGUCAACGUCAUCUUCGGCGGACAUGGGUCGCAGGAGAACAAGAGACAACAAAAGCUCAACGACCGCCAGAUACUGGUGGCGACCACCGGUCCUCCCGCCCCAUACCGGUGGUCAGAACACCCGAUCACCUUCACUCGGGAAGAUCAAUGGCUCAACUUCGACCAUCCAGGCAAAUACCCGCUCCUCGUUGAUCCGGUGAUCCGAGAGAGCCGGGUGAAGAAGGUGCUAGUGGACGGGGGGAGCAGCAUCAACGUCACCUUCCCCCGGACGCUCCAAGGCUUGGGGGCUCACCUCAAAGAGCUCCACAAGUCGGACACUCCUUUCUUCGGCAUCGUGCCGACGGAGGGGGAAUACCCGCUGGGCCACAUCUACAUGCUGGUCACCUUCGGAACUCCGGAGAACUACAGAACCGAGUUCCUGAGGUUUGAAGUGGCAAAUUUCGACUGCGGGUACAACGCCAUCAUCGGAAGGCCGGGAUACUGAAGAUGCCAGGACCGCAAGGGAUCAUAACUGUGCGCGCCGACUUCCAAGGCGCCGCAGAAUGCUUCCGAGUGGCCAUCCAAGCGGCUCUCACCACCAAGCCGUCAACGGUCCCUUCUACACUGGCGAACUCUAAGCCUGAGGAGGACCUCGCCGUACCGGCAAACGAAGCUCAGGCCGCGACCUCUAUGCGGCCGACUGAAGAAACCAAGCGAAUCAACCUGGGGUUCGCUGAUGAGCGCAAGACAGCCAUCAUCAGCUCUAGCUUGGACGACAAAUAGGAAAGCGCGCUCGUCCAGUUCCUGCAAGAUAACCGAGAUGUAUUCGCAUGGCAACCUGCGGAUAUGCCGGGAGUCCCAAGAGAACUGGCCGAGCACAAGUUGAAGGUUUAUCCCCAGGCGAGGCCGAUCCGGCAAAAGCUACGUUGUUUCACGCCCGAUAAGAGAGAGGCCAUUCGCGCCGAGUUAGCUCGCUUCGUUGCGGCUGGAUUUAUUAGAGAAGUAUUACACCCCGAGUGGUUAGCCAACCCUGUUCUUGUACUCAAAAAGAAUAAAGUGGAUUGGCGCAUGUGCGUCGACUAUACUGAUCUCAACAAACACUGUCCGAAGGAUCCCUUCGGGCUCCCGAGGAUAGAUCAGGUGGUGGACUCUACUGCCGGGUGUUCCGUGCUGUCUUUCUUAGAUUGCUAUUCCGGGUAUCAUCAAAUUAGUUUGGCAAAAGAAGACGAGGAAAAAACGGCGUUCAUCACUCCGUUUGGUGCUUUCUGUUAUACCUCCAUGUCGUUCGGCCUCAAAAACGCUGGAGCGACUUAUCAGAGAGCCAUUCAAACAUGCUUAGCCGAUCACUGGGACAAGCGUGUGGAGGCUUACGUAGAUGAUGUGGUAAUCAAAACAAAAAAUUCGGAAAACUUCAUCGAAGACUUACGGCUAGUUUUCAACAGCUUGAGACGAUAUAGAUGGAAGCUCAAUCCCGAAAAAUGUGUUUUCGAGGUACCAGCAGGAAAAUUGCUCGGGUUUAUUGUCAGCUACCGGGGAAUUGAGGCUAAUCCAGAUAAGAUUGAAGCUAUCAUGAAGAUGGAAGCUCCUCGGUCACAAAAGAAGGUUCAGCGACUUACUGGAUGUAUGGCAGCUCUGAGCAGAUUCAUAUCCAGGCUGGGAGAAAAAGGUUUGCCAUUUUACAAGCUACUCAAGAAGGUGGAUAAGUUUCAAUGGACUUCAGAAGCACAAGAAGCUCUAGAGGCACUGAAGAAAUUCUUGACAACACCACCAGUACUGAAACCACCCCGGCGAGCUACGUCGAUUCAACCGGCUGAAGAUUUGCUACUGUAUAUCUCUUGCACGACUCACGUGGUAAGCACCGCGUUGGUAGUCGAGCGAGUAGAAGAAGGACAUGCCUAUCCAGUACAACAUCCCGUCUACUUCAUCAGUGAAGUUCUAGGCCCCUCGAAGAAAAAGUAUCCUCAAGUUCAGAAGCUAUUAUACGCAGUACUUUUAACUGCCCGCAAGUUGCGUCACUACUAUGACGACCACAAAGUCAUAGUAGUCACUGGUUUUCCAAUAGGGGAUAUUCUUCACAACAAGGAAGCCAUUGGUCGAAUAGCCAAGUGGGCUUGCGAGCUGGGAUCCCACGACAUCGAGUUCUGACCUCGCACUGCCAUCAAAACUCAAGCACUAGUUGAUUUCGUAUCAGAGUGGACAGAACAGCAAGUACCAGAUAAUCCAGAAACUACAGAAGUAUGGCGAAUGUAUUUUGAUGGCUCGCUGAAGCUGCAGGGAGCAGGAGCAGGGAUCCUCUUCACCGCACCUGGAGGCGAACACCUCAAGUACACCCUCCAGUUGCUAUUCCCGGCUUCUAACAAUGCAGCCGAGUAUGAAGCUUUGAUACACGGAUUGAACAUCGCCAUAUCGCUGGGCGUCAAGAGAUUGAUGGUAUACGGAGAUUCUUUGGUAGUCAUCAGCCAGAUAAACAAGGAAUGGGAUUGUUCAAGUGAUUCAAUGGGAAAAUACUGCGCUGCCGUCCGAAAGUUGGAAGAUAAAUUCGAGGGUCUGGAGUUUCAUCAUGUAGAAAGAGAUCGGAACACAGCAGCUGAUGUACUGUCCAAGCUCGGAUCCAGUCGAACUCAGGUCCCACCCGGAGUCUUCGUGCAAGAAAUUCUGCAACCGAGUAUCUCAAUGGAUCAAACAGAAGAGUGCAACAUCAUAAAUCAACCCGAGUUAGACUCUGAUGACUGGAGAAGGCUGAUUAUUAAGUACAUAAAGAAUGAAGAAGAACCAGACGACAAGAACUCGGCAGAGCGCAUUGCCAGGCAGUCGGCUCACUAUACACUCAUUGGGGAGGAAUUGUACAGAAGGGGCGCAUCAGGCAUCCUCAUGAAGUGCGUUCUCCCGUCCACUGGGAAGCAACUUCUGGAGGAGGUCCAUGCAGGGCAAUGUGGAAUUCAUGCAGCAUCCAGAACACUAGUCGGAAAGGUUUUCAGGUCAGGAUUCUAUUGGCCGACGGCGAAGAACGAUGCAGCCGAGUUAGUUCAGAGAUGUGAAGCUUGCCAAUACUUGUCAAAGCAAUAGCACAUGCCAGCACAGCAACUACAGACCAUACCAGUAACCUGGCCUUUCGCAUGCUGGGGACUGGAUAUGAUUGGACCUUUCAAGAAAGCUCAAGGGGGAUAUACUCAUGUAUUGGUGGCGAUUGACAAAUUCACUAAGUGGAUAGAGUUCAAGCCCAUUGCUUCUCUAACCUCUGCUAAGGCCGUGGAAUUCAUACAAGACAUAAUAUUCAGAUUCGGGAUACCAAACAGUAUCAUCACUGACCUAGGAUCCAACUUCACCAGUUCAGAAUUCUUCGACUUCUGCGAGCAAAAGAGCAUUCAGAUCAAGUAUGCAUCUGUAGCACAUCCAAGAGCCAACGGGCAGGUUGAGCGAGCCAACGGAAUGAUAUUGGAGGCACUCAGGAAAAGGGUCUUCGAUAAGAAUGAAAAAUUCGCAGGAAAGUGGAUAAGAGAAUUGCCUUAUGUUGUUUGGAGCCUAAGAACCCAACCUAGCCGAGCCCUGCAUGGAAACACUCCUUUCUUCAUGGUCUAUGGGUCGGAGGCAGUGCUACCUGCUGAUCUCAAGUUUGGGGUGCCAAGGUUGAUCUUCGAAAGUAUAGCAGAAGCUGAGGCCACCAGGCUGGAGGACGUUGAUGUACUUGAGGAAGAACGGCUGAAUGCGGUAAUCCAAUCAGCACGGUACCAGCAGACUCUAAGGCGCUAUCUCGACAAGGCUGUGCGGCAACGGUUCUUUUCAGUAGGAGACCUCGUCCUCCGCCAAAUUCUAACGGGAGAGGGACGGCACAAGUUAUCACCCUUAUGGGAAGGACCCUUCAUAGUAGCAGAAGUCACUCGGCCCGGAUCGUAUCGCCUCACUCAGAUGGAUGGCACGGAAGUUGGGAACUCCUGGAACAUAGAGCACCUCAGAAAAUUUUAUCCCUAGCUGUAUUUCAGAACUGCUGGGGCGACAAUGUAUUCUGUAAAGUGGAAAUAUGUCAUCAAUAAAGAGAGAUUUCAAAGAUACUCGGCUCGUUUACGAUUGACUUGCAUUCUCACUUAACUCGGGGUGACCACUAUGCCCUACAAACGGAGCAAUCGACUUAAAUCGGCAACGAUUUAAGACGGUGCAACAUGCUCACGCUUACUUAACUCGGGGUGACCACUAUACCCUACAAACGGAGCAAUCGACUUAAGUCAGCAACGACUUAAGGCGGUGCAACAUGCUCACGCUUACUUAACUCGGGGUGACCACUAUGCCCUACAAACGGAGCAAUCGACUUAAGUCGGCAACGACUUAAGGCGGUGCAACAUGCUCACGCUUACUUAACUCGGGGUGACCACUAUGCCCUACAAACGGAGCAAUCGACUUAAGUCAGCAACGACUUGAGGCGGUGCAACAUGCUCACGCUUACUUAACUCGGGGUGACCACUAUGCCCUACAAACGGAGCAAUCGACUUAAAUCGGCAACGAUUUAAGACGGUGCAACAUGCUCAUGCUUACUUAACUCGGGGUGACCACUAUACCCUACAAACGGAGCAAUCAACUUAAGUCGGCAACGACUUAAGGUGGUGCAACAUGCUCACGCUUACUUAACUCGGGGUGACCACUAUGCCCUACAAACGGAGCAAUCGACUUAAGUCGGCAACGGCUUAAGGCAGUGCAACAUGCUCAUACUUACUCGACUCGGGGUGACCACUAUACCCUACUAACGGAGCUACCGGCCAAAGUCAGAGGCGGUUUAAGCCGGUGCUACAUACUCGCGCCUAUGUAAUUCAGGGGAUGACUUCCAUAUCCCGCCAACAAAUUUCAUUACCACAAAUUUACGAACCAAUAAAUUCUGAUGCAAUAAGAGAGUAAUUAUGUCAUUCGAAUGAUAAACUGAUGUCUUCUAACAAAUACUCGAUCAUGCUAAUCGCGCGCUCAGAGCACGCAAAAUGUUUCUCUAUUUCGCAAUGUCUUUUUCAGGAGCAACCGACGAAGUAGGACGACUCGAGGAAUCGGGGGCAGCAUUCAUGUCAGCCUUUAUGUCUUCAGGAACAACCACGCCGGGUCUCCUCAUUAAGAUUCGUCCAGCACGAAUAGCCUUAUCCAUGGCUUUAUCGCGCUGGGCUUUGAGAGUAGCUGCAGUUUCUUCAGCAACUUUAGCAGCCAGCCGAGCGGCCUCUAACUCCUGGGCAAUGGAUUUCUUGGAAGCUCGGAGCUCUUUGAUGGUGGCAUCCUUCGCUGAUAUCAAUUGUUUAAGGCAGGUCGCUUCGUCCACAGAUUCUUGCAGCCUACAACGUUGAUUGUCCAGUUCCUCCAUUGUAAAGCGGUGACUCCUCUCCAAAAUGGUCAGCGAGUUGCUAGAAUCACGAUACAAUCUGUCUAGAUUGUCACGAGAAGCAGCAAGGAUACGUUUUUCUUCCUGCAAACAAAAAUCAAUUCCUUCAGAAAUCAAGCAAGUAAUAAGAGCAUAGCAAGGCAAGGCACGGUUUUGUAAGUUACCUUUUCAGAGUCAAGCCGAGCAUGAAGAGAAGAACUCAGGGCAUUGGCAUCAUCCAAGGCAGCGGAAACCUGAUUUAAUUCAGUUUGGCUCUGAGAGUACUUCUCCUCGAAGUAAGCGCACCGUUGAACCAUUUCAGCCUGAUCUCGGGAAUGUUUUUCCUCAAGAAUUGCAAUCUGCCGAGUCAUCCCUAGCAAGAAGUAAUCAAACAAAACGAGGUCAGAAGGUAAAACAGUCCACAACAAAGGCGAAGAGAAGAAAAAGGGCACUAACCAGCGUUAGUUGCCUCCAGCUCGGAUACACGACGAUGAAGUGACACUGGAUUCCAACACGCAAGAGACGAAGCCAUUUCUGGGACGGAAGCACCCUGCAAUCUCAGCUGGCUGGCCAUCCCAUCUACCAAAGUGUGAUGAGAAGAACAAAUGGGCAUAAUGACAAAAGUUCAUGCAACAUAAAGAACAAGCUAAAAUACAGCACAGUACCUGGAGGUUGGAAAAGAACGAAGGGAUCCCCAAAUCAGGAGAAAUCAGCUGAUAACCAGGCGCAAGGCCACCACCCGAAGCAGCUUGCGACGGGCCAGUAGGAAUCAGUUCAGUGCCUUCAACAGAGCCAAACGCCCGAUCAGCGGGGACGCUGCCCUCUAAAGCGCCUCCCUGGUCCAAAGUUUGGGGUACCACCAUGCAGCCAGAGUGUGGAGGUGAUCCCGCGUGAACGUCCAUGGAAGUGCAGGAAGGAGACCCUACCUGGGCACCCUCGGGGGCUGGGUCAUGGUUGGCACUGCCCACUUGAGCCGGAUCAUCCCCGGCAACACCCUCGGGGGCUGGGCAGUGGCUUACACUCUUCACCCGAGCUAAGUCAUCCCCGGCGACAUCCUCGGGGGCUGGGCAUGUGUCAGCACCAUUCUUGAGGUCCAGGCUCUCCGCAGUAACCACCUCUAAGGUUGACGGGCCUUCAGCCAUUUCCAUGGGAUCAGGACAAUCCAAGUCAGCAUCCCGACCCUCGAGAUCGCGCUCUAAGGUCGACGAGGCGCGGGAUGACCUCAACCUAGCAUCAGGCACGGCAGCGCAAGUCUCUGUUGCAUCAUCAUCCACUGGCUCUGAUAACAAGUCCUCUGGGACCAUAUCCUCAAGAGUUUGAUCAAAGUUGGCCAGGGACAGUUCUUGCAGACCAAUGAGGGCAGACAAAGCAGGAGAAGGAACUCCACUACUUCCACCGCUGGCGAUGAACUGCCGACUGUUUUUCCGAGUUAAAGGAGCUUCAUUUUCUUCCUCCUCAUCUUCCACAGUGCACCCAUUGGGUUCAGUAGCAGUUUGGGUACACCCAUUGGGGUCGGCGUCAGUAAGUCCAGUCGCAGGCACUUCUUCAGCAGCAGGAACUGAGGUACCAGCAUCCUCAUCAAAACUGGAUACUCGCCGGAGGCGUCUUCUUUUCUUCUUUUGCUCAUCAGCAGAAGGCUCAGGCUGAUUGGUUCGGCUAGGACGCCUCGGGCGAGUACUAACAGGUUUCUGGACAUCCAAAGUUGUAUCAACCUCUGGAAGGGGCACCACCGCCAACGUACCAACAGGAGCAGCGUCGGAGGAAUCCUCAGCUAGCAGAUCAAGCAUAUCAUUUAUGUCCGCAUCACUAGGGUUCAGGGGCACUUCAAAAUGAACCUGCCGUUCAUCAUCAGGAAUCUCCCCAAGUGAAGCAACCAAAGUAUUGAUUUCUUCAGCAGAGGGUCACACUCUAAGGCCCAAAUUGCCAUCAGUCACAGGCGGAUUUGACACAAAAAGGGUGAAGGCUUUGGGAGGAGGCAGGUUCCAGGCCGAGUAUGCCGCUGGAGCACCAACAUUUGACACCUUACCCCUGAGAAUCAUUUCAAGUCGGCUUACGAAGUCUACAGAAGGAAUUCUCCUAUUGGUAACCCGAGUUGAGUCGGCCAGCCCUCGAUACAGAUAUGCUGGAUAGGCCCUAUCUUUCAGUGGCUGAAUGUUCUUGAAAACAAAGUCAGCGACCACAGCUUCAGCAGUUAGACCUCUCUCUUUCAGCAGUCCCACCUCAGUUAGCAACACACCUGCCUCAGCCACUUCCUGAUCUGUGGGAGACUCGGUCCAGCUCGAAGUACGAACGUCUGGCUGUCUUCCCGACCGGGAGGGAAGAGAAUUUCCAUAAUUAUCAACUAUGAACCACUCUAGACGCCACCCCUUAAUACUGUCCUUGAGGGGAAUCUCAAGAUACUCGGUUUUCCGCCCGCGGCGCAUCUCCAAACUGGCACCUCCGACCAACUGAUGCUGUCCCCCGGCCAUCCCAGGGCGACAAUGAUACAAAUACUUCCAUAAGCCGAAAUGCGGCAGCACGCCAAGAAAGACUUUGCAUAAAUGGACGAAAAUGGAGAUUUGCAUAAUGGAAUUAGGAUUCAAAUGGGUCAAGUUAAUGUGGUAGAAAUCAAGGAGGCCGCGGAAAAAGGGAGAGAUGGGAAGGCCGAGGCCGCGGAGAAGAAAAGGAGCGUAGACUACAGACUCGUGGGUAUCCUCUGUCGGGACAGUAGUCCCGUGGCAAAUCCGCCAAGAACAGAGUUCCCGCGGAGGAAGAACCCCGAUGGAUACGAGGUGGAGGAGUUCAGCUUCGGAAAUAAUGGACAUAUGGUUACCUGCGAAAGGCAACUGGCUGUUGGGGUCGAUUGGAGGGAUCACCGCAGCAGACGAGCUCGCAGUUUUCCUCUUGGGCGCCAUCUCGAUUUUCACCAGCGAACAGAGUAGGAGGCGAAUGGCAGAGAGGAUUCAGAGGCGGGAAUGCAAGAACUAGGGCACGGAAAGCAAAGGCGGCUAAAAGCGCAGCUCUUAUGGGAUAUUCUCGAGCCAGAUACCGUUUCAAAAAGUGCCCAGUCAUCACCCGGCGGUUAUUUCCGAAACCCCAGCAUGCCACGUGGUCAUCCGGCGGUUAUUUCCAAAAAGCCGAUGCGCCACCUCAUCACUCGGUUAUCAUCCUUGAAAUAACUCAUGCGGCCGGCUAUCACUCGGCGCUGAUUCUAAAACGCUGAUUUCGUAUUCAGUCGCUCGGCAUUACCUCUAAAAUACCGACGUCACCAUCCAGUCACUCGGCGUUGACUCUAAAACGUUGAUUUCAUACUCAGUUGCUCGGCAUUGCCUCUAAAAAGCCGAUGCCGACCUCCAGUCAUUCGGCGUUGCCUCUAAAACGCUGAUUUCAUAUUCAGUUGCUCGGCAUUGCCUCUAAAAGCUGAUGCCGACCUCCAGUCACUCGGCGUUGCCUCUAAAACGCUGAUCUUGUGUUCGAUCGCUCGGCAUUGCCUCUAAAAGCCGAUGCCGACCUCCAGUCACUCGGCGUUGCCUCUAAAACGCUGAUCUCGUGUUCGAUCGCUCGGCAUUACCACUAAAAUGCCGACGUCGACCUUCAACCACUCGGCGUUGACUCUAAAACGCUGAUUUCAUACUCAGUUGCUCGGCAUUGCCUCUAAAAAGCCGAUGCCGACCUCGAGUCAUUCGGUGUUGCCUCUAAAACGCUGAUUUCAUAUUCAGUUGCUCGGCAUUGCCUCUAAAAGCCGAUGCCGACCUCCAGUCACUCGGCGUUGCCUCUAAAACGCUGAUCUUGUGUUCGAUCGCUCGGCAUUGCCUCUAAAAGCCGAUGCUGACCUCCAGUCACUCGGCGUUGCCUCUAAAACGCUGAUCUCGUGUUCGAUCGCUCGACAUUACCACUAAAAUGCCGACGUCGACCUUCAACCACUCGGCGUUGCCUCUAAAAUGCUGAUCUCGUGUUCGAUUGCUCUGUAUUACUUCUAAAAUGCUGACGUCGACCUUCAAUCACUCGGUGUUGCUUCUAAAACGCCGAUACCGACUACAAGAUUACUCGGCAACUACUUCUGGAAGCGUCAGUGUGAUGCACAAGUUAUUCAUCUACUGUCUCAAAAGAAUCAGUUCUAUAAUCAAGGAAAGCGAGUCAUCGAGAAGGAGCCAACGUCAUUUUUUCAUUAAGGGAAGACAAUAAGCUUACAAACCAACUCUUUGCGAGUUGAUGCUUCCCUACUAUUACUACAUUACAUUACUACUACUACUAUACUACACUAUACUACUCUACAUUACUACUACUACUAUACUACACUAUACUACUCUACAUUACUACUACAUUAUUCUAACUACACUAUACUAAUAUCUAAAGACCAGUGGCGUUUAGCCACUGGCCUUGCUGCUGCCGCCUCUGGUGCUGCCUGUGCUGCUGCCGCCUCUGGUGCCACCCUUGCUCCCGUCGCCGCCGCCGCUGCCGCUGCCGCUGCCGUCACCGUUGCCGUCGCCACCGUCGUCGUCGUCGCCGUCGUCGUCGUCGUCAUCCUCGUCCUCGCCGUCGUCCGAGUCCUCCUCAUCCGAGGAGAACUCCGACUCAUCCGAGCCCUCGAGCCCGGAGCGCUCGACGGCCCGGAUGUACGUCCAGACUUCCGCGGCGAUUCCCUGGGAGUCGUCUGAAUCAUCAGACGACGCCGGGGGAGAGACGGGAGCCGGAGACCCCUCGGACUCGGAGGAGAACUCCUCCUCCGAGUAUUCCGAGUCGCCGAAUUCCUCCGAUGGAGGAGUCGGCUCACGCUUGCGUUUGUUACUCUUGCCCAUGGCGGAAGCAGACAGAAGGGAAGAGAAGGAUGCAGUAAAGAACAGCGAAGAGAUGUGAAAAAACCAGAGGAGCAACAGCGUUAUUUAUAGAAGGGAAAGGUAACCGCUCACCUCCAACCUGGUCACUGAACAGUCGCAAAGCAUUCAAUAAGCACUUCCACCCGUCUGAAGACACGUCAGACGGCUGACGCCGUUUCAUGCAACACUACACCCAUUGGGACUCCAGUCAACAACGCAAAGGAUAUGAUUACACUCGUCGUCCCAUCACAUUACUACUCAGAAGCAGCCGGCUAAAACACUCAGCGUACCAAGCCGUCCCUUGCCCACACCCAUUGGGGGGGACGCCCAGGAAUUAUCAAGUAUAUUUUUCAAAACGGUCACAUCCGUGCAGGGCACGCAGUGAAUACCUCAAGACAAAAAUGAGAUAUCAGUAAGGAUCAGAGGAAAGCCAAAAAUAGCCAGCGAAGUACAAGAUAUGGCCGACAGAAGCGACGUGAAGACUAGACAGAGAACGUCCAUCAAACGUCCAAUCAGUCGCAGAAGCAAAUAAAUUGCACUACCUAGCAAGAUAUGGAUGGAUUGCAAACUCGGCUGCUAAAGACAAAAUAUAUGCUGACCUCUGCAGCAAAAAAUUGAUGACAUAAUGCUGACCUCCAAAGCAUAAUACAAAUAGCUUCAUGCCAAUUUUUACAAGCAAAAGGAAGACCUUCGAAUGGAUUAUCCUUAAAGAAUCCAUUUGAAGGUCGGGGGCUACACCCAUUGGGUGCACCUCCGGAGCACCCAAUGAAAUUCAGAAUCCUACAAAUCGAAGUGCCGACCUCUAAGGCACAAGCACGAAACUAAGCUUCGGUCAAAUGAGUGAUUGGAGCAGGAGAAGACAGCAGGAAGUCGUUUUUCUUCAAAACACCCGCAAGUUGGACCUGGGAUCUUUAGGCUGAUUACCUCUAAAUUAACCCAAAGAUCGGGGGCUUGUUGGGGAUAGAUAUCCCCCGGGUCCACUAAAGGAGUAAAAGACCUCACGAAAGGCCCAAAGGCCCAAUAAAUCGUAAAGUCAUUCUUUCGUGGGCCUGGGGAGAGACAACCAACAAAGCAGAACGACGUGAGACCGGAUUAGUGCAAACCCGGAUGGCCCACAACGUCGAACGAGUGAAUCACAACAGAGACCCGACUUUCCCGCGCUGGAGCCCCCAUGCAACGGAGCCAUGCGAGGAUAAGUCGGCGAGGGUUACGUAGGGAUAAACUCAAGAGGUUCACUACCUUUCAGCUACUUGUUGUUAUCAUAUCCACGUGUACUGCCCCACGGUCGAGUAUAUAAGGCCUAGGGGACACCCCUUCAGAAGGAUGGACCCUAUCUUACUUAGCCACCCACCUCAACUCUCUGUGUUUUCAAUCCAGAGAGCCCUCUUGUAACCACAUACACAUACUCACCAGGACGUAGGGUGUUACGCAUCUCUAAGCGGCCCGAACCUGUAAAUCUUGUCCACUGUCCCUCGUGCGAUCGGCACGAACUAUUUUGCUAUAGUCGUCAACACCGUCCUACUCCUAAAACACCUUGAGGGGCAACCCCGGAUGUGCGGUCGGACCCAAAACACCGACAGAUUCCCCCCUCCCUCGGUCCAUCUGACUCACCGUUUCGCCAGCCCAGCUUCACACACACGCGACCAUUGUCCCACUGACAUGUGGCCUCGGUUUGCCGGUGACCUCACGUGUGCCCGGAUAACCCCAUUGCGCCGACAUGUGGGCCCAGGUGGCACACACACCCGCCUGGUUCCUUCGCACCGACAGCACGGUCCCAAAUGUCAACCAUUCGUCCAUCGCUUGUGUAUUCUCACUAAUGGUGACCGCAUGGGGCCCUGUGUGGCAGCCAGUCCAACCUCCCCCAUGCGUCCGUAUCGCUGGUUUGUGGGACCACCACUUGACGAACCAGCUUUAGCUCAGUGGACGCAACAAACCCGCCACUGUCCACCCAAGAUUCUCGUGCGCCAUCGUUAAUCCGAGCUCCGGAUUUGUAUCCUCUCGGUGUACAAAUAGCGAGUGCUAGCGUCAUUGUCUAUGGAUGGGAGAGAGAGAGGAUGAUGUACCGAGUGGACAGCAGCGGUCUCCAAGGGUAGGAGGGGAGAAUUGCCGCCACGAAGAAGACUCUAGCACACCCUCGUCUGAGCCCUGGCCUGUGUGUGCCGAUGUUCACUAGAGGUUAAGUAUGUCGUGCGUGGCAUCUUCGGUCAAGAAAGGUGACUACGGAGCUGACAAUUUCUCGACAGGCUUUGGGAAUCGUGCGCCGUCAUGAUCGCGCGCAACGACGGACUUCGUCACUGGUCAGUGCCCUAAUUGUGUUCGCAUGAUUCUUGGCUGGGUAUUAGGCGUUGUGGGUGUGAGAUUGGAGCACUGGGGUGCUACGACGCGGUGCUCCGACGAGGCCUCAACCGUGUGGGCGGAGGCUCGGCUGUUGCCGGCGGCUAUGGGUGGAAGAUGACCUGUGUGUUGUUGGAUCGUGGACAAACGACAGUGAUUUAAUCUUUCCAUACCCCUUUGUCUCGUAUAGAUCCAACCGUUGCGGGGUGAUCGGGUGGCGAAGAUUGGAUUGCGCCCAAAUUAAAUGUGGACCAUAGAUCUGAAAUCUGAUGCCCCUGGUUGCCUAUCGAUUUACAUCUAAUCUGGGCACUUGGUGAGUGAUCCAACGACUCAGAUCGUCCAAUACCCCUUCGACCGUGCGUAAUUUGUUAAAGAGUCCCUGGAUUUUUAUGGAACCAACCCGUGGUCCACCGCAAUAGAAGAACCAUCGCCAAUAGGUCCUAAACUUUAUGUUUUAAACCCUGGACUUGGUUAAAAUAAUGUCCACAGUCCACAGUUCUUGAAUUAAGUAAAAUAAUUUUGAGAAAAUGAUUUUUAGUAUAAAAAUAAUUCUAGAAACUUAUUUAAUUCAUAUUUAAUUCAUCUUAACUCCUUUUUGACCCAUUCCAGUUGCAUUAAAUUCAUAAUAAUGUUGUUUAUCAUCUAGUAACCUUAUUUUGUUAUGAAACAUAGGUUAAAGUUAUACACUUAGUUGGUUUUAUAUCGAACACCUAAAUCUUCGGAAAAUCAUAACUCUUUAGCCGUAAAUCCGAUUUUAGUGGUUCUCAAACCUAGGAUCUCGUCGUGAUGCGUAGAUCAAUAUUAUGCAGUUUGUUCUUAUGUUUGGUGUGAUGGUAAUUUUACCUAUACCAUGUUUGUUUGUAUUGCUACAAUUAGCAGCAAGGGUUACGAGAAUCUUGAAGACCAAGCUGGUACCUGGGAAUCUUAAGUCACAGGCAAGUUGUGCCCUUGAUCACUUUUCUUUACCUAAUAAUGUUCCUGUUAAUCACUGUGACAAGUGAAAGGGAAAUAUGCCCUUGGGCAAUUUCUAUUUUGUUUUGGUGAUUAUGUGCCCAACACAUUUAAAUAAGUUCUUAUGUGCUAAAUGAAGAGAGAAGUGCAAAUCGAAGAGAAGGUAUGUUUCUAGACUUAGUAUAUUGUUUUGAGUACUAACAUAUAUUGUCUAAGUGCUAGAAACAGAGAAAAGAAGAGUAGAAAAGAAAUGCAAAAGACUUGGCUUGGUAUAGCCAAAGUCUAGCUCGGCUUGGCACACCGGACAGUGUCCGGUGCACCAGGCCAACCUCUGGUGACUAGGCCACUCUCGGAAAAAAUCGGCGGCGUACGACUAUAAUUCACCGGACUAUCCGGUGGUGCACCAGACUGUCCGGUGGGCCAACGGCCGCCAGCGCAACGGUCGGCCGCGCAAUCCGCGGGCGACGCGUGGCCCACACCAACGGUCGGCAGGGGGCACCGCAUUGUCCGGUGUGCACCGGACUGUGUCCGGUGCGCCAACUGCCACGAAUCUGCAACGGUCAUCUGCGCCAGAACAGGAAGAAGAUCGGCACCGGACUGUCUAUAGUGAUUGUCCGGUGCGCCACCCGAUAGAAGGCAACUUUGGCCUUCCUUGUUGGUCUCCAACAGCUCCUAGCUGCCUUGGGACUAUAAAAGGGACCCUAGGCGCAUGGAGGAGUUACCCAAGCAUUCACUAAGCAUUCUAAGUCUCCCACACUCCGUCUUCGCGCACUUGAUCGAUUGUGUUAGUGAUUUGAGCUCUGUUCUAGUUGUGAACUCUUUGUGCUUCAUUUUGAGCUCAAGUCUUGGCUUGUGUGCGUGUGUGUGCUGCGGAUUUGUGUGUGUUGCUCCCCAACCUUACUCUUGUGCUUUCAUUGUGAUCUUUGUUGUAAGGGUGAGAGACUCCAACUUGUGGAGAUUCCUCGCAAACGGGAAAAAGAGAUAAGGAAGAAAAGUCGUGGUAUUCAAGUUGAUCAUCGGAUCACUUGAAAGGGGUUAAGUGCAACCCUCGUCCAUUGGGACGCCACAACGUGGAAGUAGGCAAGUGUUACUUGGCCAAACCACGGGAUAAAAUCGCGUGUCUCUUGUGUGCUUUCUCUUUGAUUAUGUGUGUUCACAAGAACUGGUUUCAAGCUACUUAGUCGUUCUAACUUUCAUAAUCAAGUUUUUGUGGCUAUUAGUGUUGAAUUUUACAGGAUCACCUAUUCACCCCCCCUCUAGGUGCUCUCAGUUGGUAUCAGAGUCAUUCUCUUCAUCUAAGGGACUAAUCGCCCGAAGAGAUGGAUUCUAAGGGAAAGGGGAUGGUGGUCAAUGACAAGGAGAAGGAGUCCCUCUUCAACGAGCCAAGGGACGACAAGCCCACAGACUCAGGAUCGAGUCAUAAGAAGAGGGACGGGAAGAAGAAGAGGCGGGUCAAGAAGAUCAUUUACUAUGACAGCGACGCCUCCUCUUCUUCACCUAGAGACGACGACGACGAUGACUCAUCUAAAAAGAAAUCGGUUAAUCAAAACUAUUCAUUUGAUUAUUCUCGUAUUCUGUUCAAUUCCAAUGCUCAUUUGCUUUCAAUUCCACUUGGCAAACCUCCACACUUUGAUGGAGAGGACUACUCUUUUUGGAGUCACAAAAUGCGUAGUCACUUAUUUUCUCUCCAUCCUAGUAUUUGGGAGAUAGUUUAAAAUGGAAUGCAUUUCGAUAGUACGGAUAACCCGGUGUUUAUUAAUGAACAAAUUCAUAAGAAUGCACAAGCUACCACUAUUUUGCUAGCAUCUUUGUGCAGGGAUGAAUACAACAGGGUGAGCGGCCUGGACAACGCCAAGCAAAUUUGGGAUACCCUCAAGAUAUCACACGAGGGAAACGACGCCACCAUGAUCACCAAGAUGGAGUUGGUGGAAGGCGAGCUAGGAAGGUUCGCGAUGAUUAGGGGAGAGGAGCCAACACAAACAUACAAUAGGCUCAAGACCCUGAUCAACAAAAUUAGAAGCUGUGGAAGCACAAGAUGGACGGACCACGACGUCGUUCGUCUAAUGCUAAGGUCAUUUACGGUAAUUGAUCCCCAUCUUGUAAACCUUAUUUGUGAGAAUCCUAGGUACACCAUGAUGACGCCCGAGGAGAUUCUUGGGAAGUUUGUGAGCGGGCGCAUGAUGGUGAAGGAGGCUCGAUAUGCGGACGAUGCUCUAAACAGUCCACUACCCGUCCACGAGCCUCAAACCAUUGCCCUUAAAGCAACCAGCAACAGGGAGACGCUACCAAGCAAGUGGCAUAAGUGGAGGCCGUGGGCCUCAACAAAGAUGAGAUGGCGCUUAUCAUCAAGCGCUUCAAGACCGCAUUGAAAGGAUGCAAGGAGCACCCCAACAAGAACAAAACAAAGGGAAAGCGCUCCUGCUUCAAAUGCGGUAAGACUGGUCACUUUAUAGCAAAUUGUCCCGAUAAUGAUAGUGACCAGGGACAAGAAAAGAGCGGGAAGAAGGAGAAGAAAAAGAGCUACAGGAAGGCAAAGGGCGAGGCACACCUCAGAAAGGAAUGGGACUCGGACUGCUCUUCCUCCGACUCCGAUGACGAAGGACUCGCUACCUCGGCCUUCAACAAGUCCUCUUUCUUCCCCAACGAACGCCACACUUGCCUCAUGGCCAAGGAGAAGAAGGUAAGUGUUUGAGAUACCCCUAAGUACACUACUUCUAGCAAUGAUGAUUCUAGUGAUGAUGAAGUAGAUUAUACUGAUUUAUUUAAGGGUUUAGAUAGAACUAAAGUAGAUAAAAUCAAUGAGUUAAUUGAUGCUUUAAAUGAAAAAGAUAGAUUGCUAGAGAAGCAAGAGGACAUUUUAUAUGAGGAGCAUGAUAAGUUUGUUAGUGUGCAAAAAUCUCUUGCUUUAGAAACUAAGAGAAAUGAAAUGCUAUCUUCUGAGUUAUCUGUCUGCUAUGAAUCUAUCUCUAGCUUAAAGAUUUUGAAUGAUGAUUUAAAUGCUAAGCUAGAGGUAGCUAAUAAACCUAGUUCAUGUGUAGAACAUGUUGUAAUUUGUAAUAGAUGCAAGGAUUUUAAUAUUGAUGCUUGUGAUGAAAAUCUUGCGUCUAUUACCAAAUUAAAUGAUGAGGUGGCAAGUCUUAAUGCUCAACUUAAGACUUGCAAGGUUGAUUUUGAUAAGUUAAAAUUUGCUAGGGAUGCCUACACCGUUGGUAGACACCCCUCAAUUAAGGAUGGACUUGGCUUUCGAAAGGAAGCCAAGAACUUAACAAGCCAAAGGGCUCUCAUUCCCAACAAGGAGAAAGGAAAGGCCCCUAUGGCUAGUAGUACUCAAAGGAAUCAUGCUUUCAUUUAUAAUGAUAGAAAAUUUUCUAGGAAUGCUCAUUAUAAUAGGAGUUAUGAUGCGUUUAAUUCACAUACUAUGUUAGCUUCUAGCUCUACUUUUGUGCAUGAUAGAAGUAAGCCUAGGAGAAAUCAUGUUGUGCAUCAUGUGCCUAGGAGAGUAUGUAAUGAACCUUCUACUAUUUACCAUGCUUGCAAUACUUCUUUUACAAUUUUUUGUAAGAAUGAAAAAGUAGUUGCUAGGAAGUUGGGAUCUAAAUGCAAGGGAGAUAAGACUUGUAUUUGGGUUCCAAAGGCUAUUGUGACUAACCUUGUAGGACCCAAUAAGAGUUGGGUACCUAAAACCCAAGUGUAAAUUACCUUGCAGGUUUAUGCAUCCGGGGGCUCAAGCUGGAUUAUCGAUAGCGGAUGCACAAACCACAUGACGGGGGAGAAGAAGAUGUUCACCUCCUACGUCAAGAACAAGGAUUCCCAGGAUUCGAUCAUCUUUGGAGAUGGGAACCAAGGCAAGGUUAAAGGAUUGGGAAAGAUAGCCAUUUCAUCUGAGCAUUCUAUCUCCAAUGUGUUCUUAGUUGAAUCGCUCGGAUACAACUUAUUAUCUGUGAGUCAAUUAUGUAACAUGGGUUAUAAUUGUCUAUUUACAAAUAUAGAUGUUUCUGUCUUUAGAAGGAGUGAUGGUUCAUUAGCGUUUAAGGGUGUAUUAGACGGUAAACUCUACUUAGUUGAUUUUUCGAAAGAGGAGGCCGAUCUAGAUGCAUGCUUAAUAGCUAAGACUAGCAUGGGCUAGCUAUGGCAUCACCGUCUAGCACAUGUUGGGAUGAAGAACCUUCAUAAACUUCUAAAGGGAGAACAUGUGUUAGGACUAACCAAUGUCUGCUUCGAGAAAGACAUACCUUGUGCAGCUUGUCAAGCAGGGAAACAAGUGGGAAGCACUCAUCACAGCAAGAAUGUGAUGACUACAUCAAGACCGCUGGAGCUUCUUCACAUGGACCUCUUUGGACCCGUCGCCUAUCUUAGCAUAGGGGAAAGUAAGUAUGGUCUGGUUAUAGUUGAUGACUUUUCCCGCUUCACUUGGGUGUUCUUUUUGCAGGAUAAAUCAGAAACCCAAGGGACCCUAAAGCGCUUUCUUAGGAGGGCUCAAAACAAAUUUGAGCUCAAGAUGAAAAAGAAAAGAAGCGACAACGGGUCUGAGUUCAAGAAUCUUCAAGUGGAGGAGUAUCUUGAGGAGGAAGGCGUCAAGCACGAGUUCUUUGCUCCCUACACACCACAGCAAAACGGUGUGGUAGAGAGGAAGAACAGGACGCUUAUCGACAUGGCAAGGACGAUGCUUGGAGAGUUCAAGACACCCGAGCGGAUUUGGUCGGAAGCUGUGAACACAGCUUGCCACGCCAUAAACCGGCUAUAUCUGCAUCGCCUCCUCAAGAAGACCCCCUACGAACUCCUUACCGGUAACAAACCUAAUGUAUCUUACUUUCGUGUAUUUGGGAGCAAAUGCUACAUUUUGGUGAAGAAAGGUAGACAUUCCAAAUUUGCUCCCAAAGUUGUAGAAGGGUUUUUACUAGGGUAUGACUCAAAUACAAAGGCGUAUAGAGUCUUCAACAAAUCAUCGGGUUUGGUUGAAGUCUCUAGCGACGUUGUAUUUGAUGAGACUAAUGGCUCUCCAAGAGAGCAAGUUGAUCUUGAUGACAUAGAUGAAGAUGAUGUUCCAACGGCCGCAAUACACACCAUGGCGAUUGGAGAUGUGCGACCACAGGAACAACAAGAGCAAGAUCAACCUUCUUCCUCAACAAUGGUGCACCCCCUACUCAAGAUGAUGAAUAUGUUUCUCAAGAAGAGGCGCGUGAUCAAGGGGGAGCACAAGAAGAACAAGUUAUGGAGGAAGAAGCACCACUGGCCCCUCCAACUCAAGUCCGAGCGACGAUUCAAAGAAAUCACCCCGUCGAUCAGAUUCUGGGUGACAUAAGCAAGGGAGUAACAACUCGCUCACGUUUAGCUAAUUUUUGUGAGCAUUACUCGUUUGUCUCUUCUAUUGAGCCUUUCAGGGUAGAAGAGGCCUUGCAAGUGAAAGGGAAAUGUGCCCUUGGGCCAUUUCUAAGUAUUUUGAUGAUUAAGUGCAAACACAAGUGAACUUAUGCUAAGUAAUGGACAAAGUGCAAAUCAAGGGUAAAGGUAUGUUUCUAUGACUUAGUACAUUGUUUUAGAGACUAAUGUAUUAUGUCUAAGUGCUGGAAACAGGAAAAAUCAAGUUGAAAUUAAAGAUGGCUUUGUUCAGCCAAAGUCAGCUCAGUCUGCGUGCACCGGACUGUCCGGUGGUGCACCGAACAGUGUCCGGUGCGCCAGGCUGACUCAGGCGAACUUGCUGCUCUCGGGAAGCAAUUAACGGCGUACGGCUAUAAUUCACCGGACUAUUCGGUGUGCACCGGACUGUCCGGUGAGCCAACAGUCGGCUGGGCCAACGGUCGGCCGCGGAAUCCGCGCGUGACGCGUGGCAAGGGCCAACGGCUAGAAGGGGGCACCGGACUGUCCGGUGUGCACCGGACAGUGUCCGGUGCGCCAACGGCUCCAAAGCGCCAACGGUCGGCUUCGCCAAAGAAGGAAAGAAAUCCGCACCGGACAGUGUCCGGUGGUGCACCGGACUGUCCGGUGCGCCAGGCGACAGAAGGCAAGAAUUGCCUUCCUGGAAUGCACUCAACGGCUCCUAGCUGCCUUGGGGCUAUAAAAGGGACCCCUAGGUGCAUGGAGGAGAAAACCAAGCAUUCUCUAAGCAUUCCUAAGCACCAAGACUUCGAUUUCGUGCAUUUGAUUCUUUGUGAUAGCAAUUAGAGCUCCAUUUGAGUUGUGAACUCGCUGGGUUGUGUUGUGAGCUCUUGUUGUGACUUGUGUGCGUGUUGGUACAUUGAUUUCGUGUCUUUUGUGCGUUGCUCAUCCCUCCCUUACUCCAUGCUUCUUUGUGAACAUCAAAGUGUAAGGGCGAGAGGCUCCAAGUUGUGGAGAUUCCUCGCAAGCAGGAUAUAGUAAAGUGAAAGCAAAACACCGUGGUAUUCAAGUGGGUCUUUGGACCGCUUGAAAGGAGUUGAUUGCAAUCCUCGUCCGUUGGGACGCCACAACGUGGAGUAGGCAAGUGUUGGACUUGGCCGAACCACGGGAUAAACCACUGUGCCAUCUCUGUGUUGAUCUCUUUGUGGUUAUCGUGUUGUGCAAGUUCUCCUCUCUAGUCACUUGGCUUAUUCGUGCUAACUCCUAAUCAAGUUUUGUGGAUUAAGUUUCAAGUUUUUACAAGAUCACCUAUUCACCCCCCUCUAGGUGCUCUCAAUUGGUAUCGGAGUCGUUCUCUUCAAGAAAGGGACUAACCGCCCGAAGAGAUGGAUCCUAGGGGCAAGGGGAUGGUGGUCAACGAUAAGGAGAAGGAGUCCUUUGUCAAUGAUCCAAAGGAGGACAAGCCUACUAACUCGGGCUCGAUCCACAAAAGAAAAGAUGGGAGGAAGAAGAAAACAAGGCGCAUCAAAGAGAUAGUCUACUACGACAGCGACGAAUCCUCUUCUUCCCAAAAAGAUGACGACAACGACUAUGAGAAAAAGAAGACGGUUAAUUCAAACUUCUCUUUCGAUUAUUCUCAUAUUCCUCAAAGUACCAAUGCUCAUUUACUCUCCAUUCCACUUGGUAAACCUCCUCAUUUUGAUGGAGAGGACUACAGAUUUUGGAGUCACAAAAUGCGUAGUCACUUGUUCUCUCUCCAUCCUAGUAUAUGGGAGAUAGUAGAGAGUGUAAUGAAAUUUGAUAGCUCGGAUAGUCCUUUAUUUAUCAAUGAACAGAUUCAUAAAAAUGCACAAGCUACUACUGUGUUGUUAGCCUCAUUGUGCAGGGACGAGUACCAUAAGGUGAGCGGCUUGGACAAUGCCAAGCUGAUCUGGGACACCCUCAAGAUCUCACGUGGGAGGAACAACGUCACCAUGCUCACCAAGAUGGAGUUGGUGGAGGACGAACUCGGGAGAUUCGCGAUGAUCAGGGGGGAGGAGCCAACCCAAACUUACAACAGGCUCAAGACCCUCGUCAAUAAGAUAAGGAGCUAUGGAAGCACGUGAUGGACGGACCACGACGUCGUCCGCCUAAUGCUAAGGUCCUUUACUGUCCUUGAUCCACAUCUUGUCAACAAUAUUUGUGAGAAUCCCAGGUACACCAAGAUGUCGCCCGAAGAAAUUCUUGGGAAAUUUGUAAGUGGGCGGAUAAUGAUCAAGGAGGCGAGAUACGUGGAUGAUGCAUUGAAUGGCCCAAUCCACGAGCCUCAAACCGUUGCUCUCAAAGCGACAAGGAGCAAGGAGGCACUACCUAGCAAGGUGGCGCAAGUUGAGGCGGCCGGGCUUAAUGAGGAAGAAAUGGCCCUUAUCAUCAAGCGAUUCAAGACGGCGCUAAAAGGUCGCAAGGAGCACCCCAACAAGAACAAGACGAAGAGGAAGCGCUCCUGCUUCAAAUGUGGUAAGAUUGGUCAUUUUAUCGCUAAUUGUCUCGAUAAUGAUAGUGACCAGGAAAAGAAGAGUGGAAAGUGGGAAAAGAAGAAGAACUACAAGAAGGCGAAGGGCGAGGCACAUCUUGGAAAGGAGUGGGAUUCAGACUGCUCCUCGUCCGACUCCGACAACGAAGGACUCGCCGCCACCGCCUUCAACAAGUCAUCCCUCUUCCCCAACGAGCAUCACACAUGCCUCAUGACAAAGGAGAAGAAGGUAUGUACUCGAAACAAUACUACUUAUGCUUCUUCAAGCGAGGAUGAGUCUAGUGAUGAUGAUGAAAUAGACUAUUCAUGCUUAUUCAAGGGAUUAGAUAGAACAAAAAUUGAUAAGAUUAAUGAAUUGAUUGAUGCUUUGAAUGAUAAGAAUAGAUUACUAGAAAAACAAGAGGACCUUUUAUAUGAAGAGCAUGAUAAAUUUGUUAGUGCACAAAAUUCUCUUGCUCUAGAAGUUAAAAGGAAUGAAAUGCUCUCUUGUGAACUAUCCACUUGUCAUGAAACCAUUUCUACUUUAAAAAGUGUGAAUGAUGAUUUAAAUGCUAAACUAGAAGUAGCAAGUAAAUCUAACUCUUGUGUAGAACAUGUUAUGAUUUGCAAUAGGUGCAAAGAUUUUAAUGUUGAUGCUUGUAGUGAACACCUAGUUUGCAUUUCUAAAUUAAAGGAUGAAGUGGCUAGUCUCAAUGCCCAACUUAAGACUAGCAAGAGUGAAUUUGACAAGCUAAAAUUUGCAAGGGAUGCCUACACGAUUGGUAGACACCCCUCAAUUAAGGAUGGUCUUGGCUUCAAGAGGGAAGUCAAGAACUUAACAAGCCAUAAGGCUUCCAUCUCCGCCAAGGAGAAAGGGAAGGCUCCUAUGGCUAGUAGUGCUCAAAAGAACCAUGCCUUCAUGUAUCAUGAUAGGAGACAGUCUAGAAAUGGUUAUAGAAGUUAUGAUGCUUUUGAUUCUUAUGCCAUGGUUGCUUCUAGUUCUUCUAUUAUGCAUGAUAGAAAUUUAGCUAGGAGAAAUGUUAUUAAUCACAUGCCUAGAAGAAAUGUUGUUCAUGUGCCUAGGAAAACAAAUAGUGAACCUUCUACAAUUUAUUAUGCUUUAAAUGCUUCCUUUGCUAUUUGUAGAAAGGAUAAGAAGAUAGUUGCUAGAAAAUUAGGAGCAAAAUGCAAGGGAGAUAAAACUUGCAUUUGGGUCCCUAAGGCUAUUUGUACUAACCUUGUAGGACCCAACAUGAGUUGGGUACCUAAGACUCAAGCCUAAAUUUGCCUUGCAGGGUUAUGCAUCCGGGGGCUCUAGCUGGAUUAUCGACAGCGGAUGCACAAAACACAUGACGGGGGAAAAGAGGAUGUUCUCUUCCUACGUCAAGAACAAGGAUCCCCAAGACUCAAUCAUAUUCGGUGAUGGGAACCAAGGCAAGGUUAAAGGCUUAGGCAAGAUUGCAAUCUCAAAUGAGCACUCUAUUUCUAAUGUAUUCUUAGUUGAGUCGCUUGGAUAUAAUUUGUUAUCCGUAAGUCAAUUAUGUAAUAUGGGAUAUAAUUGUCUAUUCACAAAUGUAGAUGUGUCUGUCUUUAGAAGAAGUGAUGGUUCAUUAGCUUUUAAGGGUGUAUUAGACGGCAAACUCUAUUUAGUUGAUUUUGCAAAAGAGGAGGCCGGUCUAGAUGCAUGCUUAAUUGCUAAGACUAGCAUGGGCUGGCUAUGGCAUCGCCGCUUAGCACAUGUGGGGAUGAAGAACCUUCACAAGCUUCUAAAGGGAGAACACGUGAUAGGUCUAACUAAUGUUACUUUCGAAAAAGAUAGACCUUGUGCAGCUUGUCAAGCAGGGAAACAAGUGGGAAGCUCUCAUCACGCCAAAAAUGUGAUGACAACAUCAAGACCCCUGGAGUUACUUCAUAUGGACCUCUUCGGACCAGUCGCCUAUCUAAGCAUAGGAGGAAGUAAGUAUGGUCUUGUUAUAGUUGAUGAUUUUUCCCGCUUCACUUGGGUAUUCUUUUUGCAGGAUAAAUCUGAAACCCAAGGGACCCUCAAGCGCUUCCUAAGGAGAGCUCAAAACGAGUUUGAGCUCAAGGUGAAGAAGAUAAGGAGCGACAAUGGGUCCGAGUUCAAGAACCUUCAAGUGGAGGAGUAUCUUGAGGAGGAAGGAAUCAAGCACGAGUUCUCCGCUCCCUACACACCACAACAAAAUGGUGUGGUAGAGAGGAAGAACAGGACGCUUAUAGACAUGGCGAGGACGAUGCUUGGAGAGUUCAAGACCCCCGAGCGAUUUUGGUCGGAAGCCGUGAACACGGCUUGCCACGCCAUCAACCGGGUCUACCUUCAUCGCCUCCUCAAGAAGACUUCGUAUGAGCUACUAACCGGUAACAAACCUAAUGUUUCGUAUUUUCGAGUUUUUGGGAGUAAAUGCUACAUUCUAGUGAAAAAGGGUAGGAAUUCCAAAUUUGCUCCCAAAGCGGUAGAAGGGUUUUUGUUAGGUUAUGACUCAAAUACAAAGGCGUAUAGGGUCUUCAACAAAUCAUCGGGUUUGGUUGAAGUCUCUAGCGACGUUGUAUUUGAUGAGACUAAUGGCUCUCCAAGAGAGCAAGUUGUUGAUCUUGAUGAUGUAGAUGAAGAAGACGUUCCAACGGCCGCAAUACGAACCAUGGCAAUUGGAGAUGUGCGGCCACAAGAACAAAAUGAGCGAGAUCAACCUUCUUCCUCAACAAUGGUGCAUCCCCCAACUCAAGACGAUGAAUAGGUUCAUCAAGAGGAGACGUGUGAUCAAGGAGGAGCACAAAAUGAUCAAGUAUUGGAGGAAGAAGCACAACAGACACCUCCAACUCAUGUCCGAGCGAUGAUUCAAAGGGAUCAUCCCGUCGACCAGAUUUUGGGUGACAUUAGCAAGGGAGUAACUACUCGGUCUCGAUUAGUUAGUUUUUGUGAGCAUUACUCCUUUAUCUCUUCUAUUGAGCCUUUCAGGGUAGAGGAGGCCUUGCUAGAUCCGGACUGGGUGUUGGCCAUGCAAGAAGAGCUCAAUAACUUCAAGAGGAAUGAAGUUUGGACACUAGUGCCUCGUCCCAAGCAAAAUGUUGUGGGAAUAAAGUGGGUGUUCCGCAACAAACAAGACGAGCACGGGGUGGUGACAAGGAACAAGGCACGACUUGUGGCAAAAGGUUACGCCCAAGUCGCAGGUUUGGACUUUGAGGAGACUUUUGCUCCUGUGGCUAGGCUAGAGUCCAUUCGCAUUUUGCUAGCAUAUGCCGCUCACCAUUCUUUCAGGUUGUUCCAAAUGGAUGUGAAGAGCGCUUUCCUCAACGGGCCAAUCAAGGAGGAGGUGUACGUGGAGCAACCCCCUGGCUUCGAGGAUGAAUGGUACCCCGACCACGUGUGUAAGCUCUCUAAGGCGCUCUAUGGACUUAAGCAAGCCCCAAGAGCAUGGUAUGAAUGCCUUAGAGACUUUUUAAUUGCUAAUGCUUUCAAGGUUGGGAAAGCCGAUCCAACUCUUUUUACUAAGACAUGUGAUGGUGAUCUUUUUGUGUGCCAAAUAUAUGUCGAUGACAUAAUAUUUGGUUCUACUAACCAAAAGUCUUGUGAAGAGUUUAGCAGGGUGAUGACUCAAAAGUUUGAGAUGUCGAUGAUGGGCGAGUUAAGCUAUUUCCUUGGGUUCCAAGUGAGGCAACUCAAGGAUGGGACCUUCAUCUCCCAAACGAAGUACACGCAAGACUUGAUCAAGCGGUUUGGGAUGAAGGACGCCAAGCCCGCAAAGACUCCAAUGGGAACCGACGGACACACCGACCUCAACAAAGGAGGUAAGUCUGUUGAUCAAAAGGCAUACCGGUCUAUGAUAGGGUCUUUACUUUAUUUAUGUGCUAGUAGACCGGAUAUUAUGCUUAGUGUAUGCAUGUGUGCUAGAUUUCAAUCUGAUCCAAGGGAGUGUCACUUAGUGGCCGUGAAGCGAAUUCUUAGAUAUUUAGUCGCUACGCGUUGCUUCAGGAUCUGGUAUCCAAAGGGGUCUACCUUUGACUUGAUUGGAUAUUCAGACUCCGACUAUACUGGAUGUAAGGUCGAUAGGAAGAGUACAUCGGGGACGUGCCAAUUCUUAGGAAGGUCCCUGGUGUCAUGGAGUUCUAAGAAACAAACUUCCGUUGCCCUAUCCACCUGAAAGUUGCCUAGAGGGGGGUGAAUAGGCAAGUUAAAAUAAUUUCAACUAAAACUAGAAGCAAACUGGGUAAAACUGAAUUGAUCUCGAAAUUCACCCAGUUAACUCUAGAAAUGAGAUGUUCUAAAUGAUCCACAGGGUUCAAAGUAGUAGAUCUGAGAAGGGCACUUCUCAAAAUCCACACACCAAAAAGAUAUAAACAAAUCUUCCACGCAAUGGUGAGAGAACGAAGAACACAAACAAACACAAUGAGCAAGAACACAAGAGACACAAGAUUUAUCCCGAGGUUCGGUCACACCACCAAGGUGCCCUACUUCCUCGUUGAGGCGCCCACAAAGAGUCGGGUCUCUUUCAACCCUAAUCCUCCCUUUGCCGACCACAAAGGUCAAGCCCACACAAUAAUCUUUGCUCAAAUGAGCGGGUAAUACAAACUUUCUUGUGGUCUUCCACAAGAUUUGGAGACUCACAAGAGACACCUAGUCGUUUAGGAGCUAGAAGCUCCAAGAGUAAUGAAUCCACAAAGAACUCGAUGUAGUACCAAAGCUCGAAUGAAGAAGAGCAAGAGAGAUUUGGAGAUAAAGCACAAAAACCGCAGCUCUCAAACUCACUCAAAGAUUUCUCUCCAAAGAUUUGAAAUGGGAGAGGCAAGAGGUGUGUGAGAGAGAGUGGGAGGUGUUUCUCAGGUUGGGAAUGAAGUUUUGUGCGUGCUCUACUGUGGGGAAGAGUGUGGGAGGUGUAUAUAAAGGUGCCCCAAAAGCUGGUGACCGUUAGGGAAAUCUGACUGAAAUUCGGUUGAACCGGUUUCAAAUUCGGUUGAACCGGAUUCCACCAGUCGGUUUUCGGUUCACUGGCGGACUCAGCCGGAGACUGGACCGGACUCAAAUUCGGUUCAACCGGUUUCAAAUUCGGUUCAACCGGUUUCAAAUUCGAUUGAUCCGGAUUCAAAAUUCGGUUCAACCGGUUUCAAAUUCGGUUGAACCAGAUUCAAAAUUCGGUUGAACCGGUUUUCCAAAAAUCUGCACACGACUUUUUCUAACAGGACUGACUGCAGACUGGCAGUGACAGAGGGGAACAGUGCAGAAACCGGUUGAACCGGUUUUAGGUCCGGUUGAACCGGUUUUUGAACUGUUGCACAGAUUUUGAGAAAACCGAAGUGAAACCAGGGUAAAAUGGAAGUUUUAGAUCAAGGAUUUUGAGCUUUAGUACCAACACCAACCUUCUUUUUGGAUCCCCCUUGAUAGUACGACGAUUCCUAUACUCAAGUUAAAUAAAAUAUAAUUAAGUAAACUCCUUGAGUAAUUGGUGUCUCAUGUGAUUUCUCCAUGAUGUUGCUUCAUAAGGAUCACAAACAUCUUUGUCUCACCUUUUGAAGCAAACACAAAUCAAGCCUGUCACUUAUGCCAUUUCACCAUAUAUGAGUUUAAAUCAUGGCUUCAAGUCACCUUACUGAUGCAUCAACAUGUUGUAACUCUUCAUAGCUGAUUAGUUCAUCGACUUAGUGCAAGUACUCUCUUCUUCACCUUAGCCAUGGUACCUCGAUCUACAAGUCGUCGCUUGGCCUUCACCUUCGCUUAGUUCCUCGAAGCCCUUUCCUUGCUAUCUUCACCCUAUCAAGCCAUUCUUGAGUCACAUCCUAUUGAGCAUCCAUUGAGAGAAUCAUUUCUUCAAUAUUGUGAACCUUGCUUGAAUGUCAUCUAGAUAUAACUGCUAAGAUCAAUCAAGCUCUAGUUUGAUUCUCAUAGAAGCAUAUAUGGACUGAUAGUAAUAUGGUCAAGCCAAUUCACGAUUCCUCAUAUCUUAUUCACUUUGGCUUGACCUAUCCUCUUAAUCACUUCAUCCUCUAUUCUGAUCAUAUGUAUGUAGUGAUUUCUCGGGUCUUGUCCAUAUAUUCAAACCAAUAUAGAGAUCAUAUAAUAUCCAUUUGCAUUGUCUCAUUGGUUAUUUAACAUCGUGUUGAACCUUCAUUCACUGAUCAUUAUACACUAUUCAAGUAUGUUCAUCAUACUGAAUUUCCUGUUCAACACUUAGCAAACUCGUUAGACCUUUAAAUGUGUUGUUAUCCAAAUCAUCAAAACUCACAAAAGGGAUGAAUGCACUUUCAAUCUCCCCCUUUUUGGUGAUUGAUGACAACACAUUUAAAGCUUACAUAAGAUUUGAUAAAUAAGAUUUUGAAUCCUAUGAUAUAGUUUCCUCCCCCUAAAUAUGUGCAUUUCAGAAAAUAACACUUUUGUACUCAAAUGCCAAAAGCACAUAUUUGGGUCAAAGUAUGGAGACAACUUAUAUUAUACUAUUCAUGAGGUGCAGUGUGUCAUAAAAUAAACGUGAUGCUCAUAACAUAGUAUGCACUCAUCAAUUUUCUACAUCUUAUGUUUUUCUUAUGAUUCCCCCUUUUUGUUAAUUAUAUCUCCCCUUCUUAAAAGUCUUCUAACACUUAGUUACAUAAGACUAAAGGUAAGCUUUAAUGCAAAAUUUCUCCCCCUUUGUCAUAAAUCUCCAAAAAGGAUACAAAGAAUAUAAAGGGUAGAAAUUAUGAUUAAGCAAGAUGGGAACACACUAUUAUGAAAAGGGUCCUUAGAUGGCACAAAGGUAAUGGAGAAGUGACAUGAAGUGAUGUACCUUUGCAUUUUUACCUUUUCAAGGGGAGUUCCAAACUUGUGUUGGAUUUAGAAUUCAUUUGCAAGCUCUUGUUGGCAUAAUUGUGAUAUAGGUCCAAGAUAUUAAAUGAAGAUUGUCAUACUAAAUUGAAGGUGAAGCUUGAUACCUGGAGGCUAGAUGUCACCUAGCAUUUUCUUAUCACAACAAGAGGCAACAUGACAAUUGCACAAGUAUGGAUUCUACAACUAGUGAUCAUGUACUAAAAAUAUCAAUUGAAAAACACCAAUUGAAUAUAAUCAUACAACAUAAGGAACAUGUGCACUAUUUAAUCAAUUAAGUUCUAGAAAGGAGAAUUUAUAAGCUAUGCUACUUUAGACAUUUGCAAUCCAAAAGGAUAUGAUACAUAUUUACCAAUUUUAGAUGACAUAAGAUGUGACAGAACCUCCCAAGUAAUUAGGCCCACCUACAGUUGUCCUUGUCCAACAGACAUCAGACACCCUGUAGAUGUUCCUAAGUCACUUGACAAGUUCGGUAUCUUUCCUUACCUUACCAGGAACGUUUCACCCGUCUUGCAGACAUUACAGAACAUCGGAGUUAUAGAAGUGCGGAAGCAAUUACAUAAACUUACAUUUAUUUAGAAAGUAAGAUCAAGUUACUUAUUACAGACCAGAGCUAUAAACGAGUGCUGAGUAGUAUUAUUAUUACACAUAUCAAGGGAGACAAAAACUCCUCCCGAUAGCUUUAAAACAAAAAGAUCCUAUAUGGAGGACCACGUCCUCCCGCAUCUUCACUCUUGCUUUUCUUCAUUUGAUACCACCUUGGAGCAAAAGCAACAAAAAUUUGUCGCUUCCUCACCUAAAAACAACAAAGGGAUAAACCCUGAGUAUGAAAUUACUCAGCAAGUCUUACCCGACUAAGGAAAAGACUCUCAAGGGUAUGCUGGAUAAAUAGGAGUCAAGGAGAGGCUUUAGCAAGAAUCAACUUAGAUACUUUUGCAGAAAUAGCUUACUAAAGUGGGUCCUUACUUUCAAUAUUUUAACGCCAGAUUAAAUAUUUAAUAGACUCUGUUUGCAUCAAGUCUAAUUUCAUCAUCUCAUCAAUACAACAUCAUUUUUAUCCAUAGUGUUCACAUCUUGACUUAGGUUGUAGGUCGGAGCUCAAGUCUCCACUGUCCGGGGAUAUAACGGCGAUCCGAAUCGAUUUACUCAGCUGAGGAUUUCUAACCACACGACAUAUGUUUCUCGUAAACCUUGAUGUCUACUAUUCCCACGGAUCCUCCACUGCAUGAACAGGUCCGCGCCACCCGAGAGUACACCACCCCUUUUAGGCGAUCCGUUGCCAGGAGGGUACGUGCCACUCUCGCCAUCUCUCCACGCCCAGUGCGCGAUUGUCUUUUCAUGUAUGGAAUAGCCGGGUUCAAGCUUACCCUGUCCCAUUCUCAGGGCAUGUGGCUAGAUAAGAUAGUCCUUGAUCAACAGGCCUACAUACGCAUCCAAUCCUUAAUUGACCCGGGCGGAGCAUCACCUGUUCCUAGCCCAAGUCUCGAUUUAAGUAUUUCCAUCCUUAGGAUUGUGUCUGUUCCUUAGGAUGAAAGAGCAUCACAGGGAACUUUGCAGUAAGAUCCCAUUAUUGCUCCAAAUGAAAAUAUUCUUGCAGGUAGAAGCCAUCCUUUCUCGAGUUAAAUUAAGGACAACCUCUAUCCACAAGAUCUAAGCAAGGCUAAGCAUUUUUGUAAAUCAUAUUUUGAUACUUCACAGAAGUAUCUAUAAAGGUAUGGAUAUCAAGGAAAGCAAUGCAUCAAAGGGUUUCAAGCAAUUCCUAUGAACCUAAUGCACAUUUCACUAGACUUAAGUGUGCGAAAAGUAUUUAAAAACACAAGGAAAGGGGUUGCAUGCACCGGGGCUUGCCUUCGUUAGUAGGUGAGUCAGGCUCGGACUCGCAGUUGUCGAAGUAGAGCCAAGUCCUUGGCCGAGAUUCCAAAGGUGGCGGUGUCUUUUCUUCAGUCACUUCACCCUCUUCUCCGUUUUCUAAAUAUAACCAUAUAGGUAUAUAUAUAAGAAUGAAUGCCAUGUAAUGCAAACUAUCACAAAGAGAGGUGGAGAACAGAAACACUACAACUAAAGCACAUGACAAGAAUACACCUAUUUCUUAUCGCUCGAUUAAAGUGACCAAUUUGAAUUCACUUAGGCAAACAAGGGAAUUAAUCUAACUUAUAUCUCAUCCAAAAUCUUAAAACUUCUUAAGCAACUUCCUCUCUUCCCUAGAUAAACUUAUCUCCUUUCCAAAGGCGUGGAGAGUAUCACUGACUUACAUAGAUCACGAUGCUCGCGCGAGGUUGAUCGGGGAAAACGUGAGUUGUAUGGUUUGCGGUGGAGCUACCCACAACGCCAGAUCACGGCGACAUGCCCCUGUUCCGGCCCAAGCACGACAUUAGUGUUAGGGAAAACAGCUCGGUGAGCUUCACUGAUAUGGAACAGGCACAACACAGACCAAUACUUGCCUGAACUAGCCUGGCCACGGCGAGGUGACAAAUUGGUAGGCGUGGUCACAACUCAUAGGAGUUUGGCGCGUGCAGCCCUGGACAGAGCACACUGAUGGCUGGGGAAAGGAGAAGCUACACGAACCUGAAGGCACAGCGACCACCUGCUGCAAGGAACUCAGGGAAAGAAGUUCACUGAACCAUGUCUCUUAUGGCAGCUAAAGCGGGGCAGGUGUCCCUGGACUUGCACAAAUUCAGUGCAAAUGUAUUCCCAGUGUGCCAGCAGUACAUGGACAUCCCCUACGUGUCUUUCAUGCCCAAGUUCCUCACAGAUGCACAGACACACCCAUAACACUGAACCUAGUCAGCACUUUCAGCCCAAAAUAUCAACUUGUCCAAUUACUCAAAUAGGGAAUAGAGCAGAUAAGGUUCACUGAAGCAGAUAUUUUUUUUUCAGUCCAAACUUUAGAUAUUUCGGUGAUGGCCAAGGUUCUGAAUAUCCCUGCGAUUCCCUCAUCUCUAUCUUAAUCUUUUACAUCAGUGGAGCACGGCAAGGGAAAAGAUCAGUGGCAGAUAUUUCUGUUCAUCCGGAUCUACUGUACUCAACUGACCCCCCCCCCCCCCCCCCCUCCCCCCCCCCCCCCCCCUCCUCUCUCUCUGUUCAGCCACCUGUUUCUCUCUAUAUUUGUUAAGAACAACUUAGUCUCUGUUAACAGAACUUGUUCGCUAAUCAAAGAUCUUCAAAGUUACUAUAGGGUUCUUAGACUCAAACUUCAUAAAUCCAAAGUUAUGGUGCCCAAAAAUCAACUAUAUUACACUGGUAGCUUUUUUUCUGGUCUGAACUUCGAAUUCCAGUCAACAGUCCCCAUCUGAUUUCUCCUUUUGACAGAGGCAGUUUAAGCAUCAUUAUCUCCUAAAUUUAUGUGACAGCAAGCGAGGCCCUCAUAAUAAAACUUGCUCAAGAAUACUAGCUCUCCAACUUUGCUUACACUAAAUUUGUUCCUAAUCACAUAGGAUAGUUUCUGUAAGGCCCCAAAGUUGACUCAACAUACAGAAAUUCAGAGUUAGCCACUCUGGUCGACAGUCAGAAUUCACUAGUCUGACAGCACAACUUGGAACAGCUUUUUCUUCCAGGUUUAUGUGGAACCAAGUCCACAUCACUAUAUAAAACUUGUUCACUGUACUUUGGUCUUCAAAUUUGAUACAGAAAAUUUAUCCCAAAACCAAAUGUAUUAGCCACAAAUGAGCUCCAAAAUCAGUACCUUUUACUGAAUUUCAGUUUCAGUGAACUGAACAAAAUUUCAGUCGAAGCAACCUGACAGCCCAUCUUGGAGCUAACUUCUCUCCCAAAUUUGUGUAGCACCAACCCAGCAGUGCUUGAACAAGUUUGUUCUCCUAGAUAUGGUCUUAAAACUUGCUGCAGAAACUUUGGUUCAAAACCACCUAGAACAGGCACUACACAGCUCCAAAACUGCACUAAAAAUAUUGAUUUCAGACUUUCAGUUCUGAAUAAACUAAGUCACCAACCACCCGACAGUCAAACUUUGAGCAGCUGUUACUCCAAUUUUCGUAUAGGAUCAUGUCCAUCACCUUUAAAGAAGUUGUUCACCAAUAUAUGGUCUUUAAUUCCUCUAUAGAAACCUCAGUCCAAAACCUUAUAGAACAACCACAAAAGGGCUCCAAACUUGGCACCAUACAACAAAUUUCAGAUUUCAGAACUGAACCAAAUUCAGUUAUAGGAAUGCCUAGCAGCUGAUCUUUGGGGGCAUUUUUAUCCACUUUUUAUGUGGGAACAAGCCAAAGUCACUUAAAGAAACUUGUUCACCAUCAUAUGGGCUUCAACUUCUCUAUAAAUACCAUAGCACAAAACAUUACAGAACAUCCACAAACCAGGUCCAAAACUGCUAUCCACACUGAAAUUCAGUUACUGUUUCCAAUCUGAAAAUUCAGAAACACAGCAGCACCACUUUAAACCACUCUUUUGCCUGGAUUACAAAUGUUUCUAGGGGCAAGUUGCUUAAUAAAGUUUAUACUACUAUAGCUCCUCUACAAGUUUGAUAUAGUAACCAUUAACCAAAACCUCUUGGAUUCCAAACUACAAUAGCCCAAAGUUUGCUCCAAUUGCUGAAAUUCAGAAUCUGAAUUUCACUAAGUCUGAAAUCUACAAUUUCUGACAGCUCUACUUGGGACUAGUUUUUCUCCAAGUUCCAUAGAGUGUUAGGGCUAGGUGACUUAACCAAACUUAUACUCCUCAUGUAGCUCUAUGACUUUGUUAUAAUGAUCAUCUUCAAAAUGGUUUUAGAUCAGAAGUUACAAGGGUCCAAAGUUGUCUAGUUUAUAUUAUUUUCAGCAAUUCCAAAAUGAACCCAAAACUGAAUUUUUGUACUUAACUCCAAAUUCUUCCACACAACUUAUGAAUCUCCAAAUAAGAAAUAUAUCCACUUUUCCAAGCUCUACAACUUUGAUAUAUGGACUUUUAGCUAAAUCCUUCUAGAUCUUGAAUUCCCCUUUUGGGCUAGUUUUAGGGUUUCAAAUGAGUUUCAUUUGUGUUUCAGCUUCUUCUAGGGAUUCAUCCCUUUGAUCCCUCCACCUAGAGCAAAGUUACACUCUAGCUCAAGAUCCAAUCUUUGAUACACAUAGCUCAUAUCCAAAAUGUCCUGGUUUAGAAUUUUCUUUACUUAACCAUCUAUUCCAAGCAAAGCUCAAGUUAAGGUUUGGAGUUAUUCUAGCUUCUUAAGUGCUUCUUCCACUUGACCAUCAUUCCAAAACAAGGCUACUCUAGGCUCUAAGACUUACCUUUAACAUUUAAGACUCCAAGUCAAUUUGUUACUUGCUCAAGAGAUGAUCUUCCCUCAUUUUGCUUAAAACAGGUCCUUAACUAAGUCCACUACUCAACACACAACAUCACACUUUUUGUAAAGUUUUAACCUAGUAAAUGCAUUCUAGGUGUAACAAGCACAUUAAUGCAGAUGCUUAUGAUGACAUGUCAGAGUUUUAGUUUACGUAACACCAGGGGUGUUACAUAAGAGUAGCAUAUACAAGAGAAACUCAUUCUCUUAUGAAAUGUAUAAAAGAUACAUUUAUUGGCGCAAAGAAUCUUUGAUACCCAUCAAAAAUUUGCAGUGGAAGCGAUUGUCUUUGCCCGAAGGUUCCUUUCUAAUUUGAGACUACACACAUAAUAGACUUGAAAAUGAAGUUAGUCUCAAAGAUUCAAAUUAUAAACCAUUCUCCCCCUAAAUGUGUGCAUACAAGUGAUGAAUACUUGUUUAGCUUAUGCACUUGGACUUAUGAGGCCAGGGGAUUAAGUUCUACAAUUUGAACCUUGGUACAAAUAAAGUAUGAAAAUAUAAAAUUGCACCAAUUGAAGGAAUUGCUCAUAAUCAAAAGGUAUACUAAUAGACAUGAUAUGCAAUAUUUUAAGCCAAGAUUCUUGAGAAGUUAGCAUGUUUGACUCAUACCUCACUAAGAUGACUUAAGACUAACUUAUGAUAUCACCACAAGAGGUAUUAAUCAAAUAUCUAGAGAUUCUUUAAUCAUCACCACAAGUGCAACCUUAUGAUGUGACUUAAGAUAUUGCAUAUACAUGCACACACUAGCAUGUAAGAGCCUAGAUACACAAAUGUAAUACAAUAGUUCAUGAAGUGACACACCUUUGUUCUACGCCACAUGGUCUCCAUUAUAAUCAUGAAUUUCCAUCUUAGCUUUUGAUAGGCUUGACAUUUCAAAGAGAAGCUUAUCCUCUUCAAACAAUCAAGAGAAAUUCUUCAUUUCUAUGGAACCAUUCAUCCUCAUUUGAUGUUCUCCAAGGUGUGAGACUACACAACAUGAACUUGAAAGAAUUCAUUAGUCUCACAAGAUAUAGGCUAAACUCUCCCUCAAUUUAUGCAUGCAAGAGUACACAAAGUACACUUAUGCACAUCAACAAUACGAGGUUAAAGGAGAUGUUUGCACUAUAUCUUGGUUUAACAUAACAUGCUUUACAUAGAUGAUAAAAAUUAAACCAAUUGAAAGUUUAAGAAUUGAAAGUAUAUCAAUUGAAGUCCUGAAGGGUAAAGCAUGCUAAUAUGAACCUCAAAACCUCAUAAUGAAGGAUAUCAUAUAAAUAUGUCACUACAUCUUCAUUAUUUGGUUGACAAAAAAAGUAUAACUCCCUUCUUGAAUCACUGUGAUCUCUUUUCUCUUUACGAUUUCAUCCAACCAAGUGAUCUUGAACUUCUUUCAUCUUUUCUUGAUUCGAUCAAUUAAAACUCAAUGAUUGAAACAACCAAGGCUCUUAUAUCCAUAGAUUUUGAAUCCAAAGCGCUUGGAAGGACCUUAUUGAAACACUUAGAAAAGAGAGCAUUAGAAACACAAAGGAGGGUUUCACAAAUGAUGAUCCUUAUAUGAGGAUGGCAAAUGAAUCAUCAUUCUUAGAACCCAAAAGGGUAGAUUAAUUUAUUUUAAAUUAGUGCACAUAUAUGGUUGAUGUCAAAGUUAUAUGCACUAUUGAACAUUUUAUAUUGCAAUGAAAUUAAUCUAUAUUAUGGUACAUCCCACUAAGGAAAGAAUACUAAAACAACUGAAGGAGAGGAAGUUUUCAUACCUUGGCCUCUUAUCAACUUCAUCUUACUUUAGUUGAAUAAUAUCCUUAAGCUUGUGAUUUAUCCAAUUUAAAACAAGCACCAUCUCUUAACAUAGAUUUUCUAUGGAUAAACUCAACACAAGAGAUGACAUUAGUAUCACAAGCAUUAGUUUCUUAUUUAGCAACCCUUUAUAUGCGAAAGACAAGCGUGUUGCUAAAAACAGAAAAACCUCAUAAUAUGGACUAAAUUUCCCUUGAGCCCUUAAGCACAAUAUAUUUUGAAUGAUAUGGAUAAUAUGCAUGGUUAUUCAAUAAAGUCUAAAGGGCUGACUUAAUCCAUAUUAUGGUGAGUGUCUAAUAUAGAAGAAUCAAAUCCAAAUUAACUAGAGAGAGAGUACAUCACAUAGUUUUGGAUUUGUUGACCAUAUGAUAAUAUUCAUUUAUCUUCCAAUUAGACCUUUAUUUCAUAAUCAAUAAGUAAUGUAUAUCCUCAAGUGCUUCUUUUCCCUUAGUGGCUACACAAGUCACAAAAGAGAUAAGAUUUGAAAAUAAUAUGCACUUGAGAUUCAGUUGUUACCACCCUUGCUACUAUCUCCAAAUAUGAUUUAUAUAUUCAUUAUCGAGCACCCAACUUGAUCCAUUGAAGGAGUGAUCCUGCAAAACAAGUUUAAGCUUCGUAUUUUGGUACCCAAUUUUAAUUGAGUCCUUUAAGAUUAGUAGUAAGAGCCUUGGGUACCCACACAUUCCUUAUUGUGGCCUUUCUCUUUGUGUAGGCAUCCACAUAUACUUGACAACCAUCUUACUAUGGUUCCAAGUUAAUAUGUAAACUCACAGAUAAGAGCAAGAGUUAAGAAUAGGAGCCUUUUCUCCUUUUCUUGAUACAUCAUUGUGUUGCCUUCUUGAUGAUGAACCUAGCUUGACCUUGGGUGCACCUACCUUAUCAAGGUUAGUUGCACAAGCAUUCAUAUCAUAAAGACAAGUUAUGCAUGGAAUUUACAACUUAGUGAUCCAAUUCAAUGUGAAGCAUAUGGAUACCGAUUGAAGUAGAUUUCUAAGAUAUCAAAAUAUGGGUUUCCAAAAUUUAUGGAUCACUAAUUGUACCUUUUACAGUUUAAAAAUCAUAUCCAUGUUAGUGCAUAUGUAUGUGAUGGAUAUCAAAAAAAAGAUUCUUAUGCACUUUUAGAUUUAACGAUAAGAGAAUUUUAAACUGCAUCAAGAGUAGCUAUUUAGAAAACGAAGAUUACAAUCCAUAUGAAUGAGAUACAAAUUUACCAUUUUGGAUUAUCUUAGUAUAGCUUACUCAAGUGAAACUUAUUCUCUAUGACACAAGAUAUAUAAUGUUCUCCCACUAGAUAUGUGCAUCAAGUAUUUGGAUGACUUGCCACAUGCACUUUCAAUUCAGUUAAGAGUCUCAUGAGGAGUAUAUUACAUAUCAUGGUCAAGGCAUGACAAAUUUGCAAUGAAUUAACUUAUGCCUAAGAAUACUUACCACCAUAUAGAAUGUACCAUUUAUUAUACCAAUUUGACAGAUCUUACUAUCUGUGGUGGUGUCACCUUAGUAUUCUUCUUUUCAUCAUUUGUGGAGACUUCCUUCUUUGUUAUCUCUUUUCCUUUUAAAACUAGUCGAUAAAACACUUUGAAAAGAGGUAUUAGUAGUACAAGGAAGUAUUUAAUGAAUGAUGAUAUCUAUAUAUGAAUGGCAAACAAAUCAUCAUUUAUGAGGCGUAAAGGCAUAAAUUAAAUUCCUUUUAAGUUAAUGCACAUGGAGCAAUGAAUUCACAAUAUGCAUUAAUUUACAAAUUUAAGCCAAAAGGAAUGUAAUCUUCAUAUUGACAUUCCUUUCCAUAGAAUAUAUUAUUACCAAUUGAAAGAAUGCCACUUGGAAGGAACUACUAUUGAUCAACUACCAAUUGAAGCAAUUUGUUCCAUACCUUUGCCUUGAACAUUCCUAAUCUUCCUUUUAGGUGAAGAUUAACCUUUAAAGCUUGUGAUUUUACCAAUUUAAAUAGCACAAUCUCUACUUAUGAAUUUCCAUUAAAUAUCUUAAAAGAGAUUGUAUUAGUAACACAAGCAAUAGUUUCCUAUUUAGCAACCUCUAGUAUAUGAAUGACAAGAAGGUUACUAAAACAAGGAAACCUCAUGAUAUGAACUAAAUUACCCUUACAAGCAUCAUGCAUAACAUCAAUUGUAAAAAAAGAUGAAAGUAGCAUGAUUAUUUAAUUAAGUUUACAUGGCAAGUUUAAUUCAUAGCAUGGUGAGUGAUUAAUGAAGAAGACUCAAAACCAAUUUAAACAAGAAUGAAUACAUCACAUAGUAUUGGUUCGAUCUUCUUUGAAUGUUGAAUGGCACACUCCAUUUGGGAAACACAUUCUCAUGUUGUGAGACUACAUAAACACUUAGAUAGAAACAUUAGUCUCACAACUCUAGUCAUAUAGAGAAUUCCCCAUUUGGUAAGUGCUAUAAGAAUUUGAAUUUCUUACUUAGCACUCUAUUCAUUUAAGAACAUGGGAUAAUACUCUUUAUGUCUAGGUCAUGGCAAUAAUAUGAUGAUUAACUUGAAAUAUGUCACAAGAUACAUACAAUCAAUUUAAAGCAUGUAGAUUAUCACAAUAUAAAAAUAUGAACUUGCAAUCUACCAUAUAAUUAGAUCCUUUCCAAAGCAAGGUAAAAUCUUUUAAGUUCAUUCACAAGUGCUUCAUUUUUCCUAUGUGGCUACAAAAGACACAAAGGAAUAUACCAAUUAAAAGCAAUGUGCACUUAAGAAUUAAUUGUUACCAUCCUUUGGAUAUCACUUGGUUGUAGGCCUUUUGCUUGAUUCCCACAAAGGUUAAUCCUUAUUCCCUACAACAUAAGUUCUUGCUAGAGAUGAAUAUGAAGUUAGUGAUAUAACAACUCAAUUCAUCUUUGGGUCAAUCUUAAAGGAUAAACAAUGUAAGAUUGAUAGCUUGAGAUAAGAAUUGAGUUGAACCGCUCAAGCACCCCAAAGCUUCAUAUCAUCUCUGGGUACCUGCAAAACUUAUUAAGUACAUUUUGGUACCCAUCUCAUGAUAGGUCCAUCAAGGUUAGCCAAUAAGGACUUAGGCACCCAAAUAGCCUUGGUCCUAGAAUGUGGUGAACUCAUCACCUUUCUAGCACAAGAGUCAAAUUUGGGUCUCCUAAGCAUAUUUGAAUGUAUCGACAAGUUAGGCUUAGGAGUUUUACCCUUUGGACAAACCUUGAAUAGAUGACCUCUUUCACGGCAAUUGUAGCAAAUGUGGUGCUUGUCCUUGCAAUGCAUUUGCCUUUUGCUUUCAUCCUUCUUGAUGGUCAUCUUUCUUGAUCGUGCAAGGUCUUGGUUCUUCAUGCAGGGGCAUGAACCAAUUUCAUGACCCUUCUCCUUGCAUCCAUAGCACCUCCUAUCGCUUCUCUUUGAUCUUUCUUUGUUGAAGCACAUAGGUACAUUGUUAGAGCAAAUAAUAUGAUCAUUAAUUUUCUCACCUUGAGUCUUGCUCAUGUCCUUCUUGGAAAGCUUGUUAUUCUUUUGAAGGGGUUUUGUGCAUGCUACGGUUGUCCCCUUCUCAAGCUUUUUCACCAUAUUAUCACGGUUAUCUUGAGAAGGUUGAGCAUGACACUUUCCCUUCAAAAUAAUUAAGCUCCUUCUUAGCCUUCCAACUUCUUCCUUGAGCUCUUUAUUUUCUUGUGUGAUAGAAAUAUUACUAAUUCCUGAAAUUUCUAGCUCAAUGGAAGAUUGGCUUUCUUGAGAGCAACAUUUGUUAGCACAUGAUAAUAUAGUUUCUACUUAAGUACAUGUGCAUAUGUGAGGUUGGUAUGAUUUAAAAUUAGUUAACACAACCUCAUGAGCCAUUUCUAACAUGAUAUGUGAAUCCAUAAAUUUAUUAUGAGAGCACACAAGCAUAUCAUGUUUUUCUUGCAAAGCUAGAUUUUCAAUAUUUAGCCUUUCUAUCGUGUUCUUGAACAUAGCAUUUUUAUUUUCUAAUUGAUCAAUAUAUGAUGAAUGAUUAACAACUUUAAUUUGCUCAAUUGAAAUGUCUUCAUACCUUUGGACCAAAUCAUCAUGAGAGCACUUUAGCUUCUCAUGCUCUUUGGUCAACUUCUCUAAGUCUUCGAUUUUUCUGAUGAGGAAGUCUUCUUGCUUAUGAAGCAUUUCUUUUUGUUCUUCCGCUCUUUUCAUGAGUUUGAGCAAGCUCAUCCUAUGUUUCUUGCUUAGCUGACCGAAGAAUUGUUGAAGAUCAUCCUCAUCUUCACUAUCACUUUCUUGCUCCUCCUCAUCCUCAAUUUCGCUUUCACUGUCACUUCCAUUAGCAAUAAAGCACAUAUGAGAAGUGGAUUUGAAAGACAAACCUUGUGAAGAGGUGGAUUCGUCGUUUGGUCUCCAUCGAUCAUUUUCUUCUUCAAUUUUGUUCUUUGCCUCAUCUUCCUUCAUUUUGAGGAACAUCCUUUCGGCGAUUCUCAUGGCAAGAUCUAUUGCCCUAGGAUCAACAUCUGCAACAAAAGAUGAAGUCGAGGCAACCUCAACUUUUUCAAGCUUAGAAGCACUUUCGUUUCUUAGUCCCCCCGACAUGAUCUUUUCCUCACGCGGUCAAGCAUUAGAACGAGGAUUAGGCUCUGAUACCAAUUGAAAGUUGCCUAGAGGGGGGUGAAUAGGCAAGUUAAAAUAAUUUCAACUAAAACUAGAAGCAAACUGGGUAAAACCGAAUUGAUCUCGAAAUUCACCCAGUUAACUUUGGAAAUGAGAUGUUUUAAAUGAUCCACAGGGUUCAAAGUAGUAGAUCUGAGAAGGGCACUUCUCAAAAUCCACACACCAAAAAGAUAUAAACAAAUCUUCCACGCAAUGGUGAGAGAACGAAGAACACAAACAAACACAAUGAGCAAGAACACAAGAGACACAAGAUUUAUCACGAGGUUCGGUCACACCACCAAGGUGCCCUACUUCCUCGUUGAGGCGCCCACAAAGAGCCGGGUCUCUUUCAACCCUAAUCCUCCCUUUGCCGACCACAAAGGUCAAGCCCACACAAUAAUCUUUGCUCAAAUGAGCGGGUAAUACAAACUUUCUUGUGGUCUUCCACAAGAUUUGGAGACUCACAAGAGACACCUAGUCGUCUAGGAGCUAGAAGCUCCAAGAGUAAUGAAUCCACAAAGAACUCGAUGUAGUACCAAAGCUCGAAUGAAGAAGAGCAAGAGAGAUUUGGAGAUAAAGCACAAAAACCGCAGCUCUCAAACUCACUCAAAGAUUUCUCUCCAAAGAUUUGAAAUGGGAGAGGCAAGAGGUGUGUGAGAGAGAGUGGGAGGUGUUUCUCAGGUUGGGAAUGAAGUUUUGUGCGUGCUCUACUAUGGGGAAGAGUGUGGGAGGUGUAUAUAAAGGUGCCCCAAAAGCUGGUGACCGUUAGGGAAAUCUGACUGAAAUUCAGUUGAACCGGUUUCAAAUUCGGUUGAACCGGAUUCCACCAGUCGAUUUUCGAUUCACUGGCGGACUCAGCCAGAGACUGGACCGGACUCAAAUUCGGUUCAACCAGUUUCAAAUUUGGUUCAACCGGUUUCAAAUUCGGUUCAAUCGGAUUCAAAAUUCGGUUCAACCGGUUUCAAAUUCGGUUGAACCAGUUUUCCAAAAAUCUGCACACGACUUUUUCUAACAGGACUGACUGCAAGCUGGCAGUGACAGAGGGGAACAGUGCAGAAACCGGUUUUAGGUCCGGUUGAACCGGUUUUUGAACUGUUGCAUAGAUUUUGAGAAAACCGAAGUGAAACCAGGGUAAAAUGGAAGUUUUAGAUCAAGGAUUUUGAGCUUUAGUACCAACACCAACCUUCUUUUUGGAUCCCCCUUGAUAGUACGACGAUUCCUAUACUCAAGUUAAAUAAAAUAUAAUUAAGUAAACUCCUUGAGUAAUUGGUGUCUCAUGUGAUUUCUCCAUGAUGUUGCUUCAUAAGGAUCACAAACAUCUUUGUCUCACCUUUUGAAGUAAACACAAAUCGAGCUUGUGACUUAUGCCAUUUCACCAUAUAUGAGUUUAAAUCAUGGCUUCAAGUCACCUUACUGAUGCAUCAACAUGUUGUAACUCUUCAUAGCUGAUUAGUUCAUCGACUUAUUGCAAGUACUCUCUUCUUCACCUUAGCCAUGGUACCUUGGUCUACAAGUCGUCGCUUGGCCUUCACCUUCGCUUAGUUCCUCGAAGCCCUUUCCUUGCUAUCUUCACCCUAUCAAGCCAUUCUUGAGUCACAUCCUAUUGAGCAUCCAUUGAGAGAAUCAUUUCUUCAAUAUUGUGAACCUUGCUUGAAUGUCAUCUAGAUAUAACUGCUAAGAUCAAUCAAGCUCUAGUUUGAUUCUUAUAGAAGCAUAUAUGGACUGAUAGUAAUAUGGUCAAGCCAAUUCACGAUUCCUUAUAUCUUAUUCACUUUGGCUUGACCUAUCCUCUUAAUCACUUCAUCCUCUAUUCUGAUCAUAUGUAUGUAGUGAUUUCUCGGGUCUUGUCCAUAUAUUCAAACCAAUAUAGAGAUCAUAUAAUAUCCAUUUGCAUUGUCUCAUUGGUUAUUUAACAUCGUGUUGAACCUUCGUUCACUGAUCAUUAUACACUAUUCAAGUAUGUUCAUCAUACUGAAUUUCCUGUUCAACACUUAGCAAACUCGUUAGACCUUUAAAUGUGUUGUUAUCCAAAUCACCAAAACUCACAAAAGGGAUGAAUGCACUUUCACCACCGCUGAGGCCGAGUACGUUGCCGCAGGACAGUGUUGCGCGCAACUACUUUGGAUGAGGCAAACCCUCCGGGACUUUGGCUACAAUCUGAGCAAAGUCCCACUCCUAUGUGAUAAUGAGAGUGCUAUCCGCAUGGCGGAUAAUCCUGUUGAACACAGCCACACAAAGCACAUAGACAUCCGGCAUCACUUUUUGAGAGACCACCAGCAAAAGGGAGAUAUCGAAGUGUUUCAUGUUAGCUCCGAGAACCAGCUAGCCGAUAUCUUUACCAAGCCUUUAGAUGAGCAGACCUUUUGCAAGUUGCGUAGUGAGCUAAAUGUCUUAGAUUCGCGGAACUUGGAUUGAUUUGUAGCAUACAUGUGUUUAUGCCUUUGAUCAUACUCCUUAAUGCAUUUUAUUGUUUCUUUAUGGCGCUCAAGUUGUACAAGCACUCCCCGGACCUCACAAGUCCUUUGCAAGUGAUGCACAAAUUUAGGGGGAGAUGUGCUACAACUUGACCCUUUGAGACUAACUGUGUGCUUGAGUUUGCUUAAUUUAGUCUCAAAGGAGGUUUGAAAGGGAAGAGGUGGACUUGGACCAUGCAAGACUUCCACUGCACUCCGAUGAAAGAGUAACUUAUUCCAAGUUCAUCCAUGUACUCUUAUUGCCUUUUUACUCUUAGUUGAAGAUUUUGGUGAGGCAAUGGGGUUAAAGGGCCAAAAUUGAUCCCGUUUUGGUGCUUGAUGCCAAAGGGGGAGAAAAUAAGGCCAAAGCAAGGAAAUGGAUCAGCUACCACUUGAGAAUUUUGGAAAAGUAGAGUUAGAGUUUUUUGGUUGUCAAAAUACUCUUGCUUGUCUCUUAUUGUCAAAAGUUGGACUCUUGUGGGGAGAAGGCUUGAUAAUGGGAAAAGGGGGAGUUUUUGAACUCUUUGAUCAAUUUCUCUUGAAAUAUCUCUCCUUAUGUUUCAACAAGUGUGUUUGACUUAGAGAUAGGAAAUUGAGUGUGAUUUGCAAAAACAACCCAAGUGGUGGCAAAUAAUGAUCCAUAUAUGCCAAAUUUGAAUCAAAACAAUUUUGAGUUCUCAUUUGUAUUUGAUGUUGCACUUCCUUCAAGUUGCUUUUUAUUGUGUUGGCAUAAAUCACCAAAAAGGGGGAGAUUGAAAGGGAAAUGUGCCCUUGGGCCAUUUCUAAGUAUUUUGGUGAUUAAGUGCAAACACAAGUGAACUUAUGCUAAGUAAUGGACAAAGUGCAAAUCAAGGGUAAAGGUAUGUUUCUAUGACUUAGUACAUUGUUUUAGAGACUAAUGUAUUAUGUCUAAGUGCUGGAAACAGGAAAAAUCAAGUUGAAAUUAAAGAUGGCUUUGUUCAGCCAAAGUCAGCUCAGUCUGGGUGCACCGGACUGUCCGGUGGUGCACCGGACAGUGUCCGGUGCGCCAGGCUGACUCUAGCGAACUUGCUGCUCUCGGGAAGCAAUUAACGACGUACAACUAUAAUUCACCGGACUGUCCGGUGUGCACCGGACUGUCCGGUGAGCCAACAGUCGGCCGGGCCAACGGUCGGCCGCGGAAUCCGCGCGUGACGCGUGGCAAGGGCCAACGACUAGAAGGGGGCACCGGACUGUCCGGUGUGUACCGAACAGUGUCCGGUGCGCCAACGGCUCCAAAGCGCCAACGGUCGGCUUUGCCAAAUAAGGAAAGAAAUCCGCACCGGACAGUGUCCGGUGGUGCACCGGACUGUCCGGUGCGCUAGGCGACAGAAGGCAAGAAUUGCCUUCCUGGAAUGCACUCAACGGCUCCUAGCUGCCUUGGGGCUAUAAAAGGGACCCCUAGGCGCAUGGAGGAGAAAACCAAGCAUUCUCUAAGCAUUCCUAAGCACCAAGACUUCGAUUCCGCGCAUUUGAUUCUUUGUGAUAGCAAUUAGAGCUCCAUUUGAGUUGUGAACUCGCUGGGUUGUGUUGUGAGCUCUUGUUGUGACUUGUGUGCGUGUUGGUAUGUUGAUUUCAUGUCUUGUGUGCGUUGCUCAUCCCUCCCUUACUCCGUGCUUCUUUGUGAACAUCAAAGUGUAAGGACGAGAGGCUCCAAGUUGUGGAGAUUCCUCGCAAGCGGGAUAUAGUAAAGUGAAAGCAAAACACCAUGGUAUUCAAGUGGGUCUUUGGACCGCUUGAAAGGGGUUGAUUGCAAUCCUCGUCCGUUGGGACGCCACAACGUGGAGUAGGCAAGUGUUGGACUUGGCCGAACCACGUGAUAAACCACUGUGCCAUCUAUGUGUUGAUCUCUUUGUGGUUAUCGUGUUGUGCAAGUUCUCCUCUCUAGUCACUUGGCUUAUUCGUGCUAACUCCUAAUCAAGUUUUGUGGAUUAAGUUUCAAGUUUUUACAGGAUCACCUAUUCACCCCCCCUCUAGGUGCUCUCAGCAAGAUCCAGACUGGGUGUUGGCCAUGCAGGAAGAGCUCAACAACUUCAAGAGGAAUGAAGUUUGGAGCCUGGUGCCACGUCCAAAGCAAAACGUUGUGGGAACCAAGUGGGUGUUCCGCAACAAGCAAGACAAGCACGGGGUGGUGACAAGAAACAAGGCUCGACUUGUGGCAAAAGGUUAUGCCCAAGUCGCAGGUUUGGAUUUCGAGGAGACUUUUGCUCCUGUGGCUAGGCUAGAGUCUAUUAGAAUAUUAUUAGCCUAUGCCGCUCACCACUCUUUCAGGUUGUUUCAAAUGGAUGUGAAGAGCGAUUUCCUCAACGUGCCAAUCAAGGAGGAUGUGUAUGUGGAACAACCUCCUGGCUUUGAGAAUGACAGGUAUCCUGACCAUGUGUGUAAGCUCUCUAAGGCGCUCUAUGGACUUAAGCAAGCCCCAAGAGCAUGGUAUGAAUGCCUUAGAGAUUUCUUAAUUGCUAAUUCUUUCAAGGUUGGGAAAGCCGAUCCCACUCUUUUCACUAAGACUUGUGAAGGUGAUCUUUUUGUGUGCCAAAUUUAUGUCGAUGACAUAAUAUUUGGUUCUACUAAUCAAAAGUCUUGUGAGGAGUUCAGCAGGGUGAUGACUCAAAAAUUUAAGAUGUCGAUGAUGGGCGAGUUAAACUACUUCCUUGGGUUCCAAGUGAAGCAACUCAAGGACGACACCUUUAUCUCCCAAACAAAGUACACUCAAGAUCUUCUCAAGCGGUUUGGGAUGAAGGACGCCAAGCCCGUGAAGACACCUAUGGGAACCGAUGGACAUGUCGACCUCAAUAAAGGAGGUAAGUCCGUUGAUCAAAAGACAUACCGAUCUAUGAUAGGGUCAUUACUUUAUUUAUGUGCUAGUAGACCGGAUAUCAUGCUUAGCGUAUGCAUGUGUGCUAGAUUUCAAUCCGACCCAAGGGAAUGUCACCUUGUGGCCGUUAAGCGGAUUCUUAGGUAUUUAGUUUCUAUGCCUUGCUUCGGGAUCUGGUAUCCAAAGGGGUCUACCUUUGACUUGAUUGGAUAUUCAGACUCCGAUUAUGCUGGAUGCAAGGUUGAUAGGAAGAGUACAUCAGGGAUGUGCCAAUUCCUAGGAAGGUCCCUGGUGUCUUGGAGUUCAAAGAAACAAACCUCCGUUGCCCUAUCCACCGCUGAGGCCGAGUAUGUUGCCGCAGGACAGUGUUGCGCGCAACUACUUUGGAUGAGGCAAACCCUCCGGGACUUUGGCUACAAUCUGAGCAAAGUCCCACUCCUAUGUGACAAUGAGAGUGCAAUCCGCAUGGUGGAUAAUCCUGUUGAACACAGCCGCACUAAGCACAUAGACAUCCGGCAUCACUUUCUGAGAGACCACCAACAAAAGGGAGAUAUCGAGGUUUUCCAUAUUAGCACUGAGAACCAGCUAGCUGAUAUCUUUACCAAGCCUUUAGAUGAGAAAACCUUUUGCAGGCUGCAUAGUGAGCUAAAUGUCUUAGAUUCACGUAACUUGGAUUGAUCUAUAGCAUACAUGUGUUUUAUGCCUUUGAUCAUGUUACUUUAUGCAUUUAUGAAAUUUGUUGCUUAUUUACGGUGCUCAAGUUGUGCAAGGGAUCCCCGGACCUCAUAAGUCCAUGUGUGAAUGAUGCACAUAUUUAGGGGGAGAAGUGCUACAACUUGAUCCUUUGAGACUAACCUUUGUGUUUGAGUGUACUUGAUGUAGUAUCAAAGGUGAAUUGAAAGGAAAAGGUGAACUUGGACCAUGCAAAGACUUCCACUACACUCUGGUAUUAGUGUAUUUAAUUCCAAGUUCAUUCUUAUGCUCUAGUUGCCUUUUGCUCUUAAUUGACAUUUUUGGUGAGGCAAUGAGGUUAAAGGGCCAAGAAUGAUCCCGUUUUGGUGCUUGAUGCCAAAGGGGGAGAAAUUAAGGCCAAAGUAAAUGGAUCAGCUACCACUUGAGAAUUUUGAAAAUAGUAGAGUUAGAAUUUUUUGAUUUGUCCAAAAUACUCUUAUUACAAAAUUUGGUCUCUUGUGGGGGAGAAUUUAUGAUUAUGGGAAAAGGGGGAGUUUUUGGCACUUGAUCAAUUUUUUCCAUUGGAAUAUCUCUCUUUGUGCCUAAACAAGUGUGUCUAACUUAGAGAUAGGUAAAUGAAUUGGAUUUGCAAAAACAAACCUAGUGGUGGCAAAGAAUGAUCCAAAUAUGUCAAAAUUUGUGCAAGUACAAUUUUGUUCUCAAUUGCAGUGAUGUUGCACUUCUUUUAGUUGCUUUUGGAUGUGUUGGCAUAAAUCACCAAAAAGGGGAGAUUGAAAGGGAAAUAUGCCUUUGGGUAAUUUCUAUUUUGUUUUGGUGAUUAAGUGCCCAACACAUUUAAAUAAGUUCUUAUGUGCUAAAUGAAGAGAGAAGUGCAAAUCGAAGAGAAGGUAUGUUUUUAGACUUAGUACAUUGUUUUGAGUACUAACAUAUAUUGUCUAAGUGCUAGAAACAGAGAAAAGAAGAGUACAAAAGAAAUGCAAAAGACUUGGCUUGGUACAGCCAAAGUCCAGCUUGGCUUGGCACACCGGACUGUCCGGUGGUGCACCGGACAGUGUCCGGUGCGCCAGGCCAGCCUCCGAUGAACAUGCCACUCUCGGGAAAAAUCGGCGGCAUACGACUAUAAUUCACCGGACUGUCCGGUGAGCCAACGGCCGCCAGAGCAACGGUCGGCCGUGCAAUCCGCGGGCGACGCGUGGCCCGCACCAACGGUCGGCACGGGGCACCGGACUGCCCGGUGUGCACCGGAUAGUGUCCGGUGCGCCAACUGCCACGAAUCUGCAACGGUCGUCUGCGCCAGAAUAGGAAGGAGAUCGGCACCGGACCGUCUACAGUGACUAUCCGGUGGCGCAUCGGACUGUCCGGUGUGCCACCCGACAGAAGGCAACUUUGGCCUUUCUUGUUGGUCUCCAACGGCUCCUAGCUGCCUUGGGACUAUAAAAGGGACCCCCUAGGCACAUGGAGGAGUUACCCAAGCAUUCACUAAGCAUUCUAAGUCUCCCACACUCCGUCUUCGCGCACUUGAUUGAUUGUGUUAGUGAUUUGAGCUCUGUUCUAGUUGUGAACUCUUUGUGCUUCAUUUUGAGCUCAAGUCUUGGCUUGUGUGCGUGUGUGUGUGUUGCAGAUUUGUGUGCGUUGCUCCCCAACCUUACUCUUGUGCUUUCAUUGUGAUAUUUGUUGUAAGGGCGAGAGACUCCAACUUGUGGAGAUUCCUCGCAAACGGGAAAAGAGAUAAGGAAGAAAAGUCGUGGUAUUCAAGUUGAUCAUCGGAUCACUUGAAAGGGGUUGAGUGCAACCCUCGUCCAUUGGGACGCUACAACGUGGAAGUAGGCAAGUGUUACUUGGCCGAACCACGGGAUAAAACCGCGUGUCUCUUAUGUGCUUUCUCUUUGAUUAUCUGUGUUCACAAGAACUGGUUUAAAGCUACUUAGCCGUUCUAACUUUCAUAAUCAAGUUUUGUGGCUAUUAGUGUUGAAUUUUACAGGAUCACCUAUUAACCCCCUCUCUAGGUGCUCUCAACAUGCUCAGGUUAUUUUGAUGGGAUCCAAUAGGUUUCAAUAGCAUUGUUUAUCCCCUACCUUGCAAACAAAAGCACUAUUAGGUAGUUUUGUCAUUGCUCUACCUGGUUUUGGGAAUUAAUGUUAUAUUAUCAUCAUGUUCCAGUUAUACUAUUGUUUUAAUUAUUGUAUGCCAAGAUCAUUGUGUUAAUUGGAACAUGGAGCAACCACCCGGAAAAACAGUGCUACCACAAAGGUGGUAUGGGAUGCCCUUGGCUGACUAAUUAGGAAAGCUAGUGGAAGACUACCUUACCCAAAAGGGGAAAGGGCGGUAGAGGAGCUACGUAUAGGGAGGUUCUCGGGUCGAUCAUGCUGUGAUGGCUUUUCGGACAAGGGAUUCCUAUAUUGCCCUUCUCAGAAACCGCAACGGGUUUUCGGAAGCAGUGGAACUUUGUAAAGGCCUCGUAGUGGUACCUUGCCUCGUCUCCUCGGUAGAGAUGAAUGAGAAGUCGCGAUCCCUUGGCAAAUGGGUAACACGACUUGUGGGUAAAGAUGUGUAACCUCUGCAGGGUGUAAAACCGGUAUAUCAGUCGUGCUCACGGUCAUGAGCACCUCGGACCCUCACAUGAGUAAUUUAUGGAACUAAACUUAAUUUGUCAUUUGCAUUGCAUUGUGGGUGUUGUUAUUAAUUUUGAUCUCUUACUUAAUUGGGUUGGUAUCUACUUAUACUUAGUAACUGCUAAUAAAAUUUUGACCAACUCUAAAAGUAAUGCUCAGCUUUAACCAUCUCUUUUGGUAAGCCUUACACUUCACAUGAGCUCCCACCUUUGGUGAGUUCAUGCACAUUAUUCCCCACAACUUGUUGAGCGAUGAACUUAUGUGAGCUCACCCUUGCUGUACUCACAUCCCCCUAGGUCAAGGUCAGGUACUAUAGGAUGAGGCGCAUGAAGGAUGCAGUGACGAGUUUGUGAGUGGUCUAGGUCGUCGUCUCCCAGUCAACUUUGGUUGCUGGAUCGUUGUCUUCGUAUGAUGUAAUUAUUUAUUUAUUUUAUACAGAAACUCCUAUUAUUUAGUAAAGAUAUGACAUUCGUUUCUGUACCAUGAGUCAUCAUAAGUGUGAGACUUGAUCCUAGCACGCUUGGUGAUUAUUUCGCGCCUGGGUUUGGUCCCCUAAAACCUGGGUGUGACACUGACGAUUGUCGAAAGUUAUCGUGUACAAAUAGAGGUUAGAAUACAGUAGAUGUUUCGAGUCUAAGUAAGAAAUGUUUAAAUUUCAAUCCUAUAUUUAUCUAGGACACUCAGAACCAAUUAUUAUAUACUCCCACUGUCCUAAAUUGUAAUUCAUUUUAGGGAUUCUUACGGGACUUGAUGUAUGUGUAUUAUUAUGACUAGGGAAAUAAUUCCACACUUUUUGUAAAUCAUUAACGAGUGAGACCUACGCACUUGGAGAAAAAUCUUGCAAUAAAUAUGGCUACAAACCAAACACGUGUCUAAAUCGGUUAAAUUUAGGGACGACAAUGAGUAAGAUAUCCGGUGAGUACGCAAGGCCAUACUCAUACACAUCAAAGAAAAAAAAACAUUAUCUAUACCCACUACCCAUCAUAGGUACAAAAUUACCUCAUACACAUACCCAACAGAAGUAGAUGGUAUCCUACCCGCCAAAAUUUUAGUUGACAUGAUUAUUUUAAGUACAAAAGUAAGUACCGACACAAAAUAUCGGAGCCUCAUACCUCAUCAAUUUUGAAAGAUACUAAAAUAGCAUAUUAUCUUUGUGCGGCAUGACAAAUUCAUGAAACCCAACAUAAUUUUAUCACAAGAUUCAACAUUUAAAUUUAUAAGGAACACUUCUAAUAAUUCAAUCCCACUGUCAUUUGUUAGCGGGUGUGGGGUAAGAACAAUAUAUCCAUACCCACCAUACCCGAUGAGUAUAGUAAAUGGCCUAAUAAAAUAUUUGUGGGUAUUAAAUUCUUCAUACCUAUGCCAUAAUAGAGUUUUUGUCUAUAGGAUAUCGAGUUUCAGGUAUCCAUUAUCAUAUCUAGUUAAAAAAUUUAGCUAACCUUGAACGCGCCAGUACCUGCGCGGUCGAGUGAAGAAUCGAACAUGACCAUAUAUCCUUUCAAGUCGCAGUCGCAUCCCCUUUUGCCAUCCCGAGGCAAGUAUGGCACGGACUGCAGUGUGGCACUCCUACCUGUCAAUCAACAGCACUGUACGAGCAGGGGCAACAUCGGUAGCACACUAGGAAGUACCCAUAGGUCCACACCUCACAACAUCAGCAGCAGAGUAUUUAGUUUUGCAGGGGCGUAGGGCCACCUAGCUCUGAAUUAUUUCUGAUGCAGUGAAGUUGAUGACCCCACACUCAGCAGGCAGUACAAAGUGGCCCUGCUGCCUGUCAAUGAUUAUUUAGCGCAACAUUUGAGUCUUUGAAGAAUUGGAGAAGAGGAGGAUGCAAUGGAUGAUGGGAGAGGGCAUCAUUCUCGUGAGACGAUGACGAUGAUUACCAUGCAUGAUGGAGGGUGGCGACGGCGCCUGCUUUUGCAGGACCCAAAGUAGGACCCUAUAGAUAGGUGGUUAUGGACCAAAUAAUGUGACAUGUGAUAUGAUCCCUUUGUUGAGAACUACGUUACCACGGAUCACCAGAUCCGCUCCCUUCCCUCCCGUCAGCAGUAGAGGCGCAAGAAGCUGUAGAGAACUCGUCUCCCUUCCCAUAAGCACGACAGAGGAAACACACGAGACACAAGAUAUAGGGUUGGGCCUCUGGCCUCUUUCUGUUCUCUGUCAUAUGAAGGGGUGUACAGGUUCCUUAUAUAGAGAUGUGAGACCCCUCAGGGGCAAAGCCGGUAUUUGUCCACAUAACCCUAAUUAGGGUUACUUAACACUCCCCCUUGGGCGAAUACCGCGACCAACACAUGACUCUUUAAAACUCCCAAAAACCGAGUGGGAAAAAUAUGGAGAAAGAGUACAUGGUGACACAAAUUGCAUUUGCACUUUGUUGCCUCAUUAAAAACCUUAUGUGAGAAACUUCAGAAAAACUCACUAAGGAAAAAAGAGUACAACAAAUGUCAUCAGAACAAAUUUCGAUCUUCUGGAUCAGGAUUCCAUCGAAUCUCCCUUGAUCCUUGGAAAAACGUAUCAAUAUGGCACAACAUCUUCUUCUGGAAGUAUACGCACAUAGAGAUUUAGCAAACAGAUUGCAUACUGUUGCAAGGAUUAUUUCAGGAACUUCACCUCUACUCACUUCUAGGAUAUGCGAGGUAAGUACACGUAUCAACAUAUUUAGCUCCCCCUGACGAUGACAUCCGUCUAAGUCGUUAUCCCUCACAACUCAAGCAUACUCUUCAAGAUAUAUGUCUCAUUGUUCAUCUGGAAUAACGAGAAUGGAUGAGGUUGGGGUGCUAUAAUUUUCUAUCUUACACCACAAUUUAUACAUAGUUGUGCAAAGCAAGUAACAUGUCCUUCAAUAGGACUUAGGGGAUAAUAUAGUUGCAAUAGUACAUAUUCUAAAUAUGACACAUCGUUCCAGGCGUUCAUCCAUUGCAACAUCUAUGAUGGUGUAACAAAAGUCCAUCAAAGAUCGUAAUCCAUCAGGGAUUUUUUAUCGACAAGAUACAUCGUUAUAGUCUGUCAUUCUGGCACAAUGGGGAUAUUUUGCCAGUAACACCUAAACCUUAUAGGUUUCUGCCAUCAGGGCUUUAGAGGAUACCAUAAUUCCACAUAUAGUGGAAAUUACCAUGAGUAAAAAUCAUGGAAUGCACAUGUGCUUAUUCGGUGAACUUCAAGUCCUUUGGUACCUCAUCUUAUUCUUUUUCGGGUCUAUAUGGGUCUUUAUCCCUUUAUAGGGAUUAUCAAACUUUGGUGUUUAACACAGAUUUUAUUUCUUCUGGAAAGGUUCCAUUAAGGAACUAUAAUCUCAUCUAUGAGAUAUUCUCUCUACAUAGGAGAGUGUUCAUUCAUCAGGAAUGUAUUAUUCGGUACAAGAUUUAUAUGUUGCAUAUUUAUAAUUCAAAGAUAUGAAUCCUCCUAGGAUCUCAUGAUGGAUCUUCAGAAUCCUAUUAACUGCAUAUUUUAAUUCAUGUCAUUUGCCAGAUAUAUUACAUAGCGGAAUAGUGUUUAUUCAACACACAUGUGGGAUGGGUCUCUUACAAGACCACUUGAACCAUCGCAUUCACCACACAUUAUUUCAAUAGUGCCCAUAAAUGUCCGAACUUCAAGCUCGUGACUUUCAUUUUGCGAUUAUUGGUUCAACCUCAAUUGCAUUUAUCAAUGACCCGAUAAGAGAGCUUCAAACACUCAUGCCUAGGACUUUGUUUUGGAUCCCUUUGCAAUCUAUAGAGGCAAGAUAAGUGUCGACAUAUUUGUCUCCCACAUUUAAUAAUGAUCUCUGUCAUUUCCCAAAACGAAAGAUUCAUUGUUUCGAAUUCCCAGCACAAUGAUAUUGCGCGCAUUGCUAGAAAUUUCAUCAUCAAGAUGAACCUCUUCGUGAGGCAAAUCACCAUCAGGGUGAAUUAAUCGGAGGAGAGUUAUUACAGACCACGUGAAUCUGCAAUCAGAACAUAUGCUUUGACUAAGGCCAAUGGAUCAUAUUCGCAGGCGUCCCCGAGAAUAGAUCAAAUGCCAAUAAGUCAAAUGUGGAUAUGAUAUUAAUCCCGGGUAUAUCCACAUCUACAUCAGGUAGAAGCAUUCAGACCAAUAUGGUUACUCCUCAACGAUUUCUAGCAAACUCCAUAUACACAGGAGUACACACCGAAUGGCAGGUUCAGUUUGGCUUUUGUGCGUUUAAUAGAACAUUGAUGCAUUACACUAUAUGGGCAUUCCUCCCCCUAAUGCCGAGAUGUUCUUAAAAUCAUACAGAUAAAAUCCCCAACCACAAUCAUCCAGUUAUGGCCAAUGUAUGCUAUUGUGGUGAUUUAUUUGGGAAAUCUUACGCACAUUACAGAUAGGGGUUUUAUGCGGUGAGCUUUGGACAUUAAUGUAGUGGCAUGAAUACUACAUAUUUAUCCUUCAACAUGAAGGGUUAGUCUCAACAUCCAGUGAGACACACAACAACAAGUUGCUUCGUGGUUACAAUUCUGCCAACUUAUUGUUAUUAUUACCAAAUGCACAGUCAAUCAUUAAGAUUUAGACUAAUAUGCACAACACUAUUUUAUCCAUAAGGAUCCUUCAGGGGCUCAUGCAUACCAUUCGUUAUUUGGAGCCAGUAGUUGACUUCAGAUCAACAAGUAAAAUGACCAUCAGGGUCUAACGCUCACAAAGACAUUCACUGGUUGCAUUGUGCUUUUAAGCACAUAGGAAAAAUGUGUGUGUUUAUAUUGGUAGUGAAGUGCACGGCAUCAGGCCAAUGCUGCCAAACAAAGAUUUUUAUAUGCAGAGAUGUAUAGUCCAACUCGUUUUUAUCACUGCCCAUGGUUUACCCAAUUACUCAUACUGCUCUGAAAUUGGGUAUCAAUUUAUGCAACAUUUUUAGGUAUUAUACUUUUGAGAGAGAACUAAUAACAAUAGUCAAUUAUUUGUGAUGCUGCCAGCAGGGCAAACAUUUCUCCUCAUAUUAUAUACCGAUUUGUUCUAUAAAGCAUUAUUUCGAUCUCUUCGUUGUUCGGCAAAAAGAGAAGCUUUGGAAUAGAACAAACAAGGCCAAGAAUUCAUUUUAUCUGGGAAAAUCACCAUAUAACUAGCUUUUGAUGGAGCAAAUGAUGAUAACUGCUUGGCAAGAACGAAACAAGACUAGUAUCCGCCUAGGAUCCAUCUUCAACAACAGAUAUUACUGCUCUCAUACGAAGAAAUCAUUAGGAGUAGAGAGGAUACAAUAGGUCUCGACAAGAUCUUCAUAUUUCUAUCACAAAUUAUCAUCACUAGUAGUUUAUAGGUCAAUAAUUAUGGAUCUUCCGGCGCCAAGGACCAAUGACAUAUUAAUGCCCAAUUACACUUAAAGCUCUGUGGUGAUGUGGGAUUUCAUAGUUAUUUGUCUACUCUUCUCACUUGUGGUAGAUCAGAGGUAGAUAAUGGUAAGCAUGCCAAUGAGUGGAAUUCAGUGUAGUUUGGCUACAUAAACCCCAUGUAUGUGUCCAUUCAGGACCGACCUUUACCAUUUAGCUUACAGUGUAUACCAAACUUGUCAAAGGACUAUCUCGAGUCAAUUCAGUGACUAUAAGUAUUUACAAUUCCGAGAGAUGUAUGCGGCACAAGCAUAGAGGUCCUAGAUAGAACGAGUAAAGUGGUUCGACGGGAACACACUAUGGUUUUCACACAAACAUAGUAAAAAUUUUCUCAGAAUAAUCUCUUGGUAUACUCGCAACUUCGUGUUGCUAGCGAUUGCAUGUCCUUUUAUCUCAUAGUUUGCUUCAUGUCAUUCAACGACAAAGAGAGCAAUGUGCUAACAUCUGGUUGAGCAAUGUAUGACUGAGAUUUCUGAUCUUAAAUUAUUUGGUAAGGUCUUUUUGCUUACUAAUAGAAUCCCAAUUUGUGAUAUUUUAUAUGCCAAAAAGGUUUCCAUGCAUUAUAUAUCUUCAGGUUACUUCAGGUAAAACUUUAUGCAUGAGGAAAGAGAGCACGAAAUUAACUUAUCUGUGUUCUAUAUUAUUUCAUUUACUUUCCCAGAUUAUUCCAGCACUAUAGAGCUUGAUAUAGUUGUUAUAGCCACUUGGCAAUAUAAAUAAAUAUAUAAUGCCACACAACACAAUCAAAUAAAAUAUAGAGCUAAACAAAAUUAUUUACAAAGGUUGCGUUAUGAUGUGACUUUAGGGGUUUGAACAACCCACCACAAUUCACGCGAGUACAAGCUCUAGUGUCUGGUGUCAACACGUGUGCGACCAUCAGGGCUACGACAACACAACAAGCCUUCGUAAUAAGCGCAACAGGCACAAUUAUGGCGCAGUAAUCGGGGUACACGAUAAGUCCACGCAACAUGCGCAACAUGCGCAAUUGUGACUCAAUGAUCACGACAGACAAACAGUGCCUACAGGGCAUGCGAAAAAUACACGACUCGGCGAUGAGCCGAUGACAACCUGACUCAACGGGAGCAGCCCGAUUAAAUGAGAAUGCGACAUAGCAAUCACAUGACGCAACUAAAUUCUUACGACACAAAUACUGCGUCCUAUAGCCAGGACGCAGCCAAUGCUCAGCCAUUACCAUAACUCAGUCGAUUAAUAACGUAGCCUGAUCGACGCGGUCGAGUACCCACUAUACAAUCUAAUCGCUUAGUGUGAGUUCAAAAGCUCAACGCAACAUAAAUAUUUAGAGCGAUUUGAAGAUAUUUUCUCCAUAUUCAAGCAUGUGUUUUCUACUAAUUAUUUACUGCGGGAAAUAAUUAACUAAAGUAGAAAUUGCAACAUAAAACAUGCUUUAUUUUAUUUAUUAUUUACAACAUAAAAUAAAUAGAAUAAAGAUAUGGAGCCGACAUAUAAAUCUAAAUUUCACCAAAGUUUAUUAAUUCAAUAGAUUUUUAUGGAGAAAAUGGCAAGCCUAUUUUCCUUUUUUUUCUCAACCGUGACAUACAUGCAUGCAUGGAGAUAAGACGCAUGCCGCCAUGCAGGCUAUUCGGAGUCGCAUCCACUUCUUCUAUGCAUUUUUUAGGCCGAGAUUUUUUUUAUCUCUCAGCCGCAUGCAAACGUGCGUCACGCAUGGCUAGCAACAGCGCAGGCCCCAUUACAACUGUCAGAUCUAUAUUUUUAGCGGCUGCUUUGAACGAUCGCCUGGACAAAGGCGCCGGCCGGUCAAAGGCGAUCCCGUAAAUCAUAGAUACAAUCUAAAAAUUACAUACCGUUAGAUUGGAUAGAGGAAUCAAAGUCUAUCGCGUAGGACAGUUCGGCUAGGCCGGAGGACCUGCCGGCAUGGUGGAGAGUCGGUGCCGAUCGGAUCCACAACAAUAUCAAGGUAGAGCGUGCUGAUAACGUGUUGAGAAUUACGUUACCACGGAUCACCAGAUCCGCUCCCUUCCCUCCCGUCAGCAGUAGAGGCGCAAUAAGCUGUAGAGAACUCGUCUCCCUUCCCAUAAGCAUGACAGAGGAAACACACGAGACACAAGAUAUAGGGUUGGACCUCUGGCCUCUUUCUGUUCUCUGUCAUAUGAAGGGGUGUACAGGUUCCUUAUAUAGAGAUGUGAGACCCCUCAGGGGCAAAGCCGGUAUUUGUCCAUAUAACCCUGAUUAGGGUUACUUAACACUCUUGACUCUUGCUUUGGCUGUCGAUCCGAGGAGCAAUGCAACAGGGACCCGAAUGCACAACAUAUUUGUCUUGUCUAGAGAAUACCUGCUCGAUAUCUGUAAUGUCCUAAUGUAACCUCCUCAAACUCCGAACUUUGCAGCUCGGCGCGACGAGGCCCACGCCUCUGACGCCGACCCGGGCGCUUGCAGAGGCCGCCGAGGCAGCUCAUGGAAACGGUAGUUUUUGGCCCGGGCUAAGUGGGCUGCAGCUCGGGUCUAGCCCAAAUAACAUGUGAUGUCCGGACCGGCCCAGUGAAGACAAUAUGCCCCGCUGAAGCCCAGAAGCUACCUAAACUCCCAGCCGUCUCCUCCGCACGCGAAAACCCUAGCAGUUCGGUAGUCCCUCUCCUCUCGAGGUGGCGGCGCUCCCCCCGUCUUCUUCUUCUUCUUCUUCCUGUACUAUAUAGCCUCCCCUCGCAAAUCGUCACUGACGUUCAUUCCGCUUGCUUGAUUGUUCCAGGUAUUAGCAGUCGACCGGUUCCUCGGAGCACGUAAGUUCCUAAUCUUCGCUUCUUCUUGUGAUAGUUUUUCGAGUUGCCUCAUGUUUACCUUGAGUCGUCUGCCGACUCGCCACAUGGUCAAGGCGCAUCGCCGUCGAUGCCCGCCCGAUUCUACCUUCUCGCGUUUGAUUCCACCGUCAGCUGCCAUCACCUGCCUUUGUUCGGCCAGAUUUCUCUCUCGACGUUGUGUGGCUCUGAGGACCUGAGUACGCAGAUGGGCAGACGCGGAGGUGACACCGGAUGCUAGGGAAUGGGUAUUUAGCGGGCCUUGUCGUGGGUUUAGGUCUACAAUGGCCUUACUGAGCGGCAAUGUUUGGCGCAUAGAGAACUAGAUCCGGCCCCCUGCUACUUUGGUGGCUGCGCUGGUUUCUCAAUUCUCAUAUUGGGAUUUUAUUGAAUCCUUGAAACAUUUAUAACAUCCCUUGACCGCUUGUUGACUUAGAUCUCUAGUUGAGUAGGGCCUUGUUAAGAUUUGCUCUGGUCCGUGAGCGUGUAUGUUUACUUGUUGUGGUCUGUAGUACGCAUUCACCAAGUAAAUUUGGUGUUUUCACCGUAGAUACUGGUCUCUAUGCUCUUCUGUUUGGUUGUCCGUUAAGCCUGUUGGUAAUUUUCUGGUGCUUCACUAUGUCCUGUUGUCUGACACCUUGAACAUAACUCUUGUUAUCAUACAUUAGUGCUUGAGCUUUUCUUUGGAUUCUAACAGACAAUAGAUCCAAAGUACACUGGUAAUUUGAUUUUUAGGUUGAUUUGCUUUAGUUCCUUGGGUCAGUUGCUUUACCAUUUUAUUACCUGAUCUCACUGGCAUGUAGCUAAAAAGAGUGGAAGUAACUGAUACGAUGAUUUUUGAUGGCUUGAGCAGGAUGAAGUUUGUUGCUGCCUACCUGCUUGCUGUCCUCGCUGGGAACGCCAGCCCCUCCGCUGACGAUUUGACUGCCAUUCUGGAGUCAGGUAAUCUCAUUUAACUGUCAUUCCAAUGGAUAACUAUUCUUACUUUUAACUCUGCUUUGGUUUAUGGAAAUGAUUCAAGUCUGACAAUAGCAUUACCUGCUUCUUGAAUGUAGGGUAUUUACGUUUAAGUAGAAGUUAACAAUUAUUUAGCACAAUUGGUUUGAUUGUAUUCAUCACAAUAGUGGUCCUGUAUUCACUGAUUUAGUGUUCUGCUCUUCUGGUUGUACUUGGUCGCAUGGCUCAUGUAGCAAAAGCAUCUAAUGCAGUCAUUCCUACUUGUUCAUGUCGCAGUUGGCUGUGAAGUUGACAAUGAAAAGAUGGAACUCCUGCUGUCCCAACUGAGCGGUAAGGACAUCACCGAGCUCAUUGCCGCGGGCAGGGAGAAGUUUGCUUCAGUCCCAUGUGGUGGCGGCGGUGUCGCUGUUGCGGCAGCUGCACCUGCUGCUGGCGGAGCUGCUUCUGCAGCUGAGGCAAAGAAAGAAGAGAAGGUGGAAGAGAAGGAAGAAAGCGAUGAUGUAAGAUCGUUGUUCUCCAAUUCUGGCUGCACAUUUUUUCCCUAUCAGAGCAGCAGUAACAAACUACUCUGUUCUGGUAUUAUCAAUAUACUACUUUCAAUUCAUCUUGAUAUCAUGGCCACCGAUUCUUUUAUACUGUUGUUUCCUUUGCUGUCGACACAUCUAGAGACUUUAUAUUGUUGAUUAUCUUUUAUGCAGGAUAUGGGCUUCAGCCUCUUCGACUAGGCUGCACAGUCAUCACAGUAUUGUUUUGGGCAGUGAAACCAGAGGAAAACCAGAGUCAUGUUUAGAUUUUAAGCUUGUUUUAUGUUGGAAAGUACUGGAAAGACUGCUACUUGUCUUUAUAUUUGGUAAUUCAGCCGUAGAUUGCUAUGCUGGUUGGGAUUUACUCGUGAACCAGAGUUUUUCUGUCUUAUAUAUCCUGAAUUGGUUAUCCCAAAGUUUCUUGGCUUUUUAACUAUUUUGUUGUUACAUGUUAAUAUUGCUUUGUUCAUCCUUAUCCACCUACUAUAGCUAUUUGCAAUCACAAAAUCACUUGAUGGCGGUCAGCCUAGAGUUAUCAAGCUGAUAUUAAUGCUGGUCCCUUUUAGUUUAAACAAUUUUAAAUUAUGGUCAAAUUCUAUAAGUAUAUGAAAUUAUGCAUAAAUGUGUUUUAUAUUUUAUUUUUAUACAUAUAUUCCAAAUUUUAAGACUUCGUUGUCAAAAUAUUAAUAUCCAUUUAAUUUCCAGCCUCGGUUUAUUGGAACACAAGAUUUUCAAAACACAGGAAUAGGAAAAACACAGGUUUAUUUAUAACACAGAAAGGUCAUAAAACAUAUUUGGAUCAUGCUUAGGAACGCAGCUGGCCGACACCGCGGGACCAACAGCGGCGGCGGGAAUUGGCAGGCCAUCUCGCCAUAGACACGUCUAGCUUCAUUGGCAGCAACAAAUAAUCUCACUUUUAACAUUUCCCACAUAAAUUGCCAAUGUUUUUUAUGACGAUAAAACAACCUCCUAUUCUAUUUACAGAAUUGUAUCAGGAUUCCAUAUAUUUUUUUCGGCGUUUCAACCGCGGGGGUCCCUGACCGAUGAGUAAAUUGUCGCUGCAUGGCUCAGCCCAGAUGGUUCGGCGCGAGAUGGAGCGCGAAGGGGGGAAAGCCAGAGGGAGACAGGCGUAAAAGGUGAAACCCGCGGCCUUCGUGUUUGUCCCGCGCCCAGGUCGGGUGCGCUUUCAGUAGGGGGUUACAAGCGUUCGCGUGGGAGGAAGCGAGAGGCUUACGCGCGCGCCGUCCCGUCCUCCCCGCGCGGCCAACCCUCUGUAAGAGGACCCUAAGUACAUGCCGUCGUGGCCUAAGUACAAUGGGAGAUGUAGCAGUGUGCUAACGUGUCUAGCAGGGAGGAGCUAGUGCCCUAAGUACAUGCCGUCGUGGCAGCCGGAGAGGUUUUGGCACCCUGUUCGUGUAAUGUCGUGGUCGUCGGAGGAGUGCUGGAGCCUUGCGGAAGGACAUCUGUCGGGGCUGUCGAGUCCUUGCUAACGUCUCCUUGCUUCCGUAAGGGGGCUGAGAGCCGCCGUCGUCAUGGAGCACGCGGGGCGCCAUCAUUACUUGUUUUACCAGGGCGAGUCAGAUAGGACGCCAGUCUUGUCCCCCGUAGUCAGAGCUAGCUAGGGGUAGGGUAAUGAUGGCCCCUCCUGUGGCGUGGUCGGUCUGAGCCCUAGGUUGGGCGAGGCGGAGGCUCCUCCGAGGUCGAGGUCGAGUCUGUCUUCCGAGGUCGAGGUCGAGUCCGAGCCCCUGGGUCGGGCGAGGCGGAGACCGUCAGCUGAGGCCAGGGCUGAGUCCGAGCCCUGGGGUCGGGCGAGGCGGAGUUCGUCGUCUUCCGGGGCCGAGGCCGAGUCCGAGCCCUGGGGUCGGGCGAGGCGGAGUUCGUCGUCUUCCGGGACCGAGGCCGAGUCCGAGACCUGGGGUCGGGCGAGGCGGAGUUUGUCGUCUUCCGGGCCGAGACCGAGUCCGAGCCCUGGGGUCGGGCGAGGCGGAGUUCGUCGUCUUCCGGGGCCGAGGUCGAGUCCGAGCCCUGGGGUCGGGCGAGGCGGAGUUCGUCGUCUUCCGGGGCCGAGGCCAAGUCCGAGCCCUGGGGUCGGGCGAGGCGGAGUUCGUCGUCUUCCGGGGCCGAGGCCGAGUCCGAGACCUGGGGUCGGGCGAGGCGGAGUUUGUCGUCUUCCGGGCCGAGACCGAGUCCGAGCCCUGGGGUCAGGCGAGGCGGAGUUCGUUGUCUUCCGGGGCCGAGGCCGAGUCCGAGCCCUGGGGUCGGGCGAGGCGGAGUUCGUCAUCUUCCGGGGCCGAGGCCGAGUCCGAGCCCUGGCCUCGAGCUUCCUAUGGCGCCCGAGGCCGGGCUUGGCUGCUGUCAGCCUCACUCUGUCGAGUGGCACAGCAGUCGGAGCGGCGUAGGCGGCGCUGUCCUUUUGUCAGGCCGGUCAGUGGAGCGGCGAAGUGACUGCAGUCACUUCGGCUCUGUCGACUCAAGGGCGAGCAUCAGGAUAAGGUGUCACGCCAUUUUUGCAUUAAAUGCUCCUGCGAUACGGUCGGUCGUCGUGGCGAUUUGGCCGAGGUUGCUUUUUGGCGAAGACCGGGCCUCGGGCGAGCCGAAGGUGUGUCCGUUGCUUGAGGAGGCCCUCGGGCGAGACGUAAAUCCUCCGGGGUCGGCUGCCCUUGCCCGAGGCUGGGCUCGGGCGAGGCGAGAUCGUGUCCCUUGAGUUGAUCGAGCCUUGACUUAAUCGCACCCAUCAGGCCUUUGCAGCUUUGUGCUGAUGGGGGUUACUAGCUGAGAUUAGGAGUCUUGGGGGUACCCCUAAUUAUGGUCCCCGACAGUAGCCCCCGAGCCUCGAAGGGAGUGUUAAUACUCGCUUGGAGGCUUUUGUCGCACUUUUUUGCAAGGUGACCGGCCUCUCUCGGUUGCGUUUUGUUACGGUCGGUGCGCGCGAGCGCACCCGCCGGGUGUAGCCCCCGAGGCCACGGAGGAGUGGUUUGACUCCUUCGAGGUCUUAAUGCGUUUCGUGAUGCUUUGGCCGGUCUGAUUGUUCCCUCAUGCGAGCUGGCCGUAGCCCGGGUGCUCAGUCGAGUUCCAAGUUCUCGGGCUGAUAUGUUGACGCUGUCAACGGUUUGGCCGGAGCCGGGUUUGCGAGAGCAGCCCUCCAGCCUCCGCACGGAGCGAGAGGUCGGUCAAGGAUAGACUCGACUUUUUUACAUACGCCCCUGCGUCGCCUUUCCGCAAGGAGGAGGGGGGGGGGAAGCGCCAUGUUGCCCUCGGAGGGCGCCGAACAUGGUGUCUCCAGUGAGCUGCUAACGGGUAAUCCGAGUGGACGCCCGUGCCCCAUUUGUUAGGGGUCGGCUAGUGGCCCGGAGGCGCGCGCCAAAAGUACCUGCGGGUGAUUUGCCGGACCCGGUCCCCUUUUGACGGGGUUCGAGGGCUCGAUGCCUCCCUCUGAUGGGAUUCCGUUAUAAAAAUCGUUCCCGUUGGUCUCGGAAAUGUCCUAGGGUACCUCGGGAGCGUAGCCCGAGCCUUGGUUAUGUAUCGAACGUACCCAGGGUCAUCCCUCGCUGUGCGUCUGAGGCGGCUGUCGAACCCUUUCGAGGGCCAGCCUACGAACCCCUGAUCAGUAGUGGGCGCGAAGCCCGAGUGGCCUGAGGCGGCCGUUGAACCCUUCCGAGGGGCCGGCCUUCGAACCUCUGACCAGUAGUGGGCGCGGAGCCCGAGCGCUCUGAGGCGGCUGUUGAACCCCUCCGAGGGGCCAGCCUUCGAACCUCUGAUCAAUAGGGGGGCUCGGGGCCCGUUUCCUUCGCGGAGAAGGAUCCCUUUCGGGGUAUCCCCUUUCCCGGUCCCUGUUGUAAGAGAGAGAAAGAGGAAGAGGAAAAGGAUACGAAAUCGAAUGACGUGGCGCACCUUUUUUGACGCGGUCAUUGUGGCGGAGGUGAAGCGUCGCCUGCUUCGCCUGCCAAAGGCGCCGCCUGUCCUACCGCAGAGUUAAUGCGACGGGACGAGUGGUUCGCGGGGCAGCCGUUGCGCGUGCGCGAGCCGUUCAAGGAACGGAACACGGGCGUGCCGUCUUCACGCCGUGGGAGAGGGUUCUCUCGCUGUCCCAGGAGGGGACGUGAGCGUGGCUGACGACUUGACCGCUGCUUCCGCCCGCCUGCCACCGCCAUUACUGCCGGCCCAUUUUUGGCCGUAUCGACCGUCACGCCUUCUCCCGCGGCUGACUGACCCGUGACCGAUGUGCCUGGCUGGCACUGUUGGGUCAUACGCAGGGUUGCCUCGAGUCGCGGUACUGGUUCCGCAGUCGAGGAGGCACGGUAGUGGCGCGAGUGGCGGUGCAGUAUCUUGCACGUAGCAACCGGCGCGCCGGUUACAUGGCGUGUGGGCCUGAGCCCCCAUGCUGGACGCGUUGGAGUCGAAAGGGUGCGCCCACUUGGUGCGGUUGCAUGCCGCCUGCGUGGCGGUCCGCCCUUUCACCCGCUGGUCUGGGCGAAAGUGGAGGAAUGCUCGUAACCGCUGGGCAGUUGUGCGCACCGCGCGCGGCGGUUUGGCUUCUUCUGCCCUGGGCCAGCUUGCAUGAUGCGUGGGACCUAGCCCCUGUGUCGUAGGGGGAGGACCUUGGAGCGUGUUGGAGAAGACUCAGCCUGCGAUGGCUGAGGACGCAAGUGGGGGGAGUUGCCUUUAAAAGGAGGGUGACCCCCUUGAAAGGCAACCAUGUCUUUGCGCUCCCCUCAUGCGUCGCGUCUUUCCACCCUCUGAGCCCCCGGAUGGGGAACACUCGUAGUCCUUCUGCCUUGUCGUUGGAGGAACACAACUUCACGGAAGUUGGUACCUUUCAGCCAUCGUUCGGCUUCAAGGAUUUUCAUCAGGCAGCCCGGCCGCAUCCCCUCGCCGGUGGUCACCCAAGACGGUGACCACCAGCUCCUGGGUGGGGAGAAGCAAGCCGGGCUGCGGCCUUUGCCCCUCCCUCAGCUUCAAGGAUGUUCAUCAUUAGUGCUGGGGAGGGGAGUGCGCCAAGUUGGGGUCGAUCUCCGUGCCCUCAGCGAUCGGGGGGGGGGGCGUUCGCCGUUCGUGGCGCUGGCAGCUGCCGCGUGUCCGGCUCUCCGGCCCGAGCGGCUUCGGCGCCGCUUCCGGUGCCACCUUCCGCCACGGCAGCCGGAAGAGGUUUCUCCACCGAAGAGAUAGUCGGUGCCGCCCGCGGACUGACCUUCAACUCUACGGCCUUCUGCUCGUCCUCGCCCCUCGAGUGGGGACGUGGGCGUGGGCCUCAUGGCAGCAGCAUCCGCCCUGAGGUCAUCGCUGCUACUGUUCGGCCGCUCGGAGCAGAAGUCGUCGGCCUUCUGUUGCUCCGCAGGCCCUCCAAUCGUGGGGGGUUGUUCGUACCUACGGAGGUGGAACCGGAGUUCCGUUUGUAAUGGCACCUUGAGUGCCGGUGUCUUGUUCAUUGUGGCUGUCGGGGCCUGAACAUGUAUGUAUUUUCGGCACGGAAUUGUGUUUUUCCUCAUUUCGAGCACUAGGACUCGUCUGUCGGCUAACUGAACCACUCAACCAAGUGUGAGUUGCCUCGUGCGAAGGUGGCGAGUGAGGUAUCCGUAUCCCGUAGGCGUAGGAGUCCCUCGGCUCGGUCGGCCUUGCCGCCCGAGGCUUCUCUUGCUUAGUUAAAGGAAACCCUCGGCCGCUCUUCGAUGAGCCGAAGCCGGUGUCAGCACGGAUAGAGGCGGAGUUGGCUCGAAAAGAAGACUUCGUCGGCCGGAGCCUGGCCGGGCCGUCCACUGGUGGGACCGACGCCGGAGUCGAGUUGCCGAGGCCACGAGCCGAGCUGAUGUCCUCGGGGGACAGCUGGCUGAGGCUUCGGGGUGGCCGGCCGAGCCGUCUGCUUGGGCCGGAUUCCUGGGGAAGACCCUGGCGGUGAUGGCCCGGGCGCGGUGCUGAUGUCGUCCUUCGAAGUAGAGAUCCUCCGACCGCGUUGCCGUCCGAGGCUCGGUCGGACUUUGCCGAAGGUGUAGCUGACGCCGAGGGUGCUGUUGCUCCCUUCAACUGUCAAGGUCCGAGCCUGCAGGAUCGGUUUAUCUUGUAGUGUGCGUAUGUUUUCUGCGGCCACCGAGGCCCAAACAUACUGUCGUCGUGUUGUAAAGCUGCGUUUCUUUUCCUCUUGUUUUGAGUAUCUAGACUUAUUUGUCGGUAACAGAAUUGUUUGUCCGAGCGAGAGUUACUUUUCACGGAAGGUGAUGAGUGAGGUAUCCGUAUCCCGAAGGCGUAGGAGUCCCUCGGCUCGGUCGGCCUUGCCGCUUACGUGUACUUUUACUAGUCCAUAGGAUUCUGCUAUCGAUAUAGUCGAGAAGGCCCAAAAAAUCGUUUCGGUAGAAGAGUUUUCGAGCGUGAAGACUUGUUCGGUCCGCGGAAUCACUUAUCCGAGCGUGAGUUACUUAUCGCAGAAGGUGAUGAGUGAGGUAUCCGUAUCCCGGAGGCGUAGGAGUCCCUCGGCUCGGUCAGCCUUGGCUGCUUACGUGUACUCCGUCGUUUUCAGGAUCCCACUUUCGAAGUAGUCGAAAAGCACGAAAGACAUUCUGGCAGAAAAGAUCUUUUCUGAGGAAGAUUUUGACGCGGAGGGGGUUCCCCCCUUCUAGCCCCCGAGGGAGGGUCGGGCUUUGCCGAGGCAAGGCUGACCCUUCCUUGAUGGUUAGACUUUGUGUGUGAACGAGGUGUAUGAACGACUUGAAAGCAUCUUAAGGGUAGAAGCGACGUAGCUGUCGGAUGUUCCAGGCGUCGCUGUAGACCUUGCCUUGACUGUUGGCCAGCUUGUACGUCCCGGGCUUCAGAACCUUGGCGAUGACGAACGACCCUUCCCAAGGAGGCGUGAGCUUGUGUCGCCCUCGAGCGUCUUGCCGCACCCGAAGCACCAAGUCGCCCACCUGGAGGUCUCGGGACCGAACCCCUCGGGCGUGGUAGCGUCGCAGGGACUGCUGGUACCGCGCCGAGUGUAGUAAGGCCAUGUCCCGAGCCUCUUCCAGCUGGUCCAGUGAGUCUUCUCGGUUAGCUCGAUUGCUUUGGUCGUCGUAGGCCCUCGUCCUCGGGGAACCGUAUUCUAAGUCUGUGGGCAAGAUGGCCUCGACUCCAUAGACUAGAAAGAACGGUGUGAAGCCCGUGGCUCGACUCGGCGUUGUCCUCAGACUCCAGACCACCGAGGGGAGCUCCUUCAUCCAUCGCUUGCCGAACUUGUUGAGGUCGUUGUAGAUCCGCGACUUGAGCCCUUGCAGAAUCAUGCCGUUGGCACGCUCUACUUGCCCAUUCGUCAUGGGGUGAGCCACGAUGACCCAGUCCACCCGGAUGUGGUGAUCCUCGCAGAAGUCCAGGAACUUCCUGCCGGUGAACUGGGUGCCGUUGUCGGUGAUGAUGGAGUUCGGGACCCCAAAGCGAUGGAUGAUGUUGGUGAAGAACGCCACCGCCUGUUCGGACCUGAUGCUGUUUAGGGGUCGGACCUCGAUCCACUUGGAGAAUUUGUCGAUGGCGACCAGCAAGUGCGUGUAGCCCCCGGGUGCCUUCUGCAAGGGGCCGACGAGGUCCAGCCCCCAAACAGCAAACGACCAGGUGAUGGGUAUCGUCUGCAGGGCCUAAGCGGGCAAGUGUGUCUGCCUCGCAUAGAACUGACACCCUUGGCAGGUGCAGACAAUUCUAGUGGCAUCGGCCACCGCGGUCGGCCAGUAGAAACCUUGUCGGAAGGCAUUUCCAACAAGGGCUCGAGGCGCUGCGUGAUGACUGCAAGCCCCCGAGUGUAUUUCUUGUAAGAGCUCCUGGCCUUCGGCGAUGGAUAUGCAUCGCUGGAGGAUGCCUGAGGGGCUGCGGUGGUAGAGCUCCUUCCCGUCCCCCAGCAAGAUGAACGACUUAGCGCGCCGCGCCAAUCGCCGAGCUUCGGCUCGGUCGAGGGGUAGCUCUCCUUGGUGGAGAUAUUGCAGGUAUGAGGUAUGCCAGUUUCGAUUAGGCGUGACCCCGCUCCGCUCCUCCUCGACGCGCAGUGCCUCACCCUCGGGGGCCGAGGGUGCCUUGGGCCGAGCCGAGGGUGCCUCGGGCUGAGCCGAGGCCUUCUCGGGCUCGGGUGCGUCGUCGGUCUUGAUGGAGGGUUGAUGCAGGUCUCGAGAGAAGACGUCCGGGGGAACCGUUGUCCGCCCCGAGGCUAUCUUAGCCAGCUCAUCCGCAGUCUCGUUGUACCGUCGGGCGAUGUGGUUGAGCUCGAGCCCGUAGAACUUGUCCUCCAGGCGCCGAACCUCAUCGCAGUAGGCUUCCAUCUUCGGGUCGCGGCAGUGGGAGUUCUUCAUGACUUGGUCAAUGACAAGCUGCGAGUCACCGCGAGCGUCGAGGCGUCGGACCCCUAGCUCGAUGGCGAUGCGCAACCCGUUGACCAGAGCCUCGUACUCGGCCACAUUGUUGGACGCCGGGAAAUGGAGGCGCAACACGUAGCGUAGGUGCUUCCCGAGGGGCGAGAUGAAGAGCAGGCCCGCGCCUGCCCCUGUCUUCAUCAGCGACCCGUCGAAAAACAUGGUCCAGAGCUCCGGUUGGAUCGGAGCUGUUGGGAGCUGGGUAUCGACCCAUUCAGCCACAAAGUCCGCCAAGACUUGGGACUUGAUGGCCUUCCGAGGGGCGAACGAGAUUGUCUCUCCCAUGAUUUCCACUGCCCACUUUGCAAUCCUACCCGAGGCUUCUCGGCACUGGAUGAUCUCCCCCAGGGGGAAGGAUGACACCACAGUUACCGGAUGAGACUCGAAGUAGUGUCGCAACUUCCGCCGCGUCAGGAUCACCGCGUACAGCAGCUUCUGAAUUUGUGGGUAGCGGAUCUUGGUCUCGGACAGUACCUCACUGAUGAAGUAGACUGGCCUCUGGACGGGCAAUGCAUGCCCCUCUUCUCGUCUCUCAACCACGAUCACGGCGCUGACCACCUGAGUGGUAGUGGCGACAUAGAUCAAGAGGGCUUCUUCGGCCGCAGGGGGCACCAAGAUGGGUGUGUUCGUGAGGAUCGCCUUCAAGUUCCCGAGGGCUUCCUCGGCCUCAGGGGUCCAAGUGAAGCACUCGACCUUUCUUAAGAGGCGGUACAGAGGCAGGCCUCUUUCGCCGAGGCGCGAGAUGAAACGGCUCAGAGCCGCAAGGCAUCCCGUGACCCUAUGUACGCCUUUCAAGUCCUUGAUGGGCCCCAUGUUGGUGAUGGCCGCGAUUUUCUCCGGGUUGGCCUCGAUGCCCCGCUCGGAGACGAUGAACCCCAAGAGCAUGCCUCGGGGGACCCCGAAGAUGCACUUCUCGGGAUUGAGCUUUACGCCUUUCGCCUUGAGACAAUGGAAUGUCGUUUCAAGGUCGGAAAGGAGGUCAGAGGCUUUCCUCGUCUUGACUACGAUGUCAUCGACGUAGGCCUCGACCGUUCGACCAAUGUGUUCGCCGAACACGUGGUUCAUGCACCUUUGGUAUGUCGCACCCGCAUUCCUCAAACCAAACGGCAUGGUAACAUAGCAGUACAUGCCGAAAGGUGUGAUGAAAGAAGUCGCGAGCUGGUCGGACUCUUUCAUCCUGAUUUGGUGAUACCCUGAGUAGGCAUCGAGGAAAGACAGGGUUUCGCACCCAGCAGUGGAAUCCACGAUUUGAUCGAUGCGAGGCAGAGGGUAGGGAACUUUUGGACAUGCUUUGUUUAGACAAGUGUAGUCUACACACAUCCGCCAUUUCCCUCCUUUCUUUCUCACAAGCACAGGGUUGGCAAGCCAUUCGGGAUGGAAUACCUCUUUGAUGAACCCUACCGCCAUUAGCUUGUGGAUCUCCUCGCCUAUGGCUCUGCGCUUUUCUUCGUCGAAUCGGCGCAGAGGCUGCUUCACGGGUCGGGCCCCAGCUCGGAUAUCCAGCGAGUGCUCGACGACAUCCCUCGGUACGCCGGGCAUGUCUGAGGGACUCCAUGCGAAAACGUCGGCGUUUGCGUGGAGAAAGUCGACGAGCACUGCUUCCUAUUUGGGAUCGAGCUCAGAGCCGAUCCGGAUCUGCUUGGAGGCGUCGUUGCUGGGGUCGAGAGGGACGGACUUAACCGUCUCCGCUGGCUCGAGGUUGCUGGCAUGGCGCUUCACGUCUGGCGCCUCCUUGGAGAGGCUCUCCAGGUCGGCGAUGAAGGCCUCGGAUUCGGCGAGGGCCUCGGCGUACUCCACGCACUCCACGUCGCAUUCGUACGCGUGUUGGUACGUGGGGCCGACGGUGAUGACCCCGUUGGGGCCCGACAUCUUGAGCUUGAGGUAGGUGUAGUUGGGGACGGCCAUGAACUUGGCGUAGCAUGGCCUCCCCAACACUGCGUGGUAGGUUCCUCGGAACCCGACCACCUCGAACGUGAGGGUUUCCCUUCGGAAGUUGGAGGGAGUCCUGAAGUAGACGGGUAGAUCGAGUUGUCCGAGGGGUUGGAUGCGUUUCCCGGGGAUGAUCUCGUGGAAAGGCGCCGCGCCUGCCUGGACUGAGGACAGAUCGAUCCGCAGGAGCCCGAGGGUCUCGGCGUAGAUGAUGUUGAGGCUGCUGCCUCCGUCCAUGAGGACCUUGGUGAGCCUGACGUUGCCGAUGAUGGGGUCGACAACGAGCGGGUAUUUCCCCGGACUCGGCACGCGGUCGGGGUGGUCGCCCUGGUCGUAGGUGAUGGGCUUGUCGGACCAGUCUAGGUAGACUGGCGCCGCCACCUUUACCGAGCAGACCUCCCGACGCUCUUGCUUGCGGUGCCGAGCCGAGGCGUUCGCCACUUGCCCACCGUAGAUCAUGAAGCAGUCGUGGACCUCGGGGAACUCUCCUGCCUUGCGAUCCUCCUUCUUAUCGUCGUCGUGGGCCCUGCCACCUUCCGCAGGUGGCCCGACCUUGUGAAAGUGGCGCCGAAGCAUGGCGCAUUCCUCAAGGGUGUGCUUAACGGGCCCCUGAUGAUAGGGGCACAGCUCCUUGAGCAUCUUGUCGAAGAGAUUGGCGCCUCCAGGAGGUUUCCGAGGGUUCUUGUACUCAGCGGCGGCGACAAGGUCCGCAUCGGCGGCGUCGCGUUUCGCGUGCGACUUCUUCUUGCCUUUCUUCUUGGUGCCGCGCUGAGUGGACGCCUCGGGGACAUCUUCCGCCUGGCGGCCCUGGGGCUGCUUAUCCUUCCGGAAGAUGGCCUCAACCACCUCCUGGCCAGAGGCGAACUUGGUGGCGAUGUCCAUCAGCUCGCUCGCCCUGGUGGGCGUCUUGCGACCCAGCUUGCUCACCAGGUCGCGGCAGGUGGUGCCGGCGAGGAACGCGCCGAUGACAUCCGAGUCAGUGACGUUGGGCAGCUCGGUGCGCUGCUUCGAGAAUCGCCGGAUGUAGUCCCGGAGAGACUCUCCCGGCUGCUGGCGGUAGCUUCGGAGAUCCCAGGAGUUCCCAGGGCACACAUACGUGCCCUGGAAGUUGCCGGCGAAGGCUUGGACCAGGUCGUCCCAGUUGGAGAUUUGUCCCGGAGGCAGGUGCUCCAGCCAGGCUCGAGCGGUGUCGGAGAGGAACAGGGGGAGGUUGCGGAUGAUGAGGUUGUCAUCGUCCGUUCCACCCAGGUGGCAGGCCAGCCGGUAGUCCGUGAGCCACAGUUCUGGCCUCGUCUCCCCCGAGUACUUUGUGAUAGUAGUCGGGGUUCGGAACCGGGUCGGGAACGGCGCCCGUCGUAUAGUCCGGCUGAAAGCCUGCGGACCGGGUGGUUCAAGCGAGGGACUCCGAUCUUCCCCGUUGUCGUAGUGUCCCCCACGCCUGGGGUGGUAGCCUCGGCGCACCUUCUCGUCGAGGUGGGCUCGACGGUUGCGGUGAUGGUGCUCGUUGCCGAGGCGACCCGGGGCCGCAGGCGCUGUGUUGCGCGUGCGCCCGGUGUGGACCGAGGCUUCCCGCAUGAAUCGGGAAGUCGCGGCGCGAUGUUCCGAGAGGUACCCCUGCCUUCGAGAGGUAGAGCUUUCGGCCCAUCGGACCGCGGCGUCCUCCAGGAGAUUCUUGAGCUCUCCCUGGAUACGCCGCCCCUCGGUGGUUGAUGGCUCCGGCAUCGCGCGGAGAAGUAUUGCCGCUGCAGCCAGGUUCUGGCCGACCCCACUGGAAGCCGGUGGCGGCCUUGCCCUGACAUCAUCGGCGAUGCGGUGCUGGAUGCCCUGGGGUAGAUGACGCGCUUCUCCGGCCAGAGGUUGGCUUGCCCAUUCCUGCCUGAUGUCCCGGCGGAACGGCUCAAGUGUUCCUGCUCCCUCGUCGAGCCUGGCCUGCAUCUCGCGGAUUUGCUCGAGCUAUGAGUCCUGACCCCCCGCAGGGACUGGGACCACAGCUAGCUCCCGAAGGAUGUCAACGCGAGGCGCAAGCCUAGGGGAUCACCGUUCUCCGGUAUACCAAGAUGGUUGCCUUCGCCGGGACCCCCCAGAUCGACGUGGAAACAUUCACGACUUGGGCCGCAGUCCUCGUCGCCGAAGCUGCGGCUACCGUCGGAACAAUCGGAGAGGCAGUAGUCGCAUGCGGUCAUGAAGUCCCGCAUGAAACUGGGUUACCAAGUCUGGAGAAAUCCCAACAAAAGUCGGGCUCGUCAUCUUCCUCGGAACCCGAGGGCCCGUAGGUCGAGACGACUGUCAGCCAGUCCCAGGGUGACCGCAUACCGUACCCCGGAGGGUUUGGACUCGCCUCUAUGAAAGCGUCCACCGAAGCGAAGUCGCUUGGUGGGUCAAGGCUGAAUCCAAAAGACACGAGAUGGGAAUCAGUCGGUACCUCUUGGUCGACGGGCGGUGACGAAGUCACGUCAAGGGCAGACUGCAUCGUCGUCUCAGGUACGAGGGUGACGCUCAGCAAGUCUUUUGCGAGCGUGCUGGCGUCGUCCGUCCGCUUGGAGUUGGCGCGUUGCGGAGAAACGGCGCUCGUCUUCGUCUCAGACGCGAAGUCGAUGCCCGACGUGUCCCCCGUUGGGGCGCCAGCGCCGUCGACUCGCUCGACAGCCGACGAGGUGCCGCCUCCUGCUUGGCCUUGGUUGCCCCGCCUCCUCCUCCGUCGGCGGGGGAGGCGACGGGACAAACCCGAAUGUUGUUCUUCCGCCACGUGGGGAAGACGUCGUCGAUUCCGCCGCCGGCGGGGGGGUUGUCGGCCGCCAUUGUCGCUGUCGCGCGACGGGGGAAGGAGUAUCAUGUCGUAGCUGCCGUCGAGGGACAUGAACUCAAGACUCCCGAAACGGAGAACUGUCCCGGGCUGGAAAGGUUGCUGGAGACUAACCAUCUGGAGCUUGACGGGAAGCUGUUCGUCAACACGCAGCAGGCCCCUACCUGGCGCGCCAACUGUCGGCGUUUCGACCCCGGGGGGUCCCUGGACCGACGAGUAAAUUGUCGCCGCGUGCCCCAGCCCAGAUGGGUCGGCGCGAGACGGAGCACGAAGGGGGGAAAGCCAGAGGGAGACAGGCGUAAAAGGGGAAACCCGCGGCCUUCGUGUUUGUCCCGCGCCCAGGUCGGGUGCGCUUGCAGUAGGGGUUUACAAGCGUCCGCGUGGGAAGGAGCGAGAGGCUUACGCGCGCGCCGUCCCGUCCUCCCCGCGCGGCCAACCCUCUGUAAGAGGGCCCUGGACCUUCCUUUUAUAGGUGUAAGGAGAGGGUCCAGGUGUACAAUGGGAGAUGUAGCAGUGUGCUAACGUGUCUAGCAGGGAGGAGCUAGUGCCCUAAGUACAUGCCGUCGUGGCAGCCGGAGUGGUUUUGGCACCCUGUUCGUGUAAUGUCGUGGCCGUCAGAGGAGUGCUGGAGCCUUGCGGAAGGAUAGCUGUCGGGGCUGUCGAGUCCUUGCUGACAUCUCCUUGCUUCCUUAAGGGGGCUGAGAGCCACCGUCGUCAUGGAGCACGCGGGGCGCCAUCAUUACUUGUUUUACCGGGGCGAGUCAGAUAGGACGCCGGUCUUGUCCCCCGUAGCCAGAGCUAGCUAGGGGUAGGGUGAUGAUGGCCCCUCCUAUGGCGUGGUCGGUCCGAGCCCUAGGUUGGGCGAGGCGGAGGCUCCUCCGAGGUCAAGGUCGAGUCUGUCUUCCGAGGUCGAGGUCGAGGUCGAGUCCGAGCCCCUGGGUCGGGCGAGGCGGAGACCGUCGGCUGAGGCCAGGGAUGAGUCCGAGCCCUAGGGUCGGGCGAGGCGGAGUUCGUCGUCUUCCGGGGCCGAGGCCGAGUCUGAGCCCUGGGGUCGGGCGAGGCGGAGUUCGUCGUCUUCCGGGGCCGAGGCCGAGUCCGAGCCCUGGGGUCGGGCGAGGCGGAGUUCGUCAUCUUCCGGGGCCGAGGCCGAGUCCGAGCCCUAGGGUCGAGCGAGGCGGAGCUUCCUAUGGCGCCCGAGGCCGGACUUGGCUGCUGUCAGCCUAACUCUGUCGAGUGGCACAACAGUCGGAGCGGCGCAGGCGGCGCUGUCCUCUUGUCAGGCCGGUUAGUGGAGCGGCGAAGUGACUACGGUCACUUCGGCUCUGUCGACUGAAGGGCGCGCGUCAGGAUAAGGUGUCAGGCCAUUUUUGCAUUAAAUGCUCCUGCGAUACGGUCGGUCGUCGUGGCGAUUUGGCCGAGGUUGCUUCUUGGCGAAGACCGGGCCUCGGGCGAGCCGAAGGUGUGUCCAUUGCUUGAGGGGGCCCUCGGGCGAGACGUAAAUCCUCUGGGGUCGGCUGCCCUUGCCCGAGGCUGGGCUCGGGCGAGGCGAGAUCGUGUCCCUUGAGUGGAUCGAGCCUUGACUUAAUCGCACCCAUCAGGCCUUUGCAGCUUUGUGCUGAUGGGGGUUACCAGCUGAGAUUAGGAGUCUUGGGGGUACCCCUAAUUAUGGUCCCCGACAAUUUUGUAAAAAGAAUCCAAGGAAAUUAAACAGGUGUAGUAUGUACUAUAGCACUGCCUGCAGCCUAGAGGCCCCUCAAAUCUUAUUUCUUCCAUCAGUGGCAAAUCUUCUGCCAUCAGUGUCAACUGGCGCCCCUCAAACAAAGGGUGAAGCUGUGUUUGCUUGACCCAGUGAAAACCCCCAAAAAUAUCCUGUACCCCACGUAGUUUAUCAUGCUGCAACACAUGCAUGCAAGUUUUGGAAGAAACCCUUUCUCUGUACAGACCUAUCAAGGCAAGUAAACUUUUCAAUAUAGUAUAGCAUGACAAGUAAACUUCAAAUACUCAAAAUAUCCUGUACCCCACGUAGUUUAUCAUGUUACAACACAUGCAUGCAAGUUUUGGAAGAAACCAUUUCUCUGUACAGACCUAUCACAAGGCAAGUAAACUUUUCAAUAUAGUAUAGCAUGACAAGUAAACUUCAAAUACUCUAUGCCUAUUUGGUUUCCCUAGCCUAAAAUAAAAAGGCUAAAAUUUAAUCUAAAGUACCAAACAAGAGCUAAAAGGGCUAAAAUAUUUUAACUCCAUUAACCCACAAAGAGGAGCUAAAGUGGGCUAAAAUAUUUAAUCAAGCACAUUAUGCUUCCUGCUUCAAGGAGGGAAUUUAAAGAUAUCUAUGUGAUCUUUGAGUUGAUGGAGUCAGAUCUCCAUCAUGUAAUAAAAGCAAACGAUGAUCUUUCUAAAAGUAUAAAUUUUUAAAACAACCCUCUCAUUUCCCUUGGAUGUUUUUAAAAAGGUUCUUGUCAGGGGCGAAUAUCAUGUGUAUGACAUUGGCGUGGGAUCAACGAGAGGUAUAAGUGUCCAACCAUUUGAAUCUGUUCGACCUUCAUAAGGCAGACCCUGUCUCAUCCGACCACCAGGCAUGGAGGACAGAUGAUUGACGUUUUUUGUCUCCCUCGAUCCCCGACUACCCAGGAUCUAGGGGCCAGACAAUUCCGCCUCGUAGUUCUGCCUCACCCGAUCUCCAACCACCGAUGGUCUAGGGGACGAAUGACUCUGCCUCGGAGUUUCGCUCGCCCGAUCUUCGCGCUCUCGAGACUGCUAAGGGUCUGGGAGUCGAGCGACCUCACCCGACCCCCAAGGAUGAGGGGUUGGAUACUUUGCCUGAUCACGUGGGAUCCAAAUUCUUAGGGUCGUACCAUGACGACCACUGCAAACGUUAGAAUGUGCAAGUCAGGCUCUGACACAGACAUGCAACCUGAAUGACGGCAUAAGAGUUGGUAUUCCAGAGCGCAUGUUACAUAUUACGGCGUGGAGAGUGGCACCUGCUCAACCACUCUGGUAAGUCAAUAAAGGACACGAGUAAACCAUUGCAGGAUGUGACAAAGUGUAAUGGCUUGCUUCAGGGUGGCAUUGACGUGGCUACACUACCUUGAUGGCAAGAGGGUUCAUCCACGGUGUCCAUCGGCCAGUGGGAACCCUAGAGGACAACAUGCUAUACGACAGUACCCGACCUCUACUCGCUUCGCUUGACCCUUCGACUCAUGUAACAUGAUCCUCCUCUCACCUAGCCUAUAAAAGGAAGGAAAGGACCACGGUUCAAGACACGAGCAUACAUAGGCAUAAACCGCCAGCACAAAUCCUAUACAAAGCACUUUUACCCCCAUGAGCACUCAUUCACAAGAGACUUGGGAGCUUGAUCGCUCUCUUGCCUGUUUGUAACCUCCUACUACAAACUAGUGCAGGGUAAAGCAAAUCGCUCAAUUGGACGUAGGGACAUUCCGCCCGAACCAGUAUAAACCUUUUUGUCCACUGUACACACCAUUGCUCCGAGACGGGCAAAGCACGAUAGUUACUAACCGGUGGUUACAACACAUCAACAAUCCUCACACCUCUAUCCUUGUGUCUUGGUUGCACCAAUAUGUACGGUUGCACUUUAUACCUUCCCUUCAUUUAAAUGUUAAUAUUGAACAUACAAGCGAGUUUUACAUGCAGAUUUAAUGCUGCAGAACUUGUUGUGUAUUACUUGAACAAUGUGCACAUGGUGUGGGUUGAUAUGUCUGCUUAUUUUAUAAAUUUUAUUGAAUUGUAAGGUUCUGAAUCUGGCAUUAACUUUUGAAGUACACUCCUUCCAUUGAUAUUUGGAGCGUAGGAUGUAUAUUUGCUAAAUUGCUCACAGGAAGCCACUCUUUCCAGGGAAGAAUGUUGUGCAUCAAUUGGAUCUUAUGACUGAUCUACUUGGUACACCUUCAAUAGAGUCUAUCUCCAAGGUUUGCUCACUUGUUAUUAGUGUGAUUCUUCUGUAGUAUUGUUGAGCUUAAUUUUUUAUAUUCCAGGCAUUACUCUGUUUUAGUUUUUAGGCAUGGAACUUGUAUAAAAUGCUCAAACUUUCAUUGGUAGUACACAAUUACUAACUUACUAAUUGUUUAUUUAUAUUUAUUGUCAUUUGUUUUGAAGACUUUCACUAUGCCUCUUUAAACAAGUACUGAAGUACUUCAAUGUUUAGUUACCGAAAACUGCAAAGUUAUGUACCAAUUGACAUCAAUAUUCAAUGACAACAGUCUUUUGCUAUUCCUCUAGAAUAUGUUGAAAACAAAGUGCCAACUGAUGAAUGACACAAAAUCAUGUGUCCUACACUAUGUUGAAGUGCAUAAAUGGAUUGUCUACCUUCUCCCAAUAACUUAAGAUUUUUUGGUUGAAUUAUGUCGGUGUUUUGACCCGAGGAUCCUUACCAACUAGUGAAUAAGUGUUGCGUGUCCCGGCCUAGAUGGGUGAUGCAAGAAGACACAAGGUUUAUCUUGGUUCGGGCAGUAGAAGGCCCUACUUCCAGUAGAGGAGGAUGAGACUCAUAUUAUCUUUCACCUAAGUGCUUGUAGUAGGGGAUACAAGCUAGUCGAGAGAGGGAGUGGACCCAAGUCUCUGAGGAUGAUUGCGGCAGGUGCCAAUAUUGGUCGAGGAGGGCAAAACCUGUGAAGUGUGGUUCUCCCCCUCCUGGAUGCCCUGCACUUCUUUUAUAGCCUUAAGGAGGGACCUCAGGAGCACCAAGGUUUGUUGAAAUGAGGAGAGGAGGCGAGACCGAGCCCCUAUAGCAGCAUGACCGUCGGAAUGGCUUCGGUCUUUGCAGUUGUCUUGGAUCAGGGGAAGGACGUUCGGCCCUGUAUCCCGCAUCUUGACCGAGCAGAGAGUCAAGGCUAGGAUCGGGGGCUCGUACGCGUAACCGAGCCUAUCUUGUGGAUGUGUUGUCCGAGUUGUAGUUGUUGGAAUAGUGAUAAAUAUGGUAAAAAGCACAUGGUAAUUCAUCUUGUAUGGCGUAAAGUAGACCUACACCAGCCCUACAGUUCUAUAGCCAUUCCGUUGUCAGCUGUCUUUGUGGAAGGGUUGGUGGCAUCGAGUGUCCUUUUGUCGAUGUUAUUUAAUGCGCACGUCUUCAUGGUUUUCGAGAUCUUCGACUGAGGCUGGGCUCGAGGCUAUCUUCUGUCUGAGAUGAGCUCGGGCGAGUGACGAAGAUUACUUUCCAUAAAAAGGGGGCCCUUGGGCGAGUCAAGGAUUUCUCACGUGCGCGACUUUCGCCCAUGGAUAGGCUCGAGCAAGACGCAAUUUUGAGCGACCGUUGAGCGGGGCCUCGGGCGAAUCAUGAUUCAACCGUACUUGAUCUCAGGGAACAUGUUUUCUGAUUUUUUCGGUACUCAGGUGUUAGGUACGAUUAUGGGCAUAGUCUGGGUACCCCUAAUUAUGAUACCCGACAGUAGCCCCGAGCCUCCAAGGAAGUGUAGGCACUUGCUUGGGGGUUCUGCCGACCUCUCGCAAGCAUGUUGCUUAAUCCUUUGAUAGGCGGUAGACUCAUUUCCGAUGGGGGCGCCCGAGCGCACCCAUCGAGUGUAGACCCCGAGGCCUCGGAGGGGUGAUUACUCCUUCGAGGUCUUUAUGUUUCCCUCUAUAGAUAUCGUUGACUUGUUCAUUGUACAUCACCUGGCUGUAGCCUAGGUGAAAAGGCAACCCUCGAGUCUCUACGUUGGGUUGUUGGUGCUUCCAACAAUUUUGCCGCAACAUAGGUGCAAGGGCAGCCCUCGAGCCUCUACACAUGGCGAGAGGACGAUCAAGGAAUGCCUUGACUUUUAAUGAUACACCUCUUCAUCGCGUUUCCGCAAGGAGGAAGAGGGGGAAAGCGCCAAGCUACCCUCAGUGGGCAACGAGCAUGACAUCUCCUAUGAGCUGUUAGCGGGUAAUCCGAGUGGAGGCUCGAGCCCCAUUUGAUAGGGGUCGGCUAGCGGUCCGAAGAUGCGCCCUAAUACACAUGUGGGUGAUUUGCUUGGUCCUAGACCCGUUCUAUGGGAUCCAAGGGCUCGAUUCCUCCCUCUGAUGGGAUACCGCUAUGAAUCAUUAUCGAGGGUCUCUGAUAUGUCUUAGAGUACCUCUGGGUUGUAGCCUGAGCCUCGGCCAUGUACGAAUGUACCCAUGGUCAUCCCUGACUCUAUGGUUUGGGGUGGUUGUCGAACCCUACCGAGGCGCCAACCUAGCUUCGAACCCCUGAUCUGUAAAGGGCUCAGAGCCCGUGUGCUCUAGUGCGGUUGCCGAACCUCGACGAGGGGCCAACCUUUGAACCCCUAAUCGGUAAGAGGCUUGGGCCUCAUUUUCUUUGCUAGGAAGGCGAUUCUAAGAGGUGUUUCUUUCUUGUCACCUGUGGAGAAGGGGAAGAGGAGAGAGAGACACACCUUUUUAUGCGCCUACCGUGAGGAGACGGAGCGACACCCAUUGGUUGCGUCAGCCGGAUGGGACGUGUGCCCCCAGGUGGGAGUUAAUGCGAUGGGACGCAAAGUCCGCGGGCUAUCCGUUGGGGCACACGGGAUUCGAAGAGACGAAAUCUGUUUCUAGACAUGAUUUUUCAAUGCAGGGGGGGCUCGGCCUUGACCUCACAGGUCCGUUAUAUAUAUAUAUAUAUAUAUAUAUAUAUAUAUAUAUAUAUAUAUAUAUAUAUAUAUAUAUAUAUAUAUAUAUAUAUAUAUAUAUAUAUAUAUAUAUAUAUAUGGGAGGGGGUCCCUCCCGGUUCUUACCUUGAUUUUGCCUUCCUAGCCUUAUCUACUACUACUCUUUCUAGCCACAGCCAAGAAUCGCGCAUUGAGAUGGGGAGAGAAAAGAGCUCGCACACCUUUUCUCUGCCGCCUCCCUCUAUUGCCAUGGCUAAGAAGCUGAACGUCCUUGCUCCCUGCGACCCGUGGCCCUUCUCCUCUUUGAUUGAUGAAGAUCUGCAAGGCCUGGUUGACGGGGGUCUGCUCUGCCCCCGCACCUUUGAGGUGCAGCCCAAGUGGCUCGUCCCUAGGGACGAGGAGGAGCCGACCCCGCCCGUGGGCUACGUUGUCAGCUUUGUAUCCUUCCACGAGCGGGGGUUCGAGGUGUCAGCGAACUAGUUCAUGCGGGCGCUCCCACACUACUACGGGGUGGAGCUUGACAACUUCAACCCCAACUCCAUAGCCUAGGCGACGAUUUAUGCGGCGAUCUACAAGGGGUACCUCAGGAUCGAGCCCCACUGGGAUUGAGCUCCACCUCUUCCGCACGGAGCCGUUCUCCCUCCCUUCAGAGGUGAAGAAGUUCCACCAUACGGUGAGGGCCGGCGGCUGCAUGCUCCAGCUGUGCUCGGAUCGGGCACAACUGUACAUCCCUGCCUCCCUUACCUCUUCGAACAAGGGGUGGCAGAGCUGCUGGUUCUACCUCAUUAAUGAUGAUGGAAGGUUGCUGGCAUACACCAAGAGGGUCGUGACCGUUGCGGGAGAGCACUGGCGGUGGGGCGCAUCGUGGGAGCAUCAGUCCUAGAUGGAGCCCUUCCUGGAUGCCCUACGGAAGCUCCACGACCGAGGGCUUACUACAGCCAGGGUCGUCGCUGUCUUCCACCGUCGGAGGGUGCUGCCGCUGGUGGAGCGGCGCCUGCGCUUGGACGAGAUGAAGCCCGAGUGAGAGCACCUAGAGGGGGGGGGGGGUGAAUAGGUGAUCCUGUAAAAAAUAGCUCAACAAAACAAACUUGGACUAAUAUUGGAUUAGUGAAAGCAGGAGCCAAGUUCGAAUGAAGAGUAUGAUAGGAGUAAAAUUCUUCACUUAAUUGCUCUUCACUAAGUGAGUAUUAAACUUAGAGCAAUUAUGCAAGUGAAGUGAAUAGAGAGAAAAUCAGAGUAAGAUAAAAAGACACAUGACACAAUGAUUUUUAUCUCGUGGUUCGGUCAAGUAGAAUGGUUGCCUACUCCAUGUUGUGGCGUCCCAAUGGAAAAGGGUUGGACUCAACCCCUUUCAAGUGAUCCAAAGAUCAACUUGAAUACCACGGUUCUUUUUAUAUCAACAAUAUCCCGUUGUGAGGAAUCUCCACAAUUUGGAGUCUCUCAUGCCUUACACAAAUGAUCUCAAAUGAACACAAGAGUAAGGGGAAUAGAAAAACACACAAGAACUAGAGUUGCAGCAACAACACACACAAGUCAAGAAAGAGCACACGAAACAACACAGCGGAGUUACAACUCAAAGAGGUGCUCAAAUCUCUAUCACAAUGAAACAACUGUGUGCUUACGAAGUCUCAGCGUUGUAGACCGUUCAAUGGGUGCUUGGUGUUGAGCUCCAUGCGCCAAGGGGUCCCUUUUAUAGCCCCAAGGGACCUAGGAGCCGUUGGAGCUCCAUUUGGAAGGCCCUGGUUGCCUUCUGUCCGUGGGUGACAGUGAAUAGUGUGCGGGCAUAGAAUCCCUUGAUUGGCUACUUUCUGCUUCUAGGGGGCACCAGACCGUCCGGUGCCCCACAUGACCGUUGGCCUGGGGCUGACGUGGCUACUAGUCAUUGGCUGCUGGCAUACCAGACUAUCCGAUGCUCCGUCCGGAUGAUUUGGUGAAUUAUAGCCGACGCUGGCUAAAAUUCCCGAGAGUGAGCAGUAUGACAGAUCGUGCACCGGACUGUCUGGUGCACACCAGACCGUUCGGUGAGAGGCACCGGACCGUCCGGUGCUCUUCAGUCCAACACGAUUUUUCUUUUUCUUUCUUUGUUUUUUUGCUCCUUUCGGACUUGACUUCGUAAAGUCACUGGCACUUAGACAAAUAUAAUUAGUACUCAAAACAAUUGACUAAGUUUCUAGAGCUUACCUUUUUACUUGGUCCAUAUAGAUUUUGCACUAGGUCCUUUUCCGAGCUCAAUUUGCUUCAUAUACCUUUGCUCAUACAUCAUGUUAGUUUAAACAUAAUGUGUUGUGCAUCUUAUCACGAAAACAAUAUAGAAAUGGCCCAAUGGCGCAUUUCGCUUUCAAUCUCCGCCUUUUUUGGUGAUUUAUGCCAACACAUCAAAAAGCAACUCAUAUUGACUUAACAUAUCCAAAAGAGCUAAACAGAGCAAAUCGAUGUCAAAUUGAAGACCAAUAAAAUUAUCAUAGGAUUUGGCAUAUUUGGAUCACUUUUGCCACCACUUGGUUUGUUUUCGCAAAAACAAAUUCAUUUUCCUAUCUCUAUGUCAAAAACACUUGUUUUGGCAAACCAAAGUAUCUUUCAAGACUAGUUUUGAUCAAGAGUAAAAAAACUCCCCCUUUUUCCAUAAUCAAAUUUCUCCCCAUAAGAGAGCAGUUUUUUUUGCAAUAAGAGGAUUUUGAUAAAAAAAUUAAGUAUACUUACACUAAUAUUUUGAAAUUUACAAGUGGUAGCUGAUCCAGUUGCUUUGGCCUUAAUUUCUCCCCCUUUGUAAUUAAGCACCAAAACAGAAGAACUAUUUGGCCCUUUAACCCCAUUGCCUCACAAAAAUUGUAAGUAAAACCAAGGGCAAUAUAGAUAGUGACUUGGAACAAGAGAUAUUGAUACAGGAAUGCAGUGGAAGCCUUUUCUUUGUCCAAGUCCACCUUUUCCCUUUCAAUGCAUCUUUGAGACUGUAUCAAUAUCACUCAAGCAAACACAUUAGUCUCCAAGGGUCAAGUUGUAGUACAUCCUCCCCCUAAACAUGUGCAUUAUUUGCAUAAGGACUUGUGAGGUCCAGGGAUGACUUGUACAACUUGAGCACCAAAAUAAGUAAAGACAGAAAUGCUUAAAAGAACAUGAUCAAAGGCAUAAAACACAUGUGUGCUAUAGAUCAAUCCAAGUUCCACGAAUCUUAGACAUUUAGCUCACAACGCAACUUGCAAAACCUUUUCUCAUCUAAAGGCUUGGUGAAGAUAUCGACUAACUGGUUCUCGGUGCUAAUAUGACAAAUAUCGAUAUCUCCCCUUUGCUGGUGGUCUCUCAAAAUGUGAUACCGGAUGUCUAUGUGCUUAGUGCGGUUGUGUUCAACAGGACUAUCCGCCAAGCAGAUUGCACUCUCAUUAUCACAUAGGAGUGGGACUUUGCUCAGAUUGUAGCCAAAGUCCUGGAGGGUUUGCCUCAUCCAGAGCUGUUGCGCGCAACACUAGCCUACGGCAACAUACUCGGCCUCAGCGGUGGAUAGGGCAGCGGAUUGAUGUUUGUUUCUUAGAGCUCCAAGACACCAGGGAUCUUCCCAGAAACUAACAAGUUCCUGAUGUGCUCUUCCUAUCAACCUUGCAUUCGACAUAGUCGGAAUCUGAAUAUCUGAUUAAGUCAAAGGUAGAACCCUUUGGAUACCAGAUCUCGAAGCAAGGCGUAUGAACUAAAUAUCUAAGAAUUCGCUUCAUGGCCACAAGAUGACAUUCCUUGGGUUCAGAUUGAAAUCUACCAAACAUGCAUACACUAAGCAUUAUAUCCGGUCUACUAGCACAAAGAUAAAGUACUGAACCUAUCAUAGACCGGUAUUGCCUUUUGAUCAACGGACUUACCUCCCUUAUCGAGGUCCAAGUGUCCGUCGGUUCCCAUUAGCGUUUUGGUGGGCUUUGCGUCCUUCAUCCCAAACCUUUUGAGCAUGUCUUGAGUGUACUUCAUUUGGGAUAUGAAGGUUCCUUCCUUGAGUUGCUUCACUCGAAAUCCAAGGAAGUAGUUCAGCUCGCCCAUCAUUGACAUUUCAAAUUUAUGCAUCAUUACCCUACUAAACUCUUCACAAGACUUUUGAUUAGUAGAACCAAAUAUUAUGUCAUCGACAUAUAUUUGGCACACAAACAAAUCACCAUUACAAGUCUUAGUAAGAAGUGUGGGAUCCACUUCCCGACCUUGAAAGCAUUAGAUAUGAGAAAAUCUCUAAGGCAUUCAUACCAUGCUCUUGGAGCUUGCUUAAGUCCAUAGAGCGCCUUAGAGAGCUUGUAAACAUGGUCGGGAUACCUGUCAUCCUCGAAGCUAGGGGUUGUUCCACGUACACCUCCUCCUUGAUUGGUCCAUUGAGGAAGAUGCUCUUUACAUCCAUUUGAAACAACUUCAAAGAGUGGUGAGCAGCAUAGGCCAAUAAUAUGCGAAUUGACUCGAGCCUAGCUAUAGGAGCAAAAGUCUCCUCAAAGUCCAAACUUGCGACUUGGGCAUAACCUUUUGCCACAAAUCGUGCCUUGUUUCUUGUCACCAGCCCGUGCUCAUAUUGCUUGUUGCGGAACACCCACUUGGUUCCCACAACAUUUUGCUUUGGACAUGGCACCAGGCUCCAUACUUCAUUUCUCUUGAAGUUGUUGAGCUCCUCGUGCAUGGCCAGUACCCGGUCCAGAUCCUGCAAGGCUUCUUCUACCCUUGUUGUUCACUUAUUCUCAAAUGCUAUAAAUAAGAACAAGGCAACACAAUUAUUAAUGGUUAAAUACCUUCGUCCUUCGAAGCAUCAUUUCCUCUCGGAUAUAAUGAUCUUUAGACGAAGGUCAUGAAGGACACACCUUCAUCAUUUUAUAAUAUGAACAUGGAUAUAAGUAAGGAAAUGAAGGAAUACAAAGAAAUGAAGAUAACAUUUGUUAUAUAUUCAUGAUUCAUUUAUCUUCAUUGUACAUGAAUAAGCAUUAACAAUAUUCAUAUUACAAUGGUAACUUCAGCUUGCUGGAAGGUGAGAGAGCGAAAAUGGCGCGAGCAAUUACAAUCCAGCGUGAACAACACGAGGGUACUGUUCAUCUAUUUAUAGGCACAGGACGCAGCCCAGGUAAAAUUACAUCCAUGCCCUUGAACAUUUGUUUACAAGCAACUAAAACUAAUAAGGUCCAGCUAGUCCUUUUUCCUUCUCUGCUUGGUCUGGGCCGAAGCUAUUGAGCUUCGGCAUUCCGCAUUAUCGCCUCUACGUAGAGUCUUCGUCUUGAGGGGCUAAACCGAGGCUGAAGGUAGCUUUGGUGAGCCUUUGUAUUAUUUUGCUGAAGGUGUUUUUCAUUGAGGACCUUCGACGGAGAAGAAGACCCCCAACAGUAGCCCCUUCGUGGUGCUAGAUCAUUUUUCCGUAACGAGCUCGAUCCGCGAAAAACACGAAGGCUUCAGAAUGCCGAAGGUCCGGAAAACACCUUCCCUAAGCUCGUUGCCGAGAAACGAUUAAAAUAUUCCGGACGUCGGACGGUCCACCGCUCAGCCAGUGUAGGCGGUAUGACGGUUCGCCUUCUCCCCCUGCAGUACUAUAUAAACAGACAGGUUGGUGAGGAGUUACCACAACAUUAAUUGCCAUUGCACUGUUGUGCUGUAAAAAAAUUUAACCAUAGCCGAAGCUUGUCCAGUUUGUUUGCUGCAGUCACACGCUUCAUCGUUCGAAAUCACCUUCGGCUUUAAGGAAUCAGAAUACUCAAAAUGGCUCGAGUAAGGUCCACCGCUAGGGUAUCAUGCGAGGGAGAUGAUGCUGAGACAACAGAGAUAGCGCCGAUAUCAGAAAUGAUGAGACGAUCAGGUCUAGUGACAUCGAAAAAAGCUAUUUCCGAAGGUGAAGCUGCCGAAGCUGAGCAGAUUGCAGCUAAGGACGGAAGUGAUGAAGAAGCUAAAAAAGAUUACAACAUUUUAAGCCCGUCGAAGCCAAGCCACAUUGAAUUUGGGAAAUCCACUGUAAUAGCAGACAACAUGGUUAUAAUGAAAAGCUGGGUUAUUUUGGGGAGGCCGAGAGUACGCUUGUCCGCUUUGCUGGGGAGGAGGUGAUUCCGGAGCCAAAAGAGGACGAAGUUGUUGUUUUCAAGAGCUUCUUCAGGGCAGGGCUUCGGUUCCCUUUACAUGAAAUGAUAGAAGAAGUUUUAAAGAAUUUUGAAAUAUAUCUUCAUCAGUUGACACCCAAUGCCAUCGUUAGACUCAGUGUUUACAUAUAGGCUCUCCGAAUCCAGGGUAUGAGUGCUAAUGCUGAAGCUUUCUACCGAGUGCAUGAGUUACAUUACCAGACGAAGGCCAGAGCGGAUGGCCUUCAUAAGAACUUUGGCUGCUAUAACUUUGUGUAUCGAAAGGAUACCAAGGCCUUGGUAAUCGGCUACCGCACCAAGUGGCCAACCGGGUGGACGAGUGAAUGGUUUUAUAUAAAAGCUGAUGAGAAGAAGAGAGAAAAAUUGAUGACUAUGGUCAUGAGUCUGAUGAAAUUAAGCUUCGGAAUGACAAGGCCCUUGUGCCACAUGCAACUUGGCUCCCCGUGCCAGCUGACCGAAGUUGAAUUUAGAGUGGUAGCUACCGAGAUUAGCACCAGGGACUUAGUGCAAGAAUAUUUAGCGAAUAGAACAUUUCCAACUUCUAGCAGCUGGGGGAUGCCGAAGAAAAAGGAAGGGGAAAAAGUAUGAGCUUGUUCGGCUCCGCUAUCGCUUCAAAUUUGAGAAACAAUUCAAGAAACCAUGCAAUGAAUGGCUAGAAAUGAUCGAAACCAUGUGCAAUGAGAUUCUUGGCAACUGUACGAAGAAGGAGGACCAGCUAAUGAUUGCUGCCUUCGGUACCUGGCCGAAAUGAAGGCUGAACCGGGUAAUGGAUGCAUUAAACUUCGAAUACCCCAAUUAUGAGAGGUUUGACGGAGGGGCUGGGGGUGUGAAAAGAAAAAGGGUUGUUAGCAUCCUAAGCAGGCAAGCUGCCCGCUCAGUAAAAGAAGAUGAGAAGGCCUUAAAGAAAACAAAAACAGCGCCAGAGCCGAAGGCAACAAUUAAGAAGCAGAAGCUUGACCAAACACCCUCUAUUGAAUCGAAGGUCGACGAGGCAGCAGAGAGAACCCCUCCGUCGCCAACUGCUGUUGAAGUGGUUGAAAUUUUGAAGGUAAUGACUGAUUCUCCGCCAUUCAAGCUGCUAAGUCCUCUGGGAUUGGAACUGACAAAACUUUUAUAGAGGAAGGAAACGCCCUCGGCUACAGAAGAGAAGGCCGAAGGACAAAAUAAACAAAGAACUAUGAAUAUAAUGCAAGCAAUUGAACAAACUCCGCCUUCAUCUUCGGCGACAAAAGCGACAAUUCCUUCAGAUGCCGAAGCUGCUGGCGAAGCCGAAGCUGAAGAACUAGCAGCCACAAUGUCAGAAGUUGACAGGCUUGUGUCAGAUAUAGUUGCACAUGUGUGCAGAGGAGACAAAUGUAGGUGCAGAAGAAAACAUGGCCGCAGUGCCAGAUGAAGGAGAGGAAAUUGAUAACACUCCUUUGGACAAGAGGGAUUUUGAUCUUCGGCACUUCAGCGUUCAGGAACUGUCUGAGGAAGACAAGUUGGAAUUGAAAUAAUUUGCUAUAUCUUGCGGUUACCAACCAGGGUCUUUGCUCUUCGGCGGGGUUGAUGAGGAAACUUUAGGAUGCAUUCGCGACCGCGCCGAGGUGAAGAUAAUAGACACUCUAUCCAAGAGUGUUGGAUUCCCGAAGCUAGAGACCGACAUUAGUUGUAACCAACGGCAACCCAUUGUCGGUAGCCUAUUUUAUUUCAACUUCAAGGUGAGACCUUCGUCUAGAUUUUUAUUACCUUCGUCUAAAUUUUUAUUACCUUAGUGGUGGAUUGAGUGUUCUAAUUUUACCUUUGUUUUGCAGAGCAUGUUGUUAAGUAAGGCAUUGAAAAUGCAGCAGGAUUCUGAAGAUAGAAAAAAUGAAGUCAUAAUUAAGGGCCUAGAGGAUAAAAUCAAGGAACUUGAAGGUUCUCUAAAAGAAAAAGACAUCCUGCUGCAAACAGACGAAGGUUCCCUCGCAGAAGCACGAUCUCAAAAUACUAAGUUGAGCGAGGAACUAGACGAAGCUCGAACAGUUUUGGACGAAAGUUCACGGCGCUUUGACCACAAAACAAAGGAGCUUGAAGCAAAGGUCACAACCGAAACUGAAAGGAAUACAAGGCUGCAUGAAGCUUUUGAGAACCUUCAAAACAAGUGUGCUGACUUUUCCACUCAGUGCGUUAACCAGUUGAAUGGGAUAUUCAACUCGGUUGGAGCUUGUCGGGAACCAUAAUUAGGGGUACCCUCAAGACUCCUAAUUCUCAGCUGGUAACCCCCAUCAGCAUAAAGCUGCAAAGGCCUGAUGGGUGCGACUAAGUCAGGGAUCAGUCCAUUCGAGCGACUCGAUCACGCCUCGCCCGAGCCUAGCCUCGGACAAGGGCAGCCGACCCCGGAGGAUUUCCGUCUCGCCCGAGGCCCCCCUCCAACGGCGAACAUAUUUCCGGCUCGCCCGAGGCCCUGCCUUCGCUAAGAAGCAACCCUGACUAAAUCGCCGCACCGACCGACCAAGUCGCAGGAGCAUUUAAUGCAAAGGUGGCCUGACACCUUUAUCCUGACGUGCGCCCCCCGGCAGAGCCGAAGUGACCGCCGUCACUUCGCCGCUCCACUGAUCGGCCUGACAGAAGGACAGCGCCGCCUGCGCCACUCCGACUGCGGUGCCAUUUGACAGAGUGAGGCUGACAGGCAGUCAGGCCCCGCCGGAGGCACCAUAGGAAACUCCGCUCUGCCCGACCCAGGGCUCGGACUCGGGCUAAGUCCCGGAAGACGGCGAACUCCGCUCCGCCCGACCCAGGGCUCGGACUCGGGCUAAGUCCCGGAAGACGACGAACUCCGCUCCGCCCGACCCAGGGCUCGGACUCGGGCUAAGUCCCGGAAGACGGCGAACUCCGCUCCGCCCGACCCAGGGCUCGGACUCGGGCUAAGUCCCGGAAGACGGCGAACUCCGCUCCGCCCGACCCAGGGCUCGGACUCGGGCUAAGUCCCGGAAGACGGCGAACUCCGCUCCACCCGACCCAGGGCUCGUGUGACACCCCAGUGUCACCUAGGGUUUCUCUCAAAUGCCAAACCAAGAAUCAUUAUUUUAUGGGAGCUUAAGUAAGCAUGAGCAUCAAAAUAACUCAAGUAAUAAAGAAUUCACCAAGUACGUGCUUAAAAAGUAUCAUGAUCAAACAAUGGAGACUUUUAAAAGAUAAAAAUGUGCAACCCUAAAUUAAAAACCCUAAGUGAGCCCUAUGAGCAAAAUUCAAGAAAAUAAGAACAAGGGUAUGAAAAGUUUAAAAUUAUGACUUGAGCCAAUUAUAAAAAUUGAAGUAUAUUUAAUGAGCAACAAGAACUGUUGAGAAAACUUAGCCAAAAUAACUCAAAUAAAACCCCAAAUCAAGCUUCUCAUGUGGGGACUUAAUGGGAUUUCUGAAUUUCAGAAUUCUGAAAUUCAGACCUUGAGCCAAAGAUCAGGGAUGUUCACCUUGAUCCCUAACUCGAAUCCUAAUGGCCCCAUUGACAAAAUUGUGUCUAACUAACCCCUCUGUCGUGUGCCAGAAGAUGGCAUUGGGACGCGAGCCCUAGACACAACAAAACCUUGGAUUUGCCUCGGGUUUGGGCAGGGAGACAGACCAGAUUUCCUGGCUCCAUAUCUCUGCAACCAGUAGGCAAAAUCCUAUGACCCCCACACAAGAAUGGUAGCUUGUAGGGAGGAGAAGAGGUUUUGUGCACUGACCAAGGCGAGAGCAGGCUCGGAUGAGCGACCACACGCGCCAGAACUUGGGCAGAACGCACGAGCACACGUGUUCGACCCUGGUCGGCACGCCAGAGCUCGCCCAACCCGCGCGCGCGCUUGCCCCGGCGUCCGGUCAAGUCCGCCGCGCGCCCACGCCCUCGGCCGUGCCCGCCCGCGCCUAUAAAGCCUCCCCGGGCGCACCUCUCUUCGCCCCGCACUCACCCUCGCCGGCCAGCCACCUUUCCUUAGCUCCGGCAAGCUCAAUUCCGCCCGCCAUUGCCGCAAGAGCUUCGGCCACCGUGGCCAGCCCACUCCAGCCACCCUCAAGUCGAGCUAGUGCUUCGGCUAGCUCCGCCAGUAGCCCGUGAAGCUUGCCAAGCCCUCGGACCCGGCCGAACUUCACCGGAGGCUCGAGAUCGACCUUACCGGACUUCGGUCUUCCGCCGCCGCGCGUGGACCGAGCUAUCCAGUGAGUCCCCGCCCAAUUCCUUGCGCUCAUGUCUUCUCUGGCAUCCCGUGGACCUCCCUGACCUAUUUGAUUGAACUAUCUCGCCGUGACCAGGCCGGUCUCCUCGCCGCCGACGAGCAUCCCCGCCUGCGCGCGUGGACCGACCGACUCCGGCCAUCUCCGGCGACGUUCCGCACACCGUUGUGAUCCCCGAGACUUCCCCUUCGUCCUCGACCACUUCACCGGAGCAAUCUCGCCGCCGGUAAGCCCCUCCGCCCUUUCUUCCGCCGCGGUUACUGUUUGAGGUAGAAGAAGGACCUCGGGUUAGGAUUUGUAGAACCCGAGGGGUUUUCUGUAACGUCAGUGACUCAUGUGAAUAGUAGCCUAAGGACUGAUUCGCGAAGAGAACUUAGAAAACCCGCCAGGGACCCCAGUGCAAAGUGGAUUUCCAAUUAAACCAAUUCUGUUAUUCUUUUAAAAUGACCAGAGAACUUAGAAAAUCCAUAACUUGAUGAAAUCUUAAUAAAAAGUUGUCAAACCAAUUUUGCUAGCUCCUGUAUAUUAUAAUCUAUCAUUUAAAAAUAAUAGACCCUAUACUUUCUGUUCAAGAUUUUAGAGUUUAAAAUUAAAAACAGAAACCCACUAAACCUUGUUUAAUUAAGGAAAAUUAGUUUUUCUUCUGUGCUGAACUUAAGAAAUUUUGUAGGUGUUUAAACCUCAUUUAGACACUGUUUAAAAAUAAAGGGAACCCUAGCAUUGAAAAAUAUGAUAUAGUUUCUCAUUUAAAGCUGUUUUGUCCAAAACUUAGAGAAAAUCAGAAAGACAUUAGAAAUUAAUGAACAGUGAUUAAGAUUAUUUUUCCUAAUUUACUUAUGUAACAGAGAACCUAGGAAAAAUACAGAGCCUAUUAAUUUGUACCAGUUUUGAAUUAAAAUGAUUUAUUUAGCCUUAUGUAGACUGAAAAUCAAUUAUUAGAGAGGCAAAACUAUAACCAAAAUGCUUAAUAAAAAUCCAGUGGACUUACAACCACCAGAACCCCACUACAAAAAUACAGAGCACCUCAGUCCAACUUUUUAAGUAAGGAGAAUAAAUACAAAAGGAUAAUGAGGCAUUUUGAAAAUAAAUCAUAAACAACCCCUAAUGAUGUAAUAAUGGGCAACCAAAAAUUAGCUAAGUCCAUUCUGAGAUGAACUACCAGAGAAAAAUGCAAACUCAUGAAAAAGAAGCAAACUCAUACCUAUUGCUAAAGAUUUAUGAGAAAGGCCACUUAAUUCAAAUAAUGCAUACCACCCCUUUCCUUAAGCAAAAAGAGGCCAAACUUCAGAAUGAUUGCUCUUGCACAAAAUAAUAACCAAGAAAAAUAAGAACUCUGUUGUUUGAUGUUUUUCAAAUAUAGUGGUAGUAGAAAGCACCCAUUUGGCUAGAAACUUGAGAAAACCAUAGGAAAAUAAUUAAAAAGUAUUAAUGACUAGAAGUUUGUAUCAAGUCAUGUUAUAACACAUAAAAGCCAGCAAAAAUGAGUUUUAGAGAAUUACCCACAGUUAAAUAAUAGUUGUAGUUCAAAGCACCCCUUCUGCCCUAAAAUUUAAUAAUUUUAUCUAGAGAGAACUAUUCACCUUCUGAUCCCCAAAUUUUGAGACAGAGAAACACACACCAUUAACCAGCCACUGUAAUUUUUGCAAAAUUUUUGGAAUUUUAAAAAGGCAACUUGUAGUUUAAACCUACUCCAAACCUUGAGAGAAUAAAAGAAAAGAGAAGAAGAAAUAAACCUCACCCCAAUAAGUCUAACUUGAGAACUUAAUCAACUCUCACCAAGACUUAAAAGAAUUCAGUGGAACCCCAAAAAUUUAAUCUACUUACCUUAGCUAAGUCUAACCCAAUUUACCAAGUAUACCACUAAGGGUCUUACAUAAGUAAAGUUAACUUGUUUAAACUCAAAAGAUCAUACACCUUUAAAGUUGUAAUUUCUAAAAGCACAUGUCAUAUCAUGCAUAUAUCUUACACAUUGCAUUCAUUAGAUUGUAAUCUUGCCGACGGAGAGUAUGUGCUCAUCCCCGAGCAAGGACCUGUCCAAGAGGAGGACCAGGAGCAGGCUUCAGAGGCUGCUAUUGAGGAUCUCCCCGCAGCCCCAGCAAUUGAAGGCAAGCCCCGGUUUUAUGCAUAACCUGUUAAUUAUGCUACUUUACUACACUUAAUGCUUGUAGGAUUGCAAUGUGCACUUAAGUGUAGGAGUUGCUUGAAACCUCUAGUUGCAUGAACUUAGGAUUCCUUUUUGAGGUGAAUACUAGUAUGCUAGGUCGAGUAGCUGCUUGCUAAUCAGGAUCUCGGUAGAAGUCGAGUGAUUUUUCUAGCACUCGCGCGAGGUCAGGAAUUGAUUGUAUUCAUCUUGAUAACGGGAUUUAUGUUGGUCUAUGGAUUUGGAUCCAGGGAGGAUGCCUUGUCCAUGAGACGGGAAAAAUGAAUUAAGGAUUAAUGUGUGGAUACCUGAGUCAAGCUUUUGAACGUACUAAGCACAUGCCGGGAAAAAUGGUAACCGGUAAACCUAGUACCUGAUUGAAGCCGGGCGUGGACUUUAUCCCUCAUGCGACCUGAGACUGGGUCUCCCAUGCUAGCUAUGGUGGGUACAAGUGCGGUCACUGCACGGCGGCAGCCGGGGUCAGUGGAGCAUUGUAUGCCAAGGCGGUGAGGCCUGGACGCGAAUGGGGAAUCGAUGGGGACGGCUGUCAUGUGUGGGGUCGGAGUACCCUGACAUGCCGUGUGUUUAGGUUUACCUUGCAAGGAUAAAACUCGAUUCGAAUCGUCUGCUUCUCGCAGCUAAUGAGACUGCUUGAUUCCUUGUACUGCAUCGAGUAAGAAGUGAAAGGUGGUGAUAUGAGAUAACUUGUUGAUUGAACUAAUUGAUUGUUACCAUGAAUGCUUAGAAGGAGCAAAUCUAGCUAAGUUAAUGAUGGUAGAAUUUGAAAAGCUAAAAAUUGAUUUUAGAAACAGCUAGUGCUUUUGGCAAACCAAACCCCUCAGCCAAACAGCUGCAUAGUCUAGAGGUAGAGGAGUAGACUCCUCACACCGGUUAAGUCUAGCUGAGUAUUAGUAUACUCAGCCUUGCUUGUGGCACCAUUUUUGCAGGUACCAUGCAGGAAAUGGUUGAUGGUGUGACUUGGCCUACCACCCUGCCACCGGGUUGGACGGUCGAGUGGGAUGUUGCUCCGGCAGGAGAGGAGCAUGAGGAGUAGUGGGCUAGGCCUUGCCCAUUUCCCCAUUACCGACGACAUCGAUUAUCCGCUACACUUUAUUCUGUGAACUUUAUUUGCUACUCAAAAACUCCGAUUUAUGUAAUAAUUCCGCACUUAAUUUGAGGUUUCCUGUUUUAUUGUAUUUCUUCUGUGACUCGCCUUCGAGUGAGAUUGUGGAAUUUGAUCCUGGUUAAGUGGCUCUAUCAAACUAGAUCUGAAGGACUGACGGGUUAUUUCGAUUUAAGUGUGUUACAGCCCCCUGAGGCGUGACUUAGGCACUUAAGCUGGAAUAAUUCGGGUGGUUCUGCCACAGCUGGUAUCGGAGCAAAUUCCACCACAGAGAAGGACAAUAAACCAUGAAUACCAAUUUUUAAAAUCUAAAACUUGCCUAGAAACUACUACAGAUCGUCAGGACUAGACCGCUAGACCUAGGACGAAAGGCCUUAGGCAUAGAGGGAGAAAUAGGUGGCUAAUUAAUUAGGCCCUGUGGGCCAAUACUUAUAUUUUAAGGAUGCCCUAAAAAGGCACCCUAUUUUCUUUUGAGAGGCAACGUUUCUUCCAGCAUGCAUGCAUUAUAAAACACCAAGAGAAAUUUAAAAUUGAGCUAACCCCCUUUCUUUAAAAUCAUCCGGGCUCUCUUUUUCUUUUUCCUUCCACCAUAAUCUUUACCUUUGAUUCCCUUCCGGAGAUGAAUUCACCCACCCCCGCCAGUGGAGGAGACUCUCGUUUCAGUUCUGACUUCCUUUCUCGCGAUGACUUUCCUUCCAUCUUGUGGGAAGUGCUUAACUCCGCCGGUUACCCUAUGCCCCCUUUGUACACGGUGCAGUUGUAUGAGGAGCAUCGGGUACCUCGUUGUCGGGUCUGGCUGGCUUUGGAGGCUCAUCCCCUUCAGCCGGGUUGGCGUUCUCUUGACUCUGAGACGAUUGGACUCAGGACGGACGACACCGUUGAGGCAGUAGCCAUGAAGACUCUAACGACUUUUUGUAUAUUGACCGGAUCGUGUGUUUGCACGGAUUACCUCGGACCAUUGUUUCUGACCGAGGAGCCCAAUUUGUUGCUAGAUUUUGGGAACAAUUGCAGGAGUCUUUGGGAACUAAGCUAAACCGGAGUUCAGCUUACCACCCAUAGACUGAUGGUCAGACGGAAAGGGUAAACCGAAUUCUGGAAGAUAUGCUGAGAGCUUGUGCGAUCGAUUGUGGCAAGAACUGGGAUAAGCACCUCUCCUUGGCAGAGUUUGCUUAUAACAAUAGUUAUCAAUCCAGCCUAAAGAUGGCACCUUUUGAAGCUCUCUAUGGAAGAAGGUGCAGGACACCACUCAAUUGGUAUCAACCUGGUGAAAGAGAAGUUUUUGGACCUGAUUUAGUGACGGAAGCCGAAAGGAAGGUCAAGCUAAUCAGGAAGAAUCUAGAAGCUGCUCAAGCCAGGCAGAAGAGCUAUCAUGAUAAAAGAAGGAAACCUCUCCAGUUCGAGGUGGGAAGUUUUGUAUACCUCAAGGUAUCCCCCACCAAGGGAGUGCCGAGGUUUGGGAUCAAAGGCAAGCUAGCCCCUCGUUACAUUGGACCUUAUGAGAUCAUAGAAGCAUGUGGACCCGUGGCAUACAAGCUGAAGUUACCUUCAAAGAUGUCUGCCAUUCACAGUGUUUUCCAUGUAUCUCAGCUGAAGAAGUGUGUUCGAUUGCCGACCGAGAUCAUAGCAGAGCCAGAAUUGGAGAUAGAGCCAGAUCUAUCGUACCAAGAGUACCCCUCCAAGAUUCUGGAUUUCAAAGAAAGAUCAACUCGGGCUAAAUCGAUCAAGAUGUUCAAGGUCCAGUGGAGUAAUCACUCAGAGGAGGAAGCUACUUGGGAAAACGAGGAAUUCUUGAGAUCCAACUUCCCCGAUUGCCUACCUAAGGAAGCUGGUACGUAAUCACACCCAACCCCUCCUCCUGCCCUUCGAAUCUAAUUUUCAAAAAUAUGAUCUUAAUUCAGAAUGAAGUAACUGUGAAGUAAAGCUUAAAAGGACUUCCUUCUGAAGUUGCAAAGAGAAUGACAUUCGAAGAGCAAUUUUGCCCUAAUAAUAAUAAUCACCCUUUUUCCUAUCAGUCUCACCCUUCGCUUCACCCUGGGAGGACUCUGGCCCGAAUCUCGGGACGAGAUUCCUUUAAGGGGGGAAGGCUGUGACACCCCAGUGUCACCUAGGGUUUCUCUCAAAUGCCAAACCAAGAAUCAUUAUUUUAUGGGAGCUUAAGUAAGCAUGAGCAUCAAAAUAACUCAAGUAAUAAAGAAUUCACCAAGUACGUGCUUAAAAAGUAUCAUGAUCAAACAAUGGAGACUUUUAAAAGAUAAAAAUGUGCAACCCUAAUUUAAAAACCCUAAGUGAGCCCUAUGAGCAAAAUUCAAGAAAAUAAGAACAAGGGUAUGAAAAGUUUAAAAUUAUGACUUGAGCCAAUUAUAAAAAUUGAAGUAUAUUUAAUGAGCAACAAGAAAUGUUGAGAAAACUUAGCCAAAAUAACUCAAAUAAAACCCCGAAUCAAGCUUCUCAUGUGGGGACUUAAUGGGAUUUCUGAAUUUUAGAAUUAUGAAAUUCAGACCUUGAGCCAAAGAUCAGGGAUGUUCACCUUGAUCCCUAACUCGAAUCCUAAUGGCCCCAUUGACAAAAUUGUGUCUAACUAACCCCUCUGUCGUGUGCCAGAAGAUGGCAUUGGGACGCGAGCCCUAGACACGACAAAACCUUGGAUUUGCCUCGGGUUUGGGUAGGGAGACAGACCAGAUUUCCUGGCUCCAUAUCUCUGCAACCAGUAGGCAAAAUCCUAUGACCCCCACACAAGAAUGGUAGCUUGUAGGGAGGAGAAGAGGUUUUGUGCAGUGACCAAGGCGAGAGCAGGCUCGGAUGAGCGACCACACGCGCCAGAACUUGGGUAGAACGCACGGGCACACGUGUUCGACCCUGGUCGGCACGCCAGAGCUCGCCCAACCCGCGCGCGCGCUCGCCCCGGCGUCCGGUCAAGUCCGCCGCGCGCCCACGCCCUCGGCCGUGCCCGCCCGCGCCUAUAAAGCCUCCCCGGGCGCACCUCUCUUCGCCCCGCACUCACCCUCGCCGGCCAGCCACCUUUCCUUAGCUCCGGCAAGCUCAAUUCCGCCCGCCAUUGCCGCCAGAGCUUAGGCCACCGUGGCCAGCCCACUCCAGCCACCCUCAAGUCGAGCCAGUGCUUCGGCUAGCUCCACCAGUAGCCCGUGAAGCUUGCCAAGCCCUCGGACCCGGCCGAACUUCACCGAAGGCCCGAGAUCGACCUCACCGGACUUCGGUCUUCCGCCGCCGCGCGUGGACCGAGCUAUCCAGUGAGUCCCCGCCCAAUUCCUUGCGCUCAUGUCUUCUCUGGCAUCCCGUGGACCUCCCUGACCUAUUUGAUUGAACUAUCUCGCCGUGACCAGGCCGGUCUCCUCGCCGCCGACGAGCAUCCCCGCCUGCGCGCGUGGACCGACCGACUCCGGCCAUCUCCGGCGACGUUCCGCACACCGUUGUGAUCCCCGAGACUUACCCUUCGUCCUCGACCACUUCACCGGAGCAAUCUCGCCGCCGGUAAGCCCCUCCGCCCUUUCUUCCGCUGCGGUUACUGUUUGAGGUAGAAGAAGGACCUCGGGUUAGGAUUUGUAGAACCCGAGGGGUUUUCUGUAACGUCAGUGACUCAUGUGAAUAGUAGCCUAAGGACUGAUUCGCGAAGAGAACUUAGAAAACCCGCCAGGGUCCCCAGUGCAAAGUGGAUUUCCAAUUAAACCAAUUCUGUUAUUCUUUUAAAAUGACCAGAGAACUUAGAAAAUCCAUAACUUGAUGAAAUCUUAAUAAAAAGUUGUCAAACCAAUUUUGCUAGCUCCUGUAUAUUAUAAUCUAUCAUUUAAAAAUAAUAGACCCUAUACUUUCUGUUCAAGAUUUUAGAGUUUAAAAUUAAAAACAGAAACCCACUAAACCUUGUUUAAUUAAGGAAAAUUAGUUUUUCUUCUGUGCUGAACUUAAGAAAUUUUGUAGGUGUUUAAACCUCAUUUAGACACUGUUUAAAAAUAAUGGGAACCCCAGCAUUGAAAAAUAUGAUAUAGUUUCUCAUUUAAAGCUGUUUUGUCCAAAACUUAGAGAAAAUCAGAAAGACAUUAGAAAUUAAUGAACAGUGAUUAAGAUUAUUUUUCCUAAUUUACUUAUGUAACAGAGAACCUAGGAAAACUACAGAGCCUAUUAAUUUGGACCAGUUUUGAAUUAAAAUGAUUUAUUUAGCCUUAUGUAGACUGAAAAUCAAUUAUUAGAGAGGCAAAACUAUAACCAAAAUGCUUAAUAAAAAUCCAGUGGACUUACAACCACCAGAACCCCACUACAAAAAUACAGAGCACCUCAGUCCAACUAUUUAAGUAAGGAGAAUAAAUAUAAAAGGAUAAUGAGGCAUUUUGAAAAUAAAUCAUAAACAAACCCUAAUGAUGUAAUAAUGGACAACCAAAAAUUAGCUAAGUCCAUUCUGAGAUGAACUACCAGAGAAAAAUGCAAACCCAUGAAAAAGAAGCAAACUCAUACCUAUUGCUAAAGAUUUAUGAGAAAGGCCACUUAAUUCAAAUAAUGCAUACCACCCCUUUCCUUAAGCAAAAAGAGGCCAAACUUCAAAAUGAUUGCUCUUGUACAAAAUAAUAACCAAGAAAAAUAAGAACUUUGUUGUUUGAUGUUUUUCAAAUAUAGUGGUAGUAGAAAGCACCCAUUUGGCUAGAAACUUGAGAAAACCAUAGGAAAAUAAUUAAAAGGUAUUAAUGACUAGAAGUUUGUAUCAAGUCAUGUUAUAACACAUAAAAGCCAGCAAAAAUGAGUUUUAGAGAAUUACCCACUGUUAAAUAAUAGUUGUAGUUCAAAGCACCCCUUCUGCCCUAAAAUUUAAUAAUUUUAUCCAGAGAAAACUAUUCACCUUCUGAUCCCCAAAUUUUGAGACAGAGAAACACACACCAGUAACCAGCCACUGUAAUUUUUGCAGAAUUUUUGGAAUUUUAUAAAGGCAACUUGUAGUUCAAACCUACUCCAAACCUUGAGAGUAAAAGAAAAGAGAAGAAGAAAUAAACCUCACCCCAAUAAGUCUAACUUGAGAACUUAAUCAACUCUCACCAAGACUUAAAAGAAUUCAGUGGAACCCCAAAAAUUUAAUCUACUUACCUUAGCUAAGUCUAACCCAAUUUACCAAGUAUACCACUAAGGGUCUUACAUAAGUAAAGUUAACUUGUUUAAACUCAAAAGAUCAUACACCUUUAAAGUUGUAAUUUCUAAAAGCACAUGUCAUAUCAUGCAUAUAUCUUACGCAUUGCAUUCAUUAGAUUGUAAUCUUGCCGACGGAGAGUACGUGCUCAUCCCCGAGCAAGGACCUGUCCAAGAGGAGGACCAGGAGCAGGCUUCAGAGGCUUCUAUUGAGGAUCUCCCCGCAGCCCCAGCAAUUGAAGGCAAGCCCCGGUUUUAUGCAUAACCUGUUAAUUAUGCUACUUUACUACACUUAAUGCUUGUAGGAUUGCAAUGUGCACUUAAGUGUAGGAGUUGCUUGAAACCUCUAGUUGCAUGAACUUAGGAUUCCUUUUUGAGGUGAAUACUAGUAUGCUAGGUCGAGUAGCUGCUUGCUAAUCAGGAUCUCGGUAGAAGUCGAGUGAUUUUUCUAGCACUCGCGCGAGGUCAGGAAUUGAUUGUAUUCAUCUUGAUAACGGGAUUUAUGUUGGUCUAUGGAUUUGGAUCCAGGGAGGAUGCCUUGUCCAUGAGACGGGAAAAAUGAAUUAAGGAUUAAUGUGUGGAUACCUGAGUCAAGCUUUUGAACGUACUAAGCACAUGCUGGGAAAAAUGGUAACCGGUAAACCUAGUACCUGAUUCAAGCCGGGCGCGGACUUUAUCCCUCAUGCGACCUGAGACUGGGUCUCCCAUGCUAGCUAUGGUGGGUACAAGUGCGGUCACUGCACGGCGGCAGCCGGGGUCAGUGGAGCAUUGUAUGCCAAGGCGGUGAGGCCUGGACGCGAACGGGGAAUCGAUGGGGACGGUUGUCAUGUGUGGGGUCGGAGUACCCUGACAUGCUGUGUGUUUAGGUUUACCUUGCAAGGAUAAAACUCGAUUCGAAUCGUCUGCUUCUCGCAGCUAAUGAGACUGCUUGAUUCCUUGUACUGCAUCGAGUAAGAAGUGAAAGGUGGUGAUAUGAGAUAACUUGUUGAUUGAACUAAUUGAUUGUUACCAUGAAUGCUUAGAAGGAGCAAAUCUAGCUAAGUUAAUGAUGGUAGAAUUUGAAAAGCUAAAAAUUGAUUUUAGAAACAGCUAGUGCUUUUGGCAAACCAAACCCCUCAGCCAAACAGCUGCAUAGUCUAGAGGUAGAGGAGUAGACUCCUCACACCGGUUAAGUCUAGCUGAGUAUUAGUAUACUCAGCCUUGCUUGUGGCACCAUUUUUGCAGGUACCAUGCAGGAAAUGGUUGAUGGUGUGACUUGGCCUACCACCCUGCCACCGGGUUGGACGGUCGAGUGGGAUGUUGCUCCGGCAGGAGAGGAGCAUGAGGAGUAGUGGGCUAGGCCUUGCCCAUUUCCCCAUUACCGACGACAUCGAUUAUCCGCUGCACUUUAUUCUGUGAACUUUAUUUGCUACUCAAAAACUCCGAUUUAUGUAAUAAUUCCGCACUUAAUUUGAGGUUUCCUGUUUUAUUGUAUUUCUUCUGUGACUCGCCUUCGAGUGAGAUUGUGGAAUUUGAUCCUGGUUAAGUGGCUCUAUCAGACUAGAUCUGAAGGACUGACGGAUUAUUCCGAUUUAAGUGUGUUACAGCCCCCUGAGGCGUGACUUAGGCACUUAAGCUGGAAUAAUUCGGGUGGUUCUGCCACAGCUCGGACUCGGGCUAAGUCCCGGAAGACGGCGAACUCCGCUCCGCCCGACCCAGGGCUCGGACUCGGGCUAAGUCCUAGAAGACGACGAACUCCGCUUCGCCCGACCCCAGGGCUCGGACUCCGCCCUGGCCUCAGCCGACGACCUCUGCCUCGCCCGACCCAGGGGCUCGGACUCGGCCUCGGCCACGGAAGACAGACUCGACCUCGGCUUCGGAGGAGCCUCCGCAUCGCCCAACCUAGGGCGCAGGCCAGCCACGUCAACAGGAGGCGCCAUCAUCACCCUACCCCGAGCUGACUUGGGCCACAGGGAACCAGACCGGCAUCCCAUCUGGCUAGCUCCGCCAGAUAGGCAAUGAUGGCGCCCCGCAUGCUCUGUGACGACGGCGGCUCUCAGCCCCCUUACGGAAGCAAGAGGACGUCAGCAAGGACCCAACCGCUCCGACAGCUGUCCCUCCGCCAGGCUCCAUCGCUCCUCCGACGGCCACGACAUCACACCAGCUGGGUGCCAAAAUCUCUCCGGCUGCCACGACGGCAUGUACUUAGGGCGCUAGCUCUCCCCCGCUAGACACGUAGCACUCUACUACACCCCCCAUUGUACACCUGGAUCCGCUCCUUACGCCUAUAAAAGGAAGGACCAGGGCCCUCUUAGAGAGGGUUGGCCGCGCGGGGACGAGGAUGAGACAGGCGCUCGCUUGGGGCCGCUCGCUCCCUCUCCCGCGUGGACGCUUGUAACCCCCUACUGCAAGCGCACCCGACCUGGGCGCGGGACGAACAAGAAGGCCACAGGAUUCCCACCUCUCUCACGCCGGUCUCCGGCCGCCUCGCUCUCCCCCCUUCGCGCUCGCCCUCGCGCUCGACCCAUCUGGGCUGGGGCACGCGUCGACACUCACUCGUCGGCCCAGGGACCCCCCGGUCUCGAAACGCCGACAGUUGGCGCGCCAGGUAGGGGCCUGCUGCGUGUUGACGAACAGCUUCCCGUCAAGCUCCAGAUGGGUAGUCUCCAACAACCUCUCCAACCCGGGACGGUGUUCCGUUUCGGGAGUCUUGAGUUCAUGUCCCUCGACGGCGGCUACGACAUGAUACUGCUUCCACCGCCGCGCGACGACGACAAUGGCGACCGACAACCCGCCCGCCGGCGGCGGAAUCGACGACGUCUUCCCCGCGUGGUGGAGGAACGACCUUCGAGCUCAUCCUGCCCUUUCCCCCGCCGACGGAGGGGAAGGCAGGGCGACCAAGGACAAGCAGGAGGCAGCGCCUCGUUGGCUGUUGAGCGAGCCGACAGCACCGGCACCCCAACGAGGGGCGCACCGGGUAUCGACUUCGCGCCUGAGUCGAAGACGAGCGUCGUCUCCCCGCGACACGCCCAUCCCGAGCAAGCGGACGACGCCAGCGCGCUCGCGGAGAGCUUGCUGGACGUCACCCUCGCACCUGAGACGACGGUGCAGUUAGUCCCCGACGUGACUUCAUCGCCGCUCGUCGACCAAAAGAGGCGAGUCCAAACCCUCUGGGGUUUCGCAUGCGGUCGCCUUGGGACCGGCUGACAGACAUCUCGACUUACGGGCUCUCUGGGUCCGAGGAAGACGACGGGCCCAGCAUCUGUUGGGAUUUCUCUGGACUUGGCAACCCCAGUGCCAUGCGGGACUUCAUGACCGCAUGUGACUACUGCCUUUCCGACUGUUCCGACGGUAGCCGCAGCCUCGGCGACGAGGACUGCGACCCAAGCCGCGAAUGUUUCCACGUCGAUCUAGGGGGUCCCUCCGAAGGCAAUCAUCUCGGCAUGCCGGAGGACGGUGAUCUCCCUAGGCCAGUGCCCCGCGUCGACAUCCCAUGGGAGCUAGCUGUGGUCCCCAUUCAGGCGGGGGGCCAUGACCCACAGCUCGAGCAAAUCCGCGGGGCGCAGGCCAGGUUCGACGAGGGAGCAGGGGCGCUUGAGCUGAUCCGCCGGGACAUCGGGCAGGCAUGGGUGGUCCAACCCCCGGCCGGAGAAAUAUGUCAUCUGCCCCAGGGUUUCCAGCACCGCAUCGCCGACGACGCCAGGGUCAGGCCGCCACCCGCAUCUAGUGGCGUCGGCCAGGACCUGGCUGCCGCAGCGAUACUUCUCCGCGUGAUGCCGGAGCCAUCAACCACCGAGGGCCGGUGAAUCCAGGGGGAGCUCAAGAAUCUCCUGGAAGGCGCCGCGGUCCGACGGGCCGAGAGCUCUGCCUCCCGAAGGCAGGGAUACCCCUCGGAACCUCAUGCCGCGACUUCCCGAUUCAUGCGGGAAGCCUCGGUCUACACCGGGCGCACGCGCAACACCGCGCCUGCGGCCCCGGGUCGCCUCGGCAACGAGCACCAUCACCGCGACCGUCGGGCCCGCCUCGACGAGAGGGUGCGCCGAGGCUACCACCCCAGGCAUGGGGGACGCUACGACAGCGGGGAGGAUCGGAGUCCCUCGCCCGAACCGCCCGGUCCGCAGGCCUUCACCCGGGCCAUCCGACGGGCACCGUUCCCGACCCAGUUCCGACCCCCGACUACUAUCACAAAGUACUCGGGGGAGACGAGACCGGAACUGUGGCUCGCGGACUACCGCCUGGCCUGCCAACUGGGUGGAACGGACGACGACAACCUCAUCAUCCGCAACCUCCCCCUGUUCCUCUCCGACACCGCUCGCGCCUGGCUGGAGCACCUACCUCCGGGGCAGAUCUCCAACUGGGACGACCUAGUCCAAGCCUUCGCCGGCAAUUUCCAGGGCACAUAUGUGCGCCCCAGGAAUUCCUGGGACCUCCGAAGCUGCCGGCAGCAGCCGGGAGAGUCUCUCCGGGACUACAUCCGGCGAUUCUCGAAGCAGCGCACCGAGCUGCCCAACAUCACCGACUCGGAUGUCAUUGGCGCGUUCCUCGCCGGCACCACCUGCCGCGACCUGGUGAGCAAGUUGGGUCGCAAGACCCCCACUAGGGCGAGCGAGCUGAUGGACAUCGCCACCAAGUUCACCUCCGGCCAGGAGGCAGUCGAGGCUAUCUUCCGAAAGGACAAGCAGCCCCAGGGCCGCCCACCGGAAGAUGCUCCCGAGGCGUCGACUCAGCGCGGCGCCAAGAAGAAAGGCAAGAAGAAGUCGCAAGCGAAACGCGACGCCGCCGACGCGGACCUUGUCGCCGCCGCCGAGUACAAGAACCCUCGGAAACCCCCCGGAGGUGCCAACCUCUUCGACAAGAUGCUCAAGGAGCCGUGCCCCUAUCAUCAGGGGCCCGUCAAGCACACCCUUGAGGAGUGCGUCAUGCUUCGGCGCCACUUCCACAGGGUCGGGCCACCCAUGGAGGGUGGCAGGGCCCGCGACGAUGACAAGAAGGAAGAUCACCAAGCAGGAGAGUUCCCCGAGGUCCGCGACUGCUUUAUGAUCUACGGUGGACAAGCGGCGAAUGCCUCGGCUCGGCACCGCAAGCAAGAGCGCCGGGAGGUCUGCUCGGUGAAGGUGGCGGCGCCAGUCUACCUAGACUGGUCCGACAAGCCCAUCACCUUCGACCAAUCUGACCACCCCGACCACGUGCCGAGCCCGGGGAAAUACCCGCUCGUCGUCGACCCCGUCAUCGGCGACGUCAGGCUCACCAAGGUCCUCAUGGACGGAGGCAGCAGCCUCAACAUCAUCUACGCCGAGACCCUCGGGCUCCUGCGCGUCGAUCUGUCCUCCGUCCGAGCAGGCGCUGCGCCCUUCCACGGGAAGCGCGUCUAGCCCCUCGGACGACUCGACCUUCCCGUCUGCUUCGGAACGCCCUCCAACUUCCGAAGGGAGACUCUGACGUUCGAGGUGGUCGGGUUCCGAGGAACCUACCACGCGGUACUGGGAAGGCCAUGCUACGCGAAGUUCAUGGCCGUCCCCAACUACACCUACCUGAAGCUCAAGAUGCCGGGCCCCAACGGGGUCAUCACCGUCGGCCCCACGUACAAGCACGCGUUCGAAUGCGACGUGGAGUGCGUGGAGUAUGCCGAGGCCCUCGCCGAGUCCGAGGCCCUCAUCUCCGACUUGGAAAGCCUCUCUAAGGAGGCGCCAGACGUGAAACGUCAUGCCGGCAACUUCGAGCCAGUGGAGACGGUUAGGGCCGUCCCCCUCGACCCCAGCAGCGACGCCUCCAAGCAGAUCCGGAUCGGCUCCGGGCUCGAUCCCAAAUAGGAAGCAGUGCUCGUCGACUUCCUCUGCGCGAACACCGACGUCUUCGCGUGGAGUCCCUCGGACAUGCCCGGCAUACCGAGGGAUGUCGCCAAGCACUCGCUGAAUAUUCGGGUCGGAGCCCGACCCGUCAGGCAGCCUCUGCGCCGAUUCGACGAGGAGAAGCGCAGAGCCAUAGGCGGGGAGAUCCACAAGCUAAUGGCGGUGGAGUUCAUCAAAGAGGCGAAAAGCGCCAAGCUCAAUCAUGGUCUUGGGGUUUAUCAUCUCCAGGCAGGGCAUCGAAGCCCACCCAGAGAGGAUUGCGACCAUCGCACAGCACCCCGAGCCCUUGUUGGGGGCACCCGGGGGCUACACGCACCCCCGGGAAGGACCGCUUGUCACCACCAAAGUUCUGAAGCUCGGAACGUACAAGCUGGCCAACAGUCAGGGCGAGGUCUACGGCAACGCUUGGAACAUCCAACGGUUACGUCGCUUCUACCCUUAAGAUGUUUUCAAGUUGUUCAUAUACCUCGCUCCCACGCAAGUCUUAGUCGUCAAGGAAGGGUCAGCCUCGCCUCGGCAGAGCCUGACCCUCCCUCGGGGGCUAAAAAGGGGGGAACCCCCCUUUAUCGCUCUGCAUCAAGAUUGGGGAACCCCUCUGCGUCCAAAAUUUUCAAUCAAAAAGGCUUUUACGUUCCCCCGGCUAUGUCAGAAGCAGGACCCCAAGGAGCGAACGUGGGUGCAUGUAAGUGGCAAGGCCGACCGAGCCGAGGUACUCCCAUGCCUCCGGGUUAGGGACAUCUCACUCGUCACCCGCCACGAAAAGUGACCCCUACUUGGGGAAGCCACCCUGCUACUGACAGGCGAAGCCGGACACGCAAAAUAAAAGGAAAAGGAGUACGACUUCAUGCAACGGUAACAAAGUGUUCAGGCCUCAGCGGCCACAGAAAGACACACGCGCAUCCAACAGAAACUGUUCCAACAAGUUAGGCGUCGCCUUGGGAAGGAGCCGCGCCUUCAGCUCCGUCCCCACCUUCAACGAGGUCCAUCUCGGCUUCCGGCGACGGCGCAGGUGGGAGGAUCUCCGCCUCAAAGGUGGUCGCCAGCACUGCGCUCGGACCCGUGGCGGCCGCAUCGAGCCUCUGGACUUCUGCCAGGGCGGCUUCAUCUUCGUCGGGAAGGCAAUACCCCUCGCUAACCCGCUCCAGGUCCACAACAUAGUGGGAAGCGAGCACGGCGAAGGCCUGCCUGACGCCGUGGUGUAGCGCCUCGCGGAGUCUGCCGCGCACAUGAUCGCCCAAGACUUGGAGGCGACUUUGAGGGGAGCUUCCUGAGGGAACGUCGCCGAAGCCAAGGAUCCGGUACACGUCCGAGACGGCUUCGGACAUGGCCGCGUGGUCAGCCUCCCUCUGCUCGGCCGCCCCGGCAAGCGCCUCGGCAAGUGCCUUGGCGGACUCAUCAAGGGCGGACUCGAGCUCUGCGAACAGCCAGAAGAAAGAUCUCAAACACAAGCAGAGGAAACAAACAGGAACGAAAACCAAGGAUGGCCAAGGCGUACCUCCGGCUCGGGCACGCUGCUCCGAGGCUGCGACCUGGGCUACGGCUAAGUCAGCUGCAAGGGUUUCGGCCCGGCUUUCGGCCUCGGCAGCCCGGCCCCGAGAUUGGUCCCGCUCCUCGACGACCCGGUCGAGUUCCGACCGCUGCAAUUGCGCUUCUGCGCGCGCCGCGGCCGCCUCCGCGCGCGCCGCUGCCGCCUCGGCUCUCAGGUCGGUGCAGAGCAACUGGAGGUCCGCUACCUCGGCACCCAGCUGAGAAAGGCGCGCAGUAGCCCCGGCGAGCGAGGUCCUCAGGGAUCGCAGCGAGCCCCAGACGUCGACCUCGCGGCGGAUGAACGAUGACUUGGCGGCGCUCCGAUCCGUCAGAUCCUGAGGGAAGGAAGCGGGGCGUCACGAAGAACGCCUCGGUCACAGAAGAGAAAAGGUAUGCCUGAAACCGUUACCUGGAGGAUUUUGGGGAUGUCCCUGUAGAAAACCUCCAGCGACGACCGGAGCGACCCCACCGUUGCUUCAGCACACUCGCGGAGCUCAUCCUAGGACUGGUCCUCCCGUUCAUCAUCGAGAACGAAGACGGGGUCCGAGGCCUCACGGGUCCGGAACCGGAGCAACUGGCGCCGGCCCUCGGAGCUCUGCCGCACAGCGACGAGGCUGCCGCCCGGCGGGACGGAUUGCGUCUCCACGCCCCCCUCUUCUGAGGCACCAAGCGCCGACGCAUCAGCCGUCUCAACAUCGGCAGCAACCGAUCGCUCUCCGACGGGGGCGGCAGCGACUUCAGUAGCGGCAGGCGCCGGCAUGGCCGGCAUGUUCGGUGGGCUCGGGACCACGUCAGCGUCAGCCGCCUCCCCUAUCACAAUGGCCGCCUCGGUAGAAGAGCCAGCCUCAGGAACCUGCUCCACGGCGACCGGUGCCGCCUGAGCCCCCUACGGUGGAACGCCUUGCGAGAAGGUCGGCUGGAAGGCAAGGCCUAGAGCGGCGCUGGCCACGCAAGCCAGCGCCGUCUUAAGGGCCUUCCGGGGUGCCAGGUCGGUCAGGCCAUGGCUCCGCUUGCUGAGGGAAAAAGGAAAAUCACGGCCGGGACAUAUGAAUGAAAAGCCAGGACGAAGACAUUCCGAGAUACUUACCCGCUCCGGGCCAUGAUCAACCGUGCCUGGGGGAAGUCUCUUGGACCUCGACCCCCGGAACCACCGCCGAGGUCCGCUUCGCCGGCAGCUUCGGCACCACCCUUGCUUUGAGCGCCCUGGACGCCCGGGGGGCGGACUGCCCAGGCACUGUCACGGCGACCUGAGGGUCGCUCCCCUGCGCUACCGGCGCGGGCGGUGGCUCUCGGGGAGCAGACGCUCCGGCCUGGCCCCCCGGGGUCGCCUCAGCUCUUCCAGCCGAGGGGUCCGGUACCCUCUCGGAUUGCCCCCGCCCCUCGGGCUGGGACCUCGGCGUCCCGACCCUAGGGACUGACGGCAUCAGCCUGCUCGGGGGCUGGUUUAACGGCUCCUGGCCAAACCCCAAGCCGGGGCUGAGGCCGAGGCGUGCAGCCAUGUCGUCCUCCUCGUCAUCAUCUUCAUCAUCGUCGUCGUCGUCGGGCGUUUCCGGCGACGGCUCCCUCGGGAGCCCCUCCCUCUCCUGCCGGCGACGAAGCUUCUCCAAGGCGUCUCGAGCCCGCCUCCGCUCACGGGCCCGGGCCUUCUCCGCGUCCUUCUUCUUCUUCUUCUCCACCACGGCGACCCGCCGCGCUGCUCGGUCCACCGCAUCCUGCGGGACCCGUGGCAGGGAAGGCUUGUGCCACCCCACCUCCUGAAGAAGGGGGAAAAACCCAACCGUAAGAACCAGGAGCAACCCGAUGCAAGAGGAAGGAAGAAGCGGACACUCACCAGAGUCACGCACCCUUGGUCUGGGCGCAUCAAAAGCUGGGAGUAGGCGGUGGGGUCCGGCUUCCCCAACGCGACGGACACCCGCCCGUGGAGGGCGUCGAAGGGAAGAGGAUCAGAGGACAUCCGCGAGCCCUCCAAGUUAGCCUCCGGUGUCAUCUCCCAAAGCGACAGUCGUCGCUCCGCCAAGGGAAGCACCCUCCGACGGUGGAUGGCGGCAAUCCCUCCCGCAGCGGUGAGUCCCCCCUUCCGCAACGCCUCCAAGGCCUGGAGAAGGGGUUCGAGGUUCUUCUGUCUUUUGUGUGGGGUCCCGUGGCGCCAAGCGUCAGCGGCAGUGGUGACUACUCGCUGGGAGAACGGCGGGAGCAACUCACCGUCAUUCCGGAGGUAGAACCACCGGCGCUGCCACCCCUUGUUCGAGGACGCGAGGAUGGCAGGAAUAUACAGCGACGCCCGCGACUGUCUCAGCAGAAGGGUGCAGCCGCCGGCCCGCACCGCUGCGUGGACUUUCCUCUCCCCCGUCGGCGAGGCAAAAAGCACCGCGAAAAAGAGAUGGGUCCACAAAUCCCAAUGGGGGGCGAUCCCCAAGUACCCCUCGCACACCGCUACGAAGAUGGCAGCCUGCGAGAUGGAGUUGGGGGUGAGGUUGUGCAACUCCACCCUGUAGUGGUGCAGGAUCGCCCGCAUAAAGCGGCCCGCCGGCACACCGAAUCCCCGCUCGUGGAAGGAGACGAAGCUCACGAUGUACCCCGGCGGUGGGGAUGGAGCGGCUCCACCCACGGGAGGAAUCCAUUCCGGUCGCUGCUCAUCGGUGAGAGGGCGAAGUAAACCCUCGCCAACCAGAUCCUCCAGAUCACUCGCCGUCACCAUGGAAAAAGGCCAUGGAUCGCGCGGCGAGAUGAUGGUCACCCGGUCAGCCAUCACCAAGCGGAAGGGAUGGCGGCGCAAGGGGCAGGAAGGGCGGUUUCCUCUUCUCUGGCUAAGUCUCUCGGGUUACAAAAACCUAAGAAGAAGGCAGGAAGCGGAGCAAAGAACCGUCACCAGACCCUCUCCCGGGUAUAUAAAGACCUAGGCGAGACCGGUUCAAACGUUCCGCCCGGACCAGACGCGGGAUUCGAAAACGCAAAGCGAACAGCCGUUCCCCGGACGACUCGUGCACGCGCAACGGUCGCCCCGCCGACCACUCGCCCCGUCACAUUAACUCCGCGGCGGGACAGGCGGCGCCUCUGGCAGGAGAAGCGGGCGACGCUUCGCCUUCGCCAUAAUGACCGCGCCAGUAAAGGUACGCCGCGUCGUUCGAUUUCGUAUCCUUUUCCUUUUUUCCUCUUUCUCUCUCUCUUGCAACAGGGACCGGGAAAGGGGGAUACCCCGAAAAGGGUCCUUCCUCGUGAAGGAACCAGGCUCCGAGCCUCCCUACUGAUCAGAGGUUCGAAGGCUGGCCCCCCGAAGGGUUCGACAGCCGCCUCAGAUCGCGUGGGCCCUACACCCACUACUAGUCAGAGGUUCGAAGGCCGGCCCCCCGAAGGGUUCCACGACCGCCUCAGGCUACUCGGGCUCCGUGCCCAUUACUGAUCAGGGGUUCGAAGGCUGGCCCCCGAAGGGUUCACAGCCGCCUCAGACACCGAGCGAGGGAUGACCAUGGGUACGUUCGAUACAUAACCAAGGCUCGGGCUGCGCUCCCGAGGUACCCUAGGACAUUUCCGAGACCAGCGGGAGCGAUCUUGUAACGGAAUCCCAUAAGAGGGAGGCAUCGAGCCCUCGGACCCCGUUGCCAGGGGACCGGGUCCGGCAAAUCACCCGCAGGUACUUUUGGGCGUGCCUCUGGGCCCCUAGCCGACCCCUAACGAACGGGGCACGGACGUCCACUCGGAUUACCCGCUUGCAGCUCACCGGAGACACCAUGUUCGGCGCCCAUCGAGGGCUACAUGGCGCUUUCCCCCCUCCUCCUUGCGGAAAGGCAACACAGGGGCGUAUGUAAAAAAGCCGAGUCUGUCCCUGAUCGCCCUCUCGCCCUGUGCAGAGGCUCGGGGGCUGCUCUCGCAAACCCGGCUCCGGCCGAACCGUUGACAGCGUCAACAUACCAGCCCGAGAACUUGGGACCCGACCGUACACCCGGGCUACGGCCAGCUCGCAUGAGGGAACAACCAGACCAGCCGAAGCGUUACGCGAGGCAUUAAGACCUCGGAGGAGUGAAACCACUCCUCCGAGGCCUCGGGGGCUACACCCGGCGGGUGCGCUCGCGCGCACCCAUCGGAACAAAACGCAACCGAGAAAGGCUGGUCCCCUUGCAAAAAAGUGCGACGAAAGCCUCCAAGCGAGUGCUAACACUCCCUUCGAGGCUCGGGGGCUACUGUCGGGGACCAUAAUUAGGGGUACCCUCAAGACUCCUAAUUCUCAGCUGGUAACCCCCAUCAGCAUAAAGCUGCAAAGGCCUGAUGGGUGCGACUAAGUCAGGGAUCAGUCCAUUCGAGCGACUCGAUCACGCCUCGCCCGAGCCUAGCCUCGGACAAGGGCAGCCGACCCCGGAGGAUUUCCGUCUCGCCCGAGGCCCCCCUCCAACGGCAAACAUAUUUCCGGCUCGCCCGAGGCCCUGCCUUCGCUAAGAAGCAACCCUGACUAAAUCGCCGCACCGACCGACCAAGUCGCAGGAGCAUUUAAUGCAAAGGUGGCCUGACACCUUUAUCCUGACGCGCGCCCCCCGGCAGAGCCGAAGUGACCGCCGUCACUUCGCCGCUCCACUGACCGGCCUGACAGAAGGACAGCGCCGCCUGCGCUACUCCGACUGCGGUGCCAUUUGACAGAGUGAGGCUGACAGGCAGUCAGGCCCCACCGGAGGCACCAUAGGAAACUCCGCUCCGCCCGACCAAGGGCUCGGACUCGGGCUAAGUCCCGGAAGAUGGCGAACUCCGCUCCGCCCGACCCAGGGCUCAGACUCGGGCUAAGUCCCGGAAGACGGCGAACUCCGCUCCGCCCGACCUAGGGCUCGGACUCGGGCUAAGUCCCAGAAGACGGCGAACUCCGCUCCGCCCGACCCAGGGCUCGUACUCGGGCUAAGUCCCGGAAGACGGCGAACUCCGCUCCGCCCGACCCAGGGCUCGGACUCGGGCUAAGUCCCGGAAGACGGCGAACUCCGCUCCGCCCGACCCAGGGCUCGGACUCGGGCUAAGUCCCAGAAAACGACGAACUCUGCUUCGCCCGGCCCCAGGGCUCGGACUCCGCCCUGGCCUCAGCCGACGACCUCUGCCUCGCCCGACCCAGGGGCUCGGACUCGGCCUCGGCCACAGAAGACAGACUCGACCUCAGCUUCGGAGGAGCCUCCGCAUCGCCCAACCUAGGGUGCAGGCCAGCCACGUCAACAGGAGGCGCCAUCAUCACCCUACCCCGAGCUGACUCGGGCCACAGGGAACCAGACCAGCGUCCCAUCUGGCUAGCUCCGCCAGAUAGGCAAUGAUGGCGCCCCGCAUGCUCUGUGACGAUGGCGGCUCUCAGCCCCCUUACGGAAGCAAGAGGACGUCAGCAAGGACCCAACCGCUCCGACAGCUGUCCCUCCGCCAUGCUCCAUCGCUCCUCCGACAGCCACGACAUCACACCAGCUGGGUGCCAAAAUCUCUCCGGCUGCCACGACGGCAUGUACUUAGGGCGCUAGCUCUCCCCCGCUAGACACGUAGCACUCUGCUACACCCCCCAUUGUACACCUGGAUCCGCUCCUUACGCCUAUAAAAGGAAGGACCAGGGCCCUCUUAGAGAGGGUUGGCCGCGCGGGGACGAGGACGAGACAGGCGCUCGCUUGGGGCCGCUCGCUCCCUCUCCCGCGUGGACGCUUGUAACCCCCUACUGCAAGCGCACCCGACCUGGGCGCGGGACGAACACGAAGGCCGCGGGAUUCCCACCUCUCUCACGCCGGUCUCCGGCCGCCUCGCUCUCCCCCCUUCGCGCUCGCCCUCGCGCUCGACCCAUCUGGGCUGGGGCACGCGACGACACUCACUCGUCGGCCCAGGGACCCCCCGGUCUCGAAACGCCGACAGAGCUGCUUCUGAAGAAUUUAACCCUUCGACCGAAGACAUCCCCGGGACCUUUGAUCACAUUGAAAAUGAAGUUGAAGCCCUUGACGAAGUUAUCACCGGGCACGGGGAUUUCUGUGCCCUGGUGGCUUCGCGCGGUACAACCACAACUUUUAUGAAGGCUGGAUGCACUCACGUAAAAACUGUUAAUAAGCCAAAUUUCAAUAUUUCGACAUCAGAUCUAGUUGACAUUCCAGUCGAAGCCCGAAGCAUAGGGAACAUAUUUAUCACUCAAAUCUGGGCAAAAGGCGGGCGCGAACUGGCUGGGUAUGAAGCGCGAAAACUACUUAACUCGGUAUGAAAAUUUUACCUGUCUUCUUUACCUUGGUUUUCCUUUACCAUAUUUCCUGAUUUCUUCAUACCUUCUUCUCUCUGUAGAAUGGUGGCGCCGAAGGCCGUUAAGCCGAAGUUUGUUCCGAAGGGCUGAAGAUUCUUAGAACUUUUGUAACUAUCUAUAGAAAGCUUAGGAUAUCUUUGCAUCAUUUGGCAAAAGAUUGUAACUGAUAGUUUGAACAAAAUAUUGUACUUAUUUGUGAAUACCUUGUAAUAUAAUUUCACCUUUUCGCUCCUGUAUGAACUGCUUUGUUGUGGAAGAAACCAUCGCUUGCAAUCUUUUGAGCCGAAGGCGAAAAACACCUUCCCUUAUUUUCGUUCACAUCAAAGCAUUUUUUCAUUAGAGACGAAGUACCUUCCCUUCUUUUAUCUGAGACGAAGCAUAUUCGUAUUCAAAGAAGCAUUUUGUCACUGAAGACAGACAUCUUCUGUCUUUCUUGUUAAUGUUUGUGCUUUAUGUCAUGAUGAUGAUCCUACAAAUGUCUAAUGAAUGUUUGUAUGAAUGCAAGAAAUGAUGUGAUGAAUUAUGCAAAUGUAUGCCAAAAACAUGCCCAGACUCUGCAUCCCCUUAGGAACGACUUUGGAGUCUCUUCACCUUUUACUUAGGUGGUAUUUCAGCUCUGCAUCCCCUUGGGAACGACUUUGGAGCUAAGCUCUACAUCCCCUUAGGAAUGUCUUUGGAGCUUCUUCACCUUUGACUUAGGUGGCAUUUAAGCUCUGCAUACCCUUAGGAACGACUUUGGAGCUUCUUCACCCUUGAUUUAGAUGGUAUUUUAGCUCUGCAUUCUCUUAGGAAUGACUUUAGAGCUUCUUAACUUACUCUGUGUCCCCCUAGGAAUGGCUUUGUAGCUUCUUCACCUCUUAGGUGACAUUUUAGCUCUGCAUCCCCUUAGGGACGACUUUGGAGCUUCUUCAUGACCUUUUGCACUCGAUGGUGCAAAUCCUAGUGUUACAUUUUACAUGUGGGGGAAUUUGGCCCUUGUAUUGCAGAGGGCUAAACAAAAAAAUGAAAAUUACAACCUAUGGUUCCAUUAAAAACCUUUCUCCCCCCUUGAAAGGAAAAGUGUGCCAUAGGGGAAAAAUAAGAAAAUUACAUUGUUUAUACAUAGUAUCGUCGAAGCUCAUCCGCAUUCCAAGACCUGGGUAUGUCGUUGUCGUCCAUAUCUUUUAGUAUGUAGGAACCGGGUCUUGACGAAGAUACCACCAAAAAAGGGCCUUCCCACUUGAGCUUAAGCUUCCCCACUGUAUCAGGGUUGGCCACCCUUCGAAGCACCAAAUGGCCUAGCUUGAUGUUCUUCAAUCUUACUUUUCUAUCACGCCAUUUGAUUGUUUCGGCCUGGUAUUUAUUGAUAUGCUCUAUGGCUUGUAGUCUGGUCCCUUCUAUGGUGUCUUUUGUUAUUUGGCAGUCACCUUCGUCCUCUGUUGAAUCUAAAAUUCUUAUUGAACCCAUUCUUGCUUCUUCCGGUGUAAUUGCUUCGUCACCGAACAGAAGUUUGAACGGGGUAAAUCCUAUUGACCUUGACACAACAGUGUUGUGAUUCCACACCACUUUUAUUAAUUUGUUAGGCCACUUUCCUCUAGGCUGAUUGAAGAUUGACUUCAUUAUUCCUGUUAUUAUGAUUCCAUUUGCACUUUCUACCAAACCGUUUGACUCCGGAUGCCUUACUGAUGUGAAGUGUAUUUUUGUGCCAAUCUGAGUAUAGAAGGUUUUGAAUGUCUCAGCAUCAAAUUGAGUUCCGUUAUCAACUGUUAUAGCCUUCGGCACACCGAAGCGACAAACAAUAUUCUGCCAGAACAAUUUUUGGACCAUGGCCGAAGUUAUUGUAGCCAAGGGCUUUGCCUCAAUCCACUUAAAAAAUAUUCUACUGCCACUACAACAUACUUCAAGUUGCCUUGUGCUGGUGGGAGUGGACCUAACAAAUCCAGGCCCCAUCUUUGCGAUGACCAGGUUGGCUGUAUUAGCUGGGUUAAAGACCUGCUUCUGGUCUCUGGCACACUUUUGGCAAUUUUCACAUUUUUGAACUAAAUCUGCUGCAUCCGAAGCUGCCUUUGGCCAGUAAAAACCUUGUCUAAAAACCUUCCCCAGCAAAGGCCUAGACCCAAUGUGGGCCCCACAUAAUCCCGCAUGUAUCUCCUUCAUUAAUUCUUGCCCUUCGAUUCUGGACAAGCACUUGAGCAAUGGAGAGAAAACUCUGUGCUUGUAUAAUUCCCCUUCUAUUAUUACAUAUGGUCUUGUCCUUGCUUCCAUUCUUUUAUUAUAAACUUCAUCAUCCAAAAGACAGUUGCCCUGGAGGAAAGAUACAAUCACAGUCCUCCAAUCUUCACUAUGUACUAGUGAAAUUGUGAGCACCGCUCUUUCCAUGAGCUCGACUGAAGGCGCUUUUAUUGUUUCAAAAAAUACUUCCGAAGGUAAUGGGAGCCCCUGUGCCGCUGAUUUGGCUAACAAUUCUGCAUGUUCAUUUUCUCCCCUUAGGAUAUUCUUUACAGAGAAUCCUUCAAAAGAGGCUUCCAACCCUCGGACAACAUCUAGGUACGUUUUAAGCUUUGGGUCUCUUGCCUUACUGCUCUUGUCCACAUGACCCGAGAUAACUUGUGAAUCAGUCUUGAGGAUUGCCCUUUUUAUACCCAUUGCCUUAAGUUUCCGAAGCCCCAAAAGAAGAGCAUCAUACUCUGCAAUAUUAUUUGUCCUUAAGUUUCCGAAGCCCCAAAAGAAGAGCAUCAUACUCUGCAAUAUUAUUUGUACAGCUGAAGUCUAGUUUUACUGCAUAGCAGGUUCUAACUAUGGAUGGUGCAACUAGAACGACAGCUGCCCCUGCGCCGAAGGUCCCCCAAGACCCAUCACAAAAUACCGUCCAAGCUUCAUCAUCGUUUAUUCUUUCUUCGUCCUGAGCCCCUAGCGUCCAAUCAACAAUGAAGUCUACUAACGCCUAAGACUGGAUCGAAGAUCUAUGAACAUAAUCAAUGGUAAAUUUGUUGAGUUCAGCAGCCCAUUUUCUGACUCUUCCUAUAGCUUCUCUGUUCCUCAUUAUAUCCUUCAGGGGUUGUGAUGAAGGCACUAUUACGUGAUGCUUGGAAGUAGUGCCGAAGCUUCCUGGAGGCCAUUAAUACAGCAUACAAUACCUUCUUCAACUCCAUGUAAUUCUUCUUUGAUGGACUGAGUACUUCAGAUAUGAAGUAUACCGGUGCCUUCUUUUUUACUUGGCUAUCUUGUUUGUCUUGUACAAGCACUGCACUAACCGCGGCAUGGGAAGCAGCCACAUAUAGAAGUAAUGGGGUUCCUGACGAAGGUGGGGUUAGAGUUGUUAGAUCUAUCAAAUACUGCUUCAGCUCUUCAAAGGCAGGUUCCUCUCUGCUGAUCUUGAAAUAAAUCUGUUCAAUGAUGCCAGCCUUCCUGCUAACCUCUGAGCCUCCUUUCUCAAAUUUGGCGGUUCCAUCUGAAGGAUAGCUUCGAUUUUGCUUGGGUUGGCUUCAAUACCCUUUGUCGAUACCAGACAACCAAGAAACUUGCCCUUCUUCACUCCAAAGAUACAUUUUUCUGGAUUUAAGUUAAGACCAGCCUAUCUGAAAUUGGCAAAUGUUUCUUGCAAAUCAGCAACAUGGUUCUCUUGUUUCAUGCUCUUUACUAUGAUAUCAUCGACAUAAGUUAGCACAUUUCUACCGAUCUGGGAGUGAAGAACUUUGGCAGUCAUUCUGCUGAAGCUUCCUCCAACAUUUUUGAGCCCCUCAGGCAUCCAAAGAUAACAAUAGGUGCCACUAGGAGUUAUAAAGCUUGUCUUCGGCUCAUCGUCUUAUUUCAUCCAGAUUUGAUGAUAACCUGAGUAGCAAUCCAAUAAGCUCCUGAGUUUCGAAGUAGCUGCUGCAUCCACAAGGGAAUCUAUUCUUGGUAAUGGGAAUUCAUCCUUCGGAGAUGCCUUGUUGAGAUCCUUAAAGUUAAUACACAUUCUCCAUUUUCCAUUUGCUUUCUUUACCAUGACGGUGUUGGCCAGCCACUCUGGGUAUGUUACUUCUCUGAUAACGCUGGUACUUAGAAGUCUUUUCACUUCAUUUCGUGCACCUUCGGCUUUAUCAUUGAACAUUUUCCGAAGCCUCUACUUUCUUGGUCUGAAGGACGAGUCCACAUUGAGUGAGUGCUCAAUAAUGUCUCUAUUGACACCACAGAGAUCAUUAGCUGUCCAAGCAAAACCAUCUUUGUUGUUAAACAAAAAUCUUAGCAAGGUCUUCUCUUGUUCAUCAGAUAGUUGAGAUCCCAACAACACUUUUUGCUCAGCAAUAUCUUCACACAAGAGCAUAGGCUUUGGUUGAUCUACCGAAGCAGCCUUUUCUCUUUUAUGCUUAUAUUGCUGAUAAGCUUCAGCUUCAUCUAUAUUAUGGAUGGCCUUCGAAUCCGUCCAACUUCCUUCGGCUCUCCUGGCAGCUUCUUUACUCCCAUGUACAACAAUGGGCCCUUGUUUCGAAGGUAUCUUCAUGCAAAGAUAUGCUAGGUGAAGUAUUGCUUCGAAGGCAUUGAGCGUCCCUCGACCAACGAUUGCAUUGUAUGGAUACUCCAUAUCAACAAUGUCGAAGACAACCUGCUCUGUCCUUGUGUUGUGAACGUAGCUAAAUGUGACCGGCAUGGUUAUCUUGCCGAGUGCUACAAUCUGUCUUCCUCCAAAACCACAAAGAGGGUGUGUUGCAUCAUGUAUCUUGUCAUCCAACUCUUGCAUUUAUUUGAAAGCCUUCGCGAAAAUGAUAUCCGCUGCACUGCCUAUGUCUACCAGGACAUUAUGGACCAGAAAUCCCUUGAUGACACAAGAUAUAACCAUUGCAUCGUUGUGGGGACAAUCCUUGAGCUGAAGAUCCUCUUGGGAGAAGGUGAUUGGUAUGUGAGACCAUUUGGAUUUGAUGAAGGGUCCUUGCACUCCAACAUGUUGUACCCUUCUCUGUGCUUCUUUCUUUUGCCUCUUGUUGGCUGGUUUAGAGCUUGAGCCGCCUGUGAUUGGGAGCACCAACUUCGUAGCCGAAGGUGCUACAACUUGGUUGCUUUGCAAAGCCAACGUCGCAGUUGUGGAAGUGAGUUCACUAGAGGUGGGCGCCAAUGUUGUUCACUUGUUCUCAAAUGCUAUAAACUAAGAACAAGGCAACACAAUUGUUAAUGGUUAAAGACAUUCGUCCUUCGAAGCAUCAUUUCCUCUCAGAUAUAAUGAUCUUAAGACGAAGGUCAUGAAGGACACACCUUCAUCAUUUUAUAAUAUAAACAUGGAUAUAAGUAAGGAAAUGAAGGAAUACAAAGAAAUGAAGAUAAUAUUUGUUAUAUAUUCAUGAUUCAUUUAUCUUCAUUGUACAUGAAUAAACAUUAACAAUAUUCAUAUUACAAUGGUACCUUCGGCUUGCCGGAAGGUGAGAGAGCGAAAAUGGCGCGAGAGCGAUUACAAUCCAGCGUGGACAGUAUAGGGGUAAUGUUCAUCUAUUUAUAGGCACAGGACGUAGUGAUGAGGACAUCACUUCUAUACAUAUAAUGAAUGGACCGAUAACACGAUCGUGUGCACGACAGCUAAAUCUCCAGGUAAGUUCUACCCUAGUCAAUUGUGUUUCGGAGCCUACGCUUGGGGCCAUGGAUGUUUUGAUGAUUAGGAACCUUGGAGAGGACCAGCAAGGACUUGGGAAAGGCCUAGGUGUUGAGGAGGAGCAGCAAGGGCGCCACAACAGGAAGGAGAUCAAGUCCGACUCGGCUGCGACUCCAUCUCGGGUUCCAGGACCAGUCUGCACUAAAAUGGACGCCCAAGAUGCAUCCAGACUCCGAUUGCGAUGGACUUGAUAUGGCUGGAAAGAUAAGGAGAUUAUCUAACCAACCCAACUAGUUCCACCCUAAAAUUCGUCGGGAGUCAACGGGAAUCAUCGAAACAAGUCAGCGUUCAGAUUCUGUUUUGGUGCUGCGACACCAUCUGUUGGGCUGUUGGGCCGUGUAUCGCGUCGGAGCCCAUUAGGGGCGAGUCCAGGGAUCACACACGCCCUAAUACUCUAUUAAUUCAGCAGCCACCACCACAUUAGGUUUGGGUUUUGCUUAAGUUAGAUCUGUCAAGAACAACCGCCAUAGAUCGGUUUGUGAGACCCCAACUUGUGAGCUUAAUCAUUCAUCCGCAAUAUUCUAGAUUGCGUUCUUUCUGCUUCUUGCUUGUGUCUUUGAUUCUUAUGCAGGAAUUAGCCCUCGUGGCGAGGUCAAUCGCGCAGUGCACGGUUGAUAACCAGAGGAGAAGUGGUGCUGCGAUUGCGGGGUUCUAGUCAUGUUGAUUGGAAGCCGGAUCGUCUGUGUGACAUCUCCACCAAAUCGAUAGUUAACUUCACCUGACGAAAGAUCGGGCACCCCCGUUCCUAUCCAGUGGUAUUCAAAUACUCAGGUAUUACCAUUAGGCUUACCCUAGUUUAGUUUAGGUUUUUCAUCCUAUAACUCCAGAUAAUUUCCAUACAAAAAAAUUUCCGCUGUCCUAGAACCCUUGUUUAGCCUUUGUAAUUUCGUUUUCACUUUGGCUUUGUUCAGUUCAUGUUCGUGGUUGAGUCGUGUUGCUGGUUUAGGGUGUAUCUUCGUCGUAGAUCAACUGCCCUCGCUAGCCUCUAUCCCAUCCACCAUUACCCAGAUCACAAGUCGAUCCACCCAUUAAUCGACUUGGCCUCGCUAGCCGCCGCCGCGCCAGCCCUAGAUAGAUUGCAGAUACGCUGCUAUCCCAUCCACCAUUACCCAGAUCACAAGUCAAUCCACCCCAUUAAUCGACUUGCCCUAACCGCUGUGAUUGCAGAUAGGGAAUUUUUGCCCUAACCGCCGCUUUCUAGUCGUGCCUCCAAAAACAUAACUUGAGGUACCUUCCUUAAACCGGACAUAACUUUUCGCUCGAGUGUCCAAAAAAUCUGAAAUUUUUACAGGAGCUUGUUGACAUCAUUCUGAGGCCAGCCCAACUUGCCUACGGCCUGUUUGGUUUCGAUAAAAUUGUCAAAAAAAUUCAGGAAAAUAAAGAAAAAAAUUUGUCAAAGCUCUUGCAUGCUUUUCAGAGAACUUGCUCAUUUUCUGUAGACCACAUCUGAUCUCUGUUUUAGAUGAAACUUGGUGUAGCUUCUAUUUUGUUGCUUCUUGUGCUGAGAAAAAUAUCAAAAAAAAUCAUACAAAAAAGAAAAACAAAAUCACCAGUGAAUCCUACUAGUGCCUUUUUGGCCUCGCUAGUACAAUAUUUACGGUACUGCCAUUCUGCUAUUUCCAUUGUUCUUUGUUCCAACUUGUUGUGAUACGCCUCGGAUACAUCUCUUAGCCAACAAUUGUGACUUGUGCUUUGGAUAUUUAUUGAACUUCGCUCAUCGGCACUCGAUUUUGUUCCACAUUCAUAUACAUAUUGUGCCUAUCCUACAGCUCCACAUACUAUAUCUUCUGAUUAGUACAGAUUUGACCUUGCAAUCGCGGUUUCACUACCUCUUGGUAAGUAUCACGAACUAGCCUCUGAUUGUACCAUCCUUUGCUUUGUAUUUCGUCAGACACUUGUAAGAGCUUGGUAAGAUACAAUAGAGCGUGUUCCUGUGUUCCACCCGAGAGGAGCAUGUAGUGAGAUUAUUAGGGAUAACCUUCACCGUGUGUUUCUUGUUUUUGUGUUUCGAUGGCAGGCGACGAAGAAGAAGCAAGGAUCCCUACAGACUUCGAUGAAUGUGUUAGCCGCCAAGAUCUUGAGGCAAACAACAAGCUCCUGAAGGAGCAAAUGGAGGAGACGGUCCACAAGUCAGUGCAUGAUGCCUUCAUUGACAUGAACUUUGGCAAGACUUACGAGAGGCUAGAUCGAUGAUUGUCCUAGAUUAUCGACAGACUUGCUGUGUUGGAGACGCAACAACAAGCACCGCCACCACCACCUCCUCGUCCACGUCUUCCCGAUGAUGCGGUGUUUGAUGAAGAAGGUAAUUAUGAUGAAGCGGCCACCAGAGAUUUGCGCCUACGUCGCCGUCUUCAUCAAAACAUAGAAGGUAUGCCCCACUGCCAGCAAGGUAAUAACAAUCAUGCUCCUAAUGACCCUUAUGCUAAGAUUAAAUUUUCUAUACCAUCUUUUUCGGGUCAUUAUGAUGCUGAGGGAUAUCUUGAUUGGGAGAUGACGAUAGAACAGAAAUUUGCUGCCCACCUUGUACCUGAACGACAUCAAGUUAGACAAGCCACUAGUGAAUUUAAAGAUUUUGCUAUUGUCUGGUGGACUGGUCUAGUUGGGGAUGGUAGAGCACCUACGACUUGGGAAGAUCUUAAGGUAGCUAUGCGUGAUAGAUUUGUUCCCCCAUCUUAUCAUAGAGAAUUGCGUAAGAAAUUGAUGCGUUCAGAGCAAGGGGAUAAAUCUGUUCAAGAUUAUUAUGCUGAGCUUCAGAAAGGAUUGCAGCGUUGUGGGAUAGUAGAGGGACAUGAGGACGCUCUUUGCCGUUUUUAUUCAGGUUUGCGUCGUAACAUUCAGGACAUUGUGGAUUACAAAGAAUUUAACACUGUCAACAAGUUGUUCCAGUUUGCUAUGCUCGCAGAGAAGGAAUUAUAGGGACGCCAACAUCGACCAAGGGCUACUUUUGGCGCCUCCUCUGCAUCACGGACGCACACACCUGCCUCGAGUCAUACUCCCUCGACACCUGCUGCACAUGUUGGUAACCUUCCUUUGUAGGUACCCGCCAAGAAACAGAAUUCAUCAGCACCUGCCGCACCUUCCAGUGGUAGUUCUUCGGGUAUUGUUUGCCACCGCUGGCAUGGGAUUGGUCACGUGAAGAAGGAUUGCCCGAGUCAGCGAACAUACAUUGCUACGGAUGAUGGCUACAUUAGUGCUUCCGUCGGUGAGGGUGACGAUGAUGACUCUAGUGAUGUUGCUGCUAAUGAUGAUGCCAUGCUUGGUGCUAAUGCUACGGUGAACCUUCGAAGCAUCAUGGUGCAGCGUAUUAUUAGUUCUCAUCCUGAAUCAUCAGAGAAGCAGCAACACCAUAAUUUGUUCCAGACUUUCUUCUCCAUCGAGAAUCGGCGUGCACGUGUUAUUAUUGAUGGUGGAAGCUGCAAUAAUUUGGUGAGUUCAGAUUUGGUCAAGAAGCUUGGCUUGACCACACGUCCACAGCCACAUCCAUACCACAUUCAGUGGAUCAAUGAUUCAGGCAAGGUUAAGGUAACACACAUGGUACGAGUGCAUUUCUCCAUUGGUAUGUAUUCUGAUUAUGCAGAUUGCGAUGUAGUACCUAUGGAAGCUUGUUCUCUUUUGUUGGGUAGACCUUGGGAAUAUGAUACUGAUGCAUGUCACCAUGGUAGGAGUAAUACAUACACUUUUAGGCAUAAAGAUAAAAACAUUACUUUGCUACCUUUGACUCUUGCUGAAAUUGUACAAGCUGAUAAAGAUAGAGCUGCAAGUACCCAUAAGGAACCAACUAAUGAGACAGAAAUUCAGCAACAAAUUAAAUUGAAAGCUCCUGUCAUGCUUGCUACUAAAUCUGAUCUUCUUGAAACUCAUGAUACUGAUGCUUGUUGCUAUGCUUUGGUUUGCAAAGAUGCUUUCUUUUCUAUUGAUGAUAUUGCUAGCACUUUGCCUGCAUCUGUGACUAACCUUUUGCAGCACCGAGCUGCUGGACCAUUUAAAAUUUUGGAGAAGAUUAAUGACAAUGCAUAUAAACUUGAGUUGCCCCCCCAAGUUUGGGAUUAGUCCCACCUUUAAUAUUUCAGAUUUAAAGCCAUAUUUGGGAAAAAAGAUGAGCUUGAGUCGAGGGCGACUCCACUUCAAGAGGGGGAGGAUGAUGAGGACAUGGAUGUGUUUCCCUCUGAGAUACCCCCUGGAUUACCACCUGAGUUGCCUCUAGAUAACAUUUCAGAUUUGAAGCCAUAUAUGGGUGACGAAGAUGAGAUCGAGUCGAGAACGACUCCAAUUCAAGAGGAGGAGGAUGAUGAGGACAUCACUUCUAUACAUACAAUGAAUGGACCGAUAACACGAUCGCGUGCACAACAGCUAAAUCUCCAGGUACGUUCUACCCUAGUCAAUUGUGUUUUAGAGCUUACGCUUGGGGCCAUGGAUGUUUUGAUGAUUAGGAACCUUGGAGAGGACCAGCAAGGACUAAGGAAAGGCCUAGGUGUUGAGCAGGAGGAGCAAGGGCGCCACAACAGGAAGGAGAUCAAGUCCGACUCGACUGCGACUCUAUCUCGGGUUCUAGGACCAGUCUGCACUAAAAUGGACGCCCAAGAUGCAUCCGGACUCCGAUAGCGACGGACUUGAUACGGUUGGAAAGAUAAGGAUAUUAUCUAACUAACCCAACUGGUUCCACCCUAAAAUUCAUCCGAAGUCAAUGGGAAUCGUCGAAACAAGUCAGCGUUCAGAUUCUGUUUUGGUGCUGCGACACCGUCUGUUGGGCAGUUGGGCCGUGUAUCGCGUCGGAGCCCAUUAGGGGCGAGUCCAGGGGUCACACAUGCCCUAAUACUCUAUUUAUUCAGAAGCCGCUGCCAUAUUAGGUUAGGGUUUUGCUUAAGUUAGAUCUGUCAAGAACAGUCGCUGUAGAUCGGUUUGUGGGACCCCAACUUGUGAGCUUAAUCAUUCAUCCACAAUAUUCUAGAUUGUGUUCUUUCUUGUUCUUGCUUGUGUCUUCGAUUCUCAGGCAGGAAUUAGCCCUCGUGGCGAGGUCAAUCGCGCAGUGCACGGUUGAUAACUAGAGUAGAAGUGGUGCUACAAUUGCGGGGUUCUAGUCGUGUUGAUUGGAAGCCGGAUCAUCUGUGUGACAUCUCCACCAAAUCGAUAGUUACCUUCACCUGACGGAAGAUCGGGCACCCCCAUUCCUAUCAUGCAGCCUAGGUAAAAUUACAUCCAUGCCCUUGAACAUUUGUUUACAAGCAACUAAAACUAAUAAGGUCCAUCUAGUCAUUUUUCCUUCUCUGCUUGGUCUGGACCGAAGCUAUUGAGCUUCGGCAUUCUGCAUUGUCGCCUCUACGCAGAGUCUUCGUCUUGAUGAGCUAAACCGAGGCUGAAGGUAGCUUUGGCAAGCCUUUGUAUUAUUUUGCCGAAGAUGUUUUGCAUUGAGGACCUUCGGCGGAGAAGAAUACCCCCAACAACCCUGAAAGUCUCAAUAGAAGAAACAAAAGAGUAAUGUUCACAAAAAAUAGCUAAACGUGAACGAGUGGUUACUCCCUUGCCGAUGUCACCCAGAAUCUGAUCUACUAGAUGAUUCCUUUGGAUGGUGGCCUAGACUUGAGUUGGAGGUUCUUGUUGUACUUCUUCCCCUUUAUCCUUUUCUUCAUGUGCUCCCCUUGAUUCAUGCCUUCAUCGUGAGGUACAUGUUCUUCAUUUUGAGUUGGGGGUUGCACCAGUGUUGAGGAAGAUGGUUGAUCCUGUUCUUGGUGUUCCUGAGGUCACACAUCACCUAUUGCCAUAGUUCUGAUUGCGGCCGUUGGAACUUCAUCUUCAUCUAUAUCAUCAAGAUCAAGUUGCUCGCAUGGAGAGCCAUUAGUCUCAUCAAAUACAACGUCACUAGUGACUUCAACAAAACCCGAAGAUUUGUUGAAGACCAUAUAUGCCUUUGUAUUUGAAUCAUAACCUAGUAAAAACCCUUCUACAACUUUGGGAGCAAACUUUGAACGUAUACUUCUUUUAACUAAGAUGUAGCAUUUGCUUCCAAAGACACGAAAGUAUGACACAUUGGGUUUGUUACCGGUUAGAAGCUCAUAAGAAUUCUUCUUGAGGAGGCGAUGAAGAUAGAGCCAAUUUAUGGCACGACAAGCUGUAUUUACAGCUUCCGACCAAAACCGCUCAAGCGUCUUGUACUCUCCAAGAAUUGUCCUCGCCAUGUCGAUGAGCGUCCUAUUCUUCCUUUCUACUACACCUUUUUGCUGUGGCGUGUAGGGAGCGGAGAACUCAUGCUUGAUGCCUACCUCCUCAAGAUACUCUUCCACUUGAAGAUUCUUGAACUCAGAUCCAUUAUCGCUCCUGAUCUUUUUCACCUUGAGCUCAAACUCAUUUUAGGCUCUCCUUAGGAAGCGCUUUAGUGUACUUUGGGUUUCUGAUUUAUCCUACAAAAAGAAUACUCAAGUGAAGUGGGAAAAUCAUCAACAAUUACAAGACCAUACUUACUUCCCCUGAUUCUAAGAUAAGCAACGGUCCCAAAGAGAUCCAUAUGGAGGAGUUCCAGUGGUCUUGAUGUUGUCAUCAUGUUCUUGCUUGGAUGAUAGUUCCCACCUGUUUUCCUACCUGGCAUGCUGCACAAGGUCUGUCUUUUUCAAAACAAACAUUGGUUAGUCCUAACACAUGUUCUCCCUUUAGAAGUUUAUGAGGAUUCUUCAUUCCAACAUGUGCUAGAUGGCGGUGCCAGAGCCAGCCCAUAUUAGUCUUAGCGAUUAAACAUGCAUCUAGAUCGACAUUCUCUUUCUUGAAAUCAACUAAAUAAAGCUUGCCAUCUAAUACACCUUUAAAAGCUAAUGAACCAUCACUCCUUCUAAAGACAGAUACAUCAAUAUUUGUAAACAAACAAUUGUAGCCCAUAUGACAUAAUUGACUUACAGAAAGCAAACUGUAACCAAGCGAUUCUACUAAGAAUACAUUAGAAAUCGAAUGCUCAGUAGUGAUGGCAAUUUUACCCAAACCUUUGACCUUGCUAUGGUUCCCAUCUCCAAAGAUAAUCGUAUCUUGGGAAUCCUUGUUCUUGACAUAGGAGUUGAACAUCUUCUUCUUUGUAACGCCCUGAAUUUGAGGGUUAAAAUUUUCUUUCUCUAACACUCACCAAAUUCAGGCAUUGUCUUUCCUUUUUCUUUUUCUUCUCAAAGUUCUAGUGAGAGUUAACUCGAUAUUGUGUAUAGGUAAACCCUAGGAGUAAUCCUUUUGGUUGUUCCAUCAUGCCGGAUCAUGCAUCUAUUUUUGUUGGUGGUUGAGUGAAUUUGUGAAAUGUGCACUUAGGUGAAGAAUUAGAGCAAAAAGGAAAAUAGAAACCCCCAAACCCUUCCUUCCCCCUUUUCUCCUUCUGGCGGCCCACCUGGCGUGCCCCCUCCCCCGCGGCCCAGUCUGGCGGCGGCCUAGCCGUGACCUUUCUUCCUCCCCCUCCUCCUCCCCCCCAUGCGUGGCCCACCCUGUCUUGGGCCGGCCGGCUGGUGCACGACCCAGCUGCCCCUCAACAGCCCCCCGCUCCCUCCGCGCGCGUGCGCGCUGGGCGGUUGACCAGCCGCUGCCGCCCUUGGUGGGGCCCACCCGUCAGUGCCCUGGUCGCCCCCUGUUCACCUCCUCUAACCUCCACGUUGCCCGUUUUUUUCUCACCCGCGUAGUUCAUCUCUCCCUCUCUCUUCCAAGCCGCCCGGAGCCGCCCCUGCCCUUGACGCCGUCCGUCCACGCCGCCCUCAUCCCCCGCGGUGAGCCUCCCCAUCUCCCUUCUCCCCCGCUUCCCUCUUCCCCCCCCCCCCCCCCCCCCCCCAGCCCCCCCCCCCCCCCCGCCCCCCCCCCCCCCUCCCCCCCCCCCCCCCCCCCCCCGUGCACAUCGUGCGCGUUGAGCGUGCUGUUUAUUUCACGUAGUUAAACUCCACUUAGAAUCGUUCACAUUAAUUAUCUCACGUAGGCAAACGACAACUUUAUUAGUGUCGGCCAAUCGGAAACCAAGUGUAACUCUAUUAGUGCAUGUGGUUAAUACCUAUUAGUAUGGCUAGGUGGAAUUAAAUGUUAUAAUGAUUAAUCGCAAAGCCUGCACGUAAUGUUUCUCGACUAUAGCUUUAGCCGUUGCGAUUCCUUUUUCUCUUUCUCGUAAUUAUGAAUGCAAACCAUAUGUCAUGUGCAUGUUCAAUUGAUCUGCUCUCUUGUAUGGUGUACUAUUUAUUUCCUAAUUCAAGGAUAUGGAUGUAUGUUUGCACUCGCAUAGAUAACGGUCUGGUUGUGGAGUCCGAAGAGAUCACAGGAGAAGACCCUGAGCAGCAGCUGGUUGGUGGAGGCAAGUGUCCCUUGACCUAUCUUUGUCCUAUACAUUCUAUAAUUCACUUUUCGCAUUUACACAGUUUAUACCUAAUGAUUGACUAGCUUUUGUUUACUUUGUCCUUGCUCACCUAUAUGGGUUGGGUUAUUUUGGUUUUAGCUUCAUGCUAGUGCUUCACAUUAAUCAAUGAACAUGAUGAGAUUAUCUAUGAUACGCUAUUUUCCCUUUUGAUUAUGAUGAUAUACUUGUGGCAUUUAAGGGGGCUCAAGCGGUUUCUCGAGUGCCUCUCCGUAAGGACCUGUCCGUUGGAUGACCGUCCGAGAAAACAGUGCAACCAUGAGGGUGGUAUGGGACGCCCUUAGCUGAAUAAUUAGAGGAAAUGGGGUGUAGUUCGCUUCGCCGUCGUGCCGUCAAUAGGGCUCGGUGUAUGCGGCUCUCUCUGCCAAGGGUGGAUUGCCCCUUGGGGAGGGUGCGGUACAUUUAGAAACCUAACGGGCGGCUACAGCCUCGGGGAAUCUUUGUAAAGGCUUCGUAGUGAUACCCUGCCAGGCCACCUAGGUAGUGGUCAAUGGGGAGUAGCUCUCUCCGUGCUCGCGGUUAUGAGCGGCCAAGGGAGCUCCAUUGAUUAGAGAUACUUGAUCAGAGAUGGUUGGUUUACAGGUGGUGACAAGGAUGAUGGUUAUGACUAUGGUAAUGGUAAGUGGUAUUCUUUCUGUUUGGAAAGGGUACUUUGGGUUAAUAACUUGGGUUAAUGUUAAAACCUGGCUUUCUACUAGUAAUAAUAACCUGACCAACUAAAAGCAACUGCUUGACUUAACUCCACAUAAAGCUACUCCACUACAGCCCAAUGGGACAAUUGCUGAGUAUGUUGAUGUGUACUCACCCUUGCUCUACACACCAAACCCCCCAGGUUGUCCAUGUUGCAACCCGUGCUCAGGAGAAGAUGAAGCCGUGGAGGAAGACUUCCAGGAGUUCCAAGAGUACGACGAGUUUUAGGCGUGGGUUAGCGGCAAACCCCAGUCGGCUGCCUGUGAAGGCCGCGUGUAUCUACGUUUCGUUUUCGCACUUUGAUUAUUGUUAAAGACUAUGUGGAUGUCUCAGACAUCAUGAUGUAAUCGACUAUUACUAUCUUUAUGUUAUUAUUUGAGCACUGUGUGAUGAUGUCCAGUUAUGUAACUGCUGUGUAUGUGAAUUGCUGAUCCUGGCACAUACAUGGUUCGCAUUCGGUUUGCCUUCUAAAACCGGGUGUGACAUUCUCCCCCGUCAUAUGGUUUGUGCAUCUUCUGUCAAUAAUCCAACUUGUGCCCCCGGAUGCAUAAACCUGCAAGGUGAUUUAAGCUUGGGAUUUAGGUACCCAACUCUUGUUGGGUCCUACAAGGUUAGUCACAUAAGACUUUGGAACCCAAAUGCAAGUCUUACCUCCCUUGCACUUAGGCUCCACAUUUCUAGCAACAACUUUAUCAUUUUUACAAACUAGCACAUAUGAAGCAUUAUAAGUAUGAUAAAGCAUAGUUGGGCCAUUAGUUGCAUUGCUAGGCGCAUGAGAAACAACCUGGUGAGCGUGGCGCCUAGAUCUACUCCUACCAUGAACAUGCGAAGAACUUGAAGAUGCAAACAUGGCAUGGGAAUUAAAGACAUCAUCAUGAUGUACAGGAAAAACAACAUGAUCAUAACAACCAUCAUGAUGCGCAAUAUCAGAUACAUUCUUAACAUGAGCAUACAAAUAGGCAUGGUUCUUUUUGUCAUGAAACGAAUGAGAGCUACUAGUCAUAGGUGCCUUCCCUUUCUCCUUGAUGAGAUUGGAAGUCCUUUGGCUUGUUAAGUUCUUGGUUCCCUUUUGGAAACCAAGUUCAUCCUUAAUGGAGGGAUGUCUACCAAUGGUGUAGGCAUCCCUUGGAAAUUUUAUUUUAUCACACUCAUUCUUGCAAGUUUUAAGUUGAGCAUUAAGGUUUGCAAUUUCAUCAUUCAACUUAGAGAUAGUGGAAGCAUGAUUACUGCAAGCAUCAACAUCAAAAUCUUUACAUCUAUUGCAAAUAGAAACAUGCUCCACAGAUUGACUAGCAGUAUUUAAUUUUUCUAUUCUAGCAUUUAAAUUAGCAUUUAAUCUCUUAAGGCUAGAAAUAGACUCAUGGCAAGAAGACAAUUCAGAAGACAACACUUCAUUUUUAUUAGUCUCUAAAGCAAGAGAUUUUUCAACACUUACAAGUUUAUCAUGUUCUUCAUAAAUAAUAUAUUCUUGUUUUUCUAACAACCUAUCCCUCUCGUUAAGGGAAUCAAUUAAUUCAUUGAUUUUAUCUACUUUAGAUCUAUCUAAACCCUUAAAGAGAUCACUAUAGUAUACAUCAUCACCAGAUUCCUCAUCACUAGAAGAAGUGUACUUAGGGGUAUCUCGAGUAUGUACCUUCUUCUCCUUAGCCAUGAGGCAUGUGUUAUGCUCGUUGGGGAAGAGGGAGGACUUGUCAAAGGCUGAGGCAGCAAGUCGCUCAUCGUCGGAGUCAGAUGAAGAGCAGUCCGAGUCCCACUCCUUGCUGAUGUGCACCUCGCACUUCGCCUUCCUGUAGUUCUUCUUCCUUAAUCUUUAACAACUGUGUUGCCUUGUUCUUGAUUCACAACAUUUGAGAAUAAGUGACCAACAGUGGCGUCGUUUCCCUCAUGAGAGAUCUUGAGGGUGUCCCAUAUUUGCUUGGCAUUGUCCAAACCGCUGACUAUGUUGUACUCAUCCCUGCAUAGUGUUGCUAACAAAACAGUAGUAGCUUGGGCAUUUUUAUGAUAUUGUUCAUUGAUAAGUACAUGAUUAUCACUACUAUCAAAAUGCAUUCCAUUUUCCACUAUCUCCCAAAUACUAGGAUGGAGAGAAAACAAAUGGCUACACAUUUUAUGACUCUAGAAAGAAUAAUCUUCUCCAUCAAAGUGAGGGGGUUUUCCAAGUGGAAUAGACAAUAAAUGAUCAUUCGAAUUAUAAGGCAUGUAUGAAUAAUCAAAAGAAUAGUUUUGAUUAACCGUUUUCUUUUUCGACGAAGAGUCUUCGUCGUCGUCAUCCCUUGGUGAUGAAGAGGAGGCGUCACUGUCGUAGUAGAUGAUGUUCUUGAUGUGCCUCUUCUUCUUUCCAUCCUUCCUCUUGUUCUUCCAGCCUGAGUCAGUGGGCUUGUCACCUUUUGGCUCAUCAACAUAGAGAGUCUCCUUGUCCUUCUCCUUGUCGUUGAUCACCAUCCCCUUUCCCUUAGGAUCCAUCUCUUUGGGCGGUUAGUCCCUUGAUGAAGAGAAUGGCUCUGAUACCAAUUAAGAGCACCUAGAGGGGGGGCAAAUAGGUGAUCCUGUACAAAACAGUUCAACAAAACAAACUUGGACUAAUAUUGGAUUAGUUAAAGCAACUGUGGGGGAUAGAUAUCCCCCGGGUCCACUAAAAGAGUAAAAUACCUCACGAAAGGCCCAAGGGCCCAAUGAAUCGUAAGGUCAUUCUUUCGUGGGCCUGGGGAGAAACAACCAAGCAAAGCAGAGCGACACAAGGCCGGAUUGGUGCAAACCCAGACGGCCCACAACGUCGAGCGAGUGACCACAACAGAGAUCCGACUUUCCCGCGCUGGAGCCCCCAUGCAACGGAGCCAUGCGAGGAUAAGUCGGCGAGGGUUGCGUAGGGAUAAACUCAAGAGGUUCACUAUCUUUUAGCUACUUGUUGUUAUCAUAUCCACGUGUAUUGCCCCACGGUCGAGUAUAUAAGGCCUAGGGGGCACCCCUUCAGAUGGAUCGACCCUAUUACUUAGCCACCUACGUCAACUCUCUGUAUUCUCAAUCCAGAGAGCUCUCCUGUAACCACAUUCAUCAAGCAUACUCACCAGGACGUAGGGUGUUACGCAUCUCUAAGCGGCCCGAACCUGUAAACCUUGUCUACUGUUCCUCGUGCAAUCGGCACGAACCAUUUUGCUACAGUUGUCGACACCGUCCUACUCCUAAAAGCACCUUGAGGGGCAACCCCGGGUGUGCGGUCGGACCCAAAACACCGACAGCAACAGCCAAGUUCAAAUGAGGAGUAUGAUAGGAGUAAACUUCUUCACUUAAUUGCUCUUCACUAAGUGAGUAUUAAACUUAGGUCAAUUAUGUAAGUGAAGUGAAUAGAGAGAAAAUCGCAGCAAGAUAAAGAUACGUGACACAACGAUUUUUAUCCCGUGGUUUUGUCAAGUAGAAUACUUGCCUACUCCACGUUGUGGUGUCCUAAUGGACGAGGGUUGCACUCAAACCCUUUCAAGUGAUCCAAAGAUCAACUUGAAUACCAUGGUUCUUUUUAUCUCAACAAUAUCCCAUUGUGAGGAAUCUCCACAAUUUGGAGUCUCUCACACCUUACAUAAAUGAUCUAAAAUGAACACAAGAGUAAGGGGGAAUAGAAAGACACACAAGAACUAGAGUUGCAGCAACAACACGCACACAAGUGAAGAAAGAGCACACGAAACAACACAUCAGAGUUACAGCUCAAAGAAGUGCUCAAAUCUCUAUCACAACGUAACAAUUGCGUGCUUGCGAAGUCUCGGUGUUGUAGAAUGUUCAAUGGGUGCUUGGUGUCAAGCUCCAUGCGCCAAUGGGUCCCUUUUAUUGCCCCAAAGGACCUAGGAGUCAUUGGAGCUCCAUUUGGAGGGCACUCGUUGCCUUCUGUCCACGGGUGCACUGGACUAUCCAGUACACACCGGACAGUGAACAAUGCACGGGCACAGAAUCCCCUGAUUGGCAACUUUCUGCUUCUAGGGGGCACCAGACUGUCUAGUGGGUGGCUCUAGUCCGUCCGGUGCCCCACAUGACCGUUGGCCCGGGGCUGAUGUGGCCACUAGCUGUUGGCUACUGGCACACCAGACUAUCCGACACUCCGUCCAAAUAGUUUGGUGAAUUAUAAUCGACGCUAGCUAAAAUUCUUGAGAGCGAGCAGUAAGACAAACCGUGCAUCGGACUGUCCGGUGCACACCGGACUGUCCGAUGAGAGGCACCGGACAGUCCAGCAUGAUUUUUCUUUUUCUUUCUUUGUUUUCUUUUGCUCCUUUUGGACUUGACUUCGUAAAGUACCUGGCACUUAGAAAAAUAUAAUUAGUACUCAAAACAAUUGACUAAGUGUCCAGAGCUUACCUUUUUACUCGGUCCAUAUAGAUUUUGCACUAGGUCCUUUUCCGAGCUCAAUUUGCUUCAUAUACCUUUGCUCAUACAUCAUGUUAGUUUAAACAUAAUGUGUUGUGCAUCUAAUCACCAAAACAAUAUGGAAAUGGCCCAAGGGCACAUUUCCCUUUCACCGAGGCCUCUAUGGAGAGUUCUCGGAUGGCGUCGACCGCCCUCACCACUAACGACGUCCUCAAGCGGGUCAACGGCAUCGGCGAUCUCCAUCCCUGGUUCCCCAGCCUCCGACCUGGGUAAGGAGGUGGCUGGCUGUUGGAGACUUGUUCUCAAGUGCUAAAAGUUAAGAACAAGGCAACACAGAAAAUGUUAAUCGUUAUAGUCCUUCGUCCUCCGAAGCAUUAUUUCCCUUAGGAUAUAAUGGUUUACGGACGAAGGUUAUGAAAGACGUACCUUCGUAAACUCAUUAAACGAUGACGAAGGCGAUAAUGUAAAGGAUAUAAAAGACAAUAUGAACGAUUAUAUAUUAUUAUCAGGCAUAAACAGAAAUAUUAUUGAAUUACAAGUGUACCUUCAAUCGAGAGAAGAUGACAAUACAAGCGUGACGCAAAAAGUGAAUGCCAAAUCAGCGUGAACAGUACGGGGAUACUGUUCACCUAUUUAUAGGCACGGGACACAGCCCUUACAAAAUUACAUUCAUGCCCUUUACAUUUGAUAAUAAUUCUAUAGUAGUCUAUCGAGGUCUGAAUAGCCUUUUCAUCUUUAAGUCGGUUCCACUCUUUGCUGUCACGCCGAAGCUUUCCUGCUCGCACCUUCGGCUCUGUAUCAACCUUCGUAUUAUUCCGGUCUACAACAAUGCCGACUUUAGUCAGAGGAUACCUGUUCACACAUUGUACUCCAGAAAUACUGUUAAAUCCUGUUUUUGAGGACCUUCGGAUGCCGAAGGUCCCCAACAGUAGCCCCUCGCAAUAUUAAUUUGUUUAUAAUAACGAAUUCAGAUUGCGACCUGGACGAAGGCUUUACGCCGAAGGUCCGAAAAAACACCUUCCCUUUGCUAGAAUAGCAACAUUCACUGACAAGCGGGGUCUUUGAAUUUUCAACGCACCGAGCGUAUAAAUACGGCCAUACCGCAAACUCAUUUAGCAUGCUCUCUGGCCAACCACUCCCGCUCACUCAAUUUUUAGCUCUUGUGCACUGUGAUUUGCUAAGCUUUUAGCUUUGAAGCUUCGGAUUUGGAAACAGUUUUUUAGUGUUUCCGAAGAUGUCCGAGGAUAAGAAGACUGCUGCUGAGACGAAGCUGAGCCUCGACGAAGAGAAAAAUUUGGGGUUUCUUAUAGCGAUGUCAAAGACCAACACGGAAAAGAUUACCAAGGAGAUUCUGGAAGGUUUGUCCGAAGAUACUGGUGACAGCGACAGCUAUGAUGUGGACAGUGGUGGCGAGGACUCCGAAGAUCGUCCAUGGCGACCAAGCCAUUCAGUUUAUGGUAAAUCAACUAUCAAAGAGAAUCAUCUUGUCAACAUGAGAGGGAGGUAUUUCCGGGAUUUGUCCAUUGUGAGGGCCGACGAAGGGGAAAAAACUUGCCCACACCCUGAAGAAAAUGAGGUCGUAGUGUACCGAAGCUUUUUGAAAGCUGGACUGCGAUUUCCUUUGAGCAGCUUCGUUGUGGAGGUACUGAAAAUAUUCGAAGUCUAUCUCCAUCAACUUACCCCCGAGGCAAUUAUAAGGCUAAAUAUCUUCGUAUGGGCCGUGAGAAGCCAAGGUCUGAAACCUGACGCAAAAAGCUUCUGCAAUAUACAUGAAUUAUCAUAUGAAACAAAACCUUGGGGUAAGGAACAGUAUCACAACAAUUUUGGCUGCUACAGUUUUGUUUCUCGGUCCGGGUCAAGCUGCCCCGUGCCAACCUUUCGGAAGAGAUGGCCCGGAGACUGGAUGACAGAAUGGUUCUAUGUGAAGAAUGAUCUGACAAUACGAGAAGAUAUCAAGGGUAUAAUCAUGCGCCCUAUUUGGCAAAGCUUCGGCCUUCGGAGGCCGAAGGUUGAAAUGAAUGAAGCUGCCGAAGAAUGCCAGAGGGCCUUCGGCGCAGUGUGCUCUUUCAUUGGAACAAGAGACUUAGUUCAAGAGCAUAUUGCCUUCAGGGUAUGGCCACUUGCGGAAAAAUGGGAAAUGCCACAAGAAACCGUAAAAGAAACCGACGAAGGUGGACUUAUCAGGUUGAAGUACACUUUUAAAUUUGGAGAUAAAUUCGUUGAGCCAGAUGAUGACUGGUUGAAAAGUAUUGAAAAUUUAAGCGAUGAACUGCUUGGGGCUUAUUCGAAGGCCGAAGAUACUGCAAUGUCAGCAGCCUUCGGAGGCCGAAAAAAGAAAAGGCUGAAUCGGGUAUUUGAUGCCAUCGGGUUUGUCUACCCUGACUAUUGCUAUCCCGUCCGAAGGCAGAAGAGAAAAAACACAACCUCUGCUAAAGAAGAAGUUGUAGCUGCUCCUAGCGAGCCAGAACCAAAAAGGAAGAAGAUAGAGGUUCUUACGCAUCGGCCGCGUUAUAUUGAACCAGCUUCGGUGCCUGAGUUUGCCGGAGAAACUCCUUCGGCCACCGAAGCUGAACAACCAACCGAGCCAACUGUGCUGCCAGAAGUCGCAGAAACGGCCGAAGUGCCAAAAAAGACAAAAUUGGAGCAAUCAAAGAUUUUGUUACCAGAAACGAAAGAGAAGGCCGAAGCGCCAUCCACAGAAAAAAUGGAAAAGGUAAAGGAAGCAACUGAGGGCUCCAAAACAUCAGAAGUUUUGAGUCCUGCAGCAAUCAUUGGGACAGUAAAAAAUGAAAAAGUGCCAGCCGUCACUCCGAAAAGAAAGAGAAUGGCUAAUGUGCUAGAUGUACUGGAAACGAUCAAGUCUUCAAGCACACCUCCGAAGAAGGCUGCUGUCACUCCUGAAACAACAGUUAAAACUUCUGUUUCUAAAGCUCCAGAGCAAGAGACUGAAGCCGAAGCUGGGCCCUCAGAGCCCGCAAAGAUAAAACCCUUGGAAAGUGAGACAGAAAAAAUAACAAAGCCAACUCUUGUUGAAGAAACCGGUGUUAUUGCCCCCGAAGUAUCCUCCAAAGUUCGUGAUUAUAUUGUUCGUCAUGCUUCGGGGAAAAAACUAUCAGAAAAGGAAGAACAAGAGGCCCAGCAUUAUGCCCAAAAACUAAAAUAUCCAAAGGGGGCAUUAAUAUUCAAUGGCAGUGGAGAAGAAGACUUCUUGUAUUGUCUCCCCGACAGCAAGGAAAUUUCUGUCUGUCGGGAGAUGAGCAGGAGCUUCGGAUUCCCAACUUUAGAAGACGGACUUUCGGUGCUGUCAAAGAACGAUCUGGCUGACAGCCUAGCUUACAACAGCUUAAAGGUGCGACAAAUGAAAUUCUUGUAUUUUUGUUGAGUUCAAAAAAAUUUUCGUUUGUUUAAACCUAUUGACACAGACAUAUUCCUCUUUGCAGAGCCUGAUACUCAGCAAUGCCCUCAGGGCACAGAAAGAUGCUGAGGACGAAGGAUGUACUAUAGCCCUGAGCAACCUUCGUUCCGAAGUAAUUGAACUGAGGAACGAAGGUCUCGAAAAAGAUAAAAUAUUAUACUCAUUGAUAAAUAAAAUAAAGGUAGACGAAGCUGCUUUUAAAAGUCAAGCUGAAAUUCAGAAACACGAAAUUGAAGACCUUCGGAAACAACUGGCCAGAGCCAAGGAAGAACGCACACUUGAAGAAACAAAGCGUGAACUCAGCGAUCAAUGGGCAGAUCACUUAGAAGUGACUGUUGAAGAGCUUCGUUCGUCCAAAAAGAGAUGCUACAACAAAUCUAUAGAUUGUGUUAAGAAAUUAAAGGCUAGCUUCGCCAAGGUUGGCGCGUUCUCAAGUGAGGAAAACUUUUCGAGAGGCAAUCCCGAAGGUGUUAUCGAAUGGAUUGGCCACGAAGCUGAAGCCUUCGAAGAAAUUUUAAAUAGCCGAGGAGAUAUAUGUGCCUUCUCUGGCGUCAGAGGGAUUGCCACCAUUUUAGAGAAGAAGGGCUGCGAACAUGUAAAAAUUUUAGCACAGUCCGAAGCUGCCUUAUCCUUUGAAGAUACAAGAGAUCCUUCGGCCGAAGCUAGCAUAAUUGAUGGAAAGUUUUUUACUGAUAUCUGGGAUAAUGGUGGCCGAGAAAUGGCCGGAGAAAUUAUUCGAAGAAGUGAAAAGGGUAUUCACGAUGCUAGAGAAGUAGCUGAGGCUGCUGAAAAGAGCGCAGGGGCCAAAGAUCAAUUAGGUAUUAAAUAAUAGUUUUUAUCGUGUUGUAAUCUUAGGCUUUAAAAUUUGUUUGCGAUUUGUAAUAGCAAUGCAGCCGUGUCCUGUCCUUCCUCAGAUCCUACUGAAGUAUCUCCGGGUGCACGGCCUAGGGGUGACGAUGAGAUUAAAAAGAUGGCUGAAGCUAUUAUGGAUGAAGUUGUCGAUCGACUGUUGAACGAAGCUGCAGAAGUGGUACUUAGGGAAGACUAAAUGCUAUUGUAAAAACAUUUUAAAUGUAACAUGUGUAAUAUCUUGUAAUCCUGUAUGUAAUAUAUUUGUUUUAUUUUUCUUUAUGGUUCAAUUCUUUACGAUGCAUGAAACUUUACAUACGUACCGUUUUUGAGUCUGGCGAAAAAACACCUUCCCUUCUUUUCAUGCUUCGUGAAGAAGAAUUACCAUUUAUCACAACAAUAUCCGAAGUAUCCUGAAAAGUGUUGAAGCUUCGUAGAAACAUUCUUCAAGGCUAUACUUCAGAGAUCAAUAUUAUUUCUCCUUGUGACUUGGCAUGAUUUGCCCCUUUUUCAAAGCGUUUUCCCGAAGAUUGGUAUCAUAUCUCUUUCUUAUGCCACAUGCAGUAUGAUGUAUGAUGCUUAUGUUAUGCAAAAAAUGAUGUGAUGAUGUUAUGCUAUGUAAGGUGAUAUUCCGAAGGCACACGCAUAUCUGCGCGAUAAAACACAAUCUUUUUGUGAAUCAGCGUUGAUUUUUCGCUAUAAGCCUCCCUUAGGAGCUUCUUCGCCUUUUACUUCAGCGGAAUUAGCGUUGACUUUUCGCUGUAAGCUCUGCAUUCCCUUAGGAACGACUUUGGAGCUUCUUCGCCUUUUACUUAGGCGGUAUCAGCGUUGACUUUUCGCUGUAAGCUCUCCAUUCCCUUAGGAACGACUUUGGAGCUUCUUCGCCUUUUACUUAGGCGGUAUCAGCGUUGACUUUUCGCUGUAUGCUCUGCAUUCCUUUUGGAACGACUUUGGAGCAGAAAACUUACACUGCGCUCCCUUCGGAACGACUUUUUGUGACUUCGUCAAACUUACUCUGCGUUCCUUGGAACGACUUUUCGUUGCUUCGAAGAAUUUUUUCGAUAAUUCGAAGGUCCUCUUUGGUAUGACAAAUCCUUAAACUGAAUGAAAAUAAAACUGAAUGAAAAAGAUUACUAUCAAGGUAGGAUAUUUGUCAAUAGAUGUGCUUUGAUUCUGGCACAGUGCUGUUGACCGUGCGAGCUUCGGACUGUUCUCUGAAGUCCCUUUGAUGCGGAUCAUAUUGGCUCCCUUCUGGCUGCUGGCCUUGUUGCAACGGAGGUGGAGGCGGAGGCUGUUGCCAGGAAGCUUGAGGCUGACUCGCCGAAGCAACAGAGACUGCAGGAUGGUUGCCCACAUAUUCUGGGAUGUAGGGCGAAUGAUACGAAGCUGUAUGCAUGACCUGCUUCGGCUGGGCUUGUUGUGCUGCUGCUUCAGCUAUUUCCUUUUGCUUCUGAAUAGUAACAUGGCACAUCCUGGUAGUAUGGCCUUUGUUCUCACCGCAGAAUAAGCAAAAGAUUCUUCUCGGUUGAUCGCCAAAUCUUCCUCCGAAGCCCCUGGCGCCUCUGCCUCUUGGAGCUGGUGGUCGGAAAGAGCUUUGCUGUUGCCCCGAAGCCUGUGAGGAGUAUUGUGGCCUUUGCUGUUGACUCCCUUUAUCAUCAUUUUGAGUAGAAUUGUGAAUUGACCUGACAUGCCUCGGGUAAAACCUUCCUCCGAAGCCCCUGGUCAUCUCAGAAAACCUGAAAGCCUCCUCCCUUCUUUGACGAAAAUCAUUGUCAGCUCGAAUGUAUUCGUCCAUCUUCUGGAGUAGCUUUUCCAGCGUUUGUGGUGGCUUCCUGGCAAAAUACUGUGCUGACGGCCCUGGCCGAAGCCCCUUGAUCAUAGCCUCAAUGACGAUCUCAUUGGGCACUGUUGGCGCCUGUGCCCUCAAUCGCAGAAACCUUCGGACAUAUGCCUGAAGGUACUCUUCAUGGUCCUGGGUACACUGGAAGAGAGCCUGAGCAGUGACCGGCUUCGUCUGAAACCCUUGAAAGCUAGUUAGCAGCAUAUCCUUCAAUUUCUGCCAAGAAGUGAUUGUCCCUGGCCGAAGAGAAGAGUACCAAGUCUGAGCAACGCUUCUGACGGCCAUAACAAAGGAUUUUGCCAUGACUGCCGUAUUGCCACCAUACGAAGAUAUAGUUGCUUCAUAGCUCAUUAGGAAUUGCUUAGGGUCUGAGUGACCGUCAUAUAUAGGAAGCUGGGGUGGCUUGUAAGUCUGUGGCCAAGGUGUAGCCUGCAAUUCUGUUGAGAGAGGAGAAGCAUCAUCAAAAGCAAAGUUUCCAUGAUGGAAAUCGUCAUACCAGUCAUCCUCAUUACGGAAGUCUUCCUGGUGAAGCUCUCUGCGUGGAGGCCUUCGGUUUUGAUCAUCUUGAACAAGAUGACGAACCUCUUCGGAAGCUUCAUCUAUUUGUCUCUGAAGAUCAGCUAGACGGGCCAUCUUCUCCUUCUUGCGUUGAACCUGCUGCUGAAGGAUUUCCAGAUUUUGAAUUUCCUGAUCUAGAUCAUCCUCCGGAGGUGUUGGACUGGCAGCCUUCCUCUUCUGGCUUCGUGCCUCUCUAAGAGAAAGGACGUCUUGAUUGGGGUCCAGCGGCUGCAGCGUGCCAGCCCCUGUUGCUGAAGCCUUCUUCGGCGGCAUGACGAAGGUGAUGCUUGCCGAAGGUGUUGAAAAGCUCAAGAAAUGGAAGUGAGUUCACCGGAGGUGGGCGCCAAUGUUGGAGACUUGUUCUCAAGUGCUAAAAGUUAAGAACAAGGCAACACAGAAAAUGUUAAUCGUUAUAGUCCUUCGUCCUCCGAAGCAUUAUUUCCCUUAGGAUAUAAUGGUUUACGGACGAAGGUUAUGAAAGACGUACCUUCGUAAACUCAUUAAACGAUGACGAAGGCGAUAAUGUAAAGGAUAUAAAAGACAAUAUGAACGAUUAUAUAUUAUUAUCAGGCAUAAACAGAAAUAUUAUUGAAUUACAAGUGUACCUUCAAUCGAGAGAAGAUGACAAUACAAGCGUGACGCAAAAAGUGAAUGCCAAAUCAGCGUGAACAGUACGGGGAUACUGUUCACCUAUUUAUAGGCACGGGACACAGCCCUUACAAAAUUACAUUCAUGCCCUUUACAUUUGAUAAUAAUUCUAUAGUAGUCUAUCGAGGUCUGAAUAGCCUUUUCAUCUUUAAGUCGGUUCCACUCUUUGCUGUCACGCCGAAGCUUUCCUGCUCGCACCUUCGGCUCUGUAUCAACCUUCGUAUUAUUCCGGUCUACAGCAAUGCCGACUUUAGUCAGAGGAUACCUGUUCACACAUUGUACUCCAGAAAUACUGUUAAAUCCUGUUUUUGAGGACCUUCGGAUGCCGAAGGUCCCCAACACUGGCGAUCACAAAGCCAGUCUCUCGGGGUGACCUGAGGGCCCCACCCUAGAGCGUACCAUGCUCUUUCUCGACGAGGAGAGCACCGUUGUCGUCCCCAUUGGGAGGAAUCCCUUCGUGUGGGGAGGACCAUGUCUUACGUUGCAGGACUAUGCCUCCUCGGAUGGCAUGUCGGCGUUCGCACUCGACGACCAGGAGGAGAUGGAAAUGUGGCAGAACUUCUAGCUCCUCGGUCGGGUAAGGGGAAGGAUCUUUUUGAACAACAACACAUUCCUUUGCCUAGGACGUGUCUUGAUGGCAUCUAUUUUCCUUUCAGGACCUUAUGGUGAAAUAUGCGGCCAAGUCUAUGUUCCUUCGCCGCGAAUUCGGCGUUUGGGAUUCGCUGCAGCGCCAGAGGGGCCUGCUUGCUCAGACAAAUGAGCAGCUUGCCUAGAAUAGUGUUGAAGCGACGGAUAUUCAAGCGCUCUACUCGGAGCUGAGGGACGAGGCUACCACAUCGCGGUGAGAGGCGGCGCCUCCGAUCAAGAGGGUUUGCGAGCUGGAAGAGGACUUUAAGAGGGUAUCCAAUGAACAUAAGGGGUUUCAGCGUCAAGCCAUAGAAGCCUCUUCCUAAGAUGGGUCCCUUGCUAAGGAACUCAAGGCUCAACUGGCCGUGGCCAGGCCCGGGCGAGAGGUAUGUGUUGUUUACCUAUGUUUUGCCUACCCAGACUACUUUCAGUUGUUCCUUAGUGUUUUGUUUGGUUGAUUUUAGAGUUUGAGCGGGACCUCCAUACCUCUAUUGAGAUGUCCCAGAUGCUCUCUGAGCCGUCGAUUAGAAGAGCGUCGUGUACGACGCCCUGUCCGACGUGAUGGCAGCCUUCAGACAGACCUUCGGGGCUGAGGACAUCACCUCGGUUGGUUCCCCACGGAGGCGCAUGUUGGCCCUAAGUGGCCACAUGCGGAGCGAACUCCACGAGGCCCUGCGUAUAGGAGUGAAGCGGGUGCUAGCUGUUGUCGCCUCUCACUACGAGAUUGAUCUCAAGCGAGUGAGCGAGGGCUACAUCCUCCCGGAGGGUGAUGACCUUGCCGAGGCAGAUGCUUGGAGGCUCGCGAAUGUCGUCUAAGGGCCGAGCUCGAUGAUGGCUUGUCAUUUUUAAGAGGAGGUGAUUCCGCUAGUGUCCCCGCUCGACAGGAUCCUACUCUGCGGCAACGCCCCCAAUGAUGCUAAGGGUGCUGCCUCGCCUUCUUCCGAUGCCUGAGUUGCUGGCCCUGCAGGGUUGUGUGAAAAACUUUUAAGUUUGUUUAUGAUUGUUUGAUUUCUCCAAGACUUUUCGUUGUUUUUUUGCAUUUUAUCAUGCACUUUUUCUCCUGUUUCGUGUUUAUUGGCUUGUCUUUUCACGGGAUUCCUAUCAAAAUAUGAGUUACCUUCUUAGGCGAAGGGUGGUGAGUGGGGAAACCGUAUCCAGGAGCGCGUAGGUGUUCCCGCGGCUCGGCCAUCCUUUCCUAUCGGGAUGUCUCUAGUUCUUUUAGGAUUCUGUUUUUUGACUAGGCCAAAAACAUGAAAGUCAUUUUUUAGUUAAAAACACUUCUGAGAAAAAGUGGCACAGAGGGGCUCCGCCCUUCUUGCCCCCGAGGGAGGUUUGGUCUGUUCAGACAGGGUCGAGCCUCACUUGAAGGUCAGAUCUUUUAUUUAUAUUUGAAGGUCGAAAUACAUAAUGACUUGGAAUUCUAAGGAUAAAAACGACAUAGCUAUUCAUUGUUCCUAUGACACCCUGGGUGUCUAUUUCGUGUUAUGUCGGGAGAUUUAUCCUAAGCUCGAAUCGUUAGUGGAAAUUUCUAUUUCUUGAUCAUGUCUAUCUCCUUUUAUCAAGUUACUCAUGAAAGUUUCACCGAAUUUAGAAUUAUUCAAUCUCUUGAAAUGCCGAAAUUUGGAGUCUGUUAAAACUUUUAGUGAAAACAAGAUUCAAAAAUCAACCAAGUCGUUUAUCCAACCUGUGCUCGAAUCCACUUUCUCGAUAUCCAAUCUAUGUCCAAAUAUUAAUCUGAAUUUGUACUCUCAAGCAAAAUCUCUAAUUUGUAGACCUCUAAUUAGUUCUUAUGUAAACCGACUUGUUAUCUCUAUAUCAUCAUUCAUCUCUAUCUAUCAGGUGUAUUCUAAAGAUUUCUUGAAGUUGAACCAAAUAAUCGGAUGAGAAGAUAAAUCCUACGCUUGCUUGAAAUUGCUUGUUUCAACAAAUGUGAAUUUUGAAAUUCAACCAAACCUUGUCAUCUUUCACAAACAACUCUAUGUAAACUCUACAACAAAAUUUAUUAAGGGUCCAAAGCCAAUAAAAUGUCGAGAAAAUACUCUGAUUGCCUUAAAAUUAUAAUUUGAAGCUUUAUAACGAUACUACCUUGACCAGAGUGAAAUUUCUGUUUCUAAUCACAAUACGAGGGUUGACCUUUUACAAAAGUAGUAGAACAAGCAAUAUAAAACAAUUUUUAUAUCUAAUUUAAGUCUUGACUCAACCUCCAAAUAUCUCAAACAGUGCCCUCAAGUUGGAUUAAAAUUCUGUUUUUAGAACUUAAACUUUUCUAAGUCUGAAAUUGAUGCCAAUUGGGUUGACGUCUCGCGUUCUCUAAUUUUUGCUAAGCAACUCGAGUUUGCACAAGUAUAAAAGUUGUUAAUAACUAAUAGAGGGAGAACAUAUUAAAAUAUAGCGUUCAUCCGAUUCCGUUUGACAUGUUUUGACACUCAAUUUCCACUUGUUUAGCAGUAGCGACAAACCUAUUUCGGCGAUCAUUAUCUCUCUAACCAAUGCAAGAAUCACCUCUAGUCCUAUGUAAGAUAUGUAGAGUGUAGAACACGGAAGAGAUCAUCUGCUACCUCUUUUGCCAAAAGAGCACGUCUGAUACCUCUUUUGCCUGUUUGAAAAUGCCUCAAAACACACAUGUCACCGUUCGUUGCUUUGCCUCUAAGGAAUCCUGCUCAGUUUGGCCACCGCCACGGCUUGCCAAUCCAUGGCCACUGUCGCCCAGCCAACUGCAAGCCGCCGUGGCUCACGCUGACCAGUGGCCGCGAGGUCCGCAGGCCCUUAAAUACGCCCAGUCGCGCUACUCUCUGCUCUCAUCUUCCUUGGACACGCCAAGCUCGUGUCUCAGCUUCCAUUACCAUAGCCGGGUCCAAGCCGUCCCUGCUCCUCCUAUGUUCAGUUCGGGCUCCUUCACCAAGCCACCGAGCCGUCGCUGCUCGGACCUCCAUCCACCUUGCCGCUAGACUUCUCCCUCGGCCACGACUCCUCCAGCGCCGGCUGCCUAGGCGAAGGUCCCUCAGGUCGCUGCUCCCUGCUCCUUGCGUGAGGAAGAAGACCCCCUGUCCAUGACAUGUGGGCCCAAGGCCAAAUGUGAGUGUGCACACCAAUUGCAUAUUUUUGUGUUCUGUUCAAAGAUCCAUAUCUUGAGUUUGGUAGCUUCUAAAAUCAUGAAACUUGUUUUGUUGCCUUCAUUAUAAAAUGCUCUACCUGAUAGAUCUAUAAGUUGGUAUGUUAUAGUGGAAAAUUACUGCUGUAGAAAUUCGUAUUUAAAAGAGAUUUUGAAAAUAAAUGAACUUGCCUCUCUCCAUAAAUUUAAUUUAUAAAUUUCUAAAAUGAUGAGACUUGUUUUCUUUGUUAGAUGGUGUCAUACCCUAGCUAAUAAAAAUAUAAAACCCAUAUGUUGUUUACUGUUUUCUUGUUGUGUUAAUUAAAAUAUGUUAAUAGAAAAAAAGAUGACUGAUUUGCUUGUUAUUUUGGAUUUGUAGCUAUAUUGCUACAAAUGAAUUAAAAAUUUUACAGUAGACGCUAUGUAUGUUGCUUGGUGACUAAUAAAAAUUUCAUGAUUUAUGGUGCAAGUAUCACUGAGUUAGUGAUUUAACUUGUUGGGUGCACAUUUAGUAGUUUUAAAUGAUUUAAAAAUAAUAUAAAGAUGUAAAAAUGAGAAAUGGUGUUCCACGGUAUUUGAAUGAUGUUAUAUUAGUCUAAGGAAUCUUAAUAUGGUCAUGCAUCUACAGAAAAUAAUUAGUUUUAGGUUUAAUUUGCUCUCACAUGCUUUAUUGCAUUAGUAAUUUAUCAUUUUUGUAGUAUUUAAUAUAUAUAACCUGAGAAUAUAAAUUCUGUGUAUUAGUCAUGAAUUGUUAUUACCUAUGCCUCAUAAAAAUUCUAGCCCCAAAUUAUAUGGUUUCAUAUGGUGCUAAAAUAACAUCCAUUUUAUAAUUAUAAGAAGACUUAGUGAAGAAUUAGAAGUAAACAAAAGCGUACAUGUUUCUUGAAAUGCUUAAGUUGUUCCUUAAUGUCAAUUCAACGUUUUACGUUUAUGUCAUAGUAAUAUAGAGCUGAGUGUUAGUAAUACUUUGUUGCCUGAUUGUGAAUUAAGUUAUGUCGGAUUGCCCACGAACUGAAAUUGUUGCUUGUAUGUUCUCCGAUUAUGGUGAUAAUUUAGUGAAGCAAAUUAUCAUUUCUGUGGUUGUGUUCUCUACAAAAUAUGUAGCUAACUUUAACAUAUAACUUAUCCAAAAAUUUCAUGAGCUUAUGCUAAAUGAUUUAGUAGUUAUGCUUGUAGCAAGUUGACUGUCACGUUUUGUUGUUUCCUAUACCGAUCUGAAUGAUUGUGUGGUUUGACUGAGUUAGAAUUAGAAUCACUUCUUAGGGGUAUUAUAAGAGUUGUAGUAAUGUUCCUAAACUUUCUAAAAAGUCUAAAACCACCUUUAUUGGACAUAAAGAACUCUAUUCAUGACUAUUUAAAGUUGCAUGUUGAAAUCUGUCCAAACCUGAAUAACAAUGUUUCUUUGAAAUGUUCCAGCUAGUUAAUCACCAAAUAAUCUUAAGAUGAUUACUAGGUGAGUGCUCGUGCGUUGCAACGGAACCGCUAAAUUGCAAUCAUUAGUACCAUACUAACUUCUAUAUACGUGUGUUGCUAUGGUUUCUAUAUAUCACAUAUGUCGACCUUAUUUUUUAAGUAGCAAUAAACUAUAUGUUACCAUGAAGCACUGGUGCCAUACAACAAUAACUGAAUGUUAUUGUUAAGUAGCAAUAUACUCUAUGCUAGACGUUUAACCGUUUUCCGAAAAAAUGUAGAAACCCUUAAUUAGCACUAAGAUGAACGACAAUUGCUCAACUCGGUUUUAUCCUGUAAAAUAGAAUACAACAAAAUUACCAUUCUAGGCAAACAAAGCUUCAGAGUCCACAAGAAUAUCAUCAGUUCGCUGCUAUGGAAGGGGGAGGAGUAGCGAAGAGAGGAGACGGGAGAAUGGAAGCAGCGUGAUUUGGGUUCUUGGAUGGUGGUGCGGGGCAGAGGAGGCACUUGGGGACAGUAAACCAAUACAUGAAGUUUAAUUCAAUGAAUAAUAGACUAAAAAAGGUCAGUCAAUUAUAUUAACUGAGCACUUUCUCAUAGUAAUCUAAAUGAACAACAUGAAUUUUGGUAUAACAUUUCUUAAAAUCCAGUGUUACACUCUGACAACACAUUUAAUGCCCAAUUUAGUUUGUAAAGUAUAUGGUGCACACCAACUUAUCUGACGAACCUAAUAUAUCUUUAUCUAGAAUGCAUAUGGUUACAUUUCAGUGUUGAACGCGAAGAACAAAUGAGCUACUCACAGGUGUAUCUGCUAAUGGAACAUUAAGCGCUUCCAUCAUUUCACAUAAAUAACCCUGUUCAAGACCAUAACCAUGGAUGCACACAAUAACUUUCUAUGCUUCAUCCUUCUACAAACUUGAAACGUUAUGAGUUCUAGCAAAACACUGAAAGAAAGAUACAAGUAGCUUUGACCAACGACAACUCUUGAGGCUCUAGGAUAAAGUUCAAGCAAGCUCAUAAGCAGUACUUGAGCGAUAUACAACAACACAAAUGCCAUGCAACGGAGACAAAAAUUAGUCUGCAUAUACAUCCUUAUGCUAGUGAAGGACUGAUUAUCACCUCAACAUUAGCAUAGUUGAUGUGAGAAACCAAUAUUGAUCUAAGCAGCAGCAAGCAAGCUAACAAAUCUUGAUUGUGUUUAAUAGAACAAAAACCUUAUUACUAUUAAAAAAGUUAUUUUCAUUCAGUAAUCACCCUAUAACUGCAGUAACAAGCUUAUUGACUCUAGUCUAAAAUGUAGGGAAAAAGAAACGAUUAGCGACUGGUUAAGGGCCAACAACACAUCAUUGUAUCAUCAUAAAUAAAAAAUUGUGGAGCUCACCUGGAGAUUCUUGAUAGUUGAGCCAUCCUUGUUGAACUACAAUUCAUUAGCUGCUUUUACUCUAAAGUUUACCUUCCUUUGAAGACGCACAUUCUUCCCUAUUGGAGCAGCGAGGCCGACAGUAGAAGUGGUGCAUGCGGUUAGAAAAAAUAACGGCAGAUUUAUAGCAAAACAAACCAACCAAAUGAAAGGACUACAUGGUGCCUACAAAUCGUUUUAGCUUUUGCUAUGUAUGUAGCUAGGUGUAUAAGAAAACUAUGCAUCUAGAAUUUUUUUUGCCUGAUAUAAUUUGGAACAGAUGGAGGAGCAUAGGCAUAAUAUUGAAUCAUGAAGGUAGAAAUGGAAGAAGCAUUUAAUUUAUUUCACUCAUAUUAUCAUGCUAUCUAAAAUAGGAUGCUACAAACACUUCUCAUUGUUGUAGCAGUAUGUAUGAUGUUUAGACUAUUACUGUCAAAUUCUAAAAACAAACUGCAUCAGUAAUAUUUAAUUAUUAAAUAAGGGAAAUACUGACAUCUCUUGGUAUUUCCCUUUUUGGAAAAAUAUAAGUAAGGUUCACAAACCAUGAAGAGAACACAUAACUACAGGUGAUUAUUACCCAUUUUAGCAUGAAAAAUUAAAAUAUAAUCAUAUAAAGCUGAGUGUGUAGUCUAUAAUUUCUGUGCUCCUCACAUCGCUUGUGAGUGAUUAUAUGAAAUGAAAUAUGUCAACAAAAAUAAAAAUCUCGGUGACGGUAACAUUUUUUUGUUUUAAAGAAGACUUGUUUAACUCAAGGUCCAUAAAAAUGACAUUUCAGGUAACAUAGAAGAUAAAGGUACAAAUAACGACUGUUAGGCUAGGACACAAAAAUACUCUAAACUGAAAAUCACUAAACGAGAACAAGUGUAAACAACAGUUGUACACACCAUAGAUAACAUAUAGAUCCAUACCUCAUCAGGAGCGACAAUAAUUAUAUGUGGAGUGAAAUUUGCACCAGCAAAGCAUGCCACCACAUCACCUUCCAACACAUGGUGCACGCGAUUAGAAAAAAUAACGACAGAUUUAUAGCAAAACAAACCGACCAAAUGAAAGGACUACAUGGUGCCUACAAAUCGUUUUAGCUUUUGCUAUGUAUGUAGCUAGGUGUAUAAGAAAACUAUGUAUCUAGAAAAGCUAAAACAACAUGUAAUUUGGAACAUAUGGAGGACAAUAUGCACAAUACUGAAUCAUGAAGGUAGAAAUGAAAGAAACAUUUAAUUUGUUUUACACGCAUGGUCAUGUUGUCUAAAAUAGGAUGAUAUAGAUACUUCUCAAUGCUAUAGUUGUACAUAUGGUAUUUAGACUAUUACUGUCAAAUCCUAAAAACAAACUGCAUCAACAAUAUUUAUUAAUCAAGAGCAAUAGUGACAUCUCUUGAGCUUUCCUUUUUUGGAAAAAUACUAGGUGAGCUUCACAAACCAUGAAGAGAACACAUAACUACAUGUAUUUAUUACCCAUUUUUUAGCACGAGAAAUUUAAAUAUAAUCAUAUAAAAUAAUUAAUGUAUGAUAAUAUAGUUUCACAUAACUACAGAACAUGUGCUUCUAGUAUAUAUAUUGUAUUGCACUUCAGUGACGACAUGCAAGUACUAAUUGAAUAACAUAAAUAAAACAUUGGAAGGGGUAAAUAGAAAAGCGUGGGUGAAUUAUACUAUGAAUCGAACUCUUGAUGUGACGAGAAUAUACCAGGCAAAAUAUUUAUCUAUGAACCCUAACCCCCUAAUCUCAACGGAGAGCAAGUGCACUCCCUCGCCCUCCCUAGGUUGGUGAAUAGAGAGUCGUUGUGGAAGGUAUUACACAGGAAAACAUAGCUUCCACUCACCGUUUUCCCCUAUUCAUGUGUUGUUCUCUAUUUAUAUUUUCUCUUAAAAAAUAAUGUUGGCCCCGUCAAAAGCAUCGCCAGCCAUCCUGCAGAAGAAAAUGGAUACAUGGAUCAGACACAUGAACAGAUCCAUUACAGCAUCCUCUUGGUUUUCAACCCUGCAUAGUAGAAACAAUAUCAUGAAAGAAAUUAGAUCCAUGACAGCAUAGCUAACACCAUCAUAAGUUCUAUAUGUACAUUAUCACCAUAUAAUAUGAACAACACUAUAGCAUGAAACCAUCUAGAUUCUAGACAUUGCAGUAAAGAAGCAAUUUGAGAAAUGAAUUUUCAAUAUUCCUUGUGCUUCUUCAUUAGAGAAGAUGGCAUUUCUAACUUCGACAGCUAGGGGAAACACACUUUUACAGUAAAGGAACUAUCCAGUAUUUCGAGGAAUUUGGCUUGUGAGUACAAUAGCCUGCCAGGUAGAAAUGUCAAGUAGAAGUCUAACCAGCUAUCAAGUAAAGCAUCUCCAACAGUGCCCUAGCUCAGUGUCCUAUCUUGACAAUAUAGGUCUCAAUUGAUAAAAAAUGGCUCCAACAAUACCCCAUUUUACAAAUUUUUAUCAAAAAUAUCCUCCAAUUGCUGCUUCAUAAGAGAGUUCUGUGUUAACUCAGAAGCAUACAUGUUUUGACUACAGUUGUAUAAAUGCAAUGAAGAAAACUUGAAUUAUAUAGUAUUUGUAUUUUCUUGACACGUCAUGUAUAACCUAUUCCGUUUGCUUGAAUAUGCAGGAACUAGAAGCCAAAGCUGCUACUUCAUAAGAGAGUUUAAUCUGGUCCAAGGUGUUAAUUUGCAAAAGAUUAGAAUCUUUUCAUGUGACCUGUAAAACACAUGGGCAAUUUAAUGCAUUAUUCCACUAAUUAUGGUAUCCAUCUGCAAAUGCAUACAAGUGUAAGAAAAAGGUUCUCUGAAGAAUAGACAUAACAUCUCUGAUUUCAAAACGCAGUUCACAUUUUGCCUUAAAUGAAGAAAAAUGGAGCCAAGCAAACAGAUGAGUGAAUAUACGCACAAACAACAUAGUGAAAUCAGUCAUUUAAUUCCUUAUGGUUAAGAGGAAGUACCUUGUGGUAAGCAUUGAUGCAUCACGAGAGAAGGAACAACCAGUGAGCAGGCAAUCAUCUCCAAUCUUGUUGCACUCGAGCACAAACUGCCCAGCCUUCUUGACGACGAGUUUGGCCUCCGCCUCAGUAUCUUCAUCGGGGUCCUCGUGGUGUCAUUUGGCCCAGGACAGCAAGUACUAUACAAUGUCGACACGCACCUUGAGAAGCUCCUACGAGCCCUCGGUGAAGAAGGGGUACUCGAUCUGCUGUUGCUUCUCCUCGACGAUGCUUCAUCCAAUUGUGCCCACAACAGAAGUGCAGAAAAGAUGUAAUUGUUAUACUUCCAGCUCAUUAUUCAUUUUUGUCAAUAAAAAUGCAGUAAAUUAUGCUUCAUCCAAUUGUGCUUAAGAAACAAGCAUCUUGUAGUAGCAAUAAAGUACAUACCCAAGAUGGUAACCAAACAGAAUAGCCCCCAAACAAGCAACACCAACAUAUGGCAGAACAUGUCCUAAGGAUUUAACUUGAACCUUCUCCAAUGGAAUAUCUUCAGGGUCAACUAUAAAAGGGUAAUCAAAUGAGUUGAGAGAAUGCAGAGACUGAAUGUCGUCUGCCAUUUAAACUUGCAGUAGAAAAGUGUGCAAAUGAAAAACAUCUGCAACACUGAAGGUGAUUUAGUAAUCUACCCACAUCACCUUCCGUUAUGGGUCACACAAAAUACAUGGACUCCAUAAUCAUGCAGAUUCCUCUUCUACAAGUACCCGCUUUCUCUGGUUUCUAAAAAGUGACUUAAUUUAAUUGUGAGUGGCAAUGUUCCUACCUUUCUUAAAAACAAAUAUUUGCACUAUUCAAAAUUACACAUAAAAAUUGCAUUCAUAGUAGAGGCAUUCAGAUCAGGAUCAUCGCCCCCACGGGGUUCAGAGGGACCAUAACAAAUAUUAUGAUGCCUCAAAAACCUGAAUCAAAUAAUAAGCACGGCAGAUCCCCAACUAACCACCACCCAGGACGAUCACAAUAGCAUAUCGAGAUAGUGAAAAUGCACCGCGUUUCCAUGAAUCCCCCCAACGCAAACACAACAAUGGUGCUGAGCAUAAAACAUGGACUACCAAAUCCAUCGACCUCCAGAUCCAAUAUCAUGAUCCCCUGGCAGCUGUCACAGAAUCUAACUGCAGUCAGCAGUUACAUUACCCCCUCUCCCAGAACAAACCCCCUGCCCCCAGUACCACAAGCAUGUGUUCAUGACACCAACCCCAACCGAAUCGAUCCACAAGUACAAUGCAUCAAUCUUAUCCGUAGCCCGAGACGCACCUGUCGCUGUGGCUUGCAAGCGCCCAUAUCGCGGGCUCGCGCGGAAGAGCCCCCCCCGCCGCCGCGCAGGUUGCCCAUCUCGAGGCCGGUGAGAUCCGCCGCCCGCGACCUCAGGCCGGCGCACCACCCACCGUUGCCCGUCGGCAUCCACACGCUGCAGGGGUUGACCGCCGGUAACCUUCCUUGACAGGCGAUGGGUGGGGCGGAUCAAUGUCGUGGCAACCUUCUAGGGCAGCAAGUACUAUACAAUGUCGACACGCGCCUUGAGAAGCUCCUACGAGCCCUCGGUGAAGAUGGGGUACUCGAUCUACUGUUGCUUCUCCUCGACGAUGUGUGCGGCCUGAUCGUCCUCCUGCGCAUGGAGGAGACGGUCGACCUAGCCAUCAGCCUCGAGCCAAACCUUAGGGAUCGGAGGCGGUUGCGGCACCACUGGAGGAGCUCCAGCAUCGUUACCGAAUCCCGCACGUCGACGCCUGGGGGACAAGGGCGGGUGCGGAGCGGGUGGGUCGAGCACUCGAGCUGGACCAUGAGGGCUCGGAGGCGGUUGCGGCGCCGCUGGAGGAGCUCCUGCACCGCACCCGUGCGGCGUAGUGGUUGCCUUGCCGCUGGAGUCCCGGAUCCCGACACACGAUGUCGGGGGCACGACGUGGAUGGGCGACAUCGACGAGCAAGGACCUUGCGUGAUUCAGGGGGAGGGGGACAACACGGAUGGGCGACAUCGAUGGGUGGGGACCUUGCGUGAUUCACGGGGGGAGGGGGCUGUUGCGCGCGGUGGCACGGUUGUGGACGCCUACGUUGAAAGCUUAUAGAGUAGUAUAGAUAAGAAAGCUGUAGAUAAAUUUAUUAUCUUGCUUGUGUUAAAAUUUCAUUACUAUAGGCCUGAUAGUUUAAGAGCUAUGAAUUUUACAAGAUGAUUGUUGUGUUCUGUCCACUGUGUGGACAAAUUUUGAACACUAUAUUGUUUGAGUUAAUUAAAAUUGGAACCACUUCUUGGUGAUUAUAAAAGUUAUAUAGUACUUUUACUAAGCUUUCCAAAAAUGCUUGUAUCAUCCUUUUUGGUGUUCUAAAGGUGAAGUUAUAGUUGUUUGAAGUGUGAAGAUUGAAUCUGUGUAAAUCUAGACAAUAAGGCCUUCCUAGUGUCUUUUACUCUUGAUACAAAUUAAAUCAACCUGAGAUGUUCAUAAAUUAUUUGUAAACAAUUUCAUUAUCUUUAUAUAAAGUCUAGGAUCACUUGUUUUGGAUGCAUAAAUCUUUGGUUAUGAAUUUUUGAAGUCACAAGUCUAAAUUUGUCCAAAUCUGGACAGAGCUGUCAUUUCAGCACUAUUUAACCUCGCUAUGUGUCUACUCACAUUGAGAUGACAAUACCAAAGUUGUAGAGAAUUUUUGAACUUUCAAAAAAGUAUUCGAUCACUAUUUUUGGAUGAAUCUCUUGUGAGUUAUGAUUAAAACAAGGAACUGCUAUGUUGCUGUCCAGAAACUUGUUGAUUGUGGUUAAUUGCACUACUGUCUUGUGUCUGUCUUGAAUGACUGCUUACUUGUUUUGGUUUUGAGUGAAAUAUGACUAAUAAUGAUAGUAACUAAUAUAAUUGGGCUAUAUAUAAGUAACUAGUGCACGUCUCCCUAAGUAGUAAAUUAAAUUGUUGAAGUCUAGUAAGUAAUCAGCUUCAAUCAACGUUAUUUUAGCAAGUGUCAUUAUAUGGAUAAGAAACACAAUUAAUGAUAUGUUACCAUUUCUAAUACUUAUGCUGCUAAUCUAAUAUUGUUAAAUAACCAACCUCAUUAGGCUAGUAUAAUAAGCAGUGUGAUUAGUCUAUUACUUUAUGUGUGUGCUUGCAUUAGAAUAUUGUGAAUGAUUGAAGAACCCAAUUAAGUAACCAUUCCUUUUUAACUAAGUCUACCUAUAUAAGAAGCCAUAGAAAAUUGAUGUGUACUUUACUUGUUUAAUAAUAAAAUAACCAAGAAUGAUUAAAGUAAAUGUGGUAAAUGCUUGUACUUGUGAUGGCGUGUUUGCGUUGGAUAACUAUAAGAAGCGUUCAUUGUCUUUCCGGUGGUUUUGAUUCAUGUGCCCAAUGAUGUAUAGAUAGCUAACGCUAGUGUGUGGCUGUUUACAGUGUCUUACGAUUUAAUGUUUAGUUUGCUACGGUAUGCCUUGGAGUGUCUUGUGCUAUUUUCCAUCCUGUUCAUACAUAUGCAUCUUGCAUCUCAUUUAGGACCGAGAGAUAUUGAUCGUGCGAAAUGAAGGACGUAAAGUGGAGCUGACCACAAGGCAAAGUCGGUAGACAACUUGAAGAUGGAUGGAUUGAACAAAGGCCAAGAUAGGAGAUGCUCGCCAAGUGAGUGUCAUCUAGCGAACACUACCUAGUGUUGGAUUCCAUGCAAGCACUGGUUUUAUGCAUAACCAUUAUAUAUGCUAUUUUACUGCACUUAAUGUUUGUAGGCUUGUACUGUGCACUUAAGUGUAGGAAUUGCUUGAAACCCUAGUUGCAUGAACUCAGGAUUCCUUUUGAGAUGGAUACUAGUAUGCUAGGUCGAGUAGCUGCUAUGCUAAUUAAGAAUCUCGAUAGAAGUAGAGUGAUUUUUCUAGCACUCGUGUGAGGUCAGGAAUUGGUUGUAUCCAUUUUUUAUAACAAAAUUAUGAUGGUCUAUGGACACGGAUCCAUGGGGAUGCAUUGUCUAUGAGACGAAAUUGGAAUAAGGAUUAAUGUGUGGUACCGUGUGUGAAGCGUUUGAACGUACUAAACACAUGUCGAGAAAUAUGGUAAACGAUAAGCCUAGUACCUGAUUGAACCUGCCCGUAGACUUUACUCCUCAUUGGACCUGAGACAGAGUCUCCCAUUCUAGAUAUGGUCGGUACAAGUGCGGUCACUGCACGGUGGCGGCCGAGGUCAGUGGAGCAUUGUAUGACAAGGUCGUGAGCCCUGUUCUGUUGCCAAGGAAUCGAUGGGGACGAUUGAUAUGUGUGGGGACGAAGUGCCCUAACAUGUCAUGUGUUUAGGUUUACCUUGCAAGGUUAAAACUCGAUUCGAAUUGUCUGCUUCUUGCAGCUAAUGAGACUGCUUGAUCCAUGCUGCUGCAUUGAGUAAGAAGUGAAAUGAGGAUUCUUGAGAUAAUAUGUGUGUUGCACUAAAUGUUUGUUACCCUGUAUGCUUAGAAAGGAGCAAACCUAGUUUAAGGAAUAUUAUAGAACUUGAAAAGCUAAAACUUGUUUUAGACUCAGCUAGUGCUUUGGCAAACCAAACCCCUCAGCCAAACAACUUCAUGGUCUAGAGGUAGAGGAGUAGACUCCUCACACCGGGUAAGUCUAGCUGAGUAUUAGUAUACUCAGACUUGCUUGUGGUAUUAUUUUACAGGUUCACUGCAUGACUUGGUUGAUGGUGUGACUUGGCCAGCCACCCUGCCAUCGGGUUGGACGGUCGAGUGGGAUCCCGCCUCGGUAGGAGAGGAUUAGGAGGAGUAGUGGGCUAGGCCUUGUCCUAUUCCUUUUUAUCGACGUUAAUUAUCAUCCGCUGCAAUGUUAAGAACAAUGUUAUCUUUUAUUAAAACUCCGAUUUAUGUAAUAACUCAAAUACUUUAAUUUAUGGUUUCAUGUUCAUUGCAUUUUCUCUGAGUCUCACCAUCGCGUGAGCUAAUGGUACUCGAUCCUUGGUUAGUGGCUCUAUCAGACUAGAUCCGAGGAAUUGACAGGUUAUUCCAAUUUAAGUGUGUCGCUGCCUUCAAGGCGUGACUCGGGCACUUAAGCUAGAAUAAUCUGAGUGGUUCUGCCACAGCUGGUAUAGGAGCGAAUACCAUUACAGAGAAGUCAAUAAGUCAUCAUUUCCAACUUUUUCUAAAGUAAAACAUGCUUAGAAACCAAUGUUGGAUAGAUCGUCAGGACGAUAAGAAUAGACCUAGGACGUGAAGCCUUAGGAAAUAGAUGGAUAGAUAUGUGGCUAUUUAUAUAGGCCGUAAAGGCUACUAUUAUUAGGAAGGAUGCUGUAGAAGCACCCGAAAAGUAGUUAGGUCUGAGAAGAUGCCUAGAAUGAGCAUGCAUCAUGAUUGUUGCAUCAUUGUUUCUUAUUAAUUAACAUGCUUCCCUCAUCCUUAUUCCAAUAAUAAGAAAUUGUGAAUAAUGUGAUGUAUUGCUAUUUUAUCAACUGCAAGAAAAUAACUUAUCGUGUGUUUCUAGGUUGUGUUAUGUGUUUCUUUUUCCUUGCUAUCUAAGACAUGUUGUAGUUGCUCAGUCCUUUUUGCCCUUAACCACCAAAAGUUGUUGCUUGUUCUGCUCAUAAAAACCAUGCUUGUGUUAGUAUUUUCUAACCCUUGUGUAUUUUACCCUUAAAGUUGCACCUGCACAGCUUGUAGACCCCCAUAGCUUGACCGACCAAAGCUUCCUUGUACACUUGUUUAUGUCAAAAAAUUGGUUGGUGUCUGUUUCCGCAAAACAAUAUCCAAUCACAAAUUCUUCUUGGAAGCCUUGUCCAAAUUCUCGUUAACCUCUCAUUUGCUCAUCCUAGAAGCCAACUGGUUUGGCGACCUCUCUUUUCGCCUGGAUCUAGUAAUCUUUUCCUUUGUGAAUCAUGUUGUGGCUUAUCAUCCGAAUCUCUGGAUCUCCUAUUGAUCCUGCCCUGUUAUCUUGUAAUCUGCUCCAACCCAUUCUCAAGUACUGGAUGUUGAUCAAUCUAAAUCUCGUGUUCUAAUCAUCCUCAUACUCUUUUCUCUGAGGAUCAUGAGCUUGUUUUUUCAACUGUAUCUCUAAACAGCGUAUCCAUUUGGUUCAAUGGAUUUUGUUGUUGUCUUUUGUUCUUUCAUGUAUCUACAAGUUUAUCAGUCUUAUUCUCAUGCUCGCUCCCUCCUCAUAUCCUCUCUUACUAAUCUCUGACUCGAUAAUCUUCAUGGUGAUCAUAAAGGAGUACAUAAAGUUGAAGAAAAUUCUUAUUCGUUGCUCCUUGUGACAACAGAUCUAUGUUUCAACUUUCGUCGUAUUUUCCGAGCCAUACUCUCAAGGGCUCCCUCUAUCUAUGUCGGUGCAUUUCUCAUUGGAUACGUUUGGUAAUGGUGUUGUGACUGACGACUGAUGGUGUCGCGACAAAACUGAGAGCCUCAUGUGGGCGCGCACAAAAGGUUGAGCUCCUCGGCACGCGCUGGUAUCGCGGUUAAUAGUCAUGAUCCAUUAUGGGACUAUAUGGAUGUGCUAUCUUUUGUGGACAUUCUCUCAAAGUGAUCGCUGCAUUUCGUCUCAAUAUGUCGCGAUGUUCUGUCAAAAUCUAUCUUCUGUAUCUUAUCAAAAUACCAUCUCAUGAAUUGGCAUCUACCUUCAACCUGGGAGUUACAUGCUUCUCCACCCUUAAUGAUUCUCAUUCGAAUCUCAAGACGAGAUUCUUUUAAGGGGGAAGGCUGUGACACCCCAAGUGUCUAUUUCAUGUUACGUUGGGAGAUUUAUCCUAAGCUCGGAUCCUUAGUGAAAAUUUCUAUUUCUCGAUCGUGUCUAUCUCCUUUUAUCAAGUUACUCAUGAAAGUUUCACCGAAUUUGGAAUUAUUCAAUCUCAUGAAAUGCCAAAAUUUGGAGCCUGUUAAAACUUUUAGCGAAAACAAGAUUCCAAAAUCAUUCAACUCGUUUAUUCGAACUCUCGAUGGUUGUUAUCCGACCUAUGCUCGAAUAUCGCUUUCUCAAUAUCCAAUUUAUGUCCAAAUAUUAAUCUAAAUUCGUACUCUCAAGCAGAAUCUCUAAUGUGUAAACCGACUUGUUAUCUCUAUAUCAUCAUUCAUGUUUAUCCAUCAGGUGUAUUCUAAAGAUUUCUUGAAGUUGAACCAAAUACUUGCAUGAGAAGAUAAAUCCUAUGCUUGCUUGAAACUGCUCGUUUGAACAAAUGCGAAUUUUGAUAUUCAACCAAGCCUUGCCAUCUUUCUCAAACAACUCUAUGUAAACUCUACAACAAAAGUUAUUAAGGGUCCAUGCCAAGAAAAUGUCGAGAAAAUACUCCGAUUGCCUUAUAAUUAUAAUUUGAAGCUUUAUAACGAUACUACCUUGACCAGAGUGAAAUUUCUAUUUCUAAUCACAAUAUGAGGGUUGACCUUUUACAAAAGUUAGAACAAGCAAUAUACAACAAUUUUUAUAUCUAAUUUAAGUCUUGAUUCAACCUCUAAAUAUCUCAAACAGUGCCCUCAAGUUGGAUUAAAAUUCUGUUUUCAAAACUUAAACUUUUCCAAGUCUGAAAUUGAUGCCAAUCGGGUUGACGUCUCGCGUUCUCUAAUUUUUGCUAAGCAAAUCGAGUUUCCACAAGUAUAAAAGUUGUUAAUAACUAAUACAGGCACAACAUAUUAAAAUAUGACGUUCAUCUGAUUCCAUUUGACAUGUUUUGACACUCAGUUUCCACUUGUUCAGCAGCAGCGACAAACCUGUUUUCGGGGAUCAUUAUCUCUCUAACCAGUACACGAAUCACCUCAAGUCUUGUGCAAGAUAUGUAGAGUAUAGAACAAGGAAGAGAUCAUUUGCUACCUCUUUUGCCAAAAGAGCAUGUCUGAUACCUCUAUUACCCAUUUGAAAACGUCUCAUAACACACCUACCACCGUUUGUUGCUUUGCUUCUAAGGAAGCCUGCUGAGUCUAGCCACCGCCAUGGCUGCCCAAUCCAUGGCCACUGUCGCCCAGCCAACUACAAGCCACAACGGCUCACGCUGACCACUUGCCGCGAGCUCCGCAGGCCCUUAAAUACGGCCAAUUGCGCCCCUCUCUGCUCUCAUCUUCCUUGGACGCGCCAAGCUCCUGUCUCAGCUUCCAUUACCGCAGCUGGGUCCAAACCGUCCCUGCUCCUCCUUUGUUCGGUUCGGGCUUCUUCACCAAGCCACCGAGCCGUCGCUACUCGGACCUCCACCCACCUCACCGCCAGACUUCUCCCUGGCCACGGCUCCUCCAGCGCCGGCUGCCUAGGCGAAGGUCCCUCAGGUCGCUGCUCCCUGCUCCUUGCAUGAGGAAGAAGACCUCCCUAUCCAUGACAUGUGGGCCCAGGGCCAAAUGUGAGUGUGCACACCAAUUGCAGAUUUUUGUGUUGUGUUCAAAGAUCCAUAUCUUGAGUUUGGUAGCUCCUAAAAUCAUGAAACUUGUUUUGUUGCCUUCCUUAUGAAAUGCUCUGCCUGUUAGAUCUAUAAGUUGGCAUGUUUUAGUGAAAAAUUGCUGCUGCAAAAAUUCGAAUUUAAAAGGGAUUUAGAAAAUAAAUGAGCUUGCUUCUCUCCUUAGUUUUAAUUUAAAAUUUUUGAAAAUGAUGAGACUUGUUUUGUUAGUUAGAUGGUGUCAUACCCUAGCUAAGAAAAAUAUAAAACCCAUAUAUUGUUUAAUGUUUUCUUGGUGAGUUAAUAAAAGUAUGUUAAAUAGAAAAAAGGAUGAAUGAUUUGCUUGUUAUUUUGGAUCUGUAGCUAUAGUGCUCCAAAUAAAUUGAAAAUUUUACAGUAGAUGCUAUGUAUGUUGCUUGGUGACUGGUAAACAUUGCAUGAUUUAUGGUGCAUGUAUCACUGAGUUAGUGAUUUAACUUGUUGGAUACACAUUUAGUAGUUUUAAAUGAUUUAAAAAUAAUAUAUAUAUGUAAAAAAUGAGAAAUGGUAUUCCAUGGUCUUUGAAUGAUGUUAUAGUAGUCUAAGGAAUCUUAAUAUGGUCAUGCAUCCACAGAAAAUAAUUAAUUUCAGAUUUAAUUUGCUCUCACAUUGUCGGGUACCGUAAUUAGGGGUACCCCCAACACUCCUAAACACGGCUAGUAACCACCAUCACCACAAAUCGCAAAGACUGAUGGGCACGGUUCAGGUUAAGGCCUCGUCUACCAUGGGACGCAAUCUCGCCUCACUCGAGCCUGGCCUCGAGCGGGAACAGUAGUCCCGAACGAAUUCACGCCUCGCCCGAGGGCCUCCUCAAGCGAUGGGCGCACCCUCGACUCGCCCGAAGCCUAGCUCGAGAAGGCUUCAUUGUGAAGCAACCUUGGCCAAAUCGCCUCACCAACCGACCAUAUCGCAGGCACAUUCAAUGCGAGGAUCGCCUGACACCUUAUCCUAACACGCGUACCUCAGUCGGCCAAGUCGAAGUGACUGCAGUCACUUCGCCCUUUCAUCGACUGACCUGACAGGAAAACAGCGCCGCUCGCCCCGCUCCGACUGUUGUGCCACCCACCAGGGUGAGGCUGACACCAGCCAAGUUCAGCCUCAGGCGCAACAGGAAGCUCCGCCUCGCCCGACCUUAGGCCUCGGCUUCGGAAGGAGGUCUCCGCCUCGCCCGACCCCAGGGCUCAGCCUCAACCUCGGCCUCGGAAGGUGGUCUCCGCCUCGCCCGACCCUAGGGCUCGGCCUCAACCUCAGCCUCGGGAGGAAUCGCGUCCUCGCCCGACCCCGGCCUCGGCCUCAGGAGAAGUCUCCGCCUCGCCCGACCUUGGGCUCAGACCGACCGCACCACGGGGGAUACAUCAUUACCCUACCCCUAGCUAGCUCAGGCUACGGGGGAACAAGACCGGCGUCCCAUCUGGCUCGCCCUGGUAACAAGUAAUGAUGGCUCCCCACGGGCAUCAAUGACGACGGUGGUUCUCAGCCCCCUACGGAAGCAAGGAGACGUCAGCAAGAUCCCAGCAGCACCGACAGCUGUGCUUCUACAGGGCUCAGGCACUCCUCCGACGGCCACGAUACCGCAUACACAGGGCUCUAGCACCUCUCCGACAGCCACGUCGGCAUGUACACAGGGCUCAGGCACCUCUCUGCCAGACACGUUAGCGCAUAGCUACACCCCCCAUUGUACACUUGGACCCUCUCCUUGCAUCUAUAAAAGGAAGGUCCAGGGCCUUCAUGUCGGAGGGUCGCACAGGGGAACAAGCGGACGAACAAGCUCACUCUCUCCCUCUCGCGAACGCUUGUAACCCCUACUACGAGCACACCCCCCUGGUGCGAGAUAACAUGAGCCGCGUUUCCUCCUUGUGUUCCAUCUUGCGCCAACCCAUCUGGGCUGGGACACGCAGCGACAAAUUUACUCGUCGGUCUAGGGACCCCCGGGGUCGAAACGCCGACAGUUGGUGCGCCAGGUAGGGGCCUGCUGUGUGUUAACGAACAACUUCCCGUUGAGUUCCAGAUGGGUAGUCUUCAGCAACCUCUUCAGCCCAGGACGGUGCUCCGCUUCGGGAGUCUCGAGUUCAUGUCCCUCGACGGUAGCUACGACAUGGUACUCCUCCCCCUCGUAGCGCGACAGCAACAACGACGGUCGCCAGCAUGCCCGGCGGCGGCGAACUCGACGACGUCUUCCCCUCGUGACGGAAGAGCAGCAUCCGGGUUUGUCCCGCCACCCUCCUCACCGCAGGAAGAGGAGACGGGGCAACCGUGGCCAGGCAAGAGGCGGCAUCUCGUCGGCUGUCAACGAGUCGACGACGCUGGCACCCCAGCGGGGGACAUGUCGGGCGUUGUCCUCGCGCCUGAGACAACGACGAGUGUUGUUUCCCCGCAACGUGCCAACCCCAAGCGGACAGAUGAUGCCAGCACUCUCGCGAAAGACUUGCUGGGUGUUAGCCUCGUACCUGAGAUAACGGUGCAGUUCGUCCCCGACGCAACUUCGUCACCGUCCAUCGAUCAAGAGGUACCGUCCGUUUUCCACCCUGUGCCUUUUAGAUUCAGCUUCGAUCCACCAAGCGACCCUGCUUCGGUGAGCGCUUUCGUAAAGGCAUAUCCUAACCUUUCGGGGUACCAUAUGUGGUCAUCCUGGGACCGACUGAUGGCCGUCUCGACCUACGUCGAUCUGGGGGGUCGCGACGAAGGCAACCACCUUGGUAUGCCAGAGGAUGACGAUCCCCCUGGGCCUGCUUCUCGCGUUGACAUCCUGCGGGAGCUAGCUGUGGUCCCAGUCCCUGCGGGGGGUCAGGACACACAACUCGAGCAAAUCCGCGAGAUGCAGGCUAAGCUCGACGAGGAAGCAGGGCAACUUGUGCAGCUCCGGCAAAACAUCGAGCAGGAGUGGGCAGGCCGAGCACUCGCCGGAGAAGAGCGUCAUCAGGCCCGGGACGUCCAGCGCCGUAUCGUUGACGAUGCCAGGGCAAGGCUGCCCCCGGCCUCUAGCGGGGUCGGCCAGAAUCUGGCUGCAGCAGCAAUACUGCUCUGAGCAAUGCCGGAGCCAUCUACCACCGAGGGGCGGCGUAUCCAGGGAGAACUCAAGAAUCUCCUAGAGGAUGCCGCGGUCCGACGGGCCAAGAGCUCUGCCUCAUGAAGGCAAGGGUGCCCCCCGGAGCAUCGCGCAACGACUUCCCGACUCGUGCGGGAGGCCUCGGUCCACACCGGGCGCACGCGGGACGCGACGCCUGCAGCCCCGAAUCGCUUCGGCAACGAGCGCCGCCACCGUGACCGUCGAGCCCGCCUCGACGAGAAGGUGCACCGAGGCUACCACCCCAGGCGUGGGGGACACUACGACAGUGACGAGGAUCGGAGCCCCUCGCCCGAACCACUAGGUCCGCAAGCCUUCAGCCGGGCCAUACGACGGGCGUCGUUCCCGACCUGAUUCUGAGCCCCGGCUACCAUCACCAAGUACUCGGGGGAAACAAGGCCAGAGUUGUGGCUUGCGGACAACCGGCUGGCCUACCAGCUGGGUGGAACGGACGACGACAACCUCAUUAUCCGCAACCUCCCCCUGUUCCUCUCCGACGCUACCCGAGCCUGGCUAGAGCAUCUGCCUCCUGCGCAGAUCUCCAACUGGGACGACCUGGCCAAGGCCUUCGCUGGAAACUUCCAGGGCACGUACGUGCGCCCUGGGAACUCCUGGGAUCUUCAAAGCUGCCGCCAGCAGCUAGGGGAAUCCCUGCGAGAGUACAUCCGGCGGUUUUCGAAGCAGCGCACCGAGCUACCCAACAUCACCGACUCGGAUGUCAUCGGGGCAUUCCUCGCUGGCACCACUUGCCGCGACCUGGUGAGCAAACUGGGCCGCAAGACUCCCACCAAGGCGAGCGAGUUGAUGGACAUCGCCACCAAUUUUGCCUCUGGUUAGGAGGCAGUCGAAGCCAUCUUCCGGAAGGACAAGCAGCCUCAGGGACGCCAGCAGGAAGACGUCCCCGAGGUGUCCGCCCCACGUGGCACGAAGAAGAAGGCAAAAAAGAAGUCGCAAACGAAGCGCGACGCUGCCGACGCAGAUCUUGUCGCUGCCGCCAAGCACAGGAACCCUCGGAAGCCUCCCAGAGGGGCCAACCUGUUCGACAAGAUGCUCAAGGAGUCGUGCCCCUAUCACCAGGGUCCCAUCAAGCACACCCUUGAGGAAUGCGUCAUGCUUCAGUGCUACUUCCAUAAAGCCGAGUCCCCGGUGGGAGAUGGCAAAGGCCAAGACAACGACAAGAAGGAAGGCGACAAGGCAGAGGAGUUCCCCAAGGUCCACGGCUGUUUCAUGAUCUACGGUGGGCAAGUGGCGAACGCCUCUGCUCGGCACCGCAAGCAGGAGCGCCGGGUGGUCUGCUCAGUAAAGCUGGCGGCACCAGUCUACCUAGACUGGUCCGACAAGCCCAUCACCUUCGACCAAGGCGACCACCCCGACUGCGUGCCGAGUCCAGGAAAGUACCCGCUCGUUGUCGACCCCGUCAUCGGCAACGCCAGGCUCACCAAGGUCCUCAUGGACGGAGGCAGCAGCCUCAACAUCAUCUACACCGAGACCCUCAGGCUCUUAAAGAUCGAUCUGUCCACGAUCCGGUCUGGUGCGGCGCCCUUUCACGGGAUCAUCCCCGAGAAGCGCGUCCUGCCCCUUGGACAACUCGAUCUGCCUGUCUACUUCGAAACUCCCUCCAACUUCUGAAAGGAAACCCUCACGUUCGAGGUGGUCGGGUUCCGAGGAACCUACCACGCGGUGCUGGGGAGACCGUGCUACGCCAAGUUCAUGGCCGUCCCCAACUACACGUACCUCAAGGUCAAGAUGCCAGGCCCCAACGGGGUCAUCACCGUCGGAUCCAUGUACCGACACGCGUACGAAUGCGACAUGGAGUGCGUGGAGUACGCUGAGGCCCUCGCCGAGUUCGAGGCCCUCAUCGCCGACCUGGAGUGCCUCUCCAAGGAGGUGCCUGAUGCGAAGCGCCACGCCGGCAACUUCGAACCGACUGAGGCGGUUAAGUUUGUCCCUCUCGACCCCAGCAAUGACGUCGACAAGAAGGUCCGGAUCGGCUCUGAGCUCGACCCCAAAUAGGAAGCAGUGCUUGUCGACUUUCUUCGCGCAAAUGCCGAAAUUUUGCGUAGAGUCCCUCAGACAUGCCGGGCAUACCGAGGGAUGUCACCGAGCACUCGCUGGAUAUCCGAGCUGGAGCCCGACCCAUGAAACAGCACCUGCGCCGCUUUGACAAAGAGAAGCGCAGGGCCAUAGGCAAGGAGAUCCACAAGCUGAUGGCUGCAGGGUUCAUCAAAGAGGUAAUCCAUCCUGAAUGGUUAGCUAACCCUGUGCUUGUGAAAAAUAAAGGUGGGAAAUGGAGGAUGUGCGUAGACUACACUAGUCUAAACAAAGCAUGUCCGAAGGUUCCCUACCCUCUGCCUCGUAUCGAUCAAAUUGUGGACUCCACUGCUGGGUGCGAAACCCUGUCAUUCCUCGACGCCUAUUCAGGUUAUCACCAAAUCAAGAUGAAAGAGUCCGACCAGCUCGCUACUUCUUUCAUCACACCUUUUGGCAUGUACUGCUAUACUACUAUGCCAUUUGGCUUGAGGAAUGCAGGUGCGACAUACCAAAGGUGCAUGAACCACGUGUUCGGAGAGCACAUCGGCUGAACGGUCGAGGCUUACGUCGAUGACAUCGUUGUCAAGACGAGGAAAGCCUCUGACCUCCUCUCUGACCUUGAAACGACAUUCAAGUGUCUAAGAGAGAAGGGCGUGAAGCUCAAUCCCGAGAAGUGUGUCUUCGGAGUCCCCCGAGGCAUGCUCAUGGGGUUCAUCGUCUCCGAGUGGGGCAUCGAGGCUAACCCGGAGAAAAUCGCGGCCAUCACCAACAUGGGACCGAUCAAGGAUUUGAAAAGAGUACAAAGGGUCAUGGGAUGCCUUGCAGCUCUGAGCCGCUUCAUCUCGCGCCUUGGCAAAAGAGGGCUGCCCUUGUACCGCCUCUUAAGGAAGACCGAGCGCUUUACUUGGACCCCCAAGGCCGAGGAAGCCCUCGGAAACUUAAAGGCACUCCUUACAAAUGCGCCCAUCUUGGUGCCCCCCUUUGCAGGAGAAGCCCUCUUGAUCUACGUAGCCGCAACAACUCAGGUGGUCAGCGCCGCGAUCGUAGUCGAGAGACGAGAAGAAGGGCAUGCACUGCUCGUCCAGAGGCCGGUCUACUUCAUCAGUGAAGUGCUAUCCGAGACCAAGAUCCGCUACCCGCAAAUUCAGAAGCUAUUGUACGUAGUAAUUCUGACGCGACGAAAGUUGUGACACUACUUUGAGUCUCAUCCGGUGACUGUGGUGUCAUCCUUCCCCCUGGGGGAGAUCAUCUAGUGCCGAGAGGCCUCGGGUAGGAUAGCAAAGUGGGCAGUGGAGCUCAUAGGCGAAACGCUCUCAUUCGUCCCUCGGAAGGCCAUAAAAUCCGAAGUCUUGGCAGAUUUCCUGGCGGAAUGGGUCGACACCCAAUUGCCAACAGCUCCGAUCCAAUCGGAACUUUGGACCAUGUACUUCAAUGGGUCGCUGAUGAAAACAGGAGCAGGUGCUGGCCUGCUCUUUAUCUCACCCCUCGGUAAACAUCUCCGCUACGUGUUGUGCCUCCAUUUCUCGACGUCAAACAACGUGGUCGAGUACGAGGCUCUGGUUAAUGGGUUGCACCUCGCCAUCGAGCUAGGGGUUCGGUGCCUCGAUGCUCGUGGCGACUCGCAGCUUGUCAUUGACCAAGUCAUGAAGAACUCCCACUGCCACGACCGGAAGAUGGAGGCCUACUGCGACGAAUUUCGGCGCCUGGAAGACAAGUUCUACGGGCUGGAACUCAACCAUAUCGCUCGACGGUACAACGAGAGACUGCGGAUGAGCUGGCUAAAAUAGCCUCGGGGCGGACAAUGGUUCCCCCGGACGUCUUCUCUAGAGACAUACAUCAACCCUCCGUCAAGAUCGACGACACGCCCGAGCCUGAGGAGGCCUCGGCCCAGCCCGAGGUAUCCUCGGCCACCGAGGGUGAGGCCCUGCGCGUCAAGGGAGAGCGGAAUGGGGUCACGCCUAUCCCGAACUGGCAGGCCCCGAACCUGGAAUAUCUCCUCCGAGGAGAGCUACCCCUCGACAAGGUCGAAGUUCGACGACUGGCGCGGCGCGCCAAGUCGUUCGUCUUACUGGGUGAUGAAAAGGAGCUCUACCACCGCAGCCCCUCAGGCAUUCUUCAACGAUGCAUAUCCGUCGCCGAAGGACAGGAGCUAUUGCAAGAAAUACACUCGGGGGCUUGCGGUCACCAUGCAGCACCUCGAGCCCUCGUGGGGAACACCUUCCGACAAGGCUUCUACUGGCCGACCGCGAUGGCCGACGCCACUAGGAUUGUACGCUCCUGCCAAGGGUGUCAAUUCUACGCGAGACAGACGCACCUGCCCGCUCAGGCCCUACAGACAAUACCCAUCACUUGGUCGUUUGCUGUGUGGGGUCUGGACCUCGUCGGUCCCUUGCAGAAGGCACCCGAGGGCUUCUCGCACCUGCUGGUCGCCAUCGACAAAUUCUCCAAGUGGAUCGAGGUCCGACCCCUAACCAGCAUCAGGUCCGAGCAGGCGGUGGCAUUCUUCACGAACAUCAUCCAUCGCUUUGGGGUCCCGAACUCCAUCAUCACCGACAAUGGCACGCAAUUCACUGGGAAGAAGUUCCUGGACUUCUACGAGGACCACCACAUCCGUGUGGACUGGGCCGCCGUAGCUCACCCCAUGACGAAUGGGCAGGUGGAGCGUGCCAACGAUAUGAUUUUGCAGGGACUUAAACCAAGGAUCUACAACAACCUCAACAAGUUUGGCAAGCGAAGGAUGAAAGAGCUACCCUCGGUGGUCUAGAGUCUAAGGACGACGCCAAGCCGAGCCACGGGUUUCUCGCCGUUCUUUCUAGUCUAUGGGACCGAGGCUAUCUUACCCACAGACUUAGAAUACGGUUCCCCGAGAACAAAGGCGUACGACGACCGAAGCAACCAGACCAGCCAAGAAGACUCACUGGACCAGCUCGAAGAAGCUUGGGACAUGGCCUUACUACACUCGGCGUGGUAUCAGCAGUCUCUGUGACGCUACCACGCCCGAGGGGUUCGGCCCCGAGGCUUCCAGGUGGGAGACUUGGUACUUCGGCUGCGGUAGGACACCCGAGGGCGCCACAAGCUUACUCCUCCCUGGGAAGGGCCGUUCAUCAUCGCCAAGAUUUUGAAGCCCGGAACAUACAAGCUGGCCAACGAUCAAGGCGAGGUCUACAGCAACGCUUGGAACAUCCAACAGCUACGUCGCUUCUACCCUUAAGAUGUUUCAAGUCGUUCAUAUACCUCGUUCUCUUUACAUACAUAAAUAAAUUCUAACCGUCAAGGAAGGGUCAGCCUUGCCUCGACAAAGCCCGACCCUCCCUCGGGGGCUAGAAGGGGGGAACCCCCUCUGCGUCAAAAUUUUCCUCGGAAAAGUUUUCUACCAAAACGACUUUCGUGCUUUCUGACUAUAUCGAUAAUAUAAUCCUGCAAAGCGAGUAAGAGCGCACGUAAGCGGCAAGGCCGACCAAGCCGAGGGACUCCUACGCCUCCGGGAUACGGAUACCUCACUCGUCACCUUCCGCGAAAAGUAACUCUUGCUCGGAUAAGCGAUUCUGCUACCGACGAACAAGUCCGGAUACUCGAAAUGAGAGGAAAGGAAAUGUAGCUUUAUAACACGACAAUAAGAUGUUUAGGCCUCGGCGAUCGCGAAAAACACAUGCAUACUCCAAACAAACUGCUCCGGCAGAAUCAGACAUCGCCCGGGGGAGGAGCGGCACCCUCGGCGUUGUCUCCACCCACGGCAAGAUCUGGCCCGGCCCUAGACGGCGACGCGAGCGGAAGGAUCUCCACCUCGAAGGAGGACGCCAGCACCGCGCUUGGGCCCGCGACGGCCGCGUCAAGCCUCUGAACCUCGGCUAAGACAGCCUCAUCUUAGUCGGGUAUAAAGUACCCCUUGCUGACCCGCUCCAGAUCCAUGUCGUAGUGGGAAGCGAGCACGGCGAAGGCCCGCCUAACGCCGUGAUGCAGCGCCCCGCGGAGUCUGCUACGCACAUGGCCGCCCAAGGCCCGCAGGCGACUCUGGGGGGAGCUACCCGAGGGGACGUCAUCGAGGCCAAAGGCCUGGCAAAAGGCCGAGAUAGCCUCGGACAUGGCCACGCGGUCGGCCUCCUUCUGCUCAGCCGCUUGGGCAAGCGCCUUGACGGACUCGUUAAGAGCCAUCUCGAACUCUGCAGACAGCCGAACAAAAUUCUUUAGACACGAGUUGAAGAAUGAAGCUGAAUCGAAGUCGCAAAGUGGCCGAAACGUACCUUCGGCCUGGGCACGCUGCUCCGAGGCUACGACUUGGGCGGACUGAGCAGACCGGACGGCCACAGCCAGGUCCUCCGCAAGGGAUAUGGCCUGAGCAGACACCUCGGCCAGCUGACCCCCAAGGGCCUCAGCCCGGCCUAUAGCCUCGAUAGUCUGGCUCCAAGAUUGGUCCCGCUCGCCAAUGACCUGGCCAAGCUCUAGCUGCCGCUGCUGCGCCUCCGUCUGUGCCGACGCUGCCUUUGCCUGCGCCGCUGCUGCCUCUACCUCCAGCUCAUCAUAGAGCAGGAUCAAGGCACACAGAGAAAGAGCCAAAACAGAGGUAUCCUCAGAUACUUACCCGCUCCGGACCAAGGCCAAUCAUGCCUGCGGGGAGGCCCCUCAGGCCUCGAUCCCCGCAGGCGCUGCCGAGGAUUGCCUCGCUGCCGGCUUCGGCGUUGUUCCCACCUCGGGCGCCCGAGGCACCGAAGGGACGACCUGCCCAGGCGUCAUCACGACGGCCCGAGGAUCAACCUCUUGUACAGCCGACGCGGGCGCUUGCUCUUAGGGAGCGAGCGGAUCGACCUGACUCCCCGGAGUCACCUCAAUUACCUUGGCCAAGGGGUCAAGUACCCCCCCGGCCUGCCUCCGCUCCUCGGACCGGGACCUUGAUGUUCCGGCCCCAGAUGCUGAUGGCGCCAGCCCACUUGGCUGGCUCGACGACCCCUAGCCCAGCCUCAGAUCCGGGCUGAGGCCAAGACGGGCCGCCAUGUCGUCGCCCUCGUCAUCAUCAUCAUCAUCGUCAUCAUCGUCAGGCGUCUCCGACGACGGCUCCCUCAGGAGCUCGUCCCUCUCCUGCCUCUGACGACGCUUCUCCAAGGCUGCCCGAGCCCGCAUCCGUUCACGGGCCCGGGCCUUUUCUGUGUCCUUCUUCUCCUUUUUCUUCUCCGCAGCAGUCCACUGCGUCCUCCAGGACCGGUGGCAAGGAGGGUUUGUAAAACCUCAAACACUGAGGACGAACAAAAUCCCCAAUAGUAAGGAUCAAAGGCGACUCAGUGCAAAACAGAAGAAAGAUCGGGCACUUACCAGAGAAACGUACCCGUGGUCGGGGCGCAUCGCGGGCUGGGUAAGGGCGCCGGCAUCCAGCCUCCCUACCGUACCUGCUACCCGCCUGCGGAGGUCAUCGACGGGGAGGGAAGCCGAGGACGUCUGCGAGCCCUCCAAAUCGACACCCGGCUUCAUCUCCGAAAGCGGCAAUCGCCGCUCCGCCAAAGAAGCACCCUUCGGCGAUGGGUAGCGGCGAUGACCCCCGCGGUGGUAAGACCCCCAUCUCGUAACCUCUGCAAGGCCUCCAGAAGAGGCUGGAGCUUCUCCUGUUUCUCGCGCGUGGCCCCCCAGCACCAGUUGCUGUCGGCGGCGGUCACCACUCGUUGAGGAAACGACGGGAGCCUUCCGUUGUUGUUCCAGAGGUAAAACCACCGGCGCUGCCACCCCUUGUUCGAAGAUGAAAGUCGCCUAGAGGGGGGUGAAUAGGGCGAAUCUGAAAUUCUCAAAAAAUAAUCACAACUACAAGUCGGGUUAGCGUUAGAGAUAUAAUCAAGUCCGCGAGAGAGGGCUUAAAACAAAUCGUGAGCAAAUGCGAAGUGAGACACGAUGAUUUGUUUUACCGAGGUUCGGUUCUCGCAAACCUACUCCCCGUUGAGGAGGCCACAAAGGCCGGGUCUCUUUCAACCCUUACCCUCUCUCAAACGAUCCUUCCGACCGAGUGAGCUUCUCUUCUCAAAUCAAAACCGGGAACAAAACUUCCCCGCAAGGACCACCACACAAUUGGUGCCUCUUGCCUUGAUUACAAUGGAGUUUUGAUCACAAGAACAAGUGAGAAAGAAAAGAAGCAAUCCAAGCGCAAGAGCUCAAAAGAACACGGCAAAUCUCUCUCGCUAAUCACUAAAGACUUGUGUGCAAUUGGAGAGGAUUUUAUCUCUUUGGUGUGUCUAGAAUUGAAUGCCUAGCUCUUGUAAGUGGUUGAGAAGUGGAAAACUUGGAUACGAUGAAUGGUGGGGUGGUUGGGGUAUUUAUAGCCCCAACCACCAAACUUGACCGUUGGUGGAGGCUGUCUGUUCGAUGGCGCACCGGACAGUCCGGUGCCCCAGCCACGUCACCAGUGCCGUUGGAAUCUAACCGUUGGAGUUCUGACUUCUGGGCCCGCCUCGAUGUCCGGUGGCGCACCGGACAUGAACUGUUCAGUGUCCGGUGCGCCGGUAUGGGCGCGCCUGCCUUCUGCGCGCGCUGCGCGCGCAUUUAAUGCGUUGCAGGUAGCCGUUGGCGCGAAGUAGCCAUUGCUCCGAGGAUGCACCGGACAGUCCGGUGCACACCGGACAUGUCCGGUGAAUUAUAGCGGAGCAACCUUCGUGAAAUCCCGAGACUGGCGAGUUCCGGAGCAGCGUCUUCGUUGGAGCACCGGACACUGUCCGGUGUACACCGGACAGUCCGGUGAAUUAUAGCGCGCCGGUUCUGGAUUUUCCCGAAGGUGACGAGUUGGAGUUGGAGUCCUCUUGUGCACCGGACACUGUCCGGUGGCACACCGGACAGUCCGGUGCGCCAGACCAGAGGAGCCUUCGGUUGCUCCUUUGCUCUUUUGUUGAACUCAAUACUUGGUCUUUUUAUUGGCUAAGUGUGAACCUUUUGCACCUGUAUAACUUGUACACUAGAAUAAACUAGUUAGUCCAAAGAUUUGUGUUGGGCAAUUCAACCACCAAAAUUAUAUAGAAACUAGGUGUAAGCCUAAUUCCCUUUCAAUCUCCCCCUUUUUGGUGAUUGAUGCCAACACAAACCAAAGCAAAUAUAGAAGUGCAUAAUUGAACUAGUUUGCAUAAUAUAAGUGCAAAGGUUGCUUGGAAUUGAGCCAAUAUAAAUACUUACAAGAUAUGCAUGGAUUGUUUCUUCAUUUUUAACAUUUUGGACCACGCUUGCACCACAUGUUUUGUUUUUGCAAAAUCUUUUGUAAAUAGUCAAAGGUAAAUGAAUAAGAGUUUGCGAAGCAUUUUCAAGUUUUGAAAUUUUCUCCCCCUGUUUCAAAUGCUUUUCCUUUGACCAAACAAAAACUCCCCCUAAAUGAAAUUAUCCUCUUAGUGUUCAAGAGGGUUUUGAUGAAUUAAUUUUGAAAUACUACUUUCUCCCUUUUUUUGAACACAUUAAGAUACCAAAUUAACAAUUGAAAAUUAUAUGUUAAAAUUAGGUGGUGGUGCGGUCCUUUUGCUUUGGGCUAAUACUUUCUCCCCCUUUGGCAUGAAUCGCCAAAAACGGAGUCAUUAGAGCCCUACGAAAUAUUUUCUCCUCCUUUGGUUAUAAAAUGGAUGAGUGAAGAUUAUACCAAAGUUGGAGAGAUGCUUGGAGUGACGGCGAAGGAUGAGUAGUAGAGUGGAGUGGAAGCCUUUGUCUUCGCCGAAGACUCCAAUUCCCUUUCAAUAUACCUAUGACUUGGUUUGAAAGACACUUGAAAACAUAUUAGUCAUAGCAUAUAUAAAAGAGACAUGAUCAAAGGUAUACUUGUGUGCUAUGUGUGCAGAUUAGCAAAAGAAGUUCCUGGAAUCAAGAAUAUUGAGCUCAUGCCUAAGUCUGGUAAAAGAUUGUUCAUCAAGUGGCUUGGUAAAGAUAUCGGCUAAUUGAUCUUUAGUGUUAAUGUAUGAAAUCUCAAUAUCCCCUUUUUGUUGGUGAUCCCUAAGAAAAUGAUACCGAAUGGCUAUGUGUUUAGUGCGGCUAUGCUCAACGGGAUUAUCCGCCAUGCGGAUUGCACUCUCAUUAUCACAUAGAAGAGGAACUUUGGUUAGUUUGUAACCGUAGUCCCGCAGGGUUUGCCUCAUCCAUAGCAAUUGCGCGCAACAAUGGCCUGCGGCAAUAUACUCGGCUUCGGCGGUAGAAAGAGCGACCGAAUUUUGCUUCUUUGAAGCCCAAGACACCAAGGAUCUUCCCAAGAACUGGCAAGUCCCCGAUGUGCUCUUUCUAUUGAUUUUGCACCCUGCCCAAUCGGCAUCCGAAUAACCAAUCAAAUCAAAUGUGGAUCCCCGAGGGUACCAAAGCCCAAACUUAGGUGUAUAAGCCAAAUAUCUCAAGAUUCGUUUUACGGCCGUAAGGUGGGAUUCCUUAGGGUCAGAUUGGAAUCUUGCACACAUGCAAACAGAAAGCAUAAUGUCCGGUCGAGAUGCACAUAAAUAAAGCAAUGAACCAAUCAUCGACCGGUAUACCUUUUGAUCGACGGAUUUACCUCCCGUGUCGAGGUCGAGAUGCCCAUUUGUUCCCAUGGGUGUCUUGAUGGGCUUGGCAUCCUUCAUUCCAAACUUGGUUAGAAUGUCUUGAGUGUACUUCGUUUGACAAAUGAAGGUGCCCUCUUGGAGUUGCUUGACUUGAAAUCCUAGAAAAUACUUCAACUCCCCCAUCAUCGACAUCUCGAAUUUUUGUGUCAUGAUCCUACUAAAUUCUUCACAUGUAGAUUCGUUAGUAGACCCAAAUAUGAUAUCAUCAACAUAAAUUUGGCAUACAAACAAAUCAUUGUCAAGAGUCUUAGUGAAUAAAGUAGGAUCGGCUUUGCCGACUUUGAAGCCAUUAGCAAUAAGGAAAUCUCUAAGGCAUUCAUACCAUGCUCUUGGGGCUUGCUUGAGCCCAUAAAGCGCCUUAGAGAGCCUAUAGACAUGGUUAGGGUACUCAUUAUCUUCAAAGCCGGGAGGUUGCUCAACAUAGACCUCCUCCUUGAUUGGUCCGUUGAGGAAGGCACUCUUUACGUCCAUUUGGUAAAGCUUGAAGCCAUGGUAAGUAGCAUAGGCUAAUAAUAUGCGAAUGGACUCAAGCCUAGCUACGGGUGCAUAGAUUUCUCCAAAAUCCAAACCUUCGACUUGUGAAUACCCCUUGGCCACGAGUCGAGCUUUGUUCCUUGUCACCACACCAUGCUCGUCUUGCUUGUUGCGGAAGACCCACUUGGUUCCUACAACAUUUUGAUUAGGACGUGGAACUAAAUGCCAUACCUCAUUCCUAGUGAAGUUGUUGAGCUCCUCUUGCAUCGCCAUCACCCAAUCCGAAUCUUGAAGUGCUUCCUCUACCCUGUGUGGCUCAACAGAGGAAACAAAAGAGUAAUGCUCACAAAAAUGUGCAACACGAGAUCGAGUAGUUACCCCCUUAUGAAUGUCGCCGAGGAUGGUGUCGACGGGGUGAUCUCGUUGUAUUGCUUGGUGGACUCUUGGGUGUGGCGGCCUUGGUUCUUCAUCCUCCUUGUCUUGAUCAUUUGCAUCUCCCCCUCGAUCGUUGCCAUCAUCUUGAGGGGGCUCAUCUCUUUGAUCUUUGUUGGGGACCUUCGGCAUCCGAAGGUCCUCAAAAACAGGAUUUAAUAGUAUUUCUGGAGUAUAAUGUGUGAACAUGUAUCUUCGGACUCAAGUCGGCAUCACAGUAGACCAGAAUAAUACGAAGGAUGGUGCAGCGCCGAAGGUGUAAGCAGGAAAGCUUCGGCGUGACAGCAGAAGGUGGAACCGACUUAAAGACGAAAAGGCUAUUUAGACCUCGAUAGAUUACUAUAGAAUUAUUAUCAAGUGUAAAGGGCAUGAAUGUAAUUUUGUGUGGGUUGUGUCCCGCGCCUAUAAAUAGGUGAACAGUACCCCCGUACUGGACACGCUGACUUGGCAUUCGCUUUUUGCGUCACGCUUGUAUUGUGAUCUCCUUCCGAUUGAAGGUACACUUGUAAUUCAACGAUACUUCUGUUUAUGCCUGAUAAUAAUAUAUAACUGUUCAUGUUGUCUUUUAUAUUCUUUAUGUUUCAUCCUUCGUCAUUGUUUAAUGAAUUUAUGAAGGUACGUUCUUCAUAACCUUCGUCCGUAAAACCAUUAUAUCCUAAGGGAAAUAAUGUUUCGGAGGACGAAGGACUUUAACGAUUAACAUUUUCUAUGUUGCCUUGUUCUUAACUCAUAGCAUUUGAGAACAAGUCCCCAACAUUGGCGCCCACCUCCGGUGAACUCACUUCCACUCUUUGAAGUUUUUUGAACACCUUCGGCGAUCAUAAAUCUUCGUUAUGGCGCCGAAGAAAGCUUCAGCGACUGGGGCUGCAGCUCUGCAACCACUGGACCACAAUCAGGAGACAGUUUCCCUGCGGGAGGCCCGAAGCCAGAAAAGGAAGGCUGUCAGUCCGACACCACCAGAGGACGAGAUAGAUCAAGAAAUCAGAGAUAUGGAGAUGCUCCAUCAACAAGUACAGAGGAAGAAAGAAAAGAUGGCCAGGCUAGCUGAACUGCAGAGGCAGAUAGACGAAGCCUCUGAAGAAGUUCGUCAUCUUGCUCAGGAUGAGCAACACCGAAGGCCUCAGCACCAAGACCUUCAUCAGGAGGGUUUUCCCAACGAAGAUGACUGGUAUGACAAUUUCCAUCAUGGGAAUUUUGUUUUUGAUGAUGCUUCUCCUUUGUCCGCUGAGCUGCAGGCUACACCUUGGCCUCCGUCCUACAAGCCGCCUCAGCUUCCCGUAUUCGAUGGCCACUCAGACCCGAAGCAGUUUUUGAUGAGCUACGAAGCAACAGUAUCUUCGUAUGGUGGCAAUGCUUCAGUUAUGGCCAAAUCUUUCGUUAUGGCUGUCAGAAGUGUUGCUCAAACCUGGUAUUCCUCCCUUCGACCAGGAACGAUCACUUCAUGGCAGAAGCUGAAGGACUUGUUGUUGACUAGCUUUCAAGGAUUUCAGACGAAGCCGGUCACUGCUCAGGCUCUGUUCCAGUGCACCCAGGAUCACGAAGAAUACCUUCAGGCGUAUGUCCGAAGGUUCUUGCGUUUGAGGGCACAAGCACCAACGGUGCCCAAUGAAAUUGUCAUCGAGGCCAUGAUCAAGGGGCUUCGGCCAGGACCGUCAGCUCAGUACUUCGCCAGGAAGCCUCCUCAAACUUUGGAGAAGCUGCUCCAGAAGAUGGACGAGUACAUUCGGGCCGAUAAUGAUUUUCGUCAAAGAAGGGAGGAGGCUUUCAGGUUUUCUGAAAUAACCAGGGGCUUCGGAGGGAGGUUCUACCCGAGGCACGUGAGAUCAAUUCAUAACUCUACACAAAAUGAUGAUAGAGGAAGCCAACAGCAAAGGCCAUAAAGCUCCUCACAGGCUUCGGGGCAACAGCAAAGCUCCUUCCGACCACCAGCUCCAAGAGGCAGAGGCGCCAGGGGCUUUGGAGGAAGAUUUGGCGAUCAACCGAGAAGAAUCUUUUGCUUAUUCUGCGGAGAGAACAAAGGCCAUACUACCAGGAUGUGCCAUGUUACUAUUCAGAAGCAAAAGGAAAUAGCUGAAGCCGCAGCACAACAAGCUCAGCCGAAGCAGGUCAUGCAUACAGCUUCGUAUCAUUCGCCCUACAUCCCAGAAUAUGUGGGCAAUCAUCCUGCAGUUUCUGUUGCUUCGGCGAGUCAGCCUCAAGCUUCCUGGCAACAGCCUCCGCCUCCACCUCCGUUGCAACAAGGCCAGCAGCCAGAAGGGAGCCAGUAUGCUCCACACCAGAGGGACUUCAGAGAGCAGUCCGAAGCUCGUACAGUCAAUAGCACUGUGCCAGAGUCAAAGCACAUCUAUUGACGAAUAUCCUACCUUAAUAGCAAUCUUUUUCGUUCAGUUUUAUUUUCUGUAAUAAAGGACAUUGUUUAGGUUUCAUGUAAUUAGUUUCGUUGAUUCCUACAAGAAAAAUAUGUUUUCUUCACAGGCUUAAAUUGAUUGAAGUUCAAAGACCUGUGAUAAUAAAAAGGACCUUCGAACUAUCGAAAAUUCUUCGAAGCAACAAAAAGUCGUUCUAAGGAACGCAGAGUAAGUUUGCCGAAGUCACAAAAAGUCGUUCCAAAGGGAGCGCAGUGUAAGUUUUCUGCUCCAAAGUCGUUCCAAAGGGAAUGCAGAGCAUACAGCGAAAAGUCAACGCUGAUACCGCCUAAGUAAAAGGCGAAGCGCGAAAAGUCAACGCGAAUACCACUGAAAGUAAAAGGCGAAGAAGCUCCUAAGGGAGGCUUACAGCGAAAAAUAAACUCUGAUUCCGCUGAAGUAAAAGGCGAAGAAGCUCCUAAGGGAGGCUUAUAAAAGAUUGUGUUUUAUUGCAGGGAUGCGUAUGUAUCUUCGGAAUAAACGUCAUCUCACAUAGCAUAACAUCAUCGCAUCAUUUCGCAUGGCAUAAGCAUCAUACAUCAUUUUGCACAUGGCACAAGAGGUGGGCACAUUAUUAAUCUACAGAAGAACGCUUUGAAAAAAGGGGAGAAAUCAAAGUCACAAAAAGAUACAUCAUUGGUCUUCGGAAGUGUAGCUUCGGAAAAUAUCUUCGGAAGUGUAGCCUGGAUAUUAUUCAUCAGAACAUUGGAUAUUGUUGUGACAAAGAAAAAUUCUUCUUCACGAAGCAUGAAAAGAAGGGAAGGUGUUUUUUCGUCAAAGACUCAAAAGCGGUACGUGUAAAGUUUCAUGCGUCGUAAAGAAUCGACUAACAAAAAUAGGUAUAUUACAUUUGGGGUUACAAAAUGUUACAGCAUAUUACAUUUCAGAAGUUUUUACAAAAAUACUUAAUCUUCUCUCAAAACGACUUCUGCAGCCUCGUUCAGGAGCCGAUUAACGACUUCAUCCAUAAUAUCUUCAGCCAUCUUUUUAAUUUCGUCGUCUCCUUUCGGCUGAGGGCCCGAAGACGCUUUAGCAGGAUCUGAAGUAAGACAGGAUACGGCUACAUUGCUAUUACAAAUCGCAAACAAAUCUUAAAGCCUAAGAUUACAACACAAUAAAAACUAUUAGUUAAUACCUAAUUGACCUUCGGCCUCUGCGCUCUUUUCAGCAGCUUCAGCUACUUCUCUAGCAUCGUGAAUGCCCUUUUCACUUCUUCGAAUAAUUUCUCCGGCCAUUUCUCGACCACCAUUAUCCCAGAUAUCGGUAAAAAAUUUUCCACCAAUUAUACUAGCUUCGGCUGAAGGAUCUCUCGCAUCUUCAAAGGACAGAGCAGCUUCGGAUUGUGCUAAAAUUUUUACAUGUUCGCAGCCCUUCUUCUCUAAGAUGGUGACAAUCCCUCUGACACCAGAGAAGGCACAUAUAUCUCCUCGGCUAUUUAAAAUUUCUUCGAAGGCCUCGGCUUCGUGGUCGAUCCAUUCGAUGGGACCUUCGGGAUUGCCUCUCGUAAAGUUUUCUUCGCUUGAGAAGGCGCCAACCUUGGCGAAGCUAGCUUUUAACUUCUUAACACACUCUAUAGAUUUGUUAUAGCAUCUCUUUCUGGACGAACGAAGCUCUUCAACAGUUAUUUCUAGGUGAUCUGCCCAUUGGUCGCUGAGUUCUCGCUUUGUUUCUUCAAGUAUGCGUUCUUCCUUGGCUCUGGCCAGUUGUUUCCGAAGAUCUUCAAUUUCGUGCUUCUGAGCUUCAGCUUGACCUUUAAAAGCAGCUUCGUCUUCCUUUAUUUUAUUUAUCAAUGAGUGUAAUAUUUUAUCUUUUUCGAGACCUUCGUUCCUCAGUUCAAUAACUUCGGAACGAAGGUUGCUCAGGGCUAUAGAACACCCUUCGUCUUCAGCAUCUUUCUGUGCCCUGAGGGCAUUGCUAAGUAUCAGGCCCUGCAAAGAUGUGUGCGUCAAUAGGUUUAAACAAACGAAAAAUUUUGGACUCAACAAAAAAUACAAGGAUUUCAUUUGUUGCACCUUUAAGCUAUUAUAAGCCAGGCUGUCGGCCAGAUCGUUCUUCGACAGCACUGAGAGCCCGUCUUCUAAAGUUGGGAACCCGAAGCUCUUCCUCAUCUCCCGACAGACAGAAAUCUCCUUGCUGUCGGGGAGACAAUACAAGAAGUCUUAUUCCCCACUGCCAUUGAAUAUUAACGCCCCCUUUGGAUAUUUCAGUUUUUGGGCGUAGUGCUGGGCCUCUUGCUUUUCUUUCUCUGAUAGUUUUUUCCCCGAAGCAUGACGAACAAUAUAAUCACGAACUUUGGGGGAUGCUUCGGGGGCAAUAACACCGGUUUCUUCAACAAAAGUUGGCUUUGUUAUUUUUUCUGCUUCACUUUCCAAGGGUUUUAUCUUUGCGGGCUCUGAGGGCCCAGCUUCGGCUUCAGUCUCUUGCUCUGGAGCUUUAGAACCAGAAAUUUCAGUUGUUGUUUCAGGAAUGACAGCAGCCUUCUUCGGAGGUGUGCUUGAAGAUUUGAUCGUUUCCAGUACAUCUAGCACAUUAGCCAUUCUCUUUCUUUUCGGAGUUACUACUGGCACUUUUUGAUUUUUUACUGUCUCAAUGUUUGCUGCAGGACUCAAAACUUCUGAUGUUUUGGAGCCCUCAGUUGCUUCCUUUACCUCUUCCAUUUUUUCUGUGGACGGCGCUUCGGCUUUCUCUUUCGUUUCUGAUAAUAAAAUCUUUGAUUGUUCCAAUUCUAUCUUUGUUGGCACUUCGGCCGUUUCUGCGACUUCUGGCAGCAAGGUUGGCUCGGUUGGUUUUUCAGCUUCGGUGGCCGAAGAAGUUUCUCCGGUAAACUCAGGCACCGAAGCUGGUUCAAUAUACCGCGGCCGAUGUGUAAGGACCUUUAACUUCUUUCUUUUCGGUUCUGACUCGCUAGGAGCAGUUGCAGCUUCUUCUUUUGCAGAGGUUGUGUUUUUUCUCUUCUGCUUUCGAAUAGGAUAGCAAUAGUCAGGGUAGACAAACCCGAUUGCAUCAAAUACUCGAUUCAGCCUCUUCUUUUUUCGGCCUCCGAAGGCUGCUGACAUUGCAGUGUCUUCGGCCUUCGAAUAAGUCCCAAGCAGUUCAUCACUUAAAUUUUCAAUGCUUUUCAACCAGUCGUCAUCUGGCUCAACGAAUUUAUCUCCAAAUUUAAAAGUGUACUUCAAUCUGAUAAGUCCACCUUCGUCGGCCUCUUUUACGGUUUCUUGUGGCAUUUCCCAUUUCUCCGCGAGCGGCCAUACCCUGAAGGCAAUAUGCUCUUGUACUAAGUCUCUCGUUCCAAUGAAAGAGCAGACUGCGCCGAAGGCCCUCUGGCAUUCUUCGGCGGCUUCAUUCAUUUCAACCUUCGGCCUCCGAAGGCCGAAGCUUUGCCAAAUAGGGCGCAUAAUUAUACCUUUGAUAUCUUCUCGUAUUGUCAGAUCAUUCUUCACAUAGAACCAUUCUGUCAUCCAGUCUCCGGGCCAUCUCUUCCGAAAGGUUGGCACGGGGCAGCUUGACCCGGACCGAGAAACGAAACUGUAGCAGCCAAAAUUAUUGUGAUACUGUUCCUUACCCCAAGGCUUUGUUUCAUAUGAUAAUUCAUGUAUAUUGCAGAAGCUUUUUGCGUCAGGCUUCAGACCUUGGCUUCUCGCGGCCCACACAAAGAUAUUCAGCCUUAUAAUUGCCUCAGGGGUAAGUUGAUGGAGAUAGACUUCGAAUAUUUUCAGCACCUCUACAACGAAGCUGCUCAAAGGAAAUCGCAAUCCAGCUUUCAAAAAGCUUCGGUACACUACGACUUCAUUCUCUUCAGGGUGUGGGCAAGUUUUUUCCCCUUCGUCGGCCCUCACAAUGGACAAAUCCCGAAAAUACCUUCCUCUCAUGUUGAUAAGAUGAUUCUCUUUGAUAGUUGAUUUACCAUAAACUGAAUGGCUUGGUCGCCAGGGACGAUCUUCGGAGUCUUCACCACCACUGUCCACAUCAUAGCUGUCACUGUCACCAGUAUCUUCAGACAAACCUUCCAAAAUCUCCUUGGUAAUUUUUUCUGUGUUGGUCUUUGACAUCGCUAUGAGAAAUCCCAAGUUUUUCUCUUCGUCGAGGCUCAGCUUCAUCUCAGCAGCAGUCUUCUUAUCUUCAGACAUCUUCGGAGACACUAAAAAACUAUUUUCAAAGCCGAAGCUUCAGAACAAAAAGCUUAGCAAAUCGUAGUGCACAAGAGCUAAAAAUUGAGUGAGCGGGAGCAGUUGGCCAGAGAGCGUGUCAAAUGAGUUUGCGGUAUGGGCCGUAUUUAUACGCCAAGUGCGUUGAAAAUUGAAAGACCCCGCUUGUCAGUGAAUGUUGCUAUUCUAGCAAAGGGAAGGUGUUUUUUCGGACCUUCGGUGUGAAACCUUCGUCCAUGUCGCAAUCUAAAUUUAUUAUUUUAAACAAAUUAUUAUUGCGAGGGGCUACUGUUGGGGACCUUCGGCAUCCGAAGGUCCUCAAAAACAGGAUUUAAUAGUAUUUCUGGAGUAUAAUGUGUGAACAGGUAUCUUCGGACUCAAGUCGGCAUCACAGUAGACCAGAAUAAUACGAAGGAUGGUGCAGCGCCGAAGGUGUAAGCAGGAAAGCUUCGGCGUGACAGCAGAAGGUGGAACCGACUUAAAGACGAAAAGGCUAUUUAGACCUCGAUAGAUUACUAUAGAAUUAUUAUCAAGUGUAAAGGGCAUGAAUGUAAUUUUGUGUGGGUUGUGUCCCGCGCCUAUAAAUAGGUGAACAGUACCCCCGUACUGGACACGCUGACUUGGCAUUCGCUUUUUGCGUCACGCUUGUAUUGUGAUCUCCUUCCGAUUGAAGGUACACUUGUAAUUCAACGAUACUUCUGUUUAUGCCUGAUAAUAAUAUAUAAUUGUUCAUGUUGUCUUUUAUAUUCUUUAUGUUUCAUCCUUCGUCAUUGUUUAAUGAAUUUAUGAAGGUACGUUCUUCAUAACCUUCGUCCGUAAAACCAUUAUAUCCUAAGGGAAAUAAUGUUUCGGAGGAUGAAGGACUUUAACGAUUAACAUUUUCUAUGUUGCCUUGUUCUUAACUCAUAGCAUUUGAGAACAAGUCCCCAACAAUCUUCUCCUUCAUCAACUUGAGCCUCGUCCUCAUUUUGGGUUGGUGGAGAAGCUUGCGUGGAGGAGGAAGGUUGAUCUUGUGCAUGUGGAGGCUCUACGGAUUCCUUAGGACACACAUCCCCAAUGGACAUGUUCCUUAGCGCUAUGCAUGGAGCCUGUUCUUCACCUAUCUCAUCAAGAUCAACUUGCUCUACUUGAGAGCCGUUAGUCUCAUCAAACACAACGUCACAAGAAACUUCAACAAGUCCUGAGGACUUGUUAAAGACUCUAUAUGCCCUUGUGUUUGAGUCAUAUCCUAGUAAAAAACCUUCUACAGUUUUAGGAGCAAAUUUAGAUUUUCUACCUCUUUUGACAAGAAUAAAACAUUUGCUACCAAAAACUCUAAAAUAUGAAAUAUUUGGCUUUUUACCGGUUAGGAGUUCAUAGGAUGUCUUCUUGAGGAUUUGGUGUAGAUAUAACCGGUUGAUGGCGUAGCAUGCGGUAUUGACCGCCUCGGCCCAAAACCGAUCCGGUGUCUUGUACUCAUCAAGCAUGGUUCUUGCCAUGUCCAAUAGAGUUCGAUUCUUCCUCUCCACUACACCAUUUUGUUGUGGAGUGUAAGGAGAAGAAAACUCAUGCUUGAUGCCCUCUUCCUCAAGAAAGUCUUCUAUUUGUGAGUUCUUGAACUCCGUCCCAUUGUCGCUUCGAAUUUUCUUGAUCCUUAAGUCGAACUCAUUUUGAGCCCGUCUCAAGAAUCCCUUUAAGGUCUCUUGGGUAUGGGAUUUUUCCUGCAAAAAGAACACCCAAGUGAAGCGAGAAUAAUCAUCCACAAUAACUAGACAGUACUUACUCCCGCCGAUGCUUAUGUAAGCUAUCGGGCCGAAUAGGUCCAUGUGUAGGAGCUCCAGUGGCCUGUCACUAGUCAUGAUGUUCUUGUGUGGAUGAUGAGUGCCAACUUGCUUCCCGGCUUGGCAUGCGCUACAAAUCCUGUCUUUCUCAAAAUAAACAUUGGUUAGUCCUAAAAUGUGUUCUCCCUUUAGAAGCUUAUGAAGAUUCUUCAUUCCAACAUGGGUUAGUCGGCGGUGCCAGAGCCAUCCCAAGUUAGUCUUAGCAACUAAGCAAGUGUCGAGUUCAACUCUAUCAAAAUCUACCAAGUAUAGCUGACCCUCUAACACUCCCUUAAAUGCUAUUGAAUCAUCACUUCUUCUAAAGACAGUGACACCUACAUCAGUGAAUAGACAGUUGUAACCCAUUUGACACAAUUGGGAUACGGAAAGCAAAUUGUAAUCUAAAGAAUCUACAAGAAAAACAUUGGAAAUAGUAUGGUCAGGUGAUAUAGCAAUUUUACCCAAUCCUUUGACCAAACCUUGAUUUCCAUCCCCGAAUGUGAUAGCUCGUUGGGGAUCUUGGUUUUUCUCAUAUGAGGAGAACAUCUUUUUCUCCCCUGUCAUGUGGUUUGUGCACCCGCUGUCGAGUAUCCAACUUGAGCCCCCGGAUGCAUAAACCUACAAAAUAAUUUUAGUUCUUGACUUUAGGUACCCAAACGGUUUUGGGUCCUUUGGCAUUAGAAACAAGAACUUUGGGUACCCAAACACAAGUCUUGGAGCCCUUGUGUUUGCCCCCAACAAACUUGGCAACUACCUUGCCGGAUUUGUUAGUCAAAACAUAAGAUGCAUCAAAAGUCCUAAAUGAAAUGCCAUGAUCAUUUGAUGCACUAGGAGUUUUCUUUCUAGGCAACUUAGCACGGGUUGGUUGCCUAGAGCUAGAUGUCUCACCCUUAUACAUAAAAGCAUGGUUAGGGCCAGAGUGAGACUUCCUAGAAUGAAUUUUCUUAAUUUUGCUCUCGGGAUAACCGGCAGGGUACAAAAUGUAACCCUCGUUAUCCUGAGGCAUGGGAGCCUUGCCCUUAACAAAGUUAGACAAGUUCUUAGGGGGAGCAUUAAGUUUGACAUUGUCUCCCCUUUGGAAGACAAUGCCAUCCUUAAUGCCAGGGCGUCUCCCAUUAUAGAGCAUACUUCUAGCAAAUUUAAACUUUUCAUUUUCUCAGUUAUGCUCGGCAAUUUUAGCAUCUAAUAUUGCUAUAUGAUCAUUUUGUUGUUUAAUUAAAGCCAUGUGAUCAUGAAUAGCAUUAACAUCAAUAUCUCUACAUCUAGUACAAAUAGAAACGUGCUCAACAUUAGAUGUAGAGGGUUUGCAAGAUUUUAAUUCAACAACCUUAGCAUGUAAUAUAUCAUUCUCACUUCUAAGGUUGGAAAUAGUAACAUUGCAAACAUCAAAAUCCUUAGCCUUAGCAAUCAAAUUUUCAUUUUCUACUCUAAGGCUAGCAAGAGAAUCAUUCAAUUCCUUAAUCUUAGUAAGCAAAUCAUCAUUAUCAUUUCUAAGAUUGGGAAUUGAAGCAUCACAAACAUGAGAAUCAACCUUAGCAAUUAAUCUAGCAUUUUCAUUUCUAAGGUUGUCUAUAGUCUCAUGGCAAGCGCUUAGCUCACUAGACAAUUUUUCACAUUUUUCAACUUGUUGAGCAUAAGCAUUUUUAACCUUAACAUGCUUUUUAUUUUCCUUGAUUAAGAAUUCCUCUUGGGAGUCCAAGAGAUCAUCCUUCUCAUGGAUGGCACUAAUUAAUUCAUUUAAUUUUUCUUUUUGUUGCAUGUUAAGAUCGGCAAAAAGGGUACGCAAAUUAUUCUCCUCAUCACUAGCAUUAUCAUCACUAGAGGAUUCAUAUUUAGUGGAGGAUUUAGAUUUAACCUUCUUCCUUUUGCCAUCCUUUGCCAUGAGGCACUUGUGGCCGACGUUGGGGAAGAGGAGUCCCUUGGUGACAGCGAUGUUGGCGGCAUCCUCGUCGGAGGAGGACUCGGUGGAGCUCUCGUCGGAGUCCCACUCCCGGCAAACAUGGGCAUCGCCGCCCUUCUUCUUGUAGUACUUCUUCUUUUCUCUCCUCUUUCCCUUCUUGUCGUCGCCCCUGUCACUGUCACUAGACAUAGGACAUUUUGCAAUAAAAUGACCGGGCUUACCACAUUUGUAGCACACUUUCUUGGAGCGGGGUUUGUAGUCCUUCCCCCUCCGUCGCUUGAGGAUUUGGCGAAAGCUUUUGAUGAUUAAAGCCAUCUCCUCAUUGUCAAGCUUGGAGGCGUCAAUUGGUUGUCUACUCGAUGUAGACUCCUUCUUCUCCUCCGUCGCCUUGAAUGCCACAGGUUGUGCUUCGGACGUGGAGGGUUCAUCAAGCUCGUUGAUCUUCUUUGAGCCCUUGAUCAUACAUUCAAAGCUCACAAAAUUCCCGAUUACUUCCUCGGGAGUCAUUAGUGUGUAUCUAGGAUUACCACGAAUUAAUUGAACUUGAGUAGGGUUAAGGAAAAUAAGUGAUCUCAAAAUAACCUUAACCACUUCGUGGUCAUCCCAUUUCUUGCUCCCGAGGUUGCGCACUUGGUUCACCAAAGUUUUGAGCCGGUUGUACAUAUCUUGUGGCUCCUCCCCUUGGCGAAGACGAAAACGGCCGAGCUCCCCCUCGAUCGUUUCCCGCUUGGUGAGUUCAUCACCCUCGUGAGCGGUCUUGAGAAGGUCCCAAAUUUCCUUUGCAUUCUUCAACCCUUGCACCUUGUUGUAUUCCUCCUUGCUUAGAGAGGCGAGGAGUAUGGUUGUAGCUUGGGAGUUGAAGUGCUCGAUUUGGGCCACUUCGUCCGUAUCAUAAUCCUCAUCCCCUAUGGAUGGAACCUGUGCUCCAAACUCAACAACAUUCCAUAUACUUUUGUGGAGUGAGGUUAGAUGAAAUUUCAUUAAAUCACUCCACCUAGCAUAAUCUUCGCCAUCAAAAGUUGGCGGUUUGCCUAAUGGAACGGAAAGUAAUGGAGUAUGUCUAGGUGUACGAGGAUAGUGUAAGGGGAUCUUACUAAACUUCUUGCGCUCUUGGCGCUUAGAAGUUACGGACGGCGCAUCGGAGUCGGAGGUUGAUGUUGAUGAAGUGUCGGUCUCGUAGUAGACCACUUUCCUCAUCCUCUUGUGCUUGUCGCCUUUCCGAUGCGACUUGUGAGAAGAAGAUUUUUCCUUCUUCUCUUUGUGGUGAGAAGAGGAAGAUCUUUUCUCCUUCCGUUUGGAGGAGUCCUUCUUCUUCUCCUUCCUCUUGGUGCGGGACUCUUCUGAUGAAGUGCUCCCUUGGCUCGUAGUGGGCUUGUCGCCGGUCUCCAUCUCCCUCUUGGUGUGAUCUCCCGACAUCACUUCGAGCGGUUAGGCUCUAAUGAAGCACCGGGCUCUGAUACCAAUUGAAAGUCGCCUAAAGGGGGGGUGAAUAGGGCGAAUCUGAAAUUCUCAAAAAAUAAUCACAACUACAAGCCGGGUUAGCAUUAGAGAUAUAAUCGAGUCCGCGAGAGAGGGCUUAAAACAAAUCGUGAGCAAAUGCGAAGUGAGACACGAUGAUUUGUUUUACCGAGGUUCGGUUCUCGCAAACCUACUCCCCGUUGAGGAGGCCACAAAGGCCGGGUCUCUUUCAACCCUUACCCUCUCUCAAACGAUCCUUCCGACCGAGUGAGCUUCUCUUCUCAAAUCAAAACCGGGAACAAAACUUCCCCGCAAGGGCCACCACACAAUUGGUGCCUCUUGCCUUGAUUACAAUGGAGUUUUGAUCACAAGAACAAGUGAGAAAGAAAAGAAGCAAUCCAAGCGCAAGAGCUCAAAAGAACACGGCAAAUCUCUCUCGCUAAUCACUAAAGACUUGUGUGCAAUUGGAGAGGAUUUUAUCUCUUUGGUGUGUCUAGAAUUGAAUGCCUAGCUCUUGUAAGUGGUUGAGAAGUGGAAAACUUGGAUACGAUGAAUGGUGGGGUGGUUGGGGUAUUUAUAGCCCCAACCACCAAACUUGACCGUUGGUGGAGGCUGUCUGUUCGAUGGCGCACCGGACAGUCCGGUGCACACCGGACAUGUCCGGUGCCCCAGCCACGUCACCAGUGCCGUUGGAAUCUGACCGUUGGAGUUCUGACUUCUGGGCCCGCCUCGAUGUCCGGUGGCGCACCGGACAUGAACUGUUCAGUGUCCGGUGCGCCGGUAUGGGCACGCCUGCCUUCUGCGUGCGCUGCGCGCGCAUUUAAUGCGUUGCAGGUAGCCGUUGGCGCGAAGUAGCCGUUGCUCCGAGGAUGCACCGGACAGUCCGGUGCACACCGGACAUGUCCGGUGAAUUAUAGCGGAGCAGCCUUCGUGAAAUCCCGAGACUGGCGAGUUCCGGAGCAGCGUCUUCGUUGGAGCACCGAACACUGUCCGGUGUACACCGGACAGUCCGGUGAAUUAUAGCGUGCCGGUUCUGGAUUUUCCCGAAGGUGACGAGUUGGAGUUGGAGUCCUCUGGUGCACCGGACACUGUCCGGUGGCACACCGGACAGUCCGGUGCGCCAGACCAGAGGAGCCUUCGGUUGCUCCUUUGCUCUUUUGUUGAACUCAAUACUUGGUCUUUUUAUUGGCUAAGUGUGAACCUUUUGCACCUGUAUAACUUGUACACUAGAAUAAACUAGUUAGUCCAAAGAUUUGUGUUGGGCAAUUCAACCACCAAAAUUAUAUAGAAAUUAGGUGUAAGCCUAAUUCCCUUUCAGAAGACACAAGGAUGGCGGGGAUGUACUGCUGCGCGCGCCCCUGCCUCAACUAGAGGGUGCAGCCACCGGCCCGCACCGCCAUGCGAACCUUCUUUUCCCCCGUCGUCAAGGCGAAGAGCUCCGCGGAGAAGAGAUGGGUCCACAGAUCCCAGUGGGGGUCAAUCCCCAAAAAACCCUCGCAAACCGCCGCGAAGAUGGCCGCUUGCGCAAUGGAGUUGGGGUUGAAGUUGUGCAGCUCCACCCCGUAGUAGAGCAGGAGCGCCCACAUGAAACGGCUCGCUGGCACUCCGAACCCCCGCUCGUGGAAGGAGACGAAACUAACCACAUACCCCGGUGGUGGAGUCGGGUCGGCCUCGCUCGCAGGGGCCAUCCACUCCGGCUGUGGGUCACUGGAGAGGGGACAGAGCAAACCAUCGGUGACGAGGGCCUCCAGAUCGUCCACCGUGACGGUGGAGAAAGGCCACGGAUCGCGCGGUGGAACGACGGUCACCUUGUCAGCCAUCGCUGAACGAAGGGGGUGGAUGCGGAGGGGACAAGAUGCACGAUUUUAUUUUCUCUGGCUAUUCUCUUAGGUUGCAGAAACCAAAGCAGAAGGCAAGCGCAAAUGGCAGAGUAAAGAACCACCGCCGGCCCCUCUUCCGGGUAUAUAAAGGCCCGGGCGAGAUCCAUUCAAAACUUCGCCCGAACACGCCACGAAAUUCAAACUCGAAGGCGAAACGCCCGUUCCUCGAACGACUCGCGCACGCGCAACGGCUACCCCGCGAAUCGCCCGUCCCAUCGCAUUAACUCCUCGGCAGGGCAAGCGACACCUUUGGCAGGCGAAGCGGGCAUCGUUUCACCUCCGCCAUGAUGACCGCAUCAAAAAAGGUGUGCCACACCGUCUAAAUUCAUAUCCUUUUCCUCUUCCCAUUUUCUCUCUCUUGCUAUAGGGACCGGGAAAGGGGAUAUUUCGAAAGGGAUCCUUCUCUGCGAAGGAAGCGGGCCCCGAGCCCUCCUACUGAUCAGGGGUUCGAAGGCUGGCCCCUCGGAGGGGUUCGACAGCCGCCCCAGAGCACUCGGGCUUCAAGCUCAUUACUGAUCAGGGGUUCGAAGGCUGGCCCCUCGGAAGGGUUCGACAGCCGCCCCAGAGCACUCGGGCUCCGCGCCCACUACUGAUCAGGGGUUCGAAGGCUGGCCCCUCGGAAGGGUUCGACAGCCGCCCAGAGCACGUAGAGCAAGGGAUGACUCUGGGUACGUCUGUUACAUGGCCGAGGCUCGGGCUACGCUCCCGAGGUACCCUAGGACAUUUCCGAGACCAGCAGGAGCGAUUUUGUAACGGAAUCCCAACAGAGGGAGGCAUCGAGCCCUUGGACCCUAUUGAACGGGUCCGGGUCCGGCAAAUCACCUGUAGGUACUUUUGGAGCACGCCUCUGGGCCACUAGCCGACCCUUAUCGAACGGGGCACGGGCGUCCACUCGGAUCACCCGUUAGCAACUCACUGGAGACACCAUGUUCGGCGCCCUCCGAGGGCAACAUGGCACUUUCCCCCCCUUCCUCCUUGCGGAAAGGCGACGAAGGGGCGUAUAAUAAAAGUUGAGACAGUCCUUGAUCGUCCUCUUGCUCCGUGCAGAGGCUCGGGGGCUGCUCUCGCAAACCCGGCUACGGCUAAACCAUUGACAGCGUCAACAAACCAGCCUAAAAACUCGGAACCUGACCAUGCACCCGGGCUACGGCCAGGCCGCAUGAGGGAACAACCAGGCCGACCGAGGCGUCACGAAAGGCAUUAAGACCUCAGAGGAGUCAAACUACUCGUCCGAGGCCUCGGGGGCUACACCUGGCGGGUGCGCUCGCGCGCACCCACCGGAACAAAGUGUAACCGAGAAAGGCCGGUCCCCUCGCAAAAAAGUGCUGCAAAGCCUCCAAGUGAGUACCAACACUCCCUUUGAGGCUCGGGGGCUAAUGUCGGGUACCAUAAUUAGGGGUACUCCCAACACUCCUAAACACGGCUGGUAACCACCAUCAGCACAAACCGCAAAGACUGAUGGGCGCGGUUCAGGUCAAGGCCUCGUCUACCAAGGGACGCGAUCUCGCCUCGCCCGAGCCCGGCCUCGGGCGGGAACAGUAGUCUCGGAUGAAUUCACACCUCGCUCGAGGGCCUCCUCAAGCGACGGGCGCACCCUCGACUCGCUCGAAGCCCAGCUCGGGCAGGCUUCGUUGCGAAGCAACCUUGGCCAAAUCGCCUCACCAACCGACCAUAUCGCAGGCGCAUUCAAUGCGAGGAUCGCCUGACACCUUAUCCUGACACGCGUACCUCAGUUGGCCAGGUCGAAGUGACCGCAGUCACUUUGCCCUUUCACUGACCGACCUGACAGGAAAACAGCGCCGCUCGCCCCGCUCCGAUUGCUGUGCCACCCACCAGGAUGAGGCUGACAACAGCCAAGUUCAGCCUCAGGCGCAACAGGAAGCUCUGCCUCGCCCGACCUUAGGCCUCGGCCUCGGAAGGAGGUCUCCGCCUCGCCCGACCCCAGGGCUCGGCCUCAACCUCGGCCUCAGAAGGUGGUCUCUGCCUCGCCCGACCCUAGGGCUCGGCCUCAACUCGGCCUCAGGAGGAAUCGCGUCCUCGCCCGACCUUGGGCUCGGACCGACCGCGCCACGGGGGAUACAUCAUUACCCUACCCCUAGCUAGCUCAGGCUACGGGGGAACAAGACCGGUGUCCCAUCUGGCUCGCCCCAGUAACAAGUAAUGAUGGCUCCCCGCGUGCGUCCAUGACGACGGUGGUUCUUAGCCCCCUACGGAAGUAAGGCGACAUCAACAAGAUCCCAGCAGCACCGACAUCUGUUCUUCUAUAGGGCUCAGGCACUCCUUCGACGGCCACGAUACCGCAUACACAGGGCUCUAGCACCUCUCCGACAGCCACGUUGGCAUGUACAUAGGGCUCAGGUACCUCUCUGCUAGACACGUUAGCGCAUAGCUACACCCCCCAUUGUACACCUGGACCCUCUCCUUGCAUCUAUAAAAGGAAGGUCCAGGGCCUUCAUGUCGGAGGGUCGCGCGGGGGAACGAGCGGACGAACAGGCUCACUCUCUCCCUCUCGCGAACGCUUAUAACCCCUACUACGAGCACACCCCCCCUGGUGCGAGAUAACAUGAGCCGCGUUUCCUCCUUGUGUUCCAUCUUGUGCCAACCCAUCUGGGCUGGGACACGCAGCGACAAAUUUACUCGUCGGUCCAGGGACCCCCCGGGGUCAAAACGCUGACACACAUGCUUUAUUGCAUUAGCAAUUUGUCAUAUUUGUAGUAAUUAAUAUAUAUAACCUGACAAUGUAAAUUUUGUACAUUAGUCAUGAAUUGUUAUUACAUAUCCCUCUUAAAAAUUCCAACUUUAAAUUAGAUAGUUUCAUAUGAUGCUAAAAUAACAUCCAUUUUAUAAUUAUAAGAAGUGUUAGUGAAAAAUUAGAAGUAAACAAAAGUGUGCAUGUUUCUUGAAAUGCUUAAGUUAUUCCUUAAUGCCAAUUCAACGUUUUAUGUUUAUGUCAUAGUAAUAUAGAGCCGAGUAUUAGUAAUACUUUGUUGCCUGCUUGUGAAUUAAGUUGUUGGAUUGCCCACGAACUGAAAUUUCUGCUUGUAAGUUCUCUGAUUGUGGUGAUAAUUAUUGAAGCAAAUAAUUAUUUCUGUAGCUGUAGCUCGUAUGUAUAGAAAUGUAUCCGCAAAAUUAGUACUUUAACUGUGUAAUAUAAACUGAGGACCAAUUUUCCACAAGAUUUGAAUUUAAAUUUGAAAUAAAGCUUUGAAUUUGGAAGGAAGAAAAGAAAAUAAGGAAGGAAAAAGAAAAGGAAAAAUUGAAAAUGCUUGCAUGGGCCCGAACCUCCUGCCUUGGCCCACUUCACUCGUGCGCCGCGCGGCCCAGCCUCACCUAACGACGUCGACCCAUGGUUCCCGCAAGACAGCCCCACUCAAUGCCUCGUGAUCAGUUGCAUUAUAUGAGAGGUGCUAGUGUAUUCUCGAAGAUUGAUCUCCGAUCGGGUUAUCACCAAAUGAAGAUUAGGCCAUCUGAUAUUCCCAAGACGACUUUUUCAACCCGAUAUGGUUUAUAUGAAUUCACAGUUAUGUCAUUUGUACUAACUAAUGCACGAGCCUAUUUUAUGAAUCUGAUGAAUAAGGUGUUCAUGGAGUAUCUCGACAGAUUCGUCAUGGUAUUCAUCGAUGAUAUUCUUAUUUAUUCCAAGAGUGAUAGUGAUCAUGAGGAACAUUUGAUAUUGGUGCUACAAAAGCUAUGGGAAAAUCAACUCUACGCCAAGUACAACAAAUGCGAGUUCUGGAUUGAUGAAGUGCCAUUCCUUGGACACAUCAUCUCUAAUGGUGGGAUAUCAGUGGAUCCUGCUAAAGUCAAGGAGAUAGUGGAGUGGAGCAUACCCAGUACAGUUACUGAAGUCCAAAGUUUCUUGGGACUUGUAGGCUAUUAUCGGUGAUUUAUUGAAGGGUUUUCUAAGAUUGCUAAGCCUAUGACCUCACUUCUAGAGAAGGGGAGAGAGUUUAAGUGGGACUGGAAGUGCCAAGAUAGAUUUAAUCAACUGAAGUUGAGAUUAAUGUCACCCCCAGUGUUGGUUAUGCCAGAUCUACAGAAGGGAUUUGAUAUCUAUUGUGAUGUGUGUGGCCAAGGCUUGGGAUGUGUUCUUAUGCAAGAAGGAUACGUGAUUGCCUACGCGUCUCGUCAGUUGCUGAAACAUGAGUUGAACUAUCCCACUCAUGACUUAGAAUUGGUAGCCAUAGUGCAUGCGCUCAAAAUAUGGAGACAUUAUAUUAUGGGAACCAAGUGCCAAGUGUACACCGAUCACAAGAGUUUGAAAUACAUAUUCACUCAGAAGGAUCUCAACCUUAGGCAACGCCAUUGGUUGGAGCUUAUUAAGGAUUAUGAUUUGGAGAUUCAUUAUCACCCGGGCAAGGCAAAUCUAGUUACGGAUGCCUUGAGUCUUGCAAUUGCAUCUUGAGUUCCGCCAGCUCAUUGGGUGGCAUACGGUACGACCUUCUGGAGAUAAGAGCCGUACCAGGCUUCAAUUAAAUCACAAACUCCACAUCCCUUUUCGGAGGUAACCCGGGAAAAUCCUCAGGGAAUACAUCUGAGAACUCACACACAACCGGAAUGUCCUGUAUCUCUUGCACUAUGGCUUCAAAAACUUGUCCAGAUACUUUAACUGGGACAGAUAUAGGAAUGUACAACAUAACUUCUUCUUGUCCAUGACUUAAUUGAAUAGUCCUUUGAUCCGCAUUGAUGAUAGUCUUAUUCUGGGCCAACCAAUUCAUGCCUAGAAUUACAUCUACAUCUUGUCCCUUUAUAACUAUCAUGUUGGUAGGGAACUCAUGUCCGACCAAUCUCACGAGUACGUGGAAGACUACUUUCUUAGUAAAUAUUUGACCCCCAGUGUCACACCCGGGUUUCGGGGCACCAAGACCCGGGCGCGAACAUAAUCACCAGGUGUGCUGGGACCAAGUCUCACACAUAUGAUGAAUCAUGGCACAGGAUCGAAUGUUACAACUUUACUAUAUAAUAUGAGUUCUAUACAAAAUAAUAAACAAUUACAUUAUAAGGAGACAACGGUCCAGCAACCCAAAGUUGACUGGGAGACGACGACCUAGACCUCUCACGAACACAUCGCAUCAUCCUCCAAGCGCCUCAUCUUGUGGUACCUGUUCUUGACCUGUGGGGGGGUGUGAGACAGCAAGAGUGAGCUCACAUACGUUCAUCGCUCAACAAGUUGUGGGGAAUAAUGUGCAUGAACUCGCCAAAGGUGGGAGCUCACGUGAAGUGUAAGGCUUACCAAAGAGGAUGGUUGAAGCUGAGCAUUGCUUUUAAAGUUGGUCAAAAUUUUAUUAGCAAUUACUAAGUAUAAGUAAAUACCAACCCAAUUAAGUAGUAGAACAGAAGUAACAACAUCACCUGCGAUGCAAUGCAUAUGACAAAUUGAAUUUAAGUUCCAUAAAUUAAUCAUGUGAGGGUCCGAGCUGCUCAUGACCGUGAGCACGGCUAGUAUACCAGUUUUACACUCUGCAGAGGUUGUGCAUCUUUACCCACAAGUCAUGUUACCCAUCUGCCAAGGGAUCGCGACUUCCCAUACACCUCUACCGAGGAGGCGAGGCAGGGUAACACUACGAGGCCUUUACAAAGUUCCACUAGCUUCAGAAAACCCGCUACAGUUUAUAGGAAGCUCCAAUGCAGGAAUCCCUUGCAGGACCGCCAUCGCAGCAAAAUCCUCCCGAGGGCCUCCCUACACUGACCACUCCCCUACUGCCCUUGCCCCUUUCGGGUAAGGUAGUCCUCCACUAGCUUUCCUAAUUAAUCAGCCAAGGGCGUCCCAUUAUACCCUUGUGGUAGCACUGUUUUCCCGGGUGGUCGCUCCAUGUUCCAAUUAACAUAAUGAUCUUAUCAUGAACAGUAAAUAACAACGGAUAACAAAAGUAUAAUCAUGAAUAAUGUAUCUUCAUACCCAAAACCACAUAAAGCACUAGCAAGUACUACCCAAAAAGUUCAGUGGUAAACAAGGUAUAAAGAUAGACAAACUAGGGUAACCUAUUGGGUCCCAUCAAAAUUAACCUAUGCAGAUCAUUAUGAUUAAUCAGAACAUGGCUGGGUAAAAGAAGUGAUCAAGGGCACAACUUGCCUGGGACUUGAGAUUCCAGGUACCAGGAUGAUCUUCAGGUGACACGUGACCUCGCUCUAGUCGUAGCAAUACAAACAAACAUUGUAUAGGCAAAAAUUAACAUUACACCAAACAUAAGAAUAAUUAUGAUCUACACGUUUGCUACGAGAUCGUAGAAACAAGAACAACUAAAUUCGGAGUUACAGUUAUUAAGUUAUGAAUUUUUGAAAUUAUUUAGUGCUUAGAAUAGAUUAAUCCUAAUGAACAAUUUUAACUCAAGUUUCAUGGCUAAACAGUGUUAUUAGUUGAUAGACAAUAUUAACACAAAAUUAUUGCAACUGGAAUGGGUUAAUUUGGAGCUAAAAUAAAUUUUCUAUGAAUUAUAUAAGUUCUAGGAUUAUUUUUAUACUCAAAAUCGAUUUCUAAAUCUCUUUUCCUGUUUUUCUUUAAUUCCUGGACUGUGCGCCAAAUAUCGAAGAGUACAAGGGCAUAACUAUAAGAAUCCCCGAGACACAGAGUUAUACUGUGACGGACUGCGGGUUGUUUUUGAAUAAGUCAAGGGGCUUUUUAGCAAAUGCUACACCGCGAAGGGGUACACUCUAAUUUGGACCGUCAGAUCAAUUCCAACGGUCAGGAUUAGAUCUAUCUCUUUAUAGACCAGCAUUUGACGAGAGCCCGCAGAUCAAUCCUACGUCUUCCGAUCAAAGAUCAACGACCCUGAUUUAAUGUCGCGAAGGGGUAUCGCCUGCUUCUAAUCAGAGCCGUCAACCUGAGAUCCUACGGCCCACGGUUCUUCUUUCUUCCCCAAAUCCGCUGCGCGGCAACACCGAGCACGCACGGCGGCGCACGCCGGUGAGGUAGUCGAUCGAUCACCCCCGAGUACUAAGCACUAAAUUAGACCGAGCUAAGCGGUGCGGGAGACAAAGCGAUCACCAGCGAUAGUUUUCUUACCGAGGGGAUGAAGCUCAGAGGCCCGACCACGGCGUCACGCGGCAGGCGGAAAUGGGUACAGCUUCGGUGAGAAAUCGCCCGUCGCCUGGAGCUUGACUUCACCCGGCGAGUCAACGGGUGGUUUCCGCGGCGGCUGGCGACACUAUCUGCUCACUUUCCCCACGAAUUCAACCGCGACGGCAUCCUUUCUCUCUCUGCGCACGACGAAGCUUUUGAUGACUCUCUGAUGUUGGGCAGGGGUGGCGGUCAUCAAUUUAUAUACCAUGGGCGACGGAAUUCCGACCCAGACUUUCUAGCUCGCAAAUCCGCGCAACCACAACGGCAUCCGCGCAUCGCGCGGGGUUUGGUGGUGCUGCCAUAGCUGGGCGACCGAGGGGGGCUGGCUAGGAAGGCCCGCCGGUCAGACGGCACAAGCAGGGAGAACCAUUCAUGGCGCAAGAUUCCCGGGCGGACUCCGCGCAAGGACUGGCUCCGAUCCCGCCGGGCGUGCGAGUUGUGGCGACGGCGCGGCGAAGGGGAUGACCCUGACAGGCUGGGCCCACACGCAAGACACCCAGGCGAGAGGUGCUGAGGACAGCGUAGGCGCGCACAGACUCUAGCUGAGGCCGCUGGCUUGUGGGGCCCACGGCACGGUGAGAACGGCAGGGCACAGUGGCUGGCCAGGAGGAGAGAAGUGGAAAGGGGAGUUGGGCCGGCUAAGUUCAAUUCGGCCCAUAGGGUACAUGAACUUCAUUUUCUUUUUCUUUUUUUUUUUGAAUUUUUAUUCCAAAUCUAAUCACAAAUUCUAAAUUUGUUCAAAAUUCAAUUUGAUUUGGGGUUCGAAUUUCCCAGUUGAAUGCACACAAGCAAAACCCUAGAAUGCAUGCAACCAUUAUAUUUUACUUAUCUAUUUCAUCUUUUUAAGCAUAGUGGCAUAAAAAUAUAUAAUUCAAUAGGGAUGAUUUUUUUCCAAGCAAAUAUAAUCUAUGUACAGGUAUAUAUAUAUAUAUAUUUUAUUUUAUUAUUAUUAUUUUCUUGAUACAAAAUUUAGGCUUUACAAAUCCUACCCCCUUAACAGAAAUCUCGUCCUCGAGAUUUGUAAGAAAAAGGGGUGCAACCAGUUUGGUUUGAAAUUUAGUUUCUCAUUUGGUUUAGGAAUCAAAAGUUGUGUUUGAAGCUUUUUUUCACGUUAGUAGAUGAUUUGGAAAAUAUUGAUAUACAUGUCUAGGCAUUUAUUAUGUCAGAUGAGGUACGGUUAUGGCAAGUAUAGGUUGUGGCAAGGAAGAGUAUAAUAAGGAAAGACUUCAUCAAAACUGUGGAUCUUGAUUCCGCUGACGAUUCAACUUGAUCUUUGAAGACUUGAGUUGAUGCUUAUCCUUCUUUGAUGUAGUUGGUCUUGUUUGGCAUUUCUUCUUGGAGUUGCCAUCCGAGUUAAGGACAUGUGAGUGGGAUGGAUUAUGUGGUAUAGGUAGGUUAGAAUCUCCUGCUAGGUUAAAAUCAAGGGGUUUUGCAACUAUCGAAUGGUUAAGGUAGUUGCAUAUGGCCAAGUUGGUCUGUCGUUCUUAAUUUAGUGCAGGGUGAACUAAGUUAAGACAUGUUCUAUAGGAGUAGAGUCUAAUCUAUUUCAUCAGUAUUUUCUAACAUGUUUGAUAAGUCACCUUAGAUUAGAUCAGAUCUAGGUUAGAUUGGUGUGACUAGCUUGAACUAGAUAAGAUCUAAUUAAGUUGGAUUGGAUCAUGAUUGUUACUCCGAGGUGAGAUAAGCAAAGUGGUUAGGAUAAGAUAAGAUAAGAUAGAUUCUUUUAAGAUAAGAUGAAUCUAUUAAGGUAAGAGAAUAUCUUUUAAGAUAAGAUGGAUCUUAUGAAGCUAGAUAUAUUUUAAUGGAGGAUAUUCUUAGUUGAUCUAGUUAUAUUAUGAUUUCUUAUGCCUGUAUGUAUAUGUAGAUGGAAUUGUGGACAUUACUCCACAACUCAUCACACUCAAUCAAAGAACCAAAUCAGACAUGUAUCAUAAGAACAAACAUUCAAGUUCAUAGAGGUAAAAAAUAUUUUUGUUUUUGUUCCUAAGAUUAGGUCUCCUAUUCCUAAAAGUCACUUUAGGCACAGGAUUUCAAAGUGUGAAAUCCACAUUUGUCUUUAGAAAAGAAAAGGUAAGAAUAAUCAGAGUAAGCGGAAAUAGAUGAGAAAGAUUAAGAGAAGUUUAGAAAAGAAUCAGAGUAGCAAAGAUAAGUAAGUAUUGGUUGUCCAGUUCCAUCUAGGUUUCGUCCUACAGUCAACAUUCCUCUGAUACCACUUCUGUCACACCCGGGUUUCGGGGCACCAAGACCCGGGCGCGAACAUAAUCACCAGGUGUGCUGGGACCAAGUCUCACACAUAUGAUGAAUCAUGGCACAGGAUCGAAUGUUACAACUUUACUAUAUAAUAUUAGUUCUAUACAAAAUAAUAAACAAUUACAUUAUAAGGAGACAACGGUCCAGCAACCCAAAGUUGACUGGGAGACGACGACCUAGACCUCUCACGAACACAUCGCAUCAUCCUCCAAGCGCCUCAUCUUGUGGUACCUGUUCUUGACCUGUGGGGGGUGUGAGACAGCAAGAGUGAGCUCACAUACGUUCAUCGCUCAACAAGUUGUGGGGAAUAAUGUGCAUGAACUCGCCAAAGGUGGGAGCUCACGUGAAGUGUAAGGCUUACCAAAGAGGAUGGUUGAAGCUGAGCAUUGCUUUUAAAGUUGGUCAAAAUUUUAUUAGCAAUUACUAAGUAUAAGUAAAUACCAACCCAAUUAAGUAGUAGAACAGAAGUAACAACAUCACCUGCGAUGCAAUGCAUAUGACAAAUUGAAUUUAAGUUCCAUAAAUUAAUCAUGUGAGGGUCCGAGCUGCUCAUGACCGUGAGCACGGCUAGUAUACCAGUUUUACACUCUGCAGAGGUUGUGCAUCUUUACCCACAAGUCAUGUUACCCAUCUGCCAAGGGAUCGCGACUUCCCAUACACCUCUACCGAGGAGGCGAGGCAGGGUAACACUACGAGGCCUUUACAAAGUUCCACUAGCUUCAGAAAACCCGCUACAGUUUAUAGGAAGCUCCAAUGCAGGAAUCCCUUGCAGGACCGCCAUCGCAGCAAAAUCCUCCCGAGGGCCUCCCUACACUGACCACUCCCCUACUGCCCUUGCCCCUUUCGGGUAAGGUAGUCCUCCACUAGCUUUCCUAAUUAAUCAGCCAAGCGCGUCCCAUUAUACCCUUGUGGUAGCACUGUUUUCCCGGGUGGUCGCUCCAUGUUCCAAUUAACAUAAUGAUCUUAUCAUGAACAGUAAAUAACAACGGAUAACAAAAGUAUAAUCAUGAAUAAUGUAUCUUCAUACCCAAAACCACAUAAAGCACUAGCAAGUACUACCCAAAAAGUUCAGUGGUAAACAAGGUAUAAAGAUAGACAAACUAGGAUAACCUAUUGGGUCCCAUCAAAAUUAACCUAUGCAGAUCAUUAUGAUUAAUCAGAACAUGGCUGGGUAAAAGAAGUGAUCAAGGGCACAACUUGCCUGGGACUUGAGAUUCCAGGUACCAGGAUGAUCUUCAGGUGACACGUGACCUCGCUCUAGUCGUAGCAAUACAAACAAACAUUGUAUAGGCAAAAAUUAACAUUACACCAAACAUAAGAAUAAACUAUAUAAUUAUGAUCUACACGUUUGCUACGAGAUCGUAGAAACAAGAACAACUAAAUUCGGAGUUACAAUUAUUAAGUUAUGAAUUUUCGAAAUUAUUUAGUGCUUAGAAUAGAUUAAUCCUAAUGAACAAUUUUAACUCAAGUUUCAUGGCUAAACAGUGUUAUUAGUUGAUAGACAAUAUUAACACAAAAUUAUUGCAACUGGAAUGGGUUAAUUUGGAGCUAAAAUAAAUUUUCUAUGAGUUAUAUAAGUUCUAGGAUUAUUUUUAUACUCAAAAUCGAUUUCUAAAUCUCUUUUCCUGUUUUUCUUUAAUUCCUGGACUGCGCGCCAAAUAUCGAAGAGUACAAGGGCAUAACUAUAAGAAUCCCCGAGACACAGAGUUAUACUGUGACGGACUGCGGGUUGUUUUUGAAUAAGUCAAGGGGCUUUUUAGCAAAUGCUACACCGCGAAGGGGUACACUCUAAUUUGGACCGUCAGAUCAAUUCCAACGGUCAGGAUUAGAUCUAUCUCUUUCUAGACCAGCAUUUGACGAGAGCCCGCAGAUCAAUCCUACGUCUUCCGAUCAAAGAUCAACGACCCUGAUUUAAUGUCGCGAAGGGGUAUCGCCUGCUUCUAAUCAGAGCCGUCAACCUGAGAUCCUACGGCCCACGGUUCUUCUUCCUUCCCCAAAUCCGCUGCGCGGCAACACCGAGCACGCACGGCGGCGCACGCCGGUGAGGUAGUCGAUCGAUCACCCCCGAGUACUAAGCACUAAAUUAGACCGAGCUAAGCGGUGCGGGAGACAAAGCGAUCACCAGCGAUAGUUUUCUUACCGAGGGGAUGAAGCUCAGAGGCCCGACCACGGCGUCACGCGGCAGGCGGAAAUGGGUACAGCUUCGGUGAGAAAUCGCCCGUCGCCUGGAGCUUGACUUCACCCGGCGAGUCAACGGGUGGUUUCCGCGGCGGCUGGCGACACUAUCUGCUCACUUUCCCCACGAAUUCAACCGCGACGGCAUCCUUUCUCUCUCUGCGCACGACGAAGCUUUUGAUGACUCUCUGAUGUUGGGCAGGGGUGGCGGCCAUCAAUUUAUAUACCAUGGGCGACGGAAUUCCGACCCAGACUUUCUAGCUCGCAAAUCCGCGCAACCACAACGGCAUCCGCGCAUCGCGCGGGGUUUGGUGGUGCCGCCAUAGCUGGGCGACCGAGGGGGGCUGGCUAGGAAGGCCCGCCGGUCAGACGACACAAGCAGGGAGAACCAUUCACGGCGCAAGAUUCCCGGGCGGACUCCGCGCAAGGACUGGCUCCGAUCCCGCCGGGCGUGCGAGUUGUGGCGACGGCGCGGCGAAGGGGAUGACCCUGACAGGCUGGGCCCACACGCAAGACACCCAGGCGAGAGGUGCUGAGGACAGCGUAGGCGCGCACAGACUCUAGCUGAGGCCGCUGGCUUGUGGGGCCCACGGCACGGUGAGAACGGCAGGGCACAGUGGCUGGCCAGGAGGAGAGAAGUGGAAAGGGGAGUUGGGCCGACUAAGUUCAAUUCGGCCCAUAGGGUACAUGAACUUCAUUUUCUUUUUCUUUUUUUUUUGAAUUUUUAUUCCAAAUCUAAUCACAAAUUCUAAAUUUGUUCAAAAUUCAAUUUGAUUUGGGGUUCGAAUUUCCUAGUUGAAUGCACACAAGCAAAACCCUAGAAUGCAUGCAACCAUUAUAUUUUACUUAUCUAUUUCAUCUUUUUAAGCAUAGUGGCAUAAAAAUAUAUAAUUCAAUAGGAUGAUUUUUUUCCAAGCAAAUAUAAUCUAUGUACAGGUAUAUAUAUAUAUAUUAUUUUUAUUAUUAUUUUCUUGAUACAAAAUUUAGGCUUUACACCCAGGCGAUUGAAUAACAAAACCCUCUUUUGAUUCAGUACUAUGUAUGCAAUGUUCUCAACAAAAGUCUUGCUCAUAAAAGUAUGUGAUGCACCAGAGUCAAAAAGGAUGACGGCGGGAUGGUUGGCAACGAAAAAUGUACAAUCAUCAUCGGUUCUCCUUCUAGGGUGGUCACCACUUGGGUGUAGUAAACUCGCCCAGUUUUCUUUGUAUUUUUGCCCACUGUAGGGUUGGCCACAUUUCCAUUUCCUUGAGUCGCGUUCCCAGAAGCCUGUUAGAAAUUUGAUUUAUUCUGCUUUGGAUAGGGACAGUCCUUGAUAAAGUGUCCAGACUUUUCACAAUUAAAGCAACCAUUUGAGGAACUGGGUAGAGCGGGGAAACGACCACCAGGGGCACUCGGCUGAUUGUUCUGGGCGGGGCAGGAGUGGGACGGAUGAACACUGGUUGCUUGAAAGGAUAUGUGGGUGGACGAGGAGAAGAGCGAUUUGGGUUGAAAGGACAAAUGACCAACGUUGACCGCUUUUUAGACCCUUGGGAUGAUCCUUCACCCCAAUAUCUCUUUGUUUUCCCUUGUCCCAAAUUCUUGGCUUCCACUGGCAGCGCUGUGCUUACAGCCCUGCUAUAAGUGAGAUCCAGGCAUGUGGCCAUCUUGCGCUAGAGUCGAUCNNNNNNNNNNNNNNNNNNNNNNNNNNNNNNNNNNNNNNNNNNNNNNNNNNNNNNNNNNNNNNNNNNNNNNNNNNNNNNNNNNNNNNNNNNNNNNNNNNNNCAACGUUGACCGCUUUUUAGACCCUUGGGAUUGAUCCUUCACCCCAAUAUCUCUUUGUUUUCCCUUGUCCCAAAUUCUUGGCUUCCACUGGCAGCGCUGUGCUUACAGCCUGCUAUAAGUGAGAUCCAGGCAUGUGGCCAUCUUGCGCUAGAGUCGAUCAUUCAACCUCUCAUGAAGCAAUUUUUCUUCUUUAAAUCCGUGUCCACUUGGUCGAUAGCAUACUGGAGAAUGAUUGAACUUGUUGAGAUAUUGCAUUACCUAGUCUCCCCUUGCUUUAAACGUAUAAAUCUCAGCUUCAUCUAUAAAUCCCUUCUGGAACAUAAUGUUCCCUGACCGCCUGCUUGAAUUCCGCCCAUGUGACCAGAUGUCCGGCAGGCUGAAUAGCUGAAAAAUUUGCCCACCAGGUGCUGGUAGGACCUCUCAAUUGUUGGGCGGCGACAGAGGCUCUGGGUCUCAGUACAUCGGAUCAGUCCGAAUUUUUUCUCCAUGACUCGUAUCCAUUCAUCUGCUUCAAAGGUUCUUUAGCUUUAACAAAAAGCGACGGCGAGUUUCAGAAAACUCCAAGUACAUGGUGUCUCGGGGCCCUUAGGGUUGACCUCUGCCUCCAUGUUGCUGAAACUGAUUCCCACCAAUUCACACAGGAAACGAGUGUUGUCAGCGGUGGCAUUAACUAAGGCAGUGAUAGCCUCAGCUAAUGUGGGAGGUACAGGUGGCGGGUUUGGAGUUUCCUCCCAUCGCGGGAAGUUCAUGCCCCGUCUUGAGAACGAGUUCUUGAUGGCAUCUGAGGAAGAAAAAUAUACUAGAUUACUAGUUGGGUGCCCGUGCGUUGCAACGGCAUACAAAUAUUCAAUAAACUUUAUUGCACAACGAUUAUUGUUUAGAUCAUCUAAUAGUGUUUAGACACAAUAAGAUGGUUUAGACAACAUGACAAUGCCAUAAUCUAUACUUAAGUAUAAUCGUUUAGAUCAUCUAAAUAGUGUUAGACACAAUAAGAUGGUUUAGACAACAUGACAAUGCCAUAAUCUAUACUUAAGUUCUCAAUAAAGCAAAAAGAGAAAAACAAUUUUGGUGGUUAUAAAAGAAAAUGCAAAGCUUAGAAACAUUACUAUUAGUUCACAGGUAACACAAAUUAAGAUGGCAUACAACAAUCAAUAGUACAGUCAGAUCUGAGAAAGAAAAGCACUAUUGAUUUUCUAGACAGAUAACGAUGUCAAAUCAUAUUCUAGAAAUAUUAUUUAUUACAGAAAGUAACAAUUAUGUAUACUAUAGUGCUAGCGCAUCUGAACUGGACGAGAACAAGCUGUGGCCAGCUACCAGUACCAUUUUCCACUAAAUUCACUAACUACGCCUUCUAAUUUCAUCGUAGCAGUCAAGCUAGGAUGAGCGCCUGCGCGUCAAUCGGGGCCAGCAGGGAUGGUCUUUGGACGAGAUUUACUGCUAGGUUGCACAUAUGUUCCAAGCGCUUGGACUGAAAGGAUGCCACUUGCUAUUUUGCUGAAAGAAAGAAUAUUCCAACAACUAAAUUAAGAACCUUGUAGUCUAAACUCAAUUCUAAAGAACAAAAUGAAUUAUAACUAUGCUUAAUCUAGAUGAUUCUUCAUUAAGUGAACAUGUAGCUAACCAGGUCUAAUGACUUGACUGCUACAAAUCUUGGAUCCAAUCAACAAACAAAUAAGUGCCACAAGUAAACUCUCCCUGAGAAAUUGGAGCUUGUGUGCUGCCGUUUCAACAAUUGCACUACAUAAAUCCAUAUGAACAAAGAAGAAACAUGAAACAAAAUGAAGAAAAAGGGAGCUGAAUCUACUGUUAGGCUGAAACAUAAGAUCCCACGUGAGAAAUUUAAGAAUAGAGGCAUAUGACUCGACUUUUUAUUAGUAUUUUAGCAACCUUAAUGACUUUUAAGGGAAAUGUAUCAAAUAGGUAACAAAGGCAUAUGGUCAUAGGCAUUAUAGAUAUCUAGUGAGUUUUACAUACACUUGUUCCUGAUUAAAGAAAAUUCACUGUAUGUCGCUGACCACUUUUCUUGAAUCAACUGAAGCUACAAAUCUUAGAUCCAAUCAACAAAUAAAUAAGUGCUACAAGCAAGUUCAUCUACUCCCUGUGCGCUGGAAGAAUUUGGUGCGAAGAACUACACCGUUGGGUACAUGGACCGGCUGAGAUGCAAUUAAGUUCACCUACUUGCUUGCUGCAUGUAGUAUCGUACUCGUACAUACCAGCUAGGCCGGUGAGGAUCCGACGACGGAGCUCGACGAUAUAUCCAUCGACCUCACGUUUUCUUCGCAUUCCAUUCGUUUUAGUAUAUUUGCCAUCCAGCAGAAUGCUCAUCAUCUAUGCAUGCAUGCUGUCGCGUGUCCGUCUCUCGCCACGUCUGCGGCAGUGCGGCAAGAGCUGCCGGCUCCGGUGGACCAACUACCUGUGGCCGGACAUCAAGCGGGGCAAGUUCACGCUGCAGGAGGAGCAGACCAUCAUCCAGCUCCACGCUCUCCUCGGCAACAGGUGGUCAUUCUUCAUCAUCAUGCACUUGUUUCGCUUGCCAUGCAUGACACAGCACAGCUCGUGUGCCUCGUGCUCGCGUCGGCAGGAAUGGUCUGGAUAGCAUUCGUCACCUUCUCGUGCUCAUUUGCAAGAAUGGUCUGGAUAGCAUUGCUUAGAGCACCGAAGGAGACACCCUGUGGUGUAGUUGCAUCGGCUGUUGUUUGGUUAGUCUGGCACCCACUGAUCAGAAUGCCAUUAUUUGGCGCCCAGGCCUUAGUCACGGCAUACACCUCGUCGACACUGUGAACCUCUUGCUCCAUUACCUGCUCUAGCACACAUAGAAUCUAUUACCUGCGCUAGCACUCAUAGAACCUAUACAAUAGAGUGAAAACAAUGCACCUACCCUUAAAAUUAAUGGCGUCAGAUUACGACGAUAUGCAAAAUUCAGUAACCCUAUGUAUUGAUACACUGAAAGCAUCUAGGCCCCUGGUUGGUUUUAGUGAUUAAUGACAACGUAAUAUUAUAUGUGACUAACGUGUGUUUUGCAGAGACAAAUGGUAAGUUAGGUCGCAUGACAGGUAAAAGUACUACAACGGUGAAAACAAUCCCGGAGAUAAGAACUUGAAGCGACGGCUAAAACGACGGAACAAAAGAUGAAGGUCUAAGGAGUCCGAGUGUCAAGGAGAUGUGGACACUCGCGAUUUAGUUAAGUCUUUUAUUCUCUUUUAGCCGUACUAUAAAGAGGGGUUGUCGAUGAGUAGUUUGACCAAGAAAGUUCUAGUGUAGUGUUGGUGCACAAUCACACUCAUAUACAGUGCUAGGUGUCACUCUAGAACUCACACACAAGUUAGAGCGAAAACCGAUUUGAAAAUCAGCUGAAAAACAAGAGGUAGGGUUUCUGGCUUUGGGGCACCGGACUGUCCGGUGUGCACCGGACUGUCCGGUGCACCCUCUGCCAGGUGGGGCCUGGCUGGUCCACAGCAGAGUCUUCCCAGUCGCAGAAACCCGAGAGCGCAGUCUUCGGAGAUGAAUUUUAGUGGCACACCGGACACCACACCGGACUGUCCGGUGUGCACCGGACAGUGGACUGUUCACUGUCCGGUGCACCAUGAGUCCAACGGCUAGCUGUCAGAACUAGCCGUUGGAAGUGACCGUUGGCGCACCGGUGGCGCACCGGACUGUCCGGUGCGCCAUCGCGCAGCACAUUGCCUGUAACGGCUAGUUGGUGGGUGAGGGCUAUUUAUACCCCCUCCACCCACCAUAUUCAAUGUCUUGUACUCCACAUUUAUUCCAACACCUUGGUAGAGUAUUGCAAGCACCAAAAAGCCUAGUGAGGAGAUUAGAGAAUCAUAAUCCGCGCUUGUUCCUCAUUAGCGCUAGUGAGAGCCACCUAGAGCACACACCACUUGCAUUAGGCUUCUCUUGGUCAAGCGAAAGUCUAUGGCUUGUUACUCUUGGUGAUCGGCAUCACCUAGACGGCUUGGUGGCGUUGGGAGCUUGGUGAUCACCGUGAAGAUCUUGUUGGUGACCCGGCUCAAGUUUGUAAGUGGUCUCGAGGGAUCCACCGCGCCGGAGUGGCAAAGGAUCAUCUCGUAGUGAGCACUUGGUUCUUGCGAGGAUCAAGGGGGAGCGAUACCCUUGCGCGGGUGCUCCAACGAGGACUAGUGGAGAGUGCCGACUCUUCGAUACCUCGGGAAAAAUUGGAGGAGUCUUCUAAACUUUGCUUUACAUUCCGCACUUAAUUUAAGCACUUUACAUUGUGUGUUUGUUUAGCAAGUAUUUGAAGUAUUAUCUUAGCUUUGUUACAUUUCUAGUAUUAUAUUCUUAGUGCUAGUUGUUGGGGUGAAGUUGGGCUCUUGUUUAGCUCUUGCUUAGGUUUUAAUUAGUGUUGAUUUUUAGAAAAGCCCAAUUCACCCCCCCUCUUGGGCAUCGUGAUCCUUUCAAUUGGUAUCAAAGCCUUGUUGCUCAUAGAUUAGCUUAAACCGCUAGAGUUACGAUGUCCGGUGGGGAUGGACCUCCUCCCGUUUUUGAUGGUGACGAUUUUCCUUAUUGGAAAAUUCGUAUGGAAGCAUACUUAGAGGCUAUAGACAUUGGUGUCUAUAAAGCCGCCACACAAGGGUUUCCCCAACCUAGAGAUCCCACAAAUCUUGUAGGUGAUGAGUUCAAUUAUGAGAAAUGGAAUGCGAAGGCCAAAAACACCCUUUUUAGAGGCCUUUGCAAAGAUGUGUUCAAUAGAGUUCGGAAUCAUAAAAAUGCUCAUGAUUUGUGGAUGGACAUUUGUGCUCUACACGAAGGAACUAGAAGUGAACGUGAGGAAAGAUAUCACAUAGCUAUGCGAAAGUUAAAUUCUUUUGAAAUGCUUACUAAUGAAAAUGCAAACGCUAUGUACUCACGACUUAAUAUUCUUGUAGAGGAAGUCAAUGGAUUGGGGCUUACUCAAAUCUCACAACCGGAUGUUGUGAGGAAGAUUCUCAGUGUCCUCCCAAUAGACAAAUAUGGACACAUUGUCACUGUGCUACAUCAAAUGGAUCUUUCAGUUACCACACCUACACAAAUUUUGGGAAAGAUCAAUGCCCAUGAAAUGUACAUGCACAUCAACAAAGAAGAAUCAUCUUCCAAAAGAAAGGAUUUGGCUCUCAAAGCAAAUCAUGAAAGAAAAGGAAAAGCAAAAAUACAAGUUGAGGAAGAGUCCCCAAGUGAUGAUGACCUUGAUGCAAACAUUGCCUUGAUGGUAAGGAAGACCACCAAGAUGUUGAAGAAGCUAAAUAGAGAAGGCAUCAAAUUUGAUUCAAGAAAGAAGAAGUUCUUUUCCAACAAAAGAAAGCCCAUUUCUGAGAUGGACUGCUACAACUGUGGUGAGCUUGGUCAUCUUGCUCAUCAAUGCAACAAGCCCAAGAAGAACAAGUUCAAGGGCAAGAAGGAAGAUGACAGCGAUGAUGAAAAGAAGGAAAAGAAGUUCUUCAAGAGGAAGGAUGGGAAGCAAAAGAGGUUCCACAAGAAGAAGAAUGGAAAGGCAUAUAUUGUUGGCGACUGGCUCACCGACAUCGAAUCAUCAAGUGGAUCUUCUUCAAGUGAAGAAGAGGAUGAUGAAAAAGUUGCGGCCAUCGCCGGGGAUUUCUCUUCACCACCACCAUCGCCAUCAUCCACUUCUCACCUAUGCCUCAUGGCUAGGGGUGAACGAAAGGUACAAAAUGAUAUUAAUAUUGAUGAUGAUAGUGAUAGUGAUAGUGAUGAAGAAUUUGCUUCACCUUCAUAUGAUGAGUUAGCUGACUUACUUAAAGAAUAUACUCAAAUCAUUAGAAAGUCAAAAGCUAAAUGUGAUAGGUUGAAAAAUGAAAAUGAAUCUUUAAAUGCCAAGUAUGACAUAGUUAUAAAGGCUAGUGAUGAAAUAAAAGAAGAAAAUAAAACUAUGUCAUCAACUGUAAAUGAGCUCACAAACUCCCUAAAAGAAGCUAAGGAGAAAUAUGACAAAUUAAAUGAAGCUAAUAGGGAAUUGCAAAAUAGACUAGUUAAGAUCAAGGAAGACUAUACUCAAAUUAAAUUUGAUCAUGACAAUCUUCUUGUUGAAAAUGAACUUUUAUCUUGCAAAACACAUGAGGCUAUUAACCCUGUUGUUAAGCUUGAUGUAGCAACCUCAUGUGAUGAUUUGAUUCAAGAAGAGCAAACUAGUCUACAUGCUGAAUUGACUGAAAAAGUUGAAGUCCUGACUUUAGACAACCAAAAAUUGAAGAAUUAUUUGACUGAUGCAACUACUAGAGGAAAAGUUGCUAUUGAGAACAAUGAUUUCAACAUUGAGUUGGCAGUGGAUAAUCAAAGGCUUAAGAAUGAGGUCAAGAAACUAAAAAGUGAAAAUGAACAUCUUGCAACAAGUGUGCAAAAGUUCAACAAGGGUCAAUACCUCCAAAAUGAGCUGCUUAUGAACACUGUUAUGAAAAUAACAAGAGUGGUAUUGGUUACAAUGCUUUUGUGCAAAAGAAAGCUAUCACUCAAUACAAGCCAAAGCAGACUCACAAGCCUAUCAAAUGCUUUGAGUGUGGAAAUGAAGGUCAUUUUGCCCACAACUGCAAAGCUAAACCACCAACUCCCUUGCCUAAGCACUCAAGACCAUUUGCUUUCAAUGCUCACUAUGUUCUAAGAAAGGUUGCAAAUGGAAAGAUUAAGGUUACAUUCCUAGGUCCACCAAAUAAGAGUAGACCUAGACAAAUCUGGGUGGCAAAGUCCUUAAUUGAGAGAGUCACUGGUCCUAUGCAAUAUAGGGCUCUCAAAACUCAAGCUUGAAUUGUCUGUGAAUGUAGGUGAACUACAAGACCGGUGGGAGCCAUUGGGUUAUUGACAGUGGAUGCACACAACAUAUGACAGGCAACCCACGGAUGUUCACCUCAUUAGAUGAGAAUGUUGAUGGUCAAGAUAAAAUCACAUUUGGAGACAACUCAAAAGGAAAAGUACAAGGACUUAGCAAGGUGGCAAUCUCAAAUGACUUAUCAAUAUCAAAUGUUCUCUUAGUUGCACCUUUGAGCUUCAAUUUAUUAUCAGUGGGACAACUCUGUGAUCUUGGACUUCAAUGCUUAUUCACUCCAUCAGAGGUUAUUGUAACAAAAAUGGAUGAUGAAUCAAUGCUAUUCAAGGGUUUUAGAUACAACAACCUCUACUUAGUGGAUUUCACUUCAGAAGAUGCAGACUUAAGAACUUGCCUCUUCACCAAAGCUUCUCUUGGAUGGCUUUGGCAUAGGAGGCUUGCACAUGUUGGGAUGAGCACACUCAAGAAGGUAUUAAAGAAAGAUAUGGUUAGAGGAUUAAAGGAUGUGGUAUUUGAAAAGGACAAGCCAUGCAGUGCAUGUCAAGCUGGAAAGCAGGUUGCUAAUACACAUCCCACUAAAGCUUUCAUGUCAACAUCAAGGCCACUGGAACUACUUCAUAUGGAUUUAUUUGGACCUACAAAUUAUGUCAGUGCCGGUGGCAACCUCUACUGUCUAGUGAUUGUUGAUGACUUCUCAAGAUACACUUGGGUGUUCUUUCUCCAUGACAAAUCUGAAGUUGCAUCUAUAUUCAAGAAGUUUGCCAAGAAAGCACAAAAUGAAUUUGAUUGCAAGAUUAAGAAGAUUAGAAGUGACAAUGGCAAAGAAUUUGACAACACCAACAUUCAUGAGUACUGUGAUGAAAUUGGGAUCAAGCAUGAAGUAUCUGCCACAUAUACACCUCAACAAAAUGGAGUUGUUGAAAGGAAAAAUAGGACCUUGAUCACUCUUGCAAGAACAAUGAUUGAUGAGUAUAACACACCGGAGAGGUUUUGGGCCGAAGCUGUCAACACUGCUUGCUAUGCAUCAAACAGGCUAUUUCCUCACCGGCUACUUGCGAAGACUCCUUAUGAACUGCUAAAUGGGAAAAAGCCAGACGUCUCUUUCUUCUGGGUGUUUGGGUGCAAAUGCUACAUCUACAAAAAACGCCAUCAUCUAGGGAAGUUUCAAAGACGUUGUGAUAUUGGUUUUCUUUUGGGUUAUUCAUUAAAGUCCAAAGCAUAUCGAGUAUUCAACCAUGCCACUGGCGUGGUAGAAGAAACAUAUGAUGUGGAAUUUGAUGAGACUAAUGGCUCCCAAGGAGCACUUGAAAAUCUUGAUGAUGUAGGUGAUGAGCCACUUAGGGAAGCAAUGAAGAACAUGCCUAUUGGAGCUAUCAAACCAAAAGAAGAUGAAGAAGAGGUGCAAAUCAUUGACAGGCCUUCUUCAUCAAAUGUACCACAAGAUGAUGAAAAAGAUGAGAGGCAUGCAAAUGAAGAUACUUUUGUCUCUCAUGAACAAGCAAGGGUACAAGCCGAAGAUGUUGAUGCUCCAGGAUCUUCUUCCCAAGUGGUUGACAGGAGGAACUCAUCACUACUUCAAGCUCAUCCUCAAAACCAAAUCAUCGGGAGUCCUUCACAAGGGGUUAUUACUCGAUCACAUAAACAUGCUAAUUUUAUUGAACAUCACUCUUUUGUUUCUUGUGUUGAGCCUACUUGUAUAGAUGAGGCGCUACAGGAUCCGGACUGGGUGAAUGCCAUGCAUGAAGAACUUAACAACUUCACCCGUAACGAAGUUUGGACCCUGGAGAAACCCCCACAAGAUGCAAGAAUCAUUGGAACAAAGUGGGUGUUCAGAAACAAACAAGAUGAUCAAGGUGUGAUCGUAAGAAACAAGGCAAGACUUGUCGCAAAGGGAUUCUCUCAAGUUGAAGGCUUAGAUUUUGGAGAGACCUUUGCACCGGUUGCUCGACUGGAAGCCAUCCGUAUCCUACUUGCAUAUGCAUCAUGCUAUGAUAUAAAACUUUAUCAAAUGGAUGUAAAAAGUGCAUUUUUAAAUGGCUUCAUAAAUGAACUUGUAUAUGUUGAGCAACCGCCUGGAUUUGAAGACCCUAGAUAUCCUAACCAUGCUUACAGGUUGUCCAAGGCGCUAUAUGGGCUAAAGCAAGCACCAAGGGCUUGGUAUGAGCGUCUUCGCGACUUCCUCAUCGAAAAGGGCUUCAAAAUCGGGACCGUCGACACAACUCUCUUCACAAAGAAACAUAACGGUGAUAUUUUCAUUUGUCAAGUAUAUGUUGAUGAUAUAAUCUUUGGCUCGACAAAUGACUAUCAUUGCAAGGAAUUUGGUGAGUUGAUGUCGAAGGAGUUCGAGAUGUCAAUGAUUGGUGAGCUAACAUACUUCCUCGGCUUCCAAGUCAAGCAAAUGAAAGAUGGUAACUUUCUCUCUCAAGAGAAGUAUACCAAAGACUUGUUGAAAAGAUUCAACAUGGAGAAGUGCAAACCAAUCAAGACCCCCAUGCCUACAAAUGGACAUCUCGACUUAGAUGAGGGAGGUAACCCGGUUAAUCAAACUCUCUACCGUUCUAUGAUUGGUAGUUUAUUAUACCUUACCGCAUCUAGGCCCGAUAUUAUGUUUAGUGUCUGCAUGUGUGCUAGAUUUCAAUCUAAUCCUAAGAAAGCUCAUCUUCGCGCUGUUAAGAGAAUUCUUAGGUAUCUCAAGCACACCACAAGCGUUGGUCUGUGGUAUCCCAAAGGAGCUACCUUUGAUUUAAUUGGCUAUUCCGAUUCGGAUUAUGCCGGUUGCAAGAUUGAUAGGAAAAGUACUUCUGGGGGAUGCCAUCUGCUUGGUAGAUCACUAGUUUCAUGGACAUCCAAAAAGCAAAAUAGUGUUGCCUUGUCAACUGCCGAAGCGGAAUACAUUGCCGCAGGUGCUUGUUGCACACAGAUUUUAUAUAUGAAGCAAACUCUUCUAGACUAUGGCGUAGUUCUAGAAAAAGUUCCUUUGUUGUGUGAUAAUGAGAGUGCUGUUAAAAUUGCUAAUAAUCCUGUACAACACUCUCGCACCAAGCACAUUGAUAUCCGUCAUCACUUCCUUAGAGAUCAUGUUGCUAAAGGAGAUAUCAUUUUAGAAGGAGUGAGGUCGGAAGAUCAAUUAGCGGAUAUUUUCACUAAGCCACUUGAUAAGACCCGCUUUUGCAUGUUGAGGAAUGAACUAAAUAUCCUUGAUCUCAGAAAUUUUAUGUGAAAUGUCAAAUGGUGUUGUCACUUGCAUUGCAUAUUUAAAUUCCUUGUAUUGCAUCUAGGACUUGUGUAACCUAGUUGAGAUAACCGCCAAUAAAGCGAGUGAAAAAGCUUAACUCGGGUCAAACCUGAGAAGUCUUAGUUUUUAAGCUUUUAGCACUUAAAUUCUUACUUUUCAUGCAAUUAUUGGUUCUUGAAAUAUGCAUGAGGUACUGCACUUAGGGGGAGUAUUCAAAACUCAAAUCACUCUUGAAAACCCCUAGUGCAAGCACAAAUGCAAAUUUCACCAUUUGCCUAUUUUCUCUAAAAAUUAUCUAGCCUAUGACAAAAUAUUUUGAAAAGUAUAUGAGGGUGCCAAUACCUAUCCCAACAAGUGUUAUUUUGUGUGAUUAUAAGUUGGGAUUUGGUUUGGUUAGGAGUUAGAUAGAAAAAUUCAAAAUUUUCCAAACUCCCCUCUGUCUGGGCUCACCGGACAGUCCGGUGUGCACCGGACACUGCACUGUGCAAUGUCCGGUGCACCGGCAGCCGCGCGCUAAAAGUCAUUUUCCUGUGCGAUGUCCGAUGGCUCACCGGACAGCUACUGUGCGCUGUCCGGUGUGCACCGGACAGCCACUGUAGACUGUCUGGUGUGCCCAUCUCGCGUUUUAAAAAACCGCCCCCAGCCCGACCAAGCCGAGCCAGAGGCUUUGUUUCUUCUCCGAGCCGCCCAGCUCUCUGCGUCUGGCGAUUUCCCCUCGCCGGCGAUCUCCACCGGCGGCCAUCCUCCCCGGCCGUGCUCCGGUGACCUUGGGCUCCCCUCCUCUUCCCCCUCGGUGAGCAGCCUCUCCUCUCCCCUUCUCUGCUGUUCUCUGUUCUUGGUGGGCAGUGGAGCUCUUCCCUCUCUCCCUUGGUGGUAAACUCAAAUUUCUGUGAAAUCCCUUGCAUCCAGUUGGUGGAUUGUGUUCCCCUGUCCCUAUCUCAUAUCCCUGCAGGUCCUUGGCUCCUUCGGGAGGGUAUUCCUACCUCAAAUGGCCAUAUUCCUAAAACCCUAGCUCCCCGCACACCACGUGUUCGAUGAAAUGCCCAAACCAGCCAAACUUGCUCCAAUUGAACCCAAAUUUUUCAGGCACUUUCACCACACUUCCAGUAACCUACUUGCCAAAUUUCACGUCAAUCCAAGAUCCCAGGCUUAAAUUUCACCAAAAUUCCCGUUUUGCGCGAUCGUUUCCGAGCCGAGUGCCCAAAACCCUAUUUCUUCGCCUAAAUUGAAACCAAGCACACACUUCACUCAUAUUCACCUAUAUAAACCUAUUCGUGAAGUAUCGGCUCAAUCCCAUAUCGUUUCGUGCCUCAAUUCAAAUUCCAAUCAUCCUAUGUCUCUAUUUGUCUGUCAAACGCCGUUUUCACGACGUUUGACUUUUUGAUCGUCCUGUCUCGUGCCAUAUCUCUCUGUGUAUGUAUUUAUUCACAUUUCAUAUGCUUAUGACUAUGUGACUAAUACGUGCUCACCUCUUCUGUCAUUUCAGUGACCUUGUGUGACAGUGUGCCGUCUCCCGUCCUGCCUGGAUCGUCACCUCUUGUGUGAGCUUUCCAGGUAGACAUCUCACUCUUUGCUAAAUCUAUCCGUCACUUUUGCUCUGUGCUUAGUCUCUCUAUCUCCUUUGCAGACUUUAGUUCAGGAUGCCGCGCACGAAGAAUGCGUCGGCGUCAGGGGGUGGCGAUGACGAGGACCCUCGUCGUCCCUUCAGGCAGGUGAAGGGCAAGACUGUCUUUUUGGAGCAGCAGGAAGGCCGCAAGAAGCGGCGUUCGGACAGAGAGGCUCGUGCAGCAGCAGCAGCUGCAGCAGCCGCUGCGCAGGCAGCACUUGGAGAUCAGCCGGAUGUUCCAUCAGAUCAGAUUGCUUUCCGUGCUCGUCGUCUCGCCUCCCGGUCUCGCUCCUCCUCUCACACCUCCGCUUCCACUCCGCCACCCACACUGCCUACUCCAGUCACUCCUAUUGCUCCAUCCACCUCCACCGCCAUACCCACUACCAGCACUACGCCAGCUUCCACUGCUUCCCCUGCCCCCGCUCCCUCUUCAGCUCCUCCUGUCCCUCCACCUCGCUUCCGGGAGCGUGAUGAGACUGAGGUCCGUCCUCUGGUUUCGGAUCCUCGUCUGUUUGACCUUCAGCGUGCUACUGCAGCCCGGGUACGUCGAUUCCGGUACGUACCCGUGGAGUCUUGGCUGCCAGCUCAGAGAGACCCAGCAGCAGGAGUUCUUUUCAGCACACGGAUUCAGGAGUCUUUCUUCAGGGCUCAGAUGUCUGCUUAGAUUGCGCUACGUGUGCACCGCCUAUUGGAUCUUCCUGCUUUCUUGCUAGCAGCCGGUGCUGAGUCUGAGGCGCAUCUCACCUAUUUGCCAGGCCUUCUGUCCUUUCUGACUAUCAGCGGCAGAUAUGUUGAGGAGUGGGUCCGCGUCUUCUACGCCUCUAUUUGGAUUGACCCGGAUCAUCAUUGGAUGAGGUUCCGCUUUGAGCGCGAGGAUGUCACGAUCACUGCCAGUCAGAUCAGACAGCUAUUUGGAUUCCCUGAGUCGACGACUCGCCUUCACAGUCUCUGCUACGGCACUUCAGAUCCUCCACGUCGCCCUCACGGCAGUGUGGCUCUAGGGACAGCUCACGUCACGGCUCUGUUCCGCCCGCCUUUCACAGAUGGGUCGCGACGUUCUCCAGCAGACUUCACUACAGCGGCAAAGUACUUAUAUGAGCUCGUCAGACGGACACUCCUGCCUAGGAUGGGAUACAGGGAGGCUACCACUCAUAUUCAGCUUUGGCUCCUUGGUGCCCUGGUGUCCCACUCUGAGUUUGAUGUUGUGGACUUUCUGAUCUGUGAGAUUGAGGACACCGUUCUGGAUGGGAUUCGUGCUCGUCGGCAGCUACCCUAUGCUCACUACUUAUGCCACAUCUUUGCGCAGCUGAUUCAGCCACCUCGUUUUCAGAGCACCCUUGAGGCCUCAUGCCUUGUAUUUGGAUCUUACCGCCCUGCUCCUGAGAUUCCAGUGCCAGCUUCUGCUUCUGUGUUUGACUCUCAGGCCGAGGAUGCAGCUCUACGACAAUUUGACACUCAGGGUACAGCAGCUGAUGAUGAUGAUGAUGAUGAUGAUGAUGAUUUUGGGGUUCAUCCUCCGCCUCCGCCUCCUAUGCCUCCACGCUCACAUGAUCAUGAGGCUGGGAGUUCUAGUGCUGCCCCUCCUCAUCCUCAGGCUAUGGACCCUGCCCUUGCUUCGAUUCUUCAGACUCUCACCCAGCAGCAGCAGACUCUCACCCAGCAGCAGGCUCUCCUGGCAGCCGAGCAGGCUCGUUUAUCUGACAGGAUGCUCUCGAUGUUUCAGAGCAUGCAGGACAGGCAGGAUGCACUUCAGCAGCAGCUUAUUCAGGAUAGGGCAGAGAAUAGGGCAUUCAUGGCUCUCAUGCUUCAGCAUUCUGGUAUCUCAGCACCUCCGGUUCAGUCUGCUCCGCCUUCUUCGCUUCACGCUCCAGUGGUGCCUUCGAUCUUGUCUGCACCCCCUGCUGUUACCUCUCCGCUCCGGCCGGUCACCUUGGCGUUCACUUCUCCGGUUCUCAGCUCUGUCUGCCCGCAGCCGCCAGUGCCACCAGCAUCUGCUGUUACCACUACCGCUGUGGCAGUAUCUGUGACCGCUUCUGUUCCGGUACCUCCUGCAGCGCUGCCUGCGUCCGAGUCAGUACAAGCUCCAGCUUCUACCGCAGAUCCUGGAUCCGAGACUGACUCUGACCCUCCGUCGGUGUUCGCUCUGCUACCUCGACCUCGACCGGAUGCGCCCCCGCCGCCUCCUCCUGCUUCAGAUGUUUAGGUUCGGGUCCCUUUUGGUGUUUGACGCCAAAGGGGGAGAGAUAUGAGUUGUGAGAGCUAGGGGGAGUUAGAGAGUUAGUAGAGAGUCAGUGUCCUUUUGAUGUAAUAUUUGUGCCUGCUACUCUCUGUACUAGCUUGAUGUUUUUGGCUCACAAACUCGUCAUAUACUCUCAUUGCUUAUGGUUGACUGUGUGUAUUACGUUUUCACUUUAUAUCAUAUCACCAGUCUUCUAGCUCUUGUUUCAUUAAUUUACUUUCUCUUUUAUAUGAACAAGAAUCUUAUGAUGUGUAUGCGCUCACUCUUAUUAUUAUGGUACACAUUCUUUCUGUCAAAAAUUACUGAGUAUAACUAACCAUUCUUUCUAUUGACAGAAUCUUCAAAACAAACUACUCUCACAAAACUUGUAGGGUUGUCAUCAAUCACCAAAAAGGGGGAGAUUGAAAGCAUCUAGGCCCCUGGUUGGUUUUAGUGAUUAAUGACAACGUAAUAUUAUAUGUGACUAACGUGUGUUUUGCAGAGACAAAUGGUAAGUUAGGUCGCAUGACAGGUAAAAGUACUACAACGGUGAAAACAAUCCCGGAGAUAAGAACUUGAAGCGACGGCUAAAACAACGGAACAAAAGAUGAAGGUCUAAGGAGUCCGAGUGUCAAGGAGAUGUGGACACUCGCGAUUUAGUUAAGUCUUUUAUUCUCUUUUAGCCGUACUAUAAAGAGGGGUUGUCGAUGAGUAGUUUGACCAAGAAAGUUCUAGUGUAGUGUUGGUGCACAAUCACACUCAUAUACAGUGCUAGGUGUCACUCUAGAACUCACACACAAGUUAGAGCGAAAACCGAUUUGAAAAUCAGCUGAAAAACAAGAGGUAGGGUUUCUGGCUUUGGGGCACCGGACUGUCCGGUGUGCACCGGACUGUCCGGUGCACCCUCUGCCAGGUGGGGCCUGGCUGGUCCACAGCAGAGUCUUCCCAGUCGCAGAAACCCGAGAGCGCAGUCUUCGGAGAUGAAUUUUAGUGGCACACCGGACACCACACCGGACUGUCCGGUGUGCACCGGACAGUGGACUGUUCACUGUCCGGUGCACCAUGAGUCCAACGGCUAGCUGUCAGAACUAGCCGUUGGAAGUGACCGUUGGCGCACCGGUGGCGCACCGUUGGCGCACCGGUGGCGCACCGGACUGUCCGGUGCGCCAUCGCGCAGCACAUUGCCUGUAACGGCUAGUUGGUGGGUGAGGGCUAUUUAUACCCCCUCCACCCACCAUAUUCAAUGUCUUGUACUCCACAUUUAUUCCAACACCUUGGUAGAGUAUUGCAAGCACCAAAAAGCCUAGUGAGGAGAUUAGAGAAUCAUAAUCCGCGCUUGUUCCUCAUUAGCGCUAGUGAGAGCCACCUAGAGCACACACCACUUGCAUUAGGCUUCUCUUGGUCAAGCGAAAGUCUAUGGCUUGUUACUCUUGGUGAUCGGCAUCACCUAGACGGCUUGGUGGCGUUGGGAGCUCGGUGAUCACCGUGAAGAUCUUGUUGGUGACCCGGCUCAAGUUUGUAAGCGGUCUCGAGGGAUCCACCGCGCCGGAGUGGCAAAGGAUCAUCUCGUAGUGAGCACUUGGUUCUUGCGAGGAUCAAGGGGGAGUGAUACCCUUGCACGGGUGCUCCAACGAGGACUAGUGGAGAGUGCCGACUCUUCGAUACCUCGGGAAAAAUUGGAGGAGUCUUCUAAACUUUGCUUUACAUUCCGCACUUAAUUUAAGCACUUUACAUUGUGUGUUUGUUUAGCAAGUAUUUGAAGUAUUAUCUUAGCUUUGUUACAUUUCUAGUAUUAUAUUCUUAGUGCUAGUUGUUGGGGUGAAGUUGGGCUCUUGUUUAGCUCUUGCUUAGGUUUUAAUUAGUGUUGAUUUUUAGAAAAGCCCAAUUCACCCCCUCUCUUGGGCAUCGUGAUCCUUUCAUACACAAAUUACCCCAAUCAAACUCUGAAUGUCAUGGCACAUAAAUCAUCUCAAUCAAGCUCUGAAACUCGUGACACACAAAGCAGGAACUGAAAUGUCACGUGGUAGACUGGAGGCUGCUGCAUACACACAAGUCCCCCGCCUUGUUCAUCGGACGAGGAUUCUGAUUAAAACAGUGGGCAAAUGUAGGGACACAAAUCGACCCGCCUGAUCCAGCCCCGAUCGAUGAUGCAGUGGAAUAAUCUAAACAUCCAGCGCAAUAACACAUUUUAGAGGUAGGGUCUUAAGCCCUAGGUCGCUUACCCCUUGCUUGCCGGGGAUGGUGCAGUGCCAGAUCAUGAGGUUCAUCAUUCUGUCGGGCGGCUUCACAACGAAACACUGCGCCAGCAGCAUAGCAGCAAAACAGAUUAGGCACCCGACCGCCUGGUGAGUCGAGAGCAGAGCGGAACCAAGGGAGAAUCGUGAGGCGCGUACGUGCGAGGCGGUCGUGGGCGAUUCUACCAUACAUGGCAGCGACAGCUCUUCCUCCUAGGCUCACCCCCGCUGGGGAGUUUGGGGGCUAGACUUUUUUCCAAGCGCGCGACAGAAGGGCUGAAGGGGAGCGAGGCGGUCGCGGGUGGCUCUGCCAUACAUGGUGGUGAUGGCUCUUCCUCUCAGGCUCGCCCCCGCUGGGGAGGUUGGGGGCUAGACUUUUUCUUGAGCGAGCGCGAGGGAAGGGCCGAAGGGGAGGGCGGCGAGCAUGGCGAGCGUCCGACUUGUGCGCGGAGGAGGGCGGGGAUGGCAGGGUGCGUGUAGUCAGCGUGGGGAAGCAGAGGCGGCGAGCAUCACGGACGCCGGAUAGGGAGGGGAUAGCGACGGCUGUUGCGUGGGGGAGCGGGGGCGGCCAGGGUUGAUGGCGUGGUGGUAGCCGAAAUCGAUGGCACGGACUGGAAUAUGGUGGCGAUUGGGGAGCGACUCCCAGGGGCACUCAUGAAUCGCCUUCACCACCAUUUGGUCCUCUACUGUCGCCGAGAUCUGGCUGGAUGGAGUGGAUCUGGUUGAUGCGCCGGUGGUUGGAUGAGGGCGACAUUCACGACGAAUGGAAGGCGGAGCGCGAGCGAGCGAGGCAUGGGGGGCGACGAUGGUCGAAGAUUUUGGGCAUGGAUUUGCAGAGUUUCCAAGCGGGGUGGGGGUAUGGAUGGAAAGGGAAGAUGCGGUCAUCCUGUAAUGGCGUCCGUCGAGGCUUGGGAUCGUGGUCGCUGGGCGAAGUUCGCGGGAGCGGGGGCAGGCAGGGGCACCAGGGCUAUGGACGCCCUCCUUACAUUCUUAAUAGAGUAGUAAUAGAUUACAUGCCGAAAGUACACCACCUUUAUUACAUUAUGCCCAACUAGUACAAAUUAUACAUACUCAUUAGUACAACUCAACUUUCUUAUUUAAUUUACAUAAGGACACCACUUAUACUAGACUACUCUAAUUAUCUUCGUCCUUGGCCGCUCCCACUCCACUGCCAGCUUCGAGAGAACGUUCAUCUGUGAGGUUCAUGGAAGGAGGGGCUCCAAAAAGAUCCAACUCCCCAUCAGGUCCUCCACUAGCUGCUCCAGAUGUUCCGGCUCCCAUUGCUGCAACUUUCGGUGGCACAUUUGGAUGCAGUCGGUCAUAUAACACGUGCACUUCCUCAUGCAGAGUGUUACAGUAUGCUUGCAGAUUCUCCAAGGAUGUGCUUAGUUCCGCUACACGGGCUAGAGCAUUUGCCUCGCAAUCCCAGGCAAAAGAGCGGGAAUUUACGGCCCAGUCGAUAGCCGUGUCUCGUUCCAUGAUUUCUUGCUGCAAGCGGUUAACCUCCGCUAAUAGCUCAGCAAUACAGCGGCUAUCUCAUGCACGCUCCCUAUUUCCAUGGCAUAGUUCUGACAUGAGUUGUUCCACCCUGCCUCUAGAUCCCCUAUGGGAUCAUUGCUUCCACUACUGCUCCCCUAAUGUCGAGGAGCCAACUGGUGUCAGGGCACACCUCGAGGUCUGGUUGCCUUUCGUUAGGUAGUCUUGGUGUGCGCCAUACUUCCAUAAGAAGGGAAGAUUUAUUUAGUAUAGUUUGAACAUGAUGCAUGCAUAACCUAAUCAUUAUGGAACCAACUUUUUCGUUGAUCCCCUAUCUCCUACGUAUACUAUUAUUUGGCACUCUAUUACCCGACUUUAAAAGAUAAGUUACUACCAGAAAGUGGCAAGAUAUGACUGAAAGAAUGUGUCAAGGUAAGUAUUUUAAAACCUUUUGAAGUACUACGUAAUGUCCGAAGAUACGGGUUUUGCUCCGAUGCCAGCUGUGACGGAAGCUUCCAAGGUAUUAGGCCCACCUACAGAUGUCCUUGUCCUAAGGACCUCAGACAAUCAUGUAGGUGUGCAUAAUGACUCGGCAAGUUCGGUUAUCUGUAUCUUCAUCAUAUCACCCAAGAGCGCUUAACCAUCACGCAGACAUUACACAUAAUCGGAGUAGAGAAUGAGCGGAAAGGAUUACAAUAACAUAAUUUACAUUCAUACCAAAAAUAUAGAAAGAGUAGUUAUUACAUAACCGGGUGUUUGAGUGUGGAAUUUAUUAUUACAUUACCGGGAGGCAAAACACCCUCCCCAAAUAAGUUUUAGUGUUCUUCCUCCUGAUUGGGCACCACCUUGGAGCAAAAACAGCAGAACUCAAUUGUUUCAUCACCUACAACAACAUGGGUUCGAAAACCCUGAGUAUGGAGUGUACUUUCACAAGUCUUACCCAUCAAAGGAAAAAGACUCUCGAGGAUAUGCUAGCUUUUGGCAACCAAGGUAAAGCUUAUCAAGAUUCAAAGACUUUGUUUGCAGAAAAGCUUACUAUGAGUGGAUCCUUAAAAAUCAAUUUUUAUUAUCAGGUUAAGUAGUUACCUGCAUCUAGAGUUCUUUCUAUCCUAGAUCAAGCACUCAGUCUAUGCUAGCUGUCUUUUAUCAUUCCUUUAGUUCACUUGAUUGCUACGUGUAGGGCAGUGACCAAGUCUUCAUGUCCGAGAAGUAACGGUGAUCUGAAUCGAUUAAUACCCAGCUGGGGAUCUCCAACCACAUGACCUAUGUAGCACUUAAUCCUUGCAUAUGUCAACUCGCCAUUAGGUUUCUCAAGACCAGAAUGGGUUCACGCCAACUGAGAGCACAGAUACACCACCGUCCAGCCUCUUGCCACGGAGGCAAGGAGGGUACACGCUACUCUCGCCAUCUCUCCACUACCAUUGCAUGGUGGCCUUUCUGGUAUUGGUCCGACCGAGGCAAAGCUUACCCAUGAUGACGCAUGUGGCCAGUUAAAAGGUCCUCGAUCAUCAAGCCUACAUCGGUUUGGUCCUUAAUCGACUCAGAUGGAGACACUACACCGAGACUUCCUUCUCGUGCAAGUCACCCGCCCGGUCUCAUCUUUAUCAUUUACAACCCAAAGUUUGGUACCUUACAGAGGUACAUCUUUUGAGAUGUUGAACCCAUCACGACCAUGAUGGAUUCACCAUCACAAGUCUUUUUUGUAAAAAUCCCCAUCCCAUAUGAAGUAUCACCUUUUGUUUAAAACAAAACAUUUUGUUUUCUAAAGCAAGGCUAAGCAUAAGAAAACUUGUUUGAAUAAAUCAGGUAAUAAGGAAUGGUAAUCAAUUCUCCAAGGAAGGGAAUGCAUCAACUGUUUAUCACACAACUCCUAUCACCUAAUGCAUCAAACAAGGUGAUAAAGUUUUUAAACAACAAGGAAAAGGGAUAAUGCACCGGGGCUUGCCUUGUGUUGCAGGAGGGUCAAGGUCCACUCCACAGAUGUCGAAGUAGAAGUUGUUCUCGGCUGGAGGAUUUUCAGCUUGGGAGACAACUUCUUCAACCAUAGAUUCUUCCUCGUUUUCUAUACAUGACAACACAUGUACAUGAAUGCUUAUGCGAUGUCAUGAAUAUGUAGUUACAAUAGAAACAUACUAAGUUGUAUCUUGAAUACAACUUUCCUUCAUGGUACAAACUAAUCACUAGGGUUUUCUAAGUUGGUAUUCUAUUAGUAUUAAGUAACUUAACCCUAGGAAGCUAGUUAUUGGGUUUGUGACCAAAUAAUGUCCAAAUCAUUUCAAACUUUACUCAGGGUCUUCAAUCAUCAUACAAAGCCUACCCAAAAAGUUUUACAAUUUUUAGAGUUACUAAAUUAUUUCUAAAAUUCUAAAAGGCUUGGUUUGAGCACCUUUAAAGGCUACAUAAUUCUAGGUUUGGGAUAAAAAUCUUGGGACUAUUUUUAUUAAAUACUAUGUGAUUUUAGAGGUCUAGCAAAAAUGGGUCUCAUGAUUUUACCAAUUUUCUAAUAUUUUAUACAACUUUCCUAAACUGUCAGUAAAAAGAAAAAGAGAAAUAAUGAAUAGUGCUAGGCCAAAUCUGACCCAAGCCAGCCCAAUCUCACUAUUUUUCAGAGUUAAGCCAUAUGGGUGCCUUUGAGACUUUUUGCAAUUUACUCCAAAUUGUUCCACAAAACUUGGAAAUAUCCAAAUGUAAAAGUUGCUUAGUUUUUGUUACUCUACCACUUUGAUAUAUGCGCUUUGGUCCAAAAGUGUAUAGAAAUUGAUCUCAUCUCAUAGAGCACUCAUUAGGGUUUCUAGGGUCCUAAUUAGGGUUUUGAGUGUUCUAGGGUUUAUGUUCCACUCAAACUCUCUAUGUUUAGUCUCUUUUGAACAUCUCCACUAACCUUUGAGAUCAUACUCAAUUUGUUAUCACACACCCACAUACCUCUAUACCUUGGUCAAGUAUCCUAUCCUAGGGUUAAGGAUCACUUCAAGUCAUCACAUCACAAUUUGUUUUGAACUUUUAGCCUAGUGGAUGCACUCUAGGUGUAACAUACAUAAUGAAAUGUUAAUGGAUAUGAUGUCAUGCCCAAGUUUUAGUUCUUGUAACAUCAGGGAUGUUACAAUGACGCUUCGAUUGUGUACAUGCAGUAGCUUUCAACAUGUCGAUCCCCAACGGUGGUCACUGACUAUGACGUGCUCAUAGGUAGACUCCCAAUAGGAAGCCUGUAGAUGCCUUUCAUUCGAGGAAUUUGCUUACCCUGACAAAUGAAGGCACUACGAUUAUAUCAUCAUAUACACUUCUACUCUCCCUAUGAUGAGGCGACACGGUCUACGUUUGUUCGAAACCAGAACAAGAUGAUGUAUCAUCUUAGUAGUAGUAGUUGGUUGUUCUCUGAUCUGCUGGCCAUAAGAACCGCUGAGAACCUAGACACAGAAAUGUCUGCCGGCAAGCCAACGAACACUUUCAAUCUAGUUAGCCUCAUCAGUAUGUCAUCAUCAUCAUCGCCGUCCACUAACAUAAUCACAUUCACAGGUGCUCACGAAUUAAAACAAUACCCUCUAGCACUUCACUGUAUGGAGUUGGGCAUCAAAUUCAAAGCAGGCACGACCUCUCCUCUCAUGCACACAUCCACUGGUCCACACACAAUCUGACACCUAUUUGGUAGGAUUUUUGCCCCAGUUUUUAUAUAGGUCCUUCUCAUAACUAACAUCACUGGGAGAAAAAGAAGAACAUUCUAUCUUCAAAAGGUAUUCUUUUUUGUUUCUUGUGCCACAUGUUCUCAAUUAAACCGAAUGAAGCGGAAAUAAUUGUUGAAUUAAUGUGGGUCUGACCCAAAUUAAUAUUCAAUAAUAGUUAAUGCUAAAGGCCCCACUUUAAUGCUACGGUGUACUAGUACUUUAGUACCAUACCACAAGUUCAAGGGACAAUUCAAUCAACUUAAAUAGGUGGACCAUUGGUGCAUCUAUUGAGAAGCUGAGAAAAGGAUGAAGGACUACCACAUGCGCGCGCACCGCUGGCCGGGUUGGGCCGUGGUAGAUCGGACCUUGGUCUGAAUAUUCCUACCUAACGGUUGCACAUUUUGCAUGGAAUUCUUGCAAGCAGACCAUCUUAACGAGGUCGACUAUGGAAGCAGAACUCACAACAUUAGAUACCGCUUCAGUUGAGGCUAAGUGGCUUCGUGAACUCCUUAUAAAUUUACCAGUGGUUGAAAACAUGUGUCGGCUAUUUCUAUGAACUAUGAUAAUCAGACUGUGAUAAUCAAGAUAAAUAGUUCUAAGGAUAAUAUGAAGUCAACAAUGCACAUAAAGAGGCGUUUAAAAUCUGUCAGGAAGUUGAGAAACUUCGGAGUAAUAGCGUUGGACUAUGUGCAUACGUCAAAAAAUCUGGCAGAUCAAAUUACUAAGGGGCUAUCACGUAGUGUGAUAGAUAGUGCAUCGAUGAGAUGGGCCUGAGACCUACCUAAAGUUUAUCAUAGUGGUAACCUGUUCUAUGUAAUCGGAGAUCCCGUGAAUUAGAAUGGUGAAACAAGCUAGUGAUAGACUGAGUGGAAAGACCCUUAAUAAGGUUCAUUUCAUAUGCACAUCUUUCCUUACUAUAAGGUAGGUUGGUGUUUACACCUUAAUAAGGUCCAAGUGGCUUUGUGAAGCAAAGAUGUUGUCCUAUAGAACAUCUUUAGAGGAACAUACCUAUAUGGGUUAACUGCUAGUAACAGUUUAUAAGAUCUGGAUGGUCUCUAGAUACCCAUGAAAGGCUAUGGAGUUUGACUUGUAUGCUCCAACCAGAGGGGAUGUGGUCGUCAAUCUAGUACUAGUAAAGAGUUUAUAUGAAACUUAUUCCACGCAAAACUGCCAAUUCAAGGCCUAGUCCAUUGUGCAGAUGUGGUCAAGUGUAAUCUAGAUUCUAGGUGGAUGUUCAAGUUAACAGUCUCCAUCGAAACACCAGUAUAUUAAACAUUUGAGAUGAUGAGAGCAUUUUAGUGUGACUUAGCAUUUGGUGGGGAUUAUUGAAUUAAUGUGGGCUUGGCCCAAAUUAAUAUUCAAUAAUAGUCAAUGCUAAAGGCCCACUUUAAUGCUAUGGUGUACUAGUACUUUAGUACCAUACCGAAAAGUUCAAGGGACAAUUCAAUCAACUUAAAUAGGUGGACCAUUGGUGCAUCUAUUGAGAAGCUGAGAAAAGGAUGAAGGACUGCCACACGCGCGCACAACGCCGGUCGGGCUGGGCCAUGGCCGUGGUAGAUCGGACCUUGGUCCGAAUAUUCCUUCCUAAUGUUUACACUUUUUUCCUGGAGUGAUGACCGUCCAUUACUGUCGCCCGUUACUGGUUGUUUCCUGUGUUAUGGCUAGUAACAGACGGGUGGCUAGCUGUAACGGUAGCUCUGAUGGUGAAUGUUACUGUUCGUUCGCCUCCCUCUGCGCGUGUACAUAUACAGAGGAGGUGAGGCUGCUUCUGGUUACAGCAUGUACGAACAGUCUCAGACUCGUUGCACACAGCCAUUCCCGUCCCACCUUCUGGUAGCACAGAGGGUGUGGGAGAGCAGGCCUCCGAAAUCGCCAUUCGCAGAGCUACUCUUGCACGGGUGUGCGAGCGAUUAGGUUUUUGGGGAGUGUACUCGUGACUGCUUGCUUCGUCCGCUCGACCAACGCUAAUCAGGUUCCUCGUCGCUGGCACCGUUCGAGGGACUGCACUAUGUACAUUUGCCUUCAUUGACUGCGUACGAAUACAUCAAACAUACACACGAGAUGUCUCAUGUGAAUGGAGCCACUGAUGCCUUGAGCAUCGGUCCCUCCGUAGGGUACAUUCUGUUCUUAGUAAUUGUGCUUGUUUUACUGUUGUUUACUGCUUAUGUGAGUAGUGAUACACACAUGCACAUACAAGUCAUCACAUACAUCACUGUGGUUUUCUCGAUUAAAUUAAAAACUGAAAAUGCCUAUUUCUCUAACAAUCCAAAAACCUGAUAUUAGGCAUUUUUUGUUACUGGUUUUGCUGUUGCGUUAAAACCAAGUGAACCUUUUGAUGGGACAUUUUAUAAAAGGUGACGUAGUAAGAUGAUACUUUGAUUGACUGCAAUGAACUGCUAUCAUGUCGCACAGGGGAAACCCGAACAGUUCACUCCUGAAGAGGAGAGAAUGUUCAAUGUUGCCGAUAACCUAUUUCGAGGCACCGUGAUUGGCGCUCUUGCCAACAAGUAUGUUGAUUCUUCUCUAACGUGCACAUCUACAAAAACGUUAUGUGAUGUAUUAGAUGAGAAGUUAUGUGUUUCUGAUGUUGGUAGCGAGUUGUACAUCAUGGAGCAGAUGUUUGACUAUAAGAUGGUGGAAAAUCGUCCUGUAGUCGAACAGGCUUAUGAAAUACAGGCAUUGGCUAAGGAACUCGAACAGCUCCCAUGUGUCUUGCCUGACAAGUUCAUGGUUGGCGGUAUUAUCGCUAAGCUGCCACCUUCUUGGACAGAUUUUGCUACCACUCUAAAACAUAGGAGACAGGUGUUUAGCGUGGCUGAGCUUAUUGGUUCUCUUGAUGUUGAGGAGAGGGCGAGAGCAAAAGACACUCAUGGAAAAGAAGUUGAGACUUCUAGUGCCAAUAUGGUACAAAAGAAGAACUCCAAUGUGUCACAUAAUAAUAAUAAAAAGAAGAACAAGUAAUAGAAUGCCACGAAGCCCAAUCAAGUAGCCUCAUUUAAAAAGAAGAACAAAGGAGUUGGUUGCUUUGUUUGCGGGAGUACUGAUCACUGGCAAACACUUGUUCAGACCGCAAAUUUAAGUAAGAGAAUAAACCAGCUCAAGAGAAGAAAUCAGUAAACAUGGUUGUUAGUGAGAUCGCAGAAGGAAUAUCAGGGUAUGGUAAUCUUUUACCUACUGUUCUUUUAGUGUGUUAAUCCCCUGAGUGGUGGGCUGACACUGGUGCUAACAUUCAUGUGUGUGCUCAUAUUUCUUUGCAUUCUUCUAAUCAGUGCAAAGAGGUUGGAGCCUUGCUGAUGGGGAACGGAUCACAUGCGCAUGUUCUUUGUGGCAGAACCUCCCAAGUUAUUGGGCCCACAUGCACCUGUCCUUGUCUCAAAGACCUCAGAUGGCUAUGCAUGUGCACCAGAUAACUUAACAGGAUCCGUCCGAUUGCCCCAAGGACAUCGGAUAAACCACUUACAACCAGGACCACAAGAUUAAGUAACACAAAUCACACACCAACAUUUUUGCAGCAAAAAUCUUAAUACCAAAUUUUACAAGUUACAAAUUUUUUUACAUUAUAUUUAUCGGAGUGAUUACAAAAGUAUAAGUUUGGAAUAUAUGCUAGCUCAAAGGACUAUCCUCAAUAAGAAGUAUAGAAGGGUUACUUAGAAUUAUAAGAAGGCCGAGCCCACCGGCACUUAACACCAUCAUCAGCAGCACAAAACUAUAACCUGAAAACAACAGGGAAUAAAACCUUGAGUAUGGAAUUACUCAGCAAGACUUACCCGACUAAAGAAAAGACUCUCAAGGGUAUGCUGGUUUCAAACGGGAUUCAAGGAAAGGCUUAUCAAGAAUCAAGGACUCUGUUUUGCAGAAAUGCUUACUAAUAGUGGAUCCUUAAAAUCCAGUUUUACUUGUCAGGUUAAGUAAAGUUACCUGCAGCUAUAGUUCUUUCUACCCUAGUUCAAACACUUGGCCUAUACUAGCCGUCUUUUCAUCAUCCCUUUAGUUCACUGGAUUGCUACGUGUAGGGCAGUGACCAAGUCUUCAUGUCCGCGAAGUUACGGUGAUCCAAAUCAAUUAUACUCAGCUGAGGAUCUCCAAUCACACGACAUAUGUAGCACUUAACCCUUGCAUAUGUCAACUCGCCACCGGGGUUCUUAAGACCAGAUCAGGUUCACGCCAACCGAGAGCACAGAUACACCACCAUCCAGCCUCUUGCCACGGAGGGUACACGCUACUCUCGCCAUCUCUCCACUCCCAUUGUGUGUUAUCUUAUUCUGGUAUUAGUCUGCCCGAGGCAAAGCUUACCCAUGAUGAGGCAUGUGCCAGUUAAAGGGUCCUCGAUCAGCAAGCCUACAUCGACAAGGUCCUUAAUCGACUCAGACAGAGACACUACACCGAGACUCUCUUCUCGUGCAAGUCACCCGCCCAUUCUCAGCUUUAUCAUUUCAAACCCAAAGUUUGGUACCUGGUAGAGGUACAUCUUUUCCGAUGUUGAACCCAUCAUGGCCAUGAUGGAUCCACCAUCAAAUUUUGUUUUUGAAAACAUCCCACCCACUUUGAAGCAUCAUCUUUUGGGAAAACAAAACAUUUUGUUUUCUAGAGCAAGGCUAAGCAUAAGAAAAACCUUUUGGUAAAUCAAGGAUUAAGGAGAAGUAAUCAAAUCCAAGGAAGGAAAUACAACAACUGGUUUAGCACACAACUCCUAUAACCUAAUGCAUCAAGUAAGUGAGAAAGAUUUCAAAAUAACAAGGGGGUGGCAAAUGCACCGGGGCUUGCCUUGUAUGAUAGGUGAAUCAGGCUCUGUUCCGCAGAUAUCAAAGUAAAAGCAGUUUCCUGCCUGAGGUUCUUCAGGUGGUGGUGGUGAAGUCCUCGCUUCUUCAACUUCUAUUUCCUCCUCGUUUUCUAGAUAUAACCAUAUAUAAUCAUGAAUGCUCAUGUAAUGCUCAUGAAAAUGCUAAGAUAAUAAAAUUUUAUUAUCUAAUGUCUUGAAUAUAACUUUCCUUCACGGAUCUCCGAGAAAUUAGGGUUUUCGGAGUCUAUAGUGAAGUUCAUAGGGCAGGGGCUAGGGUUUUGGGUUCUAAGUAUCAAACAUGGUCCAAAUCAUACCAAACUUUACCCAAGGCUUCUAAAUAUUACUUAAAGCUUGUCUAAAAAGUUUGGUGAAUUUUGGGAUUAUAAAUUACUCUCUAAAAUUCCAGAAGUAUGGAUUUUGGCUAUUUUAAAUGCCCCAAAAUUCCCUAUUGGAACUAAAAAUCAGGAAACUAUUUUUAUUAAAUACUAUAAGAAAUUAGAAGCCUAGCAAAAUUGGUCUGGUAUUUUUAGCAUUUUUCUACAAAUUUUUUAUGGAUUUCUAAAGCUUCUCGGAAAAAGAAAAAGAAAAUCUUUCAAUAGUGUUGGGCCAAAACUGACCCAAACGGCCCAACCCGAACAGAAAACGGGGACGCGUGCGUGCCCUCGUUGGCGGAUUUGCACAGAGGCCCCCGAUGGCUUGGAUAACUCGUUAAGAACCCCUAGCCACUAUUCAUCGUCUCACUGACAAUUACACAGAGGUCCCCAGACUUCUGUUUCUUUACAGUUCGAAGUCCACGACGGCGAACAGCGCGGGGCCGAGCUCCGGUGAGCCUAUACCGGUCGAUUUACUCGAUGACCGGCGUUCUACUUUGGCAGAGACCAAAUUCAAGCUGUCGGGUACCGUAAUUAGGGGUACCUCCAAUGCUCCUUAAUCCGGCUGGAAAACAUCUUCAGAAUAAACCAUACACGGCUGAUAAAGCGCGGUUCAAGUCAAGGCCACGUCUGCCGAGGGACACGACCUCAUCCGAGCCCAGCCUCGGGCGAGAACAGUAGUCCCGGACGGAUUCACGUCUCGCCCGAGGGUCCCCUCAGCCAGCAGAUGCACCCUCGGCUCGCCCAAAGCCCAGCUUGGGUAGACUUUGUCGUGCAGCGACCUUGGCCAAAUCGCCUUACCAGUCGACCGUAUCGCAUGCGCAUUUAAUGCGGGGAUCGCCUGACACCUUAUCCUAACACGCAUGCCUCAGUCGGCAAGGUCGAAGUGACCGCAGUCACUUCGCCCCUUUACUAACCGAUAUGACAGGAAAACAGCGUUGUUCGCCCCGCUCCGGCUAUCAUGCCAACCACCAGGAUAAAACUGAGUCACGAUCUCCCACGAGUUUGGCCUUGGGCGCAACAGGGAGCUCCACCGCGCCCGACCUCAGGCCUCGGCCUCGGCCUCGGCCUCAGAAGAAGAUCUCCGCCUCGCCCGACCCCAGGCCUCGGCCUUAGCCUUGGCCUCGGGAGGAGUCACAACCUCGCCCGAGGCCAGCCUCGGCCUCAGGAGAAGUCUAUGCCUCGCCCGACCUAGGCCUCGGACCGACUACGCUACAGGGGAUACAUCAUUACCCUACUCCUAGCUAGCUGCCUCAGGCUAUGAAGGAACAAGACCGGUGUCCCAUCUAAGGUUACUCCGGUAACGUCGGUUGCUCUCAAACCCCCUACGAAAGCAAGACAACGUCAGCAGGAUCCAAGCCGCGCCGACAGCUGUGCUUCUACAGGGCUCAAGGCACUUCUCCGACGGCCACGUUAGCUCAUCUACAGGGCUCAAGGCGCUUCUCCGCCAGCCACGAUAGCACAUAGCUACACCCCCUUGUACAGCUGGGCAUCUCCUUGUAUCUAUAAAAGGGGAUGUCUAGGACGUUCACGAGGGGACGUCGUGGACAAACGUUGCAACACUGACAAUGUUGGACGUCGAGGACAGGCGGGGCAGACGAGACAGGCAGCACGCAGAGACUCUCUCUCUCUCUUGCUCUCGCCCUCACUCCCUCGCGCGACGCUUGUAACCCCUACUACGAGCACCCCGGUGCGAGAUAACAUAAGACUCAUUUCCCUCUUGUGUUCCAUCUUGCAUCAACCCAUCUGGGCAGGGACACGCAGCAACAAAUUUACUGGUCGGUUGACGGUCCUCGCGGGUCUGAAACGUCGACAGUUGGCGCGCCAGGUAGGGGCUCGCUGCGUGUUAACAAACACUUUCCCGUUGAGUUCCAGAUGGGUAGCCUCCAGCAGCCUAUUCAGCCGGGGAUGCUGCUCCGCUUCGGGAGUCUCGAGUUCAUGUCCCUUGACGGCAGCUACAACAUGGUACUCCUCCCCCCGCAGCGCGACAGCAACGACGAUCGUCGGCUCGCCUGGCGGCGGCGAACUCGACGAUGAAUUCCCACCGUGGUAGAAGAGGAACACCCGGGUUUGCGCCGCCACCUUCCUCACCGGAGGAGGAGGAGACGGGGCAACCAUGGCCAUGCAGGAGGCGGCACCUCGUCGGCUGUCAGGCCAGAGCGAUUCGACGACGCUGGCACCCCUGCGGGGGCCAUGUCGGGUGUUGUCUUCGCACCUGAGACAACAACGGGUGUCGCUUCCCCGCAACGUGCCAACCCCAAGCGGACUGAUGACGCCAGCACCCUCGCAAAGGACUUGCUGGGCGUUAGCCUCGUACCUGAGAUAACGGUGCAGUCCGUCCUCGAUGCGACUUUGUCACUGUCCAUCGACCAAGAGGUAUUGUCCGCUUUCCACCCUGACCCAUUUAGAUUCAGCUUCGAUCCACCAAGCGACCCCGCUUUGGUGAGCGCUUCCGCAAGGGCAUACCCUGACCUUCCGGGGUAUCCUAUGCGGUCAUCUUGGGACCGACUGACGGCCGUCUCAACCUCUGGACCCGCGGGUUCCGAGGAAGACGAUGACUCCGACUUAGUGAACCCAGUGCCAUGCGAGACUUCAUGUCCGCAUGUGACUACUGCCUCUCCGGCUGCUCUGACGAUGGCCAUAGCCUCGGCGACAAGGGUUGCGACCCAAGCCGCGAGUGUUUCCACAUCGAUCAGGGGGAUCACGGUGAGGACAACCACCUCGGCAUGCCGUAAGAUGACAACGCCCCUGUGCCUGCGUCUCGCAUUGACAUCCCGCGUGAGCUAGAUGUGGUCCCAGUCCCUGCGGGGGGGUCAGGCCACACAACUCGAGCAAUUCUACGAGAUGCAGGCCAAGCUCGACGAAGAAGCAGGGUGGCUUGUGCAGCUCCGACAAAACAUCGAGCAGGAGUGGGCAGGCCGAGCACUUGCCGGAGGAGCGCCUCAUCGGGCCCGAGACGUCCAGCGCCGUAUCGUUGACGAUGCCAGGGCAGGGCUGCCCCCGACCUUCAGCGGGGUCGGCCAGAAUCUAGCUACAACGGCGAUGCUACUCUGAGCAAUGCCGAAGCCAUCCACCACCGAGGGGUAGCGUAUCCAGGGCGAACUUAAGGGUCUCCUGGAAAACGCGGCGGUCCGACGAGCCGAGAGCUCUGCCUCCCGAAGGCAAAGGUGCCCCUUGGAGCAUCGCGCAACGUCCUCCCAACUCAUGCGGGAGACCUCGGUCCGCACCGGGCGCACGCGGGACGGGACGCCUGCAGCCCCAGAUCGCCUUGGCGACGAGCACCACCGCCGCGACCGUCGAGCCCUCCUCGAAGAGAAGGUGCGCCGAGGCUACCACCCCAGGAGCGGAGGACGCUAUGACAGUGAGGAAGAUCGGAGCCCCUCGCCCGAACCGCUGGGUUCGAGGGUCUUCAGCCGGGCCAUACGACGGGCGUCGUUCCCAGCCCGGUUCCGAGCCCCGACUACCAUCACCAAGUACUCAGGGGAGACAAGGCCGGAGUUGUGGCUUGCGGACUACCGACUGGCAUGCCAGUUGGGAGGGACGAAUGACAACAACCUCAUCAUCUGCAACCUCCCCCUUUUCCUCUCCGAAGCUGCCCGGGCAUGGCUGGAGCAUCUGCCUCCUACACAGAUCUCCGAUUGGGACGACCUGGUCAAGGCCUUCGCAGGAAACUUCCAAGGCACGUACGUGCGCCCUGGGAACUCAUGGGAUCUCCAAAGCUGCCGCCAGCAGUCAGGGGAAUCCCUGCGAGAGUACAUCCGACGGUUUUCAAAGUAGCGCACCGAGCUGCCCAACAUCACCGACUCGGACGUCAUCGGGGCAUUCCUCGUCAGCACCACGUGCCGGGACCUGGUGAGCAAACUGGGGCGCAAGACUCCCACCAAGGCGAGCGAAUUGAUGGACAUCGCCACCAAGUUCGCCUCUGGUUAGGAGGCGGUCGAAGCCAUCUUCUGGAAGAACAAGCAGCCUCAAGGAAGACAGAAAGAAGACGCCCCCGAGGCGUCCGUCUAGCGUGGCUCGAAAAAGAAGGCCAAGAAGAAGGCGCAAGCAAAGCGCGACGCCAUUGACGCGGAUCUCAUCGCUGCUACCGAGCACAGGAAUCCUCGGAAGCCUCCCGGAGGAGUCAACACGUUUGACAAGAUGCUCAAGGAGCCGUGCCCCUAUCACAGGGGUCCCGUCAAGCACACCCUUGAGGAGUGCGACAUGCUCCGGCGUUACUUCAUCAAGGCGGGACCCUCGGCAGAAGGUGGCAAGGACCAAGGCAACAACGAGAAGGGGGGCGACAAGGAUGAGGAGUUCCCGGAGGUCCAUGACUGCUUCAUGAUCUAUGGCGGACAGGUGGGGAACGCCUCGGCUCGGCGCCACAAGCAGGAGCGACGGGAGGUCUGCUCGGUGAAGGUAGCGGCGUCGGUCUACCUAGACUGGUCCGACAAGCCCAUCACCUUUGACCAAGGCAACCACCCCGACUAUGUGCCGAUCCCAGGAAGGUACCUGCUUGUCGUCGACCCCGUCAUUGGCAACGCUAGGCUCACCAAGGUCCUCAUGGACGGAGGCAGCAGCCUCAACAUCAUCUACGCCGAGACCCUAGGGCUCUUGGGGAUAGAUCUGUCCAUGAUCCGGGCCCGUGCAGCACCCUUUCACGGGAUUGUCCCCGGUAAGCACGUCCUGCCCCUUGGGCAACUUGAUUUGCCCGUCUGCUUCGGAGCUCCCUCCAACUUGCACAGGGAAACCCUCACGUUCGAGGUGGUUAGGUUCCGAGGAACCUAUCAUGCGGUGCUGGGGAGACCGUGCUACGCCAAGUUCAUGGUCGUCCCCAACUACACGUACCUCAAGCUCAAGAUGUCGGGCCCCAAUGGAAUCAUCAACGUCGGAUCCACGUACCGCCACGCUUACGAGUGCGAUGUGGAAUGAGUGGAGUACGCUGAGGCCAUCGCCGAGUCCGAGGCCCUCAUCGCCGACCUGGAAUGCCUCUCAAAGGAGGCGCCUGACGCGAAGCGCCACGCCGGCAACUUCGAACCAGCUGAGGCGGUUAAAUCCGUCUCUCUCAACCCAAGCAACGACGCCUGCAAGCAAGUCAGGAUCGGCUCCGAGCUCGACCCCAAAUAGGAAGCAGUGCUCGUCGACUUUCUCCACGCAAAUGCUGAAAUUUUUGCGUGGAGUCCCUCGGACAUGCCGGGCAUACCAAGGGAUGUCGCCGAGCACUCGCUGGAUAUCCGAGCUAGAGCCCGACCCCGUGAAGCUUAUUGGUUCUCUUGAUGUUGAGGAGAGGGCGAGAGCAAAAGACACUCAUGGAAAAGAAGUUGAGACUUCUAGUGCCAAUAUGGUACAAAAGAAGAACUCCAAUGUGUCACAUAAUAAUAAUAAAAAGAAGAACAAGUAAUAGAAUGCCACGAAGCCCAAUCAAGUAGCCUCAUUUAAAAAGAAGAACAAAGGAGUUGGUUGCUUUGUUUGCGGGAGUACUGAUCACUGGCAAACGCUUGUUCAGACCGCAAAUUUAAGUAAGAGAAUAAACCAGCUCAAGAGAAGAAAUCAGUAAACAUGGUUGUUAGUGAGAUCGCAGAAGGAAUAUCAGGGUAUGGUAAUCUUUUACCUACUGUUCUUUUAGUGUGUUAAUCCCCUGAGUGGUGGGCUGACACUGGUGCUAACAUUCAUGUGUGUGCUCAUAUUUCUUUGCAUUCUUCUAAUCAGUGCAAAGAGGUUGGAGCCUUGCUGAUGGGGAACGGAUCACAUGCGCAUGUUCUUUGUGGCAGAACCUCCCAAGUUAUUGGGCCCACAUGCACCUGUCCUUGUCUCAAAGACCUCAGAUGGCUAUGCAUGUGCACCAGAUAACUUAACAGGAUCCGUCCGAUUGCCCCAAGGACAUCGGAUAAACCACUUACAACUAGGACCACAAGAUUAAGUAACACAAAUCACACACCAACAUUUUUGCAGCAAAAAUCUUAAUACCAAAUUUUACAAGUUACAAAUUUUUUUACAUUAUAUUUAUCGGAGUGAUUACAAAAGUAUAAGUUUGGAAUAUAUGCUAGCUCAAAGGACUAUCCUCAAUAAGAAGUAUAGAAGGGUUACUUAGACUUAUAAGAAGGCCAAGCCCACCGGCACUUAACACCAUCAUCAGCAGCACAAAACUAUAACCUGAAAAACAACAGGGAAUAAAACCCUGAGUAUGGAAUUACUCAGCAAGACUUACCCGACUAAAGAAAAGACACUCAAGGGUAUGCUGGUUUCAAACGGGAUUCAAGGAAAGGCUUAUCAAGAAUCAAGGACUCUGUUUUGCAGAAAUGCUUACUAAUAGUGGAUCCUUAAAAUCCAGUUUUACUUGUCAGGUUAAGUAAAGUUACCUGCAGCUAUAGUUCUUUCUACCCUAGUUCAAACACUUGGCCUAUACUAGCCGUCUUUUCAUCAUCCCUUUAGUUCACUGGAUUGCUACGUGUAGGGCAGUGACCAAGUCUUCAUGUCCGCGAAGUUACGGCGAUCCAAAUCAAUUAUACUCAGCUGAGGAUCUCCAAUCACACGACAUAUGUAGCACUUAACCCUUGCAUAUGUCAACUCGCCACCGGGGUUCUUAAGACCAGAUCAGGUUCACGCCAACCGAGAGCACAGAUACACCACCGUCCAGCCUCUUGCCACGGAGGGUACACGCUACUCUCGCCAUCUCUCCACUCCCAUUGUGUGUUAUCUUAUUCUGGUAUUAGUCUGCCCGAGGCAAAGCUUACCCAUGAUGAGGCAUGUGUCAGUUAAAGGGUCCUCGAUCAGCAAGCCUACAUCGACAAGGUCCUUAAUCGACUCAGACAGAGACACUACACCGAGACUCUCUUCUCGUGCAAGUCACUCGCCCAUUCUCAGCUUUAUCAUUUCAAACCCAAAGUUUGGUACCUGGUAGAGGUACAUCUUUUCCGAUGUUGAACCCAUCAUGGCCAUGAUGGAUCCACCAUCAAAUUUUGUUUUUGAAAACAUCCCACCCACUUUGAAGCAUCAUCUUUUGGGAAAACAAAACAUUUUGUUUUCUAGAGCAAGGCUAAGCAUAAGAAAAACCUUUUGGUAAAUCAGGGAUUAAGGAGAAGUAAUCAAAUCCAAGGAAGGAAAUACAACAACUGGUUUAGCACACAACUCCUAUAACCUAAUGCAUCAAGUAAGUGAGAAAGAUUUCAAAAUAACAAGGGGGUGGCAAAUGCACCGGGGCUUGCCUUGUAUGAUAGGUGAAUCGGGCUCUGUUCCGCAGAUAUCAAAGUAAAAGCAGUUUCCUGCCUGAGGUUCUUCAGGUGGUGGUGGUGAAGUCCUCGCUUCUUCAACUUCUAUUUCCUCCUCGUUUUCUAGACAUAACCAUAUAUAAUCAUGAAUGCUCAUGUAAUGCUCAUGAAAAUGCUAAGAUAAUAAAAUUUUAUUAUCUAAUGUCUUGAAUAUAACUUUCCUUCACGGAUCUCCGAGAAAUUAGGGUUUUCGGAGUCCAUAGUGAAGUUCAUAGGGCAGGGGCUAGGGUUUUGGGUUCUAAGUAUCAAACAUGGUCCAAAUCAUACCAAACUUUACCCAAGGCUUCUAAAUAUUACUUAAAGCUUGUCUAAAAAGUUUGGUGAAUUUUGGGAUUAUAAAUUACUCUCUAAAAUUCCAGAAGUAUGGAUUUUGGCUAUUUUAAAUGCCCCAAAAUUCCCUAUUGGAACUAAAAAUCAGGAAACUAUUUUUAUUAAAUACUAUAAGAAAUUAGAAGCCUAGCAAAAUUGGUCUGGUAUUUUUAGCAUUUUUCUACAAAUUUUUUAUGGAUUUCUAAAGCUUCUCGGAAAAAGAAAAAGAAAAUCUUUCAAUAGUGUUGGGCCAAAACUGACCCAAACGGCCCAACCCGAACAGAAAACGGGGACGCGUGCGCGCCCUCGUUGGCGGAUUUGCAUAGAGGCCCCCGAUGGCUUGGAUAACUCGUUAAGAACCCCUGUUUCUUUACAGUCCGAAGUCCACGACGGCGAACAGCGCGGGGCCGAGCUCCGGUGAGCCUAUACCGGUCGAUUUACUCGAUGACCGGCGUUCUACUUUGGCAGAGACCAAAUUCAAGCUGUCGGGUACCGUAAUUAGGGGUACCUCCAAUGCUCCUUAAUCCGGCUGGAAAACAUCUUCAGAAUAAACCAUACACGGCUGAUAAAGCGCGGUUCAAGUCAAGGCCACGUCUGCCGAGGGACACGACCUCAUCCGAGCCCAGCCUCGGGCGAGAACAGUAGUCCCGGACGGAUUCACGUCUCGCCCGAGGGUCCCCUCAGCCAGCAGACGCACCCUCGGCUCGCCCAAAGCCCAGCUUGGGUAGACUUUGUCGUGCAGCGACCUUGGCCAAAUCGCCUUACCAGUCGACCGUAUCGCAUGCGCAUUUAAUGCGGGGAUCGCCUGACACCUUAUCCUAACACGCGUGCCUCAGUCGGCAAGGUUGAAGUGACCGCAGUCACUUCGCCCCUUUACUGACCGAUAUGACAGGAAAACAGCGUUGUUCGCCCCGCUCCGGCUAUCAUGCCAACCACCAGGAUAAAACUGAGUCACGAUCUCCCACGAGUUUGGCCUUGGGCGCAACAGGGAGCUCCACCGCGCCCGACCUCAGGCCUCGGCCUCGGCCUCAGAAGAAGAUCUCCGCCUCGCCCGACCCCAGGCCUCGGCCUUAGCCUCGGCCUCGGGAGGAGUCACAACCUCGCCCGAGGCCAGCCUCGGCCUCAGGAGAAGUCUAUGCCUCGCCCGAUCUAGGCCUCGGACCGACUACGCUACAGGGGAUACAUCAUUACCCUACUCCUAGCUAGCUGCCUCAGGCUAUGAAGGAACAAGACCGGUGUCCCAUCUAAGGUUACUCCGGUAACGUCGGUUGCUCUCAAACCCCCUACGAAAGCAAGACAACGUCAGCAGGAUCCAUGCCGCGCCGACGGCUGUGCUUCUACAGGGCUCAAGGCACUUCUCCGACGCUCACGUUAGCUCGUCUACAGGGCUCAAGGCGCUUCUCCGCCAGCCACGAUAGCACAUAGCUACACCCCCUUGUACAGCUUGGCAUCUCCUUGUAUCUAUAAAAGGGGAUGUCCAGGACGUUCACGAGGGGACGUCGUGGACAAACGUUGCAACACUGACAAUGUUGGACGUCGAGGACAGGCGGGGCAGAUGAGACAGGCAGCACGCAGAGACUCUCUCUCUCUCUCUUGCUCUCGCCCUCGCUCCCUCGCGCGACGCUUGUAACCCCUACUACGAGCACCCCGGUGCGAGAUAACAUAAGACUCAUUUCCCUCUUGUGUUCCAUCUUGCAUCAACCCAUCUGGGCAGGGACACGCAGCAACAAAUUUACUAGUCGGUUGACGGUCCUCGCGGGUCUGAAACGUCGACAGUUGGCGCGCCAGGUAGGGGCUCGCUGCGUGUUAACAAACACUUUCCCGUUGAGUUCCAGAUGGGUAGCCUCCAGCAGCCUCUUCAGCCGGGGAUGCUGCUCUGCUUCGGGAGUCUCGAGUUCAUGUCCCUUGACGGUAGCUACAACAUGGUACUCCUCCCCCCGCAGCGCGACAGCAACGACGAUCGUCGGCUCGCCUGGCGGCGGCGAACUCGACGAUGAAUUCCCACCGUGGCAGAAGAGGAACACCCGGGUUUGCGCCGCCACCUUCCUCACCGGAGGAGGAGGAGACGGGGCAACCAUGGCCAUGCAGGAGGCGGCACCUCGUCGGCUGUCAGGCCAGAGCGAUUCGAUGACACUGGCACCCCUGCGGGGGCCAUGUCGGGUGUUGUAUUCGCACCUGAGACAACAACGGGUGUCGCUUCCCCGCAACGUGCCAACCCCAAGCGGACUGAUGACGCCAGCACCCUUGCAAAGGACUUGCUAGGCGUUAGCCUCGUACCUGAGAUAACGGUGCAGUCCGUCCCCGAUGCGACUUUGUCACCGUCCAUCGACCAAGAGGUACUAUCCGCUUUCCACCCUGACCCAUUUAGAUUCAGCUUCGAUCCACCAAGCGACCCCGCUUUGGUGAGCGCUUCCGCAAGGGCAUACCCUGACCUUCCGGGGUAUCCUAUGCGGUCAUCUUGGGACCGACUGAUGGCCGUCUCAACCUUUGGACCCGCGGGUUCCGAGGAAGACGAUGACUCCGACUUAGUGAUCCCAGUGCCAUGCGAGACUUCAUGUCCGCAUGUGACUACUGCCUCUCCGGCUGCUCUGACGAUGGCCAUAGCCUCGGUGACAAGGGUUGCGACCCAAGCCGCGAGUGUUUCCACAUCGAUCAGGGGGAUCACGGUGAGGACAACCACCUCGGCAUGCCGUAAGAUGACAACGCCCCUGUGCCUGCGUCUCGCAUUGACAUCCCGCGUGAGCUAGCUGUGGUCCCAGUCCCUGCGGGGGGUCAGGCCACACAACUCGAGCAAUUCUACGAGAUGCAGGCCAAGCUCGACGAAGAAGCAGGGUGGCUUGUGCAGCUCCGACAAAACAUCGAGCAGGAGUGGGCAGGCCGAGCACUUGCCGGAGGAGCGCCUCAUCGGGCCCGAGACGUCCAGUGCCGUAUCGUUGACGAUGCCAGGGCAGGGCUGCCCCCGACCUUCAGCGGGGUCGGCCAGAAUCUAGCUACAACGGCGAUGCUACUCUGAGCAAUGCCGAAGCCAUCCACCACCGAGGGGUAGCGUAUCCAGGGCGAACUUAAGGGUCUCCUGGAAAACGCGGCGGUCCGACGAGCCGAGAGCUCUGCCUCCCGAAGGCAAAGGUGCCCCUCGGAGAAUCGCGCAACGUCCUCCCAACUCAUGCGGGAGACCUCGGUCCGCACCGGGCGCACGCGGGACGGGACGCCUGCAGCCCCAGAUCGCCUUGGCGACGAGCACCACCGCCGCGACCGUCGAGCCCUCCUCGAAGAGAAGGUGCGCCGAGGCUACCACCCCAGGAGCGGAGGACGCUAUGACAGUGAGGAAGAUCGGAGCCCCUCGCCCGAACCGCUGGGUUCGAGGGUCUUCAGCCGGGCCAUACGACGGGCGCCGUUCCCAGCCCGGUUCCGAGCCCCGACUACCAUCACCAAGUACUCAAGGGAGACAAGGCCGGAGUUGUGGCUUGCGGACUACCGACUGGCAUGCCAGUUGGGAGGGACGAAUGACAACAACCUCAUCAUCUGCAACCUCCCCCUUUUCCUCUCCGAAGCUGCCCGGGCAUGGCUGGAGCAUCUGCCUCCUACGCAGAUCUCCGAUUGGGACGACCUGGUCAAGGUCUUCGCAGGAAACUUCCAAGGCACGUACGUGCGCCCUGGGAACUCAUGGGAUCUCCAAAGCUGCCGCCAGCAGUCAGGGGAAUCCCUGCGAGAGUACAUCCGAUGGUUUUCAAAGUAGCGCACCGAGCUGCCCAACAUCACCGACUCGGACGUCAUCGGGGCAUUCCUCGCCGGCACCACGUGCCGGGACCUGGUGAGCAAACUGGGGCGCAAGACUCCCACCAAGGCGAGCGAAUUGAUGGACAUCGCCACCAAGUUCGCCUCUGGUUAGGAGGCGGUAGAAGCCAUCUUCUGGAAGAACAAGCAGCCUCAAGGAAGACAGAAAGAAGACGCCCCUGAGGCGUCCGUCCAGCGUGGCUCGAAAAAGAAGGCCAAGAAGAAGGCGCAAGCAAAGUGCGACGCCAUUGACGCGGAUCUCAUCGCUGCUACCGAGCACAGGAAUCCUCGGAAGCCUCCCGGAGGAGUCAACACGUUUGACAAGAUGCUCAAGGAGUCGUGCCCCUAUCACAGGGGUCUCGUCAAGCACACCCUUGAGGAGUGCGACAUGCUCCGGCGUUACUUCAUCAAGGCGGGACCCUCGGCAGAAGGUGGCAAGGACCAAGGCAACAACGAGAAGGGGGCGACAAGGAUGAGGAGUUCCCGGAGGUCCGUGACUGCUUCAUGAUCUAUGGCGGACAGGUGGCGAACGCCUCGGCUCGGCGCCGCAAGUAGGAGCGACGGGAGGUCUGCUCGGUGAAGGUAGCGGCGCCGGUCUACCUAGACUGGUCCGACAAGCCCAUCACCUUCGACCAAGGCAACCACCCCGACUAUGUGCCGAUCCCAGGAAGGUACCUGCUUGUCGUCGACCCCAUCAUCGGCAACGCUAGGCUCACCAAGGUCCUCAUGGACGGAGGCAGCAGCCUCAACAUCAUCUACGCCGAGACCCUAGGGCUCUUGGGGAUAGAUCUGUCCAUGAUCCGGGCCCGUGCAGCACCCUUUCACGGGAUCGUCCCCGGUAAGCGCGACCUGCCCCUUGGGCAACUUGAUUUGCCCGUCUGCUUCGGAGCUCCCUCAAACUUGCACAGGGAAAACCUCAUGUUCGAGGUGGUUAGGUUCCGAGGAACCUAUCAUGCGGUGCUGGGGAGACCGCGCUACGCCAAGUUCAUGGCCGUCCCCAACUACACGUACCUCAAGCUCAAGAUGCCGGGCCCCAACGGAAUCAUCAACGUCGGAUCCACGUACCGCCACGCUUACAAGUGCGGCGUGGAAUGCGUGGAGUACGCUGAGGCCAUCGCCGAGUCCGAGGCCCUCAUCGCCGACCUGGAAUGCCUCUCAAAGGAGGCGCCUGACGCGAAGCGCCACGCCGGCAACUUCGAACCAGCUGAGGCGGUUAAAUCCGUCUCUCUCAACCCCAGCAACGACGCCUGCAAGCAAGUCAGGAUCGGCUCCGAGCUCGACCCCAAAUAGGAAGCAGUGCUCGUCGACUUUCUCCGCGCAAAUGCUGAAAUUUUUGCGUGGAGUCCCUCGGACAUGCCGGGCAUACCAAGGGAUGUCGCCGAGCACUCGCUGGAUAUCCGAGCUAGAGCCCAACCCGUGAAGCAGCACCUGCGCCGCUUUGAUGAAGAGAAGCACAGGGCCAUAGGCGAGGAGGUCCACAAGCUGAUGGCUGCAGGGUUCAUCAAAGAGGUAUUCCAUCCCGAAUGGUUAGCUAACCCUGUGCUUGUGAAGAAAAAAGGUGGGAAAUGGAGGAUGUGCGUAGACUACACUGGCCUAAACAAAGCAUGUCCGAAGGUUCCCUACCUUCCGCCUCGCAUCGAUUAAAUUGUGGACUCCACUGCUAGGUGCGAAACCCUGUCAUUCCUCGACACCUAUUCAGGUUAUCACCAAAUCAAGAUGAAAGAAUCCGACCAGCUCGCGACUUCUUUCAUCACACCCUUUGGCAUGUAUUGUUAUAUUACUAUGCCCUUUGGCUUGAGGAAUGCAGGUGCAACCUACCAAAGGUGCAUGAACCAUGUGUUCGGAGAGCACAUCGGCCGGACGGUCGAGGCUUACGUCGAUGACAUCGUUGUCAAGACAAGAAGAGCCUCCGACCUCCUCUCCGACCUCGAAGUGACUGUCGGGUGCCUGCACGCAAAGGGCGUAAAGCUCAAUCCCGAGAAGUGUCUCUUCGGAGUCCCCCGAGGCAUGCUCCUGGGGUUCAUCGUCUCCGAAAGAGGCAUCGAGGCCAACCCAGACAAAAUCGCAGCCAUCACCAACAUGGGACCCAUCAAGAAUCUAAAAGGAGUACAAAGGGUCAUGGGAUGCCUUGCGGCUCUAAGCCGCUUCAUCUCGCGCCUCAGCGAGAAAGGAUUGCCCUUGUACCGCCUCUUAAGGAAGGGCGAGCGCUUCACUUGGACCCCCGAGGCCGAGGAAGCCCUCGGGAACUUAAAGGCACUCCUUACUAACGCACCCAUCUUGGUGCCCCCCGCUGCGGGAGAAGCCCUCUUGAUCUAUGUAGCCGCAACCACUCAGGUGGUCAGCGCCACGAUCGUAUUCGAGAGACGAGAAGAGGGGCAUGCAUUGCUCGUCCAGAGGCCGGUCUACUUCAUCAGUGAAGUGCUGUCCGAGACCAAGAUCGGCUACCCAUAAAUUCAGAAGCUACUGUACACAGUAAUUCUGUUGUGGCGAAAGUUGCGACACUACUCCGAGUCUCAUCCGGUGACUGUGGUGUCAUCCUUCCCCCUGGGAGAGAUCAUCCAGUGCCGAGAGGCCUUGGGUAGGAUAGCAAAAUGGGCAGUGGAACUCAUGGGUGAAACAAUUUCAUUUACCCCCCGGAAGGCCAUAAAGUCCCAAGUCUUGGCGGACUUCCUGGCUGAAUGGGUCGACACCCAAUUGCCGACAGCUCCAAUCCAGCCCGAACUUUGGACCAUGUACUUCGAUGGGUCGCUGAUGAAAAUAGGAGCAGGUGUUGGCUUGCUCUUCAUCUCACCCCUCGGGAAACAUGUGCUCUACAUGUUGCGCCUCCAUUUUCCGACGUUAAACAACAUGGCCGAGUACGAGGCUUUGGUUAAUGGGUUGCGCAUCGCCAUCGAGCUAGGGGUUCGGAGCCUCAACGCUCAGGGCAACUCGCAACUCGUCAUUGACCAAGUCAUGAAGAACUCCCACUGCCGCGAUCAAAAAAUGGAGGCCUACUGCGACGAAGUUCGGUGCUUGGAGGAUAAGUUCCACGGGCUGGAACUCAACCAUGUUGCUCGAUGGUACAAUGAGACCGCGGAUGAGCUGGCUAAAAUAGCCUUAGGGCGAACGACGGUUCCCCCGGAUGUCUUCUCCAGGGACAUAUAUCAACCAUCCGUGAAACUCGACGACGCGCCCGAGCCCGAUGAGACUUCGGCCCAGCCCGAGGUACCCUCGACCGCCGAGGGUGAGGCCUUGCGCAUCGAGGGACAGCAGAAUGGGGUUGCGCCAAACCAAAACUGGCAAACCCCAUACCUGCAAUAUCUCUGCCGAGGAGAGCUGCCCCUCGACAAGGCCGAAGCUCGACGACUGGCUCGGCGCGUCAAGUCGUUCGUUUUACUAGGUGAUGAAAAGGAGUUGUACCACCACAGCCCCUCAGGCAUUCUCCAACGAUGCAUAUCCAUUGCCCAAGGACAAGAGCUGUUACAAGAAAUACACUCGGGGGCUUGCGGUCACCAUGCAACACCUCGGACCCUCGUCGGAAACGCUUUUCGACAAGGUUUCUACUGGCCGACCGCAGUGGCCGAUGCCACUAGGAUUGUACACUCAUGCAGAGGGUGUCAAUUCUACGCGAGACAGACGCACCUGCUCGCUCAGACCCUGCAAACAAUACCCAUCACUUGGUCGUUUGCCGUAUGGGGUCUGGACCUCGUCGGUCCCUUGCAGAAGGCACCCGGGGGCUUCAAGCACCUGCUAGUCGCCAUCGAUAAAUUCUCCAAGUGGAUCGAGGUCCGACCCUUAACCAGCAUCGGGUCCGAGCAGGCGGUGGCGUUCUUCACAAACAUUAUCCAUCGCUUUGGGGUCCCGAACUCCAUCAUCACCGACAAUGGCACGCAGUUCACUAGGAAGAAGUUCCUGGACUUCUGCGAAGACCACCACAUCCGUGUGGACUGGGUCGUAGCUCACCCAAUGACAAAUGGGCAGGUGGAGCGCGCCAACGGUAUGAUUUUGCAGGGACUAAAGCCGAGGAUCUACAAUGACCUCAACAAGUUUGGCAAGCGGUGGAUAAAGGAACUACCCUCGGUGGUUUGGAGUCUGAGGACGACGCCGAGCUGAGCCACGGGUUUCUCGCCGUUCUUUCUAGUCUAUGGGGCCGAGGCCAUCCUACCCACGGACUUAGAAUACGGUUCGCCGAGGACAAAGGCUUACGACGACUAAAGCAACCAGACCAACCGAGAAGAUUCGUUGGACCAGCUGGAAGAGGCUCGGGACGUGGCCCUACUACACUCGGCGCGGUAUCAGCAGUCCCUGCGACGCUACCACGCCCGAAGGAUUCGGCCCCGAGGCUUCCAAGUGGGAGACUUGGUACUUCGGCUGCGACAAGAUGCCCGAGGGCGCCACAAGCUUACUCCUCCCUGGGAAGGGCCCUUCAUCAUCGCCAAGAUUUUGAAGCCCGGGACAUACAAGCUAUCCAACGAUCAAAGCGAGGUCUAGAGCAACGCUCGGAACAUCCAACAGCUACGUCGCUUUUACCCUUAAAAUGUUUCAAGUCGUUUUUGUACCUCGCUUUCUUUACAUGCACAAAUAAAGUCUAACCAUCAAGGAAGGAUCAGCCUUGCCUCAGCAAGGCCCGACCCUCCCUCGGGGGCUAGAAGGGGGAACCCCCUCUGCGUCAAAAAUUUUCCUCGGGAAAGUCUUUUGCCAGAACAUCUUUCGUGCUUUUCGACUGCGUCGAUAACAAAAUCCUGAAGACGAGCGAGAGAGACCUUGAACGGCAAGGCCGACCGAGCCGAGAGACUCCUAUGCCUCCGGGAUACGGAUACCUCACUCGUCACCUUUCGCAAAAAGUAGAUCACGCUCAGAUAUGCGAUUCUGCUACCGAACAAGUCCUAACGCUCGGAAACUUUUCUGCCAGAACGACUUUCGUGCUGUUUCGACUGUGUCGAUAACAUAAUCCUAAAAACGACGAGGGACCACGUAAGCGGCAAGGCCGACCGAGCCGAGGGACUCCUACGCCUCCGGGAUACAGAUACCUCACUCAUCACCUUCCGCGAAAAGUGACUCACGCUCGGACAAGGGAUUCUGCUACCGAACAAGUCUUAACACACGAAACGAGAGGAAAGAAAACGCAGCUUUAUAAUCCAACGACUAAAAUGUUUAGGCCUCAGCGGCCGCAAAAAACAUACGCAUACUUCAAGCAAACUGUUCUUGCUGGCUCAGACAGCGGCAGGGGGAGGAGCGGCACCCUCGGCGUCGUUUCCACCCUUGGCAGAAUCUGGCCUGGCCCCAGGCGGUGACACAGGCGAAAGGACCUCCACCUCAAAGGAGGAAGCCAGCGCCGCACUUAGACCCUCGACAGCCGCAUCAAGCCUCUGGACCUCGGCUAAGGCAGCCUCUUCUUCGUCAGGUAAGCAGUACCCCUCGCUAACCCGCUCCAGAUCCACGUCGUAGUGGGAAGCGAGCACGACGAAGGACCGCCUAACGCCGUGGUGCAGCGCCCCGCGGAGUCUGUUGCGCACAUGGCCGCCCAAGGCCUGCAGAUGACUCUAGGGGGAGCUACCCGAGGGGACGCCGUCGAGGCCAAAGGCCUGGCAGAAAGCCGAGAUGGCCUCAGACAUGGCCACACGCUUGGCCUCCAUCUGCUCAGCCACCUUGGCAAGCGCCUUGCAGUUCUUGGCAGCCUCGUCAAGAGCCGUCUCGAGCCCUGCAGGCAGCAGGACAACAUUCUUCAGACGAAAGGAGAAGAAUGGAGACAAAAACAAAGUCACAGAGCGGGCAAAACAUACCCUUGGCCCAGGCACGCUGCUUUGAGGUCGUGCCUCGGGUAGACCGAGCAGACCCAACGACCACGACCAGACCCUCCGCAAGGGUCCCAGUCCAAACGGUCGCCUCGGGUCUAGAAGGGGGAAGCCCCCUCUGCGCCAAAACUUUCCUCGGAAAAGUUUUUCGCCAAAACGACUUUCGUGCCUUUCGACUGCGUUGAUAGCGGAAUCCUAAUGACGAGCAAGAGAGACCUUGAGCGGCAAGGCCGACCAAGCCGAGGGACUCCUACGCCUCCGGGAUACGGAUACCUCACUCGUCACCUUCAUCGAAAGGUAGCUCAUGCUCGGAUAAGUGAUUCUGCUACCGACGAACAAGUCCUAAUGCUCGAAACAAGAGGAAAGAAACACGGCUUUAUACCCAAAUGAUCAGGCAUCAGCAGCCACAAAGAACAAACACACGUACUUGGGGUAACAAUGGUACCUAGACUCAGACGUCGGCAGCACCCUUGGCGGCUGUCCUGACCUACGGCAGAUGUCUUAGUACCUAAAGCUAUUACAUCUUGCUCUCAAGAGGGUACCAUUACAAACGGGACUCUGGGUCCAUUCCCGCAGGAAUGAACAACCUCCACACCAGAAGGCCUGCGGGAUAACAAACUCCAGGUGGCUCGCCGGCAACCACUGCACCAGCAGCGCGACAACGACCUCCGUCUCGGACGGCUAGACAGCAGCAGCGAUGGCCUCAGGGCAAACGCUACCACUGGAAGGCCCUCGUUCACGUCCCCUCAUGGGGGACGAGAACUAGCCAUUAAAGCCAAAGAGCCAGAGGCCCAGAGCGCAGGUGGCACUGACGGUCUCGUCGACGGAAGCAACCACAGCUGCGGUGGGAAGCCUCGCUAGCGGUAGCCGCCACUUCAGCACCGGCGACAGCAGCCGCUUGCGCACGACACGACCAUCGUCCGGAUGGAGGACGGACAGCUGCACCCUGGCCAGGUGUAACAUCCCAAAAUCCCAACCAAGGUUUGACACCCUAACCUCCAAAUCUCCCCCCCCCCCUUAUUUUAUUUUUCUCCCUUAAACUCUACCCUUAGAACCCCUUCUCAUGUGCAUACACUUGAAAUAAUUAGAGCACCUCACAUAGACUAUAUUUCUCACUCAAGAUCACUUAGAAAAUAUUUUUGGUCUCAAAGGAGAAAGAAACGAAAAGAAACAAAAAUAGAAAAAGGAAAGGAAAGGAAUUAGAAUUAGAAAAAGAAAAGAAAAAGAAAACUCCCCUCCUCCCUCGGCUGGGCCGAAUUUCGGCCCAACCAGCCCUGCGCGCCCGCGCUCCCCUCCUCUCUACCCAGCCCAGCCGCUCCCUCUCGCUGACAUCCGGGCCCCGCCCGUCAGCGCCUUGUCCCCCUCCCUCUCGCGCCGCUUCCUCUCGCUGGCAGCCAGGGCCCGCUUGUCAGCUUCGUCCCUCUCGCCCAUCCCUGACCGGCGCAUCUGCCGCCGAGCCCCCCCUCGCCUCGUUGCCUCGCCAUUAAUGCUCGCCUAGCCUCCGCGACAACCCCGCCACUGUGCUCGAGCUGUCCCCUCACCCCCGCCUGCCCGAGCCAUCUCAAUCGGCAUUAGCACCAUUCCCGCCGUCAUGGCGAGCUCGCCGGUGCUCGCCGUCACCUCCAUCCCCCCUCCCUCCCCCGAGUGCCUAUAAAAGGACCCGCCCGAGCCCCGUCUUCACCCCACAGCUCCGGCCCCUCCACUGCCUUCUUCCCUGAGCCUACCGAGCUAGCGCCGUCGUGCUCCCUUCGUCGCUCCGGUGAGCUCCCUUCCCCUUCUCUAGCGAUCCUCUGUCCAAUUAAGCUAUGAUCGAAGCUCCACCACACUCUCACGGUCAUAGGGCGCCACUUCCCCCCCUAUUGUGGUCGGCGACCUCACCGGCGGCAUCACCGCCGCGGGCACCCGCCACCGUGCCGCCGACAGGCCACCAUAGGCCCCCGCAGGCAAAAUUCGCCCCACCCCCGUGACCCCCUUCACCCGCCCGUGCUUCGCCACCACCUCCCCGUCAAAGAACCGGACCCACGGCGGAGAACCACCGCCGGACUCGCCGCCGGCCGGACCCCGGUCAAGCUUCCCCCCUUCCUCCGUGCCGUUAGCGCCGUCCGCCCCUCCCUCUCUCUGGCGUGCGGGCCCGCGCCACGGCGCCGUCCCCCGCCGUCACCCCGCGCGGCUGGGCCAACUGGGCCGAAAGCACGCCCGCCCCCGCACGCUCGCGCCAACUGGGCCGAAAUCCCCCCCCCCUCGGCCCGGCUAGCUGGAAAAUCCUUUCUCUUUUUCCUUUCCCAUUUCUUUUUCCCAUUUUCACAUAUAUAUUUAGAUGCUAAUAUUUUAUGCACCAAAAAUAGUCUAAAUAAAUUAUAGGGCACAAAAAUAAUAAAGUAUAAGAACUUGCACACCCCACUAAAGUCACUAUGUUUGAUGUAUUGUUAUUAUCUGUGUUUGAUUAGCGGAAGAGGGAUCCGAUCCUCCGGAACUUAUAGCUCCGGAAGAAGGGCAGAAACCCGACCCCUCCGAGAUAAACCUCUUAUGCCAGGAAAGCUUUGACGAAGGCAAGUCCAUCCUUCCCUUGAUGCAUUAUUUACCUAUUUCUCUCUACCACUGCCUAAGCCUGGAUUAUGGGAUGGGAAUCGAAUUGCAUGGUGAGCAUGAGAAAGCCCGCAUUAACUAUUACUUUGAUUAAAAUAUAUGGGGCAAGUAAAAAGGGUACAAGUGACAUGUUUUCCAAAAGUGUGCGAUGAAGGGUAUUCACCCUCAUCACCUUGUGAGCAGGAUGAUCAGGGACUCCCUGGUUUAGGGGAGGGCCUAAGGUGUUGGCUCAGCUGGUUUAGGCGUGAGCAGAAGGAUUGUCCUCUCGUAUAAGGACCGGUUUGUCAUCUUUCAUUACCUGUACUCAUAAAAAGUACAACCACUCGAGGUUGUGUGGGCAGCCACUCGAUCUGAACUCGUACGGUCCAACCCCAGGGUUAUGAAGGCUGGGGUAGCACCGGGAGGAUAAGGAGGGGGAAUGUUUUGUCCGGUUUGGACAUGGCGGUGGCCUGACUCCUUCCGGUAUAACCGUUAAGGUUAGGACGUGCAAGGAAGGAAAGAGUUUCGGAUUCGGAUCUCAUUGGCCAUGAGAUCGCAGAGCCGGACUAGUGGGUAAAGUGUACCACUCUGCGCAGAGUUUAAACCUAUUCGAAUAGUCCAUGUCCACUAGUAUGGACGAGUCUGGUAUGGUAUGACAAUUAGUGUUUCUACUACAACCGGGAACUGGGAAAUGUGUGUGUAUGUUCUGGAAAGAAAGUGGUACCACGGGAGCGGGAAGCUCAGUGGUGGUCAAGCAAGUGUUACUUCUAUUGUCUUGGGAAAACCUUAAACAUUGAGUACUGCCUUUCUCUGAAAAAGUAUGAGUGACUUCAACUCCACCAUAUAAAGCAUGUACAAUAUAGGUCACUUUCUCUUUACGGGAGCCGGGUGGGCUUGCGGAAUACCUAGUGUAUUCACCCAGAUUUAUUUAUGUUUUUCAGCAGCUGAAGACUUCUUUUCUGCUAUGCUUGAUUGAUGGGGCUGUGUCUUCACCCAGUUCUGCCUGUGGCCUGGGCUAUUUUAUCUUCCACUGCGCUUUAUGAUUUUCGGCUCACUCUCGAGCUUGUAUCCCCGGUAUUGUAAUAACAUUAUUCAGACUCUCUAACUAUUUGAAGUAAUGAAUGUGGUUACUAGCCUCCUAGGACUAGUAAUUGUGUCACAUUUGAGUCCCAAAGGAUCGGGACGCUUCAGGUGGUAUCAGAGCCUAUAGGACUGGCCGUAGACCGCAGCCCUGACCUUAAAAGUUGCCUUAACAAGAAAACACCUCUUACCCCCAAGAAACACUUCCCCCUUUCCCCGAUAUUAACAGACCCUUCUUUUCUUCUACCAGAUGGAAGGCCCCUGGGUUAUUAGGACAUCCUAUUGCUCAGAGGAGGAAGGCUUUCUUCACCUUCUUCGAAGUUGCACGCUACGCAUGGGGAUCCGCAAGAAGCCCGAAUAUGUCUGGAAGGAAUACCGCGAAAAUGGAAUAGAAAAGUGCUCUAUGGCAGUCUACCUGGGAGAAAGCCGAAACUACCCAAACCACCCUCCCUUCCAAAUCACCUUCAUCGGGCACCGCUUUCCAGACACUUGCUAGGGUGUUGCCCGAAAAGCCCUUAAACAGCUGUGCCAAAACUACAGCCGAGAGAUCUUUGAGACCCCCUUCGAUAUUUUCCACCCAGCAACAAAAAUACCCCCACCUGGAGGAAAAGACUCCAGGCUCUGUCAGGAGGAGAUCCCACAGAAGAUGACCCCACCAUCGUCUACAUGGCCGGAUACCUCCACACCCUCGACAACCACUAUGAUGAGCUCUCCUCCCACUGCACCCACCUAAACUCCCGAGUGGAAAGCCUAGAGCAGCAGGUCAAAGAGCUUAAGCAAGAGAAGGCAUCUCUCCAGGAGAGUCUCAACAUAGCAGAAGGCGAGGAAGCCAACACUCGUGAGGCCUAUCGAACCUUAAAGAUGGACUACGACAAGAAGCUAUGGAAGCUCGCUCCCAAGAAGAAAAUCCAGAAGAAAACCACCAACCAAGGAUGCCAAACAUAGAAGAAGUAGAAGAAGACCACUCCAGCCCCACCUCCCCCUAGAAUCGAUGAUUGGUCCGACGCCGAGGAUAUAUCCCUAGCAAGCCUUGAUGAUCUUCUCAAGGAAUUUGGGGAUACCUUAGAGAAAGAGUUCGGUAGUACCUCAGGGAACGCUCUCGUGUAGUUCAACCUGUAGUAGUCUUAUGCUUGUAAUGUAUUGGUGUAAUGAAUAAAAUAACUUGGUUGAAAACAAUUUGCAUGUGCAUAAUAGUGACUCUCUUCCCUGGCAGAUGGCUUCGGAUAAAACCACGCCUACCGCCUCCAGGAUUGGAGCAGGGUUUCCCCUGAGAGCUGAAGGGGAAGCCGUUAGAGAGGAAAGUGAACCCACCUCCCCGCACCUCCACCACUACCCUUAGACCUAGCCCAAGUUCUAGCCAAUCAAACCCGACUCAUCAAGGUCCUCACUCGAAGUCUGGAAAAUCAACGGCCAAAUGGUGGAAGACCGCAAGACAUAAUGGGGGAUUUCCUAAGACUCAAACCUCCCACGUUCGCCGGAUCAAGCAACCCCCUCGAUGCAGACGAUUGGAUGCGCACGAUCAAGAGAAAGCUGGAAGCCAUUGGUUGCCCAGAAAACCAGCAUGUUCAACUGGCUGCCCACCAACUUUCCGAGAUGGCCUUAGCCUGGUGGGACACCUUCAACGUCACCAUCAGAGAUGCUACCUGGGCGGAAUUUGAAGCAGCUUUCCGGGAGCACCAUGUGCCCCAAGGACUGGUACAGCUUAAGGAAGACUGUAACACCCCUGGUGUUACUGUAACUAAAACUUGAGCAUGGCAUCAUAAGCAUUGGCAUUGCAUAUGUUUGAUACACCUAGAGUGCAUUCACUAGGCAAAAAUUUCAAACAAGUUGUAUUGUUAUAGCACUUUGCAAAUAGAACCCUAGAUAGGGAACUUAACCCUAAAUAGGGAUUAAAGGGGUAAGACCUAACCCAAAUUGAGAAAACCUAAAGGCUUUAGGGAAAUAAUUAUAAAAUGUCCCCAAAAAUAAAGUUAAAUCACAUUUAUACCCCUGGGAUGCCAAAAACCCUAAUUGGAACCCUGGAAAACCCUAAAUCCAAACCCUAGGGGCCUAUGUGCAUAAUUAGUCCACUUUUGGACUAAAGUGCAAAAACCAAGUUAAAUAAGUGUCUUAAGUCAUUUGGGUCACUCAUAUGUGAAUUUGCAAUCUAAACCCUAAGUUUUGGGCUUAUAUGCAAAAAGCCACACUUUUUCUCAAAUGAUUAAGUCUGAUUUUCAGUGAUAUUGGCUCAACUUUGGAGCUCUACAUCUUCCAAAUUAUUAAGAGUUUGCCCUGGGUCACCACAUCAAAAUUGUAACCCAAUUAUAGGAGAACAACUUUGCUUAAGAGUGUGAGCAUUGUUGUUAAGAAAAUAUUGGAGAUAAUAUAGCCUAAAGUUUGACUGUGAGGCUGGUUUCACUCUGAAGUUCAGGUUUUCAGUGUAGCAGAGCCAUCUUUGGAGUUGAAUUAAACCUUGAUCUAGUGCUCAAAUGAGUUCAACCCCUAUAGUCAAAGUGUUGCUGGUUUGUAGCUCUACAAAUUUGCUGCAGAGCCUCGGGUAGGUUGCUAUGGAAAUUUGAGAGAAAACGUGACCUAAAUAUGAUCUGUCAGGUGCUCUGAUGAGGUCUCGCCAUGGUACAGUGUCCUGAAAUGGAUCAGAUUGCCAGCGCCGCGUGUUCGCCGCCGACGACCUCCCUGCACGAAGAUUCGUGCCGUCGCCGCCGUGAUUGUGACCAAAGCAACUGGAUAGCGCUUGGUUCUUAGAAAUAUCGUCGUCGUGGAUAACUCUGGCCAGUAAACAAUUCCGGCCGUCAUGUCCACUUGUCGUGCGGUCGGUCGAAGUUAUCCUCGCCGGAGUUGGCUGUCCGACGACCGAACGCCACGUGCCUCUGUUGUUACCACGUCGCAACCCCGGUGCCAUACUGGUCUGAUGACCGCCGGGAGGGCCGUCACGGUAAGGAGGCCACGAAUCACCAUGCCGGUGACUCACUUCUUCUCCGGCCGCCAACACAUCGCGGUCAAAUUGAGAGCUACCGACCUCGGGGUCUAUAAAUUGAGUGUGUCCUCAACUCCGUCAAGUAUUCACGCAGCUAUAGCACCCACUCUCAUCUCCACUCGUUCACCAUAGCCCCGCAAUUCGGGUUUUCCCCUAAAUCAACUCUCCGCCGCCGUGAACCAUACAUCACCGCGGCCAGCCCUUUCCAGGUCAGUUCAUCCCUCACUCUCCUUCGUUCGAGCACUCUUGUCGCUCUGGGAUGCUUACCGUGUCACCAAUUCGCACUGGGAGUCCACCAAUCGUCGGGAACACGAUCAAGUGUCCGUAGUCUCCGCGGUUCUCGUGGACAGAAGAGAGUAGAUCACCAUUUGCACAAUUAAGUUAGGGGAAAUGCUGAUUGGGACAUGAAUUUGGUUUAGUCCAUAGCAGGGCGCCGAUCUUGGAGCGAUUUGGACGGUGCGCGAGCUCACCGGAGCUCUGCGCAACGCCGUUCGACGUCAGGGGUUUAUCUGGUGAAGAAACGGAAGUUGAGGGACCCCUGUGUAAAAUGUCAGCGACUGUUUAAAUAGUGUUUGGGACUUGGUUCGGGAUACUCAAAACCGCGGGGGUCUCCAUGCAAAGUCUGCAGGCGCGCGUGCGCGGGCGCGCUUCUGCGUGGAGUUGGGCCGCUUAGGCCAGUUUGAGCCCAAUACUGUUGAGUCUUUUCCUUUUUCUUUUUCAGAAGAACUUUGGAAAUCUAUUAAAAAUUGUAGAAAAAUCCUAAAAUUGUGAAACCAAUUUUCCUAGGUUUCUUAUUUUCCCUAGAAUUUAAUAAAAAUAGUUUCAUGUUUUUUAGGUUAAAUAAGGAAUUUUAGGGCAUUUAAAAUGGCUUAAAGAAAUAGUUUUGUAAUUUUAGAGAAUUAAUAGUAAUGCCAAAAAUGUUCAAAAUUUUCAUAUGAACUCCCCACAUUAUUUAGAAGCCUUGGGUAGAGUUUGAAUUGAUUUGGACCAUGUUUGAUAACUAGAACCCAAAACCCCCCUGCCCUUUGAACUCCUUUACUGACUCCGGAAACCCUAAGUUCUCGGAGUUCCAUGAAGGAAAGUUGUAUUCAAGACUUAGAUAAUAAAUCUUUAUUAUCUUCGCACUCUCAUGAGCAUUACAUGGCAUUCAUUCUUAUAUAUGUAUAUAUAUGGUUAUGUUAGAACGUGAAGAAGAAGUGGAAGUCACUGAAGAAAAGACACCACCACCCUCGAAUUCUCAGGCAGGAAACUGCUUCUACUUUGAUAUUUGUGGAUCCGAGCCAGACUCACCUACGAACGAAGGCAAGCCCCGGUGCAUUUGCCACCUCCCUUGAUGUUUUUAAAAUCUUUCUCACUUGCUUGCUGCAUUAGGUGAUAGGAGUUAAUUGAUAAAACAAUUCUUGCAUUACCUUCCUUGAACUUGAUUACCUUCCUUGAAACCCUGUUUUUACAAAAAGGUUUUACUAUGCUUAGUAUUGCUCUAGAAAAACAAAAGGAUUUGUUUUACAAAAGAUGUUUGGCAAAGUGGGAGGGUUGUUUUCAAAAAUAAAACUUGAUGGUGAAUCCAUCACGGCCGUGAUGGAUUCAACAUCGGAAAAGAUGUACCUCUGCCAGGUACCAAGUUUUUGGGUUGAAAUGAUUAAGCUGAGACCGGGCGGGUGACUUGCACGAGAAGAGAGUCUCAGUGUAGUGUCUCCGUCUGAGUCAAUUAAGGACCUUGUCGAUGUAGGCUUGAUGACCGAGGACCCUUUAACUGGUCACAUGCCUCGUCAUGGGUAAGCCUUGCCUCGGGCAGAAUAAGGUCAGAAUAAGAUAACACGAAAUGGGCGUGGAGCGGUGGCGAGAGUAGCGUGUACCCUCCGUGGCAAGAGGCUGGACGGUGGUGUAUCUGUGCUCUCGAUUUGCGUGAACCUGAUCUGGUCUUAAGAACCCCGGUGGUGGGUUGACAUAUGCAAGGGUUAAGUGCUACAUAUGUCGUGUGAUUGGAGAUCCUCAGCUGAGUAUAAUCGAUUCGGAUCGCCGUACCUUCGCGGUUAUGAAGACUUGGUCACUGACUUACACGUAGCAUUCCACUAAAGAUGAUGGAUUUUUGUUAAGAAAUUGGCUAGUGCAGGACCAGUGAUUGAACUAGGGUAGAAAGAACUCUAGUCACAGGUAAUUCUACUUAACUUGACAAAUAAAACUGGAUUUUUAAGGAUCCACUUUAGUAAGCAUUUCUGCAAAACAGAGUCUUUGAUUAUUGAAAAGCCUUACCUUGACUCCCUUAAACCAGCAUACCCUUGAGAGUCUUUUCUUUAGUCGGGUAAGACUUGCUGAGUAAUUCCAUACUCAGGGUUUAUCCCUUCGUUGUUUUUAGGUGGGGAAGUAGCAGAUUUCUGUUGCUUCUAUACCAAGGUGGUUCCUAAGGAAGAGAAACAAGACUGAAGUGCGGGAGGACUUGGUCCUCCAUAUAGAACUUUUGUUUAAAACUAUUGGGAGGAGUUUUUACCUCCCUUAGUAUUGUAAUAAUACUACUCUGCACUCAUUUUAUAGCUCUGGUCUGUAAUAAACAACUCGAUCUUACUUUUUAAAUAAAUAUAAGUUAUGUAAUCGCUUCCGCAUUUCUUUAUCUCCGAUGUUCUGUAAUGUCUGCAAGACGGGUGAAACAUUCCUGGAAAGGUAAGAAAGAAGAUACCGAACUUGUCAAGUAGUUCAGGGGCACCUACAGGGUUGUGUGAGGUCCGUUGGACAAGGACAACUGUAGGUGGGCCUAAUUACUUGGGAGGUUCCGUCACAUCUGGUAUCGGAGCGUAACCCUUCUUCGCAGAUAUUAUUAGGCAUCUUCAAAAGAUUUUCUAAAAGCUUAUCUAUAAAAUCUUUUCCCUUCUUAUCUAAGUAAUUCUGAAGAGUUUAUCUUAAAGACCAGAUAGGAAGAGUGCAACAUAUAGAAGGUGUGAAUCAACUAAGGUUGAUUCUGUAAUUAUACAUGCAUCAUGCUAAGAACUAUACUAAAUAAAGUUUUCCCCCUUAGUGAAAUGCUGUCGCGCACCAGAAAGACCGCGCGCAAAUCUACUAGACCCAUUGGCAUACCCCGCCAUUAAUUUGUCCCAAGACAUGAAGAAAGUAGCAGUGGUAGCAACGAUCCUAUCGGGGAUCUGGAAGCACAAGUCGAACUGCUUCAAUCAGAACUCCGUCACAGGAAUGAUCUAUGGGUCGCGGAUGCAGCCAUCCGCUACUUGCAAGACCAACUCGCAAAACGAGAUUUAGCGCUCGAUUGGACAGUUAACUCUCGUCUACUCGCCUGGGCUAAGGAAGCCAAAGCUCGAGCCCGCGUGGAGGAGCUUAGCUUAGCCAUGGAUAACUUGCAGGUAUAUUGCAAUGCACUACAUGAAGAAGUUCAUGUGUUGACAACUGCACCCGAACGUCCCUGCGAAUCAUGUCGGGAUGGAAGCCGGACCUUCUCAUGUAGCGGGAGAAGCACUUGAUGGUGAACUGGACCUUUUCAGGCCCCCUCCCUCUAUGAAGUUGGUUGAUGAAUGGUCUUCUACGCCCGACAGUAAAGCUACCAAAAGUGAAAAGAAGUGGCUUACCAAGUGCCCAUAACAUUGGCCGGACGGGACUUUCCUACAAAUAUGAUUGUUCCAAAAGGCCAAGACAUAGAUGUCAUCUUGGGCAUGAACUGGUUAGCCCAGCAAAAAGCAAUUCUCAACCCUGAUCUGAGAACCAUCAGGUUGAGUUAUGACCAAUAGAGAGUUGGUGACUUGAUUGCCUAAACCCAAGAAUUAGGCUAUAUUAGUAUUUAGUGAACCAUGACCCACCCCAAAGUUGAAUUUUCUGAUAUCACUCCAUGACCAAACACGUACCAAUCGAUGCCUAGAUAAUUUCUUUGUCGGACCUAAGGUGUACCUAGACUUCAAACAAAGAUAUCAAGUCAUGUCUUCUUUUAGAACCAUUCUCUUAUUCAGUUGAUGCAGGUUUAGGUCUCCAUUGUAUUUGGCCUCUCCUUGCGGAUCACCAUGUUGCUUUAGUAACCCAACCUAGGAAAAACAUGUCCGACCAUUUUCUUGAAUUUGAUGCCUUUGGUUUCUUCAUAUCUAUCGAAGGCAUACCAACUUAAUCCUUGACCUUGUGAUCUCUAUGAUGGGCAUAGAAAUAUGCCUGGGGCUGGAUUAACAGUCUCCCAUCAUACUUCUUUCCUCAAGUUUAGAUUAUGGCCAUGCCUUGGGCCAUGAUCUAUUUGGCGCUCUACUUGUAACCAUUUUUACUAGUAGAGUAUCUCUUUGUAUAUUGUCACCCUUGCUCAAUCCAUUGGUGUCGCGUGAGAUUUCUUAUUGGUUAUGUCUGGUAAUGGUGUUAUGACUAAAAUCAGUGACACCACGCUGAAACCGAGGGCCUCCUGUGGGUGCACACACAUGGUUGCGCUACUUGGCACGCGCUAGUAUCACAGUUAGUAGUCAUAAUCCAUUAUAAGACUAUAUUGAUAUGUUAUCUCUACCCAAAUUAUUCUUACCACGUGAGAUUCAGUAUUGGUGUCAGUUUUGGAAUGGUGUCAUGGUUAAGGACUUAUGGUACUGCAGCGAAACUGAGAGCCUCCUAUAAAUGUGCACACAGGAUUUUGCUGCUUGGCGCAUGUCGGUAUCGAGGUCUCUAGUCAUGAUCCAUUCUGGAAUUACACUGAUGUGUUAUCUCCCAUUGACCUUUCCUUGAAACAAUUUCUAUGUUGUUUGUGAAGAGAUCAAGCAACAUCUGUCAUUUCUGUUGGAUCAAAAGGACAUACCACUUUCAUGUGUGGUCUUAUUUCUUUUGAUCUUGGUAGUGACUACUCAUGCAAGUUCCCUUUACAUCCUUUGUGUAAAGAUGAAGCCCUGGAGCUUUUUAGUUAAGAAAACAACUGAUUAGCUCUCAAAAUAGAGAUCUGCUUCCCCUGCUGCUGAAAUGCAGGAGUUUGUUCAUUCGUUCUCUUAUUUAAUCCAUGUAUUCCCUAACCAAGUGGAUAAUUCAUCUCGCAUGAGAAAACGGAUGAACAACUUGACCAAAUAAAUUUUUACCCACAUACAUAACCUCUUAUUAACAAAGAGUGAACUCUCAACCCUUGGUUUACCAAUGGUAUUGAGGGGAUUUGCUUAAUGUCAAAAGUAGUUCAACAAGUUGGUAUUGACUAACUUGUAACUGCCCGUUGAACGAAGGCUGAGUUUAGAGAUCGUUUUAUUGAGUUAUCUAAACUCACUUUGAUUCAACCCACCCUAAAGAAAGUACUUACCAAAAUCAAAUUAAGUCAGCCAGUAACCACCUAGUCAUCACUCUAGUCAUGCCUCGACCCCCUCAUGCGUGCUUUUCUAGCGUGUGUGAUCAUGUCGAGCCAUGCCUAGUGCUUGAUAAAAUGGACUGGUUGUAAAGUCCGCAUCUACAGAUCCCUCCGCUGGUGAUUUUUCUUGAAACUAUAUCACCUUUCGUGGACUUAGAUUCCUUGGCUAACACGAGUUGACAGUGAUGUUAUUCGACAUUCACACCCGUCUCGUGUGCUAUGAACUUACUGUAACCACUUGUUGGUAAACCUCUUUCUGUGUGUUUUACCCAAGAUGGUGCAUCUAAUUCUGUUUGGGUAAAAUUGCGUAAUUGCCACCCGCCCAACAGACUCAGAUAGUACAGUGUCAUCAGAAAAAGCAAAUUGCACACAUGGAACCUUGUGUGUUCUUCUGGUGGGCAAGGAUGAAAAUUGAAAUUGCACGAUAUGUGGAUAGAUGUGACACUUGCAGACGUGUCAUGCCAUAUACAUGAAGACUGUUGGUCCAUUACAAUCUUUACCUAUCCUAGCAUGAAAAUGGGAAGAUAACAGUAUGGACUUCAUUGUGGGAUUACCCAGGACUACAAAAGGGUAUGACUCUAUCUGGGUUAUUGUUGAUCGACUUACAAAGAUUGCUCACUUUCUCCCAGUCAAGACAUAUUACCCAGUUCUUACCUAUGCGGAAUUAUAUAUUGCUCGCAUUCUCAGUUUGCACGGUGUUCCAAAGACUAUAGUGUUGGAUCGUGGACCACAAUUUGUAUCCAAAUUCUGGGAAGAACUCCAUAAAUCCCUGGGUACUAAGUUGCUCCACAGUUCGGCCUAUCAUCCCCAAACGAGUGGAGAGACUGAGAGGGUUAAUCAAAUACUCGAAGAUAUGUUGCAAGCAUGUGUUCUGGACUUCUCACAAAAAUGGGAUGAAUGUUUGCCCUUGGCGGAGUUUUCAUAUAAUAAUAGCUAUCAAGAAAGUAUCAAGAUGGCACCCUUUGAAGCUUUAUAUGGACGACGAUGUCGUACUCCGCUAAAUUGGUCUGAACCUGGAGAGAGGUACUUCUUUAGGCCUGAUAUGGUGAAAGAGGCCGAGGAAAAGGUUCAGAAAAUUAUUCACAAUAUGAAGAAAGCACAAGCUCGUCAGAAAGGUUAUGCAGACAAACGGCGAAUGCCCUUGUAUUUUCAUGAAGGGGACUAUGUCUACCUGAAGGUUUCACCAAUGAAAGGAGUAUCACGUUUCGGGGUUAAAGGGAAGCUUGCAUCUAGGUACAUUGGUCCAUUCCCGGUACUUGAGCAAUGUGGACCAGUGGCGUAUCGACUGCAACUCCCCGAAACUUUGUCUGCUAUACAUAAUGUGUUCCAUGUGUCACAAUUGAAGAAGUGUCUUCGGGUUCCCGAUCGAACCAUUGAAGUAACAGAUGUUGUCCUUGAACCGGACUUGACAUACUUUGAGCACCCUAUUCUCGUCUUGGAUCAAAAGGACAGGGAUACCCGAAGAAAAACUCUCAAGUUUUAUAAGAUACAGUGGAACCAGCAUUCCGAAGAUGAGGCUACAUGGGAAACUCAGGACUUUUUAGAUAAGAAUUUCCUAGGCUUUUUAGCCUCUUGUAAAUUGUAAAGCCUGUAUAGCUGUUGUAAUAAAGGAGUGAUUCCCAAACCACCCCAGCCUUGUACCAGAAGUAAGGAAAUAAAAGUAUGUCGUGUUUCUUUUUCCAUUACUUACCCUAAGACUUUUAAUCUCGGGACGAGAUUCUUUUAUGGGGGGAAGGAUGUAACACCCCUGGUGUUACUGUAACUAAAACUUGAGCAUGGCAUCAUAAGCAUUGGCAUUGCAUAUGUUUGAUACAUCUAGAGUGCAUUCACUAGGCAAAAUUUUCAAACAAGUUGUAUUGUUAUAGCACUUUGCAAAUAGAACCCUGGAUAGGGAACUUAACCCUAAAUAGGGAUUAAAGGGGUAAGACCUAACCCAAAUUGAGAAAACCUAAAGGCUUUAGGGAAAUAAUUAUAAAAUGUCCCCAAAAAUAAAGUUAAAUCACAUUUAUACCCCUGGGAUGCCAAAAACCCUAAUUGGAACCCUGGAAAACCCUAAAUCCAAACCCUAGGGGCCUAUGUGCAUAAUUAGUCCACUUUUGGACUAAAGUGCAAAAACCAAGUUAAAUAAGUGUCUUAAGUCAUUUGGGUCACUCAUAUGUGAAUUUGCAAUCUAAACCCUAAGUUUUGGGCUUAUAUGCAAAAAGCCACACUUUUUCUCAAAUGAUUAAGUCUGAUUUUCAGUGAUAUUGUCUCAACUUUGGAGCUCUACAUCUUCCAAAUUAUUAAGAGUUUGCCAUGGGUCACCACAUCAAAAUUGUAACCCAAUUAUAGGAGAACAACUUUGCUUAAGAGUGUGAGCAUUGUUGUUAAGAAAAUAUUGGAGAUAAUAUAGCCUAAAAUUUGACUGUCAGGCUGGUUUCACUCUGAAGUUCAGGUUUUCAGUGUAGCAGAGCCAUCUUUGGGGUUGAAUUAAACCUUGAUCCAGUGCUCAAAUGAGUUCAACCCCUAUAGUCGAAGUGUUGCUGGUUUGUAGCUCUACAAAGUUGCUGCAGAGCCUCGGGUAGGUUGCUAUGGAAAUUUGAGAGAAAAUGUGACCUAAAUAUGAUCUGUCAGGUGCUCUGAUGAGGUCUCGCCAUGGUACAGUGUCCUGAAAUGGAUCAGAUUGCUAGCGUCGAGUGUUCACCGCCGACGACCUCCCUGCGCGAAGAUUCGUGCCGUCGCCGCCGUGAUUGUGACCAAAGCAACUGGAUAGCGCUCGGGUUCUUAGAAAUAUCGCCGUCGUGGAUAACUCCGGCCAGUAAACUAUUUCGGCCGUCAUGUCCACUUGUCGUGCGGUCGGUCGAAGUUAUCCUCACCGGAGUUGGCUGUCCGACGACCGAACGCCACGUGCCUCCGUUGUUACCACGUCGCAACCCCGGUGCCAUACUGGUCUGAUGACCGCCGGGAGGGCCGUCACGGUAAGGAGGCCACGAAUCACCAUGCCGGUGACUCACUUCUUCUCCGGCCGCCAACACAUCGCGGUCAAAUUGAGAGCUACCGACCUCGGGGUCUAUAAAUUGAGCGCGUCCUCAACUCCAUCAAGUAUUCACGCAGCUAUAGCACCCACUCUCAUCUCCACUCGUUCACCGUAGCCCCGCAAUUCGGGUUUUCCCCCAAAUCAACUCUCCGCCGCCGUGAACCAUACAUCACCGCGGCCAGCCCUUUCCAGGUCAGUUCAUCCCUCACUCUCCUUCGUUCGAGCACUCUUGUUGCUCUGGGAUGCUUACCGUGUCACCAAUUCGCACUGGGAGUCCACCAAUCGUCGGGAACACGAUCAAGUGUCCGUAGUCUCCGCGGUUCUCGUGGAUAGAAGAGAGUAGAUCACCAUUUGCACAAUUAAGUUAGGGGAAAUGCUGAUUGGGACGUGAAUUUGGUUUAGGCCGUAGCAGGGCGCCGGUCUUAGAGCGAUUUGGACGGUGCGCGAGCUCACCGGAGCUCUGCGCAACGCCGUUCGACGUCAGGGGUUUAUCUGGUGAAGAAACGGAGGUUGAGGGACCCCUGUGUAAAAUGUCAGCGACUGUUUAAAUAGUGUUUGGGACUUGGUUCGGGAUACUCAAAACCGCGGGGGUCUCUGUGCAAAGUCUGCAGGCGCGCGUGCGCGGGCGCGUUUCUGCGUGGAGUUGCGCCGCUUAGGCCAGUUUGAGCCCAAUAGUGUUGAGUCUUUUCCUUUUUCUUUUUCAGAAGAACUUUGGAAAUCUAUUAAAAAUUGUAGAAAAAUCCUAAAAUUGUGAAACCAAUUUUCCUAGGUUUCUUAUUUUCCCUAGAAUUUAAUAAAAAUAGUUUCAUGAUUCUUAGGUUAAAUAAGGAAUUUUAGGGCAUUUAAAAUGGCUUAAAGAAAUAGUUUUGGAAUUUUAGAGAAUUAAUAGUAAUGCCAAAAAUGUUCAAAAUUUUCAUAUGAACUCCCCACAUUAUUUAGAAGCCUUGGGUAGAGUUUGAAUUGAUUUGGACCAUGUUUGAUAACUAGAACCCAAAACCCCCUGCCCUUUGAACUCCUUUACUGACUCCGGAAACCCUAAGUUCUCGGAGUUCCGUGAAGGAAAGUUGUAUUCAAGACUUAGAUAAUAAAUCUUUAUUAUCUUCGCACUCUCAUGAGCAUUACAUGGCAUUCAUUCUUAUAUAUGUAUAUAUAUGGUUAUGUUAGAACGUGAAGAAGAAGUGGAAGUCACUGAAGAAAAGACACCACCACCCUCGGAUUCUCAGGCAGGAAACUGCUUCUACUUUGAUAUUUGUGGAUCCGAGCCAGACUCACCUACGAACGAAGGCAAGCCCCGGUGCAUUUGCCACCUCCCUUGAUGUUUUUAAAAUCUUUCUCACUUGCUUGCUGCAUUAGGUGAUAGGAGUUGAUUGAUAAAACAAUUCUUGCAUUACCUUCCUUGAAACCCUGUUUUUACAAAAAAGGUUUUACUAUGCUUAGUAUUGCUCUAGAAAAACAAAAGGAUUUGUUUUACAAAAGAUGUUUGGCAAAGUGGGAGGGUUGUUUUCAAAAAUAAAACUUGAUGGUGAAUCCAUCACGGCCGUGAUGGAUUCAACAUCGGAAAAGAUGUACCUCUGCCAGGUACCAAGUUUUUGGGUUGAAAUGAUUAAGCUGAGACCAGGCGGGUGACUUGCACGAGAAGAGAGUCUCGGUGUAGUGUCUCCGUCUGAGUCGAUUAAGGACCUUGUCGAUGUAGGCUUGAUGACCGAGGACUCUUUAACUGGUCACAUGCCUCGUCAUGGGUAAGCCUUGCCUCGGGCAGACUAAGGCCAGAAUAAGAUAACACGAAAUGGGCGUGGAGCGGUGGCGAGAGUAGCGUGUACCCUCCGUGGCAAGAGGCUGGACGGUGGUGUAUCUGUGCUCUCGGUUUGCGUGAACCUAAUCUGGUCUUAAGAACCCCGGUGGCGGGUUGACAUAUGCAAGGGUUAAGUGCUACAUAUGUCGUGUGAUUGGAGAUCCUCAGCUAAGAAUAAUCGAUUCGGAUCGCCGUACCUUCGCGGUUAUGAAGACUUGGUCACUGACUUACACGUAGCAUUCCACUAAAGAUGAUGGGUUUUUGUUAAGAAAUUGGCUAGUGCAGGAUCAGUGAUUGAACUAGGGUAGAAAGAACUCUAGUCACAGGUAAUUCUACUUAACUUGACAAAUAAAACUGGAUUUUUAAGGAUCCACUUUAGUAAGCAUUUCUGCAAAACAGAGUCUUUGAUUAUUGAAAAGCCUUACCUUGACUCCCUUAAACCAGCAUACCCUUGAGAGUCUUUUCUUUAGUCGGGUAAGACUUGCUGAGUAAUUCCAUACUCAAGGUUUAUCCCUUCGUUGUUUUUAGGUGGGAAAGUAGCAGAUUUCUGUUGCUUCUGUACCAAGGUGGUUCCUAAGGAAGAGAAACAAGACUGAAGUGCGGGAGGACUUGGUCCUCCAUAUAGAACUUUUGUUUAAAACUAUCGGGAGGAGUUUUUACCUCCCUUAGUAUUGUAAUAAUACUACUCUGCACUCGUUUUAUAGCUCUGGUCUGUAAUAAACAACUCGAUCUUACUUUUUAAAUAAAUGUAAGUUAUGUAAUCGCUUCCGCAUUUCUUUAUCUCCGAUGUUCUGUAAUGUCUGCAAGACGGGUGAAACGUUCCUGGAAAGGUAAGAAAGAAGAUACCGAACUUGUCAAGUAGUUCAGGGGCUCCUACAGGGUUGUCUGAGGUCCGUUGGACAAGGACAACUGUAGGUGGGCCUAAUUACUUGGGAGGUUCCGUCACAAAGACGAGUUCCGAGAACUGACUCAAGGCGGAAGAUCUGUCAUCGAAUAUGUGCACAAGUUCACAGAGUUAGCCCGCUAUGCGCUAGAGGACGUCAGUACCGAGGGCAAAAAGAUGGCCCGUUUCCUGAAGGGACUUAGGCCAGAACUCAAGACAAUUCUGGCUAGCCAAGACUUCCUCAAUUUCUCUCACCUUUCCAACAAAGCCAUGCAAGUUGAAAGGGCAAAGGAGGAAGAAAAAGGGCACCUCAAAAGAAAGUUUCAGGUUCUCCGGGCACAGCAGUAGGACCGGCACCAGAAGACUCGAUCAUUCGGACUUCCACCCAAGGGGCCAAACUUCAGUAGACCAGUUGGACCCACCUCGUCACGAUUCAGCCAGCAGAGUCAGAGCUCUUUCCAUUCCCCCUAAGUGGCAAGCAACCAACCCCCGGCGAAUGCAUGUUGGCACUGCGGUGAUCCCAGUCACUUCAAGAACAACUGUCCGCAGCUGAAGCCACCAGGACCCGCCUACUCCAACUUGGUGAAUGGCCCCAAGAAUACCUCGACAUCCGCCCCCAAGGCGCCCUCCUCCGUCAGCCAGCAGAACAAGGCCCCGUACCAAGGAAGGGCACGAGUGAAUCACGUCGAUGCCUAGGAGGCUCAGCAAGCUCCGGGAGUAGUGCUCGGUGAGUUCCUUGUUGAAUUUACUCCCGCUCGAUUCUGGAGCAUCCCACUCUUUCAUAGCCACUAGUUUUGUGGAAAAGCAUGGCAUUCCCUCUACUCCUCUAGAGAUUCCCUUGGUCACCCAAACCCCAGGGUCCAACCUUCUAUGCCAGCUCAAAUGCUCCCAAGUCAGAAUCCUUUUAAGUGGGGUAGUAUUCCUGGCAGACUUAACCGUCUUGCCAUCCAAAGGAAAUGAUGUGAUCUUAGCGAUGGAUUGGUUAACCAAACACAAAGGCAUCAUCAGUUGCGCAGACAAGACAGUCCUCCUCACCGACCAGCAGGGAAAGUCAGUCUCUUGUCAGGCACAGCCACCCGCCAGUGACCCAAUGAUGUUUAAUCUAGCAACAGAAAGUAUAUCAGUGGUAGAAGAAUUCAUGGAUGUGUUUCCAGAAGAAUUACCAGGAAUGCCACCAGAAAGAGAAGUGGAGUUCUACAUAGAUCUGAUCCCUGGAACGGCACCCAUCGCAAAGAGACCAUACCGCAUGGCUCCAACCGAGUUAGCAAAACUGAAGCUUCAAAUCGUAGAUCUUCAGCAAAAGGGAUACAUUCGUCCCAGCUCAUCCCCUUGGGGAGCACCAGUCCUGUUCGUCUUUAAGAAAGAUGGAAGCAUGAGAACGUGUAUUGAUUAUCGAUCGUUAAAUGAAGUCACCAUCAAGAACAAGUAUCCACUUCCUCGGAUUGACGACCUCUUCGAUCAGCUUCAAGGAGCCAAGUACUUCUCCAAGAUAGACCUAAGGUCUGGUUACCACCAACUGAGGAUCAAGGAAGCAGACAUCCAGAAGACUGCAUUUGUCACCCGGUACGGGCAAUAUGAAUUCACAGUGAUGUCGUUCGGACUGACCAACGCACCCGCCUUUUUCAUGAACCUCAUGAACAAAGUGUUUAUGGAAGAGCUAGAUAAGUUUGUUGUAGUCUUCAUUGACGACAUCCUUAUCUACUCCAGGAACUACGAAGACCAUAAGCGUCACCUUUGGAUCAUCCUCGGAAAACUCAGAGCUCACCAACUUUAUGCCAAACUCAGUAAAUGUGAAUUCUGGUUGGAAAAGAUAGCCUUCCUUGGGCAUAUCUUAACCGCAGAAGGAAUAGAAGUGGACCCUUCCAAGGUGGAAGCAGUAUCAAAAUGGAGGCAGCCGACCAACGUCAGUGAAGUUCGGAGAUUUCUGGGAAUGGCAGGGUAUUACUGCCGCUUCAUCAAAGGAUUCUCCAGCAUAGCAAGACUGAUGACAACUUCUCAAGAAAGACCAUAAAUUCGUGUGGACCCCAAAAUGUGAAGGAAGUUUCUAGAUCAUAAAGGAGAAACUCACAACAGCACCUGUUCUAUCGCUACCAGAUAUCCAUCAAGAUUUUGUCGUCUUCUGUGAUGCCUCGAGGCAAGGCUUAGGGUGUGUGCUGAUGCAAAACAAGAAGGUCAUUGCUUACGCAUCGCGCCUACUCAAGCCGCACGAACAGAAUUACCCCACCCAUGAUUUGGAAUUGGCAGCCAUAGUGCAUGCUUUGAAGAUAUGGAGGCAUUACCUAAUCGGGAACAAAUGUCACAUUUUCACCGAUCACAAGAGUUUGAGGUACAUAUUCACUCAACCAGAUCUCAACCUCCGUCAGCGAAGAUGGUUAGAGCUAAUCAAGGAUUAUGACCUGGAAAUUCAUUAUCACCCCGGGAAGGCCAACGUGGUAGCAGACGCCCUCAGUCGAAAACCAUUCGGAAUAAAGGGGACCAACUUUUUAGAAGACUGGAAGAAAGAAUCAGCUCAACUGAAUGCGUGUCUGGGAAACAGUGACAGUCUCGAAGUCAAACCAAUGCUGGAAGACCUCAUAUGCAAAGCUCAACGUCUAGACCCAGAGACAGCAAGACUUGUGGAGAAAGCCCGCAAGGAACAACUCCCGGACCUCAGGACAGAUGACCAAGGAGUCCUUUGGUUCAAAAAUCGUCUAUGUGUACCAAAAGGGGAGGCCCGAGAAGUCCUGCUCAAAGAAGCUCACAACUCGGCCUACUCCAUCCACCCAGGAACUACCAAGAUGUACCUAGACCUCAAAACCAGAUACUGGUGGAGAGGGAUGAAGAAAGAAAUAGCUCAGUAUGUGGCCCGAUGUGACAUCUGCCAACGGACGAAGGCCGAGCACCAAAAACCUGCAGGCCUAUUGCAACCCCUCCCGAUACCUGAAUGGAAGUGGUAAGAAAUAGGCAUGGACUUCGUAACCGGACUGCCCCGGACGCAAAAAGGGAAUGAUUCCAUCUGGGUAAUAAUAGAUCGCCUCACCAAGGUAGCCCAUUUCAUCCCAGUGAAAACUACCUUUGGAGGAGCCACCCUUGCCCGGAUUUAUCUCAAGGAGAUAGUCAGACUCCAUGGCAUCCCAAGAAAGAUAGUGUCAAACAGGGGAACCCAGUUCACCUCCAAAUUCUGGACAAGCCUUCAGAAAGCUAUGGGCACCAAGCUAGAUUUCAGUACCGCUUAUCACCCUCAGACAGAUGGGCAGACAGAACGAGUCAACAAAGUCCUUGAAGAUCUAUUAAGAGCAUGUGUGCUAGCAUUUGAUAGAAGUAGGGAAUCCAGUCUACCCUACGCAGAGUUCUCAUACAACAAUAGCUAUCAGGCCAGCAUCAAGAUGUCGCCAUUCGAAGCACUGUAUGGACGGAAAUGCCAGACCCCUCUCAUGUGGUCCAACGUAGGGGGAAAAGCACUAGAAGGACCUGCCUUUGUCAAAGAGGCAGAAGAGAAGGUUGCACUGAUCCGCAGAAGGUUACUCGAAGCUCAGAGUCGGCAGAAGAGUUAUGCAGACAACAAGUGGAGGGAACUCUGAUUUGAGGAAGGAGACUUCGUCUACCUCAAGGUUUCUCCAAUGCGUGGUGUCAGGAGGUUCCAAGUAAAAGGAAAGCUAGCCCCACGUUUCGUCGGUCCCUAUCCCAUCAUUGGCAGGGUAGGAUCCGCAGCAUACCGCCUGGAAUUACCGGAAUCCAUGUCCAACAUCCACAAUGUGUUUCACGUAUCCCAGCUCCACAAAUGCCUGCAAGCACCAGAAAGUCACCUCGAAGAAGAGACAGUGCAGAUUCAGAAAGACCUUCAGUAACGUGAGAAGCCAGUGAAGAUUCUUGAUUCCACAGUCAGAAAGACCCGCACCUUGGAGGUAAAGCUCUGUAAAGUUCAGUGGAGCAGAGAAGGAGAAGAGGAAGCUACCUGGGAGAGUGAGGACUCCUUGAGGAGGGAAUACCCUUAUCUUUUCUCAAAUCCAGUCUAAAUCUCGAGGGCAAGAUUCCUUUAAGUGGGGUAGGUUUGUAACAUCCCAAAAUCCCAACCAAGGUUUGAAACCCUAACCUCCAAAUCCCCCCUUAUUUUAUUUUUCUCCCUUAAACUCUACCCUUAGAACCCCUUCUCAUGUGCAUACACUUGAAAUAAUUAGAGCACCUCACAUAGACUAUAUUUCUCACUCAAGAUCACUUAGAAAAUAUUUUUAGUCUCAAAGGAGAAAGAAACAAAAAGAAACAAAAAUAGAAAAAGGAAAGGAAAGGAAUUAGAAUUAGAAAAAGAAAAGAAAAAGAAAACUCCCCCCUCCCUCGGCUGGGCCGAAUUCCGGCCCAACCAGCCCCGCGCGCCCGCGCUCCCCUCCUCUCUCCCCGGCCCAGGCGGCCCAGCUCCGCGCGCCGCUCCCUCUCGCUGACAUCCGGGCCCCGCCCGUCAGCGCCUCGUCCCCCUCCCUCUCGCGCCGCUUCCUCUCGCUAGCAGCCAGGGCCCGCUUGUCAGCUUCGUCCCUCUCGCCCAUCCCUCACCGGCGCAUCCGCCGCCGAGCCCCCCCUCGCCUCGUCGCCUCGCCAUUAAUGCUCGCCCAGGCUCCGCGACAACCCCGCCACUGUGCUCGAGCCGUCCCCUCACCCCCCCCCCCCCGCCUGCCCGAGCCAUCUCAAUCGGCGUUAGCGCCAUUCCUGCCAUCAUGGCGAGCUCGCCGGUGCUCGUCGUCACCUCCAUCCCCCCUCCCUCCCCGAGCGCCUAUAAAAGGACCCGCCCGAGCCCCGUCUUCACCCCACAGCUCCGGCCACCUCCACUGCCUUCUUCCCCGAGCCUACCGAGCUAGCGCCGUCGUGCUCCCUUCGUCGCUCUGGUGAGCUCCCUUCCCCCUCUCUAGCGAUCCUCUGUCCAAUUAAGCUAUGAUCGAAGCUCCGCCACACUCUCACGGUCACAGGGCGCCACUUUUCCCCCCUAUUGUGGCCGGCGACCUUACCGGCGGCAUUACCGCCGCGGGCACCCGCCACCGUGCCGCGGACAGGCUGCCAUAGGCCCCCGCAGGCAAAAUUCGCCCCACCCCCGUGACCCCCUUCACCCGCCCGUGCUUCGCCACCACCUCCCCGCCAAAGAACCGGACCCACGGCGGAGAACCGUCGCAGGACUCGCCGCCGGCCGAACCCCGGUCGAGCUUCCCCCCCCCCCCCUUCCUCUGUGCCGUUAGCGCCGUCCGCCCCUCCCUCUCUGUGACGUGCGGGCCCGUGCCAUGGCGCCGUCCCCCGCCGUCGCCCCGCGCGGCUGGGCCAACUGGGCCGAAAGCGCGCCCGCCCGCGCGCGCUCGCGCCAACUGGGCCGAAAUCCCCCCCCCGGCCCGGCUAGCUGGAAAAUCCUUUCUCUUUUUCCUUUCCCAUUUCUUUUUUCCCAUUUUCACAUAUAUAUUUAGAUGCUAAUAUUUUAUGCACCAAAAAUAGUCUAAAUAAAUUAUAGGGCACAAAAAUAAUAAAGUAUAAGAACUUGCACACCCCACUAAAGUCACUAUGUUUGAUGUAUUGUUAUUAUCUGUGUUUGAUUAGCAGAAGAGGGAUUCGAUCCUCCAGAACUUAUAGCUCCGGAAGAAGGGCAGGAACCCGACCCCUCCGAGAUAAACCUCUUGUGCCAGGAAAGCUUCGACGAAGGCAAGUCCAUCCUUCCCUUGAUGCAUUAUUUACCUAUUUCUCUCUACCACUGCCUAAGCCUGGAUUAUGGGAUGGGAAUCGAAUUGCAUGGUGAGCAUGAGAGAGCCCGCAUUAACUAUUACUUUGAUUAAAAGAUAUGGGGCAAGUAAAAAGGGUACAAGUGACAUGUUUUCCAAAAGUGUGCGAUGAAGGGUAUUCACCCUCAUCACCUGGUGAGCAGGAUGAUCAAGGACUCCCUGGUUUAGGGGAGGGCCUAAGGUGUUGGCUCAGCUGGUUUAGGCGUGAGCAGAAGGAUUGUCCUCUUGUAUAAGGACCGGUUUGUCAUCUUUCAUUACCUGUACUCAUAAAAAGUACAACCGCUCGAGGUUGUGUGGGCACCCACUCAAUCUGAACUCGUACGGUCCAACCCCAGGGUUAUGAAGGCUGGGGUAGCACCGGGAGGAUAAGGAGGGGGAAUGUUUUGUCCGGUUUGGACAUGGUGGUGGCCUGACUCCUUCCGGUAUAACCGUUAAGGUUAGGACGUGCAAGGAAGGAAAGAGUUUCGGAUUCGGAUCUCAUUGGCCAUGAGAUCGCAGAGCCUGACUAGUGGGUAAAGUGUACCCCUCUGCGUAGAGUUUAAACCUAUUCGAAUAGUCUGUGUCCACUGGUAUGGACGAGUCUGGUAUGGUAUGACAAUUAGUGUUUCUACUACAACCGGGAACAGGGAAAUGUGUGUGUAUGUUCUGGAAAGAAAGUGGUACCACGGGAGCGGGAAGCUCAGUGGUGGUCAAGCAAGUGUUACUUCAAUUGUCUUGGGAAAACCUUAAACAUUGAGUACUGCCUUUCUCUGAAAAAGUAUGAGUGACUUCAACUCCACCAUAUAAAGCAUGUACAAUAUAGGUCACUUUCUCUUUACGGGACUCGGGUGGGCUUGCAGAAUACCUAGUGUAUUCACCCAGAUUUAUUUAUGUUUUUCAGCAGCUGAAGACUUCUUUUCUGCUAUGCUUGAUUGAUGGGGCUGUGUCUUCACCCAGUUCUGUCUGUGGCCUGGGCUAUUUUAUCUUCCACUGCGCUUUAUGAUUUUCGGCUCACUCUCGAGCUUGUAUCCCCAGUAUUGUAAUAACAUUAUUCAGACUCUAUAACUAUUUGAAGUAAUUAAUGUGGUUACUAGCCUCCUGGGACUAGUAAUUGUAUCACAUUUGAGUCCCAAAGGAUUGGGACGCUUCACCAGGCAGCAGCAGUUCACCUUCCCCCGCAUGGCUGGAGGACGCCUCCUUCGCAGAGCUGGAGGAUGCCCUUCUCCCCCGAAUGCUAGAGGAAGAAGCGGGUCGCCGGCCCACGCGGAGGCAGGCCCCAACUCGGUGUGCCCUCCUCCCCAGCCCGGAUGAUGAAGAUCAUUGAAGCUGAGGGCGGGGCAGAGGCCACAGCCCAGCUUGAUUCUCCCCACCACAAGGCUGGUGAUCAUCCCUACGGAUGACCAUUGGUGAGGGACUGCAGCCGGGCUGCAUGAUGAAAAUCCUUGAAGCCGAGCGGUGACUGAAGAGUGCCAACCCCCACGGGGUCGCGCUCCUCAAACAGCAGCAAAAAGAAGGCAACACAGAUGCACCCCAUCUGAGGGCUCGGAAGGUGGAAGGGCACGAUGAAUGCGAGAAGUGUGAAGGCAUGGCUACUGCCCAGGGGAUCGACCCCUUUUUAAAGGCAGACCUCCUCACUCGCACCCCCAAGCGUCACGGGCAAAGUCUCCACCGACGUGUUCCAGGGUUCUCACCCUCCGACGCGGGGGCUGGGUCCCACACGUCAUGCGGGCUGACCCGAAACAGAAGAAGCCAAAUCACCGCACACGAAGCAUGUAACCGCCCCGCGGUUAUAAGCAUUCCCCCAUCCUCGCUGAAACCAGCGGUCGAAAGAGCGGACCGCCACGCGGGGAGCAUGCAACCGCACCGCGGUUGUGCACCCUUUCGGCCCGUCGCAUCCGGCGAACCAGCAUGGAGGCUUGAACCCACAUGUCAUGUAAUCGACGCAAUGGUUACUGCGUGCAAGGAAACCGCACCGCCACUCGCGCCAAUGUCGCGUCUUCUCGACUGCGGAACCAGUACCAUGACUCGAGGCAGCCCUGCGCGUGACCCAACAGUACCAAUUGAGAGCAACGAUCACGGGUCAGUCAGCCGCGGGGAGAGGCGCGACGGUCGAUAUGGCCAAAGGCGGGCCGGCAGUAAUUGCAGCAACAGACGGGCGGAAGCAGCAGUCCAAUCACCUACGGGCUCGCAUCCUCUCCUGAAACGGCGAGGGAGCCCCCUCCCACGGAGUAAAGACGACGCGCCCGUGUUCCGUUCCUCGAACGGCUCGCGCACGCGCAACAGACGCCCCGUGAAUCGCUCGUCCCGUCGCAUUAACUCCUUGGCAGGGCAAGCGACACCUCCGGUAGGAGAAGCGGGCGCCGUUUCGCCUCCGUCAUGAUGACCGCGUCAAAAAAGGUGUGCCGCCUUAUUUAAAUUCAUGUCCUUUUUCUUUCCCUCUCUCUCUCUCUCUCUCUCGCCACAGGGACCGAGAAAGGGGGUAUUUCGAAAAAGGACCCUUCCCAGCGAAGGAAACGGGCCCCGAGCCCUCCUACUGAUCAGGGGUUCGAAGGUUGCGCCCUCCGGGGUUCGGCAACCGCCCUAGAGCACUCGGGCUCCGAGCCCUUUACUGAUUAGGGGUUCGAAGGCUGGCCCCUCGGAAGGGUUCGACAGCCGCCCUAGAGCAUGCAGAGUCAAGGAUGACCCUGGGUACGUCUGUUACAUGGCCGAGGCUCGGGCUACGCUCCCGAGGUACCCUAGGACAUUUCCGAGACCAGUAGGAAUGAUUUGUAACGGAAUCCCACCGGAGGGAGGCAUCGAGCCCUCGGACCCUAUUGAAUGGGUCUGGGUCCAGCAAAUCAUCUGCAGGUACUUUUGGAGCGCGCCUCUGGGCCACUAGCCGACCCUUAUCGAACGAGGCUCGAGCGUCCACUCGGAUCACCCGCUAGCAACUCACCAGAAACACCAUGUUCGGUGCCCUCCGAGGGUAACAUGGUGCUUUCUCCCCUUCCUCCUUGUGGAAAGGCGACGAAGGGGCGUACAAUAAAAGUCGAGACGGACCUUGAUCGUCCUCUCGCUUCGUGCAGAGGCUCGGGGGCUGCUCUCGCACCAGGCUACGGCCGAACCGUUAACCACGUCAACAAACCAGCGUGAAAACUUGAAGCCUGACCGUGCACCCGGGCUACGGCCAGGCCGCAUGAGGGAACGACAAGGCCAUCCGAGGCAUCGCAAAGAAUUAAGACCUCAGAGGAGUCAAACCACUCCUCCGAGGCCUCGGGGGCUACACCCGGCGGGUGCGCUCGCACGCACCCACCAGAACAGAAUAUAACCGAGAAGGGCCGAUCCCCUUGCAAAAAUCCGGCAGAACCUCCAAGCGAGUGCCUGCACUCCCUUUGAGGCUCGGGGGCUACUGUCGGGUACCGUAAUUAGGGGUACCCCCAAUGCUCCUUAAUCCGGCUGGAAAACAUCUUCAGAACAAACCAUACACGGCUGAUAAAGCGUGGUUCAAGUCAAGACCACUUCUGCCGAGGGACGCGACCUCAUCCGAGCCCAGCCUCGGGCGGGAACAGUGGUCCCAGACGGAUUCACGCCUCGCCCGAGGGUCCCCUUAGCCAGCAGAUGCACCCUUGGCUCGCCCAAAGCCCAGCUUGGGUAGACUUUGUCGUGCAGUGACCUUGGCCAAAUCGCCUUACCAGCCGACCAUAUCGCAUGCGCAUUUAAUGCGGGGAUCGCCUGACACCUUAUCCUGACACGCGUGCCUCAGUCGGCAAGGUCGAAGUGACCACAGUCACUUUGCCCCUUUACUGACUGAUCUAAGAGGAAAACAGCGUUGUUCGCCCCGCUCCGGCUACCGUGCCAACCACCAGGAUAAAACUGAGUCACGAUCUCCCACGAGUUCGGCCUCGGGUGCAACAGGGAGCUCCGCCACGCCCGACCUCAGGCCUCGGCCUUAGCCUCAGCCUCGGAAGAAGAUCUCCACCUCGCCCGACCCCAGGCCUCGGCCUUAGCCUCGGCCUUGGGAGGAGUCACAACCUCGCCCGAGCCCAGCCUCGGCCUCAGGAGAAGUUUUCGCCUUGCCCGACCUGGGCCUCGGACCGACUACGCUACAGGGGAUACAUCAUUACCCUACUCCUAGCUAGCUGCCUCAGGCUAUGAAGGAACAAGACCGGUGUCCCAUCUAAGGUUACUCCGGUAACAGGUAAUGAUGGUUCCCCGCGUGUGCCCAUGACGUCGGUUGCUCUCAAACCCCCUACGGAAGCAAGACAACGUCAGCAGGAUCCAUGCCGCGCCGACAGUUGUGCUUCUACAGGGCUCAAGGCACUUCUCCGACUGCCACGUUAGCCCGUCUACAGGGCUCAAGGCGCUUCUCUGCCAGCCACGAUAGCACAUAGCUACACCCCCUUGUACAACUGGGCAUCUCCUUGUAUCUAUAAAAGCGGAUGUCCAGGACGUUCACGAGGGGACAUCAUGGACAAACGUUGCAACACUGACAACGUUGGACAUCAAGGACAGGCGGGGCAGACAAGACAGGCAGCACGCAGAGACUCUCUCUCUCUCGCUCUCGCCCUCGCUCCAUCGCGCGACGCUUGUAAACCCUACUACGAGCACCCCGGUGCGAGAUAACAUAAGACUCAUUUCCCUCUUGUGUUCCAUCUUACAUCAACCCAUCUGGGCAGGGACACGCAGCAACAAAUUUACUGGUCUGUUGACGGUCCUCGCGGGUCCGAAACGCCGACACAAGCCCUAACGAGAGUUUCCCCUCAACUAAUUUCACUAAUGGCGCUCUAACCUGUUCUGUCCACGGUGACCGUAUGAUCAACGGACAUUCUAAUGCGUUCCCAGUGAUCUAAGGUAGCUUAGCUCAAUCGAGUUGGUCGAGGAGUAUCAGGGGCACAUAAGAACACUAAAGCGAAAGCGUAGAGGGUAUGAGCGGACCUGAGACGAGCUGACCACGGCGAGGUCACACCGCUCGGUGUUCUUGAGUGAUUUGGGGGAAAUCCCAAAUUGAGGAGUUCUAGUGGAUGAUUCAAGGCACGGGUUGCUCUACUGGGUGCACAAUUACUUAGCGGAGCAGGCGGGGUCGGUAAUUUAUAGGCUCCCAUAGCGGUGGCGUCCAAUUUCACGAAGUUGCGCUGGCGGCCGGAGAGGAAGAAGGUUACUAGCGCGGUGAUUCGUGGCCUAUUAGCAUGGCAAGCUCCCCGACGAUCACCGGGCAUGCACGAUGUGAUUCACUGCGACGUGGUCAAGCGUUUUAGCAUGUGGCGCACGGCGGUAAUCGGCCAACGGCGGCGAGGUCUAUCCGACCGAUAGACGAGCAAGUGGGUACGGUGAGCUUAGCUGUGACCGAGCCCGAGUCGAUCCAGGCGCCAAGAUCUUUACUCGCCCACGGUUAUCCGCAAGUCACGGCGCAUGAAUCAUACGGCCGGCGUGAAUCACGGCGUGACGGUCACCGGCGGCGAAGGGGGAUGAAUCCGUGAUCUGUUUCAGUUACUGUACCCUGGGAUUGUUCUUCAGUCAGCCUGAUAGCCCAACUUGCAAGGCCUGGAUCUUAAUUUUCCAUGUAGCGACUUACUAAUCCAUCUUUAAGGAAGUUGUUGCUUUACUAUCCAGCUUCAAUCUUACUAUAGCAGUCACUCCCAAAUUCUUACUAGAUCAUGCUCGAAUCCCAGCUCAAAGAUGGCAAAAUCACACUGUCAGUCUGAAUUCAGACUUAAGGCAGUCUGACAGCCCAUCUUUGGGCCUAAUUAUCUCAAAACAUUUCAUGGUACCAAGGCAUAAUUCCUAUAGCAAAGUUGUCCUCCUUUUAUAGAUCUACAAAUUUGAUGUGUUGACCUAGGGCAAAAUCUACAUAAUUUGGAAGAUAUAUGGCUUCAAAGUUGACCCAAUUCUACUGAAUUUCAGACUUAACUCAAUAGAGGUGGGGCUUUUUGCAAAUAAGUCCAAAUCUCAGGGUUUAAGUUGAAAAUCCACAUACAUGUGAAUCAUAUGAGUUAAGGUACCCUAAUUUUAUGGUUUUUGCACUUAAGUCCAAAAUGUGCACACUUUUACAGACAACCCCCUAGGGUUUCAGUCCAGGGUUUUUCAGGGAUCUAUUUAGGGUUUCUGGUACUUCUAGGGUUUGGAUGCCACUUAAGUCUAUUCAUGGUGACAUUUUAUGAUCAUUUCAACUAAGUUUUGAAGUUUUCUCUUAGUUAAGCUUUGUUUAUUCUUCUGAGUCCAGUUUAGGGUUAAGUACUGUAUCCUAGGGUUUCACCCAUGAAAUGUCACAUCAAUACAACUUUGUUUGAAAUUUUUGCCUAGUGAAUGCAUUCUAGGUGUGACAAACACAUGAUAUGACAAUGCUUAUGAUGUCAUGCUCAAGUUUUAGUGGCAGUAACACCAGGGGUGUUACAUCCUUCACCCCAUAAAAGAAUCUCGUCCCGAGAUUAAAAAUCUAAGGCAAGUAAUGGAAAAGGAAAUGUGUUAUACUUUUAUUCCCUUAUUUUUGGUACAAGGCAGGGGUGGUAUGGGGCUCAUUCUUCUAUUACAACAAAUGUACACAUCUUUACAAUUUACACGAAGCUAAAAAGUCUGGGAAAUUCUUUUCUAAAAAGUCUUGAGUUUCCCUAGUAGCUUCAUCCUCUAUAUGUUGGUUCCACUUUAUCUUGUAAAACUUGAGAGUUUUCCUUCGGGUAAUCAUGUCCUUUUGAUCCAAGACUCGAAUAGGGUGCUCUGAAUAUGUCAAGUCUGGUUCUAAGGCAACAUCCGUUACUUCAAUGGUUCGAUCGGGAACCCGAAGACACUUCUUCAAUUGAGAUACGUGGAACACAUUAUGUACAGCAGACAAUGUUUCGGGUAACUGGAUUCGGUAUGCCACUGGUCCACAUUGUUCAAGAAUAGGGAAAGGACCAAUGUACCAGGGUGCAAGCUUCCCCUUUGCCCCAAAAUGUGAUAUACCCUUCAUUGGUGAGACUUUGAGGUAGACAUAAUCCCCAACUAGAAAGUACAAGGGUUUUCGUCGCCUAUCUGCAUAACUCUUCUGACGAGCUUGAGCUUUUUUCAAAUUAUGAAUUAUUCGUUGAACUUUCUCUUCUAUCUCCUUUACCAUAUCAGGCCUGAAGAAACUUCUUUCACCUGGUUCAGACCAGUUUAACGGAGUACGACACCGUCGUCCAUACAAGGCUUCAAAGGGUGCCAUUUUGAUACUCUCUUGAUAGCUAUUAUUGUACGAGAACUCCGCCAAUGGCAAACAUUCAUCCCAUUUCUGUGAAAAUUCUAGAGCACAAGCUCGUAACAUGUCCUCAAGUAUUUGAUUCACCCUCUCAGUUUGCCCACUGGUUUGAGGAUGAUAGGCUGAACUAUGGAGCAACUUAGUAUCCAAAGCCUUGUGAAGUUCUUCCCAAAAUUUGGACACGAAUUGUGGUCCACGAUCCGACACUAUGGUCUUCGGAACACCAUGCAAACUGAGAAUACGGGCAAUGUAUAACUCUGCAUAUGUGGCCACUGUAUACUUUACCCUGACUGGAAGGAAGUGGGCAAUCUUUGUAAGUCGAUCAACAAUGACCCAGAUGGAAUCAUACCCUUUUGUUGACCUGGGCAAUCCCACAAUAAAGUCCAUGCUUAUAUCCUCCCAUUUCCAUGUAGGGAUAGGUAAAGAUUGUAAUGGACCAGCAGCUUUCAUGUGUAUGGCCUUGACAUAUCUACAAGUGUCACAUCUUGCCACAUAGCGUGCGAUUUCAAUCUUCAUCUUUGUCCACCAAUAAUGUUGUUUUAGAUCAAGAUACAUCUUAGUGCUUCCGGGAUGAAUAGAAUAGCGACUAAGAUGUGCUUCAUCUAGGAUUUGCUGGCGGAUCUCAUCAUUCUUAGGCACAACUAUGCGGUUGUUAAACCAUACAACACCUUGAUCAUCUCUUCUAAAGCAGUUGGCUUUACCGGCCUCCAUUUUCUCAUGAAUGUGUUUCAUUCCCUUAUCAUUUCUUUGUGCGUCGAUUAUUCUUUGCAGGAGGACUGACUCAAGCUUCAAGUGAUUUGAAGUUCCAUGUUGUAUCAUUCCCAGGUUCAACCUCUUCAUUUCUUGGCAUAAUGUAAUGUCAAUGUUUUCAUCGUCAGACAAUGGCAGGAAGCCUUGCGACUUAACGCAUCUGCCACUACAUUAGCUUUGCCUGGGUGAUAGUGAAUCUCCAAUUCAUAAUCCUUAAUAAGCUCAAGCCAUCUCCUUUGUCUCAUAUUCAACUCUGACUGGGUAAAGAUAUACUUCAAGCUUUUAUGAUCUGUAUAAAUACGAUAGAUAUUCCCUAGUAGAUAAUGACGCCAUAUCUUUAGGGCAUGAACCACAACAGCUAACUCCAAGUCAUGAGUUGGAUAAUGCUCCUCAUGCCGGCGCAACUGCCUUGAAGCAUAGGCUACCACUCGACCUUCUUGCAUUAGGACACAGCCGAGACCACUGCCUGAUGCAUCACAAUACACAUCAAAGGGCCUUUCAAUGUCCGGUUGAGCCAAUACCGGAGCAGUGGUCAAUAAUACUUUCAGCUGCUCAAAGGCUUCAUUACACCUUGAAGACCAAUUAAAUUUAGUAUCAUUCUUCAAUAAACUUGUGAUUGGUUUCACAAGCUUGGAAAAAUCUAGAAUGAAUCGGCGGUAAUACCCAGCCAGUCCAAGGAAACUUCGGACUUGAUGUACAGUGGUUGGGGGUUUCCACUCCAAAAUAUCCUUGACUUUGCUGGGAUCCACCGCAAUCCCCUUGGCAGAUAAUACAUGUCCUAGAAAUUGGAUCUCCUCCAGCCAGAACGCGCAUUUACUGAACUUAGCAUAUAAUUGGUGCUCCCUUAAGCACGUUAAUACGAUCCGCAAAUGCCGAGCAUGCUCCUCUUUAUUCUUGGAAUAUAUUAAGAUAUCAUCAAUGAAUACCACCACGAAUUUAUCCAACUCGGGCAUGAAUAUCGAGUUCAUAAGAUAUGUGAAGUGGGCAGGAGCAUUUGUUAGUCCGAAAGACAUAACCAAAUAUUCAAAUAAUCCAUACCGCGUAGUGAAUGCGGUCUUGGGUAUAUCUUUGGGUUGGAUACGGAUCUGAUGAUAAUCCGACCUGAGGUCAAUCUUAGAAAAUACCCAGGCUCCGGUAAGUUGAUCAAAUAGAAUGUCAAUCCGGGGAAGAGGGUACUUAUUCUUGAUUGUGACCUCAUUAAGGGGUCUAUAAUCCACGCACAUCCGAAGUGUUUGGUCCUUCUUCUUGACAAAGAUGGCUGGACAACCCCAAGGUGAUGAACUUGGUCGGAUGAAUCCCUUUUCUAGUAGAUCUUGUAAUUGGAUCUUGAGUUCUGCCAAUUCAUUCGGAGGCAUUCGGUACGACCUUCUAGAAAUAGGAGUUGUACCGGGCUUCAACUCAAUCACAAAUUCUACAUCUCUUUCUGGAGGCAACCUAGGCAGAUCUUCCGGAAAGAUGUCCAGGAAUUCACAUACUACCGGGAUAUCUUGGAUCUCCGGUAUGAUGGCUUCAUAUACUCUGCCAAAUGGUUUAGCUGGAAUAGCUACGGGGAUGGACAAGAGAACCUCUUCUUGGCCAUAACUCAACCUGAUGGUUCUCAGAUCAGUGUUGAGGAUAGCUUUAUGUUGGGCUAACCAAUUCAUGCCCAGAAUUACAUCUAUAUCUUGGCCUUUUAGAACAAUCAUGUUGGUAGGAAAGUCUCGUUCAGCCAAUGUUAUAGGCACAUGGAAAGCCACUUCUUUAGUGAAUAUUUGUCCCCCAGGCAAAUGAAUUAUAAACCCUUCCCUUGAUUCAUUGUAUGGAAUGCAAUAUUGCUCCACAAACUUCUUGCUUAUGAAUGUAUGUGAAGCACCGAAAUCAAAAAGAAUAACUGCAUGGUGAUUGGCCACGAGAAACGUACCCAUCAUAACCGGUUCUCCUUCCGGUGUCGUGGCCACUUGCGUAUAAUAAAUCCGCCUAGUUUUCUUCAUAUUUUUGCCCGUUGUAUUGUUCGCCGCAUUUCCCUUGCCUUGAGCGGAACUCCCUGAACUCUGCUGAUUAUUUGAUCUGAUCUGCUUCGGGUAUGGACAGUCCUUAAUAAAAUGUCUGGACUUUCCACAAUUAAAGCAGCAUGUUGAAGAGCUUGGGAGAGCAGAGAAACGAGUACCAGGGGCACUCGGCUAAUUUGUUGAGGUGGGGGCAGUGGCAGGAUGGAUAAAGACCGGUUGUUUCAAAGGGUAGGAGGGUGGACGUGGUGAAGAACGGUUCUGAUGAAAAGGUCGGAUCACCAACCUUUGUCUCUUCUCAGGCCCCUGAUUGGGCCUGUCGCCUCCAUAGCCCUUUGAUUUUCCCGGGCCUGCAUAUUUGGCUUCAACUGCCAGCGUCGUGCUGACAGCCUUACUGUAAGUAAGGUCGAGGCAAGUGGCCAUUUUCCGCUGCAACCGGUCAUUGAGGCCUCUCAUAAAACAAUUUUUCUUCUUCAGAUCAGUGUUGACCUGAUCAAUGGCAUACUGGGACAAGUGGUUGAAUUUGUUGAGAUACUAAGUGACAGUAUCUCCACCUUGUUUGAGCUUCAUAAAUUCUUCCUUUUUCAUAUGGAGCACUCCUUCAGAAAUAUAGUGCUCCCAGAAAGCCAGUUUGAAUUCGUCCCAGGUAAUUUGAUGACCAGCAGGCUGGAUAGCCACAUAAUUUCCCCACCAAAUGCUGGCAGGGCCUCGCAACUGUUGUGCCGCAAAUAACGGCUUUUGAGUCUCCGUGCAUCGGAGAAGCCCAAACUUUUGUUCGAUAACCCGGAUCCACUCAUCCGCUACAAGAGGAUCUUCAGCCUUGACAAAUAAUGGGGGAUGUGUCUCUGAGAAGUCCAAAUAUGAAGUUUCGCGGGGUCCUUGCGGAUACGCUCGCCCGCCUUGUUGUUGCAUUUGUUGCCCCACCAUUUCCCGCAGAAAGCGAGUGUUAUCGGCUGUUGCAUUGACUAAGGCAACGAUAGCCUCAGCCAAGGUUGGGGGUACUGGUGGUGGGUUAGUAGUAGCUUCCCUCCCACGGGAGGUUCCUGCACCAUCCUGUCCACAAGUCCUGGACGACAUCUGAGGCAAAGAACAUUUAGAAAAUAUAAUAUGCCAAAGCAAACCACCCAUUUUACAUUACUUAAAAGGGUAAUGAUACAGACUCGAAUUUACAACAGGAUUACAUUACCUAUUACGCAUUAUCACUAUUUCUAUACUACAUUACUCUAGCUUCUUAUCACUUUUGGUAGCUUCGCUGUCGGGUGUAGGAGACCAUUCAUCGACCAGAUUCAUUGAAGGAGGGGGCCUGAAAAGGUCCAGUUCCCCACCAAGGGCUUCACCCGCUACUCUAGAAGGUCCAGCUUCCAUCCCGACAGGAUCCGCAGGUACGUUAGGGUGCAGUUGUGAAUACAAUACAUGAACUUCCUCAUGUAGUGUAUUACAGUAAACCUGCAAGUUGUCCACGACUGUGCUAAGCUCCUCCACGCGGGCUUGAGCUUUGGCUUCCUUGGCCCAAGCAAGUGAACGUGAGUUAACAACCCAAUCGAGCGCUAAAUCUUGUUCAGCAAGUUGGUCUUGCAGGUGGCGGAUGUCAGUUCUCAACUCGUUUAUUCGCUGACCAUCCUCAACCCAUACUUCGUUCCUGUGACGGAGUUCCGAUCGAAGCUGCUCUACUUGAGCUUCCAGAUCUCCGAUAGGAUCAUUGCUACCACUACUACAGUCCUCAUGCCUUGGAGCUAGUUGAUGGCGAGGUACGCCAAUUGGCCCGGUAUACUUGCGCGUGGUUUUUCUUGUGCGCGGCGGCAUAUCUCCAUGAGGGGGAAAAUCUUAUUAAUAUAGUUUUUAUCAUGAUGCAUGCAUAAUUACAGAAUCAACCUUAGUUGAUUCACAACCUUCUAUACAUCGCACUCUACUAUCUGGUCUUUAAAAUAAGUACUUCAGAAGGUACUUAGAUAAGAAGGAAAGAAAUUUUCUAGAUAAUUCUUUGAAAAUUCUUUUUGAAAAUGUCUCAUAACAUAUGUAGAGAUGGGCUUCGCUCCGAUACCAGUCUGUGGCAAAACCUUCCAAGUUAUUGGGCCCACAUGCGCCUGUCCUUGUCUCAAAUACCUCAAAUGGCUAUGGAUGUGCCCCAGAUAACUUAACAGGAUCCGUCCGAUUGCCCCAAGGACAUCGGAUAAACCACUUACAACCAGGACCGCAAGAUAAAGUAACACAAAUCACACACCAACAUUUUUGCAGCGGAAAUCUUAAUACCAAAUUUUACAAGUUACAAAUUUUUACAUUAUAUUUAUCGGAGUGAUUACAAAAGUAUAAGUUUGGAAUAUAUGCUAGCUCAAAGGACUAUCCUCAAUAAGAAGUAUAGAAGGGUUACUUAGACUUAUAAGAAGGCCGAGCCCACCGGCACUUAACACCAUCAUCAGCAGCACAAAACUAUAACCUGAAAAACAACAGGGAAUAAAACCUUGAGUAUGGAAUUACUCAGCAAGACUUACCCGGGUAAAAAAAAAGACUCUCAAGGGUAUGCUGGUUUCAAACGGGAUUCAAGGAAAGGCUUAUCAAGAAUCAAGGACUCUAUUUUGCAGAAAUACUUACUAAUAGUGGAUCCUUAAAAAUCCAGUUUUACUUGUCAGGUUAAGUAAAGUUACCUGCAUCUAGAGUUCUUUCUACCCUAGUUCAAACACUUGGCCUAUACUAGCUGUCUUUUCAUCAUCCCUUUAGUUCACUGGAUUGCUACGUGUAGGGCAGUGACCAAGUCUUCAUGUCCGUGAAGUUACGGUGAUCUGAAUCGAUUAUACUCAGCUGAGGAUCUCCAAUCACAUGACAUAUGUAGCACUUAACCCUUGCAUAUGUCAACUCGCCACCGGGGUUCUUAAGACCAGAUCAGGUUCACGCCUGUCACACCCGGAUUUCAGGGGCACCAAGACCCGGGCGCGAACAUAAUCACCAGGUGUGCUAGGACCAAGUCUCACACAUAUGAUGAAUCAUGGCACAGGAUCGAAUGUCACAACUUUACUAUAUAAUAGGAGUUCUAUACAAAAUAAAUAAAUAAUUACAUUAUAAGGAGACAACGGUCCAGCAACCCAAAGUUGACUGGGAGACGACGGCCUAGAUUUCUCACGAACACGCCACAGCAUCCUCCAAGCGCCUCAUCCUACGGUACCUGUUCUUGACCUGUGGGGGUGUGAGACAGCAAGAGUGAGCUCACAUAUGUUCAUCGCUCAACAAGUUGUGGGGGAUAAUGUGCAUGAACUCGCCAAAAGUGGGAGCUCACGUGAAGUGUAAGGCUUACCAAAGAGGAUGGUUAGAGCUGAGCAUUGCUUUUAAAGUUGGUCAAAAUUUUAUUAGCAAUUACUAAGUAUAAGUAAAUACCAACCCAAUUAAGUAGUAGAACAAAAGUAACAACAUCACCUGCGAUGCAAUGCAUAUGACAAAUUGAAUUUAGUUCCAUAAAUUAAUCAUGUGAGGGUCUGAGCUGCUCAUGACCGUGAGCACAGCUAGUAUACCAGUUUUACACUCUGCAGAGGUUGCGCAUCUUUACCCACAAGUCAUGUUACCCAUCUACCAAGGGAUCGCGACUUCCCAUACACCUCUACCGAGGAGGCGAGGCAGGGUAACACUACGAGGCCUUUACAAAGUUCCACUAGCUUCAGAAAACCCACUACAGUUUAUAGGAAGCUCCAAUGAAGGGUUCUUGCCUGACCGCCAUCGCAGCAAAAUCAACCAAGGACCUCCCUACACUGACCACUCCCCUACUGCCCUUGCCCCUUUCGGGUAAGGUAGUCCUCCACUAGCUUUCCUAAUUAAUCAGCCAAGGGCGUCCAUAAACCCUUGUGGUAGCACUGUUUUCCCGGGUGGUCGCUCCAUGUUCCAAUUAACAUAAUGAUCUUAUCAUGAACAGUGAUAAUAAAUAGAUAAUAAAAGUAUAAUCGUGAACAAUGUAUCUUCAUACCCAAAACCACAUAAAGCACUAGCAAGUACUACCCAAAAAGUUUAGUGGUAAACAAGGUAUAAAGACAGACAAACUAGGGUAACCUAUUGGGUCCCAUCAAAAUUAACCUAUGCAGAUCAUUAUGAUUAAUCAGAACAUGGCUGGGUAAAAAGAAGUGAUCAAGGGCACAACUUGCCUAGGACUUGAGAUUUCAGGUACCAACUUGCUCUUCAGAUGACACGUGUCCUCACUGCUAAACGUAGCAAUACAGACAAACAUGGUAUAGGCAAAAUUAACAUUACACCAAACAUAAUAUCAACUGCAUAAUAAUAAUCUACGCGUCGCUACGAGCUAGUGGGAACAAGAAUUACUAAAUUCGAAGCUACGGUUAUUGGGUUAUGAUUUUUUAGGUCAUUAAGCUCCUAGAAUAGAUUAAUUCAAAUGAACAAUUUUAAUUCAAGUUUCAUGGUUAAAAAGUGGCACUAGAUGAUGAAAAAUAUUAAAACAAAAUUAUUGCAACUGGAAUGACUCAAUUUGGAGUUAAAAUGAAUUUUCUAUGAAUUAAAUAAGUUCUAGAAUUCUUUUUAUAUUGGAAAUUCAUUUUCUAAAUUCAUUUCUCCUAUUUUCUCUGAGUCCCGGGCUGCCACACAAUAACAGAGAACCCAGGGUCUAAAUCAUAAACUUGCUUAAGACUCAGUUUUCCCCGCACAGGACGGCGGGUUUAUUACGUUAAAUCCGAGGGGCUAUUUUGUAAACAAACGCGCGCGAAGGGGUAUCAACCUGUCAGAGCCCUCGGAUCCGCGACCAACGGUACAGAUUAAAUCUGGGCACAUUAUGAACGAAUUCGCACGCUCGCUUUCUAUCCGCCCGAUCUGGAAUCGACGGACGGGGUUCCAUCCAGGCGAAGGGGUAAACUAAAUCUAAUCUAAGACGUUCAUCAUCCAUCGGACGGCCCUAGACCAUCGUCUACCACCCAGCAGCAGCGGCGGGGCCAGGCUCCGCGUGACGGAGUUUGCGCCGGUGAGUUAGCCACCGACCGCGAUGGGGUUCCCCGAGUUAUUACCAACAUGCCUACUCGAAGUACAGAACAAAGCGAACCAUGUGGGUGAGGUCAUACCCCACAGCGACGAGUCGGUGUUGCAGUCCACGGUGAGGCGCACCUCCGCCACCAAGGAGAAGCUCCGGCGAGCGAUGCACCGACGACUCCGCCGUCAAGCCCGCCCGGAGUGCAACCAUACCAUCCACGCGGCCCCGCGAAGGUCACUGGCAUGAUUCACGGGCCUCAUACGCCGUCGCUGAAGAAGUCCCCCAAAGCGGCGGCCCUCCAUUCCUGCCGCCGAUUACAGCGGCGCAUAGCUCCACAACGCCUACUCGCGAUAGAUGAGGGGGAGGAAGGAGAGUCGCGGGCUCGAUUUUAUAGCCCAGGUCAAGAACGGACUCGGUCAGGUUGGUCCCGAGGUUCUAGCGCGGAGUUGUUUGGCGACCGCGUGAUUGGCGCAGUCCGUUGUGAGCACCACGCGCGGAUAGGGAAGAAGGCACCUGACACAGGGGUCCCAGUGGGCAGCGGCAGCAAGGCUGACCCAGCCACGUGAACGCGGGAGCCACAUGGCGGCGACCACGAAAACAUUCGCGUACGCGCAGGAGAGAGCCAGGGGCUGACCCAGGUGUCGGCGCGAAACGGUGGGCGAGAGCGGGAGACGUAGAGUUGGGCCGGCCGGCGGCCCAUGCAGGCUCGAGGGAGAUGGGUCACGGGGCGAGUGGGCCAAAAUGGUUUCCUGGCCCAAGCGGCGGCUCUCUCUUUUUUUCUUUUUUUAUUUUGUUUUGAAUUUCUUUCUCCAUUUCCUUUUGUAUUUUCUUUCUUUUUUUAAUUUCUAAAAUUCAAUUUGAGUUCAAUUUUAAUUGUGAACUCUUGCUCAUUUUAAAUUUACAAUCUGAAUAUACUAAUAUAGAAGGACCUAACUAUUUUUAUAUACAUAUUUCUUUAUUUUUACAUAACAUUUUCUUUCUCUUCUCUAAACUCCAACUUGCAAAUUAGGGUUGAAUCUCCAAAUUUGGAUUUUGAAUAUAUUUCUUUUUACAUUAUUUUUAUAUUGUCACAAAAUGCACACAAAAUAAAAAUCUCAGCAUGAUGCAAUGAUUUAGUGGCAUAUAUUUUAUAAUUAUCUGUUUUAAAAUAUGGUGUUUGUUGGAACUUGCUCUCUAUUGCAAGGGGAUCCAACGGGGGUGUGUAGUGACGUAAACAGGGUUCUCGCGCAAGAUGGCAAUAGCUCUGUUAAUCUAGCCUCUCAAGAGCACUGCGCGGGGGUAUUUAUAGGUAUCUGAGUGCCCAGCGUCCUGUGUUAAGGACGCAUGUGCCCUCAGACACCUAGGUUAUCCCUGGAAUAUUCUCAUAAAGCGGGGUUACAGACCGUAAUUACAGGGAUGCCUUUACAAAUUAGGCCCGUAACGCGCAGCGGCCACGCAGGGCCUGUUACAAUGGGUCGGAUCAUACGUGGGCCUCUACGCAGGACGAGGUCGCGAGAUGGGAAGACCUCAUCACAGGUCUUCGUCCGAUGACGUAUGGGACGAAGGGUGAACCUGUCCGUUGUCUUGUCUCCGUUGGUCCAAUGACUGAGACGAAGGCAUCGAGAGAAGGGUGGCGUCUUCGCCUUCGCCCCAACAUUUGCCCUCCGAGGGACCAGUUCGACUAAGUCAUCUGGUGCCGAAGACGUCGCUAGAUGGCGGAGACGCUGCCCUCACUCGAAGUGGUUCCGCGGGGGUUUUUGACAUGACCGUUGAUUUGACACCGUAAUGUUGGACUGCAGGGUUCCCGAAGCGCCACGCCCUGUGUAUAAAAGGGGGCGGGGGCGGCGCGUUUUAAACUUUAUCUUUCCGCGUUCCGUGAAAACCCUAGCCGCCUUUUCCACCAUCUUGCUGCUCGUCUGCCCUCCUUGCUCUUGUUCGCCGGAGAUCUGGCCCGAGUGAAGCAGACCGCCCGCCGCCGCCGACGGUACGUAGCGAUGCCGACCUCUUCUUCUGCUGCCGCUACGCCGCCGGCCGACGCGUCGUCUGAGGAGACGCUGAGUACAGUGGCGGCGGAGGAGUUGCACGCCGGCGAGACGGUGGAUUUCGGUGUGUCGCGGAUGUCCUCGGUCCGCGUGCAAUAUAUGCAGCAGCUUGGUUACUUUGGCGGGGGAGUCGCUCGUGUUCAGGGGAUGGAGGAGGUCCCCGAGCCGGAGGGCGAGUUGGUUGUGUUCAAGGCGUUCUUUGUCGCUGGUCUUCGCCUGCCUGCGCACCGAUUUGUGGGAGAAGUCCUGCACAGAUUUAAUGUUCAGAUCCAUCAGCUGACUCCGAACGCUGUGGUGGCUCUGUCGAAGUAUGUCUGGGCGACGACUUCAUACGGCGGACAGCCAUCAGUCGAAGUCUUCGCGAAGUACUAUUGCCUGCACUGGCAGAAGAGGAUGAUUGGAGAUGAAGUUGCCCAGUUUGGGUCCUGUACAUUUACGCCGAAGACCAGCAAGACCACGAUGGAGGUAGUUGAGUUGGUGCCUUGCGCCCGCAACAAGUGGGGCAAUUGGCAUGAGUUUUGGUUCUACGUCGCGGAGGGCACAGUCGAAGACCAUCCGGGGCUCCCCGUGUCCGAGAUGUGCUCGCAUUUUUACUCAGCAUACCCGCCGUUUGAAGUGGCGGAGGAGGAUGCAGACGAAGGGGCCCUUCGGUGCGCCGCCGGCCUGAGUAGCGGGCGCGAUUUGGUUGAGGAGUUUGUGGCGUACGGGGUAUGGCCUUUGGCACAUGGCUGGGCGUUGGGCGAAGUAUGCCCUCGCCAGAUGCCUUCCCAUGGUGGGAAGCUGGUGCGAAGUCCCGCCUUCGCGCUGGAUCUGCAUAGCCGCGAUCCGGCCGCCUUUGUGCGUGAGGCGGAGGAUGGGGCGGUGCGGAUCGUUGGUCGGUACGUGCCGAAGACAGAGGGCCAGCGUAGUUGGGAUAUUCGCGGGUCUAAUGACCGCUUGAAUAGGGUUUUUGAGUUGAAUCGUCUGCCGUAUGGCGGUUAUCCCGGCCAAGACGAUGUAGAUCGUCGCGGGAAGAAACCGGUGGUAGAGACUGGAGACGACCCCGCGCCGGCGGCCGCCCCGUCCUCUAAGAAGAGGAAACUAGGUACUGCUAUGGGAGGACUUGGGGUUUCCGAUGGUUUUGCUAGGGAGUUGAUGAGGACAUGCGCGGCCCCGGGGGGAAGGAUGUCUUCGCCCGAGCUCCGGGAGUCUUCGGUGCGGAUGCUGAGGGUUACCAGGGGUUGGUGGCCUAAGAAUGUUCCUAUCCCCCGCGCGGCCAGCGAAGACUUUUUUACAUCUCGCAUGGUUCAUGAUUGGAAAGUGUUUCCUUACGAGCGGAAUAUUGCUGUUGUUGUGUCGGCAGUGAUGGACAAGGAUCGUCAGGGAGCUGCACAGAAGCGCCAGGCGGUCGUCAGUCUUCAUGAGGCCAGGCCGAAGAGGCAGCGGGGGGCUACGAAGGCUACUGCCCCCGGCGGAGGCCAGCCGCCGCUGGCGGCGAAGUCGGCCGUCCCUGCAUCCAGCAGGGCGCCGCAGGCUGCAAAGUCGGCUGUCGUCGGUGGUUCCAAGUCUGCGAAGGCUACCCCUGCGUCCAGUAGGGUGCCGGAGGCCGCGAAGGCGGCCCGAGGGUUGCCGCCGCCGGGCAAGCGCGUCGCCGACUUCGCCACCGACAUUAGUGUGGACGAUUAUCUUGUUGGUAAGUCGUUGGCUCGGGUUUUUUUUAAUUUGUUGAUACGUCGCAGGGUCGGACGAAGGCCAACUUGUUGUUGUUCCGCCUGCCGCGGCGACCACGGCGGCUGCCAUAGUGCCAAAGGCGAAGGGCGGUGCUCUUAGUGCCGGCGGCGAGAUACCGGCACUCACUGCCGUCAGGGACGAGGCGGGUGCUAUGUCCCGCCGGCUGAAGGAGAUGAAGGAGGCACUAAGUCAGGUACGUUGAGCUAGACUUUGGUUUUUUACCGGCUUCGUUGGUGCUGCGGCCUUAUGUGUGUCUUGUAGGCGGCUGACUUCGCAGACCACGCGGCGUCGGGAGCCCUCACGGCAGUUGUGUCUGCCGAAGUCGAGAGACUUCGGACGCAACAUGCUGACGCCGUCCGGGAAAAGUCGGCCGCCGACAGUAAAUGCCGCAAGCUGGCGGAUAAGGUGGUUGCGCUGGAGGGUGAGAAGACUGACCUCCGGCGCCAACUGGCAGAGGAGAGGGAGGAGGCCAAUGAGGCCCUCGCCAAGGCGCAGUCUGCGCAGGCGGAGGCCAAUUUGGCGCGGGCGGAGGGCAGUAUUGCCAAGCAGCGCGCCGAGUAGUUGGAGGAGCGGCUCAGCGCUCUGCAGGCUCGUGUGGAGAGGGCCGAGGCCUCGACACGCUCGGAGGCUGAGCGGACACGCAAACAGCUUGUGGAUUCAUACCAUGAGCUGGGCGCGCGGACCGCUGACUUCGAAGUGCCGGACCGAGAGCCCGGACUUCGCUGCCUCGAGUGGAUACAGGAGGAGUUGGUGGCGCUUCCCGCCAUCGUGGAGGGGUUUAUGUCAUAUGCCUCCCUGGUCACCUGCGAGGGGGCGAUGAACGCGCUCUCUCGCGAAGGCUGCCGGCACUAUGAGGUCUUCGACCAAGCUGAUGAGGACUUCGAGCGCGAUAUCUACAAGGUUGAGGACCCUAUGGUGAAGGAAUCUGCGGGAGCCCUCUACGACCGGAUGUGGGGCCCCCACGGUCGGGAGGUGGUCACGGAGCGGGCCGAGACGGUGAGGGGUCAGGUAAUGUUUGGCUUUUGUUUGGUGUUUGUUGAAUGUGGGCUAUGUAUGGGUUUGCUGAAUUUGUGUGCUGUGUCUCAGGCGGCGCGUGGCGAGAGGGUGGAUGACUUCGGGGCUUUGAACAGCGAGUUGCCUGAGCCGGAGCCGAUCCCGGCGGCGGCUGUGUCCGAGGCCACCCUGGAGCCGCCCCCGGAAACCGCCGAAGGCGUUCCUGAUGUCCCCGCAGCCACUGUGACCGGCGGAGGCCCGUCGCCAACAGCCGCGCCGAGGGCUGAGGAUCCUGUGAAGGUGGCGGCGGAGCCGACAGCGGAGGAUCCCGCGACGGCCGGGUCUUCGCAGGUGGCUUAGUCGGUGUGGGUAGUUAGGGAAUUUUGGAUAUGUUGCUGAAUCUUGGUUGCUGCGCAGGUUCAAGAUUUUGGGCCUGCGCACGCAACCGGUACUACUAAUUUUUUGGCGGCUUUGACCGUGGAUGAUGGUAAUAAAUCGGAUCGGUCUGCAUCUAAGUUUUCUGAUUUUGGUGACUCUGGGAGCUCGAUUGAGUGGACUGAGGAGUCAUCGGAUGAGGACUUGGACUACUUUGCGGCCUUGGAUGUGGCUGCGGCGGAGGCUUUGCCGCAAGCUGCGGAUGCUGAAGUUGUGCCUGGUCCGAGUAUUGGGCGUAGGCGGCGAAGGGCGGUUGCGAAGCGUAGAGUGAGUGGGGCGGACGGCGGUCGGCUUCGUGUGAGUAGGGCUGGCAGGCAGGAACUGUUGUCCUUGCCGGCCGCUGUGAGUGUAGGUGAGGGGGAGUUGCGAAGUCUUUUUGCGGGUGAGGAGCUUAGGAUAAUGUUAUUUAACUAUAGGGAGAUGGGAAUUAUCCCGAAGGUUGAGCCGAUGUAGAGUGUGUUGCCCUCGCUUGUACAUGUGUAAUGGCUUGUAUGAUGAGGUUGUGUGCCUUCGCACACUCGGCUAUGUUCGCGAAGGCGUUACGUACUUGGUCUGGUGUAUUUGUUAUGUUGGUCUGGUGCACAUGUAGUCGGUCUUUGUGCGGACAGUUUGGUGUAGUCGUUUUCGCACUUGUUAAGCUUCGUCCGGCUGUACCCUUAAGCAAUUGUUGCACGGAUAGUCUUUGCGGAAGACUUCGAUUCGUCGCACUUGUUGCGCUAUCCCUACUGCACCCUUAGGCGACUUCUGCACGGAUAGUCUUCGCAGAAGACUAUGAUUUUUCGCACUUAUUGUGCUAGUCCGGCUACACCCUUAGGCGACUUCUGCACGGAUAGUCUUCACGGAAGACUACGAUUUUUUCGCACUUGUUGUGCUAGUCCGGCUGCACCCUUAGGCGACUUCUGCACGGAUAGUCUUCGUGGAAGACUACGAUUUUUUCGCACUUAUUGUGCUGGUCCAGCUGCACCCUUAGGCGACUUCUGCACGGAUAGUCUUCACGGAAGAUUUUGAUUUUUCGCACUUGUUGUGCUAGUUCGACUGCACCCUUAGGCGACUUUUGCACGGAUUGUCGCACGCGAGGGUAGCUAGCGCUGGGCCUCGCGGUGACUUUGUAUUUGUCGAAUGUCGAAGACCGUUGGCGUGGUCUUUUUUCGACGUAGAUUUUUGCGGGGGAUUUUUCACUUGUAUAUUACAUGACUCCGCCUCGUUAAAAACCUCACCCCCCCCAGAGGAAAAGAGUGCGGGCCGGAAUAAAAUUGUUUUUGCAAACUACAAGGGCGAAUCGGCCCUGAUGAGUCAAACAAAAACUUUGCGGAGAUUGUCGAUGUUCCGGGAGUGCUCCAGGUCUUCGCCGUUUGGCGUUGCGAGCCUGUAGGCGCUGGGGGAAGCCUUCGUCUUGACAAUGAAAGGGCCCUCCCACUUGGGCUCCAGCUUGCCCCUAGACUCUGUCCGAGCUGUUCGGACGAGUACGAGGUCCCCUUCGCUGAAUUCCCUCGGGAUGACUGCGUGGUCGCGCCAUGCUUUUGUCUGGGCUUGGUAUUUAUUUAGAGUCUGUAGGGCGAAGACUCAGUCUCCAUCGAUGAGAUCCUUCGAAGUGGGCUCGUCCACGUCGGGGACGGCUGACGGAACUGUUCGUGGGGACCCAUUUUUUAUUUCUUGUGGGGUCAUGGCCUCCGAUCCAUAUAGAAGGCGGAAAGGGGUGAACCCGGUCGCCCUGCACUCAGUCGUGUUUAGCGCCCAGACCGCCUCAGGUAGCAAAUCGGCCCAUUUGCCCUUUUUCGUCGAGGAGCAUCUUUUUGACAGCUGUGAAAAUUUUUCCAUUGGCGCGUUCCACAACUCUGUUGGACUGCGGGUGAUAUACUGAGGCGAAGGCAAGCUUGGUGCCGAUGGAGAAGCAAAAAUCCUUGAAGUCUUGGCUGUCAAACUGCUUGCCGUUGUCAACUGUUAGUUCGGACGGUACUCCGAAGCGGCAAACAAUGUUUUGCCAAAAGAAUUUCCGUGCAGUCUUUGAUGUUAUUGUGGAAACAGCCCUCGCCUCGAUCCAUUUGGUAAAGUAUUCGACAGCGACGAAGGCGAACUUAAGGUUCCCCUGAGCCGUGGGCAGGGGCCCGACGAUGUCCAGGCCCCAGCGCUGGAGAGGCCAGGUGUGGGCGAUCAGCUUUGUGAAUUGCGAGGGGCUGCCUGAUCGAGGAGAAAACUUCUGGCAGGCUUCGCAGGACCUUGUAACCCGAUUUGCGGCGCAGAUCAUUGCGGGCCAGUAGAAACCUUGGCGAAUCACCUUGGCGGCUAGGGCCCUUGGCCCUGCGUGAGAGCCGCAAGUACCACUGUGGACUUCGCGCAGGAUUUGGAUGCCUUCGGUCUCGGUGACACAUUUAAGCAUUGGCUGACUGACCCCUUUCUUGUAGAGUUGGCCCUCAAUCAGUGCGAAGUCCCGGCUUCGAUGUUUGAGGCGCUUGGCCUCGUUGAUGUCGGUUGGGUGGUAGUACCCCUGUAGGAACAGGGUUAUUGGUGCCCGCCAGUCUUCGGUCAUAAUAAGGUUGACUAUGCGGUGGCCCUCGCUGUCAUUGGUUAUUUGGAGCCCUUCGGGACUCCGGACGGCUGGCAUGCCGAUGACAUGGUAAAACACGUCGGAGGGGGACUCGCCUCUAGCGGCAGCCUUGGCCAGUACGUCGGCCUCUUCAUUCUUGGCCCGGUCCACAUGCUGCAAGGUGAAUCCCUUGAAUUGUCUCUCGAGACUUCGGAUGGCCGCGAGGUAUUGCAUAAGUGCGGGGUCCUUUGCUGCAUAGUCUUUCUCGACUUGGCUGGCAACGACCUUGGAGUCUGUUCUGAUGAUGCAGGUGGUGACCCCAAGGGCCCUCAGCUUGCGGAGGCCGAGGAUGACUGUUUCGUAUUCUGCUAUGUUAUUUGUGCAUCUGUCGGAUUCCAGAGCGAAGCUGAGGCGUGCUGCGUAUCUGUGCUUGACCCCGGCGGGUGAGGUGAUGACCGCAGCGGCGCCUGCCCCCGCAUGGCACCACGCGCCGUCGCAGUGGAUCGUCCAAACCUUCUCUGCGGACGGGUCCGGCUGUGUUAUUGGCCCAGUCCAGUCGACGACAAAGUCUGCCAGGACUUGUGACUUGAUGGUUGUCCUGGGCUCGAAAUUGAUGUGGUAGCCGGAGAGUUCGGCCGCCCACUUGGCAAUCCUCACCGAUGCCUCUGGGUUUCUGAACAAUUCACCGAGUCCCCUGUCUGAGGUGACCCGGACCUUGAAUGCUUCAAAAUAAUGGCGCAAUUUGCACGAAGACAUAACAACUGCGUAGGCAAUCUUCUCCAGUUCUGUCAUGUUGCAUUUGGACGGUGUCAGCACUUUGGAGACGUAGUAAACUGGGCACUGCCUGAUCACACCCGCAACUGUCUGCUCCUGCACCAGUGCCGCGCUGACCGCAUGCGGCGAAGCCGCAACAUAGAGCAACAGGGGUAGCGAAGAGUCGGGGCUUGUAAGGACUGCCAACUCCGAUAGGUACUGUUUUAAUGAGGCGAAGGCCGCUGCCUGCUCUGGUCCCCAAGCGAAGUCUUUUGCGCCACGGAGAGUUUUGAGGAAAGGGAGACUUCGCUCAGCGGAUUUUGAGAUGAAUCUGUUGAUGGACGUCUCUAGCGGACUGCGGAGGUGUCAUGUUGAUGAUGGCCUGAAUUUUGGUUGGGUUGGCCUCGAUGCCGCGGUGUGAUAUGAGGUAGCCCAAUAUUUUGCCUUGGCGAACGCCGAAGACGCACUUUUCCGGGUUCAGGCGAAGUCGUGCGUCUCGCAUGUUCGCGAAUGUCUCGGCGAGGUCAGCGAGAUGGUCCUCCUUGCUCUUGCUGGCGACGACGAUGUCGUCCACAUAUGUGAAUAUAUUUUUGCCAACUUGCCCUUCGAGCACUGUUUUGGUAAGCCGGGAGAAGGUGGACCCGGCGUUCUUGAGUCCCUCCGGCAUUCUGAUGAAGCAAUAUGUGUCGAAGGGUGUUAUAAAGCUGGUGCUAGCCUUGUCUUCCUCCUUCAUGUAUAUCUGGUGGUAACCGGAGAAGCAGUCGAGGAGUGACAUGACUUCGCAUCCGGCCGCGCUAUCGACUAUUUUGUCGAUCCGCGGCAACGGGAAGUUGUCCUUUGGGCAGGCCUUGUUGAGACUGGUGAAGUCGAUGCACAUUCGCCACUUGCCGCUCUUUUUCUGCACCAUCACAACGUUGGAGAGCCACGUGGGGUAAGCCACCGGCUCGAUGAAUUUGGCUUCCAGGAGGCGGUGUACCUCUGCCUUGGCGGCCUCUGUCUUCUCGUCGGACAUUUUGUGAAGCCGCUGUUUUUUCGGUCUCACCGAAGGGUCGAUUCCCAGGUUGUGCUCAAUUAUGGAUCGGCUGACCCCGACCAGGUCGAGGGCUGACCAGGCGAAGACAUCUUUGUUCUUGGACAGGCAGCAGAGGAGUUUCUCCUCUUCAUGCGAAGUGAGGUCUUCGCUGAUAGUGACUGUCUGCUUGGGCGUGGCCUGGUCGAGGGGAACGGUCUUGGUCCCGUCGUUGCUUUGCAGCUGUGCCUUGUCGUGCUCUUUGUUGGUUGGGCUGACGGACGCAGAGACCUCACGCUGAGCCGUGAGGUAGUGCACAUUUCUUUGUCCGGGGGCGAAGUCCCGCUCUAUGUUGCGUGCAGUCUGUUGAUUACCGUAGACCGCAAUGGCGCCUAACGGACCUGGUAUCUUCAUGCACAGGUACAGUCCGUGAAUGGCUGCCUCAAACUUGUUGAUAGAGCCCCGGCCCAUGAUGGCGUUGUACGGAUACACCAUAUCGACGAUAUCAAAAGUUAUUUGCUCACUUCGGGCAUUGGGUGCUACACCGAAGGAGAGAGGCAGCUCUAUUUUACCGACAGGGAAAGUGCCCUUGCCGCCGAAACCAUACAAUGGGUUGUCCAAAGGCUUGAGCAGACUAUGGCUUAUGCCCAUGCGGUCGAAGGCAUGGAGGAAAAUGAUGUCUGCUUGACUGCCAUUGUCGACUAGGACUUUGUGCAGGUCCUAGCCUGCCACGCUGCAGUUAAUAACCAUGGCGUCGAUGUGGGGGGCGCUGCGCAGGUCGACGUCUCGUGCGUCGAAGGUUAGCGGUACGUGGGACCACUUCGUCUGCACUACUGGGCCGGUGAUGGCGACGUGGUUGAUGCUGCGGUAGUGGUCCCGCUUCUGCCGCUUUGUGUCGAAGUCGGUGCUGGACCCCCCAGUGAUCAUAUGGAUGACUCCGCGAUACGGCUGAUCGGCGAAGUCUUCUUGUUUCGGGGCGUGGGGGUGAGGGAUGUUCUGAUGUUGCUGGUGUGGAGGUGGGGGUGGAGGAGGUACGAUUUGUACUUCCUGGUGUUGGUAUGCGUGGUGCGGUGGAUGCGGGGCGGGGGCGUGGAUGUAUGGUGGAGGGGGUUGCUGAUAAGUGUGCGUGACAACUCUGGGGUUGUCGGCUGGCUGCGCCCGUGCCAUCCUGUCUUUGGUGGCCUUCGUUUCUAGGCAGUCUUUGGUUUGGUGGGCGCAGUCUUCACCAUGAAAAAGACAGUAGAAUCGGCGUGGCGGCUGCGCAUGCCCCCGACCCCUACCACGGGUUCCGUUUCCGCGGCCCUGGGGGGAUACUCCUGGCGGCGAGGGGCGUCAGCAGCGGGGUGCUGGUUGGCGAUGUUGUGCACUUGCUGCUGAUUGCGGCCGUCUCGACCGGAGUCUGGUUGCGGAGUCCUCGUCCACGUGCGGCUGGACUGUGGAGCAUCUUUGGGUUUCCGCUGAGACUCAACCUUGCGCUGGUGGAGCUCUUCGGACUUGGCAUAUUUUUCAAAGAGCUAAUAUAAUUCCUGGAGGUUCUUGGGCGGGUCCCUGAUGCAGUGGCUGUAAAGGACGCCGGCGCGAAGGCCACUGAUGGCGUAGUGGAUGGCGAUCUGGUCAUCAACUGAGGGCAGUUGUGACUUGAGUGUAAGAAACUUGCGGUAAUACUCCCGCAGAGUCUCUUUUUCCAGCUGCUUGCAGAGUGAGAGUUCGGCCAAGGCGUCGGUGUCUGGGCGGUACCCUUGGAAGUUGAGCAGGAAUUUGUCCCGGAGGCUUCUCCAGGAGUCAAUGGACAGCGGAGGCAACCUGGUGAACCAGGUGAGAGCUGGGCCUUCGAGGGCGAUGAUGAAAGACUUGGCCAUUGUGGCGUCGUCCCCUCCGGAAGAUGCAACGGCGACCUGAUAACUCAUGAUGUAUUGUGCUGGGUCAGUGCUGCCGUUGUACUUGGGACAGGUCCCUGCCCGGAAGUUGGCGGGCCAGGGCAUCACUUGCAGAUGUGGCGCCAGGGGACUUCGCUCGUCGAGGUAGUUGACCCCUUGGAAUGGCACGGCGUGUGGGAAGGUGUGGUCGCGCUGUUGCAGGGGUGGCCCAUGCUGCAGGCCAAGGUGGCCUUCGCGCAUGUCUUCCAGUUGUGCGCGCUGUUGCAGGGGUGGCCCAUGCUGCGGGCCAAGGUGGCCUUCGCGCUGCAUCAGCGCGAUCUCCCGCUCGAGGUCCUGGGCCUUCUGCUCUUCGUCACGUAUCAUUUGCCGCACCUUGGCUAGUGCGGACACGCGCUGGCGCUUGGCCUCCAGUAUCUCUUUUUGCCUCUGGAGAUUGCGGUUCUUGAGGCGCAGGGCACGCAGUUGUAGCUGUUCUUCCGCUGAGACGCCGAGGACCUCGCCGUCCUCGGUGAGGUCCGCGCCCUCCAGUGGGGCGAAGCCUGGGGGGUUGCGAUUGUCCUUCAGGGCCGCAGGUGCGAAGAGCAUCGUCUUCGCAGGUGCGGAGAACGUCGUCUUCAGUAGCCUCGUGGUGAGUGGAGUGGGUGAGGGCGAGGGCCUUGCCCUUUUUUGCGGCCAGCAGUGCUGCCUUCGCAGCCUCGUCAGCCUUCGAGUUAACUUUCUUUGGUGCCAUCGCGGGUGGUUUUUUUGUCGCACGAACGGUGGGCGCCAAAUGUUGGAACUUGCUCUCUAUUGCAAGGGGAUCCAACGGGGGUGUGUCGUGACGUAAACAGGGUUCUCGCGCAAGAUGGCAAUAGCUCUGUUAAUCUAGCCUCUCAAGGGCAUUGCGCGGGGGUAUUUAUAGGUAUCUGAGUGCCCAGCGUCCUGUGUUAAGGAUGCAUGUGCCCUCAGACACCUAGGUUAUCCCCGGAAUAUUCCCAUAAAGCGGGGUUACAGACCAUAAUUACAGGGAUGCCUUUACAAAUUAGGCCUGUAACGCGCAGCGGCCACGCAGGGCCUGUUACAAUGGGCCGGAUCAUACGUGGGCCUCUACGCUGGACGAGGUCGCGAGAUGGGAAGACCUCGUCACAGGUCUUCGUCCGAUGACGUAUGGGACGAAGGGUGAACCUGUCCGUUGUCUUGUCUCCGUCGGUCCAAUGACUGAGACGAAGGCAUCGAGCGAAGGGUGGCGUCUUCGCCUUCGCCCCAACAGUGUUCACAUGUGAUGGCAUAAAAAGUUCAAACACCCAUACAGAUAAAGUGAACUUGUUUCUCGCUUUGAUAUUAGCUCUUGCAAAUUACAAAUUGGGUAUUACAAAUCCUACCCCCCUUAAAAAGAAUCUCGUCCUUGAGAUUUGUAAGCAAAUGGAUACAAUAGGUUUGGUCUAGAAUUUUAGUUUCUUAUUUGGUUUUGGGAAUCAAAGUUUUGUUCAAGUUUCUACAUAACUGUUAGUAGAUGAUUUAGAAAUUAUGAAUAUUGUAUGUCUAGCCAUUUAUUAGGUCAGAUGAGGUAUGGUCAUGGCAAGUAUAGGUUGUGGCAAGGGUAUAAUAAGGAAAGACUUCAUCCAGAUUCCUAAACUCUGGGUCUUGAUUCCUCUAGCGAUCCAAUUUGAUCUUUGAAGACUUGAGUUGAUGUUUAUCCUUCUUUGACGUGGUUGGUCUUCUUUGGCCUUUCUUCUUGGAGUUGCCAUCCGAGUUAAGGACAUUUGGCUAAGGAUAUGUGGUUAAGAUAGCCGGAGUACACGAGGUAGGUAGGUCAGAAUCUAUGUUCGAUUAAAACAGAGGGGUUAUGUAACUAUCAUGUGGUUAAGUGAGUUGCAUAUGGUCAGGUAGUUGUGCAUGGUCAAGUUAGUCUAAUGCACCAAUUUAUCUUAAGACAUAUUUAUAGGAGUAUGGUCUAAUCUAUUUCAUCAGUAUUAACUUUCCUCUUAAAUAACUUACAUUGGAUUAGCUCAACUUAAGGUUUAGCCUUCGUUAGGUUAGAUGGAUCCAUCACAUAAGAUUGAAUCUAGGUUAGAUUGGUAUUACUAGUUGAGCCUAGAUCAGAUGUACUUAAUUUGGUCUAGAUCAUGACCAUGGUGGGAUAAGUCAGGUGGUUUGGAUAAUAUGAAUCCUUCAAGGUAAAAUGAAUCUAUUAAGAUAAGAGAGAAUCUUUUAAGAUAAGAUGGAUCUAUUAAAUAUAUUUUAGUGGGAGAUAUUCUUAGUUGAUCUAGUUUAUCUUAUAAAUAUAUCUAGUUUAAUAGAUCCUAUUCUUAAUAGGGAAUAUUCUGUGUUGUCUAUUUUAUAAAUAUUUUCCCUUAUGUUUAGGUGUAUAUGUAAAUGCAAUUGUGGACAUUACUCCACAACCCAUCACACUCAAUCAAAGAUCCAAAUCAGACAAGUAUCAUAAGAACAAGCAUUCAGGCACAUAGAUACCUAUAAAAAUAGUUUUUUUUUGUUUUUGUUCCUAAGAGUAGGUCUCCUAUUCCUAAAGGUCACUUUAGGUAUGGGAUUUCAAAGUGUGAAAUCCACUUUUGUCUUUAGAAAGGUAAGAAUAAUCAGAUUGAAGUGGAAAUAGAUGAGAAAAGAUUAAGAAAAGUUUAGAAAAGAAUCAGAGUAGCAAAGGUAAGUAGAUAAUGGUUGUCCAGUUCUAUCUAGGUUUCGUCUUACAGUCAACAUUCCUCUGAUACCACUUCUGUCACACCCGGAUUUCAGGGGCACCAAGACCCGGGCGCGAACAUAAUCACCAGGUGUGCUAGGACCAAGUCUCACACAUAUGAUGAAUCAUGGCACAGGAUCGAAUGUCACAACUUUACUAUAUAAUAGGAGUUCUAUACAAAAUAAAUAAAUAAUUACAUUAUAAGGAGACAACGGUCCAGCAACCCAAAGUUGACUGGGAGACGACGGCCUAGAUUUCUCACGAACACGCCACAGCAUCCUCCAAGCGCCUCAUCCUGCGGUACCUGUUCUUGACCUGUGGGGGUGUGAGACAGCAAGAGUGAGCUCACAUAUGUUCAUCGCUCAACAAGUUGUGGGGGAUAAUGUGCAUGAACUCGCCAAAAGUGGGAGCUCACGUGAAGUGUAAGGCUUACCAAAGAGGAUGGUUAGAGCUGAGCAUUGCUUUUAAAGUUGGUCAAAAUUUUAUUAGCAAUUACUAAGUAUAAGUAAAUACCAACCCAAUUAAGUAGUAGAACAAAAGUAACAACAUCACCUGCGAUGCAAUGCAUAUGACAAAUUGAAUUUAGUUCCAUAAAUUAAUCAUGUGAGGGUCCGAGCUGCUCAUGACCGUGAGCACAGCUAGUAUACCAGUUUUACACUCUGCAGAGGUUGUGCAUCUUUACCCACAAGUCAUGUUACCCAUCUACCAAGGGAUCGCGACUUCCCAUACACCUCUACCGAGGAGGCGAGGCAGGGUAACACUAUGAGGCCUUUACAAAGUUCCACUAGCUUCAGAAAACCCGCUACAGUUUAUAGGAAGCUCCAAUGCAGGGUUCUUGCCUGACCGCCAUCGCAGCAAAAUCAACCAAGGACCUCCCUACACUGACCACUCCCCUACUGCCCUUGCCUCUUUCGGGUAAGGUAGUCCUCCACUAGCUUUCCUAAUUAAUCAGCCAAGGGCGUCCAUAAACCCUUGUGGUAGCACUGUUUUCCCGGGUGGUCGCUCCAUGUUCCAAUUAACAUAAUGAUCUUAUCAUGAACAGUGAUAAUAAACAGAUAAUAAAAGUAUAAUCGUGAACAAUGUAUCUUCAUACCCAAAACCACAUAAAGCACUAGCAAGUACUACCCAAAAAGUUCAGUGGUAAACAAGGUAUAAAGAUAGACAAACUAGGGUAACCUAUUGGGUCCCAUCAAAAUUAACCUAUGCAGAUCAUUAUGAUUAAUCAGAACAUGGCUGGGUAAAAAGAAGUGAUCAAGGGCACAACUUGCCUAGGACUUGAGAUUUUAGGUACCAACUUGCUCUUCAGAUGACACGUGUCCUCACUGCUAAACGUAGCAAUACAGACAAACAUGGUAUAGGCAAAAUUAACAUUACACCAAACAUAAUAUCAACUGCAUAAUAAUAAUCUACGCGUCGCUACGAGCUAGUGGGAACAAGAAUUACUAAAUUCGAAGCUACGGUUAUUGGGUUAUGAUUUUUUUAGGUCAUCAAGCUCCUAGAAUAGAUUAAUUCAAAUGAACAAUUUUAAUUCAAGUUUCAUGGUUAAAAAGUGGCACUAGAUGAUGAAAAAUAUUAAAACAAAAUUAUUGCAACUGGAAUGACUCAAUUUGGAGUUAAAAUGAAUUUUCUAUGAAUUAAAUAAGUUCUAGAAUUCUUUUUAUAUUGGAAAUUCAUUUUCUAAAUUCAUUUCUCCUAUUUUCUUAGUCCCGGGCUGCCACACAAUAAUAGAGAACCCAGGGUCUAAAUCAUAAACUUGCUUAAGACUCAGUUUUCCCCGCACAGGACGACGGGUUUAUUACGUUAAAUCCGAGGGGCUAUUUUGUAAACAAACGCGCGCGAAGGGGUAUCAACCUGUCAGAGCCCUCGGAUCCGCGACCAACGGCACAGAUUAAAUCUGGGCACAUUAUGAACGAAUUCGCACGCUCGCUUUCUAUCCGCCCGAUCUGGAAUCGACGGACGGGGUUCCAUCCAGGCGAAGGGGUAAACUAAAUCUAAUCUAAGACGUUCAUCAUCCAUCGGACGGCCCUAGACCAUCGCCUACCACCCAGCAGCAGCGGCGGGGCCAGGCUCCGCGUGACGGAGUUUGCGCCGAUGAGUUAGCCGCCGACCGCGAUGGGGUUCCCCGAGUUAUUACCAACAUGCCUACUCGAAGUACAGAACAAAGUGUAACACCCGGGUUUUAGGGGUCCAAAGCCCGGGCGUAAACAUAAUCACCAGGUGUGCUGGGACCAAGUCUCACACAUAUGAUGAAUCAUGGCACAGGAUCGAAUGUCACAUCUUUACUAUAUAACAGGAGUUCUAUACAAAAUAAUUAAAUAAUUACAUCAUAAGGAGAUAACGGUCCAGCAACCCAAAGUUGACUGGGAGACGACGGCCUAGAUCUCUCACGAACUCAUCGCAGCAUCCUCCAAGCGCCUCAUCCUGCGGUACCUGUUCUUGACCUGUGGGGGGGUGUGAGACAGCAAGAGUGAGCUCACAUACGUUCAUCGCUCAACAAGUUGUGGGGAAUAAUGUGCAUGAACUCGCCAAAGGUGGGAGCUCACGUGAAGUGUAAGGCUUACCAAAGAGGAUGGUUAGAGCUGAGCAUUGCUUUUAAAGUUGGUCAAAAUUUUAUUAGCAAUUACUAAGUAUAAGUAAAUACCAACCCAAUUAAAUAGUAGAACAGAAGUAACAACAUCACCUGCGAUGCAAUGCAUAUGACAAAUUGAAUUUAAGUUCCAUAAUUUAAUCAUGUGAGGGUCUGAGCUGCUCAUGACCGUGAGCACGGCUAGUAUACCAGUUUUACACUCUGCAGAGGUUGCGCAUCUUUACCCACAAGUCAUGUUACCCAUCUGCCAAGGGAUCGCGACUUCCCAUACACCUCUACCAAGGAGGCGAGGCAGGGUAACACUACGAGGCCUUUACAAAGUUCCACUAGCUUCAGAAAACCCGCUACAGUUUAUAGGAAGCUCCAAUGCAGGAAUCCCUUGCAGGACCGCCAUCGCAGCAAAAUCCUCCCGAGGGCCUCCCUACACUGACCACUCCCCUACUGCCCUUGUCCCUUUCGGGUAAGGUAGUCCUCCACUAGCUUUCCUAAUUAAUCAGCCAAGGGCGUCCCAUUAAACCCUUGUGGUAGCACUGUUUUCCCGGGUGGUCGCUCCAUGUUCCAAUUAACAUAAUGAUCUUAUCAUGAACAGUGAUAAUAAACAGAUAAUAAAAGUGUGAUCAUGAAUAAUGUAUCUUCAUACCCAAAACCACAUAAAGCACUAGCAAGUACUACCCAAAAAGUUCAGUGGUAAACAAGGUAUAAAGAUAAUCAAACUAGGGUAACCUAUUGGGUCCCAUCAAAAUUAACCUAUGCAGAUCAUUAUGAUUAAUUAGAACAUGAGUGGGUAAAAAAAAGUGAUCAAGGGCACAACUUGCCUGACACUUGAGAUUCCAGGUACCAACUUGCUCUUCAGAUGACACGUGUCCUCACCGCUAAACGUAGCAAUACAGACAUACAUGGUAUAAAUAAAAUUAACAUCACACCAAACAUAAGAACAAACGGUGCAAUAAUAAUCUACGCGUUGCUACGAGGUCGUGGAAAUAAGAACCACUAAGAUCGGAGUUACGAUUAAGGAGUUAUGAUUUUAUAGAAGAUAUGUGAUUAAAAUAUUAAACUAUAUUAUAAAUUGAUUAGUAUAAAUCAUAUGAGAGAAUAUAUUAUAAAUCAUUAACUGACUUUGAUCUAAGUUAUAAAUGGACCAUAGAUUAUAUUCUAGUAUAUUCUAAUGAUAGGGAGAUUAACAAGACUAACCAACAUAAGUUAAACAGAGAUCUAAUUAUCAAAGAAUGGGGCAUGAUAUAAUAAAUGCUACUAUUUCGUAGUAAAUAUUUAUACGAAACUAACGCAACUAAAACGGAUCAAAUCGGAGUUAUAACGGAAGAGUUAUGAAUUUCUAAAGGUUCUAUAUAUUUGAUAUGAGAUUGAUUAGGAGAUCAAUUUUAUUAUUGAUUUCAUGUAAAAACAGUGGUACUAUUUGAUAGAGAAUAAUAUUACAAAAUUAUAGGAACUGGAAUGGACCAAUUUGGAGUUCAUAUGCAUUUUCUAUGAAUUAAACUAGUUUCUGCAAUUAAAUUUGUACUAAAAACCAUUUUCUAAACUAUUUUCCUGGUUUUAUUAAUUAUCUGGACUGGGCGCACUAUUACAUAAAACAGCAGGGACCUCGGGGCAAUAAUCCUAAGACUCAGUGAACAACAACUGGAUGGCGGGUUUAUUUCCUAAUACAUGAAGGGCUCUUUUGCAAAUCUUGCGGCCGAAGGGGUAUGAUGUGAUCUGAGCCGUCAGAUCACCAAUCCACGACCCACAACAGAACGCGAACUGGUAUUCUAUUUCCGCCCUUGGAUCAGAAUCCAACCGCCCACGAUCGAUACACGGAUUGCAACGCAGGGCCGGAUCCAUCCGCCAGUUUCCAAUCGGACGAUCACGAUCCAAUGCCACGAAACGGUAUCCCGCCGCCGAUCCUAGCCAUUGGCUAUGCAUCCAACGACCCUGAUUCAAUAGGCAGCACUUAACCUAAUCUCAGCUGUACACUAGGAAAUCGACGGCGCCCGCCAACUCACUCCCAGCUCGACCCCGGGCGGCGGCGCACACGCCCGGUGCGGCGGUGGCCAUGGCUGGCCAAACCGGGAGCGCAUCGAGGAGUCCUAAUCCUAGCGCAACCUUGUGCGAAACGGAGAAGGGGAGACGGCGGGUAGGAAAAUGUUAGCCAUACCGCAGAUUAAGCUCCCGGGCGACUCGACCACGGCGCAAGGCGGAAGUAUUCGAAGACGGGACUCCGGUGAGGAAUUCGUCGCGCUCCGUUCACCAAUUCCGCACGUUGAGGCCCCGGUUAUGCUCGCCGCACCCAGACGAGUUGCCAAGACCCCGCGAUGACUCUGAAACGACGGCGGUCAAGCGAUUCAAUGGUGGCGGUGGUUUUUCUGGAUCUCCUCCGGAGCGGAGGCGAUGCGGCUCAGGUAUAUCGUCUUGCACCGAGUUGAGGGGGAGGACUUCGCGUAUAUACGCCGCACGGGAAUACCGAACCGGAUGGCAGGACGGUUGCGCACAAUGCGGCGGGGAGAUCGCGGCGGCAUUCUCGCGGUUCGGUUGAAGGAGAAGAGGAUAGGGGUGACAGCUGGGACCCACCCGUAGUGGCUCAUCACGCGACGAACGCGACUGACCACCUCGGUCCACACACCAGAGACCCAUCCGACGCGCGCGCGCGUGGAGGACACUGACAGAUGGACCCCAGGUGUCGGCGCCCACCUGACGACUUGGGCCGUGCGGGUGUGUUAGGGUAAAAUGGGCCGAAAGGGGGAAUCCGAGGCCCAGGCAGGGUUUUCCUUUUUUUCUUUUUCUUUUCUGUUUUUAUUUUCCUUUCAUUAUUCCCCUUUUUUUAUUUUUACUUUCUCUUUUCCUUUCUCUCUUAAUUUUCUUAAUUUCGAAUCCUCAUUUGAAUUUCAAACUUGAGGUGAAUUUGUACUUAGAUUAAUUAUUCACCUUGAAAAUACUAGUGUGGUAUUUGCUCAUUUAUGAUUUUAUUUUGCAUUUCAUGGUAUUUCUUUCUCCUUCACCAUUUAAAUCUCAAAUUCAAAUCUAGGGUUCAACCUAAAUCCUCUACUCAAUGUAAUAUAUUUAUUCAUGUUAUUUUGUUUUGAAUGCACAACAAAAAUCCAAUAUGAUGCAAUGAUUUAUUUGUGUCUUAGUAAGGAUUUACUCAUUUCUAAACAUGGUCAGUCACAUGUGAUGAUAAAUAAUGGUCACCAAACAUUGAGAUCAACACUAUUUUCAUGGUUUACAUAUUUAGGUAUUACACAAAGCGAACCAUGUGGGUGAGGUCAUACCCCACAGCGACGAGUCGGUGUUGCAGUCCACGGUGAGGCGCACCUCCGCCACCAAGGAGAAGCUCCGGCGAGCGAUGCACCGACGACUCCGCCGUCAAGCCCGCCCGGAGUGCAACCAUACCAUCCACGCGGCCCCGCGAAGGUCACUGGCAUGAUUCACGGGCCUCAUACGCCGUCACUGAAGAAGUCCCCCAAAGCGGCGGCCCUCCAUUCCUGCCGCCGAUUACAGCGACGCAUAGCUCCACAACGCCUACUCGCGAUAGAUGAGGGGGAGGAAGGAGAGUCGCGGGCUCGAUUUUAUAGCCCAGGUCAAGAACGGACUCAGUCAGGUUGGUCCCGAGGUUCUAGCGCGGAGUUGGUUGGCGACCGCGUGAUUGGCGCAGUCCGUUGUGAGCACCACGCGCGGAUAGGGAAGAAGGCACCUGACACAGGGGUCCCAGUGGGCAGCGGCAGCAAGGCUGACCUAGCCACGUGAACGCGGGAGCCACAUGGCGGCGACCACGAAAACAUUCGCGUACGCGCAGGAGAGAGCCAGGGGCUGACCCAGGUCUCGGCGCGAAACGGUGGGCGAGAGCGGGAGACGUAGAGUUGGGCCGGCCGGCGGCCCACGCAGGCGCGAGGGAGAUGGGUCACGGGGCGAGUGGGCCAAAAUGGUUUCCUAGCCCAAGCGGCGGCUCUCUCUUUUUUUUCUUUUUUUAUUUUGUUUUGAAUUUCUUUCUCCAUUUCCUUUUGUAUUUUCUUUCUUUUUUUUAAUUUCUAAAAUUUAAUUUGAGUUUAAUUUUAAUUGUGAACUCUUGCUCAUUUUAAAUUUACAAUCUGAAUAUACUAAUAUAGAAGGACCUAACUAUUUUUAUAUACAUAUUUCUUUAUUUUUACAUAACAUUUUCUUUCUCUUCUCUAAACUCCAACUUGCAAAUUAGGGUUGAAUCUCCAAAUUUGGAUUUUGAAUAUAUUUCUUUUUACAUUAUUUUUAUAUUGUCACAAAAUGCACACAAAAUAAAAAUCUCAGCAUGAUGCAAUGAUUUAGUGGCAUAUAUUUUAUAAUUAUCUGUUUAAAAUAUGGUGUUCACAUGUGAUGGCAUAAAAAGUUCAAACACCCAUACAGAUAAAGUGAACUUGUUUCUCCCUUUGAUAUUAGCUCUUGCAAAUUACAAAUUGGGUAUUACAACGCCAACCGAGAGCACAGAUACACCACCGUCCAGCCUCUUGCCACGGAGGGUACACGCUACUCUCGCCAUCUCUCCACUCCCAUUGUGUGUUAUCUUAUUCUGGUAUUAGUCUGCCCGAGGCAAAUCUUACCCAUGAUGAGGCAUGUGACCAGUUAAAGGGUCCUCGAUCAGCAAGCCUACAUCGACAAGGUCCUUAAUCGACUCAGACGGAGACACUACACCGAGACUCUCUUCUCGUGCAAGUCACCCACCCAUUCUCAGCUUUAUCAUUUCAAACCCAAAGUUUGGGACCUGGUAGAGGUACAUCUUUUCCGAUGUUGAACCCAUCAUGGCCAUGAUGGAUCCACCAUCAAAUUUUGUUUUUGAAAACAUCCCACCCACUUUGAAGCAUCAUCUUUUGGAAAACAAAACAUCUUGUUUUCUAGAGCAAGGCUAAGCAUAAGAAAAACCUUUUGGUAAAUCAGGGAUUAAGGAGAAGUAAUCAAAUCCAAGGAAGGAAAUGCAGCAACUGGUUUAGUACACAACUCCUAUCACCUAAUGCAUCAAGUAAGUGAGAAAGAUUUCAAAAUAACAAGGGGGUGGCAAAUGCAUCGGGGCUUGCCUUAUGUGAUAGGUGAAUCAGGCUCUGUUCCGCAGAUAUCAAAGUAAAAGCAGUUUCCUGCCUGAGGUUCUUCAGGUGGUGGUGGUGAAGUCCUCGCUUCUUCAACUUCUAUUUCCUCCUCGUUUUCUAGAUAUAACCAUAUAUAGUCAUGUAAUGCUCAUGAAAAUGCUAAGAUAAUAAAAGUUUAUUAUCUAAUGUCUUGAAUAUAACUUUCCUUCACGGAUCUCCGAGAAAUUAGGGUUUUCGGAGUCUAUAGUGAAGUUCAAAGGGCAGGGGCUAGGGUUUUGGGUCUAACUAUCAAACAUGGUCCAAAUCAUACCAAACUUUACCCAAGGCUUCUAAAUAUUACUUAAAGCUUGUCUAAAAAGUUUGGUGAAUUUUGGGAUUAUAAAUUACUCUCUAAGAUUCUAGAAGUAUGAAUUUUGGCUAUUUUAAAUGCCCCAAAAUUCCCUAUUCGAACUAAAAAUCAGGAAACUACUUUUAUUAAAUACUAUAAGAAAUUAGAAGCCUAGGAAAAUUGGUCUGGUAUUUUUAGCAUUUUUCUACAUUUUUUUAUGGAUUUCUAAAGCUUCUCAGAAAAAGAAAAAGAAAAUCUUUCAACAGUGUUGGGCCAAAACUGACCCAAACGGCCCAACCCGAACAGAAAACGGGGACGCGCCCGUGUUGGCGGAUUUGCACAGAGGCCCCCGAUGGCUUGGAUAACUCGUUAAGAACCCCUAGCCACUAUUCAUCGUCUCACUGACAAUUACACAGAGGUCCCCCGACUUCUGUUUCUUUACAGUCCGAAGUCCACGACGGCGAACAGCGAGGGGCCGAGCUCCGGUGAGCCUAUAUCAGCCGAUUUACUCGAUGACCGGCGUUCUACUUUGGCAGAGACCAAAUUCAAGCCCUAACAAGAGUUUACCCUCAACUAAUUUCACUAAUGGCGCUCUAACCUGUUCUGUCCACGGUGACCGUAUGAUCAACGGACAUUCUAAUGUGUUCCCGGUGAUCUAAGGUAGCUUAGCUCAAUCGAGUUGGUUGAGGAGUAUCAGAGGCACACAAGAACACUAAAACGAAAGGGCAGAGGGUAUGAGCGGACCUGAGACGAGCUGACCACGGUGAGGUCACACCGCUCGGUGUUCUUGAGUGAUUUGGGGGAAAUCCCCAAUUGGGGAGUUCUAGUGGAUGAUUCGAGGCACGGGUUGCUCUACUGGGUGCACAAUUACUUAGUGGAGCAGGCGGGGUCGGCAAUUUAUAGGCUCCCACAGCGGUGGCGUCCAAUUUCACGAAGUUGCGCUGGCGGUCGGAGGGGGAGAAGGUUACUGGCGCGGUGAUUCGUGGCCUAUUACCAUGGCAAGCUCCUCGGCGAUCACCGGGCAUGCAUGAUGUGAUUCACUGCGACGUGGUCAAGCGUUUUAGCAUGUGGCGCAUGGCGGUAAUCGGCCAAUGGCGGCGAGGUCUAUCCGACCGAUCGACGAGCAAGUGGGUACGGUGAGCUUAGCUGUGACCGAGCCCGAGUCGAUCCAGGCGCCAAGUUCUUUACUCGCCCAUGGUUAUCCGCAAGUCACGGCACACGAAUCACAGCGGCCGGCGUGAAUCGCGGUGCGACGGUCACCAGCGGCGAAGGGGGAUGAAUUCGUGAUCUGUUUUAGUUACUGUACCAUGGGAUUGUUCUUCAGUCGGCCUGACAGCCCAACUUGCAAGGCCUGGAUCUUAAUUUUCCAUGUAGCGACUUACUAAUCCAUCUUUAAGAAAGGUGUUGCUCUACUAUCCAGCUUCAAUCUUACUAUAGCAGUCGCUCCCAAAUUCUUACUAGAUCAUGCUCAAAUCCCAGCUCAAAGAUGGCUCAAUCACACUGUCAGUCUGAAUUCAGACUUAAGGCAGUCUGACAGCCCAUCUUUGGGCCUAAUAAUCUCAAAACAUUUCAUGGUACCAAGGCAUAAUUCCUAUAGAAAAGUUGUUCUCCUUUUAUAGCUCUACAAAUUUGAUGUGUUGACCUAGGGCAAAAUCUUCAUAAUUUGGAAGAUAUAUGGCUUCAAAGUUAACCCAAUUCUACUGAAUUUCAGACUUAACUCAAUAGAGUUCAAGUGGGGCUUUUUGCAAAUAAGUUCAAAUCUCAGGGUUUAAGUUGCAAAUCCACAUACAUGUGAAUCAUAUGAGUUAAGGUAUCCUAAUUUUUUGGUUUUUGCACUUAAGUCCAAAAUGUGCACACUUUUACAAACAACCCCCUAGGGUUUUUCAGGGGUCUAUUUAGGGUUUCUGGUACUUCUAGGGUUUGGAUGCCACUUAAGUCUAUUCAUGGUGACAUUUUAUGAUCAUUUCAACUAAGUUUUGAAGUUUUCUCUUAGUUAAGCUUUGUUUAUUCUUCUGAGCCCAGUUUAGGGUUAAGUACUGUAUCCUAGGGUUUCGCCCAUGAAAUGUCACAUCAAUACAACUUUGUUUGAAAUUUUUGCCUAGUGAAUGCAUUCUAGGUGUGACAAACACAUGAUAUGCCAAUGCUUAUGAUGUCAUGCUCAAGUUUUAGUGGCAGUAACACCAAGGGUGUUACAUUCUUGGUGUUGGUACAGUCAUUCUGAAGUUUAUUUCAGCAAAGACUGUACUAUUGAAGAACGUGCAACAUGUCCCCCCAUCAAAAAGAAUCUUGUUAGUGGCUCAUUGCUAUAUCGACAUGGCUAUAAACUUGUGUUCGAGUCUAAUAAAUGUAUACUAUCAAAGUAUGAGAUAUUUAUUAGAAAAGGCUAUGACAGUGGAGGCUUGUUCCACUUAUCUUUGCAUGAUGUGUGUAAUAAGUUUGUGAACAAUGUGAUUUUGAACGAGUCGUAUAUUUGACAUUCACGACCUUGUCACAUCAAUUUUGGUUGUGGGUCGCGGUUAGCAAAUUUAAAUUUAAUCCCGAAAUUUGAUUUAGUCAAAGGUUCUAAGUGUCAGGUGUGCGUGCAAUCUAAGCAACCUCGCAAGCCUCAUAAGGCUGCGGAGGCGAGGAACUUGGCACCACUAGACUUAAUACAUUCUAGUUUAUGUGAGAUGGACGGAAAAUUGACUAAAGGAGGCAAACGAAAUUUUAUUACUUUUACCGAUGAUUCUACUAGAUUUUGGUAUGUGUAUCUCUUAAAAUCAAAAGACGAAGCUUUGCGUUAUUUUAAGACCUACAAAGCUGAAGUUGAAAAUCAACUUGAGAGGAAAAUUAAACGGUUAAGGUCUAAUCAAAAGACGAAGCCAACGGCGGCGAGGUCUAUCCGACCGAUGAUUCUAUUAGAUGGUAUUAUUCAUGAGAGGACACCGCCAUACUAUUAUAAACUCUGGAGUGCCGGACAUGUUGGUUGAUACUAUUAUGGAGUCUAGAGAUGCUACGUUUUUUUAGGAUGAAUUUCCUAUGAAAGCUACACAUGAUACGUCUAAUGAUGAACCAACGAUACCCCAUGAGCAUUUUAUUCUGGUAGAACACACUGAGGAAUUCCAUAUACAUAAUCAUGUGGAAGAUGACAAUGUAUCAACUCGAAAGAGUAAGAGACCAAGGAUAGCAAAGUCCUUUGGUGAUGAUUACAUUGUAUAUCUUGUGGAUUACACACCAAGUACCAUUGAAGAGGCAUAUUCCUCUCCUGAUGCUGACUUUUGGAAGGAAGCAAUAAGGAGUGAGAUGGAUUCUAUUAUGUCUAAUGCAACUUGGGAGGACAUUGAGCGUCCUUAUGGGUGUAAGCCCAUUGGGAGUAAAUGGGUGUUCAAGAAAAAGCUUAGGCCUGAUGGUACUAUUGAAAGGUAUAAGGCGAGGCUUGUAAUUAAAGGCUAUUCACAGAAGGAAGAUGAGGAUUUCUUUGAUACUUGUUCACAUGUGGCUCGAUUGACAACAAUUCAUGUGCUACUUUCUCUGGCUGCCUCUCAUGGUCUUCUCGUCCAUCAAAUGGAUAUUAAGACAACAUUCCUAAAUGGAGAGUAGAUGAGGAAAUCUACAUGGAGCAGCCAACUGUGUUUGUAGCAAACGGUCAAGAAGGCAUGGUGUGUAAGUUAUUGAAAUCUUUAUAUGGCCUAAAACAAGCACCUAAGCAAUGACAAGAAAAGUUCAAUAGAAUGUUGACAUUUGCCGGCUUGUUGUGGACGAAACAGACAAAUGUGUAUAUUAUCGGUAUGGUGGAGGCGAGAGAGUAAUUUUAUGCAUGUAUGUUGAUGACAUUCUAAUCUUGGGGACAUGUCUUAAUGUGAUUAAAGAGACAAAAGACUUUCUGUUUAAUAAUUUUGAAAUGAAAGAUUUGGGAAAAGCUGAUAUUAUUCUUAACAUUAAGCUACUGAGAGAAGGCAAUGGUGGGAUCACACUGGUGCAAUCCCAUUAUGUGGAAAAUGUUUUGAGUCGCUUUGGUUAUAGCAAAUGUGAACCUGCUCCAAUACCUUAUGAUCCUAGUAAGCUUUUUAAGAAAAAUCGAAGGAUAUCUAGAGACCAAUUGAGAUAUUCCCAAAUAAUUGGUUCACUCAUGUACUUAGCUAGCGCUACGAGGCCUGACAUCUCGUUUGUUGUGAGCAAACUUAGCCGGUUUGUUUCAAAUCUGGGAGAUGAUCACUAGCGUGCUCUUGAGAGAGUUCUGCGCUAUCUAAAAUGUACUAAGAGUUUAGGCAUCCACUAUAUCGGGUACCCAACUGUACUGGAGGGUUAUUGAGAUGCUAAUUGGAUAUCUGAUGCUGAUGAGAUAUAUGCCACAAGUGGAUAUGUGUUUUCACUUGGAGGUGGUGCUUUUUCAUGGAAGUCUUACAAGAAGAACAUUUUAACAAGGUCAACUAUGGAAGCAGAACUCACAGCAUUAUAUACUGCUUCAGUUGAGGCUGAGUGGCUUUGAAGAACUCCUUAUGAAUCUACUGGUGGUUGAAAAACAUGUGCCGGAUAUUUCUAUGAACUGUGAUAAUCAGACUGUGAUAAUCAAGAUAAAUAGUUCUAAGAAUAAUAUGAAGUCGACAAGGCACAUAAAGAGGCAUUUAAAAUUGUUGGGUCUAUGCUUCGUCGCCGAAGGUCUUAUAGAAAGAAGCGAUCCUCGGAUGAAGCUGUUUGUACAAGAUAGCCGAAGGUUCCUCUUCGUAAAGCUUCGGCAUUACAAACCGACUUAAAGAUAGAAUGACUUUUUAGUCCAUAAAGGUCUGAGUCAAUGUUGUAAGUUUUUAUAAGGGGCAUACUUGUAAUUCCUCACAGGCUGCGUCCUGUGCCUAUAAAUAGUGAACAGUAUUCUGUUACUGUUCACGCAUUCUGACAUUUGCAAUCGCAUCUUUCGGAAUACAACCUUUGUCAAGGCAUAGGUAUCAUUGUAUUUAAUGAUUUCAUAUAUUAAUGAAUAUGAUAUGAUACAUCAGUGAUUCAUUCAUCCAUUUUAUACCUUUUAUUUUACAUUACUUUAUAAUAUUUAUUGAAAAUUUAUUACGAAGGUUCAACUUCGUAACAAUACUCUCAUCAACCUUCGUCCAAGACCUAUUAUCCUCAAAAGGAAUAAUGCUUCUUGGACGAAGGACAGUUUCAUUUAACAUUUUAUGUUGCCUUGUUCUUAAUUCAUAGCAUUUGAGAACAAGUCUCCAACAUUGGCGCCCACCUCCGGUGAACUCACUUCCACUUUUUCGAGCUGAUGGCUUCGUUCAACGACCAAGCUGGAGCUGCUUCGGACUCGAAGCUGGUGCUCCCGAUCACAGGUGGCUCGUCCUCAGAGCCAGCUAACAAGAAGCAGAAGAAAGAAGCACAGAGAAGGGUACAGCAUGUUGGGGUGCAAGGACCCUUCAUCAAGUCGAGAUGGUCUCACAUUCCUAUUACCUUCUCCCAAGAGGACCUUCAGCUCAAAGAUUACCCACACAACGAUGCCAUGGUUAUCUCUUGUGUUAUCAAAGGAUUUAUGGUCCACAAUGUCUUGGUUGACACAGGCAGUGCAGCUGAUAUCAUUUUUGCUAAGGCCUUCAGACAGAUGCAAGAGCCAGAAGAUAAGAUUCAUGAUGCUACACAUCCUCUUUGUGGCUUCGGAGGAAGACAGAUCGUAGCAUUGGGCAAGAUCACCAUGUCAGUGACCUUCGGGUUCAUCAACAACACUAGAACUGAGCAAGUUGUGUUUGAUAUUGUUGACAUGGAAUACCCUUACAAUGCAAUUAUUGGUCGUGGUACUCUUAAUGCCUUCGAAGCAAUCCUUCAUCCUGCCUAUCUUUGCAUGAAGAUACCUUCGGAUCAGGGACCCAUUGCUAUCCAUGGAAGUCAGGAAGCUGCAAGAAGGGCCGAAGGCAAUUGGACUGACUCAAAAGCAAUCCAUAACAUAGAUGGAGCUGAAGCUUGUGAACAGUACAAAUUCAGAAGGGAGAAAGCAGCUUCAGCAGAUCAGCCGAAGCCUAUGCUCUUAUGUGAGGACAUAGCAGAGCAGAAGGUGCUGCUAGGCUCUCAGUUAUCCGAAGAGCAGGAGAAAACCUUGAUAAGGUUUUUGUUCAAUAACAAGGAUGUUUUUGCAUACUCGCUCAAUGUCGAUCCAUCCUUCAGACCCAGAAAGCAAAGGCUUCGGAAAAUGUCAGAUGAUAAGGCCGAAGGUGCUCGCAACGAAGUCAAAAGACUCCUCAGUGCAGGAGUUAUUAGAGAAGUAAAGUACCCAGAAUGGCUGGCUAACACUGUUAUGGUAAAAAAGGCCAAUGGCAAGUGGCGAAUGUGCAUCGAUUUUACAGAUCUUAACAAGGCCUGUCCGAAGGAUGAAUUCCCAUUACCAAGGAUAGAUUCUUUAGUUGAUGCAGCAGCUUCGUCAGAGCUCAUGAGUCUGUUAGACUGCUAUUCAGGCUAUCACCAAAUUUGGAUGAAAAAGGAAGAUGAGCCGAAGACUAGCUUCAUCACCCCAAGUGGCACAUAUUGUUAUCUUCGGAUGCCUGAGGGGCUCAAAAACGCUGGAGGAAGUUUCAGCCGAAUGACUGCGAAGGUUCUUCAAUCUCAAAUAGGCAGAAAUGUGCUAACUUAUGUUGAUGACAUCAUUGUCAAAAGCACGAAGCAGGAGAAUCAUAUUGCUGAUCUGCAGGAGACCUUCGCCAGUUUCAGGCAAGCUGGCUUAAAGUUAAAUCCAGAAAAAUGUGUCUUCGGAGUGAAGAAGGGGAAAUUUCUUGGAUGCUUGGUUUCAACAAAGGGAAUUGAAGCCAAUCCAAGUAAAAUUGAAGCUAUACUUCGGAUGGAGCCACCAACUACAAAGAAGGGGGCUCAAAGAUUGACAGGAAGAUUGGCAUCUCUCAAUAGAUUCAUAUCCAGAUCAGCAGAGAGAAAUUUACCAUUCUUCGAAGUGCUGAAGUCGGCCGAAGUCUUUCAAUGGGGACCAAUCCAGCAGAGGGCUUUCGAAGAACUGAAACAGUAUUUGAUAGAUCUAACAACACUGACUCCACCAAUGCCAGGGGCUCCUUUAUUAUUAUAUGUGGCAGCUUCGCACUCAGCGGUAAGUGCGGCGCUUGUCCAAGAGAAGCUUGAUGGUCAAGUCAAAAGGCAGGCCCCAAUAUAUUUUGUUUCCGAGGUCCUUAGUUUAUCAAAGAAAAAUUAUACAGAGUUGGAGAAGAUACUGUAUGCUGUCUUGAUGGCCUCCAGGAAGCUUCGGCACUAUUUCCAAGCUUACAACAUAAUUGUUCCUUCAUCACAACCUCUGAAGGAUAUUAUGAGGAACCGAGAAGCUACUGGAAGGAUUGGAAAAUGGGCUGCAGAGCUCAAUGAAUUUUGUAUUGAAUAUGUUCAUAGAUCUUCGAUUCAGUCACAGGCACUGGCAGACUUUAUUGCUGAUUGGACGCCAGGGGCUCAGGAGGAGGAAACGAAUAAAGACAACGAAGCCUGGACAGUGUUUUGUGAUGGAUCUUGGGGAACCUUCGGAGCAGGAGCGGCUGCUGUGUUGGUUUCACCUUCCAAAGUCAAAACUUGUUAUGCGGCAAAGCUUGAUUUUAAUUGCACAAACAACAUUGCUGAGUACGAAGCAUUGAUUCUAGGUCUUCGGAAGUUAAAAGCAAUGGGAAUCAGAAGAGCCAUACUUAAAACUGAUUCCCAGGUUGUUUCGGGUCAUAUUGACAAAAGUUGCAAGGCUAAGGAUCCGAAGCUUGAAAAAUAUCUGGAUAUGGUUCGAAGAGUUGAAGCUUCCUUCGAAGGGUUUUCUGUCAAAAAUAUCCCUCGAGGACAAAAUGAGCAUGCUGAUUUGCUAGCUAAGUCAGCAGCACAGGGGCUGCCUUUACCUUCGGAUGUAUUUUUCGAAACAAUAAAAGCACCUUCGGUGGAACUUCUUGAAAGAGCAGUUCUUAAUAUAUCUCCUGUUUUUAGCGAAGAUUGGAGAACCGAGAUCAUUUCUUACCUUCAGGGUAAAUUUCUUUCAGAUGACGAAGCUUAUAACAAGAGGAUAGAAGCAAGAGCUCGUCCAUAUGUCAUGAUAGAAGGGGAGUUGUAUAAACAUGGAGUUUGCGCUCCGCUGCUCAAAUGCUUAUCCAGAACCGAAGGUAUAGAGUUAAUGAAAGAAAUACAUGCAGGCCUGUGUGGAUCUCACAUCGGAUCCAGACCGUUACUAGGAAAAAUUUUCCGUCAAGGGUUUUAUUGGCCGAAGGCAGCUUCGGAUGCAGCAGAAUUGGUUCAAAAGUGCGAAGGUUGUCAGAAAUGUGCAAGAGAUCAAAAACAACCUUCGUCCUUAACACAGCUCAUACAACCCACUUGGCCAUUGCAAAGGUGGGGCCUUGACUUGUUAGGUCCGUUACCACCGGCCCAAGGGAACCUGAGAUAUGUUGUGGUAGCUGUUGAAUAUUUUUCUAAAUGGAUCGAGGCGAAGCCUUUAGCCACAAUAACUUCGGCUACUGUCCAAAAGUUUUUCUGGCAGAAUAUUGUUUGUCGUUUCGGGGUGCCAAAGGCUAUUACUGUGGACAAUGGGACACAGUUUGACUCCGAAGCUUUCAGGAAUUUCUGUGACCAAAUUGGUACGAAGAUCCAUUUUGCAUCAGUCAGGCACCCGGAGUCAAAUGGACUCGUUGAAAGAGCCAAUGGCAUUAUAAUGACAGGAAUAAUGAAGCUAAUCUUCAAUCAACCUAGAGGAAAAUGGCCAGAUCAGCUAACCAAAGUGGUGUGGAGCCACAACACGACAACAUCAAGGUCUACAGGCUUCACUCCAUUUAAGUUGUUAUUCGGUGACGAAGCAAUAACUCCAGAAGAAGCUAAAGCCGGAUCAAUAAGGAUAAUAGCUUCGGCAGAAUCAGAUUCCGAAGCUGCUGAUUCUAUAGAAAAAGAUGCUUUAGAAGGGAUCAGACUGCAGGCCGUGGAGAAUAUUAAUAAAUAUCAAGCUGAAACAGUCAAAUGGCGGGAUAGAAAGGUUCGGCUAAAAAAUAUUGAGCCAGGGCACUUGGUGCUUCGGAGGGUGGCCAACCCGGAAACAGUGGGCAAAUUGCAGUUGAAAUGGGACGGGCCUUUCUUAGUAGUAUCUUCGUCAAGGCCCGGUUCAUACAGAUUGAAAGAUAUGGACGGCAAUGACAUUCCUAGAUCUUGGAAUGCGGAUGAGCUUCGGCGAUAUUAUGUAUAAUUCGAUGUAAUUUUUCAUAUUUUUUAUUUUUUCCUUUCAUGGCACCCUUUUCCUUUCUCAAGGGGGAGAAAGGUUUUUAAUGGGGCCAGCAUAUGUAAUUUCCUUUUUUAGUCUUAUAAGAGCAAAAUCCCCAAAGAAUGUAAAUGUAAAAGCUGAGAGUGCACCAUCGAGUGCCCAAAAAGUAAAAACGAAGAAGCUCCAAAGACGUUCCUAAGGGAAUGCAGAGCUUACAGCGAAAAGUCAACGCUGAUUCCGCCAAAAGUAAAGGCGAAGAAGCUCCAAAGACGUUCCUAAGGGAAUGCAGAGCUUACAGCGAAAAGUCAACGCUGAUUCCGCCAAAAGUAAAGGCGAAGAAGCUCCAAAGUCGUUCCUAAGGGAAUGCAGAGCUGAGGUGUGAUUGUUUUCAAGAAAAUAAUGGCUAUGAAUGUGACUUCGAUACGUGUUUGGCCAUUCAUUUGCACGUCACAUUACAUCAUAGCAUUUGCAUUCAUAAACAUUCAUCUAGGCAUAUGUAGGAUAAUCAUCUUCAUCGCAUAAAAUGAUUGCUUUGGCAAGAAGUGAAAAAAAAAGAAAGGGAAAAAAGAGCUUCGUGCACAAAGAAGAAGGGAAAAUGUUGUUUUCUAUGCUUCGUUGCGUACGAAAAGAAGGGAAGGUGUUUUUUCGCCUUCGGCUCAAAAAAGGAAAUUUCGUCCACAUCAAAGCAUUUCUCACACAACAGUGAAAGGUUAAGGAUAUAUUACAAGGUAUGAACAGCAUACAUUAAAAACAAGUUUUGUUUACAUUCACAAAAGUUAUCUCAAAAGUUUUUCAAGUACUGUCUGCAGUCUACUAUCUAAAUCUCCAAAGAGCUUCGGCUUCGGCAUUAUUUUUGAUCAUCAGCUUCGGCUUCGUCAUCCUACAUGAAUAAGGUCGUUGGAAGUCAAAAUUAAGUUUACAAAAAAGGUAAGCACAAGGUAUGAAUUCUUACUGGAGUAAGGUGGCUUCGAGCUUCGUCUCCAGCUUUCUCUCGACCACCUUUUGUCCAUAUCAUUUUUACAAAUCGAUUCGAGAUGCUUCGGGCGAGAUCAGGGAUGUCAUCCAGGAUUGAUGGUGACAAAGUGAAAUUUGGCCUGUUGACAAUUUUCCCAUGAUCACAGCCAGCCUUCAUGAAGGCUGCAGCAGUCCCUCGAGAAGCCACCCAGGCACAGAAGUCGCCAUGCCCAGCUAUGACUUCGUCGAGCUCGUCAAUCUCCCCCUCAAUAUGUUCGAAGGUUUUUUGUAGAUCUUCAGCUGAAGGGGUAAAUUUUUCGCUGCUGGCUCCAACUGAGUGAAAAAUCUUCCUUAGUUGUUGAAUACACUUGUUGCUGAAUUCAAGGCAUUUUUCUUGAAGAUUUGUUAGUAGUUUUCUCAAAUCCGAGUUUUGCUGAGCUUCAGCUUCAAGCUUUGCAUUGAGAUCUUGUUUUUCUUGUUCGAACUGCUCAGACUGGCGGAGAAGCUUCGUGUUUAGUUCUGAUAUUUUUGCUUCAGCUUCCGCCAGUAAACCUUCGGCUGCCUGGAGCUCAAAGUUCUUUUUCUCAAAAGCAUCUGACUGCUCCUUUAUUUUGUUUUCCAAAUUUCCAAUUAUAACUUCAUGCUUUUUAUCUUCAAGAUCUUGUUGCAUUUGCAAGGCUUUGCUCAAUAGCAUACUCUACAUAAGCACAACCUUCGUCAGACAUGUUUUUAUUAGAAGCAAUAAAAGUUAAGGGACAAGUCAUUCACCUUGAAGUUGGAGAAAAAUAAACUACCAACGACAUGUUGUCGUCGGUAGCGGCUGAUGUCUGUUUCCAGCUUUGGGAAUCCAAUACUCCUGGACAGAGUGCUGAUGACUUUGGCCCCUGUUUGGUCCCGAAUACACUCUAAUUUCUCAUCAUCAACGCCUCCAAAGAGGAGUGCCCCAGGUUUGUAUCCACAGGAUUGGGCAUACUCUUUAAGCUCUUCUAUUUCAGCUUUUGUUAGAUGUUCUCCAACUAAGUUUUUGAACGCAAAGACUUCGUUUUCCGAAGCUUCAUCAGCAAUUUCUUUUCCUUUCUUUGACGCUGCGGUCACAGUUUCUUCGGCAGCAGUGGCAGCUUCCUCUGCAGCCAUGUCUAGCAGCAUUUGGUCAAUAUGUUCAAUUGUGCUCUCUAAAUUCAAAUCUUCAGCUGGGGUAACUUCGGCGGCUGCGGCCUCCGAAGGUGCAAUUUCAAUAUCUGCCCCCUCUGCUGCUGUUUGUGUUUUUUGGGCCGAAGCUCUUGGCGGCGUUUUGUCAAUUACCUCCGUCACGGUAAUGAUUCUUUGUUUCUUUGCCUUGAUUGUUUUCCUCGAUUUCUCGGGCUCUUUGUCCUUCUGAAAAAACUUUGUCAGUUCAGGACCCAGUGGACUUAGCUUCGCAGGUAAGGAUUCAGUCAUUACCUUCAGAAUUUCCUCAACAACAGCAGCAAAAGGUGAUGCAGGGGUUUCUUCUGCUUCGGAUACUUGUUGCUUCGGAGAAGAAGUUUUCUUUUUCUUUGGAAUUUUCUUCUUUAUUGGCUCUUUUUCACCUUCAUCUAAGGCUUCAGUUACCCUUUUCCUUUUUUGGCCCCUGGCACCUUUGUUCAGAUCUUCGUAGUCUGGGUAUUCGAAACCUAAGGCGUCCAACACUCGAUUCAGCCUUCGUUUCGGACGGGUGCCGAAGGCUGCGGUCAUCAAUUGAUCUUCCUUUUUUGAAUAAUUGCCAAGUAUCUCGUUGCACAUCACUUCAAUUGUAUCCAGCCACUCUUGGCAGGGAGUUUUAAAGUAUUUUUUAAAUUUGAAGUAGUAAGGCAAACGUACAAGUUCACCUUUCUUCUUCUCUCCCGUCAGCUUCGGCAUUUCCCACUCCUUUACACUAGGAAAAACCUUGAAGGCCAAGAAUUCCUGGACCAGGUCCCUUGUACUGAUAUUCUCUGCAAUUAUUUUGAAUUCAUACAUUGCUUUUUGAGUUGGACCCUCUGGUAACAUGUGGCACUGGGGGCGAGUUUCUCCGAAGGUCAGUUCCAGUGGACUUUGCACAAGCUUUUCUUUAUCAUCAUCAACCUUAACAUAGAACCAUUCUGAUUUCCACCCUGCUGCCCAUUUGCUUCGGUAGCUGAUCACAGGAUACUUCGUAGUUUUCCGGUAAGCAAAAUUAUAACAACCAAAAUUCUCGUGUAAUCCAUCCUUUCUAGCCUUUGUCUGAUAGUGCAGUUCGUGAACUCGGCAAAAGCUGUCAGCAAACGGUUCCACCGCCUGGCUUCGGAGUGCCCAGAUAUAAACAUUGAGCCUAACGAUAGCGUUAGGGGUUAGCUGGUGAAAAUAAAUUCCGAAGUUCUUCAGUAUCUCUGCAAUAAUCCCAUGAAGAGGGAAUCUUAGCCCAGCCUUUAGGAAGCUUUUAAAAAUAACAAUUUCAUCUUUCUCCGGCUUUGGGGUAGUCUCUUCUCCCCCGAAGCGUAAUAGCUUCUUUUGAUUCUCAGUAAAAUAGCCUGACUUUACCAUCUUGGACAAGUCAGCCUUCGAAACAGUAGAUUUCCCGAAGUCCAAAUGGCUGGGUUUGCUUGGUGUGGCAAGGUGAUAAUCAUCUUCAGGGUCAGUUUCCUCAGCAUCUUCUCCUUCUGCUUCAGCGAUUGCUUUUUCUGCAUCAUCAAUAGGAAUCUUUUCCGAAGUCACUAGCCCGGAUCGUUGCAUGGCUUCGGAGAUAGGGACAGUCUCCGAAGCUUCCGUUUCAUCCCCCUCACGUUCAACCCUGGCGGUGGAGCGGACUCUGGCCAUUUAACUAUGAACUUGUGAAACUUUAAUACUUUUUUCCUCCGAAGCAGGUUUCAAGAUGGAGCUUCGUUUGAUUUCGACAGACAAGCUUCGGCGGUGGUUAAAAAUUUUGGCAGCAAAACAGUGCAAAUAGCAGUAAAUGCUGUGGUAACUUCACACCUACUCGUCUGUUUAUAUAGUGCCGCAGGUAAGAAGGCGAAGCGCCAGAAGUUUUACACCAGGCGGACACCCGCUCGCACUCGCUGUACGGUGGACCGCAGAGACCGAACAGUAAUUCUGCACGGUGGAGCCGCUACGCGCAGGGAAAUUAAAUCGUUUCUCGACAACGAGCUCAGGGAAGGUGUUUUUGAAGACCUUCGGCGCUCCGAAGCUUAAGAAACUUUUUUCACGGAUCAAGCUCGUUACGAAAAACGAUCUAGCACCGCGAAAGGGGCUACUGUUGGGUCUAUGCUUCGUCGCCGAAGGUCUUAUAGAAAGAAGCGAUCCUCGGAUGAAGCUGUUUGUACAAGAUAGCCGAAGGUUCCUCUUCGUAAAGCUUCGGCAUUACAAACCGACUUAAAGAUAGAAUGACUUUUUAGUCCAUAAAGGUCUGAGUCAAUGUUGUAAGUUUUUAUAAGGGGCAUACUUGUAAUUCCUCACAGGCUGCGUCCUGUGCCUAUAAAUAGUGAACAGUAUUCUGUUACUGUUCACGCAUUCUGACAUUUGCAAUCGCAUCUUUCGGAAUACAACCUUUGUCAAGGCAUAGGUAUCAUUGUAUUUAAUGAUUUCAUAUAUUAAUGAAUAUGAUAUGAUACAUCAGUGAUUCAUUCAUCCAUUUUAUACCUUUUAUUUUACAUUACUUUAUAAUAUUUAUUGAAAAUUUAUUACGAAGGUUCAACUUCGUAACAAUACUCUCAUCAACCUUCGUCCAAGACCUAUUAUCCUCAAAAGGAAUAAUGCUUCUUGGACGAAGGACAGUUUCAUUUAACAUUUUAUGUUGCCUUGUUCUUAAUUCAUAGCAUUUGAGAACAAGUCUCCAACAAAAAUCUGUCAGGAAAUUGAGAAACUCUGAAGUAAUAGCAUUGGACUAUGUCCAUACGUCUAAAAAUCUGGCAGAUCAAUUUACUAAGGGGCUAUCACGUAGUGUGAUAGAUAGUGCAUCGAGUGAGAUGGGCCUGAGACCCACCUAAAGUUUAUCAUAGUGGUAACAUGUUCUAUGUGAUUGGAGAUCCGUGAAUUAGAAUUGUGAAACAAGCCAGUGAUAGACUGAGAGGAAAGACCCUUAAUAAGGUUCAUUUCAGGUGCACAUCUUUCUUUAUUGUAAGGUAGGUUGGUGCUUACACCUUAAUAUGUUCCAAGUGGCUUUGUGAAGCAAAGAUGUUUCCUACAGAACAUCUUUAGAGGAACAUACCUAUAUGGGUUAACUGCUAGUCACAGUUUAUGAGAUCUGGGUGAUCUCUAGAUACCCUUGAAAGGCUAUGGAGUUUGACUUAUAUGCUCUAACCAGAGGGGAUGCGCUCGGCAAUCUAGUACUGUUAAAGAGUCUAGACGAAACUUAUUUCACGCAAAACUGCCAAUUCAAGGCCUAGUUCAUUGUGCAGUUAUGGUCAAGUGUAGUCUAGAUUCUAGGUGGAUGUUCAACUUAACAGUCUCCAUCGAAACACCAGUAUAUCAAACAUUUGAGAUUAUGAGAGCAUUUUAGUGUGACUUAGCAUUUGUGGGGAUUGUUGAAUUAAUGUUGGCCUGACCCAAAUUAAUAUUCAAUAAUAGUCAAUGCUAAAGGCCCACUUUAAUGCUACGGUGUACUAGUACUUUAGUACCAUACCGGAAGUUUAAGGGACAAUUAAAUCAACUUAAAUAGGUGGACCAUUGGUGCAUCUAUUGAGAAGCUCAGAAAAUGAUGAAGGACUACCACAUGCGCGUGCACCGCCGGCCAGGUUGGGCCGUGGCCGAGGCCGAGGCCGUGGCCGAGGCCGAGGCCGUGGCCGUGGUAGAUCGGACCUUGGUCUAAAUAUUCCUACCUAACGGUUGCACAUUUUGUUUGGAAUUCUUGCAAGCAGACCAUCUUAACGAGGUCGACUAUGGAAGUAGAACUCACAGCAUUAGAUACCGCUUCAGUUGAGGCUACGCCGCCUACCAGGCCGGGCCAUAGUAGAUCGGACCUUGGUCUAAAUAUUCCUUCCUAACGGUUGCACAUUUUUCCUGGAGUGAUGACCGUCCAUUACUGUCGUCCGUUACUGGCCAUUUCCUGUGUUAUGGCUAGUAACAGACAGGUGACUGGCUAUAACGGUAGCUCUGAUGGUGACAGUUAUUAUCUGUUCGCCUCCCUCUGCGCGUGUACAUAUACGGAGGAGGUGAGGUUGCUUCUGGUUACAUCACGUACGAACAGUCUCAGAUGCGUUGCACACAACCAUUCUCAUCCCACCUUCUGCGAGCAUAGAGAGUGUGGGAGAGCAGGCCUCCAAAAUCGCCAUCCACAGAGCUACACUUCACGGGUGUGCGGGCGAUUAGGUUUUUGGGGAGCGUACUUGCGACUGGUCGCUUCGUCAGCUUGACCAACGCUGAUCAGGUUCCUCGUCGUCGGUGCCGUUCGAGGGACUACACUACAUACAUGUGCCUACAUCGACUGCGUAUGACUACAUCGAACAUACACACGAGAUAUCUCAUGUGAAUGGAGCCACUGAUGCCUUGAGCAUCGGUCCCUCCAUAGAGUAUAUUAUGUUCUUAGUAAUUGUGCAUGUUUUACUAUUUUUUAUUGCUUAUGUGAGCAGUGAUACACACAUGCAUACACAUGUUGUCACAUACAUCACUGUGGUUUUCUGAAUUAAAUUUAAACUGAAAAUACCUAUUCUCUAACAAGAAUAGUUUUUUUCUAACUUUGUCUCUGUUAUCUUCUCUCAGAAGUAGUUUUACCAAACAUCUAUAAAAAUAUAUAUAGAUUUGCCUCUACAGAUAAUCCUGCUUUCCGAGACAAAACCAGUAAAUUUCUCAACGUUGCCCCGUCACAUGUUCACAAAAAUAAAAAGUAAAAUCCUCAACCCUCACCCCACUGCCGCAAUCUCAGUUCCUGUCUAUCAUUUCCUCAGAAAAAACAAGGGCCAACACCUGCAGGGCCGAUGUAAGACCCAAAAUUUGUAUAAUUUUUUUUAAACAAAUAUAGUUAUUAUAGUACAUUGGGGAAUGAGAAAAUUAAUUUGUAAUUGAGUCAACUAUUGUUAGAAACAAAUAUGAGAAGGAGAAUAACAUAGUAAUAUUUAAAAUGAGGUGGUUUAUAUUCACAUUUGUAUUUCAAUUGAUACAUUUGGCAAAUCUGAAAAUUAAGACAAGAGUAUAAAUUUGAGUUUGAAUAAUUGAAUUUGGAAAUAAGCUAGAAGUAAGAAAUGAGUAGACACUAAAAAGAGAAUAAAAUAAAAUAUAUUAUAAACAAAUAAAUAAUAGGUGAUAUCUUUAUAUUGGGAUUUUUAAUGAAGUUUGGAAUCUGAAAUUCAAAACAGGAAAUUGAAUUUGGUUUAAGCAUUUCAAAUUAGAAUUAGAAAAGAAAUUAAAAAAAAGGGGGGGAAAUGGACAAACUGGAUUCUGGGCUGAAUUCCCUCCCCUCAGCCCAUCCCUCUCACCGCGCGGCCCAUGAAGGUAAAAGUGCCGACAUGUGGGCCACUACCGUCAGUCGCUCCCUCCCCGCGCCUGCGUAUUCCCUCUUUCGCUGACGUUGCGGGGCCACUGCUCAACCUCUCGGCCGCGCGCGCCACGGUGCGCUCCAGUCUCUCCCUCGUAUCACUGCUAGUGGGCCCGUGGUGUCGGACCUAUCUUCUCUACCAGAACACCGUAGUCGCCGCCAUUGUUUCCGCGCGGAGUCGCCGGGUUCCGUUACAACCACCGCGAACCGACCUCCGCUGAAGCUAUAAAAUCGUGACGAGAGCGCCUCCUUCCCCACCUCUGCUCAAUGGAACGAUUGGCACUGGGUAACUCCAUCGCUCAGUAGAAUGUCACCGUCACGAGAGAGAAAUCGUGAGAUGCCGCUGCGGGUGAUUUGAGCUAAUGGCAAGGGCGGGUCUUCGGAAUUGGACCCAUGGGCCUCAUCAUGCCGCCCGGAAUACCGUCAUAACAUCGCCUGGGUGGGUUCAUGCUCUGAACAGCCGCAAUUUUCUCGUCGUGUUUCCUCCGCCGUCGCAGCUCCGCGGACAACCGUGGUCGACCCCCUGCGCGACACAAUCAACCGGUAAAGUCUUCCCCAAUCGAAUCGCCUCGCUCCCCUCAACAUGUAGCACCAUGCGAUUAAAGAAUUACGAUCCGGGGUAGCUGGAUCGCUUGUCUCCGGCGCGGAUCCGCCGUGUCACUGGGCGGCGCCGCCGUCCGGUUGCUCUGUUGGGGGGGGGGGAAGACAACACGCGUCGCGACCGUCGAAUCUUGCAAAAACGGCCAAGAUCAUAUCGUGCGCGGCGAUGUGUUGUGACCGUCUGAUCGGAUUUGGAUGGAUGGGAUUAUAUCCUGAGGAUACCGAUUCAGCUGGAUAGAUCUGGGCCCUCAGUUCUGGAUGGGCGGCUCAGAUUCCAUCUUACCCCUUCGGUCGUUGCUUUUUGCUAAAGAAACCUCGGGGAAAGACAUAAUAAACCCGCCGUCCCUCGCUACUGUGCUCUGAGUCUUAGGUUUAUUUGCGCCGAGGCCCCUCUAGUUUUCUGUUUUUAUGCGCGCGAACCAGAGACCCGAGUAAUUCAAUAAAUAAAUUUAGAAAUUGAUUUUUAAUGUAUAAAUAAUUCCUAGAUAUUGUUUAAUUCCUAGAAAAUUCAUAUUAAGUCCGUUUUGAUCCAUUCCAGUUGCAUUAGUCUCACAAUAAUAUUUAUUAUCAUCUGGCAACUUUGUUUUGUCAUGGAAUAGAGGUUAAAAUGUUGCACUUAGGCUAUUCUAUAUUUAACCGUGGAUCUUUGGAAAACCAUAACUUCUUAACCGUAACUCCGAAUUUAGCGGUUUCUGUUUCCACGAUCUCGUUACGAUGCAUAGAUUAUUAUUACAUAGUUUAUUCUUAUGUUUGGUGUGAUGUUAAUUUUGCCUAUACUGUUUGUUUGUAUUACUAUGAUUAGAGUGAGGUCACGAGAAUUUGAAGAAUCAUCCUGGUACCUGGAAUCUCAAGUCUCAGGCAAGUUGUGCCCUUGAUCACUUCUUUUUACCCAGCCAUGUUCUGAUUAAUCAUAAUGAUCUGCAUAGGUUAAUUUUGAUGGGACCCAAUAGGUUACCCUAGUUUGAUUAUCUUUAUACCUUGUUACCACUGAACUUUUUGGGUAGUACUUGCUAGUGCUUUAUGUGGUUUUGGGUAUGAAGAUACAUUACUCAUGAUUAUACUUUUAUUAUCCGUUGUUAUUUAUCGUUCAUGAUAAGAUCAUUAUGUUAAUUGGAACAUGGAGAACCACCCGGGAAAAUAGUGCUACCACAAGGGUUUAAUGGGACGCCCUUGGCCGAUUAAUUAGGAAAGCUAGUGGAAGACUACCUUACCCGAAAGGGGCAAGGGCAGUAGGGGAGUGGUCAGUGUAGGGAGGCCCUCGGGAGGAUUUUGCUGCGAUGGCGGUCCUGCAAGGGAUUCCUGCAUUGGAGCUUCCUAUAAACUGUAGCGGGUUUUCUGAAGCUAGUGGAACUUUGUAAAGGCCUCGUAGUGUUACCCUGCCUCGCCUCCUCGGUAGAGGUGUAUGGGAAGUCGCGAUCCCUUGGCAGAUGGGUAACAUGACUUGUGGGUAAAGAUGUGCAACCUCUGCAGAGUGUAAAACUGGUAUACUAGCCGUGCUCACGGUCAUGAGCGGCUCGGACACUCACAUGAUUAAAUUAUGGAACUUAAACUCAAUUUGUCAUAUGCAUUGCAUCGCAGGUGAGGUUGUUACUUUUGUUCUACUACUUAACUGGGUUUGGUAUUUACUUAUACUUAGUAAUUGCUAAUAAAAUUUUGACCAACUUUAAAAGCAAUGCUCAGCUUCAACCAUCCUCUUUGGUAAGCCUUACACUUCACAUGAGCUCCCACCUUUGGCGAGUUCAUUCACAUUAUUCCCCACAACUUGUUGAGCGAUGAACGUAUGUGAGCUCACUCUUGCUGUCUCACACCCCCCCACAGGUCAAGAACAGGUACCGCAGGAUGAGGCGCUUGGAGGAUGCUGCGAUGUGUUCGUGAGAGGUCUAGGCUGUCGUCUCCCAGUCAACUUUGGGUUGCUGGACCGUUGUCUCCUUAUAAUGUAAUUAUUUAUUUUGUAUAGAACUCCUAUUAUAUAGUAAAGAUGUGACAUUCGAUCCUGUGCCAUGAUUCAUCAUAUGUGUGAGACUUGGUCCCAGCACACCUGGUGAUUGUUCGCGCCCGGGUCUUGGUGCCCCGAAACCCGGGUGUGACAGAAGUGGUAUCAGAGGAAUGUUGACUGUAGGACGAAACCUAGAUAGAACUGGACAACCAAUACUUACUUACCUUUGCUACUCUGAUUCUUUCUGAACUUUCCUUAAAUCUUUUCUCAUCUAUUUCCGCUUUACUCUGAUUAUUCUUACCUUUUCCUUCUAAAGACAAAUGUGGAUUUCACACUUUGAAAUCCCGUGCCUAAAGUGACCUUUAGGAAUAGGAAACCUACUCUUAGGAACAAAAACAAAUCUAUUUUCAUAGGUAUCUAUAUGCUUGAAUGUUUGUUCUUAUGAUACUUGUUUGAUUUGGAUCUUUGAUUGAGUGUGAUUAGUUGUGGAGUAAUGUCCACAAUCACAUCUGCAUAUACAUAUAGAAAAAAAACGGUUAUAAAAAUAUCUAAAUGAACUAGGUUAUCCCUCAUCAAAGAAUCUAGCCUAGCAAAAUCCAUCUUAUCCUGAAAAAGUCUAUCCUACACUCAUAGAUCCAUCUUAUCCUAAAAAAAUAGAUUCUCAUCUUAUCUUGAAAAGAUUCAGCUUAUCUUAAUAGAUUUAACUGACCUCAAAAGAUUCUACCUUAGUCUUAUGGAUUCAUCUUACCCCAAUAAGCAUAUUCAUCCCGCACCGGUGUAACAACCAUGAUCUAAUCCAAAGUGAUUAGAUAUUAUCUAGCCUAACCUAAUUAUAUUGAUCUAAUCUAGACCCUAUCUAAUAUAAUAUGAUCUAAUCUAAUGUGAGUUACUUAAUGGAUUAGUUAAUACAGGUGAAAUACACUAGACCCUACUCCUAUGAUAAUGAUUUAACCUAAAAUUGGUGUCCUAGACCAACUCGGCCAUAUACCACUAUUUGACCUACAUAAUCUGUAUAGAUCAACAUAAAUUAAAAAUGCCCGAGAUUUUGAACUAUCUCAUAAAACCUAUCCUACCCACAUGGCCACAUCUAUCUACUUGUCCAUAAACUCAGAUGAUAACUCCAAGAUUAAAGACAGAAGAUGAUCAACCUCAUCAAGGAAGGAUAAGCACCAACUCAAGUCUUCAAAGGGCAAAACGAAAUCACCAGAUGAGUCAAGAUCCACCAUCCAUAAUGAAAUCUUUCUUUGCCCUAAUCCUUAUUACCGAAACCUUCUCUACUUCUGCCUAACAGCUAAACAUAGUAUACCCAUGUGUUCCUAAUCAUUUCCUUACUUAAAAUGACUUAAAUAUAUAUAUAUAUAGAAAACAUUUGUGCUUAAAACCAUUUGGAAAAAAAACUCGAGGCUAAACUGCAACCAAACAUUUGACUUUCUAUAUCCAUUUUCUUACCAAUCUCGAGGUCGAGAUUUCUGUUAAGGGGGGUAGGAUUUGUAAGACCCAAAAUUUGUAUAAUUUUUUUUAAACAAAUAUAGUUAUUAUAGUACAUUGGGGAAUGAGAAAAUUAAUUUGUAAUUGAGUCAACUAUUGUUAGAAACAAAUAUGAGAAGGAGAAUAACAUAGUAAUAUUUAAAAUGAGGUGGUUUAUAUUCACAUUUGUAUUUCAAUUGAUACAUUUGGCAAAUCUGAAAAUUAAGACAAGAGUAUAAAUUUGAGUUUGAAUAAUUGAAUUUGGAAAUAAGCUAGAAGUAAGAAAUGAGUAGACACUAAAAAGAGAAUAAAAUAAAAUAUAUUAUAAACAAAUAAAUAAUAGGUGAUAUCUUUAUAUUGGGAUUUUUAAUGAAGUUUGGAAUCUGAAAUUCAAAACAGGAAAUUGAAUUUGGUUUAAGCAUUUCAAAUUAGAAUUAGAAAAGAAAUUAAAAAAAAGGGGGGAAAUGGACAAACUGGAUUCUGGGCUGAAUUCCCUCCCCUCAGCCCAUCCCUCUCACCGCGCGGCCCAUGAAGGUAAAAGUGCCGACAUGUGGGCCACUACCGUCAGUCGCUCCCUCCCCGCGCCUGCGUAUUCCCUCUUUCGCUGACGUUGCGGGGCCACUGCUCAACCUCUCGGUCGCGCGCGCCACGGUGCGCUCCAGUCUCUCCCUCGUAUCACUGCUAGUGGGCCCGUGGUGUCGGACCUAUCUUCUCUACCAGAACACCGUAGUCGCCGCCAUUGUUUCCGCGCGGAGUCGCCGGGUUCCGUUACAACCACCGCGAACCGACCUCCGCUGAAGCUAUAAAAUCGUGACGAGAGCGCCUCCUUCCCCACCUCUGCUCAAUGGAACGAUUGGCACUGGGUAACUCCAUCGCUCAGUAGAAUGUCACCGUCACGAGAGAGAAAUCGUGAGAUGCCGCUGCGGGUGAUUUGAGCUAAUGGCAAGGGCGGGUCUUCGGAAUUGGACCCAUGGGCCUCAUCAUGCCGCCCGGAAUACCGUCAUAACAUCGCCUGGGUGGGUUCAUGCUCUGAACAGCCGCAAUUUUCUCGUCGUGUUUCCUCCGCCGUCGCAGCUCCGCGGACAACCGUGGUCGACCCCCUGCGCGACACAAUCAACCGGUAAAGUCUUCCCCAAUCGAAUCGCCUCGCUCCCCUCAACAUGUAGCACCAUGCGAUUAAAGAAUUACGAUCCGGGGUAGCUGGAUCGCUUGUCUCCGGCGCGGAUCCGCCGUGUCACUGGGCGGCGCCGCCGUCCGGUUGCUCUGUUGGGGGGGGAAGACAACACGCGUCGCGACCGUCGGAUCUUGCAAAAACGGCCAAGAUCAUAUCGUGCGCGGCGAUGUGUUGUGGCCGUCUGAUCGGAUUUGGAUGGAUGGGAUUAUAUCCUGAGGAUACCGAUUCAGCUGGAUAGAUCUGGGCCCUCAGUUCUGGAUGGGCGGCUCAGAUUCCAUCUUACCCCUUCGGUCGUUGCUUUUUGCUAAAGAAACCCCGGGGAAAGACAUAAUAAACUCGCCGUCCCUCGCUACUGUGCUCUGAGUCUUAGGUUUAUUUGCGCCGAGGCCCCUCUAGUUUUCUGUUUUUAUGCGCGCGAACCAGAGACCCGAGUAAUUCAAUAAAUAAAUUUAGAAAUUGAUUUUUAAUGUAUAAAUAAUUCCUAGAUAUUGUUUAAUUCCUAGAAAAUUCAUAUUAAGUCCGUUUUGAUCCAUUCCAGUUGCAUUAGUCUCACAAUAAUAUUUAUUAUCAUCUGGCAACUUUGUUUUGUCAUGGAAUAGAGGUUAAAAUGUUGCACUUAGGCUAUUCUAUAUUUAACCGUGGAUCUUUGGAAAACCAUAACUUCUUAACCGUAACUCCGAAUUUAGCGGUUUCUGUUUCCACGAUCUCGUUACGAUGCAUAGAUUAUUAUUACAUAGUUUAUUCUUAUGUUUGGUGUGAUGUUAAUUUUGCCUAUACUGUUUGUUUGUAUUACUACGAUUAGAGUGAGGUCACGAGAAUCUGAAGAAUCAUCCUGGUACCUGGAAUCUCAAGUCUCAGGCAAGUUGUGCCCUUGAUCACUUCUUUUUACCCAGCCAUGUUCUGAUUAAUCAUAAUGAUCUGCAUAGGUUAAUUUUGAUGGGACCCAAUAGGUUACCCUAGUUUGAUUAUCUUUAUACCUUUUUACCACUGAACUUUUUGGGUAGUACUUGCUAGUGCUUUAUGUGGUUUUGGGUAUGAAGAUACAUUACUCAUGAUUAUACUUUUAUUAUCCGUUGUUAUUUAUCGUUCAUGAUAAGAUCAUUAUGUUAAUUGGAACAUGGAGAACCACCCGGGAAAACAGUGCUACCACAAGGGUUUAAUGGGACGCCCUUGGCCGAUUAAUUAGGAAAGCUAGUGGAAGACUACCUUACCCGAAAGGGGCAAGGGCAGUAGGGGAGUGGUCAGUGUAGGGAGGCCCUCGGGAGGAUUUUGCUGCGAUGGCGGUCCUGCAAGGGAUUCCUGCAUUGGAGCUUCCUAUAAACUGUAGCGGGUUUUCUGAAGCUAGUGGAACUUUGUAAAGGCCUCGUAGUGUUACCGUGCCUCGCCUCCUCGGUAGAGGUGUAUGGGAAGUCGCGAUCCCUUGGCAGAUGGGUAACAUGACUUGUGGGUAAAGAUGCGCAACCUCUGCAGAGUGUAAAACUGGUAUACUAGCCGUGCUCACGGUCAUGAGCGGCUCGGACACUCACAUGAUUAAAUUAUGGAACUUAAACUCAAUUUGUCAUAUGCAUUGCAUCGCAGGUGAGGUUGUUACUUUUGUUCUACUACUUAACUGGGUUUGGUAUUUACUUAUACUUAGUAAUUGCUAAUAAAAUUUUGACCAACUUUAAAAGCAAUGCUCAGCUUCAACCAUCCUCUUUGGUAAGCCUUACACUUCACAUGAGCUCACACCUUUGGCGAGUUCAUUCACAUUAUUCCCCACAACUUGUUGAGCGAUGAACGUAUGUGAGCUCACUCUUGCUGUCUCACACCCCCCCACAGGUCAAGAACAGGUACCGCAGGAUGAGGCGCUUGGAGGAUGCUGCGAUGUGUUCGUGAGAGGUCUAGGCCGUCGUCUCCCAGUCAACUUUGGGUUGCUGGACCGUUGUCUCCUUAUAAUGUAAUUAUUUAUUUUGUAUAAAACUCCUAUUAUAUAGUAAAGAUGUGACAUUCGAUCCUGUGCCAUGAUUCAUCAUAUGUGUGAGACUUGGUCCCAGCACACCUGGUGAUUGUUCGCGCCCGGGUCUUGGUGCCCCGAAACCCGGGUGUGACAGCCGAGGGGGCCUGCAGCCACAGCAGCACAAACAAGGCCGGGAAAGAAGAAAAAAAGAAACAACACUCCAUGCUCUCUCUCUCUCAUCUGUUUGCUUAGUUCUGGUGGGUUCUGCUCACCAACCUCCUCCCUCGUACAAACGCCCUAGUGAUGUAGACAGUGGUGUGGUGCAAGGACAUAGGUGGAGUAGUGAGCUGCUUAGCUUCGAAUAUAACCUUGCGCAAAUAGCACAACACAACUGUCGAGCACAAGCAGCAAGCAUUUCAUUCCUCGGCUUCCCUUUGCUUGCUCCAAGAAAGCUUGAGCUAGCUUAGCAGGGUCGUAGGAGGAGGAGAAGACAGCAAGGCACCCACAGCACCACACCAUCACCAUGAGAAGCAUCACGGCGAGGAACUCGCACGACUCGCUCUCCAUCUCCAGGCGAUACUUCAAGUGGCCCGUUCUCGGCAAGAGCAAGAGCCACGACGAUACGACGUUCUGUAAGGACGAGGAGUACAUGAAGAGCUCGAAGGCGGAGGAGGAGGACGAGUCGACCAUGGCCUUCUCCUCCGCCUGCCCGUCCUUCCACUCUGAUGGCUUCAGCGUGUCCCCUCUGUUGAAGGCAGCGUCGGCGCCGCACCAGCCACCUGCGCUCCCUCCUCCACAAAGGAGGAGGAAGGUACGAACAACCAUGUCGUGGUUGUGGUCGGCGCGGGCCAACGUCGUGGUCGGGCGGCACCGGUAGGUGGGGCUAGGCGCGCGGCUGACCGGCAUGCGGUACAGGCAUAGGCACAACCACGUGCACCUGGCGUUCCAGGUGGACCCACGUGCGUGCCCCGCGAUGCUGCUGGAGUCGGCGGCGCCCACGGCGGUGCUGGUGCGGGAAAUGGCGUCGAGCCUGGUGCGCAUCGUGCUGGAGUGCGAGCGCGCCAAGGGUCCACCAUCCACCACGGGCAGCAGGAGGAGGCUAGUGGAGGAGACGGUGUGAUCCGCCUACUACAACGGCAGGGGCUAUGGGUACGCGGUGCGGCACGAUUGCGGUGCCGCAAACUGGCGCGUGCUCAGCACGCUGGAGCCCGUGUCCAUGGGCAUCUUCCCCGCCACCUCUGCGCCGGCGGUGAGGGCAACUUCAUGUACAUGUGCGCUCGGUUCGAGCGUGUCGUGGGAUCCUGCGACUCGGAGGCCUUCUACAUGAUGAACUAAGCUCAUCGUCUACCUCCUCAGAGUCUGAUCACUCGGGCACCAUGCCACUCACACAUCGGAUCAGUUUUGUUUGCGUCGAUCACGCCUCCUGGACCCAGCCCAUGUUAUUUCUUAUUUUUUGUGCAUGACAAGCUAUGAAACUGGAUUAGGCUCCUAGAUGGUUGCAGCAAGCUUCAAGCCUAGCGUACUUAGAUGAUGAUGGGGAUGCACAUGGAAAUGUUUUUUGUUAGAUAGUAAUCUGAAGCUGUGUAGUUGUAGUAGUAGUAGCAGCUUGUUAUUGUGUGUAAUGCUUCAACAUCUAGGCUUCCCUUAUCGGUGGAGAGAUUGGAUUGCAGCCAUCCUCUCAACAUCCACCUUAGGGCUUGUUCGGUUCUACCCCAAUCCAUAUGGAUUGAGGGGGGAUUGAGGGGGUUUUAAUCCCUGGUAAGUCAAAAUCCCUCCCAAUUCGUAUCAAUCCCCUUCAAUCCAUAUGGAUUGAAAAUAACCGAACAAGCCCUCAAGGGUCUUUGUUAAUGGGUUCCCGAAUCACCCCUUGUCUCAUGAUCAAGGACUUAGAUAGGGAGACCAACUCUCACCAUUGUUAUUUGUGCUUGCCAUUGACCUGUUGUAGAAAAUUUUAGACUUGGCAAUAGAGACGGGACUUCUCAGCAAAAUCAGGGGCCGCUCGCCUUGCCUUCGUCUCUCAUUGUAUGCUGAUGAUGCAGCCUUGUUUAUUGCACCAAAAAAAGAGGAGGUCGAGACAAUACUAAAGCUGCUCGGGCUAUGUAGUGAGGCGUCAGGGCUGUUGACAAACUUCCACAAGUCCACAGUGGUACCUAUCCAUUGUCAAGGUAUUGACCUCAACGUGAUCCUAAGGAAUAUGCUGGCCAGAAGGGCUACCUUCCUGUUGGGGGUCUGCUUCGUCGUCGAAGGUCUUGUGAGAAGAAACACCUUCGGAAGGCCAGAACAGGAACAAUGCCGAAGCUACCAGUCAGGGAGCUUCGUAGCAUAUUUCUAGAUGCACCGACUUAAAGAUGAAAUGACCAAUCGGCCCAUGAUAACAUGUGUUAUGAUUGUAAUCAUUUGUAGAGGACAUGAAUGUAAAUUCACACAGGCUGCGCCCUGUGCCUAUAAAUAUGUGAACAGUACCCUCGUACUGUUCACGCUUUCGCAUCUCACUUUUACCUUUGCCCUUUGUCAAGCUCAAGGUACAAAUGUAAUUUGAUAUUGCUUUCAUGUACUCAUGAUUAUUUAAUAGUCGAUGUUUAUAUUAUGAUAUUAUAUAAUUGUUUAUGUUGUUUUCCUAUGUUUCAUAAGCUUCAUCCUCUGUAUAUACAUGUCAUAUUUAUGAAGGUAUGCCCUUCAUAACCUUCAUCCUAAGGGAAAUAAUGCUUCGAAGGACGAAGGACAUUAACAUUUAACAUUUUGUGUUGCCUUGUUCUUAACUCAUAGCAUUUGAGAACAAGUUCCCAACAUUGGCGCCCACCUCCGGUGAACUCACUUCCACUGUUGAGUUGAUGGCUUCGUUCAACAAUCAAGCUGAAGUUGCUUCGGCUACGAAGCUGGUGCUCCCGAUAAUAGGUGGCUCAAGUUCAGAGCCGGUUAACAAGAAGCAGAAGAAGGAAGCACAAAGAAGAGUGCAGCAUGUUGGGGUGCAGGGACCCUUCAUCAACUCAAAAUGGUCCCACAUCCCAAUCACCUUCUCCCAGGAGGACCUUCAGCUCAAAGAUUACCCUCACAAUGAUGCUAUGGUCAUAUCUUGUGUCAUCAAGGGAUUUCUGGUUCAUAAUGUUCUGGUUGAUACAGGCAGUACAGCGGAUAUCAUAUUUGCUAAGGCCUUCAGACAGAUGCAAGAGCCAGAAGACAAGAUUCACGAUGCUACACAUCCUCUAUGCGGCUUUGGAGGAAGAUAGAUUGUGGCACUCGGUAAAAUCACAAUGCCAGUAACCUUUGGCUUUGUUCAUAACACAAGGACUGAACAGCUUGUCUUUGACAUUAUCGACAUGGAAUACCCCUACAAUGCAACAAUUGGCCGAGGAACACUCAAUGCUUUUGAAGCAAUACUUCACCUAGCAUAUCUAUGCAUGAAGAUACCUUCGGAACAAGGGCCCAUUGCUAUUCAUGGAAGUCAAGAGGCUGCCAGAAAGGCCGAAGGAAAUUGGACAGACUCAAAAGUGAUCCACAAUAUAGAUGGAGCCAAAGCUUGUGAACAGUACAAGUACAGAAGAGAGAAGGCUGCUUCGGCUCAUCAGCCGAAGCCCAUGCUUCUAUGUGAAGACAUAGCAGAGCAGAAGGUACUGCUGGGGUCUCAACUAUCUGAAGAGAAGGAGAAAACUUUGAUAAGGUUUUUAUUCAACAACAAAGAUGUUUUUGCUUGGUCGGGCAAUGAUCUCUGUGGUGUCAACAGAGACGUCAUUGAACAUUCACUCAAUGUCGACCCAUCCUUCAGGCCAAGAAAGCAAAGGCUUCAGAAAAUGUCUGAUGAUAAAGCCGAAGGUGCUCGGAAUGAAGUAAAAAGGCUUCUCAGUGCUGGUGUCAUCAGAGAGGUAAAAUAUCCAGAUUGGCUAGCCAAUACUGUUAUGGUGAAGAAGGCCAACGGCAAAUGGAGAAUGUGUAUUGACUUCACAGAUCUUAACAAGGCAUGUCCAAAGGAUGAAUUUCCAUUACCAAGAAUAGACUCUCUUGUAGAUGCAGCAGCUUCUUCAGAGGUUAUGAGUCUACUGGAUUGCUACUCAGGAUAUCAUCAAAUAUGGAUGAAGAAGGAGGAUAAGCCGAAGACUAGCUUCAUAACUCCCAGUGGCACCUAUUGCUACCUUCGGAUGCCUGAGGGGCUCAAGAAUGUUGGAGGAAGCUUCAGCAGAAUGACAGCCAAGGUCCUUCAUUCCCAGAUAGGCAGAAAUAUGCUAAUAUACGUUGAUGACAUCAUAGUAAAAAGCACAAAGCAAGAAAAUCACAUUAUUGAUCUGCAAGAAACAUUUGCUAAUUUCACGCAAGUUGGCCUGAAAUUAAAUCCAGAAAAAUGUGUCUUUGGAGUGAAGAAGGGUAAGUUCCUUGGCUGUCUAGUUUCAACGAAGGGGAUUGAAGCUAACCCAAGCAAGAUCGAAGCUAUCCUUCGGAUGGAGCCGCCAAGCACAAAGAAGGGGGCCCAACGGCUGACAGGAAGACUGGCAUCAUUGAAUAGAUUCAUAUCUAGAUCAGCAGAAAGAAACUUGUCAUUCUUUGAAAUACUAAAGUCAGCCAAAGUUUUUCAAUGGGGCCCAGCUCAACAGAAAGCCUUCGAAGAGCUGAAGCAAUACUUGAUUGAUCUAACAACAUUAACUCCACCUGCGCCAGGGGCUCCAUUACUAUUGUAUGUGGCAGCUUCGCACUCUGCAGUGAGUGUGGCGCUUGUACAGGAGAAGCUUGAAGGACAAAUUAAAAAGCAAGCCCCAGUAUACUUUGUCUUCGAAGUUCUAAGUUUAUCAAAGAAAAACUAUACAGAAUUGGAGAAGGUGUUGUAUGAUGUGUUAAUGGCCUCUAGGAAGCUUCGGCAUUAUUUUCAAGCAUACCACAUAAUUGUUCCUUCAUCACAGCCUCUGAAGGAUAUUAUGAGGAACAGAGAAGCUACUGGAAGGAUUGGAAAGUGGGCUGCGGAGCUUAAUGAAUUUAGUAUUGACUAUGUGCAUAGAUCCUCAAUUCAGUCUUAGGCGUUAGCAGACUUCAUUGCUGAUUGGACGCCAGGGGCUCAGGAAGAAGAAGCAAAUAAAGAUACCGAAGCUUGGACAGUGUUCUGCGAUGGUUCCUAGGGAACCUUCGGUGCAGGUGUGGCUGCUGUCCUAGUUGCACCUUCCAAAGUCAGAACAUGCUAUGCAGUAAGGCUUGACUUUAGUUAUACAAAUAAUAUUGCUGAAUACGAAGCUUUACUUUUGGGGCUUCAAAAGUUAAAGGCAAUGGGAAUAAGAAGGGCAGUCCUUAAAACAGACUCUCAAGUUAUUUAUGGUCAUGUUGACAAGAGUUGCAAGGCAAGAGAUCCGAAGCUUGAAAAUAUCUGGACACAGUUCGAAGGAUUGAAGCUUCUUUCGAAGGAUUUUCUGUUAAGAAUAUUCCAAGAGGGGAAAAUGAGCAUGCUGAUCUGCUAGCCAAGUCAGUGGCACAGGGGCUUCCUCUACCUUCAGAAGUAUUUUUUGAGACAAUAAGAGCACCUUCGGUUGAACUCCUCGAAAGAGCAGUGCUCACAAUAUCUCCUAUCCAUAGUGAAGAUUGGAGGACUGAGAUUAUAUCUUUCCUCCAGGGUAACUGUCUCUCGGAUGAUGAGGUUUAUAACAAAAGAAUGGAGACAAGAACAAGACCAUAUGUCAUAAUAGAAGGGGAAUUAUAUAAACAUAGAGUUUGUUCUCCACUUCUCAAAUGCUUAUCCAAAAUUGAAGGUAUAGAACUGAUGAAGGAGAUACAUGCAGGAUUGUGUGGAUCUCACAUUGGGUCUAGACCUCUUCUGGGAAAGGUUUUCCGAUAAGGAUUCUAUUGGCCGAAGGCAGCUUCGGACGCAGCAGAUUUGGUUCAAAAGUGCGAAAUUUGCCAAAAAAAUGUGCAAGAGAUGAGAAGCAACCCUCGUCAUUGACACAGCUAAUACAACCAACCUCGUCGUUGCAAAGAUGGGGCCUAGAUCUGCUAGGUCCACUUCCACCAGCGCAGGGCAACUUUAGAUAUGUCGUGGUGGUGGUAGAAUAUUUUUCUAAGUGGAUCAAAGCAAAGCCUUUGGCUAUAAUAACUUCGGCUACAGUCCAAAAAUUCUUCUGACAGAAUAUAGUUUGUCGCUUCGGUGUGCCGAAGGCUAUAACUGUGGACAAUGGAACACAGUUUGAUGCUGAAACUUUCAAAGAUUUUUGCGAUCAGAUCGGCAUGAAAAUUCAUUUUGCAUCAGUCAGGCACCCGGAAUCAAACGGACUAGUUGAAAGGGCAAAUGGUAUUAUAAUGACGGGAUUUAUGAAGUUAAUCUUCAAUCAGCCCAGAGGAAAGUGGCCAGAUGAGUUGGUUAAAGUGGUGUGGAGCCACAAUACAACUAUAUCAAGGUCAACAGGUUUUACACCAUUCAAGUUAUUGUUCGGUGACGAAGCCAUAACCCCCAAAGAGGCUAAAGCAGGGUCAAUAAGGAUAGUAGCUUCGGCAGAAGACGAAGCUAAUUAUUCUGUGGCAAAAGAUACUAUAGAAGGCACCAGACUUCAGGCUGUGGAAAAUAUCAACAAAUAUCAAGCCGAAACAAUAAAAUGGCGUUAUAGAAAAGUUUGGUUGAAAAACAUUAAGCUAGGACAUCUGGUGCUUCGGAGAGUAGCCAACCCUGACAUAGUAGGAAAGCUUCAGGUGAAGUGGGAAGGACCCUUUCUGGUAGUAUAUUCGUCAAGACCCAGUUCUUACAGGUUAAAGGAUAUGGACGGCAACGACAUUCCUAGAUCUUGGAAUGCAGAUGAGCUUCGACGAGACUAUGUGUAACUUGACGUAAACUUUUUUAAUUUUUCCUAUGGCACCCUUUUCCUUUCUAAAGGGGGAGAAAGGUUUUUAAUGGGGCCAUAGCAUGUAAUUUUCCUUUUCUUAUUCAGCUCUACGAGAGCAAAAUCCCCUAAAAAUAUGUAAAAUGUAAAAUCUGAGCAUGCACCAUCGAGUGCAGAGAGAGAGAAAAAAGAGCAGGGAGAAGCUCGAAAGUCAUCCCUAAGGGGAUGCAGAGCACGACGAAGUUACAAAAAGCCGGUCCUAAGGGAGCGCAGCGUAAGUUUUUUGCUCAAAAGUUGUUCAUUAGGGAAUGCAGAGCCAAAUACCACCAAAAUAUAAGGCGAAGCGCGAAAAGUCAACGCGAAAAAUACCACCGAAAUAGAAGGCGAAGAAGUUCAAAAGACGUUCCUAAGGGGAUGCAGAACUUACACCGAAAAAUAAGCGGUGAAGCCGAAAAAUAAGCGGCGAAGAGAAUUCAGUCAUUCCUAAGGGAAUGAAGGUUAUGGAUGUGGCUUCGUAUGUGUGUGUUUGGGCAUUCAUUUGCACGAUACAUUACAUCAUACAUUGCAUACAUAUACAUUCAUUUCGACAUCUGUAAGAUCAUCAUCAUCAUAUCAUAGAGUACAGACAACUGCUUCAGCUCCAAUAACAAGGCUUCGACAAAUAUGAAAAAAGCAGAUUUAUGCUUCGUUAUGUACGAAAAGAAGGGAAGGUGUUUUUCGCCUUCGGCUCAAAAGGGACAAGUUUCGUCCACAUCAAAGCAGUUCAUUCAGGGAUGGAAAGGUAAAAUAUAUUACAAGGUAUUGACAAAUUUACAGAGCAUUGUUCGAUUCUUAAAUUACAAUAUUCUUCACAAGGAUAAUACAAGAGUUUUUCUAGAGAUUUUUCACAGCAAGGUUUUCAGCUUCAUCAUCAUUCGCUAAGCUUCGGAUCAUCUGCCAAGCUUCAGCUCAUUGUUCCUCGGCUUUGUCAUCCUGUACAUAUCAAAGUGAUAUAAGGAAAGUACAAAUUUCAAGCAGAAGGUAAAGCAGCAGGCACAAGUUUAUUACCGGCUUGAGGUGGCUUCGAGCUUCGUCACCAGCCAAAUUUCGCCCGCCCUUUGCCUAGAUUUGAGUGACGAAUCUGUUUCUGAUGCUUCGGGACAGGCCGGGGAUAUCAUCCAAGUCUCCUGGUGACAGGCUGAAGUUUGGUCUGUUUACAAUGUUUCCAUGUGUACAACCAGCCUUCAUGAAAGCAACAGCUGUGCCUCGAGAAGCUAGCAGAGCAUAAAAGUCACCAUGACCAGCUAUAACUUCGUCGAGAGCAUCAACUUCACCUUCAAUAUGAUCAAAUGUGCCCAACAGGUCUUCAAUCGAAGGUUUAAACUUUUUGGAACUAGCUCCAACUGAGUUGAAGACCUGCUUCAGCCGUUGAAUGCAUCGGGUGCCGAAGCCUAAACAUCUUUCUUGAAGAUCUUUGAGUGAUUUCUGCAAAUUUGAACUUUUUUCAACUUCAGCUUCGAGUUUUGUUUCGAAAUCUUUCUUCUCUUGCUCAAAGAUUUUGGACUUCAUGGAAAGUUCACCGUUCAAUCUAGCGAUCUCGGCUUGAGCUUCUGCCAGCGAACCCUCCAUUGUCUGAAGCAUGAAAUCUUUCUUCUCCAAAGCAGCUUCGUGCUCUUUAAUCUUGCCCUCUAAGCCCUCAAUUAUAAUUUCGUUUUUCUUGUCCUUGAGGUCUUGCUGCAUCCUCAAGGUUUUGCUUAGCAAUAGACUCUGAGAAAAUAACCUUCGUCAGGAGUAACCUUCACCUCAAAAACAAUAAUAAAACUUAGGUAAGAAUUUCACCUUGAAAUUAGAAUAAAACAAACUGUCGGCGAUAUGUUGCCGCCGGUAUCUGCUGAGUUCAGCCUCAAGCUUCGAAAAGCCAACACUCUUUGAUAGAGUGUUGACAACCUUCGCCCCAACCCGGUCCUAGAGGCAUCCUAAACUCUCUUCGGCAACACCACCGAAGAGCAGCGCCCCUGGCUGGUACCCGCAAGAUAUAGCAUAGUCCCUCAACUCUUCUUUUUCAGCCUUAGACAACUCUUGCCCAAUUAUGUUUUGAAAGUUGAAAUUUCUUUAUUCCGAAGCAUCUUCGGCAAACUCCUUCUCUUUUUCAGGCACUGCAGCCGGGGUUUCCUCAGCAGCCGCAGCAGUUUCUUCCUCAGCCAUAUUCAAAAUCAUUUCAUCAAUUUCAGUAAGUGUGUUUUCCAAAUUUGUGGCUUCGGCUGCUGCAGCUUCAGAAGUAGAAGCUUCGGCAGGAGCAACUUCGGCUGCUGCUGUUUUCGGCGCUAAGGCUGAUGGCGAUGUUUCUUCAAUGGCCUCAAUGACAGUAAUAAUCCUUCGCAUUUUUGGUUCAGCGGGCUUCUCGGCAACCAAAGGCUCCUUCUUCUUCUGUAAAAGCUUCAUCAGUUCUGAUCCCAACGGACUUAGCUUAUUAGGUAGAGAUUUGGUCAUUACCUUUAAAAUCUCUUCUGCGUCAGUGGCAGAAGGUGUUGAGGAAAUUUCUUCUUCUAAAUCAGCUUUUGGCUUCGGAGCUGUAGCUUUUCUUUUCUUUUCUUCGAAACGGCCACCUUCGGCUCAGGGCUGGAUUUUUUAUUUUUUGCUAAAUUGUUAUCUUCUUUUAUCAUUCUGGCAGCUUGUCUUUGCAUAACACUGACAGCUCUUUUUUGUUUUGGCCCUUCGACACCUUUGCUUAAUCGUUCAUAGUCUGGGUAUUCAAAUUUCAGAGCGUCCAUUACUCGGUUCAGCCUUCGUUUUGGUCGGGUGCUGAAGGCUGUUGUCAUCAAUUGAUCUUCUUUAUUCGUAUAAUUGCCCAAGAUUUCAUUGCACAUAACUUCAAUCGUAUCCAACCAUUCUUGGCAGGGUUCUUUGAAGUGUUUCUUGAACUUAAAAUGGUAGGGCAGUCGAACAAGUUCAUUCUUUUUCUUCUCUCCUUUAAGCUUCGGCAUACUCCAUUCCUUUAACAUCGAAAAUACUCUAUUGGCUAAGUAUUCCUGAACCAAAUCCCUAGUACCGAUAUGCUCAGACACAACACUAAAUUUGCCCACAGCAUCUGGGCAUGAUGACCCCGGCGUCAUGCAACACUGGGGCCUAGUUAACCCAAAGGUUAGCUCUAGUGGGCUCUGAACUAGCUUCUCCUUUUUCUCAUCAACCUUAACAUAAAACCAUUCAGUUUUCCAGCCAGUUGGCCAUUUGGUGCGGUAGCUAACCACCGGUGUCUUCAUGUCUUUGCGGUAGGCAAAAUUAUAGCAGCCGAAAUUCUCGUGCAGUCCAUCUUCUCUAGCCUUCAUCUGAUAGUGAAGUUCGUGCACUUGGUAGAAGGCUUCGGCAAGCGGCUCCACUCCUUGGCUUCGAAGAGCCCAGAUAAAGACGUUGAGCCUAACGAUAGCGUAAGGAGUCAGCUGAUGAAGAUAAAUUUCGAAAUUUUCCAAAACAUCCGCAAUCAUUCCAUGCAGAGGAAACCUCAGUCCUUCUUUAAAGAAACUUCUAAAAGCUACCACAUCAUCAUUUUCUGGCUUCGGAGUAAUUUCUUCUCCGUCAAAACGAAUCAGCUUCUUCUCGGCUUCCCAGAAGUAGCCUAGAUUUGUCAUCAUGGGCUCAUCAGCCUCGGAGACUGUAGACUUUCCAAAUUCCAGGUGGCUGGGUUUAGAUGGCAUGACGGAAUAAUCUAUCUCUUCCUCAUCAGCCUCACCUUCUUCAAUGUUAGCCUGCUCAGUUUCGGCAGCAGGUGCACCUUCGUCAGAAGCACCCUCUGACACAACCAGGCCUGAUUAUCUCAUUAUUUCGGAGAUUGGGGCAGUCUCGGCAGCUUCAGUCUCCUCCCCGUCGCGUGUGACUCUGGCAGUUAAACGCACCCUGGCCAUUUGGUGCUAAAUUCCUUGCGGUUUUGACGAAGUUGAUUACUUUUUUAUUUUGCCGAAGCUCCUUCUUAUGACGAAGCUAAAAAACAAGAUGAUGCUCUAAUUGAGAAUACGAAGAAUAAGCUUCGGCUAUGGUCAAAUUUUUCAGCAGCACAACAGUAUGAUAGUAAUGAAUGUUGUGGUAAUUUCACACCUACCCGUCUAUUUAUAUAGUGUUGCAGGUGGGAAGGUGAAUCGUCAAACCACCUGAACCCACCGAACAGUCUCGCAUUCACUGAAUGGGGGACCGCAAGGCGCGAGAAGAAGAAUCACCAGAUCGUGUGUACCCGUCCUAUGGUGGGACCACCUCGCACUCGGAAUAUUUAAAUCGUUUCUCGACAACGAGCUCAGGGAAGGUGUUUUUCGGACCUUCGGCAUUCCGAAGCCUAAAAGAAUUUUUUACGGGUCGAGCUCGUUACGAAAAACAAUUGGCACCGUGAAGGGGCUACUGUUGGGGGUCUGCUUCGUCGCUGAAGGUCCUAUGAGAAGAAACACCUUCGGAAGGCCAGAACAGGAACAAUGCCAAAGCUACCAGUCAGGGAGCUUCGUAGCGUAUUUCUAGAUGCACCGACUUAAAGAUGAAAUGACCAAUCGGCCCAUGAUAACAUGUGUUAUGAUUGUAAUCAUUUGUAGAGGACAUGAAUGUAAAUUCACACAGGCUGCGCCAUGUGCCUAUAAAUAGGUAAACAGUACCCCCGUACUGUUCAAGCUUUCACAUCUCACUUUUACCUUUGCCCUCUGUCAAGCUCAAGGUACAAAUGUAAUUUGAUAUUGCUUUCAUGUACUCAUGAUUAUUUAAUAGUAGAUGUUUAUAUUAUGAUAUCAUAUAAUUGUUUAUGUUUUUUUCCUAUGUUUCAUAAACUUCAUCCUCUGUAUAUACAUGUCAUAUUUAUGAAGGUAUGCCCUUCAUAACCUUCGUCUGAAGAUCAUUAUAUCCUAAGGGAAAUAAUGCUUCGAAGGACGAAGGACAUUAACAUUUAACAUUUUGUGUUGCCUUGUUCUUAACUCAUAGCAUUUGAGAACAAGUUCCCAACACUUCCCUUUAAAAUAAUUGGGCCUCCCACUCUCAUCAUCGAGGCUGAAGAAGAGCGACUUUUAGUUCUUAAUUGACAAAAUUUCGAACAAGCUCAGUGGCUGGAAUGAGAAAAACCUCUCUAUGGCUGGCAGACUAACUUUAGUUAAGUGAGUCAUUACCUCUCAAACAAUCUACCUUAUCUCUGCUUUACGGGCUCCUAAGGAAAUAUUGAAUUUAAUUGACUCAAGAAGGAAAAAAUUCCUUUGGGCUGGGUGUGCGCAAAUUACGGGAGGUAAAUGCAAGGUAAAUUGGAUCCGUUCCGCAAGGCCAAAAGAGUGUGGAGGCCUGGGUAUCCUUCAUUUUACCAAAUUUGCAAGGGCAUUGCGUUUACAUUGGCUAUGGCAAGAAUGGGCUUCAUCAGCUAGGUUUUGGACGGCAUCGGAACACCCUUGCACGACAAAAGAUCGACAGCUCUUCACCGCAGUGACAUCGAUUUCGAUGGGAGACAGGACAAAGGUGUCUGUCGGAGAGUAAAUCUCCGGCCGGGUGGCGGAGUACACCCGCCCUAAAUCCUGAGCUGAGGAGGGGCUUAGGCGUUUUGCUUGAUCGUUGGAAUGAACGGGGAGAACUCAAGAACGCACAAGGAUUUAGAGUGGUUCGGGCCAUCUGAGCGUAAUACCCUACUCCACUGUGAGAUGUAUUGCUUGUGAGCUUGCAAGUCUAAGGUGUGACCUAAGAUUGUGUGUGAGUGUAACAUCGCAUGCCUCCCCUUUUAUAGCUGAAGGGGGGCAUGCACAAAGGGACUGACAUGUGGGCCUAGGGACAUAAGGAAUAUAGUGCUUGGAGCCUACUAAUGUCUGUUGCCGAGACAAUCUUCUUGUGCCCUGACACCCGAGAUAUGUGUAUCCUUGGCGUGCAGGGGAAGCUUCUUGUAGAAGGGAGGAUGAGUAUAGCGAGCCGCUCGGCACGGGCGCACUGUUUGCCAGCAGACCCAGCAGGCGCGCCGCCUGCUGGAUGACCUUGACACCGCUUGCCAGCGGAUGGGACGGGACACAUUAAAUGCUGAGAGGGCACGUCACCCAUCAGCGUAGUGGUAGGCGGCGCGUACUUUCCUCAAUAAAUGUAGGGGCUGCAUGACUUCACGUCAGGUUCGGCUCGAUAGCUUAUGUCAUGGGCCACAAGCAGCGGGUCUCCGCCUGAGCAGGACGUGAAGGGCAAGGCCCAGACACGUGUCAGCACCGGACCCCUGCUCAUACUAGGGUCCUCCUUGUUCCGGGACCCUGCUAAGGUUCAGACCUACCCAAAGGCUCCGGACUUAUAUGUAUAGGCGUCCGGUGUCCUUCGGUGGGGGUCCGGACUUAUCGGGGUGUGUUGUCUUUCCUUGCCACGUGGCGCCCUUUGGCCUGCUGAUGCGGGGGGGUCAGGCGCCGUCCCUCGCGUGGCUAUGAGACGUUGCAUGGGUGCGGCGUCUUCAUGCUGUAGUAGAGGGUACCCCUGAUUCAGGGUACCAACAGUGUCCUUUUGGAAUGAUGCGUGGGUGCAAGGGUUAAGACUGAAGGACAUCGUGCCUCUCAUUUUCAAUGUGUCCCGAAAAAAGAACAGAUCUUUGAGUGAAGCGAUGUUGAAUCAUACUUGGAUUAUGGACCUCAACUUGUUUUUUGCUGAGGUGGCAGAGCAACACAUUGUGAAGUACUGUAGGCUUUGGUCAAUAUUGCAAAGAAUAUCCUUGCAACCGGGUAUUUGUGACUCUAUUAGUUGGAAACUCUCAGCAGACUGACAAUAUUCAGCGAAAUUAGCAUACCUUGACUAAUUCCUUGGCUCUGAGCUUACAAAUAUGAACUGGAUCAUUUGGAAGGUAUGGGUGCCACUGAAAUGCAAAUUCUUCAGUUGGUUAGCCAUUCAAAAUAGAAUUUGGACAACGGAUCGUCUUGUGAAGAGGGAUUGGCCCCACAACGAUGCAUGUGCAUUGUGUGGGCAAACUUUGGAGUCAGGAUUGCAUCUCUUUGUUGAGUGUCGUUUAACCAAGCGGAAUGGAAGUGGUGGCUCUAUGGACAGCGAUGGAGGGUCUUAGUCCAAGUAACUGGGACCGCAGUGAGUCUGCCCUACAAUGGUGGACGUCCCUAGCUACAACUCAAGAUUGCAAUAGGAAGGGUUUGAGAAUCCUCUUAAUUCUAGUGAAUUGGACUAUCUGGCUUGAGAGAAAUGCUAGGAUAUUUGACCACAAGUCCUCCACAUGUGCUCAGGUUCUCGCAUCUAUUAUAUCUGAGGCAUCAGCUUGGAUACGUGCAGGAGCCAAACAGCUGGCUAAUCUCCUAGCCUCUCUUUAAUUUUGCGUGUUUGAGCUUGGCUUUUCUCCUAGUCUCCUUUCAGUUUAGUCUUGUGUAUUUGUGUUUUUCGGCUUGGUCCUGCUUUUGUGGGGUGUCUUUGUAUUUUAAACCUCACCCCUUUGGGCUCCCCUCUUUUUAAUAUAACCGGCAGAUCUCCUGCUGGUUCGUUUCAAAAUAAAAUAAAAUAAAGCAGUAUGUAUUACUUAGGUUAUAUUUGGAACCUCUAAAACUAGUAGUUAUCUAAUUUAAAUUUAAUAGAUCAUGCAACACACGUAGACCUUAGUUUGAGCUACCCAUGAUUCUUCCAAGCCCACGUACAUAUUUACAUGGUAAUCAAAGUCAUGAGUUCAUCAUUAUCUACCUUUGUGAACAUUCUCCUCGGCAUACCUAACUCUAAGAAGAUGACGAGGUCUAACCAUACAUAGGUUAUUGCCGCUAUGUGUGGAAUAGAGACGCUCCACCAAAAUCUAGAGACUAGAAAGAUAUUGAGGUGGACAAUGUAGAGCAUACAGAUUGCAAAGUCAAAUAUGAACGAGUCAUGAACUAUUUCCUCUCAUAUAUAGUUAUCAAAAGACACCUAUUGGGGGCCUUCCUCUUCUAAAGGUUCUCAAAAACAUGACUAAUCAUGUUUUCAGCAUGAUUAUGAAUAGUUACAAGAAGCUUCGGCUUUGGGAUGGAGGACUUCUCUCAUGAUAGGACGAAGGGAAAUAAAGAAUAAGCGAUGAAGCUGGAAGCCAAAGGACUUCGGCUGGACUUGUUGAUGAAGCUCAAGUAUGAUGAUAAUCGGAAGAGGAUAAAGACCAUACAGUCCUUAAUAAUUCAUGUUAAGAUCAUAAAUAGUUACCAGGGACAUAAAUGUAGUUUUAUCCAGGCUGUGUCCCGUGCCUAUAAAUAGAUUAAUAGUAACACUGUACUGUUCACGCUGGAUUGUAAUCACUCUCGCAUCAUUCUCGCACCCUUACCUUCUGGCAAGCCGAAGGUACCAAUGUAAUAUGAAUGUUAUUAAUGUUUAUUCAUGUUUAUGAAAUACAAGAAUGAAUAGAUCAUUGAUAUAUAGUUAUUAUAAUCUUUAUUCCUUUGUGUUUCUUUACUUUCUUAUUUAUAUUCACAUUCAUAUGUUGAAAUGAUGAAGGUAUGCCCUUCAUGACCCUUCGUCUGAAGAUCAUUAUAUCUGAGAGGAAAUAAUGCUUCGAAGGACGAAGGCCUUUAACCAUUAACAAUUGUGUUUCCUUGUUCUUGAUUUAUAGCAUUUGAGAACAAGUGGCCAACAUUGGCGCCCACCUCCGGUGAACUCACUUCCACAAACCUUUGGUAAAGCAUCCACCUUCGACAUGUCGUCGAAGAAAGCAACGGUGCCAGGGACUGCCCAGCAACCACUGGACACAAACCAGGAUGCACUCUCUCUGCAAAAGGCCAGGAGCCAAAAGAGAAAGGCCACCAACACAACUCUUCAGGAGGAGCAGGUUGAUCAGGAAAUCAGGGAUUUAGAAGCAAUCCAUCAACAAGUGGAAAGAAAAAAGGAGAAGAUGCUGACCUUCAGAAGAAGAUUGAUGAAGUUGCUGAGGAGAUGCGACAUCUUACUCAAGAUGAACAAGACCGAAGGCCUCACCACAGGGAGCUUCGUCGGGGGAGCUCAUUCAACGAAGAUGAAUGGUACGAUGACUUUCAUCAUGAUAACUUUACCUUUGAUGAUGCUUCUCCUCUGGCAGCAGAAUUGUAGGCUACUCCGUGGCCACAAUCCUACAAGCCACCUCAGUUGGCCAUGUAUGAUAGGCAUUCAGAUCCAAAGCAAUUUCUGAUGAGUUACGAGGCAACAAUAUCCUCGUAUGGGGGCAACGCUGCUGUCAUGGAAAAAUCCUUCGUCAUGGUGGUCAGAAGCGUGGCUCAGACCUGGUAUUCCUCCCUUCAGCUAGGAACAAUCACAUCAUGGCAGAAGCUCAAGGAUAUGCUAGUCACCAAUUUCCAAGGCUUUCAGACAAAGCCAGUCACUGCUCAGGCUUUGUUUCAACGCAUGCAAGACCAUGAGGAGUACCUUCACGCGUAUGUCCGAAGGUUUCUGCGUCUGAGAGCACAAGCACCUACAAUGCCUAAUGAAAUUGUAAUUGAGGCCAUGAUCAAGCGGCUUCGACUAGGACCUACAGCCCAAUAUUUUGCAAGGAAGCCCCCACAGACCCUAGAGAAGCUCCUUCAGAAGAUGGAUGAGUAUAUCCGGGCCGAUAAUGAUUUUCGCCAAAGAAGGAAGGAAGCGUACAGGUUUUAUGAAAUGACCAGGGGCUUUGGAGGAAGACUUCAUCCUAAGCAUGUUCGGUCAAUUCAUAACUCUAAUGCCAAUGAUGAAAGGGAUAAUAAUGCUCAGAACAGCCAUCAUAGCUCAUAGUCUACGAGCAUGCAGCAGACUUCUUUCAGACCACCAACUCCGAGAGGCAGAGGAGGAAGAAGCUUCAGUGGAGGAAGGUUUGGCAAUCAACCCAGAAAGUUGUACUACCUCUUUUGUGGCGAGGACAAGGGCCAUACAACAAGGACAUGUCAGGUCACAAUUCAGAAGCAAAAGGAAAUUGCUGAAGUCGAGGCGCAGCAGAGUCAGUCGAAGCAAGUCCUCCAUACUGCUUCAUGCUACUCUCCAUACAUCCCAGAAUAUGUAGGCAAUCAACAACCUAUGACUUCUGUCGCUUCGGCAAAUCAUUCCUGAGCUUCUUGGCCUCAGUUGCCACCACCACCACCGCUGGUUCACAAUCAGCAGCCAGAAGGGCACAAUCAUACUCGGCAACAGCGUGACCUUUGGGAGAAGUUCGAAGCUCGCACAGUCAAUAGCACUAUGCCUGAAUCGAAGCACAUCUACUAAAGGGACUACAGUGGCUCAGCCAAGGAAUAUGUCGAUCUAAUGUAUCUUAACUCUUUCUGCCUUUAUAUUUUCUUGCAAGAAAAACAAUACAAGAGGGAUUAACUUUCAAAUUGAUGCAAUAAUACUGUGAUUACACCAUCGAAUGUGACAAAAUUAAGUUUCGAAGCUCAAAAGACGUUCCUAAGGGAGCGUAGAGUAAGUUCCGAAGCUCAAAAGUCGUUCCUAAGUGAGCGCAGAGUAAGUUCCAAAGCUCAAAAGUCGUUCCUAAGGGAAUGCAGAGCCAAAAUGCCACCAAAGUAAAAGGUGAAGAAGCUCCAAAGUCAUUCCUAAGGGGAUGCAGAGCUUGAACUCCACCUAAAUAAAAGGUGAAGAAGCUCCAAAGUCGUUCCUAAGGGGAUGCAGAGCUUAGCUCCAAAGUCGUUCCCAAGAGAAUGCAAAGCUAAAAUACCACCUAAGUAAAAGGUGAAGAGACUCCAAAGUCGUUCCUAAGGGGAUGCAGCGUCUGGGUGUGUAUUCAUGUGGGUUUUUUAUCUUCGGCAUAAACAUCAUUCCGCAUCAUACCAUCAUAACAUAUCGCAUAGCAUUGCAUCAUACAUCAUCUUGCAUCAGAAAAAGGCUGAGGAGAAAGAAGGGAGAUUGCUCCUUCACAAAUACUUAUCAAAUUGCAAAAGGAUGUGAUAUGCCACAACAUGUGUUUUUAGCGGAUAUAACUUAUUAUACGAAGCCAACCUUCGUCACCAUUGGCAUAAGGAAAUUCUCUUUGCGACGCAUGAAAAGAAGGGAAGGUGUUUUUUCGCCGAAGGCUCAAAAAUGGAAUGUACACAAAUUUCAUGCAUCACAAAGAAAUAUAUUACAUUACUAUACAUACAAAUAUUUGAUGUUUGAUCCAUACACAUGACGACAACCAUACACAAGCAUUACAUUUCCUAGUAUGCAAGAAUUUAAUCUUCUUUCAGUAUUUUUUCAGCGGUUUCAUGUAAUAGUCUGUCGACGACUUCGUCAACAACUUCGUUAGCAAUCUUCAUUACAUCUAAAGCCUCUUUCAUAACAGGGUCAGCGUCAGGGUUGUAUGGUUCCGGUGGUGGCGAAAGGCUGACUGUGAUAAAGAGCAUAAUGGUGAAUUUCGAAGCUAGAAACAAACAAUGAGACAAAAGUUUUAAAAAGAUACCUAUAAUCAUUGCGUGUUCAGCAACUUCUUCAGCUUGCUUUGCCUCUUCUCGAGCGUCGUGAGAUUCUUUUUCACUCUUUUUAUGGCUUCAUCGGCCAUCUCAUGGCCUCCCUUCAUCCAAACAUCAUAAUAGAACUUUCCGCUCAUCAAAGAAGCUUCCGCCGAAGGUUCCUUCGUGUCGUCCGCUGAGAAAAUGGCUUCUGCCUGGGCUGCAGCCUUAACAUGUUCACAACCGGUUUUCUCCAAAAUUGUUGCAACCCCUCGUGCACCGGCGAAGGCAUAAAAGUCCCCACGGUCGCUGAUUAUUUCUUCAAAAGCUUUGACCUCUUUGCCAAUCCACUGGAUAACCCGUUCGGGAUCACCACAGAUAAUUUUUUGCUCUGAUGAGUAUGCUCCUACCUUUGCAAAGCCAUCUUUCAGUUUCUUCGUGCAUUCCAUGGAUACUUUGUAGCAUUUUUCUUUAGAAUCCUGAAGUUCUUCAAUGUUCUUCUGCACCCUGGCUCUUUCCAUUUCACUUAUUUCUUGCUUAGCCUUCGCAACUUCGAAAUUUUCAUUUAUUUCAGCAAGUUUUUUCUGUAAAUCUUCAACCUCAGCUUUGUGAGCUUCGGCUUGUGCGUUAAGCUUGGCUUCGCUGGUUUUCAGCUUAUCCACUAAGGAGAGUAGUAUUUUGUAUUUUUCAAGAGCUUCAUUCCUCAGUGUAAUAACCUUUGAUCAAAGAUUUCUAAGAGCCAACUGGCAGCUUUGAUCUUCUGCUUUCUUCUGGGCCUUUAAAGCCUUGUUUAGAAUUAAGCCCUACAAAAACAAAGGAUGAGCACAUACUGAUAAAGAAAUAAACUACAAAAAUAAUCUGUUUUCCAACAAGUUAAAAUAUUCUCACCUUCAGGCUGUUAUAGGCAAGGCUAUCUGUGAGCUAGUCCUUUGUCAUUGUAGACAAGCCUAGUUCAAGCUUCGAAUAUCCUACAUUGUCUGCCAUUUCCCGACAGACAUGUAUCUCCUUAUUGUCUGGCAGACAAUAAAGGAAGUCAUCUUCGUCAUCGCCACUAUAUACCAAGGACCCUCGAUGGUACUUCAGAUCCCUGGCAUAAUGUUGCUCUUCGACAAUUUGCUCCUUCGAUAAUUUUUUCCCCGAAGCAUGUCGCACUAUGAAUUCCAAUUCUUUGAUAGGCGCUCCGGGGGCGGGAGAUUCAGAUUCUUCAUCAUCACCUUCUUUUUCCAACAAUAAUGGUGCUCCGGCAGCCUCCGAAGGUCUUGUUUCAGUACCUUCUUCAGCAGCCUUCGAAGAUCUUGCUUUGGCGGGGACUGAUGGUCCAGCUUCAGCAGUGGUCUGUGCCCUGGUAGCUUCGCUAGAUUUCUUUAGGGCUUCGCCCUCUGCAGCGGGUGCUAAGGCAGGAGUUGACACCUUUACAGAUUCUAUAACAGUGUCUAAUACGUUGGCCAUUCUUCUCCUCUUCGGAUUUAUUGCAGCAAUCUUUGAUACCUUCGGUAGUUCUGUCUCUUGCAAUGGACUCAAAGCUUUCAGCUUUUCUACUGCCAUCUUCGGUUUUGGCUCUUCGGCUGAUUCUGCCUUAGUUUCAGUAGGAGUGGAGUGACUUGACUCAAAAGCAGAAGAAGACUCUUUAGCAGGCCUCGGCUCUUCGGUCAUCUCAGCGCUUGGGACGAUGUGUCAAAACUUUAACUUUUUUCGGCUUCGACUUAUUAGAGAUAGCCGAAGCAGCAGCUCUUCUUUUCUUUCCUUGCUUUCAUGAAGGAUAACAGUAAUCUGGGUAUACGAACCCAAUGACAUCAAAAACCCUAUUCAGCCUCUUUUUGCCUCGACCCCCGAAGCCCGCUGUCAUAGCAUCAUCUUCGGCCCUUGAAUAAGCACCAAGCAAUUCAUCACUGGUUGCUUCAAUGGCAUCUAGCCAGUCGUCAUUUGGCUCAUCAAAUUGGCUCAUGUAUUUGAACAUAUACUUCAAGUAAAUUAAGCCACCUUGGCUAGACCCAGCAGUAGCCUCCUUCGGCAUCUCCCACCCACUUCCGAGUGGCCACACUUUGUAAGCAAUAUGCUCCUGGACUAAGUCCCUGGUACCUAUGUAAGUGCAUACUGUGUUAAAAGCAGCUUGGCACGCUUGUAUGUCGUUUCCAAGGGCAAGGGAUGGUCUCCUAAUGCCGAAGUGAGACCAUAUAGGACAUUGGAUUAUCCCCUUGAUGUCUUCCCUUUCAACUAGAUCAUUUUUUACAUAGAACCAUUCUUGCAUCCAGCCCCCCGGCCAUCUCUUGCAAAAUGUUGGAACUGGGUUGCUCACCUCAGAGCGGGUUACGAAGCUGUAGCAACUGAAGUUGUUGUGAUAUUGCUCUUUUCCGGUGGCCUUCGUCUCAUAAGACAAUUCGUGCAUGUUGCAGAAGCAUUUUGCAUUUGGUUCUAACCCUUGGCUCCUCAUGGCCCAAAUAUAGAUCCCCAUCUUGAUGAUGGCUUCGGGAGUAAGCUGAUGAAGGAAAAUUUCAAAAGUUUUCAGGACUUCGACCAGCAUCUUAUCAAGAGGAAACCGAAGCCCUGCUUUCAUGAAGCUUCUAUAGAUGACCACCUCGUCAACUUCGAGCAGAGGAGCAUUAUUCUCCCCUCCAGCCCUCACAAUAGAAAUGUCACGGAAGUACCUUCCCCUCAUUGCAUCAAUCUGUCCUAGCUUGAUUGUUGACUUCCCAAAGACAACAUGGCUUGGUCUCCAGGGACGUUCUUUGGCACCCUCAUUUUCACUUUCUGCAUCAAAGUUUUCACUAUCACUAGUAUCUUCAGAUAUCCUAGCCAAUGUCUCAUGUGCAAUCUUUUCGGCAUUUGUUCUUUCCAUAGCUUCGUAAAACUCGGACAUCGCCGGGUCGACAUUUUUCUUCUCAUCAGCCAUCAAAUCAAACCUUGUUGAAAUGUUGAAGCUUAAAAUCCGAUCAAAACUCGACAAAGCAGGAAAGUUUAAAAUGACGAGCACAGUGUCAGUAACUGAAAUGGCACAAGAAACGCUUUCAAUACAAGCUCUUAUUUAUAUACCUAGCGCCCCACGGUUUCGUGGGUCCGGCAUGUCAGUGUUAUUCGCUAUUCUAGCGAAGGGAAGGUGUUUUUCGGACCUUCAGGUAAAGGCCUUCGUUCAUGUCACAGUCUAAAUUUGUUACCAAGAAACAAAUUAAUACUGCGAGGGGCUACUGUUGGGGGCCUUUCUCUUCCGAAGGUCCUCAAAAACGUGACUAUCCAUAUGUUUUCACCUGGUACAAAUGCGGACGUCCGCGAACCCUGAAGCCCCUACGCCCUCACAUGCCCUGCCGCCCUGUCACCGUGAAAACCGCACCGCAAAGGUAGUCCGCCGUCCACCGCCACGAGCUCGUGUGUUGGGGACUUGUUCCCAAAUGCUAAGAGUUAAGAACAAGGCAACAUAAAAAGUGUUAAGUGUUAAAGUCCUUCGUCCUUCGAAGCAUUAUGUCCCUUCGGGAAAUAAUGAGUUUCGGACGAAGGUCAUAAGAGACAUACCUUCGUAAACAUAACAAGUAAUGACGAAGGAUUUAUAUAAAGCAUGAAAUAUAAUAUAAGCAUCAUCAUAGAAUCAUUUCUAUUUUAUUAACAUGGAAAAAUAGAAAUGAUUUCAAAUUACAGAUGUACCUUCGGUCCUGAGAGAAGGUAAAAAGUACAAGCGUGACGCAAAAGCAAAUGCCCAGUCAGCGUGAACAGUACGGGGAUACUGUUCACCUAUUUAUAGACACGGGACACAGCCCUUACAAAAUUACAUUCAUGCCCUUUACAUCUGACAAUAACUCUAUAGUAAUCUAUUGAGGUCUGAAUAGCCUUUUCAUCUUUAAGUCGGUUUCACUCUCUGCCGUUACGCCGAAGCUUUCCUGCUCAACACCUUCGGCUCUGUAUCAAGCUUCGUAUUAUUCCGGUCUGCUGCAAUGCCGAUUUUAGUCUGAGGGUACCUGUUCACAUAUUGUACUACAGAAAUACUGUUAAAUUCUGUUUUUGAGGACCUUCGGACGCCGAAGGUCCCCAACAGUAGCCCCUCGCAAUAUUAAUUUGUUUGAAAUAAUAAAUUCAGAUUGCGAUAUGAACGAAGGCUUUAUGCCGAAGGUCCGAAAAAACACCUUCCCUUUGCUAGAAUAGCAACAUUCAAUGACAAGUGGGGUCUUUCAACUUUCAACGCAUCAAGCGUAUAAAUACGGCCAUACCGCAAACUUAUUUUGCACGCUUUCUGGCCAACCACUCCUGCUCACUCAUUUUUUAGCUCUUGUGCACUGUGAUCUGCUGAGCUUUUAGCUUUGAAGCUUCGGCUUUUAAAACAGUUUUUUAGUGUUUCCGAAGAUGUCUGAAGCUGCUAAGAAGGCUGCUGCUGAGAUGAAGCUGAGUCUUGAUGAAGAGAAGAACUUAGGGUUUCUUAUAGCAAUGUCGAAGACCAACACAGAAAAGAUCACCAGGGAAAUUCUGGAAGGGCUGUCUGAAGAUACUGGUGACAGUGAAAGUUAUGAUGUGGACAGCGGUGGUGAAGACUCCGAAGAUCGCCCCUGGCGACCAAGCCAUUCAGUUUAUGGUAAAUCAACUAUCAAAGAGAAUCAUCUUGUUAAUAUGAGAGGAAGGUAUUUCCGGGAUCUGUCCAUUGUGAGGGCGGACGAAGGGGAAAAGACUUGUCCACACCCUGAAGAAAAUGAAGUUGUGGUGUACCGAAGCUUUUUGAAAGCCGGAUUGCGAUUCCCCUUGAGCAGCUUCGUCGUGGAGGUGUUGAAAAUCUUCGAAGUCUAUCUUCAUCAACUUACUCCAGAGGCUAUUAUAAGGCUAAAUAUCUUCGUGUGGGCCACGAGAAGCCAAGGUCUGAAGCCUGACGCAAGAAGCUUCUGUAAUAUACAUGAAUUAUUAUAUGAAACAAAGCCUUGGGGCAAAGAACAGUACCACAAUAACUUUGGCUGCUACAGUUUCGUCUCUCGGUCCGGGGCAAGCUGUCCCGUACCAACCUUUCGGAAGAGAUGGCCCGGGGAUUGGAUGACAGAAUGGUUUUAUGUGAAGAAUGACCUAUCAGCACGAGAAGACAUCAAAGGUAUAAUUAUGCGUCCUAUUUGGCAAAGUUUCGGCCUUCGGAGGCCGAAGGUGGAAAUGAAUGAAGCUGCCGAAGAAUGCCAGAGGGCCUUCGGCGUCAUCUGCUCUUUUAUUGGAACAAGAGAUUUAGUACAAGAACAUAUUGCCUUCCGGGUGUGGCCGCUUGCGGAGAAAUGGGAAAUGCCACAAGAAACCAUUAAAGAGGCCGACGAAGGUGGACUUGUCAGGUUUAAGUACACUUUUAAAUUUGGAGAUAAAUUUAUUGAGCCAGAUGAUGAGUGGUUGAAAAGCAUUGACAAUUUAAGUGAUGAGCUGCUUGGGACCUACUCGAAGGCCGAAGAUACUGCAAUGUCAGCAGCCUUCGGAGGCCGAAAAAAGAAAAGGCUGAAUCGGGUAUUUGAUGCCAUCGGGUUUGUCUACCCUGACUAUCGCUACCCCAUUCGAAGGCAGAAGAGAAAAAAUACAACCUCUGCAAAAGAAGAAACUGCAGCUGCUCCUAGCGAGCCAGAACCGAAAAGGAAGAAGAUAAAGGUUCUUACGCAUCGGCCGCGUUAUAUUGAACCAGCUUCGGUGCCUGAGUUUACCGGAGAGACUUCUUCGGCCACCGAAGCUGAAAAACCAGCCGAGCCAACCUUGCUGCCAGGAGUUGCAGAAACAGCCGAAGUACCACCGAAGACAAAAUUGGAGCAAUCAAAAAAUUUGUUACCAGAAACGAAAGAGAAGGCCGAAGCGCCAUUCACAGAAAAAAUGGAAGAGGUAAAGGAAGCAACCGAGGACUCCAAAACAUCAGAAGUCUUGAGUCCUUCAGCAAUUAUUGGGACAUCGAAAAAUGAGAAAGUGCCAGCUGCAACUCCGAAGAGAAAAAGAAUGGCUAAUGUGCUAGAUGUACUGGAAACGAUCAUAUCUUCGAGCACACCUCCGAAGAAGGCUGCUGUUACUUUUGAAACAACAGCUGAAAUUUCUGGUUCUGCAGCUCUAGAGCAAGAAAUUGAAGCCGAAGCUGGGCCCUCAGAGCCCACAAAGGCAAAAACCUUGGAAAGUGAGGUAGAAAAAAUAACAAAGCCAACUUUUGCUGAAGGAACUGGUGUUGUUACCCCCGAAGCAUCCCCCAAAAUUCGUGAUUAUAUUUUUCGUCAUGCUUCGGGGAAAAAAUUAUCAGAAAAAGAAGAACAAGAGGCCCAACACUAUGCCCAAAAAUUGAAAUAUCCAAAGGGGGCGUUGAUAUUUAAUGGCAGUGGAGAAGAAGAUUUCUUGUAUUGCCUCCCCGACAGCAAGAAAAUUUCUGUCUGUCGGGAGAUGAGCAGAAGCUUCGGAUUCCCAACUUUAGAAGACGGACUUUCGGUGCUGUCAAAGAACGAUCUGGCUGACAGCCUAGCUUACAACAGUUUAAAGGUGCGACUAAUGGAAUUCUUAUAUUUUUGUUGAGUUCAAAAUUUUUCGUUUGUUUAAAACUAUUGACACAGACAUAUUCCUGUCUGCAGGGCCUGAUACUCAGCAAUGCCCUCAGAGCACAGAAAGAUGCUGAGGACGAAGGAUGUACUAUAGCCCUGAGCAACCUUCGUUCCGAAGUAAUUGAAUUGAGGAACGAAGGUCUCGAAAAAGACAAAAUAUUGCAUUCCUUAAUAAAUAAAAUAAAAGAAGACGAAGCUCUUUUCAAAGGUCAGGCCGAAGCUCAGAAGCGUGAAAUUGAAAACCUUCGUAAACAAUUAGCCAGAGCUAAAGAGGAAUGCAUACUUGAAGAAACAAGGCGAGAACUCAGCGACCAAUGGGCAAAUCAUUUAGAAGAAACUGUUAAAGAGCUUCGGUCAGCCAAGAAGAAAUGCUUCGACAAAUCUAUAGAGUGUGUCAAGAAAAUAAAAACUAGCUUCGCCAGCGUUGGCGCAUUUUCGCAAGAAGAAAACUUUAUAAGAGGUAACCCCGAAGGUCCCCUGGAAUGGAUCAAUCAUGAGGCGGAGGCCUUCGAGGAAAUCCUGAGUAGCCGCGGUGACAUCUGCGCUUUUUCGGGCGCCAGAGGAAUUGCUACUGUCUUGGAGAAAAAAGGUUGUGAACAUGUAAAAUCUUUAGCUCAGUCCGAAGCUGCCUUAUCCUCCGAAGACAUCAAAGACCCCUCGGCCGAAGCAAGCAUGGUUGGCGGUAAAUUCUUCACUGAUAUCUGGGACAACGGCGGCCGAGAAAUGGCGCAAGAAAUUAUUCAAAGAAGUGAAAAAGGCAUCCAUGAUGCCAGGAAAGUGGCAGAAGUUGCCGAAGGGCAAAUAGGUAUUAAUUAGUCGCACUUAUUGUGUUGUAAUUUUUAUUUCAAACUUUACUCGCAGUUUGUAAUAGUAAUGCAAAAAUAUUCUGUUUCCUCAGAACCUACUGGAUCGUCUAUUGACCCUCACAUCAAAGAGGAUGACGAAAUCAAACAAAUGGCCGAAGCUAUCAUGGAUAAAGUUGUUGAACAACUUCUAAAUGAGGCUGCCGAAGUAGUAUUAAGAGAAGACUAGAUGUUAUUAGAAAAAACAUUUGAAGUGUGAUCUAUGUAAUAUUUUGUACAUUUGAAUGUAAUAUAUAAGUCCCUUUUCAUUAUUCAAUUCUUUACGAUGCAUGAAAUUCUACAUACAUACCAUUUUUGAGCCUUCGGCGAAAAAACACCUUCCCUUCUUUUCAUGCUUCGUGAAGAAGACAUUCUCCGAAGCUGUACAAUUUCGAUAUUACUCUGAUGAAGCUCAUCCAUGCUUCGUAAAAACAUUCUCCGAAGCUGUAUUCCGAAGAUUAUCAUUGUAUUUCCUCAUGACUUUACACAAUUUUCACUUUCUCAAAGCGUCCUUUCGAAGGUUGAUACGGUGUCCCCUUCUUUUGCCAUAUGCAACAUGAUAUAUGAUGUUUAUGCUAUGCAAAAUGGUGUGAUGAUGUUAUGUUAUGCAAAUGACGUUUGUUCCGAAGAUACACACAAAAUAUCUCUGUAAACUCUGCAUUCCCUUAGGAACGUCUUUGGAGUUUCUUCGCCUUUUACUUAGGCGGUAUCAGCGUUGACUUUUCGCUGUAAGCCUCCCUUAGGAGCUUCUUCGCCUUUUACUUAGGCGGUAUCAGCGUUGACUUUUCGCUGUAAGCCUCCCUUAGGAGCUUCUUCGCCUUUUACUUAGGCGGUACCAGCGUUGACUUUUCGCUGUAAGCUCUGCAUUCCCGUAGGAACGACUUUUGAGCAGAAAACUUACACUGCGCUCCCUUUGGAACGGCUUUUUGUGACUUCAUCAACUUACUCUGCGUUCCUUAGAACGACUUUCUGUUGCUUCGAAGGAUUUUUAAUAAUUCGAAGGUCCUCCUUGUUAGCGCAAAAAAAUUUUAAGCUUCAGGGACUUAAGCCUGUGAAGAAAAUGGGUUUUCCUCGUGGGAAACAACGAAAUUAUUACAUGAAAACUAACAAUGUUCUUUGUUUCACAGAAAAUAAAACUGAAUAGAAAAGACUGCUAUUAAAGGUAGGAUAUGUGUCAAUAAAUGUGCUUCGACUCUGGCACAGUGCUGUUGACUGUGCGAGCUUCGGAUUGUUCUCUGAAGUCCCUUUGGUGUGGGGCAUAUUGACUCCCUUCUGGCUGUUGACCCUGUUGCAGUGGAGGUGGAGGCGGAGGCUGCUGCCAGGAAGCUUGAGGUUGACUUGCCGAAGCUACAGAAGCUGCAGGGUGGUUGUCUAUGUAUUGUGGGAUGUAAGGUGGAUGAUACGAAGCAGUAUGCAUGACCUGCUUCGGCUGAGCUUGUUGAGAUGCAGCUUCGGCUAUUUCCUUUUGCUUCUGGAUUGUAAUAUGGCACGUCCUGGUGGUAUGGCCCUUGCUUUCUCCACAGAACAAGCAAAACAGUUUCCUUGGUUGAUCUCCGAAUCUUCCGCCGAAGCCCCUGGCGACUCUGCCUCUUGGAGCUGGUGGCCGGAAGAAAGUUUGUUGUUGCCCCGAAGCCUGUGAGGAGCACUGCGGUCUGUUCUGCUGACUCCCCUUAUCAUCAUUCUGAGUGGAGUUGUGGAUGGACCUGACAUGCCUCGGAUAGGAUCUUCCUCCGAAGCCCCUGGUCAUUUCAGAAAAUCUGAAGGCCUCCUCCCUUCUUUGGCGAAAGUCAUUGUCAGCACGAAUGUACUCGUCCAUCUUUUGGAGCAGCUUCUCCAGGGUCUGAGGAGGCUUCCUAGCAAAGUAUUGAGCAGCAGGUCCAGGACGAAGCCCCUUGAUCAUGGCUUCGAUGACAAUUUCAUUGGGCACCGUUGGUGCCUGCGCCCUCAAACGCAAGAACCUUCUGACAUACGCCUGAAGGUAUUCUUCAUGAUCCUGAGUGCACUGGAACAAGGCUUGAGCAGUGACCGGCUUCGUCUGAAAUCCUUGAAAGCUGGUCAAUAACAUAUCCUUCAGCUUCUGCCAUGAAGUGAUCGUUCCUGGCCGAAGGGAGGAAUACCAGGUCUGAGCAACACUCCUGACGGCCAUAACGAAAGACUUUGCCAUUACUGCAGCAUUGCCACCAUACGAAGACACUGUUGCUUCAUAACUCAUCAAGAACUGCUUCGGGUCCGAAUGGCCAUCGAACAUGGGAAGCUGGGGUGGCUUAUAGGACGGAGGCCAAGGUGUAGCCUGCAGCUCAGCGGACAGAGGAGAAGCAUCGUCGAAAACAAAAUUUCCAUGAUGAAAAUUGUCAUACCUACCGACGAUUGGUGACUCGUGAGGUGUCCGGGGCGUUCGUCGGUGUGUGCGGAUUGCUGGCGUGAAGUAUUAAGCCCAGGGGACCGUUCUCGUGCCCGGAAUUCCUCGCCGUUGACGGACUCCGCCGUGCACCGCGGAUGUCUCUGCUCGACCAUUAAUUGUCGGUAAUACUCCCUUUCCGCGUCUCGCUUUCCGCUGGACAUCGCGUAGGGCUAGACUCAUGCGGUUUGGACCGCUAGGGUGCGAGAAUGUCGUGUCUGGCCAUGGCGUUGUCGUGUUGCCUGGCAGCGCCGCCGCCGUUGGGGUCGUUUGGAGGAGAUGAGCACUGGGCGUCGAUCUGUUCACCGAUGGCUGUGAUCGGGUAAGAGAAUACUGCUUCGAUCAAUUGGAUCGUAAUCGUCCGAUCGGGAUCGGAUGGUGCAUACUUACACUGGGUUUCAUUAAAUCGUGGGCGUAGAUCGGGAAUCCAAGGGCCAGAGUGUUUACCGAAUUCGUGCAGGCCAUAGAUAUAAUCGGAGCCAGUCGUUUCUGAUCGAAUGGCUGGGAUCCGCGCAUACCCCUUCAGCUAGUUAAGUUAACAAUUAGGCCCUCGGUUUUUAGGAAAUAAACCCGCCGUCCAUUACAGCUGUUCAUUGUGACUAGGAAAUCUUGCGGCGAGGCCCUAGUGUUCUCUGGUAUUUGGCACGCAUUCCAGGGAACAUAUAAAUUGGAUAAAUAAAUAUGGAAAUGGAUUUUUAGUGUAAAAAUAAUUGCUAGAAUUUGUUUAAUUCAUAGAAAAUUCAUACUUAGUCCAAAUUAAUCCAUUCCAGUUCCUAUAAUUUUGUAAUAAUGUUGUUUAUCAUAUAGUGUCUCUGUUUUGACAUGAAAAUCAUAUUAAAAGUUAUCUCUUAAUUAAUCCUGUAUCAAAUACAUAAAACCUUCAGAAAGACAUAACUUAAAAUCCAUAACUCCAAAAUUAAUGAUUCAUGUUCCUAUGAUCUUAUUUUCAUAUGUAGAUUAUUAAUAUGUAUUUUGUAUACAUGUUUGGUGUAAUGUUAAUUUCCUCUUUAUACUAUGCUUAUUUGUAUUGUGGCGAGUAGAAGAGCCAGUGGCUGGGGAUCCCAGUGUUCAGCAGAUAGAAGUUGUUGAGCAGGAGCUCAUUGAAGGCAAGUUGUGCCCUUGACCACUUUUAUUACCCAAUAAUGUUAUUUAAUACCACUUAUUCAUGCAUAGGUUUAAUUUUGAUGGGACCCAAUAGGUCACCCUAAACUGGUUAUCCUUUUUACCUUGUUUACCCCUGAAUCAUUAGGUAGUUUUGCUAUUACUUUAUAUGGUUUUGGGAUAAUAUUACAUUAUAUCCAUGUUCCAAUUAUUCUGUUAUUUUAUUUAUGUUCAUGUCAAGAUCAUUAUCUUUAAUUGGAACAUGGAGCUUAACUUGAGAAACACGUGCCACCACUAGGGUGGUAUGGGACGCCCUUGGCUGACUAACUAGGAAAUCUAGUGGAAGACUACCUUACCCGAAAGGGGCAAGGGCAGUAGGGGAGUAGGCAUGUAGGGAGGUUCUCGGGUUGAUUUUGCUGUGAUGGCGGUCAGACGAGGGAUUCCUGCAUUGCUCUUUCCAGAAACUGUAGCGAGUUUUCGGAAGCUAGUGGAACUUUGUAAAGGUCUCGUAGUGUUACCCCGUUUCGCUUACUUGGUAGAGGUGUAUGGGAGUCACGAUCCCUUGGCAGAUGGGUAACAUGACUUGUGGGUACAGGGUACAACCUCUAUAGAGUGUAAAACUGGUAUACUAGCCGAGCUCACGGUCAUGAGCAACUCAGGACUCUCGCAUGAUUAAAUUAUGGAACUUAAAUUUAAUUUGUCAUUUGCAUUGCAUGAGAUUUAUUAUUAAUUUUGUUCUAUUCUUAUUAUGGUUUGGUAUUUACUUAUAUUUAGUAAUUGCUAAUAAAAUUUGACCAACUUAUGAAAAAGCAAUGCUCAGCUUUAACUCCUAUCGUUGAUCAGCCUUACACAUCACGUGAACUCCCACCUUUGGUGAGUUCAUGUACAUUGUUUCCCACAACUUGUUGAGCGAUGAACAUAUGUGAGCUCACCCUUGCUGCCUCACACCCCCACAGGAGAAGAACAGGUGGCCCAGGAGGAGCCGCACAACGAGGAGUUUGACUUGAUCUAGGUGGUAUCUCCUAGUCGACUUUUUGGCGCCAAGGAUGGACUUCAGUUCACUUUAUGUUUAUCUUUUAUUUUGUAAGACUUCCGCUAUGUAAUAAAUAAUUUUAUGAUAUUGUGACAUUUAUCUCUAUACACUAUGUUAUCAUAUGUGUUGUCUUCUUUGGCGCAUAUAUGAGAUGCACUCGGUUUUAUCCCUUAAAUCUGGGUGUGACAUUAAUGUGUCAAUGACACAUGAUUAAAAAUAUUUUUUGUAAGGAUGACAAAUAGUUAAAUGUGUGGAACUGAACACGCCCAUAAUCAUCACACCUAGCUCAUGUCAAGUCGCAGCCGCAUCGCCAUUUGCCAUACCGAGGCAUGUAUCGCGCGGACUACAGUGUUGCACCCCUACCUGUCAAUCAGUGGUACUGUACGGCAGGGCAACAUCGUAGCCCACUAGGAAGUACUCAUAGGCCCACACCACACACAUUGCCUUUGCUCGUUACUAUAGAGGCGUAAUGACUAUUCCUACCGUCAUAUUUGCUUUGGCAGGGGCGUAGGGUCACCUAGCUCUGAAUUCUUUUUGAUGCAGUGAAGCUGAUGCCCACACACACAUGCACUCAUCAAGUAGUACAAAGUGGGCCUGCUGCCUGUCGGUGAUUAUUUAGCGCAACAUUUGGGUCUUUGGAGAAUUGGAGAAGAGGAGGAUGCAAUGGAUGAUGGAAGAAGUCAUCAUUGUUGCAUCAUUACCGCUAGACGAUGAUAAUGAUUACCAUGCAUGGUGGGGUGGCAGCGGCGCCUGUUUUUGUAGGAUCCUAUAUAUAGGUGUCUAUGGACCAAAUAGUGUGACAUGUGAUGUGAUCCCUCAACUCUCUCUCUCUCGCUUUGGCUGACGAUCCAAGAAGCAAUGCAACAUAGAGCCGAACAUACAAGUUGUCUUGUCCAAAGAGCAGGUGCUCGACAUCUAUGACAUCCUAAAGCUAUCUCCAACAACGUCCUCUAUAUCCAUCCUCUAUAUCUGUCAUUUACAGUCUUCUCUAAAAGAUUCUAUCAUCUAUAUCUUCUUCCUCUCCAACAACGUCCUCUAAAUGACGUCCACUAUACUCAAAUACCUAUAUUAGAGACAUUUUUUAUUUUUAUUUUUUGUACAUACCUAUUUAUCAUACUCUCAAAUGUAUUGUACAUAUUUUAGUUUUGCUAAACCGGUUAUUUAAAGUAUUAAUAUAGAUAGAGGAACGUUUAGAGAAACUCUAUAUAUAGAGAAUCCAGCAGCGUUCUCUAAAUUUAGAGGACCGUUUAGAGGACGCUGCUGGAGUGCGUAGAGAACCAUUUGAUCCUCUAUAUUUAGAGUAGAGGACCCUUUAGAGUUUGGAGCCAGCCUAAUAGGGUGACCGGUCAGAUUCCGGACUUUAGAGCCCGACGCGGCUGAGGCCAGCGUCUCUGAAGGUGGCACAGGCGCUCGCCCGAGGCAGCUCAUAGAAACGGUAGUUUUUGGCCCGAGCUAAGGGGCUGCAGCUCGGGUCUAGCCUAAGGCUGUCUCCAGCAGCGUCCUCUAAAUUCUAUCCCCUAAAGGAAUAUUCUGUCUUUUACAUCACACUCUAAAAGAUUCUGUCCUCUAUAUCUUCUCAGUCUCCAGCAACGUUCUCUAAAUUCGGUCCUCUAAAGUUAUAGUGUUAACAGAUUUUCUUUUUCCAUCCAUUUAGCUUUAUUUUUGUUUUAUUUCCAUUACACACAAUAAAAUGGAUGCGCAAAAUUGAAUUACAGACUAAUUAAAUUAAUUGCGUUUGGUAACCUAUAUUACUAAUCUUUUUUUAAAUGCUACUAGACUUUAUUUUAUACAUUUUAUUCAGUAUUGGACAAAAUCAUAGACCUGCUGAAAAAUAUUGACCCACUACAAAAUAUUGUUUUUUUUCAAAAUGGCAAGAGCAGUACUUUAUUUUAUGAUUAAAAAACGAGCAAUAAAUGAGAAGGGAGCGUCCACGUAGGCUUGCUGCAAAAAAUGACAAAGUGAGCGAAUGAACCUGACACACAUAGCGAACAUGAGGGCUCCUCCACGUUUACAGGCCGACGGAGGCAUCCGGUAUCAUAGCGCACCGUUUACCCAUCGCUGCUGUAGGGAAAAAGGAGCCAAAGAAACGGUAAAUUUAGAGUACCGGACCUUUUACCGGGCCUUGCUGGAGAGAGUCUAAUAACAUGCGAUGUCCGGACCGGCCCAGUGAAGGCAAUAUGCCCCACUGAAGCCCAGAAGCUACCUAAACUUCCAGCCGUCUCCUCCGCACGCGAAAACCCUAGCAGCUCCGUAGUCCCUCUCCUCUGGAGGUGGCGGCGCUCCUCCCGUCUUCUUCUUCUUCUUCCUGUACUAUAUAUAUAUAGCUUCCCCUCGCAAAUUGUCACUGACGUUCAUUCGGCUUGCUUGAUUGUUCCAGGUAUUCGCAGUCGACCGUGUCCUCGGAGCACGUAAGUUACGAAUCUUCGCUUCUUCUUGUGAUAGUGUUUCGAGUUGCCUCAUGUUUACCUUGAGUCGUCUGCCGGCUCGCCACAUGGUCAAGGCGCAUCGCCGUCGAUGCCCGCUCGAUUCCACCGUCAGCCAGAUUUUUCUGGCUCGAUGUACCUGCGACGUAGUGUGGAGAUGAGACGCGCAGGUGACGCCGGAUGCUAGGGAACCGGAACUAGAUCCGGUCCCUGCUACUGUGGUGGCUGCGCUGGUUUCUGAAUUCUCAUAUUGGGAUUUGAAUGAAUCCUUGAAACAUUUAUAACAUGCCUUGACCGCUUGUUUACUUAGGUCUCUAGUUGAGGAGGGCAUUGUUAAGAUUUGCUCUGGUCCAUGAGCGUGUAUGUUUACUUGUUGUGGUCUGUAGUACGUAUUCACCAAGUAAUUUUUGGUGUUUUCACCGUAGAUACUGGUCUCUAAUUCUCUAUGCUCUUCUGUUUGGUUGUCCGUUAAGCCUGUUGGUAUUUUUUCUGAUGCUUCAGUAUGUCCUGCUGUCUGACACCUUCAACAUAACUCUUGUUAUCAUACAUUAGUGCUUGAGCUUUUCUUUGGAUUCUAACAGACAAUAGAUUCAAGGUACUCUGGUAAUUUGAUUUUUAGGUUGAUUUGCUUUAGUUCCUUGGUUCAGUUGCUUUACCAUUUUAUUACCUGACAUCACUGUCAUGUGGCUAAAGAGUUAACUUAACUGAUACGAUGAUUUCUGAUGGCUUGAGCAGGAUGAAGGUUGUUGCUGCCUACCUGCUUGCUGUCCUCGCUGGGAAUGCCAGCCCCUCCGCUGAGGAUUUGACUGGCAUUCUGGAGUCAGGUAAUUUCAUUUAACUGUUAUUCCAAUGUAUAACUAUUAUUACUAUUAACUCUGCUUUGGUUUAUGGAAAAGACUAAAUUCUGACAAUAGCAUUGCCUGCUUCUUGAAUGUAGGGUUUUUAUGUUUAACUAGAAGUUAACAAUUAUUUAGCACAAUUGGUUUGAUUGUAUUCAUCACAAUAAUGGUCCUGUAUUCACUGAUUUAUUGUUCUGCUCUUCUGGUUGUACUUGGUCGCAUGGCUCAUGUAGCAAAAGCAUCUAAUGCAAUCAUUCCUACUUGUUCAUGUUGCAGUUGGCUGUGAAGUUGACAAUGAAAGGAUGGAACUGCUGCUGUCCCAACUGAGCGGUAAGGACAUCACCGAGCUCAUUGCCGCGGGCAGAGAGAAGUUUGCUUCAGUCCCAUGUGGCGGCGGCGGUGUGGCUGUUGCGGCAGGUGCACCUGCUGCUGGCGGAGCUGCUCCUGCAGCUGAGGCAAAGAAAGAAGAGAAGGUGGAAGAGAAGGAAGAAAGCGAUGAUGUAAGAUCGUUGUUCUCCAAUUCUGGCUGCACUUUUUCCCCCUAUCAGAACAGCAGUAAUAAAGUACUCUGUUCUGGUAUUAUCAAUAUACUACUUUCAAUUCAUCUUGAUAUCAAUGGCCACAUAUUCUUUUAUACUGUUGUUUCCUUUGCUGUCGACAACAUCCAGAGACUUUAUCAUGUUCAUUAUCUUUUAUGCAGGAUAUGGGCUUCAGCCUCUUCGACUAGGUUGCACAGUCAUCACAGUAUUGUUUCGGGCAGUGAAAUCAAAGGGAAACCAGAGUCAUGUUUAGAUUUUAACCUUAUUUUAUGUUGGAAAGUACUGCAAAGACUGCUAAUUGUCUCUGUAUUUGGUAAUUCAGCUGUAGAUUGCUAUGAUG
Molecule: long non-coding RNA, 453319 nt
Filed under: Zea mays
Lineage: Eukaryota; Viridiplantae; Streptophyta; Magnoliopsida; Poales; Poaceae
Description: long non-coding RNA (ZMAY_LNC004859)
Source: RNAcentral